UUUGGGCCGCAUCACGAGAGAAACUUUUCUAAAGGUGGAAGACUUGUGUGUUCGAGCUUUAUUGAAAGGGACGAUAUCAUGUUCAGAGUAUCCAUCUUCAGAACCACUGAUAAGAUUUGGGUGUAUAAUAAUAUGUGCAAUGCGAUACAGCAGAGGAAGCAUCGCGUUAGCUCGCUUUUGGUGAGAACAGAAUUUACAGAAUUGCAAAGCUGAAUUCUGCUUUCGGUUCAGCAGAGUGGAUAAAAGCAUUAGUUUCGUUCCAAUGGAUGGAAUGGUCCUGAAUGUGUACGAUACCUUUCCUUGAUCCUAGACGCGGCAAUCACAAUGUGGGCAAGAGUCGUGAGUUGUGAGUCGGAGGAAGCUGAUUACAAAUGUCGAUUCUGUAAUUCAGGAGACAAUCUCUCUUUCAAAUUGGGUGCUUCUUUAAGGUUUCCGGUGGCUUAACCUGACCUUUAGAACUGUAAAGCAUAGUUAUGUCGAUUACGCUUCCCUUAAGCCAUACCAAGAUUUUGCAAGCUCUGGUGAACUUACAUCAGAUUCUUUGCAAUCUCUUUUCGAUUUCUUGAAGAUUUUGUGAUCAGUCUUUUCGUAUGUCGCAAAUUGACGUUUGUCAGUUUCUUCUCAUGUGAAAAACAAUCGGAAUUUUUUUUUAUUUUUUUUUUUAUAUUAAAUGAAUGUUGAUAUGCAUGACGAAGUAAAUAUGCUGCGUCUUUGCGUCGCUGUGGCACGUCUCUUCCGCAGCCUCUCUCUCUCUCAACAAACACAGCAGCCGAGCCUCCAACAGUGGCUUUGCACCUUUAGAAUCAGCGAUAAUCCCAGCGCUCUCGAACUUGAACUUGCUCUCACCGAUUCUCUCUCUCUCUCUGUGUCUUUCUUCCAUGCGAGAACUCGAUACAUCCUCUGUAAACCUACGGCAAUAGAAAUUUGGGAGAUGGUGAGAGGAUGGGAGAAAACAAAAGUGAAACGGAAAUCAACGGACAAAAUUUGCAAUGAAUCGAAGACAAUUCUAGAGUUAAAUUGGAGACGGAACGUCCUGGUAAUUGUGACUGUCGAUCAAGGAAACUAUCUGGUUGAGUUCUGCCGUCGCGGCGGUGAGUGGCAUCUUCGAACUGGUAGUGACACUUUUUGUGCUUCGGUCAGUGCUGGAAGCAACAAUCGUCAAAGAGCUCGACCUCAAUAAAUCGCUGGUGGAGCUCCAAACGCGGUUGCAAUAAAUCAUUAGCUAGAGAUCAAUCCCCCUUCAUUCAGUUGUUCCUCCAAGCUGCAAUCGAAGGCUUCUCCGAUUCUCUCCACCAAUUCAGAUCACCCUACAGUGAACGACACUAUCAGAUUCCGCAUUCAAGGUGCGGCCACACUAAUUCCUCUCUGAUUUGAGUUCUCACUUUCCUGUCCUUACAUAUGUCUGGACCACAUUCACCUGUCGCCCGGCCAUCUCGAGCUCAUGUCGCCAUCACCACUGACCCAUUGUUACGCCCGUUUCAUGUGCAAUCGAACUGCCGAGUCAAAUUUCGAUUCACUCCAGAAUACGUUCUGUCAACUCUUGCCAAGGCUGAGGUCGGAUGGAUCAUCAUAUGGAUACCAUUCGCGGAUACGAAGGAUGAGAUUCUUUGGUUUCGCUCUUGGCACUCUUGCCAGUCCGACGUCACUUCAUCAACCGUGGUAGCCAAGGCCAAUCUGAGUCAUCAUCCUUCGAGACGAUACACCGAGCGUGAAGAUUGGCAGCGGCGAGCAAACAAUCUAGAAUAAAAAGGUGCAAUGCAAAGGGGUGGAUGGAGGUGAUUCAGAUUUUGCGUGGGAAUUUUGGGCAAAACAGGCAAACAAGGUGAAGCUGGUGGUGGCUCUUUGGAUGAGAAGGAAGUAAAGUGUAGAAAAAAAAAAAGAUAAAAAAGGAAAAAGAAAGUAAUAAAAAAAAAAAAAAAAAAAAAGAGAGACACGAAAGGAAAAUAUAGAGAGCACACGAGAAAUCGGUCAAAUGGAAGACGUGCACAAGAGAUGUAAUUCGUCACACCAUCGAACACCUUCAUUGCAAACUCGAUCCCUCCUCCACAGUGCAAUCGACGGCAAUGGGAAUUCGGAAGAUGGUGAGAGAGUUGGAGAAAAUCAAAAUGAAAUAGAUAUCAACGGACGAAGUUAGAAUAUAUCGAAAUUAAUCCUAGAGUCGAAUCGGAGAUGAAAUGACCUGGUGGGAAGUGCGACUGUCGAUCUGAUAGAUAUCAUAAUUACCCGAAUGUCAGUGAGGAACCGGCUGUCCGCGGAUAUUUCUUAUGGCGCGAUCUUCUUUCCUCCGCUUUUUGUUACAGAGUCGUCUCACCCUCUGUUUCUCUCUUGCGCAAUUCAACGAACACCUUCUGCUCCGAGGACGCAGCACAUUCAACGACCAGGAAACUACAGGGGUCAAGUUCUUCGCCAUGCAACGUUUUCUCUAUGUCUAUCUUCAUUUUUUUCACCAGGUCUUCCUCUAUCAGGAUUGUUUCCUAUCCGAUUAAACUUCUGAGUCCAAUUUCGAUUCAUUCCAGUAUAAAUUCUGUCGAUUCUUGCUUCCUUCUUUUCCCUUCCACUUCAUUGCCGCCUUUUGGAUUCCAAAUGCGGUCGCUUGCGUCCUUCGUUUCGCCCUCCUACGCCGCGCAUGAAGGGGAUGUCGGGCUGGUGUAUAGGAUCCGCCAAUUCGAGGGAUGAAAUCUUCGAGUUCACUCUCGGCCCUCCCGCCGGUUUGAGAAGCCCGUCAAAGGGAAGACUUGCAUAAAAGAUGGAAUUCCUUGAGAGGAAGAUUCAUCUCAAAACUCAGCCAUCAUUUUCCUUUUCUUUUCCUUUAAAUAGGCAUAAAAAAAACUCCAAACGACGCCAUUGCAGCGUUUCUUGGCUUCAGGUACCUUUUUCGGAUCUCUCCAUCCAUCUUGACACGCUCCCCCGCUCAGUGAGUUCCGAGUCGCUCCACCAUCACCCUCGCUAUCUACUGCUGCUUUGAAACCGAGCUGCACUCGCCUCAUGAUUGAUUCUGUCGCUCACCGUCUUUAGAAACUUCGGUGAUCUUCUCUCUUUCUCUCUUCUUUUCCUUCUUCCGGUUCGAAUCGCGUUUUCGUUUUGUGCAUUCUUAUGCGUUUUGACAGAGCGAUGUUUAAUGCUAUUGUCGUUUUGCUCAUCAAAGGGUUCAUGCCCGGAAUUUUUUUCUUUUUUCCUUGUUUCCAAUCGUGAAUCCAAGACCACUUGGAAACGAGCGAAGAUUGAACUGAAAACGUCGUGAGAAAUCACCACAGCGAACGAGAGUUGUGCAGAGUUAAGCUCGGUCGAACAGUGGUUCGGUUUUCCUCUAUUUUUUGGCACCCUAUAGUCGCUUCUGGAUUCAGUUGUGGUGCGAGGGUGACUCGCUAGCCAUUCCUGAUCGGUCCUUCGAUUAACGCUUUUCUCUGUAUAGAUUUCUGAGCGGCUUGGGACUUCGAGAUGGGAGUGGCACCGAUGAGUUAUGACAUGGAAGAGGGGACUCUGGAUAUCGGCAUGGGUAAGCUUUUGGCCCUCUCUGCUUUCCGAAUUUUUUUUGAGCUACCGACAAUGGAAAUCUGCUGGGAUGCUUGAAUCUCGUAAUUAAGCUUUGACUGUAUUGUGGGGAGUAGCUUUGUCUCCUUGUUUGUGGUUUAUUGUGUCUUUCGCCAUCUAAAUUUCACUGUGCUUGGAAUCAGAACUUUAAUCAUGGGGUAUUAUUGUUUUCGAGGCUUUCCAUGUAGCUUUAGCGUUUCUGAAAAGUUUACGCUGCCACUCUUAUGACAACGGUUAAUACACUUACUACUUAGAUCUACACAAUCUCUAUCAUUUUACAUGUAUUGGUUAAGAGGUGAUGAAUCAUUUAGCUCUUGUCCGAGUCAAAUUUUUAGCAUGCCUUAGCCGCUGGGUCUUAGUUAUCAGUUGUUCAGACAAUUGCUUUGCUACUUGCAGAGCAUAGGAUUGUCUAUGGUGUUGUUGGGCCGUUGGUUAUACUCGACAAAGUCAAGGUCAAUUUCACUGGUUAUAAUUUUACGAGUUUCAGUGAACUCCUAUAUUGACAUGUUGGAUUACUUUAUUGUAUAUUAGGGACCAAAGUAUCAAGAGAUUGUAAAUAUCCGCUCGGGAGAUGGAACAACUUGACGUGGGCAUGUCCUUAAAGUUGAUGGAUAGAAAGCUGCUGUGUAGGUUCAGUAUAAGCUGCCAGCCUCUUCUUUUUUGCUUUAUCUCUCUUGAAACUGCAUUUUUGUUGGUUGGACUACAUUAGUUGGGUCACUUUGGUGUGCAGUACUUUUUAGCUAAUGACCUAGUGAAAUCUCUACCGUUAAUUACAAGCAUCAGAAAAAGCAGAACAUGUAGAAUAUUUUCUUGGGUAUAUGUGAUGAAAUGUGAGAACAUCAUAUGGGAUAAUAAUUUAAAAAAUUGUGAUUGAGUUUUUUGAGGAGAACAAUGUUAAGAGUCUAAUUAGCAUUCAGUGUGGGCAUACUCUUUCUCUCUCUCUCUCUCUCCGCAUCUGUAUCUGACGAAUCGUAAUCUGACGAAUUGUAAGUUCACGCUUCAGCACACAUUAUUUUAACCGUGUGCCAGAAUUUCAUCCAAUUUUUGUGUCUUGUUGCGCAUAAUUUUCUUCUGAAUUUUGUUUAACCUUCCUCAAUUGUCAUCGUCUUCUUCAGCUAGGGCUCUGCUUUCAAAAUUCGUUCCACAGUCGAUUUUUAUGCAUGUAAAUUUCUCAGCCCACUGCUUCGGAUCAUGAACCAAUAAAGGUCCUCAACCUAGCAAUUCAUUUUCCCUAAUUCUAAAUCUCGUGAGUAAAUAGGUAUGGUCGUCUCUCUUUAUCACACCGGCUGCUUUGAAAAUGUGGAUGGGCAGAGUUCUUCUCUACCGGUUGGCAAGGAUUUGUGAUAAAAACACGUCUGCAUCGGAGUAGGAGAUUUCUUACGUGUUUGAGCUCAUGGAUGGUGAUGAUAUGGUGGAACUUGAAAAUAUUCAGAGAAUCUUAUGCCUUGUCAAAAUAUGAGUCACUUUUAUGCCUUGUUCUCCAUAAACUCCGGAGUGCUCAUCAUCAUGAGAAUUUGGAGGGGGUGGCUCGCGUAACUCUCUUUCCGUCGUUCUCUUCAAAUUCUAGAAUAGUUUCUAAGAAGCUCUUGUUUUGAUCUUGAUUGAUUAUGUAAUGAUGUGGGGAUACUAUUAACUUCUGACCUAUGCUAAAUUUUUUCAUGGCAAGUCAAAUUAAUGAAGUGUACAUAAACUGUCACUGAAGUUGUCGCUUUUCAGGUACAGGGAGGACCAAACAGUUAGCAGAUUAAGCCAUCCUGAGCUGGUUUUCUUAGGUCCAAUGCACCCAAGGGCUCUCACUACUCUUGAAUUGGCCGGCAAAUAUUCUGACGGAGCAUUCUUUUUCAAGGUGGUGAUGAGGCCAUCUCAUGUUAAGUAUGGCUUGGUAUGAUCCCAAGCUUAUUUACUCAAACUGGCAUGUCUGGAAAUCAAAUAUAUUGAUGCUGUUUAUAUCUUUGCUUAUACUCUAGUGUAUUUCCAAGUUUACUGCAUUGUGUAGUAAACCACAUUAUAUGUUAUUUUCCUUGAAGUGUUCAUGGAUAUAUGCUUAAAACCAGGUAUAUAUUUUAACAAUGGAACAUAAGCUGGUGGUUGGUGGUUCGAAAAGAUAACAAUCAUCUCCUUUUUUUGGUGGAUAGAUGCGUUGGAAAAGCAAUUGCUGAGGCAAGUCUUGAGAAUUAGAAUCCAAGUCCUCUUAUAUGGAGAAAUUCAACAAUGUUAUUCAAUGUUGUAGAGGUAGAAUAUAUAUGCAAAUCGCACUAGGAGACUGUUAAAAUGGACAAGCAAAUUGCAAAAAAUGUUGCUGCCUCCAUAACUAAAGAGAAAGACCUAAAAGAUAAGGGGGUGACUUGUUAUGAUUUUGAAAUUUCAUUCUAGAUCUAAUGACUGAUAAUUUUGUUGUCAAAUUGGAGAUACUGUUGUCUUUUGUUAUGUUAAUCAGAUUUGGGGGGAAAAAGAUGAUUUUACUUUGUCAAAUUGAACCAAUAGAUUGAUAAAACCUUUUUGGAGCUGUGCUUGAAAGAAUCAAACAGCUUAAAAAUUUUCAAUUUCAUCCAUGUUCCAGUCAUCAGUGUGAUUACUUUUUCCCCUGUGAUUGUGGUCUAUGUGGCUGAAAUUCAUAUGUUUUAAAUAUUUAAUAGGACCUGGAAAGCUUCUUCCAAAUGUGUACCCUAUUGCAUUCCAGGAGCAUAGAUUUGACCAUGACUUUGAAUUGAUGACUUUUUUGUUAUAUGGUUUACUGUCUGUUAAACUCCUGAAACUAGCAAGUUAUGCUUAAAACUCACACUGUGUACAAUUUGAUUCUCUCAUUAGGGUUUGCUUAUGUCUUGGUCUGUUCUUCACCAUAUGUUGGUUUUUUCCACCAUGUAGAUGGGUAGUUUGCUCCUGUUCAAUUCAUCACGUAACGUGUUCAGGAAAUUAAGCAAAUUUUGACUAUAAGGUAUUCGGACAGGUCAUGGAUGGUGAAACUAGGGAGUUGAGGACGAGAUUUUUUUUGGGGGGGGUUGCCCACUUUUGACAAGAGAAAGUCAUCUGCAUGUAGAAACUCAUUGAUAGGGAUGAUUUUGUAUUCAGAGUCUACAUAUUCACUAGUGCUGGUUAGGACUUGAUUUACAUUGAUUGAGAUGAACUCUGGAAGCGUCACUUUCGCUAGUCCAAAAUGAAUUAAGUAUUCCAAAUAAUAACUCCUUUAUAUAGUCUUGAGGAAUCAAGGAAGUGUACAUCUAUGCUGAUUGGGUUUUAUGAGGUUGAUCAUAAUCCAGAUGCACAUUCAUUGAUGCCACAUUCCUAAUCUGAAUGAACUGAACAGUAUGUGCUUCAACAUGUCCUUUUUGGUUUAUGCAUUCUUGUUAUGUUGUUCUUCAUUUUGAAUUUGAAAUCAAGUCUCAUAGGCUUGUUAAGAUUAUGGGUUUUAUUUUACCUACAGGGAAUACCAAAGAGGUUCAAGAAAAUGCUUUUAAGAGAAUGGUGCAAUUAUUUGGCUUGUGGAAUUGGAAAAAUGUGAUGAGAUGAUUUGGCUAGCAAAGGGUUGGAAUGAAUUAGCGGAGCAUCACUCUAUCUUUGAGGGUCAAUUUUUGAUCUUCUAAUCUGAAGGGACUCAAUUUUCCAUGUCACCAUAAUUGAUGAAAGGAUGUCCGAGAUAGAAUAUCCGCCAAUCAAUGUCGAUGUGAGGAACUGAGCCUCAGCAAUUGGAGAAUUGCCUUGCUGAAAGUGGAAGGUGCUUUUGAUUGCCGUGAUGUUUCAGUCGAGCUUGAAGUUUGGGGGGAUGAAUUGCAUUCAGCCAAGUGUCCUCGGUUUUGUAUGGAAAAGAAAUUUAAUUAGGUUUGCGAAGUUCUUGGCAGCUCUUAUGCACAUUCAUAAGCAAAGUUUGCAGAGGCAUAGAAGUUUGAACUGCUCAUCACAAGAUUUUCAAGGUGUGAAUCUUAAUAUAGUAGCUAAUUCUCCCCUUGACUAUGUUGUUCUUGUGUUUGAUUCGAAUUCUGUACAGGAACUCUCCAUGUUGUUAGGCUAAGAGAAACUGUGUUAGAGUUAAUUCAUUCCUGUGAUGUUUCUCUAUAGUUCUCCCACGUGGAGUAAAUUCAUUCUUGUGAUGUUUCUCUAUAGUUCUCCUGCGUGAACAUAUGUAUGUGUUGGGAGAUCUAAAAAAUAAUGGAAAGCCAAGCUGGUCAUAUCAGAUUUGAUUGUGCUGAGAAUUGUAUUGGCGUACAUAUAGGCCUCAAGAAGCUAGACCAUUAUUAAGACUUAGAUCUAUUGAUUUAGCGUUGCUAUGUCGGUAGAUAUGAGUUUUACAUUACAAGAACAGAAUACGCCUAAAAAGCUAAAGCUUUAUUCAUGUUCUGUUUGCAACUCCUGCGGGAAAGCUGAGAGAGCCGGGCUUGUGAAGAGCUUGAGCCAGCCAACAAAUUUAUACUCGAUUAUCCUUUCUUCCAUAUUGCAGUGAGGUGAACAUAUCUGAAGAAAAGCAAUAUAGUAAGAUCCUCAUGACAAUGACAACUCUUGGAUUUAAAUCAGAGAGUCGCUAGACUAUGUUAGCUCUAACUAUUUAAUCAUGUGGCAACAAAUUUUUUUUUUUAUCCUUUACAUGGUUUAAAAAAAAAAUCCUCAUACUGUCUUCCUAAGAUUUCAUUGUUUGUUUUCUCCUCUCUAAUGACAAAAUUGCGAAACGUCUACUUAUACAGAGAGUUAUCGGUUCAUUCCCGAAGAAGCACAUUAAGAAAAGCCCGCACACCGUGGCUCUCAUAUUUCCACACAAAGCACGGCUGUUGAAGCUCAUCAGCCAUGAAAAUUAUGGAAAGUCAUCUGCUGGUUGGGCCGCAUUCACGAGAGAAACUUCUUUGAAGGUAAAAGACGUGUGUGUGUUUGAGCUUUAUUGAAAGGGACGAUAUCAUGUUCAGAGUAUGCAUCUUCAGAACCACUUAAAAGACUUGGCCAAUUAAUAUAUCCAUAUACUAUACAGCAGAGUUGCUAGGCUGAAUUCGGCAAAAUGGAUGAAGGCAUGAGUAUUGUUCCAAUGAAUGGAAUGGUCUUGAAUGUGUUCGAUACCUUUCCUUAAUCCUAGACUUAAUAAUCACCAUGUGGGCAGGAGUCGUAAGUUGAAGAGAGCUGAUAACUAAUGUCGAUUCUGUAACUUCCAUCUCAAGAGACAAUCUCUCAAAUUAGGUGCUUCUUUAAGGUUUCUGGUGACUUAACCUGGCCUUUAGAAUUGUAAAGGGUAGUAACAUAGAAUACACUUCCCUUAAGCCAGCGCAACCAUGAUGUACAAGCUCCUGUGAACUUACAUCAGAUUAUUUUCAUUGUCUCUUUUCAAUUUUUUAAAGAUUUUGUGAUGAGUCUUCUCACAUGUGGGCGCAAAUUGAAGUUUUUUAGUUUCUUCCCAUGCGAAGAGCAUUUGCAAUUUAUUUUGUCAAAUUAACUAAAUUGUGAUACGCAUGGCAAAGCAAUUUCCAAUCUAUGUUACAUCUUUUCAUUGGUUAGUAAAUUAAGGAAAUUUUUACACCAAUGUCUACUAAAUUGCUCAUUGUUCAACUGUGGAAAGAAGAAUUUCUAGUCACCCACGUUAUUACCCUCGGCCAUGCCGCCAAAUGAUAUGAUAUCAUAGUAUAGAUAAAGAAAGUCCCCCAGCUUGGAAGGAGUAGCUUUAUUAUUUCUAUUUAUAUAGAAAUGGCAAGUAGUCCAUAUGCUGAUUCAGCCAUUCUGAGUUGGUUUUUCAUGGUCCUACACUUCCAGACCUCUCAUUACUCCUAAAUUAGCCCGCAAAUUCGAUUUAUAACUAUCCUUUUUCAAAAUGGUGAUUCUGCAACUUAUACGAGUAGUCCGAUAAGAUCUUGGGCUUAAUUAGGCACCGGUAUACCUAGAGCUCAGUUAUCAUUGCUAGCAUCGACGAUACCACAACUGUUUUAGCAGUCGAUGUCUACUUGUUGGAGAUUUUUGUUUUCCAUUUAUACAGUGUCUAUUGUUGAAGCCAAUAGCAUCCUAGAACAAUACUCAUUAAUAACAUGUAUUAAAAAAAUGAUGUUAGCUAUUAAUUUCUUUCAUCCUCAAGCACUUUCAAACAGAUAAAUUUAUCCUUGGAUUUCUUCGACUUCAAAUCAUUACCUUCUUGCUCUUUGCCCUAUUUUAUCUUUGCAUUUCUCAUUUCAGUUAUAUAAUUUCAUAGCUCGAUCGUUCAAACAUGUAAAUGUGCAGAGUAUUCUGGAUGGAUUCAUUAAGCAACAUAUUCAGGAGAAGCAAAGAGCAACUCUUAGGCAUUCCAACAAUGAAGUUCAUCGGGAGCCAUAGACUCAUAAGAGGGGCCAUGUCUGUGUCCUUUUCUUCUGGUUGAUGUGCAUUUCGGAGAGAAACUCAUAUGCGUGUAGGAAAUGUCGGCAUGAAUGAAUGAACAAAGAUAAUCACCUGAAGGCCUGCAUUCUUUGCAGCAAUAGCUUCUCAAUAUCAUGUGCUUAUCACAACUCGUGACUCAGUACCUACACGUAACUAUGUGUUUUUUCUUCCCCACAUUUAGUGUCGAAAAUCCAUGAAGACACUACCUCAGAUCUCCAUGAUUUGUAUUUCCAGAGUCUUUAUGCUAAUCUGCCGUCAUAAGAUACAUGUAUACAAAAACAAAUGCAGCAAAUGGCCUCUCAUCAACGAAGAAGUUGCCUAGGAGUGAGCUUUUGGGGCUCACCAAUUUCAUACCCCGCAUUGUGACAGAAUGAAACAACACAUAAUAUUGACACUAAUAACCAUGAACCAAAGCAGACCCAAAACAAAUUAAUUCAACCCCUAGAACAGCAGAGCAGGUAAUUAACAAAUAGAAUUCGAUGAGACUGAAUCAUCGACUAGUUACCCUCGUUACCAGAUGGAACAACAAUUUAGAGAACAGCAGUUAAGCUAUGCAACAAUAGGUCACCCAUCAGAGUUUAUGAGGGCAAAGAGACAUCGAAUGGCAAAAGCAAUUACUACUUGGGAACAGGACAAACAUGUCCAGAAUUUGUGAAUGGUUGCUUACCCUUUCAAACAAAAGGAGACAUGAAACUUUCUGAGGCUAAAACCAAAAAUUACAAGCUGAGUUAAGUAGAGUAAUUACAAUGGUCCCAUCCUGUUAUAAUGGGCACAUGUACCGUGUAUUUUUCUGUGCUUAUGUUGAUUCCAUCAUAAUAUUAAUAUCAACUGAAAAGGAGACUUUGAGUAAACACCAAUUAAAUUUGCAACCACGCAAAAAAUUCACUCCUUGACAACAACGCAUUCAAAUAAUGCAACUAAACACACUGCAUUAAUAAAUUAGUGACCGCCAAUCUGGAAAAACCAGAGGAUGAGGAAGCACUUUGUUGGAGGGACAAACCAGAAAUGUUACACCGUUCAUGAGCAACUCUCAUUUCGCACGCCAUGAGCCAUUCUCGAGUCCGAUAGAUCCUGAGGGUGACAAGUGAUCUAACGAGGUGGGAUCCGGAAAACCUUCCUCCAGGUGGGAUGGCCAUUGUCUUCACGAGGCUUGGGAAUGAUGGGCACUGACUCCUGCUGCAGCUCCUCUCGAAACUAUAGGGACUGAUGUAUUGCCAGCCGACAUGUAGUUCAUAUUUGCAGCAGAAUUUAUAACGUAGUCAAUCGCCUGCAUAGCGGAAUUGAAUUUCAUAAACUCCACAAUAGGCCUGAGAACCUAGAAAGCAGCACCGACUUCAACUCCAGCGAAACCAACCUCUGUGAUUGCAGUAUCAACAACCCUCUCAGGUCCAUGCUUCUGCCCAAAAAAAAAAAAAAAAAAAAAAACCUCGUUAUUCUCCGACCACCUCACCCAUUAGAAAGACUCUUAGGAUCUGCAGAUAUUUCAUCGUCAAAUGCAGUAUUCAGAGCCUCUCUCACAGUCUCCCUUUCGCUGCGGUGGCAUAACUAUGUUACGGCGUUUCUGCAUCACAACUUUUCCGCAGCCUUUUUCUCAACAUCACAGCAUCGAAGCCUUUGGCAGUGGCUUUUCCUAUUAGAAUCAACAACAUCAUGCCCUCUCGAACUCGAACUUGGUCCCACCGUCAGAUAAAGCUCACUAAUUCUAUCUCUCUCUCUCGAACGGGUAUCCUUAGAAACAGAGUCCAGCUUGGUCAUUCCAUCAAGCACCUUCCUUGCAAACUCGACUGGAUUUUUCUCCGACCAAUCUUUUUUUUUUCGCAUCUCUCUCUGGCUCUGGAUUCCCCUGAUUCAUCUCCAGCAAUUCAGAUAAUCCCCACAGUAAACCUCACCAUUAGAUUCCACAUUCGAGUUGCGGCCACUCUGAUUCAAGUCCUUGCUUUCCUGUCCUUGCCCAUGUCUGGACCAGAUCUAUCUGUUGCCGGGCCAUCUCGGGCUUACGCAGCCAUUGCCGCUGAACCAUCAUCAGGACCAUUCCAUGUCUGAUUGAACUUCCGAGUCAAAUUCCAAUUCACUCCAGAAUACGUCCCGUCGACUCUUGCUUCGUUCUGCUCGCUCCCACUUCAUUGCCGCCUUUCGGAAUUCCAUUAUUCCGCCCAUCUAUGCCGCGCGGAAAGGGGGACGCGGGGUGGUGUUCGCUGUUUACAAGAGCCUUUUAUCCGAUUGCCAAGGCUGAGGUCGGAUGGAUCAUCAUCAUCAUCAUCAUCAUCUGGAUAGGAUCCGCCGAUUCGAAGGAUGAGAUUCUUUGGGUUUCGCUCUCGGCACCUCCACCGGUCCGGCGUCGCUCCUUCAACCGAAGCAGCCGAGGCCAAUCUGAGUCUGUCGUCAUCCGAGACGAUAUGCCGAGCGUGAAGAUUGGCAGCGGCGAGCACGAAGAGAAAAACAACGGAGAAUAAAAAGAAAAAAAAAAAAAGAGGCGGGAAGCGAAGGUAGGGGGUGGGAUGGAGAUGAUUUGGAUUUUGUGUGGGAAAAAGGGGCAAACGGGUGAAGCCAGUGGUUGUUCUUGGGAUGAAAAGGGAAUUGAAUUUGAAAUAAAAGAGAAUAAAAAGGAAAAAUGGACCCACCGUCGUUUCCGAAAAAAGCCGGCAAAAAAACUCCAAAUUAUAUUUAUUUUUGUUGCAUUUAUUUUUCUUUUUGUUACGCAAAAGCUCAAAAUGAUGUAUAUGGCAUAUUUACUCUAGUUCUUAUGACGUCAAAAAUCCUUAAUUUGUAAUUAUAUGAUAUAUUUAUCUUAUGUCAAGAUUUCGUCUUAUGAAUUUUAUAUUUUUAUUUUUUUGGUCGAAGUUGUUCUUAUUUCAUUUGACGUCAACACCGUUUACAUUUCUUCGUUCAUUUAGGUGGUUUUUUUUUUUAACGAUACUCAUUAACGGAGGAUAAAUGUAUUAUAUAAAUAUAGUUUGGAAUCUUGGUGGCAAAAUUUUUUUUUUAUUAAGAUGGAUGUGUCGCAGUGAGCAUAUUUUAGGAUUUUUAGUGGUUUUCCGCCUCUUUUUUUUCUCAACUUCAUCAAUAAUCAAUCACAACAAAAACGAGAAUGCAUCGAUCUCUCUCUGCUUGUCCCCUAUCGGUCAUUGCCGAGCUUCCAUCACCCCGUCCCUCCUACAUGUCCUUGGAGGUGAUUAUGUCGGUUGUUCUUGUCCCCUUUAUUGUUAGGAAGACACUUUUGAUUGUUUGUAUAAUGAAUUUGCAGCUUAAAAUUCGCUUUCAUAAAUUAUAAGAGUAUGCUUCAUGUGACUUGUUCUAGCUUGAAUGAAUAGUAUUUUAAUAUCACUUGUAAAAGGAAAAUUCCACUUUUCUUUCUCGUAAUUUCAAUUCCGAAGAAAUAUAUUUAAUUUCCACAGGUUUACUGGCUUGAGAUUUCUAUUUAAAUUUCCUAUUAUUGGAAAAUUAACCCAUUGUCAUUUCCGAUUAAUGGCGUAGGACGACUAAUGGCGUCAGAAAUGAUGGGAUUCUGAUUUUAAGUGAUCUUCGGCUGGGAAUGGGUUGUGGCCUUAUUAGCAAAUAGGGUGGGCUAGAGGAACUCCAGCCAACCAAGCUUGAUGCACUUACGACGAAAUUUCAUCUAGGGAAAGCUAAGUGAGUUGGGCCACGAACCAGAAGAGGCCCCCUUUUUUAACACCCAUCAUUUUCUAAGAGUUCUUAUUUUUUAAUUAGUUUAUCAUUUACUUUUUUAUCCAUUCUUUUUAACUGCCUUUUGUUUUUUUUUGCUAUUUUCCAUUUUUGUAAUUUUACAAGGACGGACUCUUGAAUUGUUGAUAAAAAUUCGUAGACAACAUAUGUGAUAACACUAAAGUUAAAGCCAUGGAAAACUCAGUGCUAUUGUAAAUUAGUUGUUUAACAAAUGUAUUAUGCAUUGAUUAACACAUUCCUUGUAAAUAUUUUCCACAAAACCAAAAAUAAUAAUAAGGAUAAAAAGAAAAAGCCCUUCCGCUCCUUAAAAUUAGUCAAAUUUAAUAGUAUAGAAAUCAAAAUUACAUUCUAUAUUGGCAUUACCGAAAUUUUUUUGUUAAAUUGUUACUCCCCCAUCUUCUUGCAAACUCAUCUUUAGCUCUGAUACCACGAAGUAGUUUGACACUAAAUAGUAACUAACGUAUGAAACUCCUUAAACAUUAAUGGUUAGAUUACUUACUUCCACGAAAACUAGGACAAAAAUUGGGCAUGGGGAUGAGAGAGAGUGCGUAGUGAAAGCUUGUUUAAGUGGAGUCUGAUCAUUAUUUUCCUCUUUAGUUGCAGUAAAACUUAGCACUCGUGGACAUAUAUUAAGAUCAGUUAGUGCAGAAGCCAACUCAAUGAUCGCCAAGUUAAACUAGAAAGUGCUUAACCAAAAAUUGAAAGGCAAAAGCAUCACAUGAUUCAUUCUAAAGCAAGCUCCAAAAGUGAUUGCAUCUCUUAAUAUUUCUAAAUAUAUAGAAUUUACAUAUUGAGAAAUGAUGAUGAAAAUGUUGUAGCUAGAAGCCCAAAACAAGGCAAUGAGAUACAAGCUGGUCAAAAGCCAUAACUAUAAAUCCUACUAGAUUUCAUUUCCACUAUGGAUACAAUAUAUUCCUUGGUGGGUAGCAUAAUAAUUCAAGAGUGACAGAUUAUGCAUCGAAUCGAAUAAAAUAAUCCAACCCUAGACAUAAGACUAGGAAGCACUAUGGUUCGCUUGUGAAGCCACCGGAACGAGCUACAAAACAAUUCUCAUUCAACUGAUCCGAUCUAAUACUUUGGUUUUGCAGCAAUCCUAAUGUCGAAUCUUGCGGCAACAUCAUCACCAUUGAAUCUAGCAUCAAUCGAAAGUGAAUCGAAAAAUGUCAAAUUCCAAGACCUCAAUGUUGCAUCAAAAGCGACUUAUGAAAAUUGAUGGGAAGAAAAGAAGGGGGGAGGAGCCAUGUGGUGAAAAGAGGAGGAACGGCCUACUGUUGGGACUACGGUGGCAUUGCCGAAGUGGCCCCCAAUCCUCGGAUACAUCAUAGAUCGGACUUACCAACAGCGGUGAUAGUGGUGUCGAGGGCAGUAGCAAUGACCUUGGUGUGGGAGGGAGGAGAGGAAAAAAUGGAGGGGCUUCCAAGUAGUGUGACCGGAGGGACCAGAAAAUGUGAAAUCAAAAGGGAAAACCUAAUCCCAAUUGAUUUGAGAAUUUCAGUUGCACCUAUGUAUUGUCUUACCUUCCAGUCUAAUACAUGAAUACUACCAAAAUUAUAAAUUUUGGACAAAAUUUCCCUUAUUUAAGUCGUCGGAAAACAUCAGUUGGUGGCUAGCACAUAAGCUUAGACCCUAAUUUGAGGCUAGUUUGGCCAUUUUAUGUGUGAUGACCCAAACCCGGGGCAGUAUGGAGAGAUGGACUGAGAUCGCCUUAGCAGUACACGAGUGAGGUCAAGGACAUGUCUCCAGUCCCACAUCACUUAUGGGAGAGUCUUAGGCUAGUUUAUAAAGGCUUGGGUCCCUUUAAUCUGUAUAACGCGUUUUAAAGCCGUGAGGACUCAGUGUCCAAAGCGAACAAUAUUAUACGGUGGGGCUCGGGUCAUUACAAAUGGUAUCAGAGCCGACUCCCAACUCCGUGUGGGGGCCACAGCAAGGACGUUGUGCCUUAAGGGGGGGAUAAUGUGACGACCCAGGCCUAAGGCAGUACGGAGAGAUGGACUGAGAUCGCCUUGGCAGUACGUGAGUGGGGCCAAGGGCAUGUCUCCUGUCCCACAUUGCUUAGGGGGGGGGAGUCCUAGGCUAGUUUAUAAAGGCUUGACCCUUUAAUCUGUAUAACGUGUUUUAAAGCCGUGAGGACUCAAUGUCCAAAGCGGACAAUGUUAUACAAUGGGGCUCGGAUCGUUACAUUAUAGAGCAAAAUUGACACUUUUCUUUUUCUCCAUAAAGGAAGCUUGCUAGAUGAAAAUGGAGAAGUUAGACCUGAAAGAUUUGCAGGAAGACUUCUCAGCAACUUUGACUUAGUAAAACUUUUGGACUAUUAUUACAAGAAAAUUUAUCGGAUGAUGAUUAUUGUAUCUUUUGUUAUUUCAAUUUUGAAGAGCUUGAAUGCUUUAGGAUCUUAUUUCUCUUGAAGUCUUCUUCUUUACAGGCAUAAUUGUCUGCAAAGAGCAUUCAUACGACACGCAUGGCAAAGCAAACAUCUAUUAAUGGUUAGUCAAUCAAACAAUUUUUUUACACCAACAUCUACUAAGGCUUCGUCCAUUUCGUAAAAAAUAUUACGUUUUUGGAAAAUAUUUUCUAGGAAAUCAUUUUCUAAGAAAAUGAUAAUAUUUUUCAGUGUUUGCUUGAAACUCAAAAAUGAAUUAGAAAAUAUUUUCCACCGUUUGGUUUGGAAAAUUCAAUUUGAUUUCCCUUUGUGCACUCAUUUUAACAAAUUUUUUAUCUUUUAAAAAAUCAAAUUUUCAAUUUUUUUCUUCUUACAUCUUAUUAUAUUUUUUCCUUGUAUUUUUCUUUUCUUUUCCUCCUCCUUCUUCUUUAGUUGAUCAUCAUGGUCACAGUGACAGCCGAAAAGCUUGAGGCCUUGAGCCUCACCAGAUCGACAAGCCGACGAGCCAAAGGCUCACACUCACUAACUUGGAGAGGCUUGAGCUCAAGGCCUUAGGCCUUGCUAGAUCGGUGAGCGAACUUGCUGCUCAGCAAAGGCUUGCUUGAUUGGUGAGCGAUGAGCAUAGCUUGCCAAUCUGGCGAGCCCUAAGCUCGCCUAUGGUUGGUUGCCGACAACCGGCCUAGACACAAGGAAAAAAAUAAAAAUAAAAAUUCAAUUUAAAAAAUAAAAAAAUAAAAAAAGAAAGAAAGGAAGGAUAAUGAGGGUAUGAGAUAAGAGAGAACAAGUGAGGAAAAUAUUUUCCUAAACUUAAAAAGUGAAAAACAUUUUCCUCUAUUUUAAAAGACUUUUUUUCAUUGAUAAAAAUAUUUUCACCGUCUAGUUCAUUCUUAUGAAACGAACGCUAAAAAAUUUGGAAAAUAUUUUUCUGAAAGUUAUUUUUCGUGAAAUGAACUAAGCUUAAAUUUCCACUGUGGAAAUUGGAUUUCUAGUCACCCCCGUUGCCCUCGACCAUGCUGCCAAAUGAUAUGAUAUCACAAGAAAGUCCUCCAACGUGGAAGGAGCAGCUUUACUAUUUCUAUUAUUAUAGAAAUGUGAAGUAGUCUCUCUGUAGAUUGAGCCACUCUGAGUGGGUUUUUCAUGGUCUUUCACUUCCAAGACCUCUCAUUACUUUUUCAAAAUGGUGAUACCGCAUCUUAUAUGAAUUGUCUGGUAAGAUCUUGAGCUUCAAUCAUCACCGAUGUACCUAGCGCUCAAUUAUGGUUGCACUUACAAUACCAUGACCGCUUUAGUUUUUGAUGUGCAUUUGUUGGAGAUUAUACUUCAUCUAUAUUGUGUUCAUAUAUAAUCCAAUAGAAUACUAAAAUGAUACUCAUUAUUAAAUGUAUUAGAAAAUGAUGUUAGCUAUUAAUUUCUUUCAUCCUCAAGCACUUUAAAACAGAUAAAUUUAUCCUUGGAUUUCUUCAACUUCAAAUCAUUACCGUCUUGCUCUUUGCCCUCCAAUUUUAUCUUUGGAUUUCUCAUUUCACUUAUAUAAUUUCAUAGCUCGAUCAUUCAAACAUGUAAAUGUGCAGAGUAUUUCAGAUGGAUUCAUUAAGCAACAUAUUCAAGAGAAGCAAAAAGUAACUAUGUGCUUAUCACUACUUGUGACUCGGUGCCUCCAUGUAACUAUGUCCUUUUUCUUCUCCACAUUUAGUGUUGAAAAUCCACAAAGACACUACCUUAGAUCUCCAUGAUUUGUAUUUCCAGAGUCCCUAUGCUAAUCUGCCAUCAUAAGAUACAUGUAUACAAAAACAAAUGCAGCAAAUGGCCUAUCAUCUACAAAGAAGUUGCCUAGGAGUGAGAUUUUGGAGCUCACCAAUUUCCUACCCCCUCGUUAGAACAGAAUGAACAGCACAUAAUAUUGAUAUUAAUAACCAUGAAGCAAAGGAGACCCAAGAUAAUUAAUUCAACCCCUAGAACAGUAGAGAAUGUGGUUAACAAAUCAAAUUUGACAAGAUGAAUCAUCGACUAAUUACACUCGUUACCAAAUGGGACAAUUUAGAGAAUAGCGUUUAAGCUAUGCAAUGAUAGGUCAUCCAUCAAAGUUUAUGAGGGCAAAGAGUCAUUAAAUAGCAAAGUUAUUACUACAUCGGAACAAGAGAGGCUUGUCCAAAAUUUGCGAAUGAUUGCUUACCCUUUCAAAUAAGAAGGUACGAAGAGGACAGAGGAGACGUGAAGCUUUUUGAGGCUAAUACCAAAUAUUACAAGCCGAUGAAAUUAGUGUAACAACAAUCGUCCCAUCCUGCACCAACGUUAUUAUAUUGAGCAUGUGUCAUUGAAUUAUCUCAUUUUUAUGUGCUCAUGUUGAUACCAUCAUAAGAUCAAAGUGAAAAGAAGUUUGAAUGCAUUAUCGUCAUGGAGUGGAUAGUUUGCGUGGAAAUUUACUCAAAGCAACGUAAAUAACACAUUGCAUUAAGAAAUUAGUGACUGCCAAUCUGAAAAAAGCAGAGGAUGAGGAAGCACUUUGGUUGGAGGAACUUACUAGUGAUGUUAUACAGUUCAUUUCGCCAACUCUCAUUUCCCAUGCCACGAACGAUUCUCGUGUCUGAUAGAUCCUGAGGGUGAUGAGUGAUCUAACGAGGCCAGAUCCUGUAAAGAUUCCCCCAGGUUGGAUGGCGACAUCUUCACUCAGCCUGAGAGUGAUGGGUGGCAACUCCUCUUGUAGCUUCUUUUGAAACUAUAGGGAUGACAUAUCGCCCGCUAACAUGAGUCCAUCUUUGCAGGAGAAUUUGUAAAGUAGUCAAACAACUGCACAAUGAAGUACACUCCACGACAAGCAUGAGACCAUAGAAAGCAAUGUUAAUUUCAACUCCACAAUAGGCCUAAGACUAUAGAAUUGAGGACUUGAUUACACUAAUUAAUCAGAUGGUGCCAUUUUGGUGUCUAAUGUUGUUCAUUUUACAAAAAGAUAUUUAUCAAGCAAUUUGAAUUGAUUUUAGAUCUAUCCCUAAUAUGUGAUUAUGAGGGUGCGCAAUUAUUAUAAUUGCAACUAGCAACCAAGGACAUCGAAUAAAUUGCAUGACAAAAUGAGCAUUUAACACUAAUAGAUAAGAAAGAUAUCAUUCCUAACUAGUCUAGGCGUAAACGACAAUAUAUAUUGAAAAGUGCGUAAUCAAGUGAUAAUUCUUGUCAAAAAAGAAAACAUUGAAAUCCUAUGGCAAAGCCCAAAGACUUUGUUUAAAUAUUGAGCAUGAUUUUUUUAUCAAUGAUUUUCCACAAUUUUAAGAGAAGACUUCCCAAAAGACUAUUUUAAAGCUUUUUUCAAGGAAUUCUAUUUUUCAAAAGCUUUUUCUAAUUUUUCAGAAAAUUUAAAAUUUUUAAUUCUUCUAAUUUAUAACUUUUUUUAUAUUUUCGAAUCUUUAAUAAAACUAAUUUUUAUUCUAAAAUGGGGACUCUGGCUGGGCCCCCAAGGCCCUGUCAAAAGCAGGCUGCCGUCUGAUACCUCGUGGGUUUGGCAAACCAGGCUUUCAACAAGCUCAAUUUCAAACUAAUCUAAGCCCACCUUUUGAAAUAAUUAUACGGGAGAAUUACCAAAAAAGUCCUAAACCUAUUGUAAUUGUGCCAAUUCAGUCCUAAACUUUUUUUUUUAGCCAAUUUAGUCCUAAACCUUUUACAGCUGUGUCAAUUCAGUCCAUCCGGCCAAAAUUGGCCGGCCGGCGCUGACGUGGCAUUUUUAAAUAUUUUUUUUUAUUUUUUUUCGAAUUUUUAAUAUUUUUUUGGAAUUUUUUAAUUCUUUUUUUUCUUUUUUUUUUCCAUAAUCUUCUUCACCUCUCCGGCCGGCCGGCGCCGGCCGGAGGCGAGGGCCGGCGAGGCUCGCCCCCCGCCGGCCGGAGGCAAGGGCCGGCGAGGGCGAGGCCCCGCCAAAUCUGGCGAGGUCAGCCUCGCCAGCCAAUGGCGAGGCUCGCCCCCCGCCGGCCGGAGGCAAGGGCCGGCGAGGGCGAGGCCCCGCCAGAUCUGGCGAGCUCAGCCUCGCCGGUCGUUGGCGAGGGCGAGGCCCCGCCAGAUCUGGCGAGCUCAGCCUCGCCGGCCACUGGCGAGGGCAAGGCCCCACCAGAUCCGGCGAGCUCGGCCCUCGCCAAGGCUGGGGCGAAUACGGGGAGGGAGAGAGAGACCUGGAAGAGAAUAAGCGGCGGAUCGGGGGAGGCGGUCGACACUGCGGGGAGAGGGAAUCGGGGGGAGGCGAACCGACUUGAGGAGACGACCGGACGAAACUCGCGCUCCGCGACGAAGAAGACGAGUCCCUCCGCCGAAUUCCCCCCGAUUCGCCCCACCAGAACGAACGGCUCGGCUUGAUUCCGACCGCCGCGAAGCUCUUAGAUUCCGUCAGCCGAACCUCCGCGUCAAUGGCGGCGUCCGCUUGCAACCGAGCGAUGCAGCGAGCUUCGACGUCCCUCGGACCGGCCCUCAAAUCGGGCGUCCGAUCGUCUCCUCAGCUCGGCUUCGCCUCCCCCCGAUUCCCUCUCCCCGCCCGGUCGACCGCCUCCCCGCCUCCGCCCCAGCCUUGGCGAGGGCCGAGCUCGCCGAAUCUGGCGAGGCCUCACCCUCGCCAGCGGCCGGCGAGGCUGACCUCGCCAGAUCUGGCGGGGCCUCGCCCUCGCCAGCCCUUGCCUCCGGCCGGCGGGGGCGAGCCUCGCCAUUGGCCGGCAAGGCUGACCUCGCCGGCCCUCGCCUCCGGCCGGCGCCGGCCGGCCAGGAGGCGAAGAAGAUGAUGGAAAAAAUAAAAAAGAAAAAAAAAGAAUUAAAAAAUUCCAAAAAAAAAUUAAAAAUUCGAAAAAAAAUUUAAAAAAAAUUUAAAAAUGUCACGUCAGCGUUCGCCGGUCCACGUCAGCGCCGGCCGGCCAAUUUUGGCCGGAUGGACUGAAUUGACACAACUGUAAAAGGUUUAGGACUAAAUUGGCCAAAAAAAAAAGUUUAGGACUGAAUUGGCACAAUUGCAAUAGGUUUAGGACUUUUUUGGUAAUUCUCCCAUAAUUAUACUAAGCCCUUCGACUAAAUACCAAAACCAGCCCACAUUUGCCAAGCUUCAACUUGAGUCCAACGCCCACUAAUCCCAUCGCCUAAUAGGUCAGCCCAAAAUCUCUGAUUUCACUUCCUCAUUCAUUCUGCCCUCCACGCCCCUCUCCACUGUUCCUCUCUCUUACGUUGUUCAUGUCCUCAUCUUCCGGCUCGAAGACGGCGACAAGCGGGCAAGCUUGUGACAAAUCGGGCUAUAUGGUAUGCUGCCUUGGUAUCUUCGAGCCACAAUCCUCGGGCAAGGGAGGAUUGAACCGAAAAAGAAACUCAUUGGCGACACAGAGAUUUGGGAGCGAAAGACGGUGUGCUCGAGCGCAUCAACCAGAGGUUGUCGGAGAGGGUUCGAGUGCGGCAGAGCUUCUGGAGAACUCCUUCUCGCUGUCGAGUUUCACUCUCCUCCUCAACUCUCGCUCGGAUCUCCCACUGUUCUCCGAACCUUCCUCGUUCGAUUCUUCCGGCCGUGUGAGAGAGGAGCGCACUUGACUAGCCCCACCUCCAGUCCUUCACCACCGCGACGUCACCUCCUCCACCACCGGAACGCUACCACCACCAAAGAUGUCGAGAGCACAGUCGGUUCUCUCUCUCUCUCUCUCUCUCUCUCUCUCUCUCUCUCUCUCUCUCUCUCUCUCUCUCUCCAAGAACCAGCCUCCCUCUAGCUCACCCUCUCUCAAGCUCGUCUCCUUCUUGAGCAAUGCUCGCCGUCUAUGGUUUUCAGCCAAACCCCUCAAGAAACAGCCCUCGCCCUUUCUCUCCAUCUGUUUUCAGCCGAUCAAGAAGCCCUCUCAAGCUCACUCCCUCUUUCUCUCCUGAUCUCACUCACCGGAUCUCUCUCUGUCUCUUCUCUCCUCUCCCCCGAUUCUCUCCCGAGCUCGAGGAAAUAUCUAGUGGUUUGCUCUCACCACGUCAUCAACUAAUGUGGCGAGCAUUGUUUUGCUUCCAUCCAAUUACAGCUUGGAACAUAUUUGCUAAUAUGGAAUUUGAUAUGGCUAGUAGAAUAUCUAGAGGGGGUGAAUAGCUAUGAAAACAGAUUUUUGCAAAAUGCAGUAAAAAUGCUAUACUUUUAAACUGAGUCUGAUUGACUGUAGACUUUGCAUAAGGGUUCUGAAUUUAACAACUAUUAAGUAUAUCGCAAUAAAUAAAGUAAAGGAGUUUCCACUAAGUCUGAUUGACUGUAGACUUUGCAUAAGGGUUCUAAAUUUAACAACUAUUAAGUAUAUCGCAAUAAAUAAAGUAAAGGAGUUUAGGGAAGAGAAAAAUAAACACAAGAUUUAUAUUGAUUCGGCUUAGAUCAAGUCUACGUCCACUCUCCCACGCUGACAGCCUUCUGGCUGGUUUCCACUAUGAAUCGAAAGAGAAUGUUACAACCCUAUGAUCUCGACUUUUCAAUGAAGUGAUUCUACUACUCUCACAAAAUCACUCUCUAGAGUUUCUCUCUUUCGAAUACAAUUUUAAGCACUAAAUAAUGAGACAAGUGAUUUGGAAGCUUUAGACUUUGGAAUUUUUCUUUCACGCCCUCCUCGAAUGACUUGAUGAACCUCCUUAAAUACUCCUCUAUGCCUUCUCAACCGUUGACACUUUCCAGAGAAAUUCUUUCAAUCAACCUAUUGGAUAGAAUCAAUCAAGGAGAUCUCAAGCCAUUUGAAGAUUGAGAUGAAAGCUCGUCAAUCAUAUUCGCUCAUACAAGCAAGAUCAUGAUUUCCAUAAGUAGAUUCUUUCCAAAUAAGCUUGCCUUCCAAAAUGAUGUGCUUCUUCGAAAUUGAUUCCCAUUAAGAUUAAAUAGCAUUGUUUCAUGUAAUUUUAGUUCAUAUCACACCAUCACCCUUACAUAUAAGAUAAUCAGUCAUGAUUAGACUGACAUGUGAAACAAAUGAGACAAAACUUGGCCGAGAGAACUUGAUUACACUAUUCCUCAAAGAGUUAAGAUUAAAUUGGUUCAAUUGAAAUGUUUAAAACUCGAUUACAUUCCGUAUAAUAUGUUUAAUACCGCUUGUGCAAUUUUCUCAGCAUACCGAAACACUAGUACCUCAAAUUUGAUGAAAAUAGAAGAUUCUUGUAUAUGUCUUCAUAUUGAUCAUGACACAAUCUUAACCUCGUAGAUUUCAUAAUAUCUCAAAUAAAUUGAUAAUUUGCUCUUGUCAAUUUUGAUCGUCUAAUUUGAUGUCCUCCCUUGAUCGUGAAACUCUAUUUCCACACGUGAAAAACUCUAUGCUAUUAAAGUAAUUAGAUAAAGUGAUGUUUUGAAGAUAUUUGGGUUUCAACAUUUAUCAUAUGGAUCUCAAGUGAAGAUCACAUAAUAGAAAGUGUGAGAUCAUUUGGGCUUAUGAGGAUAGGGUUCAUGCAAUUAAAAAACCAUUUCGAGUCUGCAAAAUUUGGCUCCGAUGGCAAUAAGGAACAUCCUUCACUCAUCUGUCAAGAUCAAUAUGAUCUUUUCUAUUUUCUUAUUUUUACAAUUGUUUAAGUUGAAAUAGCUUAUCUUUUUUCAUAUUAUCUAUUUUUUCUCAUUGUCUGUGUUUAUAUUUUGAUUUUUUGUAUUUAUACAUUGCUUUUUCAAAUAUGCAUGUGGGCAGAUAAUUCUCUUUGCAUUAUUCAUGGAAUCUAUUAAGAAAAAUAAUUGAAUUGCAACUCUUAGGCAUUUAAACAAAUCAUGCAUGAUGGAGCCGAAGAUCCAUCACAUCUUGUCAAAAAGUUGAGGACUGAAUUGUAUUUACCUUAUUCUCUACCAAGUCUGAACUAUAAUCAUGAGAGUUUGGUAGUGUCUCUUGUACUCUUAUAAGCCAUGUUUUUUUUUUCUCAUAUUGUCUUUUGACUAGUUUUAGUUAAAUCGCAUCUUCUACAAACGGCAGGUACUUAAAAAUAUGAGACCCUAUCAACAAUGAGCAUUUUAUGUCACGUGAUUUGAUGAUGGCAUUCAGUUCCCUUGCUCUAUACUUUCGUUUUCUAUGGCAUCAUUGUUAAAGUUAUUAUUUCCAAGAAGGCUACAAUGCAUAAUUUCCCCAGUCCAAGAUUGAACCAUGUAUACAAAAGUGGGGUCCAUAUGUACUAUUUUGUCUUAUAGAGCUCUAUCGUUGGAGAAUAUCUUUGCAUGUUGCUUAGGCCCAGAAGAAGCAAUUAUUUAACUUGACAUUAAAAGUCAAGAUAAUACAUGAAAAGUCAAUACUUAUUUUCAACAUAUGGUAUUAAUAAGAAGAACAUUAUUCAAAAUUGCUAUUAAUAUAUAAUCUCUACAUUGGCAUGUCGUCGAGAUCACCGAUCCCUUUAAUAUCAUCCUGAUGGCACAGUAGAGACAUGAAGCGGGAGGAUUCUGCAGUAGAUGAUUUGCAUCUCAUGUAUUAAAAAGGGAUUGAAAGAAUUAAAAUAUAUACACACACAUACACAAUGUACAGGCACAAUUGACCGAGAAAAAAGAGUUCAAAGACCUACCGACAAUUUUUGCAAAAAUAUUCAAUUACUACUAUGCCUAAAUUCCUUAUUAAUUAUCAAAUCCUACUCCAAAUCUAGUUUGAGCCAUCAUUUAUUUUUUUGGAAAAUGUAAUGAACGAAAACCGUUUCUUUUAUUUCACAUGUUGCCCUAUUAAUUCGUGCAUGAUGCGUUGAGUCUGCAAAUUACCUCUACUUUGUGGGCCAAUGCCAACACAUGUCCCUUCAAGCUCCAUUGAUGUGCCAUCAAGUUCCUAUUAGUCUUCGCCGAAGAAGAUGUGUUUGUUCGAUACUCCUCAAAAGGUGCGACCAUCCAAGUGCAUCGAGUCCAUUCAAAAGUUCAAUAAUAUGAUUCUAGUGGAUGCAUCAGGAUAGACUAUUAAAGUGCGCGAAAUGGAACAACUCGUCUAUCAAUUUGAAAGAGGAAAGGACGAAAGUUUUGAUAGCUCAAUGAAUACUUCGAGUGAAUAGAAACACCUCACUAGGGGUGCUGUGUAAGGCAUCUUGUCUUGCACAAUGCCUCAUAGGCGUGCAUUAUUGAGUCCACUUUGCAUUGUUGGUGCGAGACUUGCUCUCUCUUUCUCAAAAGAAAAGUCAAAGGAAAUUAUCAAUUGAAUCUAGUGUUCGAAAAUAAUAGAUAUAAAUACAUUAAAAUCAUAUCAAUAAGUAAUUUUUGAAAGAGCAAGAAUAGAGAGGUAUUAAAAAUAUGGCAAUUUUAUGAUAGUUAUUUCACAUUCUAAUUUAAUAAUUAUGAUGGGCAUAAAAAUCAGAUAACUUCAAAUUUAUUUUGUGAAUUGAGUUUUUUUUUUCACUUAAAUGGAUGCCUAGAGGGGCUUUCUUUUAAGAAAUCUGCAAAGAUAAUACAUGAAAAGUCAAGACUUACUAAUGGUUAAUAUUAGUUAGACAUAAGGAUCUAAGUUAGCCAAAGUCUAAUGUGUCAAUAAGGAGAACAUUAUCAAAAACUGCUAAUAGAUAUAUAAUCUCUAUAAUGGAAAAUCAUCAAGAUCACUCAUCUUUUGAACUCUAAAAGGUACAUUACAUACCUCAUGCAACAUGAUUAAUUGAAGUGAAGAGAGAAGUUUGUUCAUUUGGGCCUCAUCAAGAGAGUUGUCAGUUUUAGCUUAAUAAUUGGCAACUCUUUUGCUUAAUGAAUCGUUGCCUCAAGAGGGGUGAAGUAGGGAAGUAAUGUUUGUCAACUGUAAAAGGAAAGAGGCCAGACAAGUGAGGGCACCUGGUCAGUUCAUGCAUUUACGAAAACUUAUAUGUUUGUCCAAUAGUGAUGGACGAAAGGACGCAAAGGUAGACAUCGGCGAUGGUGACUAGUCAAGGAAAUGAAUAGUAAAAUGCAGAAAUCCAUCUAAGCUCUUGCAACCACUCUCUAUUACUCUCUCUCCCUCUCCCACAACUUACCCUAAUUAAAGCAAUCUUUCAUAUAUUUGGAUGGUUGUCCAUGAGUGUUAGGGAAAUCCCUUAUGAUGUUUUGAAUAUAACAAAAUAAAUCAAAGGCUACUAACAUGUUUGAUGGUUGAGUAAUAGACCAUGCAGAUGUUAGAACAUGUAGAGGAUAUUAUCAAAGUCAGAAGACGGCCAGAAGACUGAACGUAACAUAUGUCCAGAGUAUAUUUUGAAGAUUUCCAAACUUCUGUGUCAAAGUUUGAAGACUGCUAAACUCAAGACUCAAAGUCUGAAUAUUGCCAGACUCAAGACUCAAAGUCUGAAGACUGCAAGACUUUAAUGUCAAAGUCUGUUCUACAUCAGAAAUCUGCUCACUCUGACAAAUUCCAGACUGAACAUGAAUGAUGAACCAGAAGACAAACUCCAUGCCGAAGCUGAACUGGGUACAGACCUUAAAGCUAAAUCUUUUCAGAAGCAGAAUAUGUUCAGACACAGAUUGUAAAGUCUACAGACUCAGAUUGUAAAGUCUAUUGCUCUCAGACUUUACAUACAGAUUCGAUGAAACGUAACUCAAGCCCAAUCAUAUAACGGCUAGUGAUCUGGUUUGGAUUCCACAUCAAGAUUGAUUUGAUUGAUUCAAUCUAAUUGAUUGACGAUUGGAUCUUGAAAACAAGAACUUUCUAUACGAAGAAUCUUUACUUAUGGAAACCAAGAUUUCGUUUGUAUGGGCGAUCGAAAUCAAUUUGGGAUUCUAUCUUUGUCACUCAACGGCUACCAAAUCUUCUAGAUACAGAGCUGUCCAAUGGGUAUAUUAGAAGACGAUUCUCCGGGAUGUUGUCCAACGGCUAGUUUGGAAGUGGAGGAGUAUUUAAGGAGAUGAAGGACCGAUGAGCAAGUAAGAGACGAAGCGUAGAAUUUAUAAUUCCAAAGUCUGAGCGAUCUUCACUUGUCUCUUGUGAGCUUAAACAUUUGUGAUCGUGAGAGAAAUACCAAAAGAGUGACUUAGUGAGAUAGUGUGAUCUACUAAGUGUUUGCACUCGAAGUUGUAAUCUCUUAUUGAUUGCAUAGUGGAAUCCAGCCAAGAAGGCUGUUAGCGUGGGAGAGUGGACGUAGGCUUGGAUUAAGCCGAAGCACUAUAAAUAUUGUGUUCUUAUUCUCUUCCCUAACUCCUUUGUUUGAAGUUUAUUUUAUUCCGCAUAUAUUUGCCAAGAGUUAUUUUAAACACCUAUUCACCCCCCUCUAGGUGUUCAUACUAGCACUCUCAAUGAGCAGUGAAAGAAGGAGGUGGAGACUUGGACAUUAGUGAUGGGAAUUGAUCAAGGAACAGUAAAUUGUAAAAAAAAAAUCAUCCAUUAUGUAUAUAUACUUACAUUUUAUGAGUCAUCUAUAUCUAUCACUGGGUUGUUUAUAAGAUAUAUAUCGUUCGUCUUGAUGGAGGCAAUCGACAUAUAGAGGCCCUCUUGUAUUUUUUUUUUCUUUUGGUCAGUGAUGACAUGGGGGCAAUCUACUUACCACUCAACUUCCCAAGUGGAUCUCCAUCCAUACCCUAUCUCCUCUUUCUUCCUUGGGUUUUUGAGUCAUUCUUAAAUUUCUAAAUCAUCAAAUAGCUAGUAUUAGAACUCAGCCGUUUAUUGCAAAAUGUUGCUAUUUUUCGACGCUCCUUGUCCUUAAAAAAAAUAAAAGUGAAAGAAAAAUUAGGGUUAUAAAUUAUCAAAAGCCACAUAGCUUUAUUUAUCAAUAAGUGUAUAUUUUUGUAAAAUUUUAAAACUAAUUUGUGAUAAUUGCAAUAUUUGAAAAUAAAUCUUAAAAGUAAAAUACCCGAAAUAGACCCAAGCAUUUGAAAGAAAAGUGGAAAACUCCAAUUGGAAUGACAGAGCACUGUAAGUGGUGACUCAAAUUGUUUCCCAUAUUAAUGCUAUCCCGUAAAAAGUAGCAUUGUUCAAAAAAGUAAACUGGUUUAGAUGUUUAAUUUACUUAGAAGUUUUGAUCUAAAAUGUUAGUGACAACUUCAAUCGUUUCCCAUUAAUUGUGUCCCAUAAAGAGUAGUAUUAUUCUAAAAAGUAAACUAGUUUAAAAUGUUUAAUUUACUUAGAAGUUUUGCUCUAACAGUUCUAUAUGAAGUUCCGUCUAAUAUAACAAUUGCAAUUGACAUUCUAGUCUAAUAAUUUGCUUGGUUAUAAUUUUACUUCUAUCACAAAAAAUUCAAACUGAUAUACUUAUGACAAAUUUACCCUAAAUGAAAAACUUCAAAAUAAUACACCUGUAAUAAAUUUACUCUCAAUUAGUUUAUUUUAAAUUUUACCCUAAAAUUAUUGAGUUAAAUGACAUAUGACAGCUGACAGAUAUACCAAUUUAGAUUUUUACCUUAUGUCUAUCACAUUUAUACUAGUUUUGGGUUUUACCCUCUAUUUAUCACAUGUGUACUAGUUUGUCACUUUUCGUGAUAUUAAUCUAAUUUCACAUAAACUAGGGAAGAAUAACUUGAUCAUAAAUGUACCAAUUUAGAGUUUUUGAGAUUCAAAAAGUUAGUUUUUGAUAAAUUUAUCAUAAGUGUAUCGGUUUAAGGUUGUUGGUGGUCAAAACAAAAUAUUAUCAAUUUAGAGUUUUUCAUUAUAUAAACAUUUUUUAAUAUGAUUUCAUUGACUUUCACAAGGAGCGGAUUUAGGAUUAGUACCUUAUUGGUGUUUGUCCAUUGAUAGUGAAGGAAAGGAUAAAAGGAUGGUUCAAAACUACUACAUUAGCAGUGGGAAAGGAGGAAAGGAUGGAUAACUCAUCAAUGUUUGUCCAUUAGCGGUGGAGGAAAGAAUGGAGACAAGGACACUGGUGACGGUGAGGGUGAGAGUGCAAUUUAGUAAUCAUUAUAUUCCUCAAACAAUUUAUGCUUAAAAAUAUAUUUUUUUCCAAUUCUAUUCCCUUGCCAAGUUUCUAAGCAUUUGAAUGUAUUUAAUAACUGUGUAAAAUUUUUAUUCCCGGAUUAGAAAUAUGUUUAGUACAAUCCUAAUUUUUUUUAUUUUACUUAGAAUUUUUUAAUUUUUUAAUAAUUUUUUCCUUUUCUUUUUCUUCUUCCUCUAGCCGGUCGCCGGCUAUAGGAAGAAGAAGAAAAAGAAAGAGAAGAAAAAAUACUUGAUUCUUGAGUCAUUCUUAGGAACAAAUAAAUAAUUUUUUUUUCUGCUUCUUGAUUCUAUUCUAAAUUUACUUUAAGAAAUAAUUCUAUUUUCCAGAACAAAAACAUUACCAAACAGGGACUAAAGGAACAACAAUGUAGAAAAUCAUAUAUUUCUAUGCUCAAAGUAUUGAUUGGUGUUUAGUUAAGGCCUAACUAUAGUUAGGUUAGCGAGCUCCAUGAUCUAUGCCCAUCUCCUCUCUUUUUUUUUCUCGUGAUUUGAGACUUUGCUACAAAAUCAUUCAUUUAUAUGUCCAUUAACUGGUAUUUACAUUUUAAAAUAUUCAUUCAAUAGUCAUGCCUUUUAAUCGAUCACGUAAGUAUCAUAAUUUUUUUAGAAUUUUUAAUUUAAAUACCGGAAAUCUAAUGUGAUGUAAUAUUUUGGAUGAACGCUUUGAAAUAUUUGUGACACUUAAAUUAGUACUGCACAAUUGUACUGCACAAUUAUUAUAACACGUGCUAUCCUUUUCUCGAGAUCUUUAGCAGCAAAAUAUGCAAGGAAUCAUGAGAUUGAUUGAUAGGUCUAGCAAGCCCAGUGUAGCAUGCAACCACUUAGACUAAUUAUCAACUUUUCCAGCAAUAGCUUUGCACUCAAAUCACUUCGCCUUCUUCUUCUUUCAACGUUCCUGGUCUGUUCCAAUCUUUCUUUCUCUAAAGAACAAUUAGAGAAAAUUCCGAUCGAUGUUGUUGUUGAGAAUAACUUGAAAAAUUAUAUUGAAUUCAUAUCAUUAAGUAGUUUUUAAAAGAGCAAGAACAAGGAGACAUUAACAAAAUUCCUACCAUAUCAUCAUAUGACAAUUUUAUGAUAAUUAUUUAACUUUAGGAUUGGCGCAAUUUUAUGAUUAUAUAAUGACACCGAAUGCCAAAUACACUUACUCUCUUUAACAUCAAUCCCUCCUCCAUCUUUACACUGGCCUGCAAUCUGUAGCGACCUCCAAUUCAGUCGCCACCCUUACCUCACAGCUGACGUCGAGGUUGAGGCCCACUGUAUUAUCAAAAUAUACUUAUUCCUUAUAAUAAAAAAUUCCGCUUGCUUAACACUAGGAUUAGUGCAAUUGGGCGAGGCGUUGUGGGAUUUCUAACUCAGGGACUGGAGGUCAUUUGAAUCUACAUGCAAACUGUUCAGGAUUGAGCCACCUAUACAAGCUAAAAACAUGAACUUAAACUGUUCAUGAAUCUUGCAAGAUAACUUAUGGGCUUUUAGAUAAACUGGUUAUCAUGUCCGGGCCCUUAUGAAAGAAUUGCUUUUAUUUAGGAUGAUUCUAACUUUACAUGAUAAAUUUUUUAUAUGCACCUUGUUAUUAUGCAAAUUGUCCUUAAGAACUUAAUUACAAGGAAAAUGUUCCUCAUGACUUUAAUUAGUCAUAACAUUUUUUUCAUUAGAAAUUUGUCAAGAUAUUUUCAAAUAGUCAUAAUAGAAUACUGAUUUAGGAGCAAUUUCACAGUCUAAUCUAAUAAUUAUGGUUGGCAUAGAAAUUAAAUAACCUGAAUUAUUUUUAUUCACUUAAAGGGACGCUUUGAGUGGCUUUUUCUCAACCAAUAUGGGAAAGAUAAUACAUGAAAGGUUAAGAUUUAUUUUCAAUUUAUGAUUAAUAUUAAUUAGAUAUAAGGGUCUAAGUCAGCCCAAAUCUAAAGAACGUUAUCAAAAAUUGUUAUUCAACAUAUAAUAUUUAGAUUGGCAAAUCAUCGAGACCAUUCCCCUUAAACCCUUGACAGGACAUCUCAUAUCCUAGCGUGACAAGGGUAAUUUGAGUUGAAGCCAAAGCAUGUUCACUUGGUUCUCAUCAAUGGAGUUGUCAGUGUUAGGUUAAUAAGUCACAACUCUUUUGCUUAAUUGAUCAUUUCCUCGAGAGGAAUGAAGUGGGAAAACAAGGUUUCUCAGCGGUAAAAUGAAAGAAGGAAGACAAGUGAGGGUACCCGGUCAGUUGCCAUACAUUUACGUACACUUUGAUCUUUGUCCAGUAGUGGUGGACGAAACGACGUGGAGAUAGACAUAAGUGAUGGUGACUGGUCUACCAAAGGAACAGUAAAAUGCAGAAAAUCCAUCCGCUUCUAGAAGAGGGACCUGUCAUGUUAAAGUCCAUAACUUUGCUUGUCAAUAAUCGUGUUUUGAAAAUUUGCAAUAUUUGGAAAAUAAAUGUUUGAAGAAAAAGACUCAAAACAGACCCAAGUAUAAAGAGAAUGGGGAAACUCCAAUUGGAAUGAGAGACCACGUAACAAAAUUUGUAGUGCAUUGAAAUGUUUCCCAUAUUGUUUUUGUCAUGUAAAGAGUAGCAGUAAUCAACAAAGUAAUCUUAAUAAAGAAUGGCAAAAGUUUAAUUUACUUACAAGUUUUAAUCUAUCAAUUUUAAUUGAAGUUACGUCCAAUGUAACAAUUGCAAUUGACAUUCUAAUCUAACAACUUGCUUAAUUAUAAUGUUACUCCUAUAUUUUAGAUAUGAUUUCAUUGACCUGCGCAAAGAGCGGGUUUAGGACUAGUACCAAGCAGUGUCUAAUUAAUGAUGGAGGAACAGAUGAAAGGAUGGAUUAGAAUGAAUACAUUAGCGUUGGAAAAGGAUGAAAGGACCAUUUGCAGUGUCAAAGAAUGAAAGGAUGGGUGACUCAUCAAUAUCUGCCAUCAGCGGUGGGGGAAAGGAUGGGAGUGGUGAUGGUAAAUGGUCCACUAAAGGAACAAUAACGUAGAAAAUCAUCCAAUUUUAUGCCCAAGGAAUCGCCUGGUGUUUAGUUAAGGCCUAAACUAAGGUUAGGUUAACGAGCUUCAUAGCCUAUGCCCAUCUUCUUUUUUUUCCUUGAGGGUUAGGUCUUUGCUAUAAAAUUCAUCCAUUUCUAUGUCCAUCUAUUGGUGUUUACGUUUAAAACUUAUUUACUUAGGUGUCAUAACUUUCAAUUAAUCACUAUCAGUCAUAAAAUUUCAAGUAGUCAUAAUAAAUAAAAGGAUUUAUGAGUAACUUGACAUUAUAAUCUAACAAUUAUGGUUGGCAAAAAAAGAUUAAACAACUUCAAUUUUUCCUUAUGCACCGAGUUUUUUUUUUCUCUUUCACUUGAAGGGAUGGCUAUGAGGUGCUUUCUAUCAGCAAAUUUGUGAAAAUUUGAAGGACAAUCCACAAAAAGUCAAGACUUAUUUUUAACUAAUGGUCCAUAUUAAUUGGGUAGAAGGGUCUAAGUUGGGCCAAGUCAGAUAUGUCAAUAAGUAGGAUAUUAUCAAUAAUUGCUAUUUAAUAUGUAAAUCAAUAACACAUUUUACAUUUUAGAGAUAUUUCGAUUUAUGUACCACUUUGAAAACUAAAUUCAAUUUUUUACCAUUCACUUAGCUUAAUUAUAAUAUUAACUUCUAUAUUUUUUAUAUGCUUUCACAACCCACACAAGGAAUGGGUUUUAGGACUAGUACCUAAUUAUUUUUUGCACCCAAAACCCUUCGCCUUCUUCGUCUUUUGUCAUUCUUGCUUUGCUGUGCUCCUUCAUCAUUCUUUUUACAUCUCUGUUUUUGUCCCUUUCUUUCUCGAAAAAAGAAUUAAAAAAAUAUAUAAUUAGAUCAAUACAAAAAUCAUAUUUAACUCAUAUCGAUAAGUAAAUCAUUGAUGCAAGGAUCUAAGUUAUGAUUCAAUGAGCAAGAACAUAGAGCCAUUAGAAAAAUUCCAACCAUAUCAUCAUAUGUCAAUUUUUAUAAUCUGAUAUGAGUAUAUAUACCUCAAAUAAUCCACCUCUCGAGGAACUCCAUCAAUUUUACUUUUUAACUCCUUUUCUUUAAAGUGGAAGUCAUGAUGGCUUUUUCUUGGAUUGCAACAAACUUUAACGUUAAAUAUUUUGGACGACAACGCAUAAUCAAUGAUGAUAUUGACAUGCUUCUCUAAUCUUUCAUUGAUGCCCAAUCAACAUUAUCAGUAAAUACCACUUUAAAGUGAAAGUCAUGAUGGUGUUUUUUUUUUUUUUUUUGCACUGAAGGGUGAAAUUCACCAAGACUAAAAAAAAUAAAAAAUUCCUCUAGUGGGCCUUCCAUUCCACUAAAACCUUUGAAAAAUGGUUAGGAAGAUCUUCUAAAGUUGUUGUGAUGAUUGGUGUACGAACAUGCAUGUUGGGUGGGGGCUAUUUAUGCGCCCAAUUUAGCUUAAAUCACAUCCGUCUAAGUAAACUCAAUCAUUAAUGGACCCGACUUUUAUUUCAAAAGAGAAUAAUAAAUAUGCCCUUUUCAUUUUCUCUCUUAUCUAUUGCCUUGUUUAUUUUCUUAUUUACUAUAGACAUUUGAUAAGAGAUUCUGGUUUGAAUUUUUUCACCUACUCUUUUGAUUCCACAAAUUUGUUUAUGUAAGAAUUUAUCUGAAGAACGUAUUCAGCCUUUGAAUCAUAGAAAAAAAAAGGCUGAUUUGUUUAAAAGAAGAUUGGACCAUAAGCACGUUCUGAAAUAUUAAAUUAAAUUUAUGCUUUCAUCAAGCUUUAGCUAUAAUUUUUUCAAAAUAUCAUGAUCAAAUGUCCAAUUCUUUUUAUCAUUUCUAGAAGAGAUCAUUUCAACAAGUUAAUUUGGCAAUAAAUUUUAUUUAGCUGAGUCCAUAUGUUAGUGAACUAAUAAAGGAUUCUCUUUAUACAUAUAUUGGUUUUGACACAUUAGAAUUUUUUUUUAUAGCUAAUACGUUAUUCCACGCUAAUAAUGCUAGAAAGUGUGGGGGAUCACUGGGUGAGAGUUUCAUUUUGUGCAUAUUAAUUCCUUUUGUUUCGCUGCAUCUCUAUAGUUAUAUUAAGAGUAAUGGUAGUUGCUAUCCAGAAGAAAGAAAUACGGAAGCCCGUCCAUAAAUUCAACUUGUUGACCAUCCAGAAUCUUUUGGCAUAUGAUAUGAUGCGCAUAAAAAAUUGAUUUGACGGCCAACUGCGUGAAGUUACAAGUCACGUGUUCUCUCUUUGUCAAACAGUACAGCUUGGUAAGCGUUAGAACUCCAUGUCACGUGGGCGCUGACACACCGUGUAAACUACAUAUCCCGAGGGGAGGGUCGAAUCACCUGUUCACUACUUUAACAGCUGAUAAUCAUCUCUUUCUCCCUUCAUUGCCAAUCCACGCUUCCCUUCCCUCAUCCUUUUUCUCCGCUCAAAUCUCUUGGCUUUGUUCGUCUCUUGCUCUGUUUCGCUCUUUCUUCUCCUCGGCUCAACCAUUCUUCUUCUUCUUCCUCCUCCUCCUCCUCCUCUUCUUUAGUUUUUGCUGCUCUUCUCCCUCUCCGUCUCUCUUUUUUCUCGCUCUUUCUUUCUCAGAAAAAAAAAAUCGAAGAACAAUGUCGGCAGAUCCUGUCGUUGGUAUUGGAUGGGAUGCCUUGAAGAGCUAUGUAGUUGUUCCCAUCGAACGUGGAUUCGGACACGUGAUCUCCUCCAAGAGAUUCGCCGACCGUCUUCGGGGGGAAGUCCAGAAUCUGGAGAACGAGGAUCAGAGGGUCAAGGUUCUUGCGGACGAGGCUAGAAGGAAUGUUCGGAAUUCAUCGAUGUCUUCACGACGUGGAAGGCAAGUGCUGAGAAGGCCUUGGAAGAGGCGCGAGAGCUGUUGGAUGACUUCGAAAAGGCGACCAAUACUUGCUGCUACGGGACUCUUCCCGACCCCAAAUCUCGCUACCAGUUUAGCAGGAAGGCCGAGGGCAAGAUCGAGGCCAUUAAGCAACUCACUCAAAAAUGCAUCGGAUUCAACGGAUUGAACGACAUCUCCUUCAUCGAUCCUGCUUUCACUUCUUCUGCCUUGACGUCAAUGAAGCUUGGGGAUGAUGGUGUCUUCGAAUCCAGAGCUUUGAUGAUACGGAACAUCAUGGGCGCUCUUGCUGACAACACUAAUAGUGUGGUCGGGGUUUAUGGGAUGGGCGGGAUCGGCAAGUCCACCCUUUUACUGGAUGUUGAAAGGAAAGUAAGCGAAGAGAAGUCGUUUCAUUGGGUCGCGAAGGCCGACGUGUCGGAAAAUCCAGACAUUAAGACGAUUCAAGGAGAGAUUGCGGAUGCAUUGGGCCAUAAUGAGAUAAAGAACAAAGAGACUAUCAGCGGGCGAGCCAAACUUCUGCACGGGAGGUUGAAAGACGAGGAGAGGGAGAAAAAGAAGGUCCUCAUAAUACUGGACAACCUGUGGGAGGGGCUCGACUUAAACAAAGUCGGCAUUCCUUGCGGACAUGACAACAAAGUAAUGGGAUGCAAGUUGUUGAUGACGUCAAGAGAUCGUGAUGUUUUUGCGAAGGAAAAUGGGCUGCGACAAGGACUUCCUCCUCGGUGAGUUGGAGGAGGAAGAGGCAAAAAGAUUGUUUGAGAAGCUGGUGGGAGCCAAAGUUCAUGAUGACCAGUUCAAACCUCUGGUAAAUGUAGCACUCGGCAAAUGUGCUGGUGUGCCUUUCCUAAUUGUUGCAAUGGCAAAACGUUUUAAAGAUGCUAAUUUAUCUGAAUGGAAAGAUACUUUGAAAAAAGUCGAGAAGUUUAAAGAUAAAGAAAUCAAUGACUCAAUACACCAGAUGUUGCAAUGGAGUUAUGAAAAAUUAGAAGAGGAGGUGAAGUCCUUAUUACAACUAUGUGUUUUUUAUGGUAUUUCCAAGCCUUCUCUUGAAAACUUGGUGAGGUACAACGUUGGUUUGGGGUUAUUUCAAGAAGUUAGCAGCAUGGAAGAAGCUAGAAAUAGAUUAAGCUCACAUAUCCGCACUCUUCAAGCCUCCUCCCUUCUGUUAGAUAGUGAAGAUGCUUAUGGUUUCAAGAUACAUGACUUGGUUCGUGAGUUUGUUGCCUCCGUUGCUUCAAGAGAUCACUCUUUUUUCGUGUUGAAAGAUAAAGAUAAGUCGAUAACAUAGUUGCAGAAGAGCAAGCUUGAAAGUUAUAGGGCAAUAUGCUUUCCAUACGUUGACAUGAAAGAGCUUCCCAAAGAAUUAGAUUGCCCUGAGUUGCAGAUCUUUUUGUUGUUCACAAACAACAGAUCUCUUAAGGUCCUAGAUUCAUUAUUUCACUCUAUGACAAAACUCAUGGUCUUAAAUCUCACCGGGAUGCAUCUCACUUACUCGCCUUCAUCGCCGUUUCAACUCUUAGAGAACUUACACAGUCUGUGUCUUGAUUGUUGUUAUUUAGAUAAUGUAGCCGUUCUUGGCAAGUUGAAAGGGCUACAAAUUCUUAGUUUUACAAACUCUAAUAUUCAUCGAUUGCCAAGAGAAAUCGGGCAACUGGCAGAGUUGAGGUUGUUAGACUUGAACCAUUGUCAACUUCAGAUAAUUGAACCAGGGGUACUUCAAAGCUUGAUCAAGUUGGAGGAGUUGUACAUGAAGAAUAGCUUUAAUCAAUGGAAUAUCGUGGACCAAACUCCACCAGCUAAUGCCAGUCUGAUUGAGUUGAAUCACAUGAAUAAUCUCCACACUCUGCAUGUUUCCAUUCCUAAUCCAAAAGUGCUUCCAGAGGAUCUAAACCUUGAGAAAUUAAGCAAGUAUGAAAUCCAAAUAGGUAAUGUGCACUACCGGUGGAGCGAGUGCAAAGGAUCUAGGAUAUUAAAGCUCAAGUUGGAUCCAUUAGAUGAUGUUCCUUUGAAAGGAUGCAUUCAAAGUAUCUUAGGCAAAACUGAUGAUCUGUUUUUGGACAAGUUGGGUAGAAAUGAGCAAAGUAUCUGUGAGUUAUCCCAAAAAGGUUUUCCAGAAUUAAAGCAUCUACAGGUCAUGAAUAGUGCUUCUAUCCAUUGUAUCCACCAAUCACCAUCCCAUACACAUUUUAAGAUGUUGGAGUCAUUACUUCUCAAGAAUCUCAUCAACUUGGAUAAAUUAUGCAAUAGCCAUAUCUCAUCCAAGUCCUUCAGUACAUUAAAAGUAGUAGAAGUUGCACGUUGUGACAAGAUGGAAGUAUUGUUUCCUCUUUCAGUGGUGGGAGGACUUCCACAACUAGAAGAGAUUAAAGUUGUUGAUUGUAAGCAAAUGCGAGGGAUUGUAGAUGCUGAUGAUGGUGGCAAAGUUGAGUUGCAUAAUUUGCGUGUAUUGGAAUUGUGUGACUUGCCAAAUAUUAAGAGCUUUUUCGCUAUAGGGACAGCUCCUUUGAGUAGUGCAUUAUACGACCAAGUUGGCACCCAAAUUGCAUUCUUCAAUGAGCAACCGGUAACCUUCUUUCAAAAGAAUAUGAUACUUAUUUCUAUUUUCUUCCUUUGUUUAUUAGAUGUAACACAUAUUAUGAUGCUUAUUUAUUUUGUUAUUUUCAGUUUAUUAUCUUCCUAAUUACCUUAUCCUUUCAUGCCUUGUCUAUAAUUAGUUAAAGUAAUCUUCCGUUUCACUUAACUGUGUAGAAAUCCAACUAAUUGUAUAAAAUCCAUGUAAAUUUAGUUUGUGAUAGAUUUUGAAUUAUUUUAAACUAACAUGCUGCAAGUAUAUCUAUAUUUAUAGGGUUUCAUGAAGCAAAACUGAAGAGUAUUUCAGCGUUCAAGUAAUUUCAUAAGUACAGUAAUUUUUAAUAUUUUGAAAUGAAUCCACUGAAUUUAGUUAUCAAACUUUGUUAUUAUCCACGAAAUGUAUAAAAUAGGUGACUCUUUUGAAAAUCAAUAUGAAGAAUGGGAAGGAGAACCGCUUUUUUAAAUAAAAUCAACUAUACUAAUCUAAUUUAUGCAUGUCUUUUGUGUAUUGUGUCUAAAUAAGCAUUUAGUCAUUGCAUAGGGCCAAAAUUAUAAGAAUACAAGCUUUUGUGCAUUUUUUUUAAUAGUGAAAGUGGGCCUAGGCAAUUGUAUGACCUUUUGUGCAUAAUAUAUAUAUACACAAUGGUAUGAUUUUUAUUAUGCCACACCAAAGUUGUCAUUGCAAAAUUGAAAUUCUUGCUAUCGGAGUUCCAAACUGAUCUUUACAUUUCUCUAGUCCAUACGGCGGAAUUAAGGCUGAGUAGCUACAAUAUCAAAUGAUGGAACUUGAUGCCUUGAUGGAAAAUCCACUGUCUUAAAGUCCAAAUAAUUUUAUAGAGACUUAAUUCAAAUGUUUUGACGGGCCUAGUAUUUUAAUUUGGCUACUUGGUAUGUCUUAGUUUAAUUUCCAAAGCUUCAAGUGCUCCACAAUUUAUUCUUCAAGAUAUUUGUGGCGAAAUUUGAGUUUUCUUUUUGUUGAGUCCAUCCAAUUUAGAUUGUGAAUUUUAUGUAGCUUCUAUAUCUUAUCAAGAAAAACCGGUGGUUGCCCAGUCUCAUGGGACCAUAUGUGGUCAUUGUGAUUUCUCUCUAUGGCGAUGUGGAAAUCUAAAUAUCAAGUUCUUUAACUAAAUGUCUUCACAUUUGGCCUUUAAAGUAUGUAUGGAUAUAUUUGUACACAAAUCCACAGUUUGUGUUUAAUAUCCUGUUAAAUUGGUUAUUGAUAGUGAUUUAUUAACAUUAAAAGAAGUUAAGUGAAUUGAGGAUAAAUAAUUGUCUAAUUAAGGAAAGCGAAUGGCUAUUUUAUAUAGGAAGUAGUUGCUGCUGGUGGAGCCUUUUGGCUCACUACAUAAGAUUGCCCUUUAAUUGUGGCGUGAUUAUAGCUGAAGUUGAUGGUGGGGCCCAAGACUUGCACCAUAUAUUAGUUUCCCCAUCAGUAAAGAAUCAUGGAGAUUUAAGUUGAUGGUGGGUCCCUCAAGACUGCAUGUCUAAGUAUCUCCACUUCAACCUCGACUUUUCCACUUCGCAUGCAAGAGAGGAGUUAGAUUGGGAGGGUUUGCAAAGAGGCUUUGGUGCUUUUAAUUUUCAAGCGUUCGAAAUCUUUGUUAAAGAAUUUUACUCUUGCCUUGAUGCCUUCUCAUUUUGGGCGUAGAAACUAGGGCUGCAAAAAUCUAUGGGAUUAUAAUGAAACGUUUCUAAUAAUUGUAAUAAAUCUCUUCCAACGUUCUAAAGAGGUGGAGCCGACGAAAGUAGCAGUGGAAGGUUGGAUUGUCAGGGAUGACAGUAGUUGAACAAAGAAACACACAUAAGUUAAACUUGUUGUAAUAGAUGGGAGCAUUGGGUGAUGGUAAGGUAGAUGGGAGAUUUCAAGUAACUUUGUAGAAGAAAGGAUUUUCUCGAGUUGAAGCGGUGAACUUUUGAAGAAGACUAGUUACUCUUUGCCCAAAAAAAAAAGAAAAUAAAAGAAAAUAAAGCUUUUGAUUGUGAUUUAUUGUUUAGAAGGAGUAAAACUGGCUCACUAAUCAAAUUAAUCUCCACAAUCAUUUUCCAAGUAGAGAUUGGAGAAAGAUUCAUUAUAUUGUUUAGUAAUAACACUAGUAUUGAGAUUUUCUAACUCCUAUUUUAUUUUAUUCUCUUUUUUCCCCUUUUGUGCAACUUAAUAAUGCCCCUCUCUUCUUGGCACAUGUAUAUAUUAACAUUUUGGAAGUUCCUAAAUUCGUGAUUUAACUGAAUCACCAAUUCUAUGAGUGAAUACUGUAGGUUGCCUUUUCGAAAUUGGAGACAUUAGUAAUAUGGGGCUUGGAUAAUGUCGAGUUUUUGUUUUUCGCAUCCAUGAUUAAAUCUCUUGCACAACUGGGAGAUCUACGGGUAUCUUAUUGCAAAAAGAUGAAGGCAAUCAUUACAAAGGAAGAAGGGUUGGGAUUGGAAAUAUCAGAAACUCUGGCAUUCCCAAUGUUAACUAACUUAAACUUAAAUCAUUUGGGAUGUGCUUCUCUUGCAAAAAGUGUAAGAUUGAUUUUUUGUUUUCAUCACUAAAGAUCUUCUUGUAGAUAAAUUCAUCCUUGCAAUACAAAUGGCAACAUUCUUUUCAUCCAUUGAAAAACUAAUGACAGGUUCACGAGAAGCUUGGAGUCAAGACCACAUCAAGUCAUACUCCACUGCACUCUUUAGUAAAGAGGUACAUGAUUAACGUUAUGCCAAAAUAUUAUAUAUAACAAAAGUAUUAAAUAUGCAAAAGACAACAUAGCCAACAUAAGAACUAACUAAAUUACUCACAAAGUGUACUUUGAUUAAAAUAUUUUAAAGAAAAUGAGUCGCAUACAAACAUAAGUAUUGAAAGUUGCCAACACGUAUGAGUUGCAAUUGUUUAAUUUUAAUUUCUCCUAAAUAGUUUCCAUAAAGAUGGUCAAAUAUCUCUUAUGGUUAAAAGCUUGUCGAUGUUCAUAGGAAACUUAAAAGCUCUCAGCAACCUCACAUGUAUGGCAUCGACAUUGCACGCAUGCACAUUGAAAGCAAUUUAAAAACAAUGGAGAGGAAAGUGAGCAGUAAGGUUCGAGAGGUUGUAGAUGAAAGGCCUUUAAGGUACUCACUUGACUUCAUUUGCUCUUAAAUUAAAAGAUCUCUCUUUUUCCCCCCUAAUCGAAGGAAGCUUUACUCUCCCUUAAUUGCACCAGCAAAAGGUAUAUGAGUCCUCUCCAUUGCUAAACUGAGCAAGAUCUCUAGGGACUAGGGCUUCAGAAAUCACCCCUUUAAGUUUUAACAUGAACUGCAAGACCAAAGUGAUCAAUUCAGUGACUUCUCUAAGUGCGCUACAAUUUCAUUGAAUAAUUUCAUCCAUACUGUAACUUAAAUAACCAUCUCUAAGUGAUUUAACAAAUGCAUUUCAUCCUUUGGCUAGCAAAAAAAGCACAAAGUGUAAUUUGAUUAUUUUGGGAAAUGGAUAAGUGUUCCAGAAGUCCUACAACUUGUCACAAAAAUGCAUUUCGGUCCUAAAACUUGCAAAGUGCAUUUAAGUCCUAAAACUUGUCAAAUUAUUUCAAAUAAGUCCUAAGAUCGACGCCGUUAGCCUUUUCCGUUAAAAAUGCUGACGUCACAUUUUAAAUAAUUUUUUAUUUUCCAAGUUUAUUUUUUAAUUAAUUUGUAUCCAUUUAAAAAAGUUAGAUUUAAAAAAUAAAAAAUUAAAUUUAUUCUUAUCUUAUUUUCAACAACAACUAUAAAUAAAAGUUAAUAUUUAUUUUUAAAAUUUUAAAAAUAAAUUAAAAAAAUAAUGUUAACUUUUUAAAUAUGUUUUUUAAUAAAUAUUUUAAAUUUUUUUAAGUUUUUGGUGAAAAUAAGAUAAAAUGAAUAAUUUGAUUUUUUUAGUUUUUAAAUCUAUUUUUUUUUUAAAAAAAUAAUUAAAAAAAUUCACGUGGAAAAUAAAAAAUUAUUUAAAAUGCCACGUCAGCAUUUUUAACGGAAAAGGCUAACGGCGUCGAUUUUAGGACUCAUUUGAAAUAAUUUGACAAGUUUUAGGACUUAAAUGCACUUUUUGCAAGUUUUAUGACUGAAAUGUAUUUUCGUGACAAGUUGUAGGACUUCUGGAACACUUAUCCCUUUGGGAAAUUGACUAAAUUCAAGAGAGGGAGUGACAUAAUUUAAAUUUGGGAUUAUGAGGGACUAAUGUGACUAUGUGAUAGUUAAGGAGCAUAUCCAAAUUACCAUUUUGCCAUUAUCAACAGAAUCUAGUCAGAAUUCCUACUUUUUGACUUGUUUGUGGUAAAUUCCAAUAGCCUUCUAGUCCUAGAGUCAUCAACAUUAGUAUGGGCAUUUUUUACUAUUUUUUUUUUUUUACUUUAUUCUUCUUCUUUUUUUCCUUUUGUGCAACUUAAGACAAAAUCAUCAAUUUUAUGAAUUCGAAAUUUACAUCUUGACACUCAUCUAUCUUGGAAGUUCAUGAUUAACUCAAUACCAAUUUUGUGAGCGACUAUCGCAGGUUGCAUUUCCUAAAUUGGAGGCAUUAGAUAUCACUAGCUUGGACAAUAUUGAGAUGAUAUGGGAUAAUAAAGUUGCUGCGGAUUCUUUCCCCAAGCUAAAAACCCUUUGUGUGGUUGAUUGCAAUAAGCUUGUGAGCGUAGUUCGUUCUUUCAUUCUAAGAUGGCUCUUGAGCCUGGAAAGAUUGGAUGCAAGAAGAUGUAAUUCGCUUGAAGUUGUUUUUGAACUUCAGCCACUGAAUCAUCUAGAUGGACAUCCUAUUGCUCUUCCAUUUGAAGAACUGAUGAUAUCAAGAUUACCAAAGCUAAAGUGCAUAUGGGAUAAGGAACUCCACUGUCAAAUUAAAUUCCAGUGUCUACGUUCUAUUAGCGUUUCAAGAUGUGAUAGCCUCACCUAUUUAUUUCCAGCCUCAGUAGCUAGAGAUCUAAUCCGACUUGAGGAGUUGGAGAUCGAUGAAUGUGGCAUUGCAAAAAUCAUCAAGAAUGAAGAAGGACUAGUUCCCAGGUUUGUAUUCCCAAUGUUAACCUCCCUCAAGCUUAAGUAUCUGAGAGAGUUGAAGUGCCUCUACGUUGGAACACAUACUUCCCAAUGGCCGGCAUUGAAGACCUUGAACAUGCGUGGCUGUGACAAAGUGGAGAUACUUGUAUCGCACUCAGUAAAUGAGAUGCCACUUGAUAAACCGCCUUUCUUCUUGAUAGAAAAGGUACAAUCGAAGAUUACUUCUUUUACUUUUAUGGUGAAUAUUUUGAAGUGAUGAUUAAGGUCACAAUCAAGCAUCUCAUACAAGUAGGUCUACAUAGGAAGAUGUAAACUGUACGACUCACCUUCAAUUUAUAGAAAUAUUUCUACAUUGAAACAUCACAUGUUCUUCAAUUGUUGACCGAACAUUCUUGUCAGAUGUAUCAAAUGCAUUUUUAAUGAUCCCCUUUUAAUAAAGUUUUAUGCUAAUUCCGAUGGUUUAGCUCUCUCCUAAGUGCCAGAUGAAAACACAUGGCAUGUGUCGUGAUCUUAGCAUGGUACAAGUGUAUUGUCUAAUUUGAAUCCUAUAAAGAUUACCAAAGUUUUGCUAAAAAUGGAAAGAUGUGACGUUAUUGUUGACAUUAAUCAUUGAAAUUUGUGCACGUGCAACUGUAAUUGAUGCAUAGGUUAUUUUCACAAGGGAUUUAUCUUUAGAAUUGUGAACAUAAGGAGUUACUUAAGCUCAAAUAUGGAUCCAAGUUGAAUAUAAAGAUUAUUGAUAAUGUUUAUUUGAUGUAGGCACAUUUCCUAUUGAAUCACGUGAGACUCAACAUUCUAUAAAUGUAGUUAUUGCGCGCAACAUGCAAGACUUAUAUCAUAGUACAUGAAUGCUCUUUUAACUAAGCUGGCUUUAAAUUAUGAUUUGACUAUUUUCUCAGGGCGGAUUCCCUAGUCUCCAAGAGUUAGAAUUGGAUUUAUCGGAAUGGAUGGAGAUAUGGCAUGGGCAUUUUCAUCAUGGAGAAUUCUUUUGCAAGCUUAGUUUGCUUAAGCUUCAUCAUCUCUCCCAGGAGUCUUUAAUAUCCACAUGUCACUUUGUUGAGAGUUUAACCAACUUAAAAGAGCUAGUUGUAUGUGAAUCUUAUCUAGAAGACCCAAGCAGCAAUGAGGAAGCCAUAGAAGGCACAAGUCAUGAGAUGAAAGUAAUAUUACCCUUUUUCAAGAUAUAUUCGACAUUUGCAAACUCUAGAUGUGUCACAUUGUGAUGGGUUAUCAAAAAUGUUCACACCAACAAUUGCUGAAAAUUUGGUGGCACUCACAAAAUUGAAGAUAAGUAAUUGUAGAAUGUUGACAGAAGUCAUUAAUGAUGAGAAAGGUGGGGAGGGGCGUGUGGUGGCUUUCAAUCAAUUGAAGUAUAUGGAGCUUGAUAGGUUGACAGGGUUGAGAAGUUUCAGCUCACGGAGAUAUACUUUGAUGUUCCCUCUCUUGGAAGAUGUCAUUGUGACUAGGUGUCCCAACAUGAAGUUUUUCUCUCAAGGACCGAUAGAGGCAUCAAAAUUAAAGAGAGUUUGAGUAUCAAAGGAAGUGUGGUUUUGGGCAGGAAACCUCAACAUCACCAUCCAAAAUAUGUUUGAAGAAAUGGUAUGCAUCAAUUACCAAAUUCCAUGUAUUUGGAUGGUUUUGACUAGUAAAUGAAUAAUUGCUUUUUGCUAGCUAGAAGUUUACAUUUAAUGAUGCAUUUUUUGACAGGUUUCGUUUGCUGGAGUAAAGAAAAUGCUGCUAUUUGAGUUCCCCAAGCUUAUUGGAAAAUGGCAUAACGAACUGAAUCCCAUCAAGUCUUAUUGGCAAUUAGAAUCAUUGGUGGUAGAUAAAUGUCCAUCAUUUGUUAAUGAUAUUCCAUCCAAAUUGAUGCAUGUUUUAGAAAAUCUGAGCUUUUUGCAAGUGCGUGAUUGCGAGUUGCUUGAAGAAAUAUUUGAUUUGGAAGGGCUGGGGGCAAUGGAAAGCACUAGAGUACUACCUCGGCUACAGGAAUUGAACUUGGCCAAUCUACAAAAAUUGAGGCAACUAUGGAACAAAGAUCUUCAAGAAUCGCCUCACUUCAAUUCUCUAGGUUAUCUCAUCCUUUAUAAUUGCAGCAACUUGGGACAUGCUUUCACUCCAUUGAUGGCUCGGUGCCUUGCCAAUAUUGAACAGAUGGAAAUAAAGGAGUGUGGUCAGAUGGAAAGAGUGAUUGUAGAGGAAGAAGGGCAGGGAAGCAUAGUGGAGAAGAUUACAUUCCCAAAGCUCAAGUGGAUGAAACUAAAAUGCUUACCCAAUUUGACUUGUCUCCUCUUGAGAAAAAAUCAUACGUUGGAAUGCCCCAAAUUAGAAUCGCUAAGCAUUGCUCAUUGCCCUAAGAUGAGAAGUUUGAUUGGGCAAUCCCAAAUGGAGAACGACCACAACAACCCUUCACUUUUCACUCCCCAUGUCAAUCUUUUAAGCAAAUGCAUUUUUGGCAUUUCAUUGGGAACAUAUUCUCGUAGUAUUGGACAAUGCACGGUAUGAUGCAAAUUUAGUGCUUUGUGUGGGUUUAUAUACAUAUCUUCUAAAAUUAUUCUAAUCCUCAAUAAAUAUAACUAUGAACCAUCCAUCUCUGCAUCCUUUUAGAAGUGUUAAAUUGGUGUCAGUUCAUGAAAUCAUUUCAUUCAUAGUACUUUAGAAUUAAUUAGCGAGGUUCUUAAAAAAGUUACCACAAUAACCAUAUAAAGACAUUAUCUUUUUGCAAUGUCAACAAUAAAGAGCUAAACAGUAAACAUAGUAUAGCAUCUAAAAAUGACAAAAAAAUGUAGUAUUGCCACUUCAUAUUUUCUUGCACAUAAGCAAACUAGCAUCGUUCUAUUAAACAUGAAGAAAAGGGGAAAAGAAAACUUCAUAAUGUAAAAGCUUAGUUCACAAAUUGCUUAGCAAUGACAAAUCAUUGUACCAUAAAUCAUCUUCCCAAUCAAUGAAAUUAAGGGAAUUAGAGAGGGCGGCACUUUUAAUUGGAGUGUUAUAAACCUCAAUGAUGAUUCGUGCAAUCAACUUUUUUAUUUCUUAAUACUCACCAAUGCUUGAGCUAGGUCUUCAUAAUAAAAUAAAUACAAAUAGAAAGGUCAAUAUGCAUGGAGUGAUUAGUCUUCUUCGUUCAUAAAUCCUACUUGAAUCGCUAUAUUCCAACAACCUAUCAAGUUAGGUACCUGUGUUAUGCAAUAAAUAUUAACUCUGGAUAAUUAUAUUUAGUAAUAAUUAGUGUGAUAAUGUGCUCAAUUUAUAUUUGGCAAGAGAAAAGGCAGAUUGCUUUUUCCAAGAAAAGUAAUGGCGAAAGAAAGGAAAAAAAAAAAAGAGAGGAAAGGACAGCUAGAUGAUAAAUAGUAGCAAUUAUGUGGGCGGUUGCCGACAUUGCAAGUCUUAUUUCAUAACUAGAUGACAAUAUUUAGUCAAUGUCCAUGCUAAAAUAAAAAUUUUAAAAAUCAUAAUAAAUUAUCCAAUUAACAACACUACCGAAGAGAAAAUAUUAGGUGCAUUGAAUACUCCGCAUAGGAUUCGUAUUGAAUAAUCCGCAGAUCAACACAUGGCAAAGCCGGGCCCGCCUAUCAACCAUCAAAAUUUUUGCUCCCCCCUCUGUUCAUUUACGCCGUCACUAGAAAGCUUUGCUCUCCUCUUCCUAGUGUGGCUCUGCUCCCUCUCUCUCUUUCCUCUACAAAGGUGCAUCUCUAUACGUGAACCACACCACCCCCUUGGCCUCUAUCGGUUGUGGUGCGCUCACAGGAUAAAGGAAAAAACAAAAAAAAAAAAUAGAUAAGAAAUUAGACAAAAGUCUAUUUGGUUUUUCAGCUUCUCCCCCCUUGAGAACUGUUCGCUCUCGGUCAUUUCAUUUGACCUUGUUCCUUCUCUUCGCGACGAGGGCAAAAAAGAAAGUGAACUAAAUCUACAUAGUCAAGUAACGAUAAGUCUUCUUCCUCCCCCACCUCUCCUCCUCUACCUUCUUUUUUUGGGGCAAAUGAUUGGGUGGUCUGUCCAAUGGUUGAAUUGGAAGCUUCGGAAUCACUUCUCUGAAGCUCGCCUCCUCUCUGUGCGCGUGCAUGCGUGGGUUCCGAGCGAUUACGCGAACCGGAGCUUGUUGGUUAUGGUGGGUCGAAGUGGAUCUCCGAUGCGGAAGUGAUUUUGAAGUCGAUUCGAUCGGGGCGUUGAUUCCAACGAAGAAAAAUUAAAAAAUGUUAUCUUCAGCCCUCUCUUCCUCCUCUUUCAUCCACAGCUGCCCGACCUCCGCCCCUCCUCCGUUGUCGCCAACGGCAGAGUCAUCAGCGCCUUGCUUAGGCUGAUCCUCACUAUGUCCAAGCCGAGCAUGGCCGGCUUCCUCUGCUUUGUCCAUCUCAUCGUCCUACAGAUCUCGAAAUCUGGCCGUCCAUAACGACGCAGUUGCAGAUCUAGAAGUCCACCACCAUUGCUAGCAGCCAUGGACGUGCCACUGUCGCCGGAACGAUGGCUUUAGAAUGGGAAGUUCCGUCGCGAAAAAUGAUGGCUUAUGGACUACCAUUGUCCCCUCCGUAGUCGCUCGCGAUCGGCUCAUGGUCGGCCCCAUCCAUGGCCGGCCACCCCUCCAUCAUCACAGAUGCUCGUGGUCGUUGCCCAUCCAGAUCUGGAUUGGAGUCGUGUCUCCAGAUCUAGUAUCGUCCAUAGACGCAAGCCUAGCUCGUCCAUGGCUCGCGAGGAGGCUCCUCCACAGAUCUAGCGAUCACUGCUUGUCCAUGGCCAUGAGCCUUGACGACGAGUUUGAGAUCCUGACGGCCAAGGACUCCGAGGUCAAACAGCGAAACAAAGAAUAGAGGAAUAGAUGUUAGGGAAGAGUGGCCACAGACGAGACGGCCGGAGCUUGAAUGCGGCCAUGGACAAGGGGCGUCAUGAACAGGUAGACCACAAAGACGACGGAGAGGGUUGGACGCCCGGCAAUGGUCGCCUUGGACACAGCGCCGGCAACUCCGCCGUUGGCAACGGCGGAGGGAGGCAGGAAGGUUGGGUUCAAUGUGGGUGGAGAUGGAGGAGAAAGCCUAGAUGGAGGAGGAAAGUGAGGUGGAUUGAGAUUUUUUAUGUUUAGUCAUCUGACCAAAAAAUGCUAAUAUUUAGUCAAUGUCCUAGCUAUAUAAAAAAUUAAAAAUAAUAGGAAUCAAUCAUCCAGUCAACAUUUCCAUUCCGUUCCAUGAAGUUCUCACGGGAAGACUGAACGCAAUAAAUGACGACCUCCACCGGCACUUCUUUUUUUGGGUCGAACCCUGAGGCACUUGAAAAUGUGCGAUAUCAACCCAAAUUUGAAUUUUUGGCGUUCAUUUUUUUAUUAUGGAUUCCAUAUAAGUUUCGGUUAUUUCUUUUUUCCCUCGAGGGAAGAAAUGCUUGUGUUUUGUCUUAUUCUAAUACUUUUGUGCGAUUCUUUCUAUCGUUGCUUAUGAGUAGAAUGUUUAAUCAUGAGGAGUAUCUAUAUAUUUGUUUACUAUUUAUCGUAAAAGUUAUUGCUAAUUAUUUAUUUAUUUCUAAUGUCAUUUGCAUGUAUAAGUUGUCAUGUAAUAAUAGGUAUCCCCACAUUUUGAGGAUAUUUCAAAAGGUCAUUAUUACAUUGAAUCAAGAAUACUAAUAAAUUGGGGAAGCAUAGAAAUAGUCAUAUGAUUUUUUGGUAGUGACAAGUUGUGAUAGCUUUAAUUUCAUUUUUAUGUCAAAUAUGAGCUACCUCUAAUAAUAAGUUGCUCCCACAUUGUUAGACAAUUUCAAAUACUCAUUGAAAUCCUCAAUUAAGAAUAUUAAUAGAUUAAGGGAAGUGUGGAAAGUCAUUUUGUUUUUUUUUUUUUUUGGUUGUGAGAAGUCAUAGUUGCGAUAACUUUACUUUUUAGUGGACAAUCAUAUUGUGGUCAUAACACGGUAAAAAAAAAAAAAAACACGGUUGAUUUUCUCCACACAAACAUAUUGUGGUCAUCCGCUUCUUUUUUCUGUUCUUUUUACUUUUCUUUUAGCCUCCAACACCCGAACAAAACUCCAAAAUCCUCAACACAAGGCAUCAAUUAAGGAUAAGAAAUUGGAUACCAUUUUUUGCGAGCAGUUGCACCACUGGCCCACCACAAGAUUCUACCACAAAAGUGAAUAAAUAAUAUUUCAAGCAAGUUAUUAAUGGUCCAAUGUAGAACUAGUAAGUUGGCCCAACUUGCUUUUUUAUGAGAUCAUAAUAUAUGUUAAUUAUUCCAAUCAUUAUAUUGCCCGUGUCUAUUACAUAUUUAUUUUCUUUCGAUACAAAAAUUUUUCUGCACGUAAUAAAGAAAAAACUUGUAAACAAUUGAAGUUAUUAUUAUUUUUAUCUGGUUCGCCAUCUAAUUUGCAUGACGCUUCUCAUUAGUGAACUUUAUUAAUUGAAGAUUCAUAAGUAAUGUUCACAAUUGGUAUUAGUGUUGAAUAAGUAGCGUGCUCAUAGUAAAUAGAGGAAAUAAUCUCUAUCGUAGGAAGACACAUUUGAUGAGUGUUGGACUCGAGUUGUCAAUCAAUUGUAAGUGAAGAUGCACAAAUCUCACUUGUGCUCCCAUUUUGUGGCUUAUUGAUCCCAACUAUUGAUCUAUUUAAAAAAGUUAUUUCUAAAAUUUAUCUCAAUGCAUCAAUGAUUGAGGCACCAUAUGGUAAAAAAAUGGGGGUAGUGCAUCUCCAUCCUUUCCAUAUAUACAUGGACAUGCUUAUAUAAUCAUCUUCUAGGUCCAUGCUAUUAAAAAGCAAAUAAGCAUCACUGUACAAGAUUUCUUACCUCCAUACAAAUAAACACGAUGUCCAUGCUGUUGAUUCACUUUUGCUAAUAAUUUUCGAUUAUUCUAAAUCUACUAGAGAUGAAAAUGGGAAGUUAAUUUCUUUUAAUUGAUAAGAAAUAUAUGUAGAACCUGCUUAUACCUAUCGCUGGAGCAUCAUCAUCAUAUUGCACCCAUCAAUGUGGCAUUGGACCCAACAUAAGGAAGAGAGAAUAAUGAUAUGUAUGUAUAUCCUGAUUGGAUUGCAAUAUGAAGCACAUGCAUCAAAGCUUCUUUGAACCGUGCUUCGGCUACAUUCGUUCCUCGAACCAAAUAAAUUUAAGAAAUUCUUACCUUAUCUAAUGUUGCAUUAUCAAAAAAUCAGUGCAAGCAACUUUGAUAAUGAUCAGUUGAAUAAUCCAAGUAUUCAUCAUUGAACUUUCCAAAAAUUAAAGAGAUAAGGCGUUGCUAGUAUUAAAUGUCAAUUGAGGCACUUAAAAGUCAAUGCUCAAUGUACUAUUGAUUAUAAAUGCAUUUAUAAUUUCAUGCUUGUUGCAAUGCAAUAUGCUUGGCCUUAGUCAUUAGUCAACUUAAAUGAAAGGAUCAAUUAGCCGCUCCCUUUUUUUGUCAAUAACAAGUUCCCACAUUCUCAUGAUUUGUGAGAGUGAGGGAAGUUUAGAAAUUCUUUGUUUGAGGUCAUAACUCAAUGUAAUCACAUUCAUUUAGUCAUUUUUCUCAAUAUGCCAGGUACAAUGUCCUGAGCUUAAGCGGAUGUUUCUCUCCCAUAUGGACAAUUUAAGCAAAAUAUGGAGUGACAAUCCUCAAGAAACUCUCACUUUUGACAAUUUAUGGAAAGUGCAAGUUCAAAAUUGUAGGAGCCUUGAAAUCGUGUUUCCGCAUUGGGUGGCUACAAGUCUAACCCAACUUAAGGAACUUCAAGUGGAGUCUUGUGGGAUUGAGGAAAUAGUUGCUAGUGGGAAUGAGACUCCACAUUCCAAUACCACUCAAGAUCUUUUCCCAAAACUAACCUUUCUAGUGUUACAUGAUAUGCCACAACUCAAGAACUUCUGCACCAACUUGCCCACUUUGAAAUGGCCAAUCUUGAAGGAACUGCGAGUGACUCAUUGUGAUAAAGCGAACAUGAUGUCUCUUGUAGCAUCUAUGAGCAAUUGGGCUCAAAAAUAUUAUCAACGGGCUUUUAGACCAAGAAGCACACUCUUUAUUUGAAAUGGUAUGAUUUCAGUUGCUCUCCCUUGGUUUCUAUUUUGUUCUUUAAAGCACUCACUGAUCUCAUAUCCACUACAUAAUCAAGCCACGUUAUAUUGCUAUAGAAAACAUGAUCUCCCUUACUUAUUAGUUUGUUGACAACAUUAAAAUAUUUCUAAUAUCUUAAGUAUACUUUUCAUUUGUGGACAACCAUAAGAUAUUUCAUUACCUAUAAUUACAAAAAUAAUUAUAGAUUUUUGUUGAAGGCGCAAUAUAUUCCUAAUCUAGUCUAGUGGUGCUCCUUGGGGAAAUCAUUGAAAAUUUGACAUGAGGUCCACUUCAUUGUUGACACGUGUUGCACAUUUGAACUUUUUUUCUCCAUUUCAUCAUCUAAAAACUCUAUAAAAAAAAAUCAAUACAAACAAUUUUAACAAAGAUAAGAUUAGUACCUUAUGCACUAUUUUCUUUUGUAUUCCUUAAUUGAUCUCGUCUUAUACAUAGUCAUUCUGUUGUAUUACUUUAGACAACCUAAAACUCCUUACCUACGAGUUUGAAGAUAACGUAAUAUAUUUUAUUAUAUCUUAGGCACACUUUUAAGUUUGUGGACCCAUACGUUUCAGUAAUAUCAUCCGUGCAUCCCAUUACAUAAGUUUCCAAAGAUGACUAAUUUUAGUUGACAAGAUAAGAUAUUUCUAAUAAAAGAUGAAGAUGAAUUCGAUGAGCUUGGAGAGAUCUUGACAAGUUCACUCUACAAACUUAACCAUACCAACCUCUAUUCGAGACUUUUAAAAGCUUGAGACUUGAAUGUAGGGCUCUUGAGAUAUAAUAAACUUUAAGAAGAUGGCCACCCUCCAUGUGAAUCAUCUUAAUAGGUUUACUUUUUACGGCACAUGAUUUAUUGUCGAAAUUUUGUUGAAUUUUCUUCUCUUGUUGUAUUGGCAAUUCAACAGGAUUUUCCCAACUUGGAGAGACUUUUAUUAGUCGAUAACAAUAUUCAGAUGAUACAAGAUGGAAAUUUUCCGGAUGACAUGUUUAGCAAGCUAGAAGCACUAACACUGGCAUGCUUUCAUGAUAAAAAGGCUACCUUUCCUUCCAUAUUCCUCCUAGAGAGAUUUCAAAAUCUACAGAGCCUUGAGGUCUUUUGUAGCUCCUUUGAAGAUUUAUUCUCAGACGAAGGGCUUGUUGAAGAAGUGAAACAUCCGGUGCUUGAAAAUUUAAGAGAACUUAAGUUAAACAAGCUACACAACUUAAAGUGUGUGUGGAGAGAAGACUCAUUAGUAUCGAAAAUUCUUCAGAGCAUCAAAACAUUUGAGGUUUGGGAUUGUCCUUGUUUGACAAUAAUUUUUCCAACUGUGACAUCCUUCCAGAAGCUGACCGGCUUAGAGGUAAAGAAUUGCUCUGGAUUGGUACAUUUAGUAACAGCUUCAGCAGUCACAAAUUUGGUGCAUCUUGAAUGGAUAACUAUAAUAGAAUGUGAAAGAAUGAAAGAAGUAAUGACAAAUGAUGGAAAUGGAGAAGGAAAAGUGAUUUCUUUUGGAAAUCUACAAUAUUUGACACUCCAACAUCUGCCAAGCCUAGAAUGCUUUUCCUCCAUCGCGAGUUGUACUUUUAGGUUCCCAUCCUUGUGGAGUAUUGAAGUGGAAGAGUGCCCGAAAAUGAAGACAUUUUCUAUGGGUACGCUAAGCACAUCAAGACUGUAUCAUGUGUCAUUGUUCAGAUAUAAGUGGAGAGGGAAUUGGGAGACGAGUGAUGAUCUCAAUACAACCAUACAAAAAUUAUCAGCAUGAACAAAUUCACAUAUAAUUGGUAAGAUCCAAUUGACGUCAUUCUCUCAUCAAUUUUUUUUUCUUUCUCUUUAUUCUUUUGGUAGUGCCGUAAGUUUUUAAAAUUUUUCUUUUUGUGACUUUUCUAUUAUUUAUUCCGUCAGAUCAGCAUCACCAUUCCGUCAGCUCAUCCUUCAGUGAACAGCGGGAAGCAAAGCAGGGCUCCCCUUCUCCUUCUUGACGCCAGAAGCUCUCUCUCCAUCUUUCUUCUUCUUCUUCUUCUUCUUCUUCUUCCUCCUCCUGCUCGGUGAAGCGAAACUAGGGGGAACCUCUGCUGCCUUCACAAAGGACGGAGCGAAAAUGAAGCAUCAGGAAUUGCCAGGACUGCGAGAAGCGAAGCUGCACUUAGCGGAGUGAAGCCAAGUAGAUUCAACCAGACGCUAUCGUUGUCGCCGUCGUUGCUGCCGAAGGUGGCACAACCAAGUCAGUCGUCCACUCACGUCAUCAAAGAUGAAGAAGAUCACACUCUCUCCCCGCAUCUGCAUCCGACAAAUUGUAAGUUCAUGUUUCUUCCGAUUUUGGUGUCUUAUUGCGAAUUGUUGGGAAUAACGGAUCCUCGAAAAGCGGAUUCGACACUGAAUCGAACCCUUAAAUCAAUGCAGAAGCGAAGCCUGGGAAAACAACACGUAUCACUGAUCGUAAAGCACACCACGGAUUCGAGCGUACCUUGUUAGCCACAGAUUAAACACCGACGCCGAUAGAGGAAGAGAAACUUUGUCCUGUUUGAUCCGAUGAAGCAAAAUCGCCUUUGAAGGGAAGAAAAACGCGCCGUAUGCUUUACUGUUUUUCCUUUUCUUUUUGGAGAGAGAGAGAGCGUGGGAGAAGACGUACGUACAGUUUUUUUGAUUCCAACCGGUAUCAUCUCUCUCUCUCUCUCUCCUCCCUUUUAUACCUUCCCCCAUCCACGGGCCCUAUUCCCGUGGGCCGGGCUUUUUGGGCCCAACUUGGGCGGACGAGCCUUAAGCCCAUCUCAUAUAAAACCAUCAUCUCCCACUCGCACAUGGUGGGCCGAACAGGAUUCUCUUUACCUCUCUUCAACAUUCAUACCGGUGAAUAAUCCGUGUGACCAUCAUACUUUGAGAGCUCGUUGCUAUACAUAUGUUAGGAAUAUAUAGCAGCUCAUAAUGGGUGUCACACUCCGAGUAGAUUUAGUAUGCAGUACCCUAGAUCGAUCGAUCACAUUUAUAUCUCUCUUAAUCUCUUUCAAACUUGAUAUAUAUAUAUAUAUAUAUAUAUAUAUAUAUAUAUAUAUAUAUAUAUAUUGUAUUCACAAUUACAAUUAUCACAAAGACAAUCAUAAUUGGUCGACCAGUGAAUACAAAACUGCAAUGUGAUUCUCCAAAAUCGAUCUUCCUCUUUCCUUCAAACUCUCAAUUUCAGUUUAGCUUACUUUUCUAGAAAUGUCCCAUUAGAUCGAAUCAAUUCAUGACCAUUGGCAACAUCCUAAGAUAGCAAACACUAAAUAGAAAUCUUGAGAAUAAGUAAGAGUCAUGAGGGGACUAAAAAUUGAGGAACUCUUUUCCUCAAGAGUCUCACACGUCAUAAAAGUUGAGAUCAAACUUUUUGCCAAUCUUAUUGGUCGUCUCAUGCAUACGUAGUAUGAAAUACGUAUUACGGUAUUAACUCCUUUCCCAUGGAGCCUAUGUCUACAUUUUUCAAUACCGUACAGAUGAUAGUUCAGACAUGCCCAAUGUCUAACUUGAGUUCACGUAUCUACUCAUUCACAGAAUUCAUCAGAACUCACAUCUAGCAUCUUAGACAGAUAAAGUAAAAUAUGUAGGGUAUUUUACUUUCGGACAUCGUAAGAAUUAUGUCCUCAUCUUAACACUCAGUUAAGGCGACAUAUGUGUUUUAAGCUUGAGCUCCUAGAUAAUAAGCUUAAAAACAGUCUCAUCUCUAUUUAUCACACAGUAAAUAGAGGCGAUUACCCGUGUGAGUGGGCUAAUCUUUUAUCUGUCCGACAUACUUCCUCAACUUAUAAUAAUACACUGAGUAUUAAGAUGCAUAAAGAUCAUACAAAGAUUCAUAGGCAUUAAUCAAUGAAAAACAAAAUUUCAUAAAUGUGAACAACUCAGGGAAAUUACAACUCAGUACAUCAGACUCUACGCAAUCCUAGAGAUUUUACAUGACCACAAAACACAUCUCUAGGUAUUGGCUUUGUCAUAGGAUCUGCUACCAUUCUAUGCGUAGAUAUGUACUGCAAGUUCACAUCCUUUCGUGCAACCAUAUCUUUUACAAAGUUAUACUUGGUAUCUAUAUGUUUGGUCUUGCCAUGAUACUUUGGAUCUUUGGUGUAUGCUAUAGCUGCUUGGCUAUCACAGUUAACCAAUAAUUGAUUUGCAGCUUUCUCAAUAACACCUAAAUGAUCCAAGAAUCUCUUAAGCCAAACUCCUUGUACUGCUGCUAAUAAUGCCACAAACUCAGCUUCCAUCGUGGACAAGGCUAUACACGUUUUCUUCUUACUACUCCAUGAUAUGGCGCCAUUGCUUAGUAAGAAAGAAAAUCCUGAGGUAGAUUUUCUUUCAUCUAAAUCUCCUCCCCAAUCAGCAUUUGAAUAGCCUUCAAGUCGCAUAUCCUUUCCAUGGUAAUUCAACUUGAAAUCAACAGUUCUCUUUAGAUACCUCAAUAUUCUCUUAACGGCUUUCCAAUGUGCUGGACUUGGGUUGGAUUGGUAUCUACUCACCAUUCCAACUGCAAAACAUAUGUCGGGUCAUGUACACAUCAUAGCGUACAUCAAGCUCCCAACAGCACUAGCAUAAGGAACAUGUUUCAUUUGUUCCUUCUCUUGUGGAGUCCCUGAACACAGUCUAUGGCUCAAUCCUUCACCCUUUGCAAUAGGAGUGUCUAUGGGUUUACAAUCUUGCAUACGAAAUCGUUCAAGAACCUUAUUUAUAUAUGUUUCUUGCGAAAGAGACAACAAUCUCUUCAAACGAUCUCUUGAAAUUUUAACUCCAAGAAUGUAUGCAGCUUCACCCAUAUCCUUCAUCUCAAAGUUGGAAGACAACCAACUCUUGACAGUAUUAACCAACUCCAUAUUGCUUCCGGCAAUCAGUAUAUCAUCAACAUAUAAUGAUAUGAUCACAAAUUGAUCCUUGGAUCUUUUGAUAUAUACACAAUGAUCCUCUUCAAUCAUUGUAAAAUCAUAUGCCAUUAUGGCAUUAUGAAAACGUAUAUACCAUUGUCUCGAUGACUGCUUGAGGCCAUAUAUCGAUCUCAAAAGUCGACAUACCUUUUCUUCUUGGCCUUUCACUAUGAAACCAACAGGUUGUUCCAUAUAUAUAUUUAUUCCUCUAAUUCUCCAUUGAGGAAAGCAGUCUUUACAUCCAUUUGAUGUAACUCAAGAUCCAGACUAGCCACUAUUGCCAGAAUAGUGCGAAUCGAGGUAAAUCUCACUACAGGAGAAAAUGUAUCUUCAUAAUCAAUUCAUUCCUGUUGAUUAUACCCAUUCACUACAAGGCGAGCCUUAUGCCUUUCUAUCGAGCCAUCAACCUUUCGCUUUAUUUUAAGAACCCAUUUGUUCCUAAUAGCUCUGCGUCCUUUUGGAAGAUCAACCAGUUCCCAGACUUAGUUUGAUUUCAUUGACUCCAUUUCCUCUUCCAUUGCAUUAAUCCAUUUUUCCUUACUAGGGCAAUUUAGAGCAUCAUUAAUAUUUCUUGGCUCAUCCUCAUCUUGUUAAGCAACCAUAAAAUUUUCCCCUUCAAUGUCAAAACGGGGAAUACUUUGGCGACUUGUUCGCCGUAUGGGAGAUUGUACACUAUGCACAUCAUUUCCCAUCAUGCUUCCACUUGGAUUAGGUAAUGAUGAUGUCGUCUCAUCAUGUGGUUGUAAUUGAGAAUGAGUUGAAUUCAAUUCAUCACUUCUCAUAUUACUCCCACCUCGGAUAAACUCCACUAACAUCAUUAUCCUGAUCCAAUGUUUCAAAUAGGGAGUGAUCUUCCCCUAUUUCGCCCUUCUUAGAAAAUUCAUCCUUUAAGAAUGUGACAUCUCGUGAUUCAAAUUCAGUUAUACUCCCACUUUCCUGCUCACCUAUGAACACAUACCCUUUUGAGUGUUCCGAGUAUCUUAUGAAAAUACUCUUCUUUCUUCUGGGACCUAAUUUCCCAAACUUAUGAGAGGACUCAUGUGUAUAGGCAGCACAACCCCAUGGCUUAAGAAAGCUUAAGUCCAGUUUUCUACCUGUCCAUAACUCAUAUGGAGUGGAAGUAACUGAUUUGGAAGGCACACAGUUAAGUAUAUAGGCAACAAUUAACAACGCAUCACUCCAAAAGGUAAUAGGUAAGUUAGCAUGCGCCAUCAUGGACCUAACCAUUUCCAGUAGGGUUUUGUUCCUUCUCUCCGCAACACCAUUUUGUUGAUGAGUAUACGUAAUAGACAACUGUCUUUCUAUUCCUUUUUCAUCACAUAAUUUUCUGAACUCAUCAGAUAAAUAUUCCCGACCUCGAUCGGAUCUCAAUGCUUUUAUUUUCUUGUCUAAUUGAUUAUCUACCAAGUUCAUAAACCUUUUGAAACAACUUAUUGCUUCAAAUUUAUGAGAAAUCAAAUAGACAUAUCCGAAUCGAGUAUAAUAAUCAAUAAAGGUGAUGAAAUAAACAGCCCCAUACCUUCCUUUCACAUUCAUUGGACCACAGACAUCAGAAUGGAUUAAAUGCAGAGGAAAUUCAGCUCUUUUUCCUUUUCCAAAUGGUUUCCUUGUCGUUUUCCCUUCUAGGCAAUGCUUACAUAUGGGCAAAUCGACUUUUUCAAUGUUGCCCAACAAGCCCUCUUUGGCUAGUCUAUUCAUACGCUGUUGGCCAAUGUGACCAAGUCUAGCAUGCCACACAUUCACAUCAUUAUCAUAUGUAUUAGGAGACGUGAGAAGGGAAUAACAAACAUUUGCAUUAACAUAAUCAAUAUCUAAUACAAUGAAACCAUCCAGAAAAUAACCACAACCAUAGUAAUUUGUAUCCAAAAACAAAUUCACACCUCUACUAUAGAAGUUCAUAUUAAAACAUAAUUUAACCAACACUAAUACAGACACUAAAUUCCGACGAAUCUCCGAAGCAUACAAUACAUCAUGAAGGAACAAAGUGCGUCCACCACGCAUAUUCAGUUGGCAUGUGCCAAUUCCUUUCACUUCAGCUCUGGAGUUGUUUCCCACAUAGAUCCACUUAGUUUCAGAUGGUACUCGUCGGAAUUCCACGAAGGAUCCUCUAUCCUUCGCUACAUGGUCCGUCGCUCCUGAAUCCACAGUCCACAAAGGAUUAUAUUCAGUUAAGAACACAGAACUCGACACAAAAGCAAAGUUCUGAAAAGUACAAGGGGUGCAUACCUUCUUUGGCUCACGACAGUCGCGAGCAUAGUGACCAUUCUUGUCACAGUUGUAGCAUUUCGCCCUUGCAAGCUUCUUCAUGCAAGGACGCUUUCCUCUAUUAUGUUGGUUAAACUUGGGUUUCUUCCAUGAAGGACUAGCUUCUUCCUUGCAUUUCCCUUUAUCAAACCAGUUAAGGCGCUUGCGCUUAGAGCUCGAAGCUCCAUUUGAGCUAGAACUAGCAUGAUAUAUAGUUCAGCAUCCGGCUUAGCCGCCAAGAGGCGGUCCUCUUCCAGCUCAAGAUGAUGCAUUGCAUCCUCAAAGGUUUUGAUAUUUUCAUUAUGGGUCAGGUGCACCUUCAUAUGCUCCCAACUUUGAGGCAAGGAACGAAUCAUUGCUUGCACUUACUGCUCAUCUGUGAGGACAUGGCCAGCAUCUUUCAGCUCAGUUAUCAUGUUUGACAUCUUUCUAAGAUGUUGCUUCAUGGUUUGACCAUGAGGCUUCUUGUAAGAGUCAAACCUGAUAGUGAGCUGCCUCAGUCUGGUCACCGAAGUAUGACCGAAUCUAGCUGCCAAUGCCUCCCACAUUUCCUUGGCAUUGUCAAAAUGCCUAAACUCUCGCAUGACGUCAUUUUCCAUGCUGCUCGGCAACGUGAUGCGAGCUAGAGAGUUCUUUCUUUUCCACGCAGAAAAAGCUUCCUUGUCUCUUUUGUGCUGUGCAGUGGUUCCCUCUUCAGGUUCUACCAUGGUUAGGUUAAGAGCCUCAAGUGCUUCUUGCUCUUCUAGUACAUACUGGAUUUUCAUUUGCCAAAUUUCAUAGUUGUCACCAUUGAGCUUUUCACCUUUGUUCAGCUCGGCAACUAUGCUCUUUGUGGCUGAAGCCAUUGAUCUGAACACAUCAGACAAAUAUGCACGAAUUAUUAAUGUCUAUCAUUUAUGCAUCCCUAUUUACAUAGACUCAUCAUAUUAAUGAACAAUUUCAAGUAAUGUUUUAAAAUCAAAAUGUCACUAUGUUUCCAACCAUCCUCCAAAAAUCCUAACUUAAAACUAUCAUUAAUAUGAUUGUCAUAUGCAAAAUCAAUUCUAUGAAGCUACAAAAACUUCUAAAACUACCCACAUCUAAUUACCCACAGCAACUAGCAAUAACAGAAAGCAAUAGAUAAUUGAUAUCCAAUAAAACAAUAAUGCUUUCAACUAAUACAACUAACAUAUAUGUUGUUACAACAACAACAAUCAGGUAGUUAAUAUUACAUAAGAUGUCCACAAAGCACACUUAACUGAGAUCAGCCAAUACAACUAACACCAAGUCAACACACGAACUGGGAAAGAUCCUCUUUUGUUCAAUUUCUUGAUAUUUUCCCUUGUCACAAUACAGUAAUAUUCAUUUACAAAAUCCAUUACAAUUUUCUUAUAAGAAGCAGCUCUAUUGACAUCCCAUAUGCGAUUCAACACAUCUUGCCAUUCAAGUGGAAGAGUGUUUAUGAAAAAUCGCACCAUCUCUGACUGUGGCAUAGGACGACCAUUCCAUAUUACCUUUUGAAUUUUUCCGUUGACUGCAAGGACGUGAUCAAUUAAGUCACCACUCUCCCAUCAAUGAUCAGUUAGCUCAACUAUCAACUUAGACAGUCUUUCCUUUUGUUCAUCGGUAAUUGCGCGAAUAGGUGUGCGCAACCUCAGGGGAGGCAUUGUUCAUACAACAAAUGCAGAACAAAUAAGGGAUCACAUAUAAUCCACAUAUACGUAAUUGAAAAAGAAACACAUUCUUCCCCCCCCCUUUUUUUUUUGGUCAACGGUCAACGGUCAACGGUCGUCGGUCGUCAGACCGGUCAGACCGGUCAGGCCGGGUCGGACGGACCAACCGCACAUGCCGCGCGCAUGCGCGGGCUGACGUCACGCAGAUGUCAGCCAGCACGUGCCGCACGCGUGCCAGGCGUCCGCUGGUCGGGUCGCCGGCCGGUGACCGCCCGGCCAACCGUCAUCGGUGCUAACGUCAUCGAUGACGUCAUCCCAGCGGUUACUGACCGUUGAGUGACGUCAACAUGCGUCGGUUCGCCGACCGGCGUGUGUGCCGCACGCGCUGGGCGAGCCAGCGCUUCCGGGCGCGUCGCACCCACGCGCAGCGCCUUCUGGCCGCGCAUGUGGGCGCAUGCGGCGUCGCCUGGCGGCGCACGACGUAUCCCCAGACUCAUCUCGACGUCGCAUUUCUUCCUAUGUCAUCAGAAUUCGAUUUCGACUUACGCAAACUCGGAAAAAAGGACGUACAAUGCUCGGGUGUCGGGAUUUCACGCCUCGAUUCGUACGGCCGAAAAGUUUUUUGCGAAAAAUCAAUCAAAAAACGUCAAACAGGUCGGGAAAACGUGAACUAGGGCUCUGAUACCAAUAUUGGAAAUAACGGAUCCCCAAAAAGCGGAUUCGACACUGAAUCGAACCCUUUAAAUCAAUGCGGAAGCAAAGCCCGGGAAAACAACACGUAUCACCGAUCGUAAAGCACACCACGGAUUCGAGCGUACCUUGUUAGCCACAAAUUAAACACCGACGCCGAUAGAGGAAGAGAAACUUUGUGAUGUUUGAGCUGAUGAAGCAAAAUCGCCUUUGAAGGGAAGAAAAACGCGCCGUAUGCUUUACUAUUUUUCCUUUUCUUUUUGGAGAGAGAGAGAGAGCGCGAGAGAAGACGUACGUACGUUUUUUUUAUUCCAACCGGUAUCAUCUCUCUCUCUCUCCUCCCUUUUAUACCUUCCCCCAUCCAUGGGCCCAACUUGGGCGGACGGGCCUUAAGCCCAUCUUAUAUAAAACCAUCACGAGUAAAUUAGGGCUCUAUUCUUCAAAUUCAUUCUACAUUCGAGUCUAAAAUUAGGAGUUCCUCAAACUAGCAAUUUAUUGCCCUUAAAUCUACACCUUCUAUGCUUCCCUCGCGAGCAUUGGCGAGAUUUCUGCGUGUUUGAGCUCUCAUAGAUGGAGAUGAUAUGUUGUGUUCAAGGUCUCAUGUUGAAAUUUCUUUGGGUAGAGAUAUCUUUGUAACAUUAGGUACAAUUUUCUACCAGGAAAAAGGGAGAAAUCACGGAACUUGAAAAUAAUUCGAGAAUUCCACGCCGUCAAAAAUAUGAAAAGUCACUUUUACGCCUUGUUUGCAAUAUAGUCUAGACUGUUUGAGGAAUCACUUGUAAUCUUGAUUGGUUAAGUGUUGCUGGAAGGACAAAAAUUUAUUUUCAAUUAAUGCUAAAUCUUUUCAUAGCAAGUCAAACUAUUGAAGUGUACUUAAACUAUCUCUAAAGUAGUCAUUUUUUAAGUAUAGGCUGGUCCAAGCAUUCAAGAAGAUUGAGGCAUCAUCAGCUGGUUUUUAUGAUCCCAUGUGCCCAAAGCCUCUCACUGCUCUUACAUUGGCCAACAAAUUUCAAAUGGAGCAUCCCUUUGUCAAAGAUGGUGAUGAGGCCCUCUUAUGUUUAGUUUGGCUUGGUAUGAUCCCAUGCUUACUGACCCAAACUCGCACGUCUGAAAAUCAAACAUAUGGAUGCUGUUUAUAUCUUUGCUUAUACUCUAGUAUAUAUCCAAGUUGACUUAAUGUAGUAAAUCACAUGACAUGUUAUUCUCCUUGAACUAUUCCUAAGUGUAUGUCAAAAAUCAGAUAUAUAUCUUAACAAUGGAGUAAUUGAAGGAGGGAAAAGAAUGAAAGGACAAUUAUUGUGACCUAAGUUGGUCGUUGAGGUUCGGAAACAUAACAGUUCUCCUUUUUUGUGGAUAGACGUUUAAGAAAACAAUUGCUGAGGCGAGCCUUAAGAAUUAUAAUCCAAGUCCUCUUACAUGGAGAAAAUUGACGAUGUUAUUCAAUGCUGUAAAUUUAGAUUAUAUACGUAAAUCAUCAUACAAGGGGACUAGUUGAUAAGGACAAGCAAAUUGCAAUAAUGUCAUUACCUCCAUGACUAAAGGGAAAGACCUGAAAGAUAAGGGGGUGGCUAGUUAUCAUAGUGACGAAUAAUUUUAAUGCUAAAUAGGAGAUACUGUUUUAUUUUGUUAUACAUAUCAUAUAUUUGAGGGGAAAAAAAAAAGCUUACUUUACUUUGUCAUAUAGAACCAAUAGUUUGAUAAAUCAUUAAAUUUAGCUGUGAUUGAAAGAAUUGAACAGCUUAGUCUAAAUUUUCAAUUCCAUCCAUGUUCGACUCUUAGAUGUCUUUGCUUUUUCCCUUGCGGUUGUGGUCUGCAUGGCUAAAAUGCAUGUCUGUUAAAUUUAUAUAUGACAUGGAAGGCUUCUUCUGGUUAUGUACCCUAUUGCACUCUAGGAGUGUAUAUUUUGACAUUUGACUUCAUAUUGCAUGUUGAGAUUGAUGACUUUCAUUAUAUGGUUUAUUGUUGAUUAAAACUCCUGGAACCAGCAACUACUGCCUUAAAUUCAUGCUUUGUGUGAUUUGAUUCUCUCAUAAUUGUAUGCUUUUGUUUUGGUCUUUCUUCACCAUAUGUUGGUUUUUCAACCAUGUAAACAAGGAGACUGCUCCUGCUCAAUUCAUCAGGCAACAUAUUCAGGAAAACAAGUAAAUUGCGACUCUUGGGUAUUCAGGCAGGGUGUGGACAGUGAAGCUCAAGAGCUGUAAACGUGACCAAAGGGGCAUUUUUUUUUUUGGCUGGUUGGUCCUCAUUUGCAAGAGAAAUUCGUCUGCAUGUAGGAAUGUUUGUGCGUUUGAGCUCAUUGGGAGGAUAUUGUGUUCAGAGUCUACAUUUCCACUAGUGCUGGUAAGGACUUGAUUUACUUAACAAAGAUUAACUCUAAAGGUUUCACUUUGGUUGGUCCAAAAUAAAUGCUGUACUCCUAAUAAUAUCUCCUUUUAUUUUGUCUUGAUGAAUCAAUGAAGUAUACUUAUAUUCUGAUUGGGUUUGUGAGGUUCAUAAUAAGCUAGAUGCACGCUCAUUAAUGCCACAUUCCAAAUCUAAAUGAACCAAAAAGGAUGUGCUUCACGAUGUCUUGAUUUAUGCGUUCUUGUUGUUCAAUUUGAAUUUGAAAUCAAGUGUCAUAGGCUUAUGAUAAUUUAUGGGUUUUAUUUUUCUCACAGGGAUUACCAGAGAGGUUCAUGAGAAAAUAUGGUGAGAAUCUCUCUAAAAGGAUGCUCCUGAGAGUGUCAACUGGUGCAAUUCAUUGGCAUGCAGAAUAGGAAAAAUGUGAUGAGAUGGUUUCGUUAUCAAAGGGUUGGAAUGAAUUUGCAGAGCAUCACUCUAUAUGUGAGGGCCAAAUUUUGGUCUUUGAUUUGAAUGGACUCCCUUUUCCAUGUAAUAAUAUUUGAUUAUUGCACGUCUAAGAUAGAAUACUUGCCAACAAAUGCUGAUCUGAGGAACCAAGCUUGGCAAUUGUGGAUUUGUCUUGCUGGAAGUGAAUUGCAUUCACCCAAGUGUCCUCAUCUUUGUAAGGCAAGGAAUCUCAUCAGGUGUGCAGAGUUCAUGGCCCAUGUACAAUCAUCAGCAGAGUUUGGGGAGAGAUGGCGAACUGCUCUUCAUGAGAUUUUCGAGGUGUAAAUCUUAAUCUACUACCGAAUUCUCUCCUUGAUUGUGUUGUUCUCCUGUUUGAUUUGAAUUUCAUACAGGAACUCUCCAUGUCGUUAGGCUAAUAGAGACUGUGUUAGUGCUAAUUCAUCCUUGUAGUGUUUUUUUCUGUCUUUAGCUUUUCCGUGUGUGCAUUUGUAUGUGUUGGGCGAUUUCAUAAAUGUCAAGCCAAUGGAAACAAGUGAAACUAAUAGUGUCAAUUUUGAUUGUGCUGAAAAUGAUAUUGGUGUCCACAUGCCUUAUAGGCCCUGGAAGCUAGACCACUUGAAAGACUCAGAUCUAUUGAUUUGCCGUUGCUAUGUCAGUAGAUAUGAGUUUCACUUAACAAGAAUAGGAUAUGCCUAGAGAGCAAAAGCUUUCUUCAUGUUCUGUUUGUGAUUACUGCAGGUAAGCUGAAAGAGCCAUGAUUUUGCAGAGCUCUUGAACUGGCCAGGUAUCCUUUCUUCCAAAGUGCAGUGAGGUGAAUGUAUUGGAGAAAAGCAACGUGGUAAGAUCCUCAUGACAAUGACAACUCUUGAAUUUAAAUACCAUAUAGUUGCUAGACUAUGCUAGCUCUAGGCUAAUCGUACAUCAUGUCAGGGUUUUUGUUUUUAUCCUUCACAUGUAUUGUCGUCCUUAGAAAUCAUUGGUUGUUUUAUUCUUUUUUAUGACAAAAUUGCGAAACAUCUACUUAAGCAGAUAGUUCCUGGUUCAUUGUCACAGAUACACAUCAAGAAAAGUCCGCAGACCAUGGCUCUCAUAUUUCCCGACAAAUCUUGGCUGGUGAAGCUCGUUAGUCAUGAACAUUAUGGGAAGUUAUUUUCCGGUUGGGCCACAUUAACAAGAGAAACUUCUCUGAAGGUAGGAUACAUACUUGAUUGAGCUUAUUAGAAGGGAUGGUAUCACGUUCAGAGUAUCCAUCUUCAGAAUCACUGAGAAGACUUGGGGUCAGAAUAUUAUGCAAAAGGACACAGCAAAGGAAGAAUCCUUUAGGCCAUUUUUGGUGUGAACAUAACUUCAGAAUUUUGCUAGGCUGAAAUUUGCUUCCAAUUCGGCAAAUCAGAUAAAGAGCGUGAGUUUUGUUCUAAUGAAUGGAAUGGUCCUGAAUGUGGAUGAUACCUUCCCUUGAUCUUAGUGUUAGGGCCUGUUUAGCAACGUGCCAAACAGUGCCAGAUUCUGAUUUUUUGUUCCCAGAAUCAGUUUGGGACGAGAAUCGCGUUUGGUAAAAUUUUUGUUCCCGGGAACAAUUUUGGACAAGAUUUGAGAAUAAAAAAAAAUUUUGAUUCUCUGUCCGAGAAUCAAAAAAAGAAUCAAAACGGUAAAACCCUCGCUCUCCCCUUUCGUCAUCCCGGUUGCCGUCCGCCAUCGCCCGCCGCCGUCCGCCACCACCCGCCGCCACCCUUCCUUCUCGGUCGCCGGUCCAGCGAGGUCGUCGGAGGCUCGCCAGGCCAAGGCGAGGUCCAGCGAGCUCGCCGGAGGCAAGCCCAACCACCGGCGAGGCUGGGCGAGGCUCGGCCUCGCCAGAUCGGGCGAGGUCGAGCCUUGCCGAUGGCUGGGCGAGCCUCGCCCAGCUGCCGAUGAGGCUCACCUGGCCACCGGCGAGGCUCGGCCGACGAAGGCCGACCUCGCCAAGGGCUGGCGAUGCUCCGGUGAGCGUCGCCGGCCCUCGUCUGGCUGGUCGCCGGUCUGGCGACCAACCAAAUGAAGAAGAAGAAGAAGAAGAAGAAGAAGAAGAAGAAGAAGAAGAAGAAGAAGAAGAAGAAGAAUAGGAAAACGGAGAAAAAAAGAAAAAAAAAAGGAAAAAAGAAAAGUAAAAAAAAAUUAUUUAAAAUUUAUUUAAAAAUCAAAAGAAAUUAAUUUGGAACAGAAUCAAUUAACACGGUAUCAAACGCAAUUCUAUUCCAGAAUAAAAACUUUUGGACAGUUACCAAACGCACUUUUUUACUCAGAAUCAGUUCCCGGGAACAUAAUCAAAAAUAAUCAUUUCUAGUCAGAAUCAGCUCCCGGUAACAGAAUCGUUGCCAAACGCGCCCUUAGCUGUCAUCAUGUGGGCACGAGUCAUGAGAUGGAGGAAGCUGAUUGCCAAUGUCAAAUUAAGUGCUUCUUCAAUGUUUCUAGUGGCUCAACCUGACAUUUGGAGCUGUAAAGUGUAGUAACAUCGAAUGCACUUCCCUUCAGCCAUAUUACCAACUCUGAAUUUCAAGGCACAACCCAUGGUUUUACAAAGUUUAAUGUGGACAUACAUUAGAUUCUUUUCAUUUUCUCCUUUCGAAUUCAUGAAGAUUCUAUAAUGAGCCUUUUUUUCCAUGUGGGCUGCGCAAAUUGAAGUUUCUGAGUUUCUUCUCAUGUGGAGCAUUUUAGAACUUAUUUUGUCAAAUGAACUGAGUCUUGAAAUGCGUGUCAAAGCAAUUUGGAAUGAAACAACCUGGUAAGGGGGACCAGCAAAUGACAUACGUCGGCAUCGUCUGAAUGUCACAAGGAACCGGCUAUCUGCAGGUAUUUCUUGAAGCAGCAACGUUCAUCAAGGAGAGUUCGGAGUUCGGCCUGAAUGACUUUUGCUUGAGAAAGAGACCAUGGGUCCUGACUCCUGAGCUUCAUCAACUCAUUCCAAAUAUGUUGGUCGAUUUUUGCUUUGUUAUGCUCUCUUCCACUUCAUCGCGUCCUUCGGAUUCCGUUGCCGUUGUUUAGGCCCACGUGCAAAGGGGAUGUUUGGAUAUGAUAUGCCGAUUCGAAGGAUGAGAUUUCUCGAUUCCACUCUCGGUCUUCCUGCUGGUGCGGUGUACCAGCAUUGACGUGGAUGUUGGUCCGUCAGCUGACAAUUAUGUGGGCAACUAUUAAUAAUAUUUUAUUUUAUUUUAUUUUUUGAUUUUUUAUUAAUUUUUUACUUCAUCGACCAAUGCAAUCGGAGGCCAAUUGAGUCAUCAUCGUUUGAGACUACAAGCCAAGGGCGUGAAGAUUGGCGGCGAGCUUGAAGAGAAAACAAUGAGAGAAUGCAGUGCAAAGCAAAGCCCGUGGAGAUGAUGGCCAAUCGUGUUCAUUUACAAAGGGAAAUUUCCACUUUUAUCUCUCGCAAUUUCAACUCCAUAAAAACAUUUUAAUUUUUCCUUAAGUCUUUCAAUUUGAGAUUUCUAUGUAAGUUCUUUCUUAUUGGAAAGCAAAUUGAACUAAGUUCAUUUCCAAUUAUCGAGAUGUCAUCCAUGUAAAUUAACAUCAUGAUAAAUGAAUUUCUUCUCCUAUUUACGGAGUAAAUCCUAACUUAAACAAUGUCUCGGAUAAAUGCACAUAAGACCUUUCAAUAGUUUAUCUGCACUUUUUGCCUUAACUAGUCCUACAGAUUUUAUCAUACAUUUGUUGACAAAUAUGACAUGAGUACUCACAGGUUGCACAGUCUUUACCACCAUAUCAAGGUUGAGCAUACGAAUGACAAGAGUCAUGACACCAUUUGACAAAUGACAUCCUAUUCCGACAAAGUCGGCCAUACUAAGGGUUCAAUAAGUUGAGAACAAAUCAAAUUUAUGUAAUAUCAUUUUGUGGUUUUAGGAUUGAAUCGUAUCUACAUACUAAUCUAGUUCGAGCAUUUCAUCAAACAAGUAAUAUGCAUUUUGAUCAAGGAGCUCAUACGCAAAUGUACGGCAACGAUUGACUUUUAGAUCAUCACGAAAAUAACAGUACAAGUUCUAGUUGCUAAUAGAGCUUCAAUCUCAACUGAUUUACUCACAGACAUUAGCUAAAGCUAACAGGCUCUGUUUCGUUCAUGAGCGGCAGAAACAGAGUGUGUGGGAUUUACCUUGAUGACAUUUAAGUUUUUAACCUCGGACGGUGAUCAGAUCAUUGACAAAGUUCCCAGUGGUGUCAACGCCGAUGAUCGAGGCCAGCGAAAGGGGAACAACCAAGGUUCGUGAACUUGCGAGCGUCCUGACCAGAAAACAGAGCAAAAAGAGAGUUGGCCUGACUACAACGAAACCGGCAAUGGCGGAGCGGCUACAGGGGUGGCUAACGGUGACUGAAGGACGACGGAGAAGGAGAGCCGAUCAAGAAGCCUCAAGAAUUCUCGAGAAAGAGAGUUUCUUCGUCAGGUUCAGCGUAUGCAUACUGUUGUGUUAUCGCUGAGCCUGUGGUGGCCGUCAACGGUGGCUCAACCGUGGCUGGUUUGGCGAUUGGAGAUGGCGGACGGUGGAUUUCUGGUGUCGAUUAGUAAUGGAGAAUCUUCUGGAACUCGACUGAUCGAGAGGGAGACGGAGAGGGAGAGGGAGAGACUGUGGAUUGAGGGCUGCGGUGAGGGAAAUUGUCUGGGCCGAGGUUUACUCCGAUGGGCCUGGCAUGAUCUGGGCUACGAUUGUGGAUCAGACCCAAUAGAUUGGACCAGGCCCUCUCAAUUCUGACCGAGUGGGAGCUUUUUUAUUGCUUUUUUUUUUUAAUUUUCUUUAUUAUCUUAUAUACCUUUACAAAAAAGCAUGUUCAACUUGCUGGCAAAAGAAUAACUUCACAACCGACUCUGCCAUAAUUCCUUAUCUGUGCAAUAUUGCAACAUUAUUCAGUGAGGAUAGUUAUCACACCUAGCUCUAUAAUCCUUGAUUUGAAUUUGAGCAUUGAUGGCAUGGUUGCACUCAUGCUUGAGUUGAUUUCUUGCAAAAUCAAUUAGGUCAAUAGCCCGUUGCACACUCCCUGACCAAAGCAAUUGGCAUGCCAAAUGUGGCUUCGUUAGAAUAGGCAAACCCCUCAAGUUUAGUAAUAAACCUCGUAUCGAGACAUAAUCCAAAACUUGUGAGUAAGUUUUCAAUUUGCGGUUCUCCAUUGCAAGACUUUCGGGACACUUGUAUGAUACUCAAAUUACAUAAAUUGCCCAUGACCAUAAGUGUAAUUCUAUGUGAUGUAGUUCUUUGAUUCACUUUUGUUUAUACUAUAGAGAAACACACCACGUCAUUGGAAUUUGGCUAUAAAAAGUACUCAUUCUCAUAAGACACUCCAUCACUUUUGAUUGAACGUGAAUUUGCAUGGCUUUCAUUGUUUCCAAAUUUGAGCGUCUUCCAUUUCAUGAAUAGGCGAAUUUCGCAUUUGUCAUUAAAGACAAAUUUCAUGACGUCCUUGCAAACCCCCAAUCUCAUUACCUUGUAUAAAUUGGAAUCUUCUUGUUGAAUGUCUUAUUUCUAUCUGUUUAUUUCCUAAAAUUCGCAGGAGCUAUAAUUGCAUAAUAUAUUGUAUCCCCAUAAAUUUAAUUUGUGUAAAAUUUCCAAGACCCUCCUCAUGUUUGUUGCCCAGUUCACACACCACUUUGCAUGCUCUUGAUAUUUAAAAUUCCCACUUCGCAUCUUAAGAUUGACUAAAAAGACCGAAUCACCCUUCAAUUAAUGUACAUAAAUUCAAUCGGGGCGAGAAAAGCGGAAGGGCAUUUUUUAAAAGAAAAAUGACGGUCUAAUUUUAAACUCUAAUAAAUAAAUUCUAAAUGAUGCACAAUUAAUUGAGUUUCAUGCAAGUUAUAUCACCCUUUUUUUUUUUUUAAGAAAACACACCUCGGAGAAUGUCUCCAUCAAAUAAUACCCAGACAAACCUCAUGAAUUAGAUAAUAUAGGCGAGAACCCUAAUGAAUUAACCCAAGCAAAAGGUGACUUGCAAUUGUUGGUGUGAAAAAACUGAUUCAUGUGAGUUUCCUAUGGUACUAAGCUUAAGAAAUUUCUAUGUGCACAUUAACACUACAUUUGUUUCACGGAAAACAAGUUCUGAGGAAACGUUUUCCGAAUUUUCCGACAUUCGUUUCAUAGAAAAUAAGUUGAUUGGAGAAUACAUUUUCCGUCAACAAAAAAAAAAAAAAACUUCUUCAAAAGUGGGGAAAAUGUUUUCUCUUUUCUUUCAUCCCCUUUCUUUCACUUCUAAACCAAACGCUUUUUUUCACCAAACACAUUUUCCUUUUAUUUUUAUUAUUUUAUCUUAAAAUAAUUCGAAUUUUUAAUUAUUUAAAAAAAAUCCUUCUUCUUCGUACUCUCCUCAUGUCCGCGCACGGUUGGCAUGUAUCCGCACACCGCUGCAUGCACCGUGGCCGAAGCACUCGGCCACGGUGGGAAGAAGCAUGCGUAGUAGUCGAACCCCUUUUCCGCGACAGUGGACCUCAGAUCGCACAGGAUGGCGUAGAAUGCCACAGCAUAAUUGUCCUGAUCAGAGUACUGCUCUCCACUGCAUACCUCGUCCACAAAAGUCAAGCGUCCGAGUAGCAGAGCAUCGACGCUCACGAGGCGCGUGCAUUCGGGAAGAGGAACACACGAACGGGAGCCUCAGCAGAAAAUUCUCUAUCGGAUCAACCCCAUUUCCAGACGCUACUCCACCUUCGCUCUCUCUCCGUCGCCUCAGUCCACCGGUUGCUACCGUCGCUGAUCCUCCAUCGCCAGCCAGAACUCUUAUGCACUCGGCACAAAUCACACACGGUGGGGAGGCUCAGAGGUUUCUGAACGUCCAGAGAGUUAUGUCUCUCGGCUUCUUGCUUCGUAUGGUGACCUUCAACAAACCUCCCGGCACCGUUAGCAUCAUCUCCGAUCAUUGCUCCACCAGCAGGCCGUAGCUCUGUUAGCACCUGUUUUCCAGUGAGUUUGCUCGGACUGCUCUGAACUUGUUCGUUUCUCCUUCGCUGGCUCCGAUCCUCAGCAUCAUUGUCUCAGACAACCUCUUCCUCUCAUCCGAUAGUCCUUCGUGCAUCGGAUAAAAUAAAAACUAUAAUCUUCUUCUUCGUUCUUAGUUUCAUGAAGAGAGACUUAGGCAUUUUUGUGUGAUUUUUAUUGUCAAAUUCACUGCUGGCGUGUCCACGCUACAAGUGCUUUGUAUGAUCAUCGCUGAAGUGUUCACCGUGAAGUGUUCACAAUAACAAACUGAAUCACAAAUCAACAUUCACUGCAAUGCAUGUUUGUCUGUUAGAUGGUCGAUACUUGUUUAGUUCUUCCUGCAAAAUGUCUUGCAAAGAUGACUCCGUCUACAUCUAUGUUACUUUGAGAUCGCCAAGUGUAGGUUGCUCUCUUUGGCGGUUUCCGGAGUAAUGUUCCAUAAACUGUACAAUCUGUUCUACUGGGAGAAGAAAGAAAUUCUCAGCAUUAUCUCCCGAAUGCUGAAAAUAUAUUUUCUGCAUUCUGUUAUGUCAUUCUUCGUUUUAAAUUCGAAAUCAAGUUCCGUAGGCUUAUUAAAAUCAUGGGUUUUAUUUUUUCAUGGGGAACUUCAAAGAGGUUCAUGAGAAAAUAUGAUCAGAAUUUCUGAGAGUGUCCAACGGUGCAAUUAUUUGGCCUAUGGAAUUGGGAAAAUUGCGACGAAAGUUAGAAUGAAUCCAUGAAAUCGUACUUGAUAAAAGCUUGUCCAAGAUAGAAUAUCCGCGAUUGACAGCGAAUGCCAAUGGUGAGGAACAGAGCCAUGGCUAUUGUGGAUUUGUCUCAAUGAAAGUGGAAGACGUCGGCGACGGCCAUGAUGUUUUGGUCUGAGCUUGAAGUCUUGGGGGAUGAAUUUCAUUCACCUAAGCAUCCUCAGCUUUGUGAGUUUGUGAAGUUCAUGGCAGUUCCCAUUCGCGUUAAUUUUAGCAGAGAGUUUGGGGAGAGACAGAUGCUCGAACUGCUGGUCACAAGAUUUUCGAGGUGCGAGUUAAUCCACGAGCUAAACCUCCCCAUGCGACGGACUGUGCUGUUCUCUUGUUUGAUUCAAAUUCCGUACAGAAUUUGUAUGUGUUGGGGAGAUCUCGGAAAUGUCAAGCUAAUGGAAACAAACUGAAUCGGUCAUAUAGGAUAUGAUUGUGCUGGAAAAUGGCGUUGGUGUUGUGCUUAUAGGUCUCCAAAGCUAGACCAUUAAAAAGAUUCGAUCUAUCGUUUUUAGGUCGCUACGCCGGUAGAUACCAGUUGCACAUAACAAGAUAUGCCUAGAGAUUGAAAGCUUUCUUCUCUUGCUUUGUUUGCAAUCAAUGCAGGUAAAGCUGAAAGAGCAAGGUGCGUGCAUAGCCCUCAAACUGGCAAGCAAUUUAAAUCCAAGUAUUCUAUCUUGCAACUUGCGGUUUGGCAAAUAUAUCUGAAGAAAACAAUGUGGUCAAAUCCUCAUGGCCAUAUGACAGCUCUUGGAUUUAAAUCGGAUAAUUGAAACAUAGUAAAUGAAAACAUCACCUAAUAAACCAAGCUUAUAAUCAAGGGAGAAAGUAAGUAAAUAUGGAAAUUAAAGUCCGAGAAUUCAACUCAAUACAAUGUUGGUUAAAGAAUAUAUAUUGUCUCAUUAUCAAGCCUCGGGACAAAAAAUCUCAUAAGUUAAGUCUGGAAAUUAAAACCAAGCCUAAUGAAGAUAUAUGUCGAAGUGACCCCAGAGUGUAUCCUAAUAUUAAAGCAAAAGGAAUUUUUUAAAAUCAUUUAUUUUCAUUUUUUUUUAUUUUCUUUAUCCAUUUCAUCUAAGAAAAACACAAUGUAAAAUUUCAAUUUAUUUCAAGAUUCAAGAAAUAUGACCUCCCUAAAUCCGAAGAACAUGGAUAAAAUGAAAUUCAAAUAAAAUCAUUCUUAAAACGUAAUCGCCCAAUUGAGACUUGCGUUUUUCUACAAUUUUUAUUUUUAUUUUUAUUUUUAAUUAGUGAAAACAAAACAGGAGAAUUUAUCCGGACACAAAUGUGCCCCAAAUAUAUCCACUCCAGCUUUUUGACUCACGAACAUUAUUAGCUAAAGCUCAUGGGCUCUGUUUUUAGUUCAUAAGCGGCAGAAAUAGAGUGUGUGUAAACCUUGAUGAGAGUGAGGCUUUGACCUCGAUCAGUGAUCAGAUCAGAGACGAAGUCCCUCGAGGUGUCGACAUCAACGAUCGAGGCCGGCGAAGGGGGAGCGACCAAGGGUCCGUGCUCUUUCGGCCGUCCUGACCAGAAAACAGAGCAGAACGAGAGGAGGCCUUGCUGCAAUGAAAUCGGCGAUGGCGGAGUGGCUACAGUGGCGGCUAACAGUGUCUGGAGGACUAUGGAGAAGCGAAAACUGAUGAAGAAGCCUCUAGAAUGCCUAUAUGUGAUGUGCACAAAGAUGAAAUCGUUGUGGGCCUCGAUUCCCUUCUUCCUUCAUGAGCGCACAUAAAGAUAUUGGUUGCAUUUAACGUUUGGCUUAAUGGAUCAGAUGAUACCACUGCCAAGGUUAGCAUUUUCAUACGAGUUGAGGUCCUUUCUUCCGGAUAUUCAUUCUAUUUAGACUGGCCUCUUUGUAAAGUUUCAUCCAUGAGUGUUGCGUUUAUCUAAUCAAUCUCGUGAUUGCACUAAAGAUUAAUUUGUCCCUAUCACUCGUCCUUCUCCCAUUAGAGAUCGAUAUGUGAUCUUAAAUACUGAAAACUCUCUCAUGUGGCUCAUUGAUAUUUAAUUUCUUCAACUUGCUCACGAUCUAGAAAAGACAUAUAGAAAAAGUGAAGACAAAAUAUUAGGUCCCCAACUUUACAUCUGCCUUACAAAUGUUCCUCGGCUAGAUACAAUACAAGAUGGAUUCACUCCUAUGGAACAUAAUUGCAAUGUAUGCAAUUAUGUCCUUUGAUUCGUUGGAUUCGUAUUAUUCAAUUAUGUCCUUUAAUUUGUUGGAUUGGUGCAAUUCAUAAUCUUUUUCUUGUUUGCAUCUCUUCCUUACAUAGCAUAUUCACAGAUGAUUUGGUUAUCGACUCAAAAGUCUCUGCUUACUCCAACAAAUCAAUUAUCGUACUCACAUGAUUUUGGAUUCUCAUUAUAUUAAAAAACAACAAUAUGACAAAAAAAGACAGUGAAUAAUUUGUAUCUCAUAUAUUUUCUUUUUGUCCUUUUUUGUUGGCCUCUGAAUGCGUAUUGUACUACAUAUUACAUAAUUUCGUUGUGGUUGUGUCCUACGUACGUAUAAUAUAUGCCUUUCAUGAAAAAAGUGCACUAGUCGGGUCCCUUCAUUGAUGCUUCUAAUUUUCAAUUGACUGCAAAUUAUAUGUGGUCUAGCGCGAAUGGGUUGAAGGGCCGAGGCUUAUUUUGAUGGGCUUGGUACGGUCUGGGCUGCACUUGUGGAUCGGGCACAACAGACGGGCCUGGCCCUGUCAAUUCUGACUGAAUUGGACCUUUUUAAUUACUUUAUUUUCUUUCCUCGUUUUUUGUUUGGGUUUUUACUUAUUUUUUACUAUUUUUCAUAUCAUAUUUUUAUAUUUAUUUUUACCAUAGUGCGUGUUCGACUUCCUGGCAAAAAUUCAAGUGUCAAUAGAGGCAACAUUCCAUCAUCUGGCCAAAGAUUUACUUCACAUUGAACUCUACAACUAUCUUUUAUUUGCGCAAUAUUCAUUCAGUGAAAGAAAAGUCCUCAUACUUAACUCUAUAAUCCUUGAGUUGAAUUUCAGUGUGAUAAUGUCGCUGCGCUUGUGCUUGAGUUGAUUUCACAUAGAAUUGAUGCAUUGUGUAUGGCUUGGGCCUUGAAGCACAUCAUUACUGCUCCACCCAUGCAGCACACUGCGGUGGAAUCAUUGUACAUGCUAUAGUAGUUGUACUCAUGCUAGCCAUCUUAGUGCCCAAGUCCUUUAGGAUGAUUUUCACUAUAGUUGCGUACGGAACCAAAGGGAAAUACUGUCGCUUGCUAUAGAUUAUCUUUGACACAGUCGUGUCUACUACAUAGCUCAUUGUGGUGCACAAAAAGAAAGAGCUAGUGAUGCAUACGAUUCCUUGAAAUGCUAUCAUGAUAUUUAUAUAGGUGAUCUGUGUAUUUUCAAGAUUGCUACUUUAUUCAUAUAGUAUUAAUUAUCUUGUGGAUCCAUCCAGGUCUUACAAAGUAAAAGCGUUAUUGCAUAGAUCGAUGUCACUUAGUUAAUAUAACAUGUAGGCAACAUAUGAGCUGGGUAUAACCACAAUGAGUUCACGUCUAGCAUGUGGAAUUGCGAUGAGCAUUUGACAUUAGUGCUGGUGAGAGUUUUAGAGAGCUGGUAUUGAAAGGGGCUAACUCGGAAAGCUAGGGAGUGGCAUAACUUUUUCCCCCUUUGAAAUAUGAAUUGAUCUUUUGUUUACAAGUCCUAAGUUACUCGGUGAAAUCGUAGUACUUAUACAUGAUUCUGCAAUCUUGAAUUGUGCUCCGGCGGUACGUGGACGAACUUUUGUUAUUUGCUUCGGGGUGAUAUUCAUGCAGCCGACACGGUCCGAUUGGGUCAACGCCCGACUACACACUCGAUGGCCAAAGGAAUCCACAUCACCAAAUGGCUUAGCCAGGAUAGUUGGACCCCUCAGUUUCGGUAGUAAGCCUCGUAUCAAUUGAGACAUAGUCCAAAACGCUCACUUAAGUUGUCAAUUUAUGGUGCUUCUCUCCACUACAAAUCUUUUAGAUAAACGAGAUGUCGGAUCACUUAUAGUGCUCAAGCUAUACAAAAUCCCCACGAAUGUAAGUGCGAUUCUUUCUAAUGUAGACAUCUAGCAUAUGUGGUUCAGUGCGAUUCUUUCUAAUGUAGACAUCUAGCAUAUGUGGUUCUUUCAUUCACUUCUGUUUAGAAACGCAAGAUUGGAAUCCAACCAUAGAAAGGACUCGUUCUAAUAGGGCACUCCCUCAUUUGUUAUUGGGUUAGGUAGCUGAUCUCUUAGUCAUUAAUCACGUCAAAUGAAUCUUUGCUUUAAUCAAACUUUAGAGCAAUUCCAACUAAUCGUCCAGCCAUUAUUAUGACAUAGGCAAGAUUAGAGCAAUUCCAACUAAUCGUCCAGCCAUUAUUAUGACAUAGGCAAAAAUAACUUGGUGAUUCUCCAUCAGUCUUGGAAUCUUGACUAAAUGCGAAUCUUCAUUGUUUUCAUUACUUCAAGGUUUGUCAUACAAGACAAAUAUUCUUGACAUCCCUAUAAUGCAACCCCUCAUCUCAUAGCCUUGUAUAAAGUAGAAUCCACAUAUAUAUAUACACAAACAAGAAUGUCUUUUUCAUAUUUGCUUAUUUCCUAAAAUUCACAGGGUAUAAUUGAAUCAAAUAUUAUAUUUCCCUUAAAUUUAAUCCAAAUAAAAUUUUCCAAUACCAUAAUGAUUGGUUCGCAGUUCCCACACCACUUUACAUGCUAGAUGUUUGAAAUUCCUAGUUUGCAUCUUAAAUUAACUUGAAAGACAGAAUCACCAUUCAAUGGUGAACAAAACUUAAGCUGGCGUCAGAAAAGUGAAGGAGCAUUUUUUCAAAAAAAAAAUGAAAACAUAGUCUAAUUUAAACUCUACUGAACAAUAAAGAAUUCUGGAUGAUGCGUGACUAAUCGGGAUUCAUGCAAGCUAUAUUGUUUUUAUUUUCUUUCUAAGGAAACUUUUAUGUUAAUGGAAUUCAUGCAACUAUUGUGCAACCUAGGAAAUUUCUAUGUGCGCACUAAGCGACAAAGAUCCUUUGCCACGGUUUGUGUUCGCGUCAUGCCAUCAGCUCGGGGCUCUGUCUAGCUCGCACUAUCGCUUACUCAGUUCUGCACCACUGUUGACAUCUCGUCGCAUCUAACCAUCUCAGUUGAGAUUUUCCGAGAUUCGACGAGGAUGAAGAACAGAUCUGGGAGAAGGGCAUUCAAAUCGCAUGGCAAUUAAGAACUAAGACGUUGGCAGCAGGAACGCAGAGCUUGAUGCGUGGCGUAGAGCCCCGUCGGGAUCCACAAACACAGCACCGCCACAAGUUCAUGGUCAGCGCGUCGAGGAGAGAGAGAAGAUCGAGGGCCAGCAAAGAUAGAGAAAGAGCGAUGGAGCUUCUGUGUCCCUGGUGACGGUGGCUGGUUUCAGAGGCUAUCGUGGUUGGGCUAGGCAUGCGAGGAAAGUUGCGACGAGAGAAAGAGAGAGGAUUUCUGAUAUAUUUUGCUCAUUUACGGUCAGAAACCAAGUGAGGAUCUUCUUCAUGGAGCACAGUUCGUAGCAGAUGAUCUCCAUUCCUCCUUGUAUAUGCCAUUUUUGUCGACCUAAACUAGUAGUUCUAUAUCAAGUAUUAUAAAUUCUCUUUUUAUUCUUUUAAAAUAUUAACAUUUUAGAUGUGAUUAUCGACUUAAUUGGACUGGCAGUUUCGUGCUCUAGGGAGAGAACCAUCCAAAGCUGUUCAUAAACCGCAAUCCAUCACUAAAUAUGAAAAUCUCUUAAUUAUAAUGAAAUAAAACUUAAUAAUAAGAAAUCUAGUUGGCUUUAUCAUUUGAGGAUUUUCCCUUGUACUAUACUAGCGAAGGAGUACACACAUCUGCACAUUUGCGAAAAGAGAAUUGAAAUGGUUGUGAUAGUACAAAUUUAAAAGUAACAUAUUUGACGAAAUUAUACACAUACACCAUCUGUGUAAAAAAGUUGUGCAUGGAUGUCGCAUACACUAUUAAUUUGAGAGUGGUAUGUGCACUAUUUUUCGAUAUGUUUAUGUGAUUAGUUGAUAGUUGUUUAGAUUUUUUAAGUUAUGAUUUCGUUCUUUCUGUGAUGCCAUUUUCCAUGUUAAAUUUUAACAAUAGAUAUAGGCAUUUCAUGAAAUUCUUUUAUGAAAGUUUGAGAUUGAAAUCCAUCCUCUUCGAAUAUGAUUAUUUUCUAUUUUGUCUGUACUUGUCAACAUCUAACACUACCAAUUUCGAGUGGGGUCACACCCAAACGUCAUCAGAUCCAAUUGAUCUAUUCUUGUGGAUAAUUAAAUGAUUCAAACAUAGACAAAGAUCAGUAGCACCAGCAACUCCAUUCAUCCUCAUUCAUAUCACAUUGCAAUGAUUUCUCAUUGAAGUAUUGUUUUUCUUAGAUGUGACAACUAAUGAUAUUAGAUAUUUUCCGACAAAAGCUUAUGUUAUUCUGUAAAUGAAUAUUGAGAUAUACCACAAAUAUAUAUCUGUAUGUAUCUCAACAAUCACUUUUUUUUAUAAGAAAAUACAUCUCGGCGAACGGCUUCAUCAGAAAGUACCCAAAUGGCCUCAUGCUACAGGUAAGAUAUAGGCGAGAACCCCUCAUGAAUGACCCAAGAAAAAUAAGAUUACUUGCAUUUACUAGCAUCGAAAAAUAGGAUCAUGUUGUGCCCAUCGACUAGAAUCUAAAGCCAAUCGAACAAUCUAUGUUUAUAAUGAGUCGCCACCGAACAAUCUAUGUUUAUAAUGAGUCGCCACCCUGCUAAACCACAUAAAUUUUUAUGUGCACUCUCAGAUAUACAGAUCUUUUGAUCCGGUUUGUAUUCUCAUCACCCAUUCCAAUCAAUUGAUACGCGCUCAGUUCUCUCUCUCUCUCUCUCUCUCUCUCUCUCUGCACGCACCGCAUCUGGCCAUCUCAGUUGAGAUAUCCUGAGAUACGACAAGAAUAAACAGAUCUGGAAGAAGGGCCUCCAAAUCUGUCACUAUCAACGACUAAUCUGUUGGCAACGAUGUGAUAGAGCUCGACAAAUUGUGCGGAGCUCCGUCCCGAUCUCCGUCCCGAUCGACAGACUCGACCUUGCCAUGAGUUCAAGGUUGGUGCAUUGGGGAGAGAGAGAGAGAGAGAGAGGAUCAAGUGGUCAAAGAAGCUAGGGAUGGUGCCAUGGAGUUCUCUAUCUCAGAUGGCUGGAGUCAGUGGUUGUCAAAGUUGGGUCGGACGUGCUAGAAGUUGAAAAGGUGCACGGAGAGAGAGAGAGAGAGAGAGAAUUUUUGAGAGGUUUUUCUCAUGUACGGUUAAAUACCAAAUAAAAUGGAAACAUAUUGCUAGCUCUUAAUUGAGGCAAAAAAUCACAGAACGAUUCUUGGCACGGUAUCUCCAUUUCUCUGUGUAUGCCAUUUUCAUUGACCUAAACAAAUAAUUCUAGGGAAAAUGACAGAUAGUCUUUGAAUUUUGGCACUAUGUGUAACGUGGUCCUUAAACUUUUAUAUUUAUUUAAUACAGUUCCUGAACUUUAAUUCAAUAGACAAUCGGUCCCUGAACUUUUGAUUUUUUUUAAUACAAUCUUUGAAAUUUUGGUACAAGUUCAAUUUAGUUUCUGAACUAUAUAUUAUUCUUGAUUUUAAAUUAAUGAAAGGAUUACAUUAAACAUUUUCAUAUAGUUUAAGGACUAUAUUGAAUAUGUACCAAAAUUUAGACAUUACAUUGUACAAAUUAAAAAUUUAGGGACACCUUACCAAAAAAAAAAUUAAAAAUUUAGGGACUAAAUUAAAUAUUAAGUUAAUGUUCAAGGACCACAUUGCACAUAGGGUCAAAGUUUAUGGACUAUUUGUAUCAUUACCCUAUAAUUCUAAUAUCAAAUAUUGUGGAUUUUCUUUUUAUUUUUUCUGAAAAUGGUAUUGUUUUCAGAAGCCCCUAAAGUUCUUUAUAAACCGUAGUCCACUACUAAAUAUAAGAUCAUUUCAACAAUGACGAAAUAAGACACUUUAAUAGGAAAUCUAGUUGGCUUUAUCAUUUGGGGAUCUUCUUUUGUACUAUACUGGCGAAGGAGCACACAUGCCUGCGUGUUACAAGAAGAGAAUUGAAAUGUGUCCGAAGAGGGGUAAAUGUCGAAAGAGAUGAAUUUAUUUAUUGACUUAAAUUAUAUUCGAAAAUUAUAUAUUUGGCAUAAUUAUAGCAUACACCAUCCUUGUAAUAUAUUAUCAAUUUAAGAGAGUAAGUAUUUAUGAUCUUUAAAUCAUAGGUAUGAGAUCGCUUGUAUCAAUUUUCUUUACAUUGAUGGUGUAUGCUUUAUUUUUUCGGUAUGUUCAUGCGGAUAGUUGACAAUUAUCUUGAUUUUUAUGGUCACGAUUUCGUCCACUCUGUUGGACCAUAUUCCCACAGUACAUUUUAACGACAGAUAUAGGAAUUUCAUGAAGUUUCUUAACAAAGCUUAAGAUUGAAAGCCAUCUUCUUCAAAUUUAACUAUUUUUUUCUUUUUAAUAUAGAUUAGCUUUGGAUUUGUCAAGAUAUAAUGCUACCAAUUUUGAUGGGCUCAAACCCAAACAUUGCCGGAUCAAAUUGAUCCAUUCUUAUUGAUUAUUAAGGGGGUGCAUGACAACCAAAAAUUUAUGUUCCAGAAAUAGUUUUUCUGUUCCAGACCUAUUUCUGGAAGAGAAAUCCGUUUGAUAAACCUAAUCAGUUUUUUUAUUUCUAGAAUAGAUUUCUAUUCCAGAAAUAGGUUUAGAAGAGAAAUCAGAAGUUAAAAUUUUCUACUUCUGAUUUUUUGAAAAGAAAUCAAAAAUAAUUUCUCUCACUAAACCCUAAUUUCGGUGAGUCCUCCCUCAUCUCCUCUAUGUCUCUGCCUCCUGCUCCUCCUCCACCUCUCCUCAUUUUAUUAAAAAUAAAAAUAAAUAUAUUCAUUUAAAAUAAAUAAAUUAUUUUUAUUUAUCAUUUUAUUUUCAGUUUAUUAAAAAUAAAUUUAUUUAAUUUAUUAAAAAUAAUUUAUUUAUGAUAAAUAAAAAAAAUUAUUUUUAUUAAAAAUAAGUUUAUUUUUAUUUGCUUUGAGUGUUUUGCUAAAUAAUUUUUUUUAUUUUUUAUUUUUAUUCAUUUUAAAAUAACUUUAUUCGUAAAAUAAAAUAAAAUAGAAUAAAUAAAAUAAAUUUAUUAAAUUUAUUAAAAAUAAUUUAUUUAUGAUAAAAAUAAUAAAUUUUUAUUUAUUAAAAAUAAAUUUAGUAAAUUUAUUUUUAUUUGCCUUGAGUGUUUUGCCAAAUAAAUUUUUUUUAUUCAUUUUAAAAUAAAUUUUUUCGUAAAAGAAAGUAAAAUAGAAUAAAUAAAAUAAAUUUAUUAAAUUUAUUAAAAAUAAGAUAUUUAUGAUAAAUAAAAAUAAAUUAUUUUUAUUUGCCUUGAGUGUUUUGCCAAAUAAAAUAUUUUUAUUUUUUUAUGAUUUAUUUUAUUUUUUAUUUUAUUUUUUUGUUACUAAAUCAUUUUUAUUUUUAUUUUUAUAUUAAAGGUCGUCGGUUGUCGCCGCCGCCGUCUGGAAAGAAGAAAUUUUGUGUUGUUAUCAAACGAAUUUCUAUUUUUAGAGUAGAAAUUUUGUGUCGUUAUCAAACGGUUAUUUUUGCUUAGAAACUCUUCUAAAAAUAGAAAUAGAAAAAUAUAUUUCUGUUCCAGAAACUAUUUCUGGAACAGAAUGAUUGUCAUGCGCGCCCUAACUAGUUUGAAUAUAUACAGGCCACUCAUUCCAUAUUCAUAUCACAUUGUGACGAGAUUUUUUAGAUCAUCGAUUUUCUAAGAUGUGACAUAUUAUGAUAAUGGAUCAUUUCCAAUAAAAAUUUAGGUUAUUCCGUGAACGAAUAUUGCUCAUACCUAAGCCUACAAUUGCAAAGUUGAAGUUGAGCAUCGACACUAAAAGGACACUCUCUAGAUUUCAUCGUAGGCAAAAUUCAUGCAGCUCGUACAAUCGGCUUGUGUCCCGUGGCCAAAGCACUCGACACGAUUGACAAAAGCGUGGGUAUUAGUCGAACCCCUUCUCAGUUGUGGUGGACGUCAGAUCCUGCAGGACGAUGUAGAAUGCUUUGGCAUAAUCGUCCCAAUCGUAGUACCGCGCUCCAUUGCAUACCUUGUCCACAAAAGUCACGUCCGGAUCGCUUCUUGUGAUACAGAGACAGUGGGAAAGUACUACGAACUGGACUGCGAUUUUGCGUGUUGCGGGCAUGAUUAUUGUGUUCACUAUCUUUCCCUCUCAAAAAGCUCUCUUUUUUUUUUUUUUUUGGUCGAAAAUAACAUCCAUAUAUAUAUCAACUGAAAUUACAACCAUUCGUUAUAGCGUCCGCAGUCAAAAUAGCAAGAAAAACAGCAGGAGGUUGAUGUAACCAGUGUCGGGCUGAAUCAGUUGUGCGAUGGGCCUUUGUAGCCCAGUCAGCGGCCCGGUUUGCUUCUCUCAGACAGUGUUGCAGGGUUAGGUCAGCGAAGCGGGAGAGCAGGUGGAGCGCCUCUUCUACGAUCGGCCGAAGCUCCCACAUGGAUGAUCUGCCAUUGCGCACAGCUUCAACAAGGGGAAAGCAGUCCGUUUCAAUCAACAGAGUGGUAUUAUGGAGUUGUCGUCGCAGUAGAUGAUGCAGGGUACAGGUUAGUGCGUUGAGUUCAGUUUCCAGCGCCGAGUGCGACCGAAAUUUGCUAGAAAAUCCGUCCAUAAGCCUCCCACGAUGAUCUCUGCAGACACAGGCCAUCGUGCCCUCAGUGCUGCCCGGUUGAUAAGCUCCAUCUAUGUUAUAUUUCAAAGUGCCAGAGUCUGGAGGACGCCACAGAUGCGCGGGAUUGAGGUGCGGAAUCCUGGAUCUCGAUCCAGCAACAGCAAGGGAAAGGAGUGAUCGGGUCUGAGUGAUGGCCAUGUCAACUACCCGUCGUGGAUCUGGUGUCUAGUUGCGGAAGACUGCAUCAUUGCGCAUUCUCCAAAUCUGCCAUAGUGUAUUGGCAGUGAGCUCGAGACCGGGUAGGUUCUUUGGUGUCGCUGCUAUGGCUGAGAUCCAUUGAUCAAUUCGUUGGUUGCUCCAAGGGGGUAGUGUGCUAUUAAUAUGUUGGUGUGUCCAGACAGCUCGAGUCCACUCACAUUGGAGGAACAGAUGUUCGAUGGUCUCUUGGUUCUGUUGUUUACACAGCAUGCAUCAAGGGUCAGAGGCGAUGUGUCGAUUAAAGAGGUUGGCCCUUGUCGCAAUUGCAUUCUGACACACAGCCCAGGUAAAUACUCUUAUUUUUGGCGCAGUUUGCAUCACCCUUAGUAGGCUGCAUCGGGGCUAGCCCUCGCCCAACCGGGCCUCUCCUGUGGUGGGUGAGGCCAAUCGACUAGUUAUGACCGGUGGCUGGCCAACGGAAAAGGCAAAAAAGAAAGCCAAAAAGAAAAGGAAAAACGAAAAAAAAAAAAACAUAAAAAAUAUUAAAAAUUCAAAAAAUAAUAAAAAUUGUACACGUUAGCAUCGGCAGUCCUACAUGGCAUUGCCCGCGUCCACGUCAGCAUUUUCCAACCAAAAUUGGCCGAAUUGACCCAAUUGACAAGAAGUGAAAAUGUUUAGAACUAAAUUGGCAAAAAUACAAUAGGUUUAGGACUUUUUGGACAACUUUCCCCCUAAAUUUGUCAGGAUCUUCAGAUAAAUGUCAUAGGAUUCAAUCAGGAAAGGUAGGCAAUUUAUGUAGAAUCUUCUUGAGAGCAAAACUAAUAUAUUUUUCAUCUCCACCAUCUGCUAAUUAUUCAAGAGCAUCUUCCAAUUUCCUAUAGAGAGCCUCUAUUUCCACUCUCAAUAUCGCUAAAACACACCAUUUAUUAAUUAAAAGUGUAAAAUGUCUUUAAUUAAAAUAGGCAACUAAGUAGACCAGAAAAGGCAAGCAAUGGGGGUCUAAGCAACUAUCUAUUUUGAAGCCAAAAAAUAAAAAUUCAAAAAAUACACACACAACCCAACUCCAUCAUCUUGCUCAUGAAGUUUGAACCUGCUCGUGUGCUUUCAAUUUAGUGUUGCAGGUUAUCUUGAUCGGACAUUAUCAUUAUUCACAAAUUAGAAGUCUUUAAGUUGCUUAUUUGACUAAAGAAUAUCUUCCCAAAUGCACCCUAAGCAAAAGUGACUUUAGGGUCACAUUAUUUCUGACUCUUCUAUGGCUCCACAAUCAAGACAGCACAUGGACUAAAUUACCCCUUAAAAAAAUCCCAUUUUUGUUGGCCUUCAUUUGGUUGAGAGCAAGAGUCAUUUGGCCAGGAAAAAACAUAAGCUAAAGAUACCUUUUGUAUGGCUUCAUACAAGGAAAAUUACCAAAAAAAGCCUUAAAUCUAUUGCAACUAUGUCAAUUUAAUCAUAAACUUUUCAAUUACACAAAUUUAAUUCUUAACAUUUUCACGUUUUGUCAAUUGAAUCAAUCCAAUCAAUUUUAGUUAGAAACCACUGACGUGGAUGCUGACUAUUUUACAUGGCAUGACCAACACUAACGUAAGCAAUUUUUUUAUAAUAAUUUUCUUUUUUUUUUCUUUCUUUUUCCUUUUUUUUUUCCUUUCUCUUUGUGUAGGCUAGAUCAAUCUAAAUGGCAAGCACCUUUUGAAAGGUAAAAUAUGUGAUAUGGUAACUUUUCAUUUAUUUGUAACAUUCACGUGUGAUGAGUAACUUUUUUAUACAUCAAAGUCAUUUUCAAGAUGCUUAGUAACUUUUUAUAAUAAAUAUCGCAUGAUUAGUGAAUUUUAUUAUGCUUGGAUAAGUUGCAUGUGUAUUUUGAGUAAAUUUGACUGUUGAAUUCUUCCAUGUGUCACCCAUCCAAUGAUGGAUGUGGAAAUUUUAUAUCUGACAUUGAUGGUGGACCUAAUUAAAACCCAGAAAGGUAUUAAAAUUAAUAUGGAUAGUGCUUUUCUUUUUAAACUAUAAACCCAAUCUCAAAUUUGAGAUCAAUUCUAAAUAUAUUAACAUUAUGUUUUGGGCCGACAAUGGGCUUACUCAAGAUACUUAAAUGAGAUGACCAUCCAGCUUUAGUCACAAGGUAUCCUCAUGCACUCUUUGCUUUUCAUUUAGGUUUCCGGCCACUCGAAUCUCUGAGAAAAAUGUCAUGACUCUUUGCCUUCUGACAAGAGCCUUGGAAUUGGGUAAACUAACAUGCAAAAGGGAAUCUUUCAUUUAAUUAUAAUUAUUAUGAUUUUCAAAGCAAAGUUUAACUAAAAUUUAAAAGUCACAAAAAUACAAAGAUCGAAGUGGGCUCGACAAAAAACCACUGGGGGUUCGCCCCAGUGGCCACCCUUCCAGCAUGGAAGGGGGAGGUGAGGGGUUCAAAUCCUCACCUUCUCAGGAGGAUGGGGUAGGGACGCGUAAGUUUCGAGAAUGGGUUGCGACUCCCACGCCCUGCAAGUGGCAGGGCACAAGUCUGCGAGUGAGUGUAGAGUAGAAAUAGAGUAGGACUGACCAAAAAAAAAAAAAAAGUGGGCUCGACAAACAACAUAAAGUUUAAUUAAAGUUAAUGACAAAUGUAAUCACGUGAAGAGCAAUAUCAUUGGAUACCAACCAACCAGUCACAUGAGCAGCAAAAGCAGCUCAACCACAGUUUGCAAAAUUAUUUGAGAGAUCCAAGGCCACUCGUCAAUUUUGCCUAUUUGUUGCACGGGUCCAAGACUAUAUUUUUCAUAUAUUAUUCUAAAUGUCAGUUUUAACAUAUGUUGCUUUUGUUCGUAUUUCAAGUUAAUUAUUUACAUUUUUAUUGCAGGUGUUUAAUACAUUUAAAAUCCUAAUCGUCAUGUGCGUGUGGGUGUGGCCUGUCCUUCUCCAUUUGUUCUCUUAAUUACAUCUUUUUAUAUAGACAAUGACCGACUACAAAAAGUACUUAUUAAACAAGAAACAAGUUUCAGAUCAAAAAAAAAGAAACAAGUUUCGACCAAAAAAAAAGAAACACACAGUCAUCCUAGUCGAAUCAUUUUUUUACUUUAACAACUGGCAAUCAUUUUUUUAGGCCACUUGAUGGAACUGCAACUUAAAAUUUAUAAUGCAAGAAAUCAAUUCAAAUUUGGACAGAUUUUGUCUUGAUUGAGAAGACCGGUCAUUUCUGAAUCUUAUUUUUGGCCAACGACAAACUUGAACAGUGUGCUGCCCAAUUUGCAGCUUCCCGAGGAUUUGAAGGUGCUUAGUUAACUUAACUAAGGUUACAUUUCAGAUCUCCAUGUCAAUAUAUAUCUCCUUUUUAAUAAUUUGGAUCUUCGUUAAGAUUCUAAAUCGUUAGAUCUCUUAUACUAAAUCGCACACAUUAUUAAUAGAAUAUUAUCAACAAUUAUUUUUCAAUAUAUAAAUCAAUAACACAGCCAUUUAUGUUUUACGGAUGUUUCGAUCUAUAUACCAUUUUAUAUCUACGGUCAACUUAAUAAAAACCUAGAAACGUACCAAAAUUAAUAUGGGUAAUGCUUUUCCAGUUAAAUUUUAAACUCAAUUUCAAAUUUAAGAUAGUUCUAAAUAUAUUGACCUAAUGUUGUGGGCCGACAAACGCUAGAAAAGUCCUAAAAAAUAAUUUGGGCUUAUUAUGGAUACUUAAUUGAGAUGGCAGUCCAAAAGGUAUCCUUAUGCGACUCCUUUUGCUUUUCAUUUAAGUUUCUGGCCUGAGACCUUUGAGAAAAAUAAGUACAAUGACUCUUUGUUUUCUAAUAAGAGCCUUCAAAUCAGGUAAACUAAAAUGUAAAAGGGAAUCAUUCAUUUGAUUAUAAUCAUUACGGUUUUCAAAGCAGAGUUUAAUAAACAAAAAGCCUUAAAAAGGUACCAAGAAAUAGAAAUCGAAGCAAGGCUCGACAAACAACAUAAAUUUAAUAACAAAUGGAAUUACGUGAAAAGCAAUAUCAUCAGGUACCAUACACGGUCACAUGACUAUGUUUUCUUUAUAUAUUAUUAUUUGUGUGAGUUUUAAUCUACUUUGCCUUUGCUAAUAUUUCAAGUUAAUUUUUUUACAGUUUUAUUGAAGGUUUUUAAUAAAUUUGAAACCCUAAUAAUCACCUCGUAUUGAUUUUUGCAGCUACCCGCAUGCACUUAUCGACGAGAAUAUUAAUAUUGUGAAAAAGAUUAAAGAUGCUACUUAUCACAUGUGUAUGGGAAUUUGGCCUGUCCUUGUCCAUUUGUUCUCUUUAUUAAUUAUAUUUUGUUAUAUAGAUAAUGACAAACUAUAAAAAGUACUUAUUAAACAAGCGAUGAUCCUCGUUGAAUCAUUUUCUUACUUUAACAGCUGGUAAUCAUUCGUUUUUUUUGUUUUAUUUAGGCCACUCGAUGGAACUGUGAUUUAAAUUUAAUAACGCGAAAAAGUCAAUAAAAAUUCAUGAAUUUUGUCUUGAUUGAGAAUACCGAGAGCAGUCAUUUGUUAUUCUUAUUUUUGGCCAGCGAGUCACUUGAACAUUGUGUUGUCAAGUUUUCAGCUUCCCAAGAUUUGAUGUUGCUUUAAUUAACCUAACUCAGGUUACAUUUCGAAUCUCCAUAGUCAAUGACUAUCACCUCCUCCUUUCUAGUGAUUUGGAUCUUCGGUAAGAUUAUGAAUUGUUGAGUCACUUGUAUUGAAUCUUGGCCAUUAUCAAAUUGAACAUUAUUAACAGUUGCUAUUCAAUAUAUAAAUCAAUAAUACGACUAUUUUAUGUUUUAGAAAUGUUUCGAUCUAUAUACCAUUUUAUAUUGACUGUGUACUAAAAAGUCUAGAAACGUAUCAAAAUUACUAUUCUUUGGUCAAAUAUUAAAUUUAAUAUGAGUAGUGCUUUUCCAGUUAAAUUAUAAACUCAAUAUGAAAUUUAAGAUCAAUUCUAAAUAUAUUGACCUAACGUUGUGGGCCGUCAAACAUUUCAAGAGUCUUAAAAAAGAAGUUGGGCUUAUUAUGGACACUUAAUUGAGAUGGUGGUCCAACUUUAGUCUUAAAAUAUCCUCAUGCAACCCAUUUUGCUUUUCAUUUAGGUUUCUGACCUGCUUGGAUCUCUGAGAAAAAUAAGCGCGACAACUCUUUGCUUUUCAGUAAGAGGAGCCUUGAAAUCAGGUAAACUAAGAUGCAAAAGGGAAUCUUUCAUUCAAUUAUAAUCAUUACUGUUUUUAAAGCAGAAUUUAAUAAACAAACAGCCUUAAAAGGCACAAAGGUACAAAGAUCGAAGCAAUGCUUGACUACCAACAUAAAAUUUAAGCAAGAUUAACGACAAAUAGAAUCACGUUAAGAGCAGUAUCAUUUGAUACCACACACAUCCACAUGAGCUUUUUUAUAUAUAUUAUUUUAAAUGCUAGUUUCAAUCUAUUUUGCCAUUGCACUUACUUCAAGUUAAUUAUUCACAUUUUUAUUGAAAGUGUUUAAUAAAUUUGAAAUCUUAAUCGUCACCUUGUGUUGAUUCUCACGAGUACUCUUGCACACAUAUCGACGAAAAUAUUGAUAUUGUGAAAAAGAUUAAAGAUUCUACAUAUCACAUGCACGUGGAAGUGUGGGCAGUCCUUGUCCAUUUGUCUCUUAAAAAAUUACAGUUUGUUGUAUCGAUGAGGGCAUACUAUAAAAAGCACUUACAAACAAGCGAUAACCCCGGUCGAAUCAUUUUCCUACUUUAACAUUUGUUUAUUAUUUUUUUAAGCCACUUGAUGGAACUGCAAUGCAAAGAAAUAGAUUGAAGUUCACAAAAUUUUAUCUUGAUUGAGAAGACCGAGAGAGCAGUCAUUUUUAUAUUUAUUUUUGGCCAAUGACAAACUUGAAAAGUGUGCUACCAAAUUUUCAGCUUCCCAAAGAGUAAAUGAUGCUUAGUUAACUUAACUACAGUUACGUUAUAGAUCUCUGUAAUUGAUACUUAUCUCCCCCUUCUUUCGAGUGGUUUGAAUUUUUGUGAAGAUUAUGUAUCGUUGGAUCUCUAGUACUAAAUCUCGGCCAUCAAUAGGUAGAACAUUAUCAACAAUUGCUAUUCAAUAUACAAGUCUAUAACACAAGCCCCCACAUACAUAUAUCGAUGAAAAUAUUAAUAUAAUGAAAGGGAUUAAAGAUGCUACUUACAACAUGCAUUUGUGGGUGUGGCCUGUCCUUGUCCAUUUGCGCUUUUAAUUACAUUUUGUUAUAUAGACAAUGACAAACUAUAAAAUGUCCAUAUUAAACAAUGGAUGAUCCAAAGUCGAAUCAUUUUCUUACUUUAACAGCUAGUAGUCAAUUUUUUUAACCCACUCGAUGGAGUGGCAACUCAAUUUUUAUAGUGCGAAGAAAUCAAGCAAAGAUAUCAAUUCAAGUUCACAAUUGAUUGAGGAGGACUAAGAGCAAUUAAUUAUUUUUGGGUUAAUACCAACAAAAUCCCCAAACUUGUACAUCUGUGAAAAUUUAUCCAUAACCUAAUUCUUUUUACCAUCAAAAUCCAAAACUAGUAUAUUUAUGAUAAAUUUACUGUAAGUUAAUUUUUUGACCAUUAAAAACUCUAAACUUGUACAUUUGCCAUCUAUUAGUUUCUAUUAAAUGGCAUUAAUAUCACGAAAAGACAUAAAGUGGUAUACUUAUGACAAAUAAAUGGUAAAAUUCCCAAAUUGUAUAUUCGUCAACUGUUAUAUGUCAUUAAACUUAGUAAUGGAUAGUAAAUUUAUCACAUGCGUAUUAGUGAGAGAUUUUUGGUGAUGAAAAAAUUAAUUUGAAAUAAAUUUAUCAUAAAUGUAUUGAAUUAAGAUUUUUCAUGAUAUUGACUGUUAUUUUUUUAAUUUUAUUUUAGGCAAGUGAUGACUGGGAGCAGUGUGCUCCCAAGCUUACAGCUUCCCAAGGUUUUGACCGGUGCUAAUUAACUAAAGCGAGAAUACCGAGCUGCAUGGUCCAUGCCGAUCUUCCUUUUCUUUCUCGCGGCUUGAGUCUUUGUCGUGGUUUUGAAACCUUGAAGCUCUGGUACCGAAUCUCUGCCGUUGAUGAUCACAUGUACAAGCAAAAGGUUGCUGUGUUUCUAUCACCAAAUUGUCGACCUGUCAAAGACCAAAUUCUGUACUCCAAAAGACCAAAAUCUGACUUAAUGGAAAAAGCGAUAUUAAAUCUCAGGUCUAAAGACUCAUCACAUAUCUCUCUCUCUCUCCCGCCCUCGAUUGAAAAAAUAGCAAACAUUAUUGCAGCCCCUUCAUUUGAAUAAAUCUGGAAUGAGACCCCUUAGUUGAGGCUUGGUGUUCAGAAAACACAUCAUACCCCACCUUAACGUUCACUGCAUAGGAAGAGUGUAGAAAAAGACUUCCAAGUCACUGCUGAUAUAACUAGCGUCUGACACCAAGGGCCAAGUUCUUCUUCGUAUCAGUGAGUCCAUCGUCACUUCUAUAAAAAUAUGAUUCAACAAGAGCAGCAUUUCACUCAUAUGUAUCUAUAUGUAUCUAUAUGGAGAGAGAGCAAAGCUGUCAAUCAAAAUGAAAUCAACUUUAUAUCUUGCAAAAAAGGCAUUUCUCAAAGAAAAUCACCAUACGCAAGUUCUGAAGAAGAGGCCUCGUGUACACCAUUUGGAAUAUAAAUAAAAGUUCGUAGACUACAUUCACAUACAGCCCAUGAAUUAAAUUGAACAUGUACCAAAAGUUCAUAAAUUACAUUGAACAAUUAAAUUCACAUGGACAAUAGGGCACAUUGAGCUAAAGCUGAAAGAGCACAUUGAAUAAAUUUAAAGUUUAGAUAUCUCAUUAUAUAUUGAGCAAAUUUUAUGGACUAUUUGUGUUAUGUCAGCAGUAACUGCAAAUGAAAAUUAUAUAGAACUAGCAAGAUGUUUGUCAUUUGCCUAUAUAUAUUAUAAAAUGUGAGUUUUAAUUCUAUUUUGCCUUUCCUCAUACUUCAAGUUAAUUAUUCACAUUUUUAUUGAAGGUUUUAAUAAAAUCGAAAUCUUAAUCGUCACAUUUUAUUGAUUCCCACAAGUAUCCACAUACACAUAUUGAUGAAUAUAUUAAUAUGUUGAAAAAAAAAAAUAAAGAUGCUACUUAUCACGUGCAUGUGAGGUGAUUGGCUAGUCCUCAUCCAUUCGUUCUCUUUUACUGAUUACAUUUUGUUAUAUCUAUAACGACGGACUGUAAAAGUUACUUCCUAAAACAAGCGAUAGUUCAAAUCGUAUCAUUUUAUACUUCAAUAGCUACCAAUCAUUUGUUUUUCUUUUUUACCUUCUCGGGCCACUUGAUGGAACUCCAAUUUAAAUUAUAUAAUGCGAAUAAAUUAAUUAAAGUUCACAAUUUUUGUCUUGAUUGAGAAGUCCAAGAGCGGUUAUUUUUUCUUCUUAUUUUUGGCCAAUGACAGGCUUUUUUCUUGGUCGAAACCAAUGACAGACUCGAAUAGCGUGCUAGUGCUACCGAGUUUUCAACCUCCCUAGGAUUUGAUGGUGCUUAGUUAACUAAGCUUACAUUUUGGAUCUCCAUAGAUGAUACUAUUAGAAUAAACAAAUUUUUCAAUCACAUGAAUAUGAUAUAAAAUUAAUAAAUAUAGUGUACCCAAUCAAACGUAACCAUUAUUGAUCUAACGAGUGAGAAGAUGUAUUCUCGUGGGUAUGAAUAUUCAUCACUCUCUUCUAUAAUCGUUACGAUGGUGUGUAUCUUUCUCUCUUCAAUUUUGUCAAAAUAGCGAUAGCAUGAUAAUGGAAUACAUGCAUUCUCCACUGAAAAGAGAUCUUAUAUAGAGAGAGUGAUGGGAUUAAUUCUAAAAUGAAGGUGCAUGCCUAAUUGGAUGUCAAAAAUAUAUUGCCCAUGAUAUAUUUUACUAAAUUGGGCACAUGUCAAAUAUUAGAUAAUAGACCUAAUAAGCUAUGGGUUGGACAUUGUCAAGUCCCAAGAGAUACACAUAUCCUCCUUCCUUCUAGUGAUUUGGAUCUUUGUUAAGAUUCUAAACAUUGGAUCUCUUGUGCUAAAUCUUGGACAUCAAUAAAUAGAAUACUAUCAACAAAUGCUAUUUAACAUAAAUAUCAAUAACAAAUCCAUUUUAUGUUUAGAGAUGUUUCGAUCUAUGUACCAUUUUGAAAAUUAAACUUCAAUUUUUUCUUGUUCAAUUAGGUUAUUUAUGAUGUUACUUCUACAUUUUUAAUAUGGCUUCAAUGUCCCCGCACAAGGAGGGGGUUUAGGACUACUACCUAAUCAACUUUUGCCCAUUAGAAGAUCUCCUCAUGAUAAUAGUAACAGAUUAUUUGCUCAUUUUACUGUGCUCAUAAUCUGGUUGAAUAUGAGUCUAGUGCAACCCACAAACCUACAUAAAAUUGGCUUUGAUUUUUUGAUCUCUUUUUGAUCGGUUGUUAAAAAAUUUAGUGUCAUAUAACAACUUGUUACACUAAAAUUGAGUUUUUAAAUAGAUUUUUAACACAUAUCGCCACCUUUAAAUAGAACUCUGUGUCACUUGGUCCGAACUAUCCUUGUCCAUUUGUUUUCUUUGUUAAUUACAUUCGUUAUAUCAAUGAUGAUAUCGGAUAAAGUGUACUUAGUACACCAGGGAUGAAUUAAAAUCGAAAUCAUUUUAUUCAUUCGAUCUUGAUUCACACAAGCCCCCACAAUAAAUAUCAAUGAAAAUAUUGAUAUAAUAAAAAAGAUAAAACAAAAAAAAUGCCACUUACAAUGUGCUUGUGUCAGUGUGUGGGGUGUGGCCUGUCCUUGUCCAUUUGUUUAUUUAAUUACAUUUUGUUAUUAGACAAUGACAGACUAUAAAAGGUCCUUAUGAAACAAGCGAUAAACCAAUUUUGUCAUUUUCUCACCACAACAGCUGGUAAUCAUUUGUUUUUGUUUUUUUUUUUUUUAAACCACUUGAUGGAGCUGCAACUUAAUUUUUAUAGUGCAAAGAAAUCAAUUUAAGUCGACAAUUGAUUCAGAAGACCGAGAGCAAUCAUUUUUUAUUUCUUUUUUAGGUUAGCGAGGACUGAGCAGUGUGCUGUCAAGUUUUCAUCAUCCCAAGGAUUUGACUAAUGCUUUAUUGAAGCCCUAACGAAGGGGGAGGCUACCGAUGGGCACAGUCCAUCCCUUAUCCUCUUUCUCUCUCGUGACGAGGGUCUUUUUGGAGGCUCUAAUCUCUGAAUCUUCUGUGCUGAAUCUCGGCCAUCGAUAAUCGCAUGUAUCAGCAAAAAGUUCCCGUGUUCCCAUCACGAGAAUCUGAAAAUUAUCGGCCUGUCAAGGACCAAAAUCCGACUCACUGGAACCCGCCCAUAGGCAGCGCAAAUGGCAUAAGUGCACUCUCUUAUCGUUGAGAUUAAGAGUUCGAACUCUCUCGUUUGCAUUUUCAUGACUUAAAUGAGGGUUUCAGGAGUGAAUUACUAGGCUAGCCCUGGAAUUUUACGUCUAAAUAGCAAUUUGCGAUGAGGCCUGACGGUAGUACCGAGCAUCGAAGGGUUGUAUGAUCCUCGAUGGGUGAUCUCUGACAAUUCCUCGAUUAUCAAAAAAAAAAAAAAUCCUAUUCAAUGGAAGAAGAAACAGUAAUGCCUAGGUAUAAAGACUAGUCACAUAUAUCUCUGUAGCGCCUCUACUCUAAUAAAAUCUCGAGUUAGACCCCUUGGUAGAGGCUUGGUGCUCAAAAAAAAAAAAGUCAUAAUACUAUUUCACCAUUAAUAUUCACUGCAGAGGAAGAGCGUAAAGGAGACUUCAAGUCACCUCUAAUGCAACCGGCAUCUCACAUCAAAAGCAAAGUUACACUUUGUGUCGGUGUGUCCAUCUUCACUUACCCCUACCAGACUCUGACUCUGUAAAAAUAUGAUUCAAGCUAUACCCAGCAAUGGUGACAGAUCACAGAAUCUUGCAAAAAAAUGAACAGUACAUAUUAGUUUUAACAUUUUUCAAUACUAAGAAAUCUUACGUUAUUGUUAAGUCACUUGAGGAUAGAAGCCCUUUUUGAAAUAUAAAAAAAGAAUUCUUGAGGAGGUAGUGACCAAUUAUAAAGGAGGCCUUGCUUUUUAUACGGGAUACUUUGUUGGGGUUGUUCCAAAUCUAUCCCUAGAAAAUUGAAUUUUGUAAGUGAAUAAAAAGCACAAAAUGCUAAAAUACCCAUUCUGUUGUAGUUGCCUUCCUACAUUCCAUAUUUUUAGAUUGUCGUUACAUUUCUUGUCUUCUUUAUUUUUCUAUUAAUACCUACAUAAUCUCUUUGUUUGGAAUGAGCUCUGAAUUUAACCAUGCUUAUGAAUCUGUUUGUUGGGUGUACAUUUUCUUUUUGACAAGUUAUACUUGUUGAAACAAAAUUAUAGACUCACUUCACCCACGCAAUUAAUGUGAGGAUCUAUAUCUGUAGAAUGACAUGAGAACAGUCUUUCACUUAAGAGCUGCCUUUAAGGUUAAUACAUAGCACUCUAGAUAACUAGAAAGGAUUUUUCCUUCUUCCAAGAAUUGGAUUUGCUACAUUCUCCAUUAAAAAAAAUGUAGCCACCUGGUCUCCACCUAAGCUAAUCUUAUGCAAAACCGACUAGAAAAAGUCCACUAUCUAAACCACAAAUUGUCCGCAAUGUGAGAGUCCAAUGCCACUCACUACUCUUGAAAGUGCUGGCAAACUUGUAUAUCGGUCAUGUGGCCAUCAUAUUUCUCUUUGUAUAUUAAACAAAAUAGUUGGCUGUAAUUGUAGAUGAAUUUCUAUAAAACUAGCAAGAUUCGCACAGGGCUAAGGUAAUUUUUUAUAUUAUUUUAAAUGUUAUUUUUAAUCUAUUUGGCUUUUGUUCCCACUUCAAGUUAGUUAUUUUUCAUGACUUUUUAAAUUUUAAGUUUGUUGUAUCGUGAUUAUUAUUUGUCAAUAUAUUUAACUUAUGUUAAUAUUUUUAACAAACUACGUAGACAUUCAUGUCAAAAUAGAUAAAUAUUUGACGGCCAAUACUUUAACAUCCCUACGAGGGAAAUUGGUAUAAAAUUAGAAAGAAUAUGAGAUAUUGUUUAGAAGUUAAAAAAAAAAGUUUGGAUAAAAUAUAAUGCAGAUAACACUUUAAACUUGAUGUUGCCAUAAAAAUAUGCUUUCGAAUAUUAUUCUACACUAUAAAUUAAAUGAACGACCACUCCAACAUCACAGUUUUACAAAUAAAAUUCCAUGAAAACAUCCAUGCAUAUACUCAAAAAAAGAAAUUCUGAAGUAUCUAGUGAAUCUCCUACGUUUUAAAUUAUGAUGAUAUUGAUAUGCAUCUCCUAUCUUCCGCUGACGAUUGCUUCCUUGCACCGAAAGGUGAAAUUGUCAAGACUAAAACAGCAAGAUUCCUCUGGUUGACAAAUAGCUGUUGGGAUGAUUGGUGUGCACACACAUUUGGUGGAGCUAAUUAUGCACCCAUUUUACACGUGAUACUUUGUUAGGGUCAUUCCAAAUUUGUCUCUACGCAAUAUUUCCUUAAGAGAACCCAAGGACAAAAUGCUAGAAUAGCCAACCUCUUAUAUUUCCCCUUAUUUCACAUUUCACAUUUGUCUCCAUAAUUUUUCCGUUUUCACAUGUAGUAUCUCUCUGUUGGAAAGGACUUUGAAUUUGAUUAUGCUCGUCAUUGUGUAUGUUCGGUGUAAAUUUUCUUUUUUGAGAAAUUAUACUUUUGAUACAAAAUUAUUCACUAAUUCACGUCCAAAAUCAACAUGAGAGUCAAUAUCUAUAUAAUUAUGCAAUAACAGUCUCUUCUCUAUGCCCUACCUCUAAGGUUGAUACAUAGCAUUCUAAAUAGCUAGAAAAGACUUCUCCUUAUUUUAAGAACUGGAUUUGCAACAUUCUCCAUUAAAAAAAUGUUCCCACUUAGACUCCACCUAGGCUAAUAUUUUGCACUACUAACUAGAUAGAUUAUUCAUAUAUCACGAUGUACUUAUAGGCACUGAUUCCUUAUUAGCUACGUGAGUUCUACUCAAUCUAAUUACAAGGAGAAUGUCUCUCAUGACUUUAAAUUGUUUCUAUUUAGUCAAAAUGUUUUCAAACGGUCCAUAAGAUGCAAUAAUUUGACUAGACAUUAGAUAUAUGGGGUGUCCCUACUCCCUCUCGAGUCCACAUUCAUAUAGUUAAGGCUAUGAAUGUACAUAUUAUUGUGUUCUCUCAUUCUAUGUGCUUAUAUUAUGGUCUUUCAUACUCAUAUAUUACUUGUUUAAAUAUGCAUGUGGAUAGACAAUUCUCUUUGUAUUCUUCAAGGGAUAUAUUGAGGGAAAUAAUUGAAUCACAACUUUGAGUCAUUUAGACAUCAUGCACGAUGAAAUUGAGGAUCCAUCCCAUCUUAUCAAAACGAUGAGGACUAAAUUACAUUUUCAUUUUUCUUUGUCAUCUUCAACUGCAAUCACAAGAGUUUGGUAACGUUGCUUGUAGUUUUACAUGUCCUUUUUUUUCCUUCAUAUUGCCAUCUUUUAAUUGUUGUUUAAUUAAAUCACAUCUUUUAUAAAUGGCAAGUACUUGAAAAUAUGAAUUCCUAUCAACAAUAAGCAUUGGAUGGUGAACGAUUUGAUUAUUAAAGUUAUUGUUUUCAAGAAGGCAGCGAUGCAUUAUUAUUUAUUACCAACCGUCCCAUGACUGUACCAUGCUUGCAAAAGUGAGGUCCAUACGUACUCUUUUGUCUAAUAGAGCUUUGUGGUUGGAAAAUAGCUUUGCUCGUUCCUCAAACCCCUCAUCACUCCUUUUGUCACUUCACUUUAGCAAUGCACGGUCAAGCAUCUUUGCCUCGGUCAUCGAGCAAUCUAUUUGUCCUUUCUUGGACUUUAAUGACAUGAAUAUCUCCAAAGGAUUCGCAAUUGCUUGUCCUGAACUAAUCGUAAUGAAGUGUACUAUACAUGAUUCAAGUUUCCACAACAUCCUUUCAACCAUUAUCCACUAUUCUUGAAAAGGAGAGUAGUCACACGGAUACAAAGAUUUAAACCACAAAAAUUAAUGCAACAAAGUAAUGGGCUCAAAUUACUUGUAUGAUCUCAGCCAUUGAAUGAAAGAAAAUUGACGUUGAUUGUUGGAUUUGGCAUGACCAUUUUGUCCUACCAAACCCCCGUGCGUAUCCAACGCCAAAAGUAGCAAGCUACGUUAUAUCACCAUUGCGCUAAUUCAAUUCGUGAACCAUAGUUUGGGUUCUCUAGCUUUAACCUUCUGAAAUGAGGCAACUACAACUAAAAUUCAAUGCGUAGCACACUGCUUAUGGAAACUGAUAUUAUCAAGUUGCAGAAUUUAAAAUACCGUAGUUUUCUUCCUCUUUUUUUUUUCUGCACUUCAGUUUGACUAUGAGUUAUUGUAAAAUAAAGAAUUAAUUGCAAAAAUUUUCUUGAGAAAAUGUGGAAAUGAUCUCUCCAACUCGAUACUUCUCAAGGCUCCGGUCAGUUCAACCGGGACUGUAAAACUAGAAAAGCGAAACACUAACAUCUUAUUGUGGAAAUGGUGUCCGGGAUUUACGUAGCAUUACUCCAUUGGUCAUGUCCAUCUCAUAGUUUUCAAAUAUAAAGGGAACCCUUUUUUUCACCUAAUAUUAUUCAACGAGAGUGUGUACAGAUAUUAUGAUGAUAUACAGCUGCACAAAAAUGCAACUAAUUUAAACUAAAUGUGCAAUUUGGUGAAAUUGUGAACAUCCCCACGGCUACUUAAUACGUGCAUGAGUUCAAUCAAACAUCGGCAUGGCUUUGGCGAUUUAUUAAAUGAGAUUAGCAUAGAUUGACAUGUAGCUCCAAAAUUAUGGCACCCCAUCAUUCAAUUUCACUUUCUACAAUGUCAUAUUAGUAUAUAAAAAAAUAGCAAUAUAGACUAGUCACAUAAUGAUAUGAAAAAAAAUUAAUUGAAAUAUGAAGAACAAAAAAGUAUCAUAACAAUAAGCCGGUUCCUCCAACACCAAAAAUAAAAAGAAAGUAUCGUAACAAUUAGCCUUGUCUUGGUCACGGAUCAGGCUCUGUCCAGGGACUCAUCUAGUCUAGUGAUGUCCAUGAUACGAACAAAAUUCUUAAUCUCUACGCGCAAAAACUAAUCGAUAAAAGAUAAGUCUUCGAUCUCCAAAGGAUGCGAAAACAUGAGUUAGAAUUUAAAUUUUAUUUUUGGUCGAAAGUUAGACUUUAAGGGUGCGUUUGGCUGCACCCUAUUUCUGUUCCCAGGAACAGAAAUUUCUGUUUUUUUGUUCCUCGGAACAAAAAAGGAACAGAAACGCGUUUGGGUGCGUUUCUGUUCCUUUUUUGUUCUUUUGUUCCCAGGAACAAAAAAAAAACAGAAACAAAACUUAGAAACACUUUUUUAUUUUAUUUUUCUUUUUCUUUCUUUUUUCUUUCGCCGGUCGCCGGCCUCGGCCAUGGCCGGCGACCGGCCAAAAGAAAAAAAAAAAGAAAAAAGGAAAAAGAAAAAAGAAAAAAAGGAAAAAAAAAAGAAAAAAAAGGAAAAAAAUAGAAAAAAUAAAAGAAAUAAAAAAUUAUACAAAUUUACUAAACGUGUUUCUAUUUAUUUUUUGUUCCCGGAACAAGUUUACCAAACGCGUUGUUUUGUUCAGAAAUUGUUCCCAGGAACAGAAACACUUUUUUUUUAUUUAUGUUCCCUGGAACAAUUUUUAAACAGAAACGCAAACAAACACACCCUUAGUUAAUGAUGAUUUGAAAGAUUUAAACAAUAAUUUAUCUAGAACGAGCGACUGAUAUGAAGAUAUCAUCUAGAAUAAGACGCGAAAAGGCUCCAAAUCCUCCUAGAUCGAUUGCGCGGGUCCCUUUUUCCUCUCGAUGUGUCUUUUCCCCCUUGGCUUUUCUCGGAUUCCCUUUCUAUUUCGGUGUCUGCAUAAGGCCGGUCGCGUCUCCCUGAGUGAAGAGGCUAUUCAUGCCAGGAUCUCUGCCUUCAUUUCCUCGAAAUGGACGAGAGAUCUUUUGUAUCCCUUGCACGCGAAGCUGAAUGGUGCUUCUUACAAUUGCCAAAAAGUACGUCCCGCGUAUCGUAAAUAAUUAAUGGAAAAUCAGGCUUGUCCGCUAAACACAGUUUGUUUUUUGCUUCGAGAAAACAUGAAGGCCUCAUCCCUUUUUCUCUUUUUGCCAGAGAUCCCUGGCUCUCCCUUCAAUUUCAGUCAAACCUCUUACUCAUUCUUCCCCUUUGUCAAUUGCAUGAAACUUACCCCUUUCCUUUAUCAAUUUCAGCAUCCCCACGUUCCACAAAUGCCAUGAUUCGGACUCUCCUUAAGCAAGGAAUCAUGCCCAAGCAUGGUAUGAUUCCAUGCCGUUGUGAUUCCACAUUAAUCCGUACCAUGAUGACUUAACAUUCUUGCUUGAAAUUCUGAGUUUAUUCUUACAACUAUUGUUGGCAAAAAAAAAAAAAAAAUGAAACAACUUCAAAUUUUCCUUACAAACCAAGUUUUCCUUCUAUUUAAAAGCGUGAUUUGAGGGGACCUUCGUCAAAUAUGUGAAAAUUGGAGAGACAAUACAUGAAAAGUCAAGAAAGGGUUUAAUUAGUCCAAGUCUAAUAUGUCAAUAGGUAGAAAACUAUCAAAAUUCAAUAAAUAUAAAAUAUAUAUGCAUUUAACAUGGCCAUUUUAUGUUUUAUUAAGUGUUUUCUUUAUUUUUGAUGUAGAAUUUUAUGUUCUUUUGAAAUAAAAAAAGUCUAACAACAGAAGUUUCCAAUUGAUUAUAGCAUUAGGAAAAGAAUAUCAAGUAAUGUCUAAUUUAUGACAUGAAGGAACUCUCUAUAUGGUGGUGGGAUAAUUACCAAAAUAGUAUGGAACCUAUUGCAAUUAUCUCAAUCAGUUUUAAACUUUUUUUUUUUAAAAUUCAAUCCCAAAAUUUUUGAAUUUGUGCCAAUUCAAUAUAUCCGAGCAAUUUUAGCCAAUCGACGCCGACAUGAACUUUCUUAAAUAAUAAUUUAAUAAUUUUUUUUUAUAUUUUUAUAUUUUCUUUUCUUAAAUUUUCCCCCCUUUCCCCUAAGGCCACGAUAGCCUCACUCACCCAGACUGUGUGAGGGUUGGUACGCCCUCGUCCAAUGCUAGUGAGGGCAUCUUGGCCAUCACCUAUUGACCCUUGCCAUCCCCUAAGCGAAAGGGGAAAAAAUUAAAGAAAAGACAAAAUUAUAAAAAAAUUCAAAAUUUGUUAAAGUAUUAUUUAAAGAAGUGUACGUCAGCGCCGUCAAUGCCAUGUUAGCACCAGUGACCAAAAUUGGCUGGAUGGACUAAACUGGCACAAAUGCAAAAAACUUUAGGGCUAAAUUGAUUUUUAAAAAAAUUACGAUUGAAUUAGCAUAAUUGCAAAAGGUUUAUAACUUUUUUGAUAUUUUUCCCCUAUAUAAUAUAUAGAAGAAACUAAGGGCAUGUAUAACAAAAUUUUUAGAACGAAAAUCAAUUUUUUACUAGAAAUUGAUUUCUCAAUUUAUAUUCCUUGGACGAGUUUCUAAGAAGAGAAAUACGUUUGAUAACGAUUCAAAAUUUAUGUUUCUAGAACAUAAAUUCAUUCGAUGACAUAAUAAAAUUUAUAUUUCUAAAGGGCGGUGACUGGCGGCCAGCGUCUGGCCCGGCGACUGGGGAUGGGCGUCCAAUGAUCAACGUCUGGCGUCAAGCAAUCUGGAGUCAAGCAGUCCAACAUUUUGCGACGGCGAUGAGCUUCCUGCGCUCCAUGGGUGGCGGGUGAACGGCAGGUAGUAACGAGAGUAAAUGAUAAAAAGAGUUAUCGUUUCUCAUUUUUGUUCUAGAAAUAGAAAAGUUCAAAAAAUUUAGCUUUUGAUUUAUGCUCCAAAUCUAUUUAUGAAAUAAAAAUCCGUUCCAAAAAUAGAAAAAUGAAAUUACAUUAACAAACGAAUUUCUAUUCCAAACCUGUUCCGAGGAACAGAAAAAAAAGAAAAAGAAAUAGAGAAAUAGAAAUUUUGUUAUGCCUAACCGGCUAAGCAGCGAAUCAAAAGCCAAGGCUUAAAAAAAGUCAUACAAGUAAAAACUAAGAUAGGUAUUUGAUUAAGCUUGUUCCUUACGUAGGGAAUGAUAUGAUGAUAGCAUUAGAAACUCUUACUCUAUACUUCCGUUUCCUAUGAUAUUCUUUUCUAAAUUAUUAUUUCCAAGAAACUAGCCAUGCAUUAUUAACCCAAUCCCAUGAUUAAACCAUUCAUGCAAAACUGGAGUCCACAUGUAUUCUAUUGUCAGAUGGACUUUGUCAUUGGAAAAAUGCUAUACGUGUUCCUCAAGUCCAAGAGAUGCAAUAAUUUGCCUAGAUGUUAAGUAAAUGGGGGUGUCCCCAUUCCCUCUCAUGUCCCCAUUUAAUGAAGAUGUUGCUGGAUCUAUUACUACCUCAUUCAUUAGUAAUUUGACUUGAGAUUAUAUUAUGUGCCAAAUGUAUAGCCUAAGAGCACAAAUUUUGACAGGCUAAGAUAGAUGACUUUCAGAUUAUGCACCCUAUCAUAUAGUUAAGGCUGUGAAUUAUAACUCUUGAAACUAGCAAAUAUUGUUAAGUGUCAUGAAUAUAUGUAUGUAUGUAUGUAUGUAUGUAUGUAUUGUUGUGAUCUCUCAUUCAAUGUGCUUAUAUUAUGGGCUUUUGUAUUCAUACAUUGCUUGUUCAAAUAUGCAUGCAUACAAUUCUCUUCGCAUUUUUCAAGGGAUAUAUUGAGAAAUAAUCGAAUUGCAAUUCUUAGGCAUUUAGAUAGAUUGUGCAAGGUGAAGCCGUAGAUAUAGUACAUCUUGUAAAAAAAAUGAAAGAGGACUAAAUUGCAUUUACAUCAUUCUCUACUAAGUCCGAACUACAAUCACAAAAGUUUAGUAGUGUUGCCUAUAGUUUUAUAAGCCAUACAUUUUCUCACAUCGCGAUCUUUUAAUUGGUAUUUCAUUAAAUCACAUCUUUUACAAAUGGUAAAAGAUGGUAGCAUUCAGUAUUCUUAGUCUAUACUUUUGUUUUCUAUGACGUCAUUAUUAAAGUUAUUAUUUCCCACAAGGCAGCCAUUCAUUUGUUACCACAAUCCCAUGAUUGAACCAUGCACGCAAAAGUGGGGUCCAUAAGUAUUCUUUUGUCUGAUAGAGCUCUCUUGUUGGAAAAUAGCUAGGUGAGUUGCUUAGGCCCAGCUGAAGUAAUAAUGUAACUAGACAUUAAGGGCGCCAAUAGUAAUCAUUAUAUUUCAGAAAUCAAUUUUUAUUCCAAAAAUAGGAUCGAAUACAAAAAAAUUUCCUCUCAAUUGGCAGCAAUGAAUGGCGAACGUCAAAUGGCGGAUGGUAGCGGCGUCCAGUAGAUGUCGAACAGUGGACAAUCAUCAACACACAUAGACCAACGACUUGCAGACGGCAGCUGUGCGGCCAACGAUUGGCGGCGGCAGAUGAUGAUUGGUGGUGGUGGACAACAAGUGGUGAUAGGCAAGCCACUAGCUAGUAGCAAUGAGGAGCAAUGAGAAGAGUUUUUAUUUUUCAUUUCAAUUAUAAAAUUAGAAAAGUAGAAAAUUUUUAUUUUUCAUUUCUAUUCCAAACUUAUUUUUAGGCUAAAAAUUUAUUUCAAAAAUAGAAAAAAGAGGAAAUUACGUUACCAAACGGAUGAUUAUUAUACCCGUCCUAAAUCAUGGUAUGUCCCAUCUCGAGCCCAAGGUGCUUUUUGAAAAUGCUAAAUAGACGAAAGUGGAGCAUCAAACACAAGAUUUUGGCUACAAUGUGGAAAUAAAUUAAUAAAUUAAUGAUAAGCCAAGAUGGUUAUAACGAGAUCUUUGGCGGCAAAAUAUGCAGAGAAAUCAUGAAAGUUUGAUUGUUAGGUCCAAGCACGCCUCAUGCAGCAAGCAACCACUCAGACCCUAUCAACUUUUUCCAGUAAAAAGUAGCUAUGCUUUGACGCCGCCCUUCCUUCUUCAUCUCUCUUCGUCCUUGCUCUAUUUCGCUCUUUCUUCUUCUUGGCACAACUAUUCUUCCUCCUCCUUCUUUCUCUUCUGCAUCUGCUCCUCCUCCCUCCUAUUGUCCGAAUGGCACGAUAGACAUAUGACGCGGGCACAUUUUGCACUAAACAAUCUACAGUCCCAUGUAUAUGGUUCACAUCAUCAUCAACUCCAUUUGCAUGUUUGACAAAAAGGAUUUGAAAGAAUUAAGUAAAUAUAUAUAAUAUAUGUAUGCAAUUGGAAGAAAAAAAAAGUUCAAAGACCUACUGAUAAUUUUGGCAAAAAGUUCAAUUACUACGAUGCCUAAGUCCCUUAUUAAGUAUCAACUACCGCUUCAAAAUUAGUUCGAGCCAUCAUCUAUUUUUUUGAAAAAUGCAAUGAAGACAACUAUUUCUUUUACCAGUAUUUGCUAAAAUAUGCAUUGUAGCUCACAAGAUAUUACCAUCAUUUGAGGUACACUCGUUUUGGUGAUGAAGUGUCCAGAAUAGCUUUAUUUAACAUGUUGCCCUAUUGAUUCAUGCACGAUGCGCAGAGUCUGCAAAGUACUACUUUGUGGGCCAAUGCCAACACAUGUCCCUCUAACCUCCGUUGAUGUACCAUCAAGUUCCUAUCAAUCUUCACCGAAGAAGAUGAGUUUGUCCGAAAAUCCUCAAAAGGUGCGCCCAUGAGAGUGCAUUGAGUAUAUUCAACGGAUCAAUAAUAUGAUUCUAGCGGACCAUCGGCAAAUACUUUUGAAGAGUGGGAAAUGGAAUAGCUCGUCAAGAAAUUUGAAAGAGAAAAGGACAAAAGUUUUGACAGCUCAACGGGUAUUUGGAGUGAACACCAGCACCGCAUUUUGUGUACCGUGUAAGGCUUCUUGCACGGUGCCUUAGAAGCCUAUAUUAUUGAGUCCACUGUGCACUAUUGGUGUGAGAGUUGCUCUCUCUCUCUCUGAAAAAAAAUCAAAGAAAAUUGUCCAUCGAUGUUGCUGUUCCAGAAUAAUAGGAAAAAUUACAUUAAACUCAUAUCAAUGACUAAUUUUUGAAAGAGCAAUAACAAAGAGACAUUAACAAAGUUCCAACCAUAUCAUCGUAUGGCAAUUUUAUGAUAUUUAUUUCACAUUCUAAUAUGAUGAUUAUGGUUCUCUUAAAAAUUAAUAACUUCAAUUUGAUUUUGUCAAUUGAGUUUUUUAUUUUUAUUUUUCAAGUAAAGAGAAGCCUAGAGGGCCUUUCUAUCAACAAAUCUGCGAAAGAUAAUACAUGAAAAGCCAAGACUUAUUUCCAACUAACGAUUAAUAUUAGGGAUAAUACCUUAAAAAACCCCAAACUUAUACAUUUGUGACAAUUUUACCCAAAACUAUUUUUUUGACCAUGAAAAACCCCAAACUGGUAAACUUGUGACAAAUUUACCCCAACUGAUUAUAAAAAACCAUAAAAUGGUACAUUUAUGACAAAUUUACCCCAAACUAAUUUAUUCGACUGCAAAAAACCCUAAAAUGGUAAAUUUGUGACAAAUAUAUCCUAUGCUAAAUUGGAUUAAUACCACAAAAAAGUCAUAAAAAUUGUAAAUUGUGACAAACAGAACGUAAAAUCCUAAAUAGAUAUGCUGGUUAACUGUCACGUAUCAUUUAACUUAAUAAUUUGAGAAUAAAAUUUAACGAAAACUAACAUAGGGUAAAUUUGUCACAAGUGUACCAGUUUGGGAUAAAUUUGUCAAAAAUAUACAAGUUUAGGGUUUUUGGUGGUCAAAAAAAUAGUUUGGGGUAAAUUUGUCACAAGUAUACCAGUUUGGGGUUUUUUAGGGUAUUAUCCCUUAAUAUUAUUAGACAUAAGGAUCUAAGUUAGCCCAAGUCUAAUGUGUCAAUCACAAGAACAUUAUCAAAACCUGCUAUUCAAUGUAUAAUCUCUAAAAUGGCAAAUCAUCGAGAGCACUCAUCUAUUAAACUCUUAAGGGGACAUCACAUAUCCUCACACAGCAAGGGUUAAUUAAAGUAAAGGGAAAGCUUGUUCAUUUGGGCCUCAUCAAGAGAGUUGUAAGUUUUAGCUUGAUAAUUGGUGACUCUUUCGCUUAAUGGAUCAUUGAUUCAUUGCCCAUGGAGGAGAGAAGUGGGAAAACAAUAUUUAUUGACAAUAAAAGGAAAGAGGCCAGACAAGUGAAGGCACCCAAUCAGUUCAUGCAUUUACAAAUACUUAGAUGUUUUUUUUUUUUUUUUGGUAACCUAGGGAACCUCCGCUUGCCGCUUCGCGGCGGAGAGUAAACCCUGGGGAGACACGUGGGAAACCACCACCCACGUGUCCCGGGUAAGGCGUGGCUAGCACUGAAGCAACGACGACACCGUGGAUCGAACUCGGGAUCUCUCGUAAAAAGUUUCCUUGCUCAACCACCUACGCCACCACCACGGGUGAUUACAAAUACUUAGAUGUUUGUCUGGUAGUUGUGGACGAAAGGACAUGAAGGUAGACAUUGGUGAUGGUGACUGGUCGAGUAAAGGAACAAUAAAAUGCAAAAAUCCAUCUCAGCCUCUGCAACUACUCUCUCUAUCUACCUCUCCCACCACUAACCCUAAUUAAACCAAUCUUUCGUAUAUUUAGAUAGUUGUCCAUGAGCAGUGGAAGAAAGGACAGGUAGACUUGGACAUUAGUGAUGGUGACUAAUCAGGAAACAGUAAAAUGCAAAAAAACAAAAAAAAUCAUCCAUUUCCAUAUAUAUACUUUUUAUGAGUCAUCUAUUUCUAUCACUGAAUCUUUUAUCGGUCUAUUAUCUUUCUUGUCUCGAUGAUGUGACCGACAUAUGGCGGCCUUUUUGUUUUUUUAUUUUUUGGCCAGUGACGACGUGGGGGUAGUCUGCUCAUCACUCUACUUCCCAAGUGGAGCUCUAUCCAUACCCUAUCUCCUCUUUCCUCCUUUGGUUUUUGAGUCAUUCUCAUAUUUUCAACUAGCUGGAUAGCUAGUAUUGAAACUCAGCCGUUUAUUAUAAACUGUCCCAGCAAAAUGUUGCUGUUUUUCGACGCUACCCAUCCUUCGAAAAAAUUAAAAGUGAAAUAAAAAUUAGGUUUAUAAAUUAUGAAAACCCACAUAACUUUACUUGGCAAUAAUUGUAUGCUUUUGAAAGUUUUUAAAACCAAUUUGUGAUUACUGCAAUAUUUGAAAAAUACAUGUUAAAAGUGUUAAGACUCACCACACAUCCCAAGCAUUUAAGAGAAAAGAGAAAAGAGGGAAACUCCAAUUGGAACGAGAGACCACAAAACAAUGUUAGUGGUUACUCGAAUUGUUUCCUAUAUUAAUUGUGUGUUGUAAAGAGUAGCAUUAUUUAAAAAAAAAAAAGUAAACUGAUUUAAAUUGUUUAAUCUACUUAUAAGUUUUGAUCUAACAAUUCUAUAUGAAGAUGCAAUAAUUUAACUAGACAUACGAUAAGGGGGUGCCUCCACUCCAUCUCAAGUCCACUUUUACCAAAGAUGUUCUAAAAGAAAAGCCAAAAAGACGAAAGCAUUGAUUUUUCAAGAAUGACUUCGCAUGAGGAGCAUCACACAUGAGAGACUUUGGCUACAAUGUGGAUUUGAUAGUUAUGCUUGUUUUUUUUUCUAGUUUUGCUAUUAAACCUUUUCAUAAAAAAUGAUUCGGCAUCCAUCUGUUGAUUAGCGACUAUUCCUGCAAAAAAAGUUGCUAUGCGAUUAUUUUUCGACAUUAGCUUUCCUUCAUCCACUUCUCUAUUGGCUCCAUGAAUUUGUCUUGGAUGCUUCACUGAGAAUUGCUUCAUUAAACUGAAAGCAAAAAUUCACAAGGCUAUAAGAGAUAUUUUCCGCUAGUGAGCCUUCCUUCCCACCAGAACCUUUGAAAAAUAGUUAGGAAAAUCUUCUAAAGUCAACUAUAUAUAUAUAUAUAUAUAUAUAUAUAUAUAUGUGUGUGUGUGUGUGUGUGUGUAUGUAUGUAUGUAUGGACACACAUUUCUCACCCCAAUUUAGUUUAAAUCACAUCCCUUUACGUAAGCUGGCCAAAAUAUCCUCCACACGCAUGUGUAUCCUCAAGCAUUAACACAUCCGCCUUUUUUUUUUCAAAAAAUAAAUUUGCCAUUUUCAUUUUCUCUCAAAUAUAUUGUCUUGUAUCUUUUCUUAUUUACUGUAGACCUUUGAUAAGAGAUUCUGAUUUAAAUCUUCUCACUUACUCUUCUGAUUUAAAAUUUUUUUUAUAUAAUAAUUUAUCUAAAAAACAUCUUCAGCCUAUUAAUCACAAAAAAUGGCUGAUUUAUUUCAAAGAUUGGAGCAUAAGCAUGUUCCGGAUUAUCAAACUGCAUUUACGCUUUUGUUGAACUUUUGCUAUAAUUUUUCAUAAACAUCACGACCAAAUCUUCGGUUCUUAGAUUCUUCCAAUUUGAAGUUUCAUCAUUUUGUAGAAGAGGUCGCCUCAACUAGUUAACUUUGUGGGAGAUUUGCUUUAUAUGAACUUAUAGGUUGGUGAAUUUACAGAUAAUUCUCUUCAUUCAAAUGGUUAUGGCCAGUGGUUUUGAGACAUUUGAAAUUUACUUAAUUUUUAUAGCUAAUUGAUUAUUUUACGUUUUAAUGCUAGAAAAUUUGGGAGAUCAUUGGGUGAGUGUUUCAUUUUGAGCAUUUUUUAUUUUAAGUUUGGUUUCUCUGCAUCUCUACAGUUAUUUUAAGAAGGAUAGUUGUUGCUAAACAUAAGAAAGACGGAAGCUCAUUGUUUCAUUGAACUUGUUGACUAUCUAAAAUACAAUUUCAUGUUGAGUAAAAGAAAUCAACAUUUUAUAAAAUAUGGAUUUUAUAUUGAAAAACUAAUGGCUACCUAGGCUCCACCUAAACUAAUAUUGUACACUCCUGAUCAGGUAGAUUACUUAUAUAACAUAAUAUUCUAUUUACUCCAUAUUACUUUCUUUAAUGACGGGUAUCAAUGCAUUGGGGAUAAAGUGACUAUGGGAAUCAAAUUGCUUUUAGAUUGCGUUUACUUUUAGAUAAAACAUAUAAAAGGAUCAAAGAUAAAAAGAAAAGGAUUAAAAAAUCUCAUUUGUGUCUAUAUUAGGAUUACUUUUAGGGAUUAUUUUGAUGGAUGUUUUCGUCUUUAAUAUGUUAGAGAAUUUUUUAGUAGAUAAUUUUCUUUAGCCGAAAGUAGAUUUUGGCUUUGAUUUUUAGCUCACAAGAUAUUCAUGUCUCGCGGUUUAAUGUCGAUGAAAAUGUUAAUAUUAUAAGAAAGAAUAGAGAUGCCUUCUCAUGUAUUUUCCAAGGUGCCACUUGUGCUUUUCUGCCGUCGUAUGUGGGGCACAUUAAAAAUGAGUUAAUGGCAGACCGGGUAGUUACAUGUCACGUGUUCAAUUUGUCAAAAGGUCAAAUGUGGUAAAAGUUAGAACUCCGUGUCACGUGGGUAUGGCCAGUCCUCGUCCAUUCAUUUUAUUUAUUCCGAGGGCGAUGGUUUGAGUGGAAUCAUUUGUUUGCUACUUCAACAGCUGAUAAUCAUCUCUUUCUUUCUCCAUUCGUUGCUAUUCGACGCUUUCCUUCCUUCAACCUGUUUUCGCGCUCAAUCUCUUCGCCUUGUUUGUCCCUUGCUCUGUUUCGAUCUUUCUUCACCUCGGCUCAACCAUUCCUCCUUCUGCUCCUCCUCUUCUUCUUCAGUGUCUGUUGCUCUUUUUCAUCAUUCUCUCUCUGGCUCUCUAUUUUCUCGCUCUUUCUUUCUCAGAAAAAGAAAAAAUCAAAGAAAAAUGUCGGCCGAUUCUGUCGUUUCUAUUGCAUGGGAUGCCUUGAAGAGCUAUGUAUUUGUUCCCAUCAAGCGUCAACUUGGAUACGUGAUCUCCUCCAAGAACUUCGUCGACGGUCUUAGAGAGGAAGCCCGGAAUCUGGAGAACAAGGCUGAGAGGCUCCACAGUGCCGCGGAAGUGGCCAGAAACAAUCUCCGGAAUUUCUACAGGGAGUUCACGGAGUGGGACGCAAGUACUGAGAAGACUUUGAAGGAGGCGGGAAAACUAUUGGACGACUUCGAAAAGGCGACCAAGACUUGCUGCUACGGCACUCUUCCUAACCCCUAUUGUCGCUAUCAGUUCAGCAGGAAGGCCGACGGCAAGAUCGAGGUCAUUAAACAACUCACUAAAAAAUGCAGUGAAUUCAAGGAAUUGAACGACAUCUGCUUCACCGAGCCUGCUCCGGGGAAUGUCACUGCUCUGACUCCAGCCAGGAUAGAGGACAAAGAUGUUGUCCAAUCGAACAUAUCGACGGCCACCAUUUCUUCUGCCUCAAUGUCGAAUAAGCUUAGGGACGAUGACAUCUUCGAAUCCAGAGCUCAAAUCACAAGGGACAUCAAUGAGGCUCUUGCCGAUAAUAGCAAUAGCGUGGUUGGGGUUCAUGGGAUGGGCGGGCUCGGCAAGUCCACCCUUUUGGAGGAAGUCAAAAGGAUAAUAAGCAAAGAGAAGUGGUUUGAUUGGGUCGCUAAGGCCGACGUGUCGAAAAAUCCGGACAUCAAGAUGAUUCAAGGAGAGAUUGCCGAUGCGUUGGGCCUUAGUGAGAUCAAGGACAAGGAGUCCGUCAGCGGGCGAGCGGAACUUCUACAAAGGAGGUUGAGAAAAGAGGAGAAUGACAAAAAGAAGGUCCUCAUAAUACUGGACAACCUGUGGGAGGGGCUCGACUUAGACAAAGUCGGCAUUCCUUGCGGACAUGACAACAAAGUCCUGGGAUGCAAAUUGUUGUUGACGUCAAGAGAUCGUGAUAUUUUGCGACGGAAAAUGGGCUGCGACAAGGACUUCCUCCUCAAUGGGCUGAAGAAGGAAGAGGCAAAAAGAUUGUUUGAGAGGACGGUGGGAGACAAAGUUCAUGAUGACGAGUUCAAACCUUUGGUGAAUGUAGCACUCGACAAAUGUGCAGGUGUGCCUUUCCUAAUUGUUGCAAUGGCGAAACGUUUUAAAGAUGCUAAUUUAUCUGAAUGGAAAGACACUUUAAAAAAAGUCGAGAAGUUUAAAGAUAAAGAAAUCAAUGAUUCAAUACACCAGAUGUUGCAAUGGAGUUAUGAAAAAUUAGAAAAGGAGGUGAAGUCAUUAUUACAACUCUGUGUUGUUUAUGGUACUUCCAACCCUUCUCUUGAAAACUUGGUGAGGUACAGCGUCGGUUUGGGGUUAUUUCAAGAAGUUAGCAGCAUGGAAGAAGCUAGAAAUAGACUAAGCUCACAUAUCCGCACUCUUCAAGCCUCUUCCCUUUUGUUAGAUAGUGAAGAUGUUGAUGGUUUCAAGAUACAUGACUUGGUUCAUGACUUUAUUGUCGAUGUCUCUUUGAGAGAUCACCCUCUUCUUGUGUUGAAAGAUGAAGUCAAGUCAGUAAUAGAGUUGCUGAACGACAAGCCUAGUAAUUAUAUGGCGAUAUGCUUUCCCUACGUUGACAUGGAGGAGCUUCCUCAAAAAUUAGAUUGCCCCGAAUUGUGCGUCUUCUUGUUGUUCACAAACAAUGAAUCUCUUCAUGUCCCAGAUUCAUUAUUUAACUAUACGAAGAAACUCACGGUCUUAAAUCUUACUGGGGUACAUCUUACUCAUUCACCUUUGCCGUUUCAGCUCUUGGAGAACUUACAAACUCUGUGUCUUGAUGGUUGUUUGUUAGAGGAUGUAGCCAUUCUUGGCAAGCUAAAGGGGUUACAAAUUCUCAGCUUUGUGAACUCCAACAUUCAGCGAUUGCCAAAAGAAAUUGGGCAAUUGGUAGAGCUGAGGUUGUUAGAUUUAAACUAUUGUUCAAAACUGCAGAUAAUUGAACCGGGUGUGCUUGGAAGCUUGAUAAAAUUGGAGGAGUUGUGCAUGAUGUAUAGCUUUGAUCAAUGGAAUGCUGGGGAGCUGCCAACUCCACCAACUAAUGCAAGUCUUGUUGAGUUGAAUAACAUGAAGAAAUUGUGCACUUUGUAUGUAUCCAUUCCCGAUCCAAGUGUGCUCCCAAAGGACCUAAAUGUCGAUAAAUUAACCAAGUACCAAAUCCAAAUAGGAAAUGCAUGGCGCCUAAGCAUUGGCAAAGGAUUGAGGAUAUUGGAGUUGAAUCCGACAAGUGAUAUUCUUCAGAAAGAAUGGAUACAAAGUAUCUUAGGCAAAACUGACGCUCUAUGUUUGGAUGAGCACAAUGGAAUUGAGCAAAGUAUUUGCGCAUUAUCCAAAAAAGGUUUUCCAAAAUUAAAGCAUCUACAAGUCAUAAAUAGUCCUUCUAUUCAUUACAUCCACCAAUCGUCAUCACAUACAAAUUUUAAGAGGUUGGAGUCAUUAAUUCUCAAGGAUCUCAUCAACGUGGAGAAGUUAUGCCACAAUCAUAUCUAUUAUAAGUCCUUCAGUUCAUUAAAGGCGGUACAAGUCAAAAGCUGUCACAAGAUGGAAGUUCUAUUUCCUCUUUCAUCACUAAGAGAACUUCCAUGGCUAGAAGAGAUUGAUGUUUCCAAUUGCAAGUCAAUGCAGGGGAUUGUAGAAGCCGAUGAUUGUGGCAAUGUUGAGUUGCAUAAUUUGCAUGUAUUGAAAUUGUGUGACUUGCCAAAUAUCAAGAACUUUUUCAACACCGGGUCAACUCCUUCAAGUAGUAUGCCAAACGACCAAGUUGGCAUGCAAAAUGCAUUCUUCAGUGGGCAACGAGUAAGUUCAAUCAAAAGAAUUCACGCAGAUUAUGGUGCUUAUUUAUUUUUGUUAUUUUCAAUUUAUUUUUCCUAACUACCUUAUCUGUUCAUGUCUUCUCUGUAAUUAGAUAAAAACAAUUAUCCAUUUCUCUUAAUUGUGUAGAAAUACAAGCAAUUAUAUGAAAUCCAUGUAAAUUUGGUUUGUCAUUAGUUUUGAGUUAUUUUUUACUUUCGUGCUGCAAGUAAAUCUGUAUUAAUAAGGUUUCAUAAAGCAAAAAUGAAGGGAAUUUUGGCAUUAAAGUAAUUCCAUAAGCAAAGUAAUUUAUAAUCUUUCGAAAUGGAUUCCACUGAAUUUAGUUAUCAAAUCGUUGUUAUUAUCCACAAAAUGUAUAAUACAAGUGCCUCUCUUAAAAACCUAUACGAAGAAUGGGAAGAAGGGCCAGGUUUUAAAAAUAAAAUCAACUGUGCUAAUAUUAUUGAUGCACUAUUUAAAUAAGCACUUAGUAAUUGCAUAGACCCCAUAACUAUAAGAGUACAAUAUUUUGUGCAUAGGUUUCUUAUAGUGAAUGUAGGCAUUGGCAAAUGUAUGAUUUUUAUUGUGUCACAGCAAAGUUGUCAUUGCAAAUUUGGAAUUCUUGCCGUUGGAGUUUUAAAGUGAUCUUUUCCAUUUCUCUAGUCCAUACGGCGGAAUUAAGGCCAAGUUGUUACAAUAUAAAAUAAUGGAACAAGAUGCCUUGAUGGAAAAUCCACUAUCUUUGACGGGCCUUGUAUUUAUUUUGGCUACUCAAUAUGUCUUUAGUUUAAUUUCCAAAGCUUCAAGUGCUCCACAAUUUAAUCUUCAAGAAAUUUGUGGUGAAAUUUGACUUUUCUUUUUGUUGAGUCCCAUCCAAUUUGAAUUUUAACUUUUAUGUAACUCCAAUAGUUUAUCGGGACAAAUCCACAGUUUGCAUUAAUAAUCCUGUUAAAUUAAUUAUUGAUAUUGAUUUAUUAACGUUAAAGACAAGUUAGUAAGCUAAGGAUAAACAUUUGCCCAAGUAUGGAAAGUGAUAAAUCAACGUUAAAGACAAGUUAGUAAGCUAAGGAUAAACAUUUGCCCAAGUAUGGAAAGUGCGCGGCUAUUUUAUACGGGGAAAGUUGGUGUCAGUGGACCUUGUAGGCUGAUUAGAUAAAAUUGCCCUUUGAUAGCGGUGAUAUUAUCACUGAAGUUGAUGGUGGGGUCCAAGACUCACGCCAUAUAUAAGCUUUCCCAUCAGUAAAAGAUCUGUUCGUCUUUUUUCCCUGAUCGAAGGAACCUUGCUCUCUGAAUUGCACCAGGAAAGGGUACCUGAGCCCUCUCCGUAACUAAGCAGGUCUAGGGCUUCGGGAAUCAUCACUUUUAGAUUUUACAUGAAUUGCAAGACCAAAGUGAUCAAUUCAGUGACUUCUCUAAGUGUACAGCAAUUUCAUUGAAGAAUUUCAUCCAUGUUGUAACUUAAAUAACCGUCUCUAAGUGAUUUAACAAAAGCUAUGUAUGCUAUCCACUUCAUUCUCGGGCUAGCAAAAAAAGCAUAAAUUGUGAUUUGAUUAUUCUAGGAAAUUAACUAAAUUCAAAAGAGGGAGAGAUUUUAUUCAAAUUUGGGAUUAUGAGAGACUACUGUGAUUAUAUGAUAGCAUGAAAACAUUUAAAAAUUACCAUUUUGCCAUUGUCAACAGAAUCCGGUUAGUAUUCCUACUUUUUGUUUUGUUUCCCGUAAUUCCAAUAGCCUCCUCGUCCUGGAGUCGUUGACAUUAGUAUGGAGAUUUCUUUACCAAAUUUGUUGACUUUAUUCUUUUUGCCCUUUUGCUCAACUUAAGAUAGAAUCACCAAUUUCAUGAAUUUGUAAUUUUCAUCUUGGCACGUAUCUAUAUUUACAUCUUAGAAAUUCAUGAUUAACUCAUUCACCAAUUUCGUGAGUGAAUAUCGCAGGUUGCAUUUCCUAACUUGGAGACAUUAUAUAUCACUGGCUUGAAUAAUAUCGAGAUGAUAUGGGACAAUCAAGUUGUUGCGGAAUCUUUCACCAAGCUAAAGUCACUUUGCGUGGAUGAAUGCAAUAAGCUUGUGAACAUUGUUCAUUCUUUCAUUCUAAGACGGCUCUUGAGCCUAGAAAGGUUGGAUGUAAAAACAUGUGGUUCACUUGAAGUUGUUUUUGAAUUUUGGCCACUGAAACAUCUAGAUGGACAUCCUAUUGCUCUUCCAUUAGAAGAGCUGACAAUAUCAGCAUUAUCAAAGCUAAAGUGUGUAUGGGAUAAGGAACUCCACUGUCAAGCUAAAUUCCAAUGUCUACAAUCAAUUAGUGUUUCUAAAUGUGAGAGCCUCACCUCUCUGUUUCCAGCUUCAGUAGCCAAAGAUCUCAUGCAACUUGAGGAGUUGAAGAUCGAUGAAUGUGGCAUUGCAGAAAUCAUCGAAAAGGAAGAUGGACUAGUUCCCAGGUUUGUAUUCCCAAUGUUAACCUCCCUUGAGCUUGAGUAUCUGAGAGAGUUGAAGUGCCUCUACAAAGGAACACAUACUUCCCAUUGGUCGGCAUUGAAGAGCUUGAAGGUGCAUGGUUGUGACAAAGUGGAGAUACUUGCAUCGCACCUUGAGAAUGAGAUGCCACUUGAUAAACAGCCUCUCUUCUUGAUAGAAAAGGUAUGGCCCAAGAUUACUUGUUUUGUUUUGAUGGUGAAUAUUUGAAGUGAUGAUUAAGGUUACAACCAAGCAUCUCAUACAAGCAGCUCUACAUAGAAGAUGGACACUAUACGACUCACCUUCAAUCUAUGAAAAUAUUUCAACAUCAAAACAUCACAUGUUCUUCAAGUGCUGACUGAACAUUCUUGUUAGAUGUAUCCAAUGCAUUGUUGUUGGUCCACUUUUAAUAAAGGUUUAGGCUAAUUCCAAUAGUUUUGCUAUCUCCUAAGUGCCAUGAAGAUGAAAACACGUGGCACAUGUUGUGAUCUUAGUAUGGUACAAAUGUGUUGUCCGACUUGAAUCCUUUAAUGAUUACUAAUGUUUUGCUAAAAACAGAAAGAUGUGACAUUAUUGUUGAUAUUAAUCACUGAAAUUGGUGCAACUGUAAUUGACAUAGAAGUUAUUUUCACAAGGGAUUUAUCUUUAGAAUCAUGAAUGUAACAAGUAACUUAAACUCAAAUAUGGAUACAAGUUGAAUAUAAAGAUCAUUGAUAAUGUUUAUUUGAUGUAGGCACAUUUCCUUUUAUUGAAUCAUGUGAGACUAAACAUUUUAUAAAUGUAAUUUUUGCACGCAACAUGCAGGACUUAUAUCAUAAUACAUGAAUGCUAUUUUAACCAAUCUGGCUUUAAAUUCUGAUUUGACUAUUUUUUCAGGGCGCAUUCCCUAAUCUCCAAGAGUUAAAGUUGGAUUUAUCGAAACGGAUGGAGAUAUGGCAUGGGCAUUUUCAUGAUGGACAAUUCUUUUGCAAGCUUAGUUUGCUUAAGCUUUGUCAUCUCUCCCAAGAGUCUUCAAUAUCCACAUGUCGCUUUGUUGAGAGUUUAACCAACUUGGAAGAGCUUGUUGUAUGUGAAUCUUAUCUAGAAGACCCAAGUAGCAAUGAGGAAGCCAUAGAAGGCACGAGUCAUGAGAUGAAAGUAAUAUUACCAUUUUCAAGAUAUAUUCGACAUCUACAAACUCUAGAUGUGUCACAUUGUGAUGGGUUAUAAAAAAUGUUCACACCGACAAUUGCUGAAAAUUUGGUGGCACUCACAAAAUUGAGGAUAAGUAAUUGUAGAAUAUUGAUAGAAGUCAUUAAUGAUGAGAAAGGUGGGGAUGGCCGUGUGGUGGCUUUCAAUCAACUGAAGUAUAUGGAGCUUGAUGGGUUGAUAGGGUUGAGAAGUUUCAGCUCAGGUGGAUACACUUUGAUGUUCCCGCUCUUGGAAGAUAUCAUUGUGACUAGAUGUCCCAACAUGAAGUUUUUCUCUCAAGGACCGACGGAGGCAUCAAAGUUAAAGAGAGUUCAAGUAUCAAAGGAAGCGUGGUUUUGGGCAGGAAACCUCAACAUCACCAUCCAUAAUAUGUUUGAAGAAAUGGUAUGCACUAGUUACCAAAUUCCAUGUAUUUGGAUGGUUUUGAUCACUAAAUGAAUAAUAGCUUUUUGCUAGCUAGAAGUUUAUGCUUAACGAUGCAUUUUUUUUUAUAGGGCACGUUUGCUGGAGUAGAGAAAAUGCUGCUAUCUGAGUUCCCUGGGUUGAUUGGAAAAUGGCACAAUGAACUUAAUCCCAUCAAGUCGUAUUGGCAACUCAAAUCAGUGGUGGUAGAUAAAUGUCCAUCAUUUAUUAACGCUAUUCCAUCCAGAUUGAUGCUUGUCUUAGACAAUUUGGGCUAUUUGCAAGUGCAUGAUUGUGAGUUGCUUGAAGAAAUAUUUGAUUUGGAAGGGCUGGAGGUUGUGGAAAGCACUCGAGUACUACCUCAGCUAUGGGAAUUGAACUUGGUCAAUCUACCAAAAUUAAGGCGACUGUGGAACAGAGAUCUUCAAGAAUCGCUAUGCUUCAAUUCUCUAGAAAGUCUCAUCCUUUAUAAUUGCAGCAACUUGGGACAUGCUUUCUCUCCAUCAAUGGCUCAGUGCCUUGCCAAUCUUAAAGUAAUGGAAAUAAAGGAGUGUGGUCAAAUGGAAGGAGUGAUCGUAGAGGAAGAAGCAAAGGGAAGCGCAACGGAGAAGAUUACAUUCUCAAAGCUCCGGCAGAUGACUAUGGAAUACUUGCCCAAUUUGACUUGUUUCCUCUUGGGAAAAAAUCAUAUACUGGAAUGCCCCAAAUUACAAAAGAUGAUAAUUGCCCAUUGCCCCAAGAUGGAAAGUUUGAUUGGGCAAUCUCAGAUGGAGGAUGACCACAGCACCCCUUCAUUUUUCACUUCCCAGGUCAGUCUUUCAAAUAAAUGCGUCUUUGGUGUUUCAUUGGGACUUGUUCUCGUAGUAUUGGACAAUGCACGGUAUGAUGCAAAUUUUGUGCUUGUGCCAAUUUAUAUACAUAAUCUUCUAAUAUUUAAGAUGAAGAUUAAAAAUAUUCUAAUCCUCAAUAAAUAUUACUAUUAUAUGUACAUCUCUAUAUCCUAUUAGAAGUGUUAAGUUGGUGUAAGUUUAUGAAAUCAUAUCAUAUGCAGUACUUUAGAAUUAAUCAGCGAGGUUCCUAAAAAAGUUAUCGCAAUAACCAUAUAAAAACAUUUACUUUUUGCAAUUUCAAUUAUAAAGAACUAAAACAGAAAACUUAGAAUGGCAUCUAAAAAUGGCAGAAAAAAUAUUAAGUAUCGCCCCUUCAUAUUUAUUUGCGUGGAAGCAAACUAUUGUCAUUCUAUUAAACAUGAAGAAAAGGGAAAAGUAAAACUUCAUAAUUGUAAAAGCCAAUUUCACAAAUUGCUUAACUAUUAUAGCUCAUUAUACCAUAAUUAGUGGAGCCAACUUUUUUAUUUCUUAAUAUUCACCGAUGCUUGAGCUAAGUCUUGAUAAAAGGAAAAAAAAGGUCAAUAUGCCUGAAGUGGUUAGCCUUCCUUGUUCGUAAAUCAUAUUUGAAUUGCUAUGCUCCAACAACCUAUCAAAUUAUGCACCUAUAUUGUACAAUAAAUAUUAAUUUUGGAUUAUUAUAUUGAGUGAUAAUUAGUGUGAUACCGUGCACAAUCUAUAUUUGGCAAAAGAAAAUGCAUAUUACUUUUUCCAGAAAAAAGAAACGGCUAAAAAAAGGAAAAAAAAUGAAAGAGAAAAAAUGACAGCUGGAUAAUCCAAGGGCGGUUGCCAACAUUGCAAGUCUUAUUUCAAAACUAGAUGACAAUAUUUAGUCAAUGUCCUAGCUAAAAUAAAUUUUUUAAAAAUCGGAAUAAAUUAUCCAACCAACAACACCACCCAAGGGAAAAUAUUAGGUGCAUUAAAUACACUGCCUAGGAUUCGUAUUGAAUCAUCCGCAGACUGACACGUGACAAUGCCGGACCCACUUGUCAGUUGAACCGUUAAAAUUUUUGCUCCCCCUUUCUCUUCAAUAACGGCCCAUCACUUGAAAGCACUACUCUCCUCUUCCUGGUAUGGCUCUGCUCCCUCUCUCUCUUUCCUCUGCGAAGGUGCAUCUCUAUACUUGAACCACACCACCACCUUGGCCUCCAUCAAUUGCUGUGCGCUCACCGGACAGGAAAAAAAACAGAAAAAGGAAAAAAUUAGACAAAGUCUAUUUGGGGUUUUAGACUUCUCCCCCCUUAAGAAUUGUUCUCUCUCAGCCAUUUCAGUUCACCUUGAUCUUCCUUUUUGCAACGAGGAAAAGAAAAAAGUGAACCAAAUCUACAGAGUCAAGUAAUAGUAACUCUUCUUUCUUCCCCUCGCCCCCCUUCCUCUACUUUCUUUCUUUGGGCCGAUUGAUUGGGUGGUCCGUCCAGUGGUUGAAUCGGAAGCUUCGGAAUCGCUUCUCUGAAGCUCGCCUCCUCUCUGCACGCGUGCAUGCGUGGGUUCCGAGCGAUUACGCGAACUGGAGCUUGUUGGUUAUGGUGGAUCGAGGUGGAUCUCCGAUGCGGAAGCGAUUUCAGCGUCGAUUCGGUCGGGGCGUUGAUUCCGGCGAAGAAAAAUUAAAAAAAAUCUUCUCUUCAGCCCUCUCUUCCUCCUCCUUCGUCCACAGCUGCCCGACCUUCGCUCCUCCUCCGCCGUCGCCAACGGCGAAGUCACCAGCGCCUUAAUUAGGCUGACCCUUGCUAUGUCCAAGCCGAGCAUGGCCGUCUUCCUCUGUUUUGUCCGCCUCAUCGUUCUACAGAUCUUGAAAUCUAGCCGUCCAUAGCGACGGAGUUGCAGAUCUGGAAAUCGACCACCGUCGCUCGUAGCCAUGGACGAGCCGCUGUCGCUGUAGCCAUGGUUGCAGAUCUGGAAGUCCCGUCGCGAGUAAUGACGGCUUAUGGACCACGGUCGGCUCGUGGUCGGCCCCAUCCAUGGCCGAGCCACCCCUCCAUCGUCACAACUGCUUGUGGUCGUUGCCCGUCCUGAUCUGGACUGGAGUUGUGCCUCCAGAUCUGGUUUCGUCCAUGGACGCAAGCCUAGCUCGUCCAUGGCUAGCGAGGAGGCUCCCCCAAAGAUCUAGCGACCACUGCUUGUCCAUGGCCAUGAGCCUUGACGGCGAGUUUGAGAUCUUGACGGCUAUGGAUUGCGAGAUCAAACGAAAGAAAAAACAGAGAAACAGAUGUCAGGGAAGAAUGGCCAUGGAUGAGAGGCCGGAGCUUGAACGCAGCCAUGGACGAGCGGCGUCAUGAACGGGCAGACCACAAAGACAACGGAGAGGGUUGGACGCCAAGCAAUAGUCGCCUUGGACGCGGCGCCGGGAACUCCGCCGGUGGCGACGGCGGAGGGAGGCGGGAAGGUUGGGCUCAAUGUGGAUGGAGAUGGAGAUGGAGAAGGAAAGUGAGGUGGAUUGAGAUUUUUAAUAUUUAGUCAAUGUCCUGGCUACAUAAAAAAUUAAAAAUAAUAGGAAUUGAUCAUCCAGUCAACACUUUCAUUCCGUCUCAUGAAGUUCUCCUCAUGUGAAGACUAAACGCAAUAAAUGACAACCUCCUCCGCCACUUCUCUUUUUUGGGUCGAAUCCUCAGGCACUUGAAAAUGCGCGAUAUCGACCCAAAUUUGAUUGUUUUGACCUUUUUUUUUUAUUACAGAUUCCAUGCAAGUUUUGUUUUGUUUUUUUUUUCCCUGACGGAGGAAUUUUUUUUUUAUUCUCAUAAUUCUGCGCAAUUCUUUCUAUUGUUUUAUGUGAGUAGAAUGUUUAAUUAUAACAAGUAUCUACACAUUUGUUUACUUUUUAAUUUUAAGAAUUAUCACUAAUUAUUUAUUUAUACUGUCAUUUGCAUGUAUAAGUUAUAUAAUACCAAGCCCCGCAUUCUAAGAAUAUUUCAAAAAGUCAUUAUAACACUCAAUCAACAAUACUAAUAAAUUUGGGAAAGUAUGAAAAUAGUCAUCUAAUCUUUUGGUAGUGAUAAGUUGUAAUAGCGUUAAUUUCAUUUUAAUAUCAAAUAUGAGUUGUCAUAUACUAAUUGAUAGAUUUAAGGAAGUGUGGAAAGUCAAUUUUUUUUUUUUUUUUGGUGACAGGUCGUAAUUGCAUUAAUUAUAUUGUAACCAAAUGAAAAAUAUAAAUACUUACUUUUCAAUGAAUAAUUCAUUGGAGGUCAUGAUGUAGUAAAAAAAAAUUUUGAUUUUCUCCAUACAAACAAAAUGCGAUCAACGGGUGCACACCCACUUUUUGCCAAGGGGUGGAUCACUCGGUACACUGCAAGAUUCUAUUUUAUUUUUCCACCUCAAAUUUGAAUAAAUAUUAUUUCGAGGGUGUUAUUAAUGGUCCAAUGUAAAACUAGUAAAUUGACCCAACUUGUUUUUGCUGAGAUCAUAACAUUAUGUUAUUUAUUCAAGUCGUUAUGUUGCCCAUGCCUAUUAAGAAAUUAUUUUCUUUCAAUACAAAAUUUUUCCAUACAUAAAAAAGAAAAAGGUUGUGAACAAUUGAAGUCACUAUAUUUUUUUUUAUAUCCGGUUCACCAUAUAAAUUUCAUGACUAUUUUCUUUGGUCGAUGCUGAACGUACUAUUGAUUUAUAAAAGCAUUUAUAAUUUCAUGCUUGUUGCAAUGCAAUAUUCUUGGCCUUAUUCUUCAGUCAAAUUGUAUAAAAGCAUCAGCCAACCCCUUUCUAUUUAUGUCACUAACAAAAUCUUAACUUCUCAUGAUUUGUGAGAACGAGGGAAGUCUAGAAAUUCCUUCUUUAAGGUCAUAACUCAAUGCAAUCACAUUCAUUGUGUCAUUUUUUUUUUCUCAAUAUGGCAGGUACAAUUUCCUAAACUUUGGUCGAUGGAUCUCUCCCACAUGGACAAUUUAAGCAAAAUAUGGACUGACGCUCCUCAAGAAACUCUAACUUUUGAUUGUUUAUUGGAAGUGGAGGUUCGAAACUGUAAGGGACUUGAAAAUUUGUUUCCGUAUUGGGUGGCUACAAGUUUAACCCAACUUGGAAAACUUCAAGUGGAGUCUUGUGAGAUCGAGGAAAUAGUCGCUAGUGGGGAUGACAGUCCACGCUCCAAUACUACUCAAGAUCUUUUCUCAAAACUAACCUCUCUGGUGUUACAUGACAUGCCACGACUCAAGAGCUUUUGUCCUAACUUGCCUUUGAAUUUGCCAUUAUUGGAGGAAUUACGAGUGACUCAUUGUGAAAAACUGAGCAUGUUAUCCUUUGUGGCAUCCAUGAACAGAUGGGCUCAAAGAGAUGAUCAACAAGACCUUUCAGAUCAAGAAGCACACUCUUCAUUUGAGAGGGUAUGAUUAUAGUUGCUCUCCCUUAGUUUCUACUUUGUUCUUUAAAGCAGUCACUAAUAUCAUAUCCAUUGCAUAUUAUGUCGCGUUAUGAUGUUAUAGAAAACAUGAUCUCCCCUACCUAUUAGUUUGUUGACAACAUUAAGAUAUUUCUAAUAUCUUACGUACACUUCCAUUUGUGGACAUGCAUAAGAUAUUCCAUUACCUAGAGUUACUAAAAAAUUUACUAUUCUAUUGAUAACAGAAUAUAUUCCUAAUCUAACCUAAUGGUGCUCUUGGGCGACAUCAAUAAGGAUUUGAUGAGAGGUCCUCUCCAUUAUUGACACGUGUUGCACACUUGAACUUUUCUUCUCUAUUUCAUUUUCUAUAAACUCUAAAAAAAUCAAUUCAAACAAUUUUUUUUAUAACAAAAAUAACGUUAGUACCUUAGUGCACUAUUUUCUACUGUAUUUUUUAAUACACUAGUCGUCAUGUUAUCCUGUUAUAAUACUAUAGAAAACUAGAAUCCCUUUCCUAUAAGUUUGCAGACAACAUAAGAUAUUUCUUAUAUCUUAAGCAUACUUCUGAAUUUAUGGACCCCAUAUGUUUUAGUGACAUCUUGAGUGCAUCCCGUUACAUAAGAUUCCAAAGAAGAUAAAUUUUUGUCAACAAGAUAAGAUAUUCCUUACAAAAGAUGAAUUUAGUGAGUGCAAGGAUCUUGAAUUUAGAUUCACUCUAUCCACUUGACCAGACCAACCUCUACAUGAGACUUUUAAAAGCUUGAGUCUUGAACACAAGGUUCUUGAGAUAUAAUGAACUUUAAGAAGAGGACCACUUUCCAUGCGAAUCAUCUUAAUAGGUUUACCUUUUACAGCACGUGAUUUAUUGUCGAAACUUUGUUGAAUUUACUUCUCUUGUUGUAUUGGCAAUUCGACAGGACUUUCCCAACUUGGAGAGACUUUUAUUAGUCAAUAACAAUAUUCAGAUGAUACAAGAUGGAAAUUUUUCGGAUGACAUGUUCAGUAAGCUAAAAGCACUAACACUAGCAUGCUUUCAUGAUAAAAAUGCUGCCUUUCCUUCCAUAUUCCUCCUAGAGAGAUUUCAGAAUUUACAAAGCCUUGAAGUCUUCUGUAGCCCCUUUGAAGAUUUAUUCCCGAACGAAGGGCUUGUUGAAGAAAGGAAACAUCCGGUGCUUGAAAAUUUAAGAGAACUUAAGUUGAACAAGCUACACAACUUAAAGUGUGUGUGGAAAGAAGACUCUUUAGUGUCGAAAAUUCUUCAGAGCAUCAAAACAUUUCAGGUUUGGGAUUGUCCCUGUUUGACAACAAUAUUUCCAACCGAGACAUCCUUCUAGAAUCUGACAAAUUUAGUGGUGAAGAAUUCCUCUGGAUUGGUACAUCUAGUAACGACUUCAGCAGUCACAAAUUUGGUACAUCUCACUUAUAUGACUAUAAUAGGAUGUGAAAGAAUGAAAGAAAUAGUGGCCGACGAUGGAAACGGAGAAGGAAAAGUGAUUUCUUUUGAAAAGCUAAGUUCGUUGACACUUGAACAUCUGCCAAACUUAGAAUGCUUCUCUUCCAUCCCAAGUUGCAUCUUUAGGUUCCCAUCUUUACGGGAUAUUGAAGUGGAAGAGUGUCCGAAAAUAAAGAACUUUUCUAAGGGUACAUUAAGCACACCAGAACUAGAUUAUGUGUCACUGUUCAGAUACAAGUGGGAAGGGAAUUGGGAGAAGGGUGAUGAUCUCAAUACAACCAUACAGAAGUUAACAGCAUAAAUCAAUGCACAUAGAAUUGGUAAGACCAAUUGAUGUCAUUCUCUCAUCCAUUUUUUUUUUCUUUAGUCUUUCGGCAGCGCCGCAACUUUUUAAAAUUUUUCUUUUUGUGACUUUUCUAUUAUUGAUUUCGUCAAAUCAACAUCACCGUCAACCCUAUCGAUGGAUCUCGGCUCAUCCUUAACUGAACAGUAGGAAGCAAAGCGGGUCUCUCCUUCUCCUUCUUGACGCCAAAGGCUCUUUCUCCAUCUUUCUUCUUCUUCUUCCUCCUCCGUGGAGCGAAAUUGGGGGAAGCCUCUGCUGCCUUCACAAAGGACGGAGCAAAAAUGAAGCAUCAGGAAUUGCCAGGACUGCGAGAAGCGAAGCUGCAAUUAGCGGAGCGGAGCCAAGUAGAUUCAACUAGACGCUGUCGUUGUCGCCGUCGUCACCGCCGGAGGUGGCACCACCGAGUCUUGACAGUUUGUCGUCCACUCACUUCAUCAAAGAAGAAGAAGAUCACACUCUCUCUCCGCAUCUGUAUCCGACAAAUCGUAAGUUCAUGUUUCUUCCGAUUUUGGUGUAUUAUUGUGCGUGAAUUAGGGCUCUCUUCUUCAAAUUCGUUCCACAUUCGAGUCUAAAAACAGGAGUUACUCAAACAAGCAAUAUAUUGCCCUUAAAUCUACAUCUUCUGUGCUGCCCUCCCGAGCAUUGGCGAGAUUUCUGCGUGUUUGAGCUCUCAUAGAUGGAGAUGAUAUAUUGUGUUCAAGGUCUCAUGUUGAAAUUUCUUUGGGUAGAGAUAUCUCUGUAACAUCAGGUACAAAUUGCUAUCAUGAAGAAGGGAAAAAUCAUGGAACUUGAAAAUAUUCCGAGAAUUCCAUGCGUUGUCAAAAAUAUGAAAAGUCACUUUUACGCCUUGAUCGUAAUAUAGUCUGGACCGUCUGAGGAAUCACUUGUAAUCUUGAUUGGUUAAGUGAUGCUGGAAGGAUAAAAUUUAUUUCCAAUUUAUGCUAAAAUCUUUUUCAUAGCAAGUCAAACUAAUGAAGUGUACUUAAACUAUCUCUAAAGUUGUCAUUUUUUAAGUACAGGCUGGUCCAAACAUUUGAGCAAAUUGAGGCAUCCUGAGCUGGUUUUUUAAGGUCCCAUGCGCCCAAGGCCUCUCACUGCUCUUACAUCGGCCAACAAAUUUCAAAUGGAGCAUCCCAAUGGAGCAUUCCUUUUUCAAAGGUGGUGAGGAGGCCCUCUUAUGUUGACUUUGGCUUGGUAUGAUUCCACGCUCAUUGACCCAAACUCGCAUGUCUGAAAAUCAAACAUAUGGAUGCUGUUUAUAUCUUUGCUUAUACUCUAGUGUAUUUCCAAGUUGACUUAAUGCAGUAAACAACAUGACAUGUUAUAUUCCUUGAAUUGUUCAUGGGUAUAUGUUUGAAACCAGGUAUAUGUCUUAACAAUGGAGUAAUUGAAGCAGGGGAAACAAUGAAAGGACGGUUAGUGGGACUUAAACUGGUGGUCGAGGUUUGAAAGAAUAACAUUUGUCCCCUUUUUGUCAAUACAUGUGUUGGAAAGCAAUUGCUGAGGCAAGUCCAAAGAAUUAGAAUCCAAUUCCUCUUAUAUGGAGGAACUUGACAAUGUUAUUCAAUGCUGUAAAAGUAGAAUAUAUAUGUAAAUCACACGAGGAGACUAGUUGAUACGGACAAGCAAAUUGCAAAGAAUGUCACUAUCUCCAUAACUAGAGGGAAAGACCUGAAAGAUAAGGGGGUGGCUAGUUAUGGUUCUGAAAUUUCAUUGUAGAUCUAAUGACUGAUAACUUUGUUUUCAAAUAGGAGAUACUAUUUUAUUUUUUUACAUUAAUCGGAAAUUUGAGAAAAAAAGAUGAGUUUACUCUGUCAAAUUGAUUCAGUAUUUUGAUAAAAUUUGAGUUGCGCUUGAAAUAAUUGAACAGCUUAGAUUAAAAUUUUUCACUUCCAUCCGUGUUCCGAUCAUUGACGUCUUUGCCUUCUCCCCUGCUCUUGUGGUUUGUGUGGCUUAAAUUCAUCGUUUCAAAUAUAUAUGGGACAUGGAAGGCUUUUUCUGGUCAUGUACCCUAUUGCUUCUAGGAGCGUAUAUUUUGAUAUUUGACUUUGGGUUGUAGUCUGAGAUUGUCUACUAUCAUUAUAAGGUUUAUUGUCAAUUAAAACUCCUAAAAGUAGCAACUACUGCCUUAUAUUCACGCUGUGUGAUUAGAUUCUCUCAUUAGUGUAUGCUUAUGUUUUGGUCUUUCUUCACCAUAAGUUGGUUUUCAACCUCAUAAAUGAGGAGACUACUCCUGUUCAAUUCAUCAGGCAACAUAAUCAGGAAAACAAGCAAAUUGCAACUCUCAGGUAUUCAGACGGGUCGUGGAUGGUGAAGCUCAGGAGCCAUGGACUUUUUUUUCGUUGCUUGACACCCAAUUGCUAGAGAAGCUCGUUUGCAUUUAGGAGAUGUUUGUGUGUUUGAGCUCAUUGAUAGGGGGGAUGUGUGUUUAGAGUCUACAUUUCCACUAGUGCUAGUAAGGACUUGGUUUACAUUUACCCGAAAUGAAUUUUGGAAGUGUCACUUUAGAUAAUCCAAAAUAAAUUCAGUAUUCAUAGUUAUAUCUCUUUGUUUAGUCUUGGUGAGUCAAUGAAGUGUACGUCUUCCAUUCCCAUUGGGUUUGUGAGUUUCAUAAUAAUCCAGAUGCACACUCAUUAAUGCUACAUCCCAGGUCUAAAUUAACCAAAAAGAAUGUGCUUCAAUGUGAAAGCGAAAAUUAUAACCUAAACGCUCAGCAUGAGAAUUUAGAGGUGUGACUUGUUGGUUUCUAAGUUGCGCUUUUCUGCACAGUGUUGCAUUCUUUUUCUUGGUCCGUCUCAAAAGUUAUGAAAUUUUCCUGAUAAGAUUUUGUAUAUUGAUGGGUGACAUUACGAUUUAGGAGAUGCCAAGUGUAGCUAAUGUGUUUUGUCUAACGUGAAAAACAUGUAAACGUUAGUAACAUGAUUGGAUGCAUUGAUUUGUAGAUCGUUGUAACUUGACAGAAGGUUUACAGCAGUACCUAUGAAAACUCUACUUUUUCUUUUGUGCAAGUUGGACCAAACAAUCUAAAUGUCAAGUGAGCCCCCAUGAGCAGUUUUGCAUGGUUCCGUGUUUCCGCGGCCUCCCCUGCUCUUGAAAAAACUAGAAAAUUUGAAUCGAAGUAUCCAUCUCUGAAAUUGGUGAUGUGGCCACUAUUAUUAAGGAUAGAACUGCGGUAUGGCCCGUGUCCUUUCAUAAUUGGCAUAGCUCAACCAUGACGCCUUCUACAUCUUUCCCUUUAGUCCACUCUUUUCCCAAGUCGUUUUGGUUUUUCAUAGGAAUCAAUGUUAUCUUCCUUGGAGUGUUCAUGGCUUUAUCUGUAAAACCGGGGCAGUUUUGAUUUUGAAAUUUUAUUUUUUAAAUUUAUGGAUUCAUAAGAUUACCAAUUCUAAAAUGAAAGAUUCUAUAUUUUUUUUUUCCAGUAAUCAAGUGUAAAGAAGAUUACUAUUAUAUAUAGACUAAGAGGAUGUGGUGGGGACGAUCAGUGUUAGCAACUCUUGAACUUUUGCCAUGAGAGUUAAAAAAUUAUGUACACUACCGUAGAGUCUACAAGCACUGUAUUGUGAAAUCUCAACUUCAAGUUGCAAGUUGGGAUUGAAGACUUCUAUUACCCAGUUAACACUAUUAAUUGAACUCCCUGAAACUAGUAAAUACUAGCAUAAAUUUACAUUUUGUUUGCGUUUUCCGUUUAUUAUUUCUUUGUAUUUAUUCUUUUCCUCAUUAUACUACAUUGGUAGUGUUCCUUGUGAAUUCAUAAAGAAACAUUCAGAAGAACUAGCAAAUUGCAACUCUUAGGUAUUUGAACAAAUUAUGGCUGGUGCAGCUCAAGACCUAUCAACUCCAUUAUCCAGCUGGUCGGGCCGCAUUUGUGAAAGAAGCUUAUCUGGAUGAAGGGGAUGUCCACAUGUUUGAGCUCAUUGAUAGGGACGAUUUUAUGGUCAAUCUCCAUCUCCAAUUAUGCUAGUAAGGACCUCAUUUAGGUUGAUUGAGAUGGACAUUGGAAGUGUUGCCUGCAAGUAAUUCAUGUCUUUUUUAUUCAGCUAUGACGAAUCAAUUGGAAGUGCACUUACUUUUAGCUUUGCGUCUCUUUCUUGACCUGCUUACAGUCUUACCAGAAUUCUCCUCUUUUUUUUUUGGGUGCAGGUCAGAACAGAUAGUCUAAAUGUCCAGUGAGCCCUCUUGAACAGCCUUUUCAUGGUUUCAAUUGUCUGUGGCCUCUCACUGCCCUUUAGAAUGCUGGAAAAUUCAAGUUAAGAGUAUCCCUUUUUCCAGAUGGUGACAUGGCCAUCGUUUCUUAAGAAAGAAAUAAUGGUGAGGCCCAGAUCUCCAUUCAUAACUGGCAUAUCUCAAUUAUGAAUGCGACCUAUCUUAUAUAUGUGCCCUAUUGUGCAAUUUUUUCUUGCAUUAAUUUGCUUUCUAUAGAAACACAGAAUAUAUUAUCUUCCUUGAAGUGGUCAUGGUUAUAUGUUUAAAACAGGCUCCUUAACAACUAAAGGGACUAGGGAAAAACAAUAAGUCGGACAGUAAUCAGGAAAUUACCUAGUGAUGGGUGUGGAGACAAGGUCAGAGGGUUGAGACAGGCAAUAACAACCAUAAAUUAGGAAUUUAAUGAUUUCUAAUUGAAGUAUAAAUUCUUCCCAAAGAUGACUACUUGGUACUUUCUCUGUCUUCUAGUUUAAGUAUAAAUUCCUUCCAAAAAUGACUACUUGGUACUUUCUUUGGCUGCCUAGGCUUGGGAAGAAGAGGCAACACGAAAUGUCCAGCUUAAGCAAUAGCUAUUGCAACAAGCCUAGGCUUGGCAUGACUAGGCUCACUGCAAUAGCACGGCAACACUAAUCGGAUAUUGCUCCCUGGCAACAAAUGGUUUACAAGAGCUACUAUUGCAAGCAGGUUCAAACUUGCGAUCAGAAAUGAAGCGAAGGUAGUGUGGCCCUAGACCUCAAAAAUUAGUCCCACCACCUCCGUGGUAUGAAAAAAAGAAAGGCAGCUAUUUUUUUUUUUUUUUUGCCAGGCGAAUGAAGAUCACUUUUUGUGUAUAUGUAUCCAUCUAGGAUGCUAGGUGUAGCUUUUCAUGUUUGUUCAAUGCAUAUCGCGAUGCAAGAUUGGUGACUUGGAAAUCCACCAGAUUUGUGCAUGUCUCUAUAUUGAUCACACGUACUUAGUGUAGAGUCUAAGAGCACAGGAUUGUGAUAUUUUGAUUUCAGAUUGCAAGUUGUGACUAAAGACCAUCUCAUCAAGCCUUUUAGACUGCUAAUACAGAUCUCUGGAAACUUCAAAUAGUAUCAUAAAUGUACAUCUUGUUUGCCUUUUCACUUUAGUGUAUGCUUACAUUCCUUUGUCUUAUCAUACAUUGACUGGUCAAAUGUCUUCAUGGGCAGAGCGUUCCUUAUGAAUUUAUAGAGACAUGCAGUCAAGAAUACCAGCAAAUUGUUACUCUUAGGUAUUCAGACACAUUGUGGCUGGUGACCAUCAGGAGCUAUGAGUGCUACGCUGCAGUGAACUUCUCUAUUGGUUGGUCCAAGUUUGUGAGAGAAACUUAGUCUUGAAUGAAGGGCAUGUCUGCAUGUUCGAGCUCCUUGAUAGGGAUUAUUUUUAGGUUGAAUUGGGAGGUGAACACUGGAAGUGUCACUUUAGGCCAUAUACUAGUUAGAAGCGAUCUCUGCCUCUUUUCUGUUGUGAUGAACCGGAUGAAAGUCCACUUUUAUUUCUGACUCUGCUUUUUUCUGAACUAGCUACAAACUUAUAAUUUCUUGGCCUAGCCACUCCAUUGAUCGGAUAUUGUGAUGAAUAGCCUUGCACACAUUUUCUACUUUGGGUAUUUCUCUUGCGCUUGUAACGCUUUUAUCAUUGCCUUCUUGGAAAGGACCUUAGUUCAGCAUUAUCAUGGUUCUGGUUAUUCAACCUGGUUUCGUAGAACAAAUGAAAUUUAUGCAGUAUGCCAUCAGUCAUGGUCACCUGAUAGUUUUCAAAGAUGGGAGAGAUGGACUCUAUACUCAUGUAAUUGUAUUUGAUUAAAGUGCUUAUAUAGAUACAUUAUCCUUUCAAGCAAGAUGAAAUAUAAAACCAAGAUGGCGAAUUCCUCGAGAAGAAAAUGGGAAGAAUCCAAAGACCUCACGGACCUUGAAGAUUCAGAGGGUUCCUGGCCAUGUUGGAAACCAUUGGCUAAACUGCAAUUACCUUCUUAUCUGCCUUCUACGGUGAUGAAUUCCUUUUCAAUUUGUGAGUUUCAAAGUGAUUAAAUUGCACACUCAUUGAUGCGACUUUGCAAAAUAAUAUGCUUGGAACCAAAAAGGACUAAGCUGCGAACGUCAAAGAGUGACAGAAGUUCCAAAUUGUUCCUCAAGAUAAUUUGGAGGCGCGUGCACAUGACAUAGUUUUCUUAGUCACUCUUCAAAUUUUAAAAAAUUUGAUGAGAAGCUUUUGGUAUGUUGGUUGAUGGCAUUGGUUUGGGUGUUCGAAGUUGUAGUCAAUCAGUUAUAUCCAAUACGAAGAGCGUGCGAAAUUCUGUUUCAUGUUCGCACUUGUUGAUUUCCAAACUAUGCUGGAUCUUUUCAUAAUAAAUCGAAAAAAUUCACAUAUGUGCCCAUGAGAGUUCUUUUUUUAACCGGAGGUCAGACCAAACAGCCUAAAUGCCCAGUGAACAAUGUUGAGCCGGUUUUUCAGUGUUUUACUUGUCCAAGGCCUCUCCCUGCACUUGAAAAAGCUUAGAGAAUUUGAGUCAGAAUAUCCCUUUUUCAAAAUGGCAAUAUGGCAAUUUCUUGUCAUGAAAGGAAAAGAACUGUACAUUCCUCAUCUCCAUUCAUUAUCGGCAUAUUUCAAAUAUGAGACAACAUGACAUGUUAUUUUCAUUGAAGUAUUUGUGGCCAACCGACCAUCCUAAUGGCCGAGUAAUGGAACUUGGUAAAAUGGCAAUCAAAAUGGUAAUUGUGAUAUAACCUUUAUGGUUGUGUGUGUCGAUUCGGAUUAUUAACUAGUGCGUCUACCUUGAAACAAUCAACUUCUCUAGUUGCUCCAUCAAUUUGUCUUUUGUUCCCUUUUUUAAAGUGGAAAUCAAGGUGUCGACUUUUUUAAAUAAUAUCUCAAUAUUUUUUGAAUUUUUUUUAUUAUUUUGUUAUUUUGUUAAUUUUUUUUUUCAUGCCCUUAGGGUCGGCCAGGAUGUGGGCGUGCAGCACCUCGCCCAGACCAAGUGAGGGCUGGCGAGGGUGUGCAGGGAAAAAAACAACUAAAAAAACCAAAAGAAAAAAAAAUCAAAAAAAUAUUAAAAUAUUAUAAAAUGUCCACAUCACUUUCAGCAGUGUCAUGUCAGCGCAUGCUGAUCAAUAUUAGCAAAAUGGACUUAACUGGCACAAAUGCGAAAAGUUUAGAAUUGAAUUGACUAAAAAAAAAUAGAUUCAAUUAGCACAAUUACAAUAAGUUUAUGAGUUUUUUGAUAAUUCUCCCGACAUUGUUUUCUUAUUAAUGAAUUUUGUCUCACAAUUCAAGGUACAAAAUGGUAUUGUUCUUUAGAAAAGCUUGAAAACUUAUAUAUAUUAAAAUAAUUUGGUGAGAACGAAAUAUCUUUUUUAUCAAGGAAUAGAAAAGGAAAAGGAAAGAAAAGCAAACAAGAAAAUAAAAAUAAGAAAAAUUACUCUUUGCCAUGCCAAACCUAACCUAAAGGUAACAAACUGUCAACACGAUACAACUUUUAUUUAUAUCACAAGAUUCUAUAUGCUCUUCGUCCAUUUAUUACUUGUCAACUUUUACGGACUUGAUACAUCAAUGACCCUUUUCCUCUUUCUUUCUUGAUUCAACAAUAGGGGGAGAAAAAAACACAUCAGACCCUUUUCUGCAAAUAUGGACUCGCGGUCUCAUCCAAAUAUGAAGGAAUCGAUUAAUUGCUCAUUGAAUUCAUAUUGCUCGCAUCUAAUUCUAUAGUCAAAAAGCCGAAGCUAUGCUUCGGCAUUGAGUGUGCACAACUCUUUAAUUUGACCACAAGCGAAAUCCAUGCAAGUAGUACAGUCCAACUACCCCAGCACGAUAGCACACUAUCCACGGCCGAAGCAUCUGGCGUUGCUGUAAGAGGCACUGGUGCAUUAGUUGAAUCCCCCGAUCGCGGUGUCAAACCUCAGAUCGGUCAAAACUUGACCCGAAGCUUGUGCAAAAUCGUUUGGGUACCGCAUGCCGUUGCAUAUCUUGUACAUAAGCAUCACAUCCAGGUCACUUCUUACGAGUCAGACCCCUACAAGAGCCCCAUGAACAUAAGUGUGAGCGUAUGCGAUGUGGACAAGGUCAUCCAAGAGCCCUGUUUCCUCCCUUUUGGUCUCUUUGGUUUGCUACGAGGAAACACACACUUGAGAUUGGCUAUAAAAAGAUUUGUCUCCAUAGUGCUAUCCAUCAUUUAUUCUUUGUUAUUAGGCUAAGCUAGUACCAAUUUUAGUAAUUUAUGACGUCACAUGGAUUUUUUUUAUAACUUCCAAAGCUUUUUCUAUGAAUUAUUUGUUCAUUAGUGUAAUAUGUUGUUGCUGUCCUUGCAAACCCUAAUCUCAUAAUUUUUAAUAAAAUCCCCCCCUCUUACUAUGCAUGAAAAUUUUUAAAUUGGAAUCCUCUAAGUCUACGAAAUAAAUUCACAUUACGAUAAAUUACUCACUUCUUCUUUUUCUGUCCUCUUUCUCCUCUUACUUUGCACAAACGUGUCAACCUCAUGUACUAGUCUUGAAUAUAUUUCUAUAUGUAACAUUGUAAAUUUUAGGCCAUGUAAUUAAUGGAGUUCAUGAUAGUUAUAUAACCCGAAUAACACGAUACUUCUACCACUACUAAUACUACUACUAGGAGUGUAUUAAAAAAAUAAAAAAUAAAAAAGUCCGAAAAGCCGGAUCGAACCAUCCAAAUUGGCCUGAUAAUUUUGGGCUCAAAUAAUCCUGGGCCGGCACACUUGACCUCAAACUAUCCUUGAGUUUGGGACUUGAAUGAUUGCCAAACUAGCCCGAUUCAUAGAUCAGAAACUGUACAUAUAUAUGGCCCCUAUGUCAAUUCCCAUUCCUGCUAGUUGAGUGCUUGACUUCUCUCAUUCUCCCAUCUCUCACACUGGUUGAGAUCCGGCCACCGUUGAGCUGCCAUUGCCACCACCGUCGAGCCCCAUUUAUGCGGCCAUCAAUCCCCACACUCACCAUAUGCCCUUCGUCCAAGACGUCUCGCUCACUCCGUCAGUCCCUCUUCUGCUUGCUCACGUCUUAGUCUUCCUUAUGCUCCCUCACUCUAAACCUGUGAUAAAUUUACUCUCUAUCAAAUUUUAUUGUCAAAUUAUUAAGUUGGAUAACACGUGACAAUUGACAAUGGUAUCAAUUUGGGGUUUUCUCCUCCAUUUGUUACAAUCAUAGUAGUUUGUGAUUUUUUAUAGUAUUAAUUCAUUUUAACAAAAACUAACAAAUAGUAAAAUUAUCACAAAUGUAUCAAUUUAUUAUUUUUAAUGGUCAAAAUACUAAUUUGGGGCAAAUGUGUGAUGUACCAAUUUGGAGUUUUUGUUAGUCAAAAAAUUAAUUUGAGAUAAAUUUGUUGCAUAUAUACUGAUUUUAGAUUUUUUGUGACAUUAAUUCUUUAUUAUUUUUUUGUUUAACACUUUAUUAGUUACAUUUAGAUAGUAGAUGGUAGUGGAAAGUGGCCGUUAAUGACGAUUGGCACUUUUUAAGUGCUAAAUGACGAAAAUCGCCUCUGAAUUAGUCUAAAAUCUAAUCCGAGCUAUCAUCAUAAUUUGGAUUUUAAGGCAAUCUAGAUCGAGAUAUCAAAAGAGGAACCUCUCCCUUAAAGAAUCUACAAACAUGGUAAAGCUAUUUUAUAAACCAUAUUCUCUAAUAUCCUUAUGUUCAAAUGAAAAUUUACGUAGAAUAAUAAUCGAGUUGGGAGAAUCAUUACCUACACCCAGUGCAAACAAUAUUCCUCUCAUAGCAUGUAUGAAGGUCUACUAGGAGUGAAACUCAGUCAAAUUAUUCAUGAGUCGUUGGAGCUUGGGUUGAUGACCAUUUGAGAACUAAUAUUUAGUCGAGCUCUAACUCGAGCUACUUGAGUAUCUUGCCAAUUGAAAGCUCAAGCUCAUCAAUACUUAGCUCAAUAAACUUUGUAAACCCGAUUCAAAAAAAUCAAUUGUAAAUAAAAUUAAAUAUUAACAUCCUCAUUUGCACACACGUAAUAUAUAGUAUAUCAUCUUUUUUUUUUUGGUAAAGGUAAUAAUAUUAUAGAGAAGGACAAAUGUACAAAAGAUCAGUUCCAUAACCGACACUCUUAACCGAUUGGCAAAAGUGAAGGGGAGCCGAUGUAAAAGAAACAAGGGCCGAGCCCGCUAGCAAACACUAAGGCGACACCCAAGGAGCACCGGCGCGGUGAUGGACCCAUCAACCCUCCAGUGAAUAGCCUGAGAAUGCGGAACGGAAAUGAGAGCAGCACAUAGCGAUUAAGGAGCAUAUCCACUUAGAAACACGCCCGGGUCGAAGCCCCAUCCUCUUUGAAGUCUUUGAUUCCUCGGAGAGGGAGAGACAUUCUUAAAGGUGUUGGCUUUAUCUCUAACCAUCUUGAUAAGGUGAUUUUCGAGCGCCGGAAGCACAAGAGAUUCACCUCUGAAAAGGAUUGCAUUCCUCUUCUUCCAGAUGAGAUGGCAAAGGCCACCAAAGGAGAACCGAACUAUUCUGUGAUAGAAGUCAUUUCCAGAUAGGAACUUCCGGGCCCAAGAGAGUACCUCAUCCCAGCAUCGGUUUCUCCAAGGAAUGUUGCAUUUGGCGGCCCAGAAGAAGGCCAAAGAAGUCGAGAUGCGACAUCCGAAGAAAAGAUGAUCUCUUGAAUCAGGGACUUCACUACAGAAGGCACACACGACCAUAGGAUAGAAGCAUUACCUGGGUGGGAAGGCGAUUCUUUACAAUUAGCUAGAGAAUGAACUGGUAGCGAGGGACUAUAGCGGAAUCCCAUAUUAGAGGCGCCCAGUUAACCGAAGAUUUCUUGGCUCUAAUAAGGUUCCAUGCCGAUGAAACCGAAAAUAAACCGGAGGGAUGAUUGCACCAGAAAAACCUGUCAUUGCCCGAAGUCAACUCUGGAAGAGAUAUACCGCAUCUCACCAAGCAUUCCUUUAAGGGCCGGCCCAAUGGAGAGAAAAGGUCAGCAACAACCGCAUGGUCAGGGAUGCGAAGUCUAUUUCUGAAUGAUGAGGGCACGAAUGCAUCAAGCGGGCCACACGAUAACCAGUAAUCAUACCAUAGGGACACCGUGUAGCCGUUUCCAACCUUCCAUCUAAAGGAAUUUCGAAAAUAACUUCUAAGUUGGAGAAUAUUUUUCCAAGACCAGGAGCAUAAUUUGGGUUGGGACACAAUCCAGAAGUUCCUUUUGGUUAAGAAGAUGGAAUGGAUCCAACGACACCAUAACGAUUCCUUAUCGUGGAAGAGGAACCAUAUAAAUUUUACCAUUGAAGCUUUGUUGCAAUCCCUCAGAUUCCGGAUACCCAAUCCACCUUCAUUUUUAGGAAGACAAACGUCCUUCCAUGCAACCUUAGCUCCACCACGGCCCAGGGCCGUUCCUUUCCAUAGAAACUGUCUCAUGAUUCUUUCAAUAUUGUCUAGAACCGAGGAAGGAAGAGUAAAUACACUCGUCCAGAAUGAUUGAAUGGCAUGGAGCACCGAACGGAUGAGUUGUAAUCUACCCGCAAAUGAUAAGAACCGGUGAGUCCAAGAUUGGAUUCUAGCAGUGAUGCGGUCCGUCAAAGCAAUACAAUCGGCUUUACUCAGUCUAGAGGAAAUAAUAGGAACUCCCAAGUAACGAACAUGGAGCUUACCUUCUUGAAAUCCGAAUGCCCAGAGGAUUCUAUUUCGAAUGGAGAGAUCACCACCAGAUAUAAAGAUCUCACUCUUAUUCUUGUUAGGAAGGAGACCACUCCAAGAAGAGAAGAUGUCAAGGCCUCUCUUUAGCAUGGACACCGAGGACCAAUCCGCUUGGGAAAAUAGAAAAACGUCAUCGGCAAAGAACAAGUGAGAUAGUCGAACCGGUUUACACCUCCAGAAAUAUUUAAAGUCCUGGUUCGCCGUGCGGGAAGCCAACACUCCAGAAAAUACUUCCAUUACUAAUGUAAAUAAGUAUGGGGACAUGGGAUCUCCUUGUCUAAGGCCACGGCCGCUCGGAAAAAAACCAUGAAGAUCACCGUUAAUGGCUAUCGAGAAUCUUGGAGUCCGAACGCAAGCCAUAACUAAUUUGAUGAAUCCUUCCGGGAAUUGGAAUGCACCAAGAACACUUUCCAAGAAGUCCCAAUCUACCGUGUCAUAUGCUUUGUGAAAAUCAACCUUAACCGCACAUUUUGGAAGAUAAGGAUGAAGAUGGAAGCCCGCAAAGAGUUCUUGGACAAGGAGGAUGUUAUCUCUAAUUCUCCUGCCUUUCACAAAUGCAUUUUGAGAUUCACUGACCACCUCAUUCAACACGGCUGCUAUUCGAUUAACUAGUAUUUUAGUGAUAACUUUGUAAAUGGUAUUACAGCAAGCAAUCGGUCUGAAAUCCGACACAGCACUCGCAUUGGGAAUUUUAGGCACAAGAGCAAGGAUCGUUGCAUUUACCUCUUUGAGUAGUCUCCCGGAGUGGAAGAAGUCCCGAACAGCCAGCAAUACCGAGGGACCUACAAUCUCCCAAUUAGACUUGAAAAAUUCCGAUGGGAAACCAUCCGGGCCUGGGGCCUUGCCCUUUGCAAGUGAGAAUAGAGUGGAUUUGAUUUCAUCAUCUGUGACUGGUUCAUCGAAGACACGAAUCUGCUCAUCAUUAAGGGGUCGGCGUAUAGCACGUUUCAACUCCUCAAAAGAUGGUUUAGAUAAAGCCUCAUGCGGAGAUAGCAAUGAGGAGAAGAAAUUAAUAAAAACCUGGGGCAGCGCCGAGAGAUCAGUUAUAAUAGUCCCAGAGGAAUCUUUAAUGGAUAGAAUUCGGUUACUGAGUUGCCUCCUUUUGACCGAUUGGUGGAAAAAUUUCGUGUUUUUAUCUCCUCCUUUUAGCCACUGAAUUCUGGAUUUUUGACGGUAAAAGGACUCCUCUUGAUUCCUUAGAUCAACAAAAUCCCGACGACAACACCUCUCCCUUUCAGCAAGCUGAGGAUUCAUCGGGUCAGAUUGGAGAUCAGAUUGAACGGCACUAAGGGCCUCUCUCGCUUCCAAUGUUCUUUGUGAGAUCUCCGAGAAAGCUUCUCGGUUGAGGAGCUUGAGGCGGGCCUUUAACAACUUGAGCUUAGAUACUAGCUGAAACAUAGGAACACUAUCACCAACGUAUCCCAUACCUGACGGACAAUGGACUAAAGUCCGGAUGUUCAUCCCAAAAUUCAAAGUACUUGAAUGGCUUCCUUGAGCGAGGCGGUUCAAGAACUUUCACUAUCAUCGGAGUAUGAUCCGAUAUGCCCGGGUUAAGGAAAGCCGCCUCAGAAAAGGAAAAGUCCACGUUCCACUUAUUAUUUACCAACACUCGAUCAAUCUUCCUCAACUUCCUUGAGCUGCCUGCCGAAGUAGACCAUGUAUACCGGAGGCCCACAAAUCUGAGGUCCGUCAACUCAGUUUGAGUUAAACAGUUUGCAAAUUCAUCAAAAUAGGGAAUCCAAUUGGUAGAACUACCAACUCUAUCUGAGGGGUCUUUAAUUGCAUUAAAAUCCCCCCCAACCAGCCAUGCCUCAUUCUGAAAGAUAGCAUUAUAGUGUUGAAGGUCUGACCAAAGCGGUCUACGACGAACAAAAGAAUGUUGCCCAUAUAUAGCAGAAACACAACAACUGGAACCAGUAAUAUUAAACUUAAGACAGCCAUGGAUAGCUUGCUCAUUAAUAGAGAUAGGGGAGAAGGAGACAAAAUCCGGGUUCCACCCGACCCAAAUCCUCCCCCGGGGAGAGCAAUUAUAGUUCGCAACCCAUUUCCAACCCCUAAUAAGGGUGAAUGAGAUUUCAUCAAAACGGUCUUCCGGAACUUUCGUCUCGAUCAGGCCAAUAUAACAAAGAUUAUUAACCGCAACAAGGCGCCUAAUUUCCGCACGCCUUAACGGAUCGAUAAUACCCCUAAUAUUCCAGAAUCCAAAAAACAUCCAAAAAACAUGGAGGAAAUGGCUUACCUCUUCCUAGCGGUCUUGGAGCCCUUAACAGGCUUCUUCGCACCAACAGGGAGAGGCGAAUCUUCCAGCAGCUUAGCAAGCUAAUGUUGCAGGCUUUCAGUCAAGUGCAGAUUCGGUUUAAUGCUUGUGGGUUCUUCAACAUUCGAAGGGUCCUCAUCAGAGGAAUCAUGAACACUUGAAUUACAAAUAUCUUCAGAGGUCUCUUGGACCAUAGAAGGAUCCGAUCCAGGAGGGUCAGCCACAGUAGGAGAUUGAGCGUUUGGGGACUGCAACUCUACUUGAGAGCCUUCUUCUUGGAUAAUAGUGUCACUCUUUUGCACCUGACCUUCCUCCGUAAUAGGCGAUAAGCCGAAGGAUACCGUGGAGUUCGCCGCCCUUCGAGCAGCCUCAGCAGCUUCUCUUGCUGCCUGUUUCUUCCUUUUUUUUUUUGGUCUUUCGUUUAAUCUACUUCCAGCCCAUCUCGGCAUUCUCAUGCUCAAUUAAAUCAGCAUUGAUCAGAUGAUCAUUCUCAGCUGGGCGAGAAGGCACCAUACAAUGAGUGCUUGAUUCUCCAAUGAACAGAGAUCUUGAAAUAUCAGUACCAGCAACCGUAUCUGCAGAAACCAGGUCUCGCCUAGGAGCGUGAGAGCUAUCAUCCUUUUGCUCAUAUGAGGUCGGAACAACCACUUCCUUCCCCUUGGUGGAUACCGACUUAGGCUCAGAGUUCGCUUUAGAAUUAGAUUCUGAAUGAUCCACAUUAGCAUCCUCUACUGCAGAAGGAGCAAGAACAGGAACAAUAUUUUUGCAGCUAUGGCCAAACAUUCCACAUUUGGUGCAGACUAAUGGCCUCCAUUCGUAUUCAACUUCAACCACAUCUGUUUUCCCUUCCGUAACCAAGUCUAUAGACUCGUACAAGGUCUGCUGAACCGUUAUUUCAACACACACACGGGCAAAUGUGAGCAUAGACAUCUGCUCCGUUCUUUGGUCAACAUACAAAGGUCUGCCAACAGCACUAGCUACCUUUCCAAUCGCCUGGGCUGACCAAUACGCAAAAGGAAGGUUCCUUAAUCUCACCCAUAUCGGAACAGCCAUGUGAGUGUCUCUCUUAAGUUCAACUCCCGGCUGCCAUUGCUGCAGUAUAAAGGGGAUUCUCGCCAUGGUUAUAGGACCGCCUUCCAGGAGUUUCCUCCUGAAAUCCUUAUUAGGGAUCCAUAGGAGAAACAAUCCCCUUCCGUUAGACAGGACUUCAACCAAUGCUGGUCCCCAAGCUCUCUUGAGGGACUCUUCAACAACGUUAAACGGUAACUUUCUACCGAUAAAAUAGCCAACAAGACAGUCAUAUAGCUUUGGAUCCGCAGCCUGCAAGUCAGAUUCAUUCAUAUGCACGACUGGUUUGUCACUUACAAUCUGAGGAGGCGAGAAUUCCAGAUCAUAGCCUUUGUUAGCAGCACUAGCUACGGAAGCCCAUGAACGAGGAGCAGGCUUUCUUGAUUCGCCCCUUGAGCGGGGUCGAACAGAUUUAGAUCUACCCCUGAAAGCCGAACGUCCUCUACGAGCUACAUUGGACGGUCGUGAAUUCGCAAUACCAGCAGAAGCAGACGGGACAUUACGAUUCUCCACAGCCAAAGAGGGAACAACCGAAGGAAGACGGUCAGUUCUAGGCGAGGAGCCACUUAAUCGGUUCUGCAUCGGAUCAUCCAUCACAGCAGAAUUUGCAGACAACAGAUCGCAAACCCUAAUCCAUCAGCUUCAGAUUAAUCCGUAAAUAGGAAACGUACCCGGAGCUUCUUGGAAGGGGUUUGUAGAGCAGCGAAAGGCACCCCUUGACAUCUUUUUGUUUGAAUCAAGCUCCGGCAUUAAAUUAGUGUUUGGUUGAGCUCAAAUCUUGUUUUAAACAUCGAGUAUGAAGUUGAGUCGAUCUCGAGUUUGGCAUUGUAGCAGCUCAGGUGGCUCAAUUAGAGACCCCUAGGCCCUAGCUGUGUUGACAUCCGAUUCGAUUAAUAAGAGUCUAUGUAUUCAUUGAAGCAAUUAAGAAUUCCGACGUGCAAAUUAUUAAGAAAUCUCAUUGCUCAAGAUUGGGUUGUGAUCUUCAUCACGCAAGUUUUAAAUCCCCUAUAAUUUUCAAUCCCUAUAUUAACCAAUAGCUUAGAUGAUAAAAGUAAAUGAACAUUAAUAAAUGUAGGAAAUCUUCAAAAGUCACCUUUCCUAGGUCCUAGCUGUAAUCUCGUGGGGGACGUAGCUUGGCUUAAAAAAUCCUUCCUGCAACUUUUCUCCGACAAAAUGGCACUCCAGUUCUCUCUCCUCAGUUCUAUGUAUUUGUUUGUUUACUGAAAAGAGGGCUUUUGCGGCAAUUUUUGUCUCAAUAUAAUUUAAUUUCGGAUAACCAUUUGACAAUUGAAAAAAUCCCUCGGCCGAUAAGAAAUUUUUAAUAUCAAAUGUCCACCUUUGCGUUUUUCAUAUAUUAACUUGGAGUGUACAAAGAGAGAUCCUCGAUAAUUUCAACUUUUUUGAUUAAUUGGUAAAUCACUAAGUUCCGUCAUGCUAGUCUCUCUCAACAAGUACUUCUUAUCAUUUAAAAAAAAAAAGUUCCACUUUUAUUUCUCACAACUUCAAUUCUUAAAUUUUUUCAAUUUUCCUAGAUCUUUAAUUGAAAAAUUAACCCAAUUUCAUUCCGGUUAUCAUUAUAUAUCAUCAACAUAAACUAAACAAUCACGAUAAAUGAAUGUCCUCUCCUUGAAGUAAAUAGGGAAUAAUUAAAAAAAUCAACAAUUGUUAACGUCUGAGAAAUUAAAAAGGGAAGAAGAUCCGUCAGGUUUUCCAGUUCUUGCGUUUCUAGCAUUCGGUCCUCUCUACUUCCUCUCUCUCUCUCCCUCCAACCCUCGAGCCGAGCUGCACCGCCUGGUAGCGGCCUUCGACCGCUACCGCCGCAUCUACACCGUCGGGCCACCUCGGCGUUCAGCAGCAGCGCCGCCCCUCUCUCCGCCUCCUCCGAACACAAACCCCACCCCCGGGCAAAAAAAAAAAAAAAAACAAACCCCUAGUUCCCUCGCUUCGGUUCUCCGGGAUUGCGUGAAGAUGGACGAGGACCAGGAGAUGGAGAGGUUUGGGAUGGAGAACGAUUACGACGACGGGCAGUGGAUCGACGGGGAGUUCUACUACCGGCGGCGAAGGGAGAAGCGCGCCCAGACCAAGGGCGACGUGCUCUACGGCGUCUUCGAUUCGGACUACGACGAGUCCUCCAAGAGGAAGCGGAGGAAGAACAGGGACCUCCUAGGUAACGCCGAUUCGUCGAAGCCCGUGAAUUUCGUGUCCACCGGCACGGUCAUGCCGAACAGAGAGAUUGACGAGAACUCGAUGACAGAGAAUGAGGAUGAAGAAUCCGCUGUCGUGGAUGGGGAUAGGCCGGGCUUGGGGGUCUUGAGAAGAACCAACAAGGGAUAGUGACAUUCAUUGAAGCAAAGUUGCAUCCUAAGAAUAUGGGUGUGGGUUUCAACGACUUACAAGGAAACUCUUGCAAAGGCACCUGUUGCCUCGUUGGGGCCAGAGGAAAAGAAGCCAUCACCUGACGUGCCCGGUAAGGAGAAGCUUUGGUCUAAGCAAGCGAAGAAGAAGACGCUGAAAAACAAAGCGAAGUAUAUUACGGCAGAAGAACUGUUGGCGAAGGAGCGGGAACAGGGCGUUGAAGUUGUGCAAAAGGUACUCGACAUGCGCGGACCUCAGGUUAGGGUGUUACCAGACUUGGAGAAGCUGAAUGCAGAAGAGAAGGCGAGGGAGAGUGAUGUUCCUAUGCUCGAGCUCCAGCACAAUACAAGGUUGAUUCUGGACCUGGCUGAGUUGGAUAUUCAGAAGAUCGAUGGGGACCUGAGGAAUGAGAAGGAGACAGCUCUGAGCUUGCAAAAAGAAAAAGGAGAAGCUGCGAGCUGAGGCAGAACUUCAGAAGAAACAACUGAAUAACAUGAAGGAAAUAAUGAAUACGCUAGCCAAAUCUUUUGGUGACAUGCAAAGAAGGUUUCCUGGCGAUUAUACACAUUGUAACUUAUCCUGCAUUGCUUGCUCAUUCGCACUCCCUCUGUUUAUCAGAGUAUUUCAGGGAUGGGAUCCUCUUCGCAAUCCCUCACACGGGUUGGAAGUUUUGAGGUGGAAAUCUCUUUUGCAAGGACAGGAAUGUCUUGAUAUAUGGCAUUUAGGAUCCCCUUGUACCCAGUUGGUUUCAGAAGUUGUCUCGCUUGCUGUGAGAGGCAUUGACACUUUUUGCGAGCGGUUGGACCACUGGCCCACUGCUAGAUCCCACUCAAAAGUGAAUUAAUAUAAUCUCAAGCAAAAGUUAUAAUGGUCCAACAUAGAAAUAGUGAAUUGAUCCAACUCACUUUUUCUGAGAUCAUAAUAUACAGUAUUUAGUCUAGUUGUUACGUUGCCCAUGCCUUUGCAAAUACAAAAAUUUUCCUUAAAUAAAAAAGUAAAAAACUUGUAAACAAUCUAAGUUAUUAAUUUUUUUCCCCGGUUCGCCAUCUAAUAUUGAUGAUGCUUCGAACUUUAUUAAUUAGAAAACAUCUUUGUGGCGUUGUAUGAAAUCAUAUCUACCCAAAAUGUGAGCGCCAAAAACCUAACAGCCACCGGGAGGGCCAUGGCGGCUCUAGUAGGUAAAGAGCUCAAUAAUCCAACAACUGAGCUAUGCACAUGAAACAAGGGAAGCACAAUCAGGGUAGUCUAACUUUGUUAGUUUGUACACACACUUGAUGUUCUGAACCAAUGAUGCCAAAUUGCGCUGAGUUAGCAGCAUGCAAUUGGGGCGACCCGUAGCGUCGGAGGUGUGCCAAGAGCUACAUCUGAGGGAUCAUUGACAACUUUGGACAUUGAGCCAAGGGACAUUGAGCCAAGGCUCGGCUCUACAUCGGUCGAAGAGAGUGAUUUUGGAAUCGGUGGACUGAAGCUUGGCGGUUGGGUGGUGGAUGUUAAGCUUGGAAGCAGCGGAUUGAGCCCAUCGGUUUCCUUCUUGCGGUGUCAAUAGAAGCUUCGGUUCCGAGUCGGAAAGGUAGAACUUGAACUCCUUAGCUGUGUAGUUGGGGUUGAGCGGAGCUGCAGCGACUCGGCAACGGAUUACAGCCGGGAAACAGCAUCACAAACUGCAAAACGAACACGUAUUUCCAAAUUAGCAAACUGCCCCACUAGUCCGUGCAGAUUGGAGAUAUACAUAUGCAGAAUGUGCAGACAACUAGUUUGUCAUCGUUUGAUUGCAUUAAACCAUCCAUCUCCUUUAGAUAAGCUUUGACUUUGUUUUACGAUGAAGCGUUGCUUAUACAUCCCAAAAAAACAACCUUUGGACGCGACAGAAAAGGCUCUUCAUGCUCUUUCCAAUUCAAUUUGUUCCUGCUCAAUUGGCACCACGCGCUUGCAGAAAUUUCACGCCUCAGAUUCUUUUUUCUUUUUUCGAGCUAUUUCCCACUCGAUCUUUCAUAAACAAUCGAUCUCAUCAUUAGAAAUUUAUUGUUACCGCAAUCUUCUUGAUAUUGCAUUCUCGAAUUUAUACAGCUUCAUCAAGGAAAUUUCUGCAUUUGAAUUGUUGGAUGCAAAUUGCGCAACCCCAAAUCUUCAUAACCAGACAAAAACAUGCAUAAUUGAGUAGAAAGAUUAAUGCACCUGAGAUCCAUCGAACAUAAAACGGAAGCAGGAAAAAGGAAUUACCCACAGGGGAUCCACAAAUCAAGUCAUUCUCCUCUAUUACCCUCCGUAUUACUGGCUCAAUGAGGUGGCCCUCACGUUUAGCAUUAGGUAAACGCUCCUUAAAUGAGGACAUGUAGCGUUAGGUUAACGCUCCUUAGGUGAGGACAUGUGAGAAUUAGGGUUAGAUAAGAGACUUGACCACUAUUUAUAGAGUUUUCAACCAGUUCCCCUCAUUACGGGCCAGGCUCAACUCGGUCCACAUUAGCCAGUUCCAUAUUAGACUAAUUAAGAAACCUUCUAUCUCACUUUAAACCAAAUCUCAUAAAACGAUAAACGUUAAACGGUAAAUUAUAAUAUCAAUUAAUGUAGUCCACAAUUAGGAAAGCUCUUACAUGGAUUCCCAUCAUCACACAAACUGAAAACAUGCGACGUCGUACUUGCGAGGAGAUUCAAUGAUCGGGGGACAUAGAUAUCUCCAGUCGGGGAAAUCCGACGCCACCUUCUUCAACAGGCUCGCGAGACGGAGUCCCUCCUUGGCGAGAUCGCUAGGCUGAAGCUUCAGAUUCAUGCCAUACGGCAUGGAAUUCAGAUUCCGCAAGGCAAUCCGGGGGAGGUGGCGGACGUGGCUGCUCUGUUGCAGGUUUUGCAGGAGAGGAAUUUAAUCCCGGAGAGUGGUUGAGCGCGAGUCUGAUGCUACUGGAGAAGAGAGAGGAGAAGAAAACUGUAGUGGAGGAGGAGAGAGAUGAAGAUUGGGGUUUUCUGUGGCGAUUUUGAGAGAGGUGAGAAAGAAGGGAGAGAAAAAUAAAAACGGUUAUUUUUUUUAUUAUCCGAAUUGAAAAUAAUGCAUGAAAUUUCAGUUAAGUUGCAUUCUAACACCCCUAUUAUAAAUGGACAGCACUAGCGUCGUUAAAUGAUUUUGAAAACAUUCGUGAAAAGAAUCUAGAAUUUAGUUUUCCAUAGAGGAACAAUGGGAUUGACACUAGACUACUCAAGAACACAAGCUAGUAUUGCUGGAAGCCCAGAUGGGAAAGGGCAGUAUGGAAAUAAGUCUCUCUAAGGGAACUGGGACGUCACUUUGUAUAGCAGCAGAACUUCUCAGGCAGAAACAUUGGCAAAUUGGCAGUUUCGCGAGCAUUUUGAAUGAUGCAGGACAUAUAGCAGAGGAUGUGAAAAUGAAGCCUUACAUAUCCAAGAAUUUAUUUACUGUUCAUGAUGCUGCUUCUGCUAUCACAAUUCGAACCUUAAAAGAUCGGAUGAAGCAAAGAAAGGUAAGGGACCACUUUAUUGAGCUAAAUACUGUGCAUAACACAUAAUACCUUGGUAAAAAGAAAAACAGGACAUCAGGUUAAGAUCUCGACAGUAGAGGGAAAGCAAGUCGCACCUUUGAUGUAAAGGUUUCUUCUCGAUACGUAGAGCAAGCACCCUCGAGUUUUCCUGUUUAGAAAGCUCGUCGAUGAAAACCUUCAUUUGUACAACCUGAUUACAAACAACAGAAAGGAUUAAGGAAAUUUAUAAAUAACAUGUCAAAAAAGCUAUAGAAAAUAAUGGUUUAAAGGAUAUGCAUACCGAGAGGUUGCUAUUACGAAACAGAUUGAGAGGGCAACCAACCACAAUUCCAAAUAGUGAUAAUUCAGAUAUAUGCAUAUAUACAAGGAAAUAAGAACCCAAUCAAGCCCCAAGUAGAAACGUGUCCAAGACAAUUUGUCACAAAACUAACACUAUACUACUACUAUUAAUAUUACAACAGGGGGCGUGCCAAAAAAUAGAAAAGAAAUAAAAACAUGAGCCCAAAAACCGAGACUGAACUGCUGGGCUGGCCCCAUUUUUUGUGCUAAAAUAGUCACAAGCCGGGCCACCAUAUCUCAAAAUAUCUUUCAAUUCGACCCAAUAUAAGCAAUUUGGGUUUCAGUUAAAGCUUAAAAGGCCCAUACCCGCCCAGUUCACAAAUUAGAAACAAUGUCUCAUUUUCCUUCUCUCCGGGGCUUUGUCAUCUUACCUUUUCAUGAAUAUUUAGGUCUUGACCUGUCUCAUUCUUUCUUCUCUCACGCUUAACGAGUCAUCGAGCCCCCACCAAGUCGCCACUGCGGCAUCAUCGAGCCCCCACUGUGCGGCCAUUGAGCCCCAACACUCACCAUAUGCCCACCCGGUCAAUCGCAGUCUCUCUAUCUAUCUCGGCUCUCCGCUCCCCCACUCUCUAGCAGCAAAACAAGUUCUUACUAGCCUGUUCUGAUGUCUUCAAAGUUUUUGGUUUUAGGGCAUGCUACUUGAAUUUUUUUUAUGGAAUGUAAAAACAAAAACAAAAUAAACUAAACAAUUUUUUUUUUCUAAUUUUAGAUUGCGUGUGAUCCUAUUGAGUCUAGGCCAAAUGGCAUGGCUUUGAUUCGAGCCAGGUCCUUAGGCUAGAAUAUUCUAAGCCACAUAUUUUUGGACGGGCCAAAAAAUUGACAAAAUCCCACUAGGCCCGCAUUUUAACUCAUUCAUAAAAAGUGUGCUAACUCAAUAUAAAUUUGGAUACACUGCACUAGCGAAUCUAAAUAAUCGAUACAAUGCUAAAAAAAAAGUGAUGACAUGAAUGCACUAAAUAACUUCGUUUGGGAGCACAUGGGACUUGCCAUAUAGUUAUUACUAUCAGUUACCCUAAAUAUUUCAUUUAAUUCAUGUAAUUUCAUAAUUUACUACUACAUUCUUCUUCUUCUUCUUUUUUAUGUCUUUAGCUCAUCGAUAAAGCAAACUAAGCAACUUCCGCUCAUCGCUUCAUUCAGUUAAACCAGUCGUGGGUCGGUCUAUCGAUACAUAGCAUCCAUCAUGUAACCUCACUGGCGUCCUACCGUUCCUCAAACCCCUCGUUGCUCAUUUUGAAAUUGUUCCUCAAACCCCUCAUUGCUCAUUUUGUCACUUCGCUUCAGUGUCUUUUUGUCAAGCAUCUUGGCCUUGGUCACUAAGCAACUUAAUUCAGACUGUAAUGAAUAUAAAUAUCUCCAUAGGAUUCUCAAUCGAUUGUCCUAAACCAAUUGUGAUAAAGUCUAUUAUGCAUGAUUCAGAUUUCCACGACAUCUUUUCAAUCAUUAUUUCCUAAUCUGAAAAGAAGAGCGUAAAUUUCUUACAAGAAAAAGUGAAAAAAUCAUGGAACUUGAAAGUUGAGAGGAUUGCAUCCCUCGUCAAACUAGAAGAACAUGAAUAAAAUGAAAUUCAAAUUAAACUACUCUUAAAAUAUAACUACCGUUGCAGCAGAAACAAAUGAUGACCACAGCAUCAGAAAAGGUCAUCACCAAAGGAUUAAAAUCCAGUCCAAGUUUGGGGCAAGGGCGAUUCCUUCACAGAUUGUAUAAGUGCAUAGAUCAAUGGCGAUUCUGACCCUCCAUUCUUUGCAUUCUUUGCAUGCAGAUCUUGCGUUCCUUCACAACAGAAUACACAUUCAAAACUCUGUUCAUAUAGAACACUUUAACUUGAACCAGAGACAUCAGCAAGCCACGAGACAACAAUUUUCAUGUCAUGCGUCGAUCAUACGAGACGAGAAUCCUAACACCAUUUGACAAACUAUCAUCCUAUUCCAACAAGGUCGGCCAUAAUAAAGGUUUGAUAAGUUAGAACAAAUCGAAUUUAUGUAAUAUCAUUUUGCGGUUCUAGGAUUGAAUCGAAUUUACAUACUGAUCUAGUUCGAGCAUUUCCUCGAACGUGAUACACAUUUCGAUUAAGGAGCUCAUACGCAAAUACAAACCACUGAUUCAAUUUCAGAUACUCACAACAACAACAUUAUUACGAGGCCGAGUUGUUAAUCGAGCUUCAAUCUCAACUGAUUUACUCACAGACAUCAUUAGCUAAAGCUCACUGGCUCUGUUUCGUUUGUAAGCGGCAGAAACAGAAUGUGCGGGAGUUUUUGACCUCGAACGGUGAUCAGAUCACAAAAAAAGUUCCUGGUGGUGUCCACGUUGAUAAUCGCGAAUGGCGAAGGGGGAAAAACCAAGGGCUCGUGCACUUUUGGGCGUCCUGACCAGAAAACAGGGCAGAACGACAGUUGGCCUUGCUGCAGCGAAACCGGCGAUGGCGGAGCGGCUACAGUGGCAGCUAACGGUGUCUGAAGGACGACGGAGAAGGAGAACUGACGAAGAAGCCUCGAGAAUUCCCGAGAAAGAGAUGGCGGACGGUGGAUUCCUGGUGACGAUUAGCGGUGGAGAAUCUUCUGCAACUCGGCCGAUCGAUCGAAAGAGAUUGUGGAUCGUGGGCUGCGGUGAGGCAAAUUGUCUAGGCUGAGGCUUACUCUGAUGGGCCCGGCGCGCUCGUUCGGAAGAGGAAUCCACGAAUGGGAGCUCAGCAAGAGAGAAUUUCUUCAUCGGGUCAACCCAUUUCUAGAAGCGUCUCCAUCUUCGCUCCCACUCUGUCGCCUCGGUCCCCCCGGCAGCCACCGCCGCUCGUCCUCCAUCGCCGGCCACGACAACACUCAUGCGCUCAGCACAGAUCACACAGGGCAGAGAGGCUCAAGGAUUUCUAAACAUCCAGAGAAUUAUCUCUCUUGGCUCCUUGCUUCGUCUGUUGACCUCCAACUGACCUCCCGGAUCGCUAAACCACCAGGCCGUAGCUCUGUUAGCACCGUUCUCCGAUCAGUUUGCUUUGGCUGCUCUGAAUUUGUUCGUUUCUCCUUCGCUGGCUCCGAUCCUCAACGUCAUUGUCUCGCACAACCUCUUCCUCUGAUCCGAUCGUCCUUCGUGCAUCAGAUAAAAUGAACACUAUAAUCUUCCUUCUUCGUUCUUAGCUUCGUGAAGAGAGACCCAGGCAUAUUUGUGUGAUUUUUGUUGUUCAAAUUUACUGCUGGCGUGUCAAUGCGCGCACUAUAAGUGCUUUGUAUGAUCCAUCGCAUGAAGUGCUCACUGUGACAUGUUCAUAUUAAUAAUCUGAAUCUCAAAUCAAUGUUCACUGCAAUGCGUGUUCGUCUGUUAGAUGGUCGAUUCUUGUUUAGUUCUCCCUGCCAAAAAUCUUGCAAAGAUGAUUCCAUCUACAUCUAUGUUAUUUUGGCGGUUUCUGGAUUAAUGUUCCGUAUGUUAGAGGAUCAAGAGCUCCAUCCUACUCUGCUACAUCAAGAGUCAGCCACAGGGGAUCCUCAACUCUGGUAGAUGUAGAUCACCAAAAGACUAUCGUGAAGUAAAUAAGCUGAAGACAUGGAUAACCAGUCUUAUCAACGGUGGAGAUUUUACAAUGCCGAAGACGUGGAUUGCCAAGUCUUAGGAUUUGUCAAGACUGCUAUUCUGUUAUAAAUAGCUGUAAAAGUUUGUUAGUUUGUGUCGGUUAGUUCGUUUAGUCUGUUAUUAGUUUUCCAGCUUCUCUCUAUAUAUAAAGAUAGAAUUGAGCUCAGGAAAAGGUGUGAAGAAGAGAGGAGAGGGAAGAACAGGAGAUUCAAUAUUGAUCUGUUGUAUUUGAUUUCUCUUUGUUCAAAACUUGGAUACAAUGAACUAAGAAUUGAAUACUUCUUGUUCAGAUCCUUUUGCAACUCUAUCGAGUUUAUUCUCUAUCAUCAUCAUCAUUCCUCAUCUUCAUCUUCUGCAUUCUUGGAUUCUCAAUUUCUCAUGGUAUCAGAGCAGAGAGCAUCUGAAUGAAGAGAUCCGUCCAGUAAUAAGUUCUUGCAUCAAGACAGAAGAGAUGAACGAACAAUGAAGCUCUCUGGAUCAAGGUAAUCACAUAAGAGCUCAUAGUAUUACUGUUGUCAUCUUCUUCAAGCUAAAGGAUCGUAAUAAUGGCAAUUAGAACUCCAAAGUACCCUUUUCCGAUACAUAUGAAUAUCUCGAAUUUUGUCACAAUCAAACUUGCUGAAGACAACUUCCUAUUGUGGCAAGCUCAAAUUCAAAGGUUUUUGAAAAGUCAAGAUCUUUUUGGUUUUGUUAAUGGAGACAUUCUUUCACCUCCUCGAAUGCUGCAAAGAGAGGAUGAAGGUUGUGAAACUGAUCUUAUCAAUCCAGAUUACACUGAUUGGACUAGAACAGAUCAGUUGAUUUCAUCAUGGAUCUCUGGAGCUGUUACUGAAAACAUUAUGAGCUUGAUAAUCGGAUUAGAAACAUCAUCUGAAGUAUGGCAAACCCUUCUGAAAAGGUUUACACAGAAGUCAAUUGCUAGAGAGUUCGAACUAAGGGGAAAACUGCAAUCAUGCCAAAAGCAUGAACAAACCCUUGCUGUUUAUCUCAGGGAAUAUAAAUCCAUAUGUGAUCAGUUGAAUGCAAUAGGCAAACCAGUGGAUGAAAUAACCAAAAUGUUUGGUAUAUUGGAAGGUUUAGGUCCUGAGUAUGAAAACUUUCGAACUACCAUAUAUUGUUUAAAGCCUCAGUAUGAGUAUGAUGAGGUUAUUGCCCAAUUAGAAAGGUUUGAAUCAAGGCUCAAGUCCUUCUCCAGGAAUCAAUUCAACCCGAAUUUGGCCUAUUUUGGACAAAGACAGUCUCAGAUACAGUCUAAAGAUACCACAAAUGAAGAUUACAUCUCUCAAGCUUCUGGAUUUAUAUCUCAAAGAGGAGGUUACAGAGGUGGUCGAAGCUAUGGUCGUGGCAGAGCUGUAAACAAUAGAGGUCGUGGUUUUGAAAGAUAUCAGAAUUACAGAACAGAUAUCUUAAAUCCAGGACAAGGAGAUCAACACCCCAGACAGAGAAAUGUUAUCUCUACAACAAAUCAAGGAUUUAGACCCUACACCACUUACUCACAAAGGUGCCAAAAUAUCAAAACUUAUCCAUAUGUAAACUCAAAUAAGAACUUACAGGAUGAGAAAGAAACAAGUAGCAUUCGACUCGAAUGUCAAAUAUGUAAAAGAUCUGGACAUGAUGCUCUUCGCUGCUGGUAUCGGUUUGACAAUUCCUAUCAAGCAGAAGAUAUUCCAGCAGCAUUGACGGCAAUGCAUAUUGAAGACUCAACAGGAAGUGAGUGGUAUCCUGACUCUGGAGCUACAACUCACAUCAGUGCCAAUCCUGGUAUGCUCCAUACCCUUUCUAAAUAUCGAGGACAUGAUACUGUUAUGAUAGGCAAUGGAUCAUGUUUACCUGUAACUCACAUUGGCAACACUUGGCUGAAAACAAAGAGUAGUACAUUACCACUUAAUGAUGUCCUAAUUGUCCCAGAGAUAAAGAAGAAUCUUCUUUCAGUAUCUAAGCUCACAGAUGACUAUCCUUGUUCUUUUAUCUUUGAUAAAACUGGUGUUUAUGUAAAGGACAACAAUACCAAAAUAAUGGUGAAGCUCGGAAGGAAAACUAGAGGGCUUUAUCAAGCUAAUCCACAGACUACAGAAGCCUUCUUUACUCAGCGGCAAAAGACAGUCGAUGAAGACACAUGGCACCAGCGAUUGGCUCACACAAAUACACAAGUAGUUAAACAUUUGCAGAAACAUAAGCUUAUACAAUUUGAUUCACCAUCUAAGAAUGUAUGCAGCAGCUGUCAAAUAGCUAAAAGUACAGCUCUAUCGUUUCCUUUAUCGGAUUCUACAUCAAGCUUUCCAUUAGAAAGAAUUCAUUGUGACAUUUGGGGACCCUCACCAGUCUGUUCUUUUCAAAAGUUUAGAUACUAUGUGAUUUUUGUUGACAGUUUUUCUCGAUACUGCUGGUUAUAUCCUAUGAAGUUGAAGUCUGAGUUCUAUGACAUAUUUGUUCAAUUCCAAAAGUUAGUUGAACGACAGUACAAUCAUCAGAUUAAAAUCUUUCAGAGUGAUGGAGGAGGAGAGUUCGUAAGCAACAGAUUCCAAACUUGUCUAAGACAUCAUGGAAUAAGACAGCUUAUAUCAUGUCCUCACACACCAGAACAGAAUGGGGUCUCAGAAAGGAAGCAUCGACACAUCGUAGAACUGGGAUUAGCUAUGCUAUAUCACUCAAAAGUUCCACUAAAAUUUUGGGUGGAUGCAUUUGUGACAGCUAGUUACAUCAUAAACAUUCUUCCCACACCAAAGCUGAAGAUGGACACACCCUAUAAUAAACUUCAUAAUAGACAGCCAAGGUAUGAUCAUUUAAGGGUGUUUGGCUGUGCAUGCUAUCCUUGUUUGAGACCAUAUGCUGUCGCGACCUCUUUUUUUCUGGCGCCCGCAAUCGGGUACGAGCGCCUAAGGAGGCUAAUGGCUCGGCUGAAUUUAUUAAGCCUGGACUCUCCCAAGUCCACCAAUUCACGACUUUAAUAAUUUGAGUUUUUAACCCAUAAAUCAAUUUUUAAAAUGGAGUCGCCACUAAUCGAUUUGAGGUGGGUUGAUUAGAAACCCAAGUGAAGUAUCGGGAGAAAUACUCACUUCUGCGCAACUAGAGAAAUUAGGAUCGGGGACUUGAUUACACUAGUUAAUCACUAAUGCCAUUUCGGUACCUAAUCUUGUUUAAACCCUAAGGCUUUUUGGAUUUUUGAGAGAUUUUCCAUGCAUUUUUGGGAGGAAAAACAUUUUUUGAGUAUUUUUCUCAUUUUUUUUGGACAUAAAAGGGAUUUUUGGUAUUUUUGGUAUUUUUUGGAAAAUAUGGAAUAUUUUUGAUUUUUUUGAUUUUUUUUCUUUUCUCGGAAAAUAAAAUAUUUUUAAAUAUUUUUUCAAAAUAUUUUUGGAAAAUAAAUUAUUUUUUGAUUUUUCUCGAUUUUUUAGAAAAUAAAACAUUUUUCGACAUUUUUAAAUAUUUUUCGAUUUUUUGGAAAUUAAAACAUUUUUUUAUUUUUUAUUUAUUAAAAUAUUAUUUUUAUAUUAAAAUAACAAAAUAAAACCGACCCGGGUCGGAUCCGCGGGUUGGGUCCGACCCGGGUCGGCGACCCAAAUGCGGACGGGCCCGCGUUGCGGGCUCGACUCGGAUUUUUCAUCUUUUCUUUUUUCUUUUUUUCUUUUUUUUUUAAAAACGACGCCGUGGCCGGGCGUUUGGGGACGCCCGGCCCAGCCCGACGACCCGGGUCCACGACCCGCUCCGCGACCCGACUCCCUGCGAACCCUACCCGACCCGGAUCCGAAUUCACGACCCGGCUUCCGCCGCCCCGGAAUCUCGCGAAACCCUACCCGGUUCCGAGGUGUUUGGCGGCGACGGCGACUAUGGCGGCGACGUCGAAGGUGACAACGGCGGCGGCAACCACUGCAGCCACGACGGCGGUGACAACGUCGACGGCGACGACGGCUAGGUCAACGGAAAACGGCUGCGAUGAACAAUAACGCCCCCCUUUUUACCUUCUCUCGGAUGGGGACGGCGACGGCAGGAGAGCAGUUCGCGAUGGUGGAGGCGACGACGGCAGCAACUCAGCUUCCCGAUCUGGCGCGGCUUCGGCGGAUCGAUCACGGUAAUGGCUCCGCGAGGUGAGGCACGACAACAAGCCGUCGAAGCAACGGCGUCGGGACUGAGGUGAACGGUUGCAGCACGGCGUUCGGCGGCAACAACAGCAGCAAAAAAAACCAGAUCUACUGCGUAGAUCUCGGCCGGACCCUCCUCGGCCUUGAUUCCUCCUCACUUAGGCCAGAUCCGAGCCUCCACAGGCCGGAUCUGACCUUCUCGAAGUCACUCGCCGCCUGCCUUCCCCGAAGUCUCUCGGUGGAAGGUGGGCUAAGCUCGCGACCCGAGCUCUCUCCUGCGCUCGCCCUUCAACCCUUCCCGAUGUCUCUCAGUGAAGGAUUUCCGAGCUCGCCACACCCUCCGACGAUGCUUGCGACCACCUAUUUAUAGGCGAAGGAACUCCGGUCGACAGAGGGGCUCGGUUGCCGGCCUCCGGCUUGCCCACCGGUUCUGCUCGGCCGAACCGGUGUCCCAUCGAGCUUUCCAGCGAAGCUCGCUCAGCAUUGAUGGCGCCUGCGAUCUUAUCCCCUCCGGCCGACGUCGCCCUACACUCCUCGGCCGUAGGCCGUCCUUGGCGCGCGUCGCCGGCCAUCGCGCGUGAGAUGCAAGCGACUGAGGAAGAAGAAGACAGGAGGAAGAAGAAGAGAGAAAAGGGGCCGGGCCAAGGGUGAAGGAAAAUGGGCCACAUGGGCCACGCGGAGGGGGAAGAGAAAGGGAAAAGAAAAAAAGGGCUGGGCUUUUGUUGUUUUUUUUUUGUUUGUUUAUUAAUUAUCUUAUUUAUCCGAAAUAAAAUAAAAACUUAAUUAAAUAAAAUUAACCUAAGUAAAAUUGAGGUGUCAACAGCUGCCCCUCUUUGAAGGUGAGCUCGCGGAGGUUGCAUUCAAAGACAGACUGAUGCCUCAAUUUUAUCCAUACAUGCAUAGCAGAUUAUAUUUUAUUUGGGAUCUAUUAUUCUAUGUAGGAAAAGAGCAAUAUAACUUUACAUAUACUAAGACAGAUAAGAAGAUACCUGUAGUUACUUACCGGGAGUGAGUGAGAUAGGGUGUGAACCCCGAGUUUUGGCAAGUAUCAAGGCGUCAUCUUACCUGGUGAUAUGAGGAGGUUGCUUUUCCAGGGCUCGAACCAUUCUUCGGUUACCUGUUAAAACAAUCAAUGAUUUUUCUAGGGCCCGAACCUUUCUUCGGUCGCCUUGACGGGAGACUGCUCUUCCAGGACCCAAACCAUUCUUCGGUCGCCGUGACAGGAAGUUGUUUCUCCAGGACUCGAACCAUUCUUCGGUCGCCUGUUAAAACAAUCCAUGAUUUGUCUAGGACCCGAACCUUUCUUCGGUCGCCUUGACGGGAGAUGCACCGACCUUUCUCAGGGCAUCUCAUUUGUGGGUGCCUGAUUUGUAUCAAGGACACCAGUUGGAACCCGACCUUUCUCGAGAGGAUGCGCCGACCUUUCUCAGGGCAUCGAUUUGUGGGGCGUCUGACUUCUGUCGAAGACACUAGUUGGAACCCGACCUUUCUAGGGAGAUGCGCCGAUCUUUAUCAGGGCAUCGAUUUUGGGGGGCGUCUGACUUCUGUCGAAGACACCAGUUGGAACCCGACCUUUCUCGGGAGGAUGCGCCGACCUUUCUUAGGGCAUCGAUUUGUGGGGCGUCUGACUUCUGUCGAAGACACCAGUUGGAACCCGACCUUUCUCGGGAGAUGCGCUGAUCUUUAUCAGGGCAUCGAUUUUGGGGGGCGUCUGACUUCUGUCGAAGACACCAGUUGGAACCCGACCUUUCUCGGGAGGAUGCGCCGACCUUUCUCAGGGCAUCGAUUUGUGGGGCGUCUGACUUCUGUCGAAGACACCAGUUGGAACCCGACCUUUUUCGGGAGGAUGCGCCGACCUUUCUCAGGGCAUCGAUUUGUGGGGCGUCUGACUUCUGUCGAAGACACCAGUUGGAACCCGACCUUUCUCGGGAGGAUGCGCCGACCUUUCUCAGGGCAUCGAUUUGUGGGGCGUCUGACUUCUGUCGAAGACACCAGUUGGAACCCGACCUUUUUCGGGAGGAUGCGCCGACCUUUCUCAGGGCAUCGAUUUGUGGGGCGUCUGACUUCUGUCGAAGACACCAGUUGGAACCCGACCUUUCUCGGGAGGAUGCGCCGACCUUUCUCAGGGCAUCGAUUUGUGGGGCGUCUGACUUCUGUCGAAGACACCAGUUGGAACCCGACCUUUCUCGGGAGAUGCGCCGAUCUUUAUCAGGGCAUCGAUUUUGGAAGAUACCUUGGAUAUUUGUGAAGGUCUCUCACCUCUUGGUAAUGGGAAUGUCGAGGGUGUGCCCCGCUUAUUCAUGAAGGUGUCUCACCUCUUGGUAAAGGGGAAUAUCGAGGAUGUACCUGGGAUAUUCGUGAAGGUUUCUCGCCUCCUGGUAAUUGGGAAUAUUGAGGACGUACCUGAGAUAUUCGUGAAGGUCUCUCGCCUCCUGGUAAUUGGGAAUAUUGAGGACGUACCUGAGAUAUUCGUGAAGGUCUCUCACCUCCUGGUAACAUAAAUUUGAGUGUAGCACAAGACUUACCUGGAUGGCCGCAGGCACUUAAAAGGGGUGGAAAACCUGGAUAGCCACAGGUGUACAAAGUACUGGAAUACUUGGAUGAACACAAGUAUUUAAUGAUAUAACAUGGGACUACUCAGUUGGUCCAAGUGUAAGAAAGCAUACCUGGGUAGGUGCAGGCACACAAAGCAGUGGAAUGCUUGAACAGCUGAUAUUAUUUGGGGACAACUCGGGCAAGUUGAGUGUCAUGAAAAGGAAGUACCUAGACAAUAGUGGGUACUUUGAUGAUAUGGGGAUACCUAGACAGCAGUAGGUAUUCCAAGAGAUACUUGGUCAGUCACAAGUAUCAAUACUCUGGGGACAACUCGGACAGGUCGAGUGUCAGAAAAAGGGAGUAUCUGAACGGCGACCGGUACUCAAAGAUAACAGGGAUACCUAGACAACAGUAGGUAUUUAACAAUAAAGGGAUACUUGGUCAGUCACAAGUAUCAAUACUUUGAGGACAACUCGAAUAGGUCGAGUGUCAAGAAGAGAGUACCUGGACAGUGAUAGGUACUUUAAGACAAAUGGGGAUAGAGAUAUGCUUACCCGGCAAUAUCUCUGAUCUCUAAGAGUAUGUCUGCUAUUUGCAUAGUAUGCACACAUGAUUGUAUAUGCUGUAAAUUCAUGAGUUCAAAUGAGAUUCAUGCAUGAUAAUUUUGUCAGUUUUGCAUCAUCUGAGUUCCACUGGGGAAGAUUUUGAAAGACAACCUUCAUUUAGAAUGUAGAUGUCUUGAGCAUGCCAGACGAGGGACUUUCAGUCUGAAAGGACUUUCCGCUCACUCUCAUGGAAAAGGCUAUCCUGACCAUUGAUGCAGGAUUUAUAAGGACCACACUAUCUCACUGUCAUCAUGUCAGCAGGGGUCUGAGUAUUCUCGCAAACAGUACGACUUUACCAAUGUGAGAGGUCUUUGUUGAAAUUGUGAUGAAGACUUGGUCAAUAGCUCAUCAAAUGGGACCGUCGAGGUCAAGGCUCAUGAAUGAAGUGCCGCACGAUCAUCUCCAGGUUUGCAAGUCAAGAGUCCUGCGAAAAGAGAUAGAAUAGUCUUGCUCGUACUUCUUCGAGCGAUGCUUAUAGACAUAUGAAAUCCUACGUUAAUUGAAGUGCCCCUAGUCUGAAGAGACUUUUACAAUGGGAUGCAAUGUAGGAUUGAUUCAUGUGUAAAAGGGUGAGAGCUGGUGAUUGUCUUGGCAUUUGUCACCAGUCUUCCUUCUCACUGUCAAAUGGAGGCUCUAUCAAUUGAACCACAACAACAACUUUUCUUAACUGUAUUUUUUACUGGGGGGCAUUGGCCUUGCUUUUACCAGGCACACUGCUUUUUUCAUGCCCCUAUUUUUAUUCCAGUUCUCCAUUCAUGGACAUUGACCUUGCUUUUACCAGGUACACUGCUUUUUUAUGCCCCUGUUUUUUCAUUCUUGUUGCUUGAGAGCUGAUCUUGACAAGUUCAAGCAAAUGCCUUUGUUAGACUAUUGAGUCUUCAUCUUUUGCCGGCGCUUCUGAUUAUGCUGCUCAAACAGCAGUGGCUUUUGCUUUGCCUCCAUGUGAGGGUGAAUUUACAAACUCAAUUGAGUUGUACAAUGGAUACAAGUGUAUAAAGAAAGAGCUGCUCUUCAUGACUCUAGGGCACUUAAAUUAACGCGAGUGUUCAUAUGUAAUAAAGACACUCAAAGAUUGAUGCAAGUGCAAGCAAGAAAAUUUCUAUCUCUCUUCUCACCUUGUGAUGCUGCUUUGUCUCCAAUCUGCCCCAGUGUGGGGUGGUUCUUGACGGGGGUAUGAAAGAAACUUCACCAAUGUAUGGGGCUCAAUGGGGUGAGCGAUGGAAUGCCUCUCACUAUUUUGGUUAUCGUACCAUUCGCGAGAGAACUCUUUGCCCUGCAGUCAUGGAAUCUUCUGCACUCAUCUCACAAGUGUAUAGAUGGGGGACUGUGUGUAGGAUAUGGCUUGUCUUUCAUCAUUCUGACGUGCCUUACCCAGCACGCUCAAUUAAUCUUGUAUUAUUCACUUAGCUGUCUAUUCUAAUAAUUCUCAGUGGAAUCAGUGAUUUAGACAGACAAAAUCAUCAUGCAUAAUUCAUCUGGAAACGACAUGCAACAUUUUGAAUAUGAUGGAGUUUGAACUCUUCAAAACAAGUGAAUGGUUUUGACUCGCAAAAGACCCUAUUGACAACUUUAGGGGCUAACAUAAUAGUGUUUCCAAAUAUGUUAGAUUUUGAACAUCAAAAGGGUUAUUUGCAAAUGGACGUCGAUGGUUGUCCCUAUUGAUUAGGAAUAUGACACAUGAAUGAUCAGUCGGGGUUGGGAAUCUGAUCGGGCAUCUCUGCUUUUGCCCCUGCAGAAGAGAAGAUGUACAAGUAGAUUAAUUAGUCUGGCCAAAAUCAAAUGUGAGUUGAGGCCUGAAGGAUCUCUGUCAUUUGCUUUGGCAAUACUUGAGACGCCAUUUUGCUUGGGAGAGUUUGUCAUGCCUCUCAUUGAUUUGUGAUUUUUGUUUUUGACAGUCAGUUAAUCCUGCAACAAACAAGACAUGCUUCUCAUUGAUUCGUUAUCCUUGCUUUUGACAGUCAGGUGAUCCUGCAACAAACAAGAGGGAAUGUGUUAGUCAUGAACUCUUUCAAGAGUCAAAUAACUGGAAUCGAUACAACUUUACCCUUCACUGGUUUGCAGAUGAUUGGGUGAACCUGAAGUGAGAGGGGGACAUGAAGUCCUAUGUCCCUUGCUUCAUUAGGUCAAUUAUUCUCUGAAUUAGCUCCUGGAUGACAUGUCUUUUUACACGAAGCCAGGUGAAUUUGAUGUGGGUCAUUUCCACGUACUAGCUUGGCCAAUAUUGAUUUGCCUAACCAUUGAGUUUGGUUCUUGAGUUGUGAUGCUCCCUGCCAAUAGGGGGAAUAUGUCAAAAAUGAAUUUAAAGAAGGGGGAGUAUUGGAAACGAUACCAAAUUACUCUUCUCCAAAGUCUUGAUAUUUGAAUGUCGAUGACAGCCUUUUCGUCUUGGCAUAGUUUGACAUUUCUUUCAAUUGGCCUUCCUCACUUGUGACCAUGUAUGCGUGAUUGUUGGUCGUUGAUUCAUCUUCAACGCCUUCCUUAUAUGGAAUUUCUCUUUCUGUCUUUAACUAUAGCAUCAUUGGGCAAAAGUCAUGUACCUCAAGCUUUUAUGGAAUCUGAGAUCAAAAGUCUCAAGCUUUCUGAUGGCAAUUACUCCUCGGAAGAAUACGCGUUUGGAGUGAAGUUUCUAGAUUCCAAGAUCAUUGUCCAGGGUGUGGGGCUAUAGAUUGCUUUGACUGUCUAGAUUCUCUCCCUGUUGACAGUAAUCACUUUAAAGGAAGAUAAGCAAAUCCUUCUUUGUGCUUCUUGGCUUGUUGGAGCUGGAAGUCCUGUCAAUGAACUCGGGACAUCCUGCCUCGAGUUAUCAUGCUAUGCAUGCUUCAAGUUUGAUAAUAUGCAUGUGCCUAUUACAUCCCAUCCUUCGUUUCCUGUAGAUGGAAGAGAGAGGAUGUUAUUUUCGACAUUAUGUUCAGGGAAUAGGACUUACCAUUUUGAAACGUGAUGAUCAUUUAUGUUUGCCCUCGCUUUCUUGGAAGGGUGUCUUUGAAUUUGGUGGGUUCACCUGAUGUGCUUGCUUCAAAUGCCCGCUGUCACACUAAGUUAAAGGGGACGGGAAUGAUCUUCUGAGACAUAAAGUGAGUGAGUCAGAAAGACAGACAUGAUUAAAUUUAUCAUCUUUUUUGAAAGAUUUUGGUGAUGAAGUGUUUUCUAUUUUCAAAAUAUGUAUUCAGGGGAGAAAAAAGCAUGAGGAAGCCCAGCCCUCAGUAUUCUCCUUGGAUAUAUUUUUUCAUGGUUGGAUAGCAUCACCGGGCAGGUUUGGAGUACCGCCUCAUGCUCUUAAACAAAAUAUUAGAAUUGUACAUUAGAGUACUUGAAUGGAAAAUACAACAAUAGCACACUAUACAAGAUGAGAAACAUGAAAUUAUAAAAACAAGUAAAACUCAUGAAAACCCCUGUGUAAAGGAGCGCUUUGAUAGUGCUGAUCUUGAAGCUAAGCGUCUUUGAAUUCCUCGCCUUCAGUAGACUCGAAGUAUUCGCAUGCGAUGACUACCUCGUUGAAGUUACGGAAGUGUAACCCAUGCAGCCAACAGCGAUGCUUGCAGGACAAAACUUCUAUGAACUGCUUCAUUAACUCCUCUUCAGCCAGUUGAGGGUGGGUUUGCAUCAUGAAAGCCCUCCACCUCCUUGCGUAUGCUCGGAAAUCUUCCAUUGGUUUUCUUGUGAAGUGAGCCAAGCUCUCACAAGGCAGUUCAGUUCCGAUCUGGCUUUGGUACUGAUGCAAGAAUGUGGAAGUCAGCUCAUUCCAAUCCUUUAGAAGAUAAAUGUUUGCUGUGAUAAACCAUUGCAGUGCAGACCCCGUAAGAGUUUCUUGGAAUGCCUGAGUUGUGAACGACAUCGGGCCAUAGUACCGACUCAUUUCGGCAUGGAGAUACUGCAAGUGGGCCAUGGGACAGGCUGUGCCGUUAUAUUUGCGGAGAUUUGGUAUCCACAUUUCUAUGGGGCUCAUGAUCCUACGAGGGCAAGACGGGCUUGAUGUAUCUUGGUUAGGCCACUGGUUUUCCCACUGCAUAUCUGUGGUGGUGGUGAAUUUUUCUGUUUCAGGGAAGCUGGACUCUAUCGAGAUUACCCCAUUGCUUUCUUCCGGGUCAAAGUUACCGAAGAAGGAUGAGGGAUUUAAGCUAUCCUCAUGGUCAGGUGACGAGCUUAGUACUUCGUUAGGAUCGUAGCGGAUAAAGACGUAUGCUUCUUCUUCUAACGGGCCUUCAUCCCCGGAUGAGAGUAGGAAACAGUUAUACGAUGAAUCGUCAGUUGCAUUGUCGAAAUAACGCUGGAAGUCUUUAGGAUUGUAUUCUAGGGCCGGGAAGUCUUCAAAGCUGUAUUCUUGGGAAUGCUCGAAGCUUUGGUGCGGUGGCUCAUCGAUAGAUGCUACAUUGAUUUGCUUAGGCUUUCUUUUCUUGGCUUCUGGUCCAGACCUUUUGAGUAAGGCUCUUCGUUUUGCCAGCUCGAUUCUGUCAAAGGAAGUGAGAGACAUUGGAGUUUCACUAUCUGAUUCACUUCCCAGGUUGAUAGGGGUUGGUAUUCUUUGGACCCUAGCUCUUGGAGUAAGCUUGGGGAGUUGUCCAGUCGUGCCCCGAUCUUGAACAGGCUCUGUGUCUUUGAUCUCGUACAAAGGCUCCUUGCCUUUCAUAGUGGGAAAUUUUCCAGUAACAGGGUGUUGUUCAGUUGCCCAUUUAUCAUGCAAGGCUUUAUUGACAUGCUCUUCUCCUAUCUCAGCGACUAACGGUUCCUCGUGCUCCGCGAUCAUCGGCUCUUCGUAGGGUAGGGUGAUGUCAAGAUUAUACUCUUGGUGAAAAACAUGAAUUAGUUCCCUCCAGGUUUUAAGGGGAUUAAUCUUCUUGAUAAUGUACCACCGCAAGGCAGGGCCAGUCAAGCUCGAUUGGUACGAUUGAAUCAUCCUUCGGACCAAGUAGGCCUGUAGGUAGGUCUCUGGGCGGGAGGUAUCAGCAUACCUUUCGCAUUCAGGUGCUUUGAGUUUUUCAGGGAUCUCAAUGCCGGCGUAAUUGGAUAGGUCCAUGGGAUUCUGCUCCUGUAGCUGGCUUAACUUUUUCAUAAUCCUUUCAAACUGUCUAUGGUACUGGCUAUUUUCUGGCAAAUUUGCAGGUGUCAUGACGGUGUUUGAGGCAACUAUGGAGUUGGGCUCAGCUUGAGUGGAUUUCAUUUGUCUUGAGAGUUGUUGAAGGACAAUUGACAUCUGUCCUACGUCGUCUUCAAUGUUAAUAAGGCGAUUUUGUGCAUCAUUCUGAUCGGGCCCUAAUGCAUGAGGCCAGUCGUGAGCUAUUGGUGGCCGGCGAUUCAUAAUUACCUGCUCGUUGCGAAAACAAUGAAUGAGCACGAAAGUAAACAAAGAUUGACCCAUGGCAAUGGUCUAAUUGCUUUUUCAUUUAUCAAAAGAUGAUUUAUAGACUGCCAACUCCUAACAUCUAGGACUUGAAAUUGAAAAGACAGGAGGAAAUACUAGAUAUUAAACAAGAGUCCCUAAACAAUGGGACAUAACUUUCACACUAUUUACACUAAGGGGCACAUGAUUGCCAAUUUAUAUGCGACGGGGAGCCUUGUUCUUGCGAGAACACCUGCUUCCUUGAACUGGCUCUGAGGUGUGCAUCCAGUCCAUUCCCGAAUCCCUCUCCAUGAGCUCUGCUUGCUCGUGUUGGCUGCUCUCGCUGAUCAAGUGAGGGACUAAUGGCUUCCAUCUUGUCGGGAUGCGAUGGUUGUGGAUGUAGGACAUGGAGGCGUGGUGGGCUUUUUCUUCUCCCUCAAGCCCUUCAGGUACCACGAUCCUUUUACGAUGGCACUUGUUCCAUGCUUCUUCAUAAAUGUCAACCAUGUAUUCAAAAUUUCGAUGAGUGAAGAGAAGUGGAGGGGUCCUCUUCUUGAAAGAUGGCGGGAUCUCCUGAAGGGCUCCAUACUGUCGUGCCACCCGUUGUGGGAAAUAGGAAAAAGCACCGGUGAGGCCGAGCAGCGGAAUUGGAUGGCGGCGCUUGAAAGCAAAGUGAGCUCUCUUUUCAUAGAACCAACCAGCACGCCAUUGGAAUGCCUCAGGAGCCGGGUCUCUUAGGAAAUUUAUCCAAUUUAAACAGCUUUGAUUGGGAAUGUAUGGUCCUAAAACCAUAAAUUUUUGUAAUGGAUUUUCGAAGUCAUUCAUUCCAGAUGAUCGCAUGAAGCCCUGGAAUUCGCUUAGGUGAGAAAAGAACCAGACUUGUAAAAUUUCAGGAGAGGCUCGCAUGAUUUUCUCCGUGUUGUCUUUAAAACGAUUAAAGGACAAGAAUGUUUCAGUUAAAAUCAUAUUGACAUAAUUUUGCCCUCUCAAGAUUUGAUCAACUAUCCAUGCCAUCUUAGGACUUAUGACAUUUCUUUGAUGGGGGAAAAUGAUGAACCCAAAAAAGCCCAGGAGGAAAAUCUCACUUUUUUGGGUCAUAGGCUGAUUUUGAAAACAGGCGUUCAUGAAUUCUAGUGGGCAGGUAUUGUUGUUGCCUUCAAGAAUUUGUCUCAUGACAUGGAUUUCAGUUCCUAAAAGUCGCGCUAACCCCUGCCACGGGAGGAAGCCUGUCGAUGGCUUAACAAGCUUUUUCUCGAGAGGCAUUCCAGUGAUGAUGCUGUAUUCUUCCAGAGUUGGGGUUAGCUCAAACCCACCAAACAUAAAAGUAGUCGUUUUCAAGCACCAGAAAUGUGCCAUGGCCUGUAUGACUUUGGGACGAACAGUGAUUUGAAUCAACGAUAGGAGAUGACCGAUUUUGGCCUUCACGCGCUCUUGGGCAAGCUGGUCCAAUUGACCCCACCAUCUGAAGAGUUCCGCCUUAGGAGCACGAAUAAACUGGAUAUCGUCUUUCCCCAUUGCAUAUAAACUGAGACUUGAAAAGCUUAUCCUAAAUUGCCAUGGGCCAAAUAAAAAGACUGAGUAACAGUAAAGAAAUCACUUUGCUUUUUAAAAAAAUUGCAAGCACCAAGACAUACAGAUGGGAUGUGCGGCUCGAUUUCUAACUCAGAAGGAUUGGUGAGAUUAAAAGGAUAUCCGCCCGUCGCAGUCUCGCGUUAGCAGCAUACCCUCUUAACCACGUCUAAGAAAUUCGAGGAAAAGAAAGGCGACCUCUACAUCGCAGUCUCGCGUUCGAGGUCGUAUCUUUCUUAACACCAUCCUAGAAAUCCUAUGGCGGCCCAGGUCCGGCGGCCGGGUUGUGUGUGCCAUGUGUAGUGUUUAAAACAGUAAAGCAUGCACAACAGUUUAUGAUCACAAAACAUUUUAUUUUAACAGAAUAAAAAAACUUUAAGCUAUUAUCCUGCACAAAAGAAAAAGACCCAAGUUAGCAAAGUAUUUAAACAAAGAUAAAAAUGGCCUAAGUCCUCAAAGUCCCAAGCGGAGUCGCCAAGCUGUCGCGACCCCUUUUUUUCUGGCGCCCACAAUCGGGUACGAGCGCCUAAGGAGGCUAAUGGCUCGGCUGAAUUUAUUAAGCCUGGACUCUCCCAAGUCCACCAAUUCACGACUUUAAUAAUUUGAGUUUUUAACCCAUAAAUCAAUUUUUAAAAUGGAGUCGCCACUAAUCGAUUUGAGGUGGGUUGAUUAGAAACCCAAGUGAAGUAUCGGGAGAAAUACUCACUCCUGCGCAACCAGAGAAAUUAGGAUCGGGGACUUGAUUACACUAGUUAAUCACUAAUGCCCUUUCGGUACCUAAUCUUGUUUAAACCCUAAGGCUUUUUGGAUUUUUGAGAGAUUUUCCAUGCAUUUUUGGGAGGAAAAACAUUUUUUGAGUAUUUUUCUCAUUUUUUGGACAUAAAAGGGAUUUUUGGUAUUUUUUGGAAAAUAUGGAAUAUUUUUGAUUUUUUUGAUUUUUUUGAUUUUUUUUCUUUUCUCGGAAAAUAAAAUAUUUUUAAAUAUUUUUUCAAAAUAUUUUUGGAAAAUAAAUUAUUUUUUGAUUUUUCUCGAUUUUUUAGAAAAUAAAACAUUUUUCGACAUUUUUAAAUAUUUUUCGAUUUUUUGGAAAUUAAAACAUUUUUUUUAUUUUUUAUUUAUUAAAAUAUUAUUUUUAUAUUAAAAUAACAAAAUAAAACCGACCCGGGUCGGAUCCGCGGGUUGGGUCCGACCCGGGUCGGCGACCCAAAUGCGGACGGGCCCGCGUUGCGGGCUCGACUCGGAUUUUUCAUCUUUUCUUUUUUCUUUUUUUCUUUUUUUUUAAAAACGACGCCGUGGCCGGGCGUUUGGGGACGCCCGGCCCAGCCCGACGACCCGGGUCCACGACCCGGCUCCCUGCGAACCCUACCCGACCCGGAUCCGAAUUCACGACCCGGCUUCCGCCGCCCCGAAAUCUCGCGGAACCCUACCCGGUUCCGAGACCCGGAUCCGAUUCGACAACCCGGAAAUCGCAAACCCUAGGGUUUGCGAUUCCGCGGCGCCGAAGAGGGGGAACCGAGGUGUUUGGCUGCGACGGCAACUAUGGCGGCGACGUCGAAGGUGACAACGGCGGCGGCAACCACAGCGGCCACGACGGCGGUGACAAUGUCGACGGCGACGACGGCUAGGUCAACGGAAAACGGCUGCGAUGAACAAUAACGCCCCCCUUUUUACCUUCUCUCGGAUGGGGACGGCGACAGCAGGAGAGCGGUUCGCGAUGGUGGAGGUGACGACGGUAGCAACUCAGCUUCUCGAUCUGGCGCGGCUUCGGCGGAUCGAUCACGGUAAUGGCUCCGCGAGGUGAGGCACGACAACAAGCCGUCGAAGCAACGGCGUCGGGACUGAGGUGAACGGUUGCGGCACGGCGUUCGGCGGCAACAACAGCAGCAAAAAAAACCAGAUCUACUGCGUAGAUCUCGGCCGGACCCUCCUCGGCCUUGAUUCCUCCUCACUUAGGCCAGAUCCGAGCCUCCACAGGCCGGAUCUGACCUUCUCGAAGUCACUCGCCGCCUGCCUUCCCCGAAGUCUCUCGGUGGAAGGUGGGCUAAGCUCGCGACCCGAGCUCUCUCCUGCGCUCGCCCUUCAACCCUUCCCGAUGUCUCUCAGUGAAGGAUUUCCGAGCUCGCCACACCCUCCGACGAUGCUUGCGACCCACCUAUUUAUAGGCGAAGGAACUCCGGUCGAUGGAGGGGCUCGGUCGCCGGCCUCCGGCUUGCCCACCGGUUCCGCUCGGCCGAACCGGUGUCCCAUCGAGCUUUCCAGCGAAGCUCGCUCAGCAUUGAUGGCGCCUGCGAUCUUAUCCCCUCCGGCCGACGUCGCCCUACACUCCUCGGCCGUAGGCCGUCCUUGGCGCGCGUCGCCAGCCAUCGCGCGUGAGAUGCAAGCGACUGAGGAAGAAGAAGACAGGAGGAAGAAGAAGAGAGAAAAGGGGCCGGGCCAAGGGUGAAGGAAAAUGGGCCACAUGGGCCACGCGGAGGGGGAAGAGAAAGGGAAAAGAAAAAAAGGGCUGGGCUUUUGUUGUUUUUUUUUUGUUUGUUUAUUAAUUAUCUUAUUUAUCGGAAAUAAAAUAAAAAAUUAAUUAAAUAAAAUUAACCUAAGUAAAAUUGAGGUGUCAACAUAUGCAAGCCACAAAUUUGAUCCUCGAUCUCUCCCCUGUAUCUUCUUGGGUUAUAGUAAUCAGCACAAAUGAUAUCGAUGUCUGGUAUCAACUAAUAAUCGUGUAUACAUCAGUAGACAUGUUGUCUUUGAUGAACAUUCUUAUCCUUUUAUAAAGAAGUUGGUCAAUGAGUAUGGACAGUAUACAAAUCUAUACAAACAAUGGAUUGAAGGAAUACAUUUCCUUGAACCUUCAAGAACCGAGUUAACAGACAAUGGUUCUUUGCAUCAGUCAGCCAAAACCCAGAUCCAUCCUGAUCUAGAUGAUUGCUAUAAUCAUCACCUAUGUCAUAGACAACAAUCUCAGACCAUUUCCUCGAGAACUAUGUAGAAUGAGAGAACAACAGAUGAACAACCUGUCAUGGCUUCAAUAGAUACUAUGCCUACAGAUCUAUCUACCUCUCAGGGACAACAUAUUACCAGCUCUUCAUCUUCACACAAUGAUCUACCAGCUGAAAGUAGUUCUGGUGAAAGGUACUACAAUUCCAAUUCCAUUAUGUCUUCUUCUCAAGGUACUCUUAAUAAUCAUCAUAUGCAAACUCGACUAAAGUCUGGGAUUAGAAAACCAAAUCCAAAGUAUGCUUGUUUAGCUGAGUAUCAAGUUCCUAUGGAACCACGGUCUAUCAAAUCAGCCUUAACUAAUGAAGCCUGGUACAGGGCUAUGAAAGAAGAAAUGGAUGCUCUUGAUGAAAACCAAACCUGGACAUUGAUUCCUAGAACUGACCAGAUGAAUGUGAUAGGCUGUAAGUGGGUAUAUAAGACCAAACUCACACCAGAUGGGGGUUUUGACAGACUCAAAGCUCGUCUAGUCGCCAAAGGCUUUCAUCAAGAAGCAGGACUUGACUUCACUGAGACUUUUAGUCCAGUCGUGAAACACACAACAAUUCGAAUAGUGCUAUCUCUAGCCAUGAUAAAGCAAUGGCAAAUACAUCAGCUUGAUGUUAAGAAUGCUUUUCUUCAUGGAGAUUUGAACGAGACUGUAUACAUGGAACAGCCACCUGGCUUUAUCCAUCCUCAGAAGCCAAGUUAUGUCUGUCUGCUUCAAAAGUCCCUAUAUGGUCUUCGACAAGCACCAAGAGCUUGGUUCGAUAAAUUCAGCAAGUUUUUACUUGAAAGUGGCUUCUUCUGCAGCACAUCAGAUCCAUCCUUGUUUGUUCUUCAUACAGACUCCCAUACAGUCUUAUUGCUACUAUAUGUUGAUGAUAUCAUCUUGACUGGCAGUUCACCACAUCUCUUAACUACCCUUAUUCAGAAACUAGUCUUCACUUUCAUAUGAAGGACCUUGGAUAUCUUCACUAUUUUUUGGGCAUUGAAGCCAAACGAACUUCAUAGAAACUCUUUUUGUGCCAAACAAAAUAUGCCACUGACUUGCUGAAACGAGCUCAUAUGGCAGAUUGUAAACCAAUCUCAACACCCUUGCCACUUCGAUCAAUUUCCAUGGCUGACACUGCAAAUCAACUCACAGACCCUGUGGAGUACAGAAGCUUGGUUGGUGCUCUUCAAUACUUAACCAUUACUCGACCAGACCUGGCGUUUGCUACUAACCUUCUCUGUCAAAAGAUGCAACAUCCUACCGUAGGAGACUUUCAUCAGUUAAAAAGAGUACUUCGAUAUGUCAAAGGUACCAUACAUCUUGGGUUCUAUCUUCAUUCUCAAAGUUCAGUAAACCUCUAUGGUUUCUCAGAUGCUGAUUGGGCUGGUUGUCCAACUACACGACGUUCCACAACGGGGUUUUGCACAUUUCUUGGAUCUAAUCUACUUUCUUGGUCUGCCAAGAAACAACCUACUGUUUCCAGAUCCUCAACAGAAGCAGAAUAUCGUGCACUUGCUUCGACAAUUGCUGAACUCACCUGGAUAACUUUUGUGUUACGAGAUAUUGGCAUCUCUCUUCAAUCACCUACAUUAAUAUACUGUGACAACAGAUCAGCAAUUUCUCUUACAGCCAAUCCAAUAUUACAUGCUCGAACCAAGCACAUUGAAGUUGACUUUCACUUCGUCCGUGAGAAAGUUUCUUCUGGAUCUAUUCGUGUUCAGUAUAUCUCUACUCAUCUUCAAUUAGCUGAUAUCUUUACUAAGUCACUCUCACGAUUAUCUAAUCUUACUCUCCGAACCAAAUUGGGAAUGUGGUCGUUCACCCUUCCCAAUUUGAGGGGGGAUGUUAGAGGAUCAAGACCUCCAUCCUACUCUGCUACAUCAAGAGUCAGCCACAAGGGAUCCUCAACUCUGGUAGAUGUAGAUCACUAGAAGACUAUGGAUAACCAGUCUUAUCAACGGUGGAGAUUUUACAAUGCCGAAGACGUGGAUUGCCAAGUCUCAGGAUUUGUCAAGACUGCUAUUCUGUUAUAAAUAGCUGUAAAAGUUUGUUAGUUUGUGUCGGUUAGUUCGUUUAGUCUGUUAUUAGUUUUCCAGCUUCUCUCUGUAUAUAAAGAUAGAAUUGAGCUCAGGAAAAGGUGUGAAGAAGAGAGGAGAGGGAAGAACAGGAGAUUCAAUAUUGAUCUGUUGUAUUUGAUUUCUCUUUGUUCAAAACUUGGAUACAAUGAAAUAAGAAUCGAAUACUUCUUGUUCAGAUCCUUCUGCAACUCUACCGAGUUUAUUCUCUAUCAUCAUCAUCAUUCCUCAUCUUCAUCUUCUGCGUUCUUGGAUUCUCAAUUUCUCACCGUAAACUGUACAGUCUCUUCUACUGGGAGGAGAAAGAAAUUCUCAGCAUUAUCUCCCGCUUGCUUAAAAUUUAUUCUCAUGUUUUUUUACAUUGAAUCGCUUGACCAUUGAGAUUAAUUUGAUUUAUUUUCUAUUGAUUGCGUCUUUGAUGAAUCCAAGUAACAAUCCAAGGUAAGUUUCGAUUGUUUGCAAUGUGAAUUUGGUGGCUGGGGAGGUUCCGCUGUGAAACGUUGGCCUCAGUCGCUCUGAAUGAAAGAAUACGUUUUCUUGAAUUGUUAUCUUGAUAAGGAAGAGAGUGACACAGGCUACGGUUUGUUGUGAAAAAGAAACAAGCAACAAUUGCUGAAUUUCUAUUCUGCAGGAAAUGGAAGCGAAUUAGAAUAACUAAUGUGCUUUUGGAUGCUGAUUGCCGGAUUAUCUUGUGAACAUAUGGUAUCUUUAUUUCUCUUUCGAAUGUUUGGUAUUUGCUCCGCUCUCUUACUGGUAACCGGUGCCGCGAACUUCUUGGUUGAUUAAUUCCUCUUUCUGCAAAUGACUUUGGCCCCAGUUACAGUCCACUUUCAGUAUACGAGUCAUCAUUGUAAUUUGAGUACCGGGUGAUGUGAUACAGUCUUGAAAAUUUCAAAUACUAAAUUCCAUCAGCCUCAGUUUUUUUUUUUUUUAAAAUCAGAAUUUCAUGUUUGAAAGAAUGGUUUGUAUGAAUGAUCUUUGCACUGGAUUAACUCAAAUGAUAUUUCAUCAUAGAUAUUUAGAACAGAGUAUUUCUUUAGUUGGCUACUUUGCGACCUUUGUUGCUGAUAAAGUAGAUUGACUUGCUAGAAGGAAUUAGUGCUUUGUAAGUGCAGCCAAUUUUUUUGUUAAUUUCGUUGCUGGGUAUUAAUUAGUUCAUGGAAUGAUGCUCAUCAGAUUUGGUAGAUUCAAACAAUGGUAAAUAGCCCAUGCAACAUCAGGAAAAUAUGAAAAAUCAUUUCUUAUUUGUUGAGAAUCAUCAUCAUUCUUUCUCUCAGCAGUGAGAGAUACUGCAAAUAUCGUAGAGUACGAAUUGAAUGAAGAGGUAUCGUAACUUUGGACUUGUCUGUCAAUCUUGCUUAUCUCAUCAAUGGCCAAUGUUAUGCUGAUGUUUGAAUGAAUCCAAGCACUUAUCUUUAGUAGGCUUUGGAAUUUUCACAAUCUAUGGAUCCAACGAGUCUUAACAAUUGAUGUGUCGGGGAAUUUCUUACCUAUACCAAGUCCACUGGGCGGAGUCUAUGUCAGUGGUUGAUCAUCUAAGCCCCAUAUGCAACAUUCAUGUGAGACUCACUUGAACAACUAUUGAAAUGGACCCAAUCUAAGCGAGUGCAAGCACCACCUUGCGGAAGCUAUGCUUUGGCUGAUGGCAUAAGACGUGAAAAUUCUUUAAUCUCAGCCUUCUUUGUGCUCUUGCACUUUGGAUUUAGGUUGUGCCCUGGACAUACUUUUAGUUAUGUUAAUGGGGGAUUAGUACUUAAGGAGAUAUGGAAAUACUCUCCCGAAUUCGAUGCUUCCAAAGGUCAAAGUAGUUCAACCUGGGCAACUAGAAAAGAGUAACAACGAGGUCAAAAUGUUAUGGAGCAUUACCCCAUUGGUCAUUUUCAUCUCAACCUUUUCAAAUGUGGAGACAACUCCCUUGUUCAGGUGAUAAUACUCAAUAAAGGUGCUUCUGAGAUAGAUUAUUCCUCAGGAUCACUGCCUCGGACGACCUCUUCCUCUGAUCCGUUUGUCCUUCGUGCAUUACUAAAAUAAACAUUAUAAUCUUCCUUUUCGUUCUUAGCCUCAUGAAGAGAGACUUCAGGCAUUUUUAUGUGAUUUUUGUUGUCAAAUUUACUGCUGGCAUGUCUAUAUGUGUGCCAUAAGCGCUUUGUAUGAUCAUCACAGGAAGUGCUCACCAUGAAGUGUUCAUAUUAACAAUCUGAAUCACAAAUCAACAUUCACUGCAAUGCGUGUUUGUCUGUUAGAUGGUCGAUACUUGUUUAGUUCUUCCCGUCAAAAGUCUUGCAAAGAUGAUUCCGUCUUCAUCUAUGUUACUUUGAGAUCGCUGUGUAGGUUGCUCUCUUUGGCGGUUUCUGGAUUAAUGUUUUAUAAAUUGUACAAUCUGUGCCACUGGGAGGUGAAAAAAAUCCUCAGCAUUAUCUCCCGCACGCUUAAAAUUUAUUCUCAUGUUAUCUACAUUGGAUCAUCUGACCAUUGAGAUUAAUAUGAUUUCUUUUGUGUUUGAUGAAUCCAAGUAACAAUCCAAGGUAAGUUUCGAUUGUCUGGAAUGUGAAUUUGGUGGCUGGGCAGGUUCCUCUGUGAAACGUUGGCCUCAGUUGUUCUGAAUGAGGGUAUGAUUGCUUGAAUUGUUAGCUUAAUAAGGAAGAGAGUGAUGCAGGCUACAGUUUGUAGUGUAAAAGACACAAGCAACAAUUGCUGAAUUUCUAUUCUGCAGGAAAUGGAAGCGAAUUAGCAUAACAAAUGUGCUUUUGAGCAAUGAUGUUGAUUUCUGGAUUACCUUUGUGAACAUGUGGUAUCUUUAUUUCUCUUUUGAACAUUUGGUAUUUUCUCUGCUCUCUUUCUGGUAAACAGUAGUGCGGACUUCUUGGUUGGUUAAUCCUUCUUUCUGCAAUUGACUUUGGCCCCUGUUAUGGUAUGCUUUCAGUAUACGAGUCACAUUGUAAUUUGUGUACCUGGUGAUGUGAUACGAUCUUGUUGAUGCAUUUCUCAAUAUGUUUCCCAAACUUUGCUUGUUGUAAAAAAAUUCAAAUAUUAAAUUCCAUGAGCCUCAAUUUUUUUCCCUUUUUUUGUUGAUCAAAAUUCUGUGUUUGUAUGAGCUUGAUCUUUGCCCUGGAUUAACUCGAAUGAUAUUUCAUCAUAGAUAUUUAGGACGGAGUAUUUCCUUAGUUGGCUACUUUGUGGCAUUUGCUGCUGAAAGUACAUUGACUUGCUAGAAGGAAUUAAUGUUCUGUAAGUGCAGCCAAUUUUUUGUUAAUUUUGCUGCUGGGUAUGAUGAUGUUCACGGAAUGAAUGCUCAUCGAAUCGGUAGACUCAAACAAUGGUAAAUAAAUAGUCCAAGCAACAUCAGGAAAAGAUAAAAAAGCAUUUCUCAUUUGUUGAGCCAUCAUCAUUCUUUCUCUCGGUAGCGAGAGAUGCUGCAAAUAUCGUAGAGUAAGAAUUGAAUGAAGCGGAGUCGUAAUUUUGGACUUGCAUGUCAAUCUUGGCUUAUCUCAUCAAUAGCCAAUGUCAUGCCAAUAUUUGAAUGAAUUCAAGCACUUAUUUUAAGUAGGCUUUGGGAUUUUCUUACCUAUACUGGGUCCAUUGGGCGGAGUCUAUGUCAGUGGUUGAUUGUCUAAACCCCAUAUGCAACAUUAAUGUGAGAUUCACAUGAACAACUAUAGGAAUGGAACCAAUCUACACGUGCACAGACACCACCUUGAGGAAGCUAUUCUUUGGCUAACGGCAUAAAAUGUAUAAAUUCUCAAAUCUCUGCCAUCUUUACGCUUUUGCAAUUUGGAUUUAGCUUGCGAUUAAUAAGGGCCCUAGACUUACCUUAAGUUGUGUUGUUAAUGGGGCAUUACGAAAGGUCAUAAGUAGUUCAACCUGGGAAACUUGAAAAGAGUAACGACGAGGUCGGAAUGUUAUGGAACAUUAGUCCAUUGGUCAUUUUCAUCUCAACCUUUUUAAAUGUGGAGACAACUCCAUUUUUCAGAUGUUAAUACUCGAUAAAAGUGCUUGUGAGAUAGAUUAUUCCUCGAGCAAUGGCCAAAUAUCAAACCCUGAGGAUCGAUUUUUCUAACAAGAAAGGGAUGAUGUUGUCAAGCUUGAAGAUUUAGAGGGUUUCCGGCAACGUCAAUCGCUUUUACCCUGUUCUGGCGAAUUUUCUGAUUGCCCAUCAGUCACUCAUCAUGAGAAUUUGAUGGCAAUGAAUGGUAGUCUUAUUAGUCACGUUUCUGCCUUUAUCAGUGCAUUUUCUUCGUUCUUUCCAAAUUCUUUAAUGCUUUUUGAUCAGCAUUUUGGAUGUUGAUAUAUACGGUAAUAUUCAGAAGUGCAGAUUGUAAUUAAUCGGUGUGGUGACUAGCUCUAAUGUGAAGGGGAUGUAAAAUUAUUUGAUCAAUUUUAUUUUUCUGGUUUUCCAUGGAAAUGCUAACUACCAAUGUAUGCUGAAUCAUUUCAUACUAAGUCAACGCUCAGUAAUUUCUGGAAAUGGAAUCACCAUAAUCUGAAACUUUACAGAGACAAAGUCUCAAUCGGCAAAGAAUUGGAACCCACCAAAGUUGCGAUCUUGAAAAUCAAUGACGGCAGAGCUUUACUUGAAGGUGAAAAAGUUGAAGCUAUUUUGAGAAUUCUUCGCAACGGAACGGGAGCUCUACUGGAUGGCUCUACUACGAAUGUUCCAGCAUUGUCGGCGUUUUAGACGGAAGCCACUCGCUUGCUCGAAGCAUUGAAACGUUUUCGGUCAAGGCGAGAAAGUGUGUUGGAGCUCGAGUCCGACUGCGAAGAGCUGGUCAACGUAGUGCUUAUGAAGACGGCUCUAAUAGAGAAAGCCCAGCUAUCUUUGGCCCAAUUGUACUUUCUCUCCCUGGCCCAUUGCCACCGGUCCACAAACAAAAUGGCUGAUUGGGCCGUGAAAACCAAACGUAUGAAUGCUCUCCCUCCCUCUUGAGUGGCCCAUCCCUCCAAUCUUUAUGGAAUUAUUUUACGUUUGGAUGCCCCUUUGUUGGGCUUUUGUUUUAAAGACCCCCGGGUUUUAAUUCACGCCAUGUCUUCAAAUUUGAAAGCUUGCCUCGUAUAUUAGUUUGUCUUAAGCUCGAAUUGGUCGACGGUCAAAACACAAGUUCAAAAUUACAUGGAAAGUAGAUGAUCAAGCAAGUCUUAAGAACUAGAAUCUGGAGAAAUUGGACAAAUUCCAACUGAGGUUGUUGACGCAAUUUGACUUGAAAAACUAGAAAACUGAAAUUGGACCAGCAAGUGAACGGAAAGAUUAAUUAAACUGGAUUUUCAUCCCUAUCCUCUUGGGAAAAAGACAAAUAAUUUGUGGUUGAAUCUUUUCAACUACUUCACACCUCGGCACCAAGUUGUCGAAUCGGUGUUUUUUUUAUAACUCAAUAUCUAUAUAAAUGAUUUUCGAUUGAAAUAGUCUCGUAAGCAAGAUCAUUUCUCCAAUCUAAUGAAGUAAAAUAACCUUCACUGCAAUCAUGAUGCCUCCUCUAAUAAAAAAAGAAUAUCCCAUUGAUGUCAAGAUGAAAGCAACAUAAUGACUAUAUAAAUAAAUAAGUUAGCCGACUCGUUUCAUUUAUAAUAUUCAAUUGUUUGUAAGUUAACAUUCUUGUCUUGGUUGAGGUGGCCAACAAUGGUCUUUUUUAUUUAUUUUUUUAAUUUAUACAUUGGCCAGUUUCGACUUGUAGCAAUGUGCUACCAAGUUUUCAGCUUCCUAAGGAAUCGAUUUGUGUUUAGGUGAGGCUUAACUAAGUCAGGUUACCGAGCUCCAUCGUCCAUGCCCAAGGAAGUCACUGGUAUUUUUAUUUGAUUAGUCUAUAACAUUUUUAAUCUUCUCACUAUUUCUUUUCAUACGCAAUAGUUGUGCUCUUUUUCUAGUACUGAGUAAACAAAUAACAAUUCAAAAUGUAAAUAAAAUUGCCAAAAGAAAAACCGAUAUAUGCAACGUCUAGGCCGUACCAUAGGUCUCUGGGUAGUCGCGUCUCAACUUUUGUGCCCAUUGAUCAUUAGAAGAAGUGGACUAAAAAUUCUUCAUCGUAGUUUACUAACAUGAAAAUUGAACAUGCACUUCCUUUUUAGUUAAAUUUCCUUAUUAGUCAAAAAUAAACUCUCAUGUGUCAUGUAAGCCACCAAAGGGCGCCUCAAUUAGCGAAGAUGAUUGAAUCAUUCCAAAGCAUGAGAGAAUAAUGUGACCUUAUCACUUGCCGCGUUAGAUAAUUAUGUUGUCGUCUCUUUUCCCUUUACCUAACCUAUAAAAAACGAAAGCAGUAAUCGAAUAUUCUUUACAUCUAUAUCACUUAUAUUCUCUUUAUGUAUAUAUGCACCGCAGUAGCAUUAAGAUAUAGCAAAUACUUGAUUGACUAUUUAAAAAUAUCGCAAUGGUGGGUUCACAUCCACAUCAAUCAUAUGCAAAUCAAUCACGAAAACAAGCAAAACUAACCAUUUAACAAGAGAUUAUCUUUUCUUAAGAAAUUUUGCCAAACGCGAUAUACAUUAAUUCUUUAAUAUUAAAAAAAAAUCAUAUUUACGUGGCAUCUCUAUUUUGCAAUUAUUGAACAAUAGUAAUGUGAUAGUAUUAUGUUAACAUUGAUAUUUUCGAAAUGACACAUAAUGCAAAUGAGACUAUUCUUUAGAAUAAGAAAUUAUGCUUAAUUAAUCCCAUGAUUGAUAAUGUUGGUUGGGGAGUUGGUUUCUAGCUUAGGAACCGGAGAUCUCCCAUUAGAAUCCCACAAAUGCACGAAAACUGUCUCAAUUAAUGACGCAUCUUCUCAGGGGGGAUUGGGGUGAGGACGAUUCAUUUCAGGAGUGGGUUUCGACUCCCACGGCCUGCAAGGAGGCUGGGCAAAAGUCUGAGAGUGAGUGUUAGAGUAGGAUUAGAGUAGGACCGACCAAAAAAAAAAUAAUAAUAAUGAAGGCAUCUCUAUCUUGCAAUUAUUGAACAAUAGUAAUAUGAUAAUGUUAUGUAAACAUUGACAUUUUCAAAAUGACACAUAAUGCAAAUGAGAUUAUUCUUUAGAAUAAGAAGUUAUGCUUAAUUAAUCUCAUGAUUGAUAAUGUUGGUUGGGGAGUUGGUUUCUAGCUUAGGAGCCAAAUAUCUCCCAUUAGAAUCCCACAAAUGCAUGGAAACUGUCUCAAUUAACGAAGGCAUCUCUAUCUUGCAAUUAUUGAACAAUUGUAAUAUGAUAAUGUUAUGUUAACGUUGAUAUUUUCAAAAUGACACAUAAUGCAAAUGAGAUUAUUCUUUAGAAUAAGAAGUUAUGCUUAAUUAAUCCCAGGAUUAAGAAUGUUGGUUGGGGAGUUGUUUUCUAGCUUAGGAACCGGAGAUCUCCCACUAGAAUCCCACAAAUGCACGCAAACUGUCUCAAUUAAUGAAGGCAUCUCUAUCUUGCAAUUAUUGAACAAUUGCAAUAUGAUAAUUUUAUAUUAACAUUGAUAUUUUCAAAAUGACACAUAAUGCAAAUGAGAUUAUUCUUUCGAAUAAAAAGUUAUGCUUAAUUAAUCCCAUGAUUGAUAAUGUUGGUUGGGGAGUUGGUUUCUAGCUUAGGAACCGGAGAUCUCCCACUAGAAUCCCACAAAUGCACGCAAACUGUCUCAAUUAACGAAUGCAUCUCUAUCUUGCAAUUAUUGAACAAUUGCAAUAUGAUAAUUUUAUGUUAACAUUGAUAUUUUCAAAAUGACACAUAAUGCAAAUGAGAUUAUUCUUUAGAAUAAGAAGUUAUGCUUAAUUAAUCCCAUGAUUGAUAAUGUUGGUUGGGGAGUUGGUUUCUAGGUUAGGAACCGGAGAUCUCCCAUUAGAAUCCCACAAAUGCACGAAAAUUGUCUCAAUUAACGAAGGCAUCUCUAUCUUGCAAUUAUUGAACAAUUGUAAUAUGAUAAUGUUAUGUUAACGUUGAUAUUUUCAAAAUGGCACAUAAUGCAAAUGAGAUUAUUCUUUAGAAUAAGAAGUUAUGAUUAAUUAAUCUCAUGAUUGAUAAUGUUGGUUGGGGAGUUGGUUUUUAGCUUAGGAACCGGAGAUCCCCCAUUAGAAUCCCACAAAUGCACGCAAACUGUCUCAAUUAACGAAGGCAUCUCUAUCUUGCAAUUAUUAAACAAUAGUAAUGUGAUAAUAUUAUGUUAACAUUGAUAUUUUCAAAAUGACACAUAAUGCAAAUGAGAUUAUUCUUUAGAAUAAGAAGUUAUGCUUAAUUGAUCCCAUGAUUGAUAAUGUUGGUUGGGGAGUUGAUUUCUAGCUUAGGAACCAGAGAUCCCCCAUUAGAAUCCCACAAAUGCAUGCAAACUGUCUCCAUUAACGAAGGCAUCUCUAUCUUGUAAUUAUUGAACAAUAGUAAAAUGAUAAUGUUAUGUUAACAUUGAUAUUUUCAAAAUGACACAUAAUGCAAAUGAGAUUAUUCUUUAGAAUAAUAAGUUAUGCUUAAUUGAUCCCAUGAUUGAUAAUGUUGGUUGGGGAGUUGGUUUUUAGCUUAGGAACCGGAGAUCCCCCAUUAGAAUCCCACAAAUGCACGCAAACUGUCUCAAUUAACGAAGGCAUCUCUAUCUUGCAAUUAUUGAACAAUAGUAAUGUGAUAAUAUUAUGUUAACAUUGAUAUUUUCAAAAUGACACAUAAUGCAAAUGAGAUUAUUCUUUAGAAUAAGAAGUUAUGCUUAAUUAAUCCCAUGAUUGAUAAUGUUGGUUGGGGAGUUGGUUUCUAGCUUAGGAACUAGAGAUCCCCCAUUAGAAUCCCACAAAUGCACGCAAACUAUCUCAAUUAACAAAGGCAUCUCUAUCUUGCAAUUAUUGAACAAUAGUAAUAUGAUAAUGUUAUGUUAACAUUGAUAUUUUCAAAAUGACACAUAAUGCAAAUGAGAUUUCUUUUUAGAAUAAGAAGUUAUGCUUAAUUAAUCCCACGAUUGAUAAUGUUAGUUGGGGAGUUGGUUUCUAGCUUAGGAACUGGAGAUCCCCAUUAGAAUCCCACAAAUGCACGCAAACUGUCUCAAUUAACGAAGGCAUCUCUAUCUUGCAAUUAUUGAACAAUAGUAAUAUGAUAAUGUUAUGUUAACAUUGAUAUUUUCAAAAUGACACAUAAUGCAAAUGAGAUUAUUCUUUAGAAUAAGAAGUUAUGCUUAAUUAAUUCCAUGAUUGAUAAUGUUGGUUGGGGAGUUGGUUUCUAGCUUAGGAAUCAGAGAUCCCCCAUUAGAAUCUCAAAAAUGCAUGCAAGCUAUCUCAAUUAACGAAGGCAUCUCUAUCUUGCAAUAAUUGAACAAUAGUAAUAUGAUAAUGUUAUGUUAACAUUGAUAUUUUCAAAAUGACACAUAAUGCAAAUGAGAUUAUUCUUUAGAAUAAAAAGUUAUGCUUAAUUAAUCACAUGAUUGAUAAUGUUGGUUGGGGAGUUGGUUUCUAGCUUAGGAACUGGAGAUCCUCCAUUAGAAUCCCACAAAUGCACGCAAACUGUCUCAAUUAAUGAAGAUUAUUGAAUCAUUCCAAAUCAUAAGAGACAGUAGGACCUUAUCACUUACUGCGUCAAAUAAUUUUGUCCUUGUCUCUUUGUGCUUCCCCUAACCUAUAAAAAAAAAAAAAACGAAACGAGUAAUCGAAUAUCCCCUAUAUCUAUGUCACUUAUAUUCUGUGUAUAUGCAUUGUACUAUCAUUAAGAUAUAGCAUAUAUGUGAUUGAUUCUAUUUAAAAUAUCACAGUGGGGGUUUCCAUCCACAUUAAUCAUAUGCAAAUCAAUCACCAAAAGAAGCAAAACCUACGAUUUUAUUGAGAUUAUCUUUUCUUAAAAAAUUCUGCAAAAUGUGACACACUCUUAAUCUUUAUAAUAAAAAAAAAAUUAUGUUUACGUGGCAUCGCUAUCUUGCAAUUACUGAACAAUGGUCAAAUGUGAAUAUAGUCAUUUUCAAAAUGAUGCAGAAUGCAAAUGACUAUUACUUUUUAAAAAAAAUUAUGUUUAAUUAAUCCUAGAAUUGAUAAUGGUGGUUGGGGAAUAGGGGAUUUCCAGCUAAAAAAAUUAAAAAUCCCCCGUUAGAAUCCCACGAAUGCAUGCAAAUUGCUCUGGAUUAGAGCCACCUACAUAGAUCGAAGGGUUGAGCUUAACCAAUUCACGAUACUUGUAAGAUAUUUCAUAAGCUUCUAGGUAGACGGGUGUCCAUGCCUAUGCUCCUAGAUAAUAUAUAUAUAUAACGCUUACUUUAGGAGAAUCCGCAUUUUAUACACUAAUUAUUUUAGUAUAUACUUAUUCCUCAUAAACUAGGUAGUUUUUAUGCAAAAGGUCCUUAUCAACUAAAUUACAAAGAGUACAUCCCCCAUGACUUUAAUUAGUAAUAACACUUUUAUUCAUCAGAAAUUAGUCAUAACAUUUUCAAAUACUCCUAAUAAAUAUACAUAUUUAGGACUAAUUUGACAUUCUAAUCUAAAAAUUAUGGUUGGUAAAAAAUUACAUAACCUCAAUAUUUCCUUCUGAACUGACUUUUUAUUUUUAUUUUUUUAACGGCCCUUCUCAUGUGCAAGCCAUAUCAGGAAUAGCAAGUGAAAUUUGACAACUGAGAGUGGACUCACACACGAAAGGGGCAAGUAGAACUUGACCAUAAUACCAUGUUAGAAAAUCCAAUCCAAAGAUAUAUAAAGAGCAUAUAAACUUCAUUAUCAUGCAAUGGGGGAUAUUUCAAUACAUGCCAACCAAGGAUAGAGCAGAGCCCCUCUAAUGCAUUUGUAGCUCCUAAUGAGCUUCACAAAUCAUGAUAUGCCGAAAUGCCUAUGAGUUGCUCUUUGCUUUUCUUCAAUAUGUUCCUUGAUGAAUCCACCUAGAAUAGUCUGCAAGCAUACAUGUGUGAACAGCCCAGAUGUGAAUUUGCUUAAGUGGAAUGAGAAAUCCAAGGAUAAAUUUGAAGACAAAGAGCAAGAAGGUAAUGAUAUGAGAUUAAAGAAAUCUAAUGAUAAAUUUAUUCUUUUGAAAGUGCUCAAGGAUGAAAGAAAUUGUUGGCUGACAUUGUCUCCUAAUACAUGUCAUUAGGAGACACUAUGUAGACGAAAGAAAACCUGCAAGAAGUGGACAUCAAAAGCUAUGACAUGGUAGUGCUAGCGUAGAGCCGCUCGUGGGGAUUAUUCAAGUGACUAUCUUUACUCCAUUUUUUUAUUUCCUGGCUCAUGUUACUCCAAUUAGGAUACCCCAUGGACACAUUUAAAAAAAAAAUACCAUGUCAUGAUUUCCCACACAAACCAAAUCAACUUGAAAAGCACAAUAUUGAGUCAUAACAAUUAAUGCGUUGGGGAACUCCUUGCCUGUAUCAGAUCCAUUGGGCAGAGGAAGGAUCCAGGUGGACCCUCCCUUAUUUCCAGGUGCGACAGCCUCCCCAUCACUUCGUUGGCCGGCAAGAUUGGCCGCGCUUGCCCCCGUUCAACAACCUGCAGACGCUGUAGCCCCAGAUCAAGCAGGUGGUCCAGCAGUAGCAUCCGAUCAAGGCUCCUUCCCAAAAAGAAUAAAAAUAAAUACUUUUAAUGUAAAGCUUGUGGUUAUAUAUGUUUCUGAUUUGUGAUAUCACGUCAUUAUAUCAUGACUGGAUUACCUGUGAGUUUCUUUUCAUUCAAUAAGUAAAGGUGUCGUGCCAGGGAAAUUGAAAAUAAAAUAAAAUUGAAGAGGCUCUUCUUUUUGGUGAGAAAACGCGAGAUGGUUCUCUACUGCCUUUGUUUCCUUUUAUUUUGGUCCUUGUUGGAUAGGUCUAAGGACAAUCUAGGAGUUCUAAUUUCAAUGGAAAGCUGUUCUUCUUAGCACAUUUUGCCGAGCCGUUCUCUUCUCAAGGUUUGUCAUAUUUUUGGCACUUUGAGUGAGAUUGAAUUAUUCACUUAGAAAGUUUAGGUGAUGGCAUCUCAUUUAGAAUGAGUACUGCAUUAUCAGUAGAUAGAUACAAGGGUCUAAGUUAGUCCAAGUAUAAUAUGUCAAGAAGAUUAACAUGAUCAAAAUUUGGUAUUUACUCCACAAAUCAAUAAUACGGCCAGCGAAUCAAUGUUUGUCCAUUAGCAGUCAAGGAAAGGAUGGAGAAUUAAUAAAUAUUUGUCCACCAGCCGUGGAGGAAAGGAUGGUUUACCAAAUCAAAGUUUGUCUAAUCACGAAUUGUCUAUGAGCAAUACCAGUUCGUCCAUUAGCAGUGGAGGAAAGGAUGGUUUGUCUAAUCACCGUUUGUCUAAUCACCAUUUGUCUCUGAGUGGUGCAUGAAAGAAUGGAUAUCUAAUCAAUGUUUGGUCAUAAGCAGUGGAGUAAAGGAUGGAGACAUAGACAUUGGUGAUGGUUACUGGUUAAGGAAUCAUCCAUCUCUAUAUGCGUAUUAGAUGGGGACUAGGACAUCAGGACUAGUACCUAACCAAUAUUUGCAUCACUCGAUUGUUUAUGUGUCCACAUUAUUGUCUUGAUUGAGGUAACCGAGAGUGGUAUUUUUUUUUUUGGCUGAUAACGGCUUGGCACAUUUUGCUACCGAGUUUUCAGCUACCCGAGGAACUGACUCGUGUUUAAAUUAAAAAUGGGUUUGUAAUGCAUAUUGAGACAAUUAUUACACAAGCGGUGAUUACAACAAGCUAAAAUUAAGUUUCAAGUCAUAAUCUCAUUUUGACGAUGACAGACUAUAUGAAGUACUUAUUACACAGGAGACGAUUCAAGUCAAAUCAUUUUGGUACUUUAGUAGCUAGUAAUCAUAUGAUUUUUACUUUCUCUUUAAGCCACUCGGUGUUAAAAAAUGCAAAGAAACCAAGCUAAGAGCUUGCAUACCAUGUAGAUAUUACUUGAUUGUUGAUAAGCUGCGGGUCGAAGGGUCUAAAGAUAAUUUCUCGAAUUGCUGGAAAAGCAAAUGCUGAAGCAAGUCUUAAUAAUUAUAAUCCAAGCCCUCUUGUAUGGAGAAAUUUGACAAAGUCAUUCGAGAAGAAUAUACGUGUAAAUGACACAGACUGUUAAUAUGGACCAUCAAAUUAUAAAUAAAUUCGCUGCUUCCAUAACUAAGGAAAAAAACCCAAAAGAUAAGGGGGUGGCUAGCUAUGAUUCUGAAAUUUCAUUGGAGAUCUAAUGACUAAUAAUUUUAAUAUUAAAUAGGAGGUACUGUUGUAUUUUGUUAUAUUAAUAAGAUAUUUGAACAAAGAAGAUUGCUUUACUUUGUCAAAUUGAACCGGUAGUUUGAUAAAACAUUAUUUGAGCUAUAGAAUCAAACCUCUCUAUUCUAUUCUUUUUCUUUUCUCCAUAUAUUUACAUUCCGAGCUUGAGCUAAUAAUCAAAAUGAGUUGAAUAUAAAUUUGGGGCAAACCUACAAAGACCCGCAUAAUAUAUUAAGUGACUCGAUAGAACUAGGCACAUUCUUACCUUAAAAAAAAAGUAGAACUAGAGCACCAUAAAUUUGAGUUGAUGACAUGCUGCUAACUUACAUGCCAUGUAUGAUAAUAAUAAUAAUUAAAAAAACAAACGUACAUAUCACGUGGGUGUGGCCUAUCCUUAUUUGUAUGUUCUCUUCUAAUAAUUACACUUUGUUCUUUUGAUGAUAACAAAUUGUAUAAAGUGCUUAUUACACGACGAAUAAUGUAACUCGAAUCAUUUUGGCAAUUUUAACAACUGAUAGUUAUUCAUUUUUCAUACUUAUAAACCACUUGAUGUGCAUGCAAUAAUUUUGGUUUGUUUAUAUUUCCAUUUUGUGGCCUUGAUUGAGGUGACUGGUCUUUUUUUUUUUUUUUAAUUUUAAUUUUUGGCCAAUGACGACUUUUGCUAUUAAGGAAGAAGAUUUCAUGGUUUACUUGGUAGUGGAACCAUGCUUUAAAUUUUAAAAAAUGCAAAGAAAUCCUACAAACAGCUCACCGUCGUUACUUUUGAUUGUUUAUAAUUUCACGUCGUGGUCCUGACGAAGGCGACUGGUCUUUUUCAACUUUAAUUUUUGGCUUAUGCCAACCUGCAAUUUACGGUAAAUGGAAUCAUAUGAAGAGAAAUAUCAUUGACGGCCACAUGCUCAUUCUCAUUAGGAGUCAAACCAUAGUUCGUUAAAUAUCUUAGAGUCCCAAGGCUACUCACUUCUCUUUUCCGACUACUCCACACCAUGCCAACAAGUCGUCAAAUUAGUGUUUGUUUACAACUCAAUUUCUGUACGAUCGAUUAACAGUUGAAAUAGUCUCAUAAGCAUCAUCGGUUCUCCAAUUUAAUGAAGUAACAUAACCUUCAUUCCAAUCAUUGCUCGAGUAUUUUCCAACUGCUCUACAUAAUGUCACCAAGUCAUCGAACUAGUGUUUCUUUACAACUUAGUAUCUAUGUGAUCUCCAAGUAGCUAAAAUAGCCUCGUAAGCAUGAUCAUUUCUCCAAUCUAAUGAAGUGGAAUAACCUUCACUCAGAUCAUUGCUUGAGUCUUUUCCAACUACUCCAUACCAUGCCAGCAAGUCAUCAAAUUAAUGCUUCUUUGCAACUCAAUAUCUAUAGGAUCAACUUUAAGUUGAAAUAGCCUUGCAAGAAUGAUUAUUCUCCAAAUCUAAUGAAGUUAAUGUAACCUUCACUUUGAUCAUUGCUCGAGUCUUUUCCAACUACUCCACACCAUGCCCCAAAUCAUUUACAACUUAGUAUCCAUAUGAUCAACUUUCCCUUGAAAUAGCCUUGCAAGCAUCUGAUCAAGCAAAUGUUGAGGCAAGUCUUAAAAAUUAUAAUCCAAGCCCUCUUAUAUGGAGAAAUUUGACAAAGUCAUUCAAGAAGAAUAUACAUGUAAAUCACAUAGACUAUGUUAACAUGGACUAGCAAGUUGUAAAUAAAUUCCCUGCUUCCAUAACUAAGUAAAAAAACUCAAAAGAUAAAGGGGUGGCUAGCUAUGAUUCUGAAAUUUUAUUGGAGAUCUAAUGACUAUUAAAUAGGAGAUGCUGUUGCAUUUUGUUCUAUUAAUAAGAUAUUUGAACAAAGAAGAUUGCUUUACUUUGUCAAAUUGAACCGAUAGUUUGAUAAAACAUUAUCUGAGCUGUAGAAUUAAACCUCUCUAUUCUGUUCUUCUUCUUUUUCUCCAUAUAUUUACAUUCCGAGCUUGAGCUAAUAAUCAAAAUGAGUUGAAUAUAGAUUUGGUGCAAACCUACAAAGACCUGCAUAAUAUAUUAAGUGACUCAACAGAACUAGGCACAUUCCGACCCCCCCCCCCCCCAAAAUACCAGGAUCGGUAGUUGCUAGAUCUGUUCCCGAGAAAGGGUACAUUUUUUCUAAACUGCAUCCGCUGAUAUCUGAAGAAACUUAUAUUCACCACAGCUCUGCUUUCAUGAAUCAGAAUGCGCCUGAGGUUCACUUAAUUCAUCUUUAUUGGUGACCNNNNNNNNNNNNNNNNNNNNNNNNNNNNNNNNNNNNNNNNNNNNNNNNNNNNNNNNNNNNNNNNNNNNNNNNNNNNNNNNNNNNNNNNNNNNNNNNNNNNCCCCCGGUCCCCAAAAAAUGAAGAACCGGGGGGGCCUUUAAAUCGAGUUGAUGACCUGGUGGCGUAACCAUACAUGCCACGUAUGAUAAUAUAAAAUAAAAAACGUAAAAUGUCACGUGGGUGUGGCGUAUCCUUAUCUGUAUGUUCUCUUCUAAUAAUCACACUUUGUUCUUUUGAUGAAUAGGAAAGAAAUGUCUUAUAUAUAACCGUGCAAAAUGAGAGUGUGUUGUGUUCUCUCCUUCCUUUUAUUCUCUAUCGUUUCUAACACUUCCUUUUACUAGUUUCACGUUUGUCAUGGCCGACCUUUCUUCUGUGGCGGCCGAGAGAAUCUCUCAUAUAUUAAUCAACUUGUCUAUAUUUUUCUAUGAGAAAUUCAGGUGAAGGAAUGAAUUUUAGUGUCUUUUAGCAGAUCAAUUUACUCAUGGAGCAACUUUCUUCUGAUGAAAUGGGGUCCAAAUGGAUGGAAUAUGUCAACAUUCUCCGGAAAAGUUCUAUAAUGUUCUCAGGUUCGAGACCUCGAUAUUGUUUCGCUCUUUGGUUCGAUAAACCCCCGGCCAAGGCGUAGGGAGAAAUGGGCAUGGACUUUGAUGCUCGGCCUCGAGAGCCUAUUGCCCAUGCCCACUUCUCUAGCUUUCCAUGCCCAAGUCACUAACGUUCGCAUAAUACGUCUAAUUAGAAAAAAAAAAAUCUUUUCAAACGAUGGGAAAUAUUUUUCUUUUCAUUUUCAAGUUGCAGCCAAAUAUCACAAAAUAUGGUUAUUUUCCUGAAAAAUGAUUUAUUAGAAAACAUAUUUCAGAAAUUAUCACUUUUUUUUUUUUUGUGAAAUAAACAGAGCAUAAGAAUUAAUGAUUUUUUUUUUUUAUGAACAACUCUGUCAAGUUUAUGCACACAUUCGAAUUGUACAAAGCAAGCUUUUUCUCAUUCAAGUCCAUCAAACCUCUCACCAAUAAUGGGGACUCAGAAUAUCAUGAACCAUUGAUAACCUUAGGAAUCGUUAGGAAAAAGAAUGGCUAGAGAACAAAUUUCUUCUCCUUCAAUAGAAUUAGUUUCUUGUCGUGUCAUAUCUAUUCCACAAGCUGCACUCUCCGUUCUCAAAUUCUAAGCACCUUUUUUCUCCCUCCAAAACUUUCAUGUUCAUUCAGUAUGAAACAUUCAAAUGGCUGCUUAAACAAACUCGUGUCGGCAUAAAUAAAGAAGGCUUCAGUCGUGAGUUUAAUGCAACGCUGCAAAGACAUUACACUUCUUUUUUGGGUCAGAAAAGACAUUACACUUUCGAAAGACACAUUUGCCUAGAAGAAAACUUGAAAAGGAAGGAGCACUUCAUAGACAAAACCAACAUUAUCAGCAUUAUAACUACGUAAUCCUGAUUGCUUCGUCUAAGAUUUCUGUCUUGUGACUUUCAGAAUCAUCUCAAAGGCCGUCCAACCUGGAAAGAAGCUUUUUUACAGUAGACUACUGAUUUGCUGUAUUUGAAGAAGUGAUGUAUUCCUGAUGUCUGAGCAGGAAACUCAUGGAGUGAAUGACAAAGAUCCUGGCCAAGACAGAUCUACUGAACAACAAAUCCUAGCGGGAGUGCUGACCAAGUACAGCGUAAACGGUCUGUGUUAUGGUGAGAGCUAUGAUCAAGAAAGCAGAGAAAACCGAUAUGACUGACCAUGGACUGGAAAAGUAAGUGCGUAUCAUGCUCGCCCAGUUGCUGUAGUAGUAUGAUUCCAGUUCCUCAAACUGCUUGGACAGAUAACAGUCACAAACAUUAAAAUCGAUACUCUUCCCAAGCUUCUCGAAUAAAUUAACCACAUACUGGUCAUGGCGAGAAAGUGUUGAGAUGAUCCCAUCUGAACAGAGAAGUGAAACGUCCUUCGACUGUUUGAUGAGGCAGUGCAUGAAGGAGACAUAAUCGGUGAUGUGCUUGGAGCUGUUUUCUUGGCAUUUUUCUAGGGCGAUGCAGUUUAUUAGCACGGUGGUCAUGAAGUCAUCGAUGGCGAUGGGUGGUAUCUCGAGCACCCGUUUCGGGAAACUUAUGUCCAGAAAGCUCUCUGUCUUCUUGGACUUGAAUUUGAUUCCGGAGGGCCUAAGCUGGGUCACACACGGUAUGGACUGAUCCGAUGGCCGGUACUUCUGUUUGCGGUCGCAGUGGACUGGGUUUGUCUCGGGCACCCCUUUUCGGAAAAUUAUGCCCAGGGAGCUCUCUGUCUUCUUGGACUUAAAUUUGAUUCUGGAGGACCUUAGCUGGGUCGCACACGGUAUGGACUGAUCCGAUGGCCGGCACAUCUGUUCGGAGCCGUGGUGGACCGGCUUUCUCGGAAAGAGAGUAAAGUUAAAGAGGUCAAGUAAAUGCUUGUAUGGUCGACUCUUAAUUUCAUCAUAAUGCCGGUAUCGUAGAUCCGUAUACUCGUCCUGAAUCGCCAUGGGUCUUGGAUAGGCCUGAUUGAACACUCUCAAAGCAAGCAUGCACAAAAAGGGAGUCUUCGCCUCGACCCUUGUUGAUCUCGAGAAGUCAAAGAGCGACUUGAGAAGGGAGUACGGAACCUGGUUUUCGAGCUUCAGUAAGUCCCUGAUGAGAGUCCGGAUUAUCAACGGCCGUGUAAGGAUGGGGUCCUCUACGUCAAUUGCAUGGCCGCUCCUAAAAAUGUGGAGCAUGAAUUCCACAACAAAGCAACCGUCGAGUAGCAUCAUCUCCACGAACUCACUACUCGACAUACCCACAACUUCAUCUUCCGAGUAGCAACCCCGGGCAGAGCUUUCUUGAUCUGCCACUAAUUUGAUGAGACUCUCCUUGUCGGAGUCCGUGCGACGAAGGAAGAUUUUGAGGAAGAACCAUUUGUGCUCUUCGAACUCGCACAAAUGCUUCUGGCCCCUGUGCAACGGGCCUAUAGAUACAAUCUCAGGCUGUUCAAACUGAUGAUUGAUAUCGCGAAGAACCAGAGGGAUCCUAAAGAUGGUGCAAGUCGAGGCCUGGGCUUGGAAGGGUCUCACCUCUUCCCCUAGUCGGCGCCUAACGUGAUCCAAGCAGCAAGUUACUGCAUCAUCGUGCGAUCCUGCGUCAGCAUCACCUGGGCCGGCUUCAUCAUAGUUUCUCGGGGGUGAAGUUAGUGCUUUAGGCAUAAAUUGUUCCCGGUUUGUCAUAGACCCGAGCUGAUCCUCUCCAGUCGACUCUGCAGCGGAUCUGGCUGUUUCGUUUUCAACUGCUGGACAUUUAACUUCCUCGAUCUCGACUGCAUGAUAAUCCAUGACACGCACCCUCUCUCUGUCCCUGAAACAAAAUUAAAACAUAGACCGUGCUCCGAAGCUGAAUGAAAAUUUAAGAUCAAAUUUGACCACCCAUUUCCAAGAAAUUACCAGCACAUCAACAAAUAAGACAAUAGCAAGAAUGAAAUGCUGAACUGCUUUUGUCGGAGGGCGUUUCGCCCCUCUUCCUUAAAUUUGUGAUAAUGCAGUUAAAGCAGCAGACUUUAGAACUAACCACGGAAGAUCGGACAGCGCUCAACGUCAGACCAGAAAUUUGAUCUUUGAGAUUGAUGCUCAUCAAGUGUGAAAGAGUCUUCACGCAAAACACUCGUGUUCCCAAAGCAAGAUUUGGAUUGUUAGAGGUCGGCACUAUCUAGUCUCCAUUUAUUUGUGCUUCUUCUUUUUGGUUUUUUGAGAUAUAUGCAACAACAAAAGUCCUAAAACUUAUAAGGAAAGUGUAAUUGAGUCCUAAAACUUACAAAACGUACAAUUAAGUCCUAAAACUUGUCAAAAUGGUUCAAUUGAGUCCUAAAUUUAAUACCGUCAGAUUUACUAACGAAAAUUGCUGACGUGGUGCUGAUAUCAUAUUUUAAAUUAAUUUCUAUUUUCCAUAUGGAUUUUUUAAAUUAUUUUUUAUUCAAAAUAUUUAAAAUUAGUUUUAAAAACUAAAAAGGAAAAAGUAAAAACUGUCGAAAAAAAAAAGAAAAGAAAAUGGUGCCACAGCCAUUGCCCAUCGCCGGAGGGGCUGACGACCGAAGCUCCACUAGUGCCUUUUUUUUUUAAUGGUUUUGUUUUGUUAAAUAAAUUUAGCUUUUCCUUUUUAUUUUUUAAAUCUAAUUUAAACAAGAAUAAAAAUAAUGUUAAAAGCCGCGUGGAAAAUAAAAAUUCAUUUAAAAUGCCAUGUCAGCAAUUCUGUUAGUAAGUUUGAUGGUGUUAAAUUUAGGACUCAAUUGAACUAAUUUAAUACGUUUUAGGAUUUGAUUGAACUUUUUAUAAGUUUUUGAACUCAAUUGUACUUUCCUUAUAAGUUUUAGGACUUCUGUUGCAUAUAUCUAUUGUUUUUUCGUUUUCAAAUUCUUCUCGAGUUGGGACAUAUUUGGGAGAUGUCAGUGAAGAAAGCAAAUCGACCCAGGCCAACUCUAAGUGUGUGUCUACAUACAUACAUACAUACAUAUAUAUAUACAUAUAUAUAUAUAUAUAUAUAUAUAUAUAUAUAUAUAUAUAUAUAUAUAUAUGCCAGCACCUAAUCAAUGUUAGUUUUACUCUAUUCACCGUGAGUCCACAUUGUGGUCAUCCUUAAGGCGACCAGUGCAGUCUUCUUUUUAUUUUUAUUCUUGGCCAGUGACAACUUUGGACAGUCUACUACCAAGUUAAGGCCUUGAGCAAAUUAGGUGAUCGAGCUGUUCGAUAAAUUGAUAGCUCUUUGACACUCCCUUCCUUCGUCCUUUUUUGCACUCAAAUCUAUUCACACUUCUUCGUCUUUUAUUGUUCUUGCUCUGUUUUGCUCUUUCUUAUCCUUGGCACAACCACUCUUCUUCAGUGUCUGCUUCUCUUUUUUAUCACUCUCUCUGUCUUUCUGUUUUCUCGCUCUUUCUUUCUAUUACAAAAAUCAAAGAAAUGGCGAUCCACUUUGUCGUUCCUAUUGCAAGUCGUCUCUUGGAGUACCUAGUUAAUCCGAUCAAGCGUCAAUUUGAAUAUGUGAUCUCCUCCGAGAGCUACGCUCAGGAUCUUCAAAAGGAAGUAGGGAAGCUCGCGUACCAGGCUGAUUCGGUCGACAUUGCCGUGGAAGAGGCCAAAAUAAAUUUUCGGGAUAUCAAGAGAUCUGUCACGAACUGGCGAGAAAGUGUUGAGAAGGCCUUGAAGGAGGCGAGAGACUUGUUGGGCAACUUUGAAGAGGCGAGCGAGACUUGCUGCUACGGGACCCUUCCCGACCGCAGUCAUUGCUAUCAGUUCAGCAGAAAGGCCAUGGGCAAAAUCGAGGAAAUUCGGGGACUCACUCAGACCGGCAAAGGAUUCAAGGAAUUGAAGGACGUUUCCUUCAAUCCUGAUCUGGGGAAUGUCAACUCGACGACAACUGAGCUUACGGAAGAUGGCGUCUUCGAAUCCAGAGCUUCUAUCAUAGAGAAAAUCGUGGACGCUCUUGCCGAUAACAGAACUAACGUCGUUGGGGUUUACGGGAUGGGUGGGAUCGGCAAGUCCAUCCUUUUGGCGGAUGUUGAAAGGAGAAUAAUAAAAGAAAGGUCGUUUGAUUUCGUCCUUCAGGCCAACGUGUCGAUGUAUCCAUACAUCAAGGAAAUUCAAGCUGAGAUUGCAUACAGGUUGGGGCUUCGCUUGAAGAUUACACAGAAUGUCAAAACGCGAGCAGAUCGUCUGCGCAAGAGGUUGCAAAAUGAGAAAACGAAGGUCCUCAUAAUACUCGACAACCUAUGGGAGGGGCUCGACUUGAAAUCAGUGGGCAUUCCUUGCGGAGAUGACAACAAAGUCAUAGGAUGCAAGUUGUUAUUGACGUCAAGAGAUCGAAAUGUUUUACGAAGGGAUAUGCACUGCGACAGGGACUUCCAUCUUGAUGGGCUGACGAAGAAAGAGGCAAAAAAAUUGUUCGAGAGGGCGGUGGGAGACAAAGUUCAUGACGACGACUUCAGACCCUUGAUGGAAGCAGUACUCAACAAAUGUGCAGGUGUUCCUUUCCUAAUUAUUGCAAUGGCAAAACGUUUUAAAUACGCUGAUUUAUCUGAAUGGAAGGACACUUUGUUAAAAAUCGAGAGGUCUAAACACGACGGGUUCAAUGAGAUAACAAAUGUGAUGUUACAAUUAAGUUAUGAUCGUUUAAACGAGAAGGAGAAGUCAUUUUUACAACUCUGUGUGGUUUAUGGCGGCUCGGAGCCCUCUCUUGAAAACUUGGUGAAGUGCGGUAUUGAUUUGGGGUUAUUUCAAGAAGUUAGCAGCAUGGAAGAAGCUAUAGAGAGUCUGAGCUCUGGGAUCCGUACUCUUAAGGCCUGCUCCCUUCUGUUAGAGGAUGGAGAAGCUGAUGGUUUCAAGGUACAUCCCUUGGUUCGUGAGUUUGUGAACGCUGUCGCUCUAAGAGAUCACUGUUUUCUUAUGUUGAAUGAUAAAGAUAAGGAGGUAAUGGAGUAACUCGAGACCAAGGGCACUUAUUGAGAAACUAAUUAAAGAAAGUUUACAGUUUCAAAAGUAUUUAUUGUCCGUAUGUUAUGCACAAUUUGUGCCUUGGAACUUGGAAUUUUCAAAAUAGAGGAUACCAACAGCAUUUGUUCAUAGCUUUACCAAAAAACAGCAUUUGUUCAUAGAGCCCUUGUGAUUUAUUAUCAUAAUAACUCAUUACUAAUUCUUGUCAUUGUAAUCUUUUUUAGAUCAUUACAUCUUUUCAAUUAUAAGAAAAGGAUAAUUCAAUGGCAAACAAUAGCAAUGAGAAGAUGAUGUCAACCGCGACCAUGAUAAUGAUAGUAGUCUUUUUUUUUCUUUCUUUCUUUCUUUCUUUUUCUCUGAUUAUAAUUGGUCUACUCUCAUCCUAGAACCGUUUAUCUUGUUUCGCAUCUUCUAAUGAAGAUGCCCCACUGCCCCUAAAGAAGUUGGUCUUGCUCGUCUUAGUCCAAAAAGCGGUUUGAUCUAUCCACGUUAUUUUAAUUAUCUUAUGCUUAAUUGAAUGAUCGCUCAAUUUGAUUUCUUUGCGAUUUCCCUUUUUCUAGUUACUUAAGCAUUCCUCUAGUUAUUUAGUUUUUCUUUAAUCUUUCUUUUUCGCUUAGAUAAAUUAUGGUGUGUUAGGUUGAAAAUUACGAUAGAACAUAGCUAUGUGCUGUUAUCAUCCAUGAUCCGUUUAAAAGGCAAUGAAGGAGGCUAUAAGCAAAAUGAAAUUUUGGACAAUUCUAUGAUAGUUGUAAGUGCUUGGGGUAUACUUGAAAGCCUACUGUAAGUUUAGCUCUUCAAAAAGUCAACCGUAUAACUUUUCACUUUUGUCAUAAACUUCUUCUUCAAGGUCAUUGGAAUUUUUCCCUCAUUUUUCUGUAUUAAUUUUGGAAAUUUUUAAUUUACUUUAGCUCAUUUGGAGGUCCAAGGAUGAUUUGACUAAGACAAAUAAAAUAAAAUAAAAAAUUACACUUUACCGUUGAAAAUCGCAUGUAAAGGGCUUGCAAAUUGUGAAAUGAACAAAGGAUUGAUAUUCACAAUCAAAUAAAAGUUGAAGGAAUUUAUGUACAGAAAUUUACGAUUAAAUGUGUACUGCCCUCAAAGUUCAUGAUGGGUUUUCUGCAAUUUCCCUUCAAUAUUUUCUAAAUAUAUGAAUUUUAUAUUGAUGUAAAAUUAGCAUCAUUGAAGAAUGAGGAAACAUAUAAGUGUUACAAUUAAGGUUCCGUUUGUUUUACAGAAAAUGUAAUAUUUCUGAAAAAAAAAAUUGUAAAAAUAUAUUUCAAGAAAAUGACAAUAUUUUCAUGUGUUUGGCCAAAAACUUGAAAAUUAACCGGUAAAUAUUUUCCAUUGUUUAGUAAAAUUUCCAAUUUUUAAUAAUUAUUUUUAUUUUUAUUUUGUUUUAUUUUAUUUUUUUCCUUCCUCCACUAGUCGCCAACCCUUAGCGACCUCUCUUGUGGCCGGUUGUGAUGCCUAGCAACCGGUGGAGGAAGGAAAAAAAAAGAAAGAAAGAGAAGAAGAAACUAUAAAAUUAUUAAAUAAUUCAAAUUUGGUAAUAAUAAAAAAUUAUUAUUAAAAAUAUAAGAAAAUAUAAGACAAAAUUAUUACUAAAAUGAUGGACCUCGGCUCAGUCUUAAUGGACUCAACCUUGCUACCAAGGGCUUGGGAAUGAGCAUUGAGGUUUCUAUGCCUAAGCACAAAGUUUCUGGAAAAUGAUUUUUGAUUUUUUAAAGAGGAAAUCUUUUUUUAGAAUUUAAAUGUUAGUAGGAAAAGGUUUUUUGUUAAAUAAGAAAACUUUUUCCAUUGACUCAACUUCAUCAAACCAAAUGCUCGAAAAUGAGGAAAAUGUUUUUUGCGGAAAAAAUGAAGCCUAAGGUUGCAUUUGGCAGUCAAGAUAAAAGAUAAAAUUCAUCAUAUCCUGUGUUCGGUGCUUACUCAAAAUGGGCUAAAGUCGGAUAUAAGAGGAAUAUAGAUUGAAUAAAAUUAUCCCAUGAUGAGGUGAGAUAAAUAUGGAUAGGAUUUCUAAUAUCCAUAAUAAGAAUAUCAUUUUUCUCGAAUAUCAAGCUUCUUAAAUUAACAAAAUAAAAAUAUAUUUCAAUAUAAAUAAUAUUAGAAUUAUAAUACAAGAAAUUCAAAAUAACAAAAAAUAUUAUUUAUUUUUUAAUUUAGGAUUUUUUUUUUUUGGGUGACCUAGGAACCCAUACAGCCGGCAGCCGGCCAAUAAACCUGGGGGGACAUGUAAGCGGGAGGACCCACCACCCCCGGCGUCCCACUUAAGACCCCAAGCGACCGUGAGGAGAUUUGAACUCCUCCCCUUUGUGAGGGGGAGAGAGCCCAAACCAUCAUGGCUACCAAGGCGGUGGUAUUUUUUAAUUUAGGUUUGAUACCCUAAAAAACCUCCAAAUAGAUACACACAUGACAAAUUUACUAAAAAUUAAUUUUUUCAUCAUAAAAAAUCCAAAACUGGUACACUUUCAACAAAUUUACGCUUAAAUUGGUACAUUUGUGAUAAAUUUACUCUAUAUUAAUUUUCGUUAAAAUUUACUGUAAAAAACUAAAUUUGAUGACACAUGACAGUUAAUUGGUAUAUCAAUUUGAGAUUUUGCUCUAUGUAUGUCAUAGUUGUACCAUUUUUAUGGUUUCUUGUGGUAUUAAUUCACUUAAAUGGAGAGUAUAUUUAUCAUAGAUGUACCGGUUUAGGAUUUUUGGCAGUCAAACAAAUUAGUUUGGGGUAAAUUUGUCACAAGUAUACCUGUUGGGGUUUUUUGUGGUCAUUCAGGGUAAAUUUAUCAUAGAAAUACCGGUUUUGGGUUAUUUGUGAUCAAAAAAUUAGUUUAAGGCAAUUUUGUCAUAAGUGUACUAGUUUAAGAUUUCCAUAAUAUUAACCUAUUAAUUUAAUCUCAUUUUAAUUUAUAUAGUCGAAUUUAAUUCUAUCUUAUAAUAUAAAUUCAAAAAAUUAUUAAAUAUUUUAGGUAUUUUGAAUUUGAGGUAUAUUAGUAUAGUUUGCUAUUUAAUAAAAUUUUAUUAGAGAAGAUGUAAAGGGAAAAAAGAAAUAAAAAAAAUAAAUGAAUUAAAAAAGAGAGGGAAAAUAAAAUAAAAUAGGCAAGAGUAUUGUGAUAGAUUUUGACCAUCUCCGUUUGUGAAUUUUUAAAGGCAUUUAUACUAAUAUGCUAUUUAAAGCAAACAAUAUACAUGAUAUGAUAUAAAUAUAUCCAACUUUAUUAUUGUAAUUACCAAAUAUUAAAUAGGGCAUAGUAAAAUCCUUAGAUUUCAUACCAUAUUCUAUCCAAUUAUAUCCUAGUCAGAAAUCCAGACGACCAAUAGAUAAUGAGUGCUUGUUGAGAGAGGAGUUCUAAUAUUGUUGAACAUGCAAAAUGGACAAAAGUAGCAUUAAAGCUUUAAGAUAACUCCAGGACAAUAACUCUAAUUCUUUGUACUGAUGUAGUUAAUGUAAACAAUAGAUAGAGAUAUGUUAGGGGAAAUGUGCCAUAAGAGUCCCAACAUUAUCAGUGGUGCCGGUUAGGAAUUCACAUUGAUUGAGAUGAACAUCAGAGUGUUAUUCUAAGCCAUUCUCAGUGUGGAUCUGAACUCAGGAUUCCUUAUUAUACCUCCUUUGCUCUUUAGUUGCGAAUCAAUGAAAAGUAGACGCUUUUCUGUUUAAGUUUUCUUCUUUCCUGCGCUAGUCUCAAUUCUGUAACUUCCACUAUGGAAAGAAACUCUCAAAUUUGGCGCUUUUUUAAGGUUUCUGGUAGCUCCACCUGAUAUAUAGAACUAAUAAAGUGUCAUGAUGUCAAUCGGACGCUCCUUUAGCAAUCCGUGGUCAUACGAAGUCAGUUUCUAUUUAAAUCACAUUUUUUACGUCCUUUUCAAAUUCUUAAAGAUUUUAUGCAAGUCUUUUUGCAUGUUGGUGCGACCUGUAGUUUUUAAGUUUCUUUAGAUAUGAAGAGCAUUUAAAAUUUAUUCCGUCAAAUUAACUGAAUUUUGAUUUUCAUGAUAACAGUAAUUUUCAAUCUACGCAAAAAAAUUUCAUAGCCAGUCAAUUAAAGAGAUGCUCCCUCCAACGUCUAUUUUAGUUCUCUUGUUUCACUACAGGUGAGAUCGAACAUUCUACAUGCAAAGCGGGCCAUUCUAAGCCGGAUUUUCAUGGUCAUACAAUUUCAAAGCCUCUCACAUCUCCUGAAUUGGCCAGCGAUGUCAUACCAUACCAAUAGCUCUACAUAACUAUGCGCUUUUCCCAAAAAAAUCCACAGAGACUUCCUCGCAUCUCCAUGAUCUGUAUUUCCAGAGUCUUUAUGCUAAUCUGCUGUCACUAGAUUCAUGUAUAAGAAACAGAUUCCGCAAAAUAACGACGUUGCCUAGGAGGGAGCUUGAGGAGUCCACCAAUUUCCUACACCGCAGUAUGACAAAGUGAACAACAUUUAAUACUCAUGCAAAUAAAUAUGAAGCAAAGCAGACCCAAAUAAAAAUUCAUUCAACCCCUAGAACACCAGAGCACAUAAGUUAACAAAUCUAUUUCAAUAUGAUUGAAUCAUUGAUUAAUUUAAAGAAUAGCGACUAAGCUGUGCAACAAUAGGUCACCGAUCAAAGUUUAUGAGUGCAAAGAGUGUCAUUGAAUAAUGAAAGCAAAUUACUACUUAGAAACGAGACGAGCAUGUCCAGUCUGCGAAUGAUUGCUUACCCUUUCUGAACAAAAAAAUGCAGGAAAAGAGGACGAAGGAGACAUGAAGCUUUCUGAGGCUAAUACCAAACAUUUUUAAGCUAAUGAAUUCAGUGUAAUAACAAUGGUCCGAUCCUGCACCCCACAUACAAAUAAUGAAAAAGCAGAGUAAAAGGAAAAACUUUGGUUGAAGGAACAUGCUAGGGAUGUUACACAGUUCAUGAGCAAACUUUCAUUUCACACACCACAAAUGAUUCUUGCAUCCAAUAGAUCCAAAAAGUGAUGAGUGAUCUAACAAGGCCAGAUUCGGUAAAGCUUCCUGUUAAUCCGAUACUCAAACGAUCGAAUAUCGAAAACGAACACAAAAAAUAUGCCCAGGAAACAUGUAACACUGAUCGAAAGAUAUAUCACGGAUACGGACUUACCUUGUUUACCACAUAUUAAGUACCGUUGCAGUCUUAGGGGAAUCCUUUGAAACCUUGGAGUUCUAUUCGUCAAGAGGGAGGAUACUACUUCAAAGGGGAGAAAAAAUAGCAAUGCCUAUUUUCUCUAAUACGCUACAGGUAACCUUAUCCCCUUUUAUUUUAUUUUUUUAUUUUUUAUUUAUAGGCCCUUCACAUACGGGGCGGGUUUUGGCCCAACAUGGGCGAACGGGCUUAACUUGGUCCAUCAAAUAAACAACCUAUCACUUCCUCUAGAUGGAAUGGCGACGUCUUCGCAGGGCUUGGGAGUGUUGGGCACUGACUCCUACUGCAGCUCCUCUUGGAACGAUAGGUACUAACAUAUCGCUAGCCAACGUAGAGUUCAUCUUUGCAGUAGAAUUUAUAACGUGUUCAAUUGGCUGCAAAAUCGAAUGUCAUAAACUCUACGCCUGAGACCAUAGAAAGCAGCGUUGACAUCAACUCCAAUGAAACCAGCCUCUGUGAUUGUAGUAUCAACAACCCUCUCAAGUCCACACUUCUGCCGAAAAAAUGAACUUUUAGACACAUUGAAAGACUCUAGGAUCUAUAGACAUUUCCUCAUCAAACGCAGCAUCCAGAGUCUCUCACAGUUCUUUUUCUCGCAGUAGCAUAACUAAAUAAGGGCACUUCUGCGGUACGACUCUGUUAUAGAUAAAGCCAAAUAUUUGUUUUUAGGGGCUUUUUUUGUCUUUUCUAUUAUAUUUCCUUUUAGGUUAAAAGUGGUACCUAUAUAUUAGCGAUGGCAAAACCCUAGCCGUCAAGACGCUGAAAAAGAAAAUAGAGAGGCAAGAAAAAGAGAGAAGAAAAAAGUGAGUUUUUUUUUCUUGAUGAGAGUUCUCAAUCUCUUUGUGCCCUGAUCUUAAGAGAAUAUCGUCGUUGUAUUCCAACUUUUUCCGAAGUCUAGUGGAUUCGUAGAGUGCCUCUACGCGGAGACGUAGCCCAGGUUUGGGUGAACUUCGAUAACAAAUUUUCUGGCGUGUUCAUUUGAUUCUGCCCUUUUAUUACUAUAUUUUGUCUGGUGAAUUGUUUGCGAGCGUUAUUUUUCUGGAAUUGACGUGUGAUUUCGUAACAACUGGUAUCAGAGCCUGGGUUGGCUAAUCGAAAACAUCGAGGGUUUUCGGUGACGUUCGAUUGAAAGCAAACAGGAUGGCAGAAGAUAAAAUCAGAAUCGAUAAGUUCAAUGGAGAGGAUUUCGGAUGGUGGAAACUACAAAUAGAGGAUUAUCUUUAUCAGAAAGAUCUCUAUGCACCACUUGAGGGUUGGAAACCCGAGAUGGCGGAAGUGGAUCCGACAACAGAAGCCGGAUGGAAAAUUCUUGAUUGAAAGGCGUUAGGUGCGAUUCGUCUAGGGUUGACGAAAAAGACAGGAUACCACAUCGCGAAAGCAAAAACUGCAAAAGAAGCCAUGGAUAUUCUAACGAAUAUUUUUGAGAAGCCGUCCACAUCAAAUCAGGUAUUUUUGCUGAAGAAACUAGUUAAUAUGAAGUUAUUUGAUAGAGGUUCUGUGGCAGAGCAUAUUAAUAGUUUCACGCAAGUCACGGGUCAAUUGGAAUCCGCAUGCAUAAAUUUAGAUAUGAAGCUUCAAGCUUUAUUAUUUUUAUGUUCUCUUCCAGAAAGCUACAAUAUCGUAGUGCAGGGAAUUUCGAGCACCAUGAAUGAUGAUUUAACUCUUGAUGAUACUGUGAGUAGUAUCAUGGAUGAAGAGAUGCGAAGGAAAGUCUCAGGUGGAGAUAAUUUUUCUGUAUCUACAUCUUCAACGGCACUUGCAGUGGAGAACCGUGGAAGAAGUAAAAGUAGAGGAAAUUUCAGCGGUCGUGGUAGAUCACAAUCAAGGGGUAAGAGACAGGUUGCAAAAGAUGAGUGUUGGUUUUGUCACAAAACCGGACACCGGAGGUUUCAGUGUGAAGCCUACAAAAAGAAGCAGCAAGAUGAGAAUCAAGGUGCUAAUGUAGUUAGCGAUAAAUCUUUGCUAGAUAACUUGUGUUUGUCUGCAGGGUUUGACUUGACAACAGAUAAAUGGUUUAUUGAUUCUGGCGCUUCUUUUCAUUGCACCUCACAAAGAGACAUAUUUGAUGAUUAUGCCAGUGGAAAUUUUGGACAAGUGGUUGUGGGAAACGGUCACAUGUGUCCAAUUGUUGGGAAAGGAACUGUGACUAUGAACAUCUCAGGUGGAGGACGUCUAGUUUGCGUGAAACUAGGCAUAUUCCGGAAUUAGAGAAAAAUCUGAUUUCAACUAGUAAACUUGACCAAGAAGGUUUGGUAAUAACCUUUGGCUGCAGAGAGUGGAAGAUAACCUCAGGGGUAAGAGUAGUAGCAAAGGAAAAGCGUACAUGUACACUUUACCUUCUCCAAGGAGACAAUAUUAGUGAUAUGGUUGCAACUACAAUGGCUACAGGUAAUUUAUCUACUCUUUGGCAUUAUCGUUUGGGACAUCUUGGCGAAAAAGGUGUAAAGCAAUUACACUCGAGAAAAUUACUCCCAGGUUUGCAAAAAGUUGAGUUAGAUUUUUGUGAGAGUUGCAUUUAUGGAAAACAGAAGGCUGUUAGUUUUCAAUUGAAUGGGCGACAAAAUAAAGGCCAGAAGUUAGAGUUGGUUCAUACUGAUGUAUGGGGACCUGCUCAGGAACUCUCUUAUGGUGGUAAGAGAUAUUUUGUCACAUUCAUUGAUGAUGCAACAAGAAAGACUUGGGUCUAUGCUCUUAAAGAAAAAUCAGAAGUAUUCGGGAUGUUCAAAAUGUGGAAGACCAUGGUAGAAAAAGAAACAGGUUAUCAGAUUAAAGCUUUGAAAUCUGAUAAUGGUGGUGAAUACACAAGUAAAGAAUUUGCAAAUUAUUUGAGCCGAGAAGGCAUACAUGGGCUAAAGACUGUUCCUAGAACUCCUCAAGAGAACGGUGUAGCUGAAAGAAUGAACAUGACUAUUCUAGAACGUGCGAGAUGCAUGAGACUACACGCGGGUCUCCCGCUACACUUAUGGGCUGCCACAGUUGAUGCAGUUGUUUAUCUUAUCAACAUAAGUCCAUCUAGUGCAUUGGAUAGAGAAAUACCACAAGAGUAGUGGUCAGGUAAGAAGAUUAAUUAUUCACAUCUAAAGGUGUUUGGUUGUAUUGCAUAUGCUUUGAUUGACAUAGAGGAUAGAAAAAAGCUUGAUGCUAAGUCCCAGAAGUGCGUCUUUAUCGGAUACGGUGGCGACGAGUAUUGCUAUAGGCUUUGGGAUUAUAAGAAUAACAAAGUUAUCCGUAGUCGCAAUGUGGUAUUCCAUGAAGAAAAGAUGUACAAGGAUCGUCAGACAGAGACAGAGCAUGAGAAGGUAGUACAACCAGAAUAUGUUGAACUAGACACAAUGCCCGUGAAGAUGUUUCCAGUAGAUCAAAGUUCACCUGAAAGAGAGGUUCAAGAUGAGCCUAAUAUCAGUGAAGAGGUAGUUCAAGAAGAACGCAAUGAUUCGGAGCAAACGAAUGACCCUGAAGUACCUGUCUUGAGAAGGUCUACACGUGUGAGAAAGCCAAAGGUAAUUUUUGAUCCAUCAGCUAAUACUGUUCUAAGCCAUGUCUUAUAUACAGAUUCGGGGGAACCAGAGACUUACGAUGAGGCAAAGGUAGACACGUCUCACUUGCAAUGGGGGUGUGCUAUUAAAGACGAGAUGAGCUCGUUAUUUCAAAACAAAACUUGGGAGUUGACCAAGUUGCCCACAGGUAAAAAAGCUUUAUUAAACAAAUGGGUGUAUAGGGUUAAGAAUGAAUCAGAUGGUAGUAUUAGAUACAAGGCGAGACUUGUAGUCAAGGGCUUUUCUAAAAAAGAAGGGAUCGACUACUCCAAGAUAUUUUCACCUGUAGUGAAAAUGACAUCAAUUAGAGUUCUGCUAAGUAUAGUUGCAGUGGAGGAUCUUCAUCUUGAGCAGAUAGACGUAAAAACAACGUUUUUACAUGGUGACUAGAUGAAGAAUUAUACAUGGCACAACCUAAGGGUUUUGAAGUCAAAGGUAUGGAGCACAUGGUAUGUCGCUUGAAGAAAAGCUUGUAGGGCUUGAAACAAGCUCCGCAGCAAUGGUACCUAAAAUUUGAUGGUUUCAUGCAAGAAAAAGGAUUUGUACACUGUGAGUCUGAUCACUGUUUAUUUUCGCAAAUAUGAUGAUGGUGACAUUGUGUAUCUAUCUUUAUAUGUGGAUGACAUGCUUAUGGCUAGUUCCAAUAUGAAGAGAAUCGUAGAAGUGAAGAAGAUGUUAUCAUCACAAUUUGCUAUGAAAGACUUGGGAUUGGCCAAGAAUAUUUUAGGCAUGAAAAUCAUCAGGGACAGGAAAAAUAAGAAAUUAUGGUUGUUGCAGGAAGACUAUGUGAACAAGGUGUUAAAGAGAUUUAACAUGGACAAAGCAAAACCGGUUGCAACUCCUCUAGCGAGCCACUUCAAACUUUCCAAGGAUAUGUGUCCAAGCACUCAAGCUUUGAAAGAUGAGAUGGCGGUAGUUCCAUAUGCAUCAGCAGUAGGGAGUUUGAUGUAUGCCAUGGUGAGCACGAGACCAGACAUUGCACAAGCAGUGGGAGUUGUAUAUGCAGAACCUAAGUAGAGAGCAUUGGAAUGCAGUUAAAUGGAUAUUGAGAUAUCUAGCAAGUACUUCCAAUUACUCACUUUGUUAUGGUGGUACAUCUCUAGAGUUGCAAGGUUAUGUAGAUGCAGAUCAUUCGGGUGAUCGAGAUAGUGGUAAGAGUACCACUGGAUAUGUCUUUACAGUUGCAAGUACAUCAGUGAGUUGGGUAUCUCAACUACAAAAAGUAGUGGCUUUAUCAACAACAGAGGCAGAAUAUGUAGCGAUUACAGAAGCCUCCAAGGAAAUCAUGUGGUCACAAGAUUAUAUGGAGGAGUUACAUCGAAAACAGCCAGUCAGUACACUAUGGAGUGAUAGUCAAAAUGCAGUGCACUUAGCAAAGAAUGCAGCUUAUCACUCAAGGACUAGACAUAUCAAGAAGCGUUAUCACUUUAUCAGGUCAGCAUUGAAAGAUAAUGAAUUAAAGCUACACAAGAUUGAUGGCUCAAAGAAUCCAGCUGACAUAUUGACCAAGGUAGUAGACAGAGAGAAGCAUAUUUUCAGAACUACUACUAUUGGUAUUACUCCAUGUUGAUUGAUGAGGAGUAUCGCAGAGGCACAAGUUUUUCAACUACUAUUUUUUGAAGAAGAUGGAUACAAAGUUGCUUGGUGCUUUGGUAUAUUUGUCUUCAAGUGGGAGAUUGUUAUAGAUAAAGCCAAAUAUUUGUUUUUAGGGGCUUUUUUUUUUUGUCUUUUCUAUUAGAUUUCCUUUUAGGUUAAAAGUGGUACCUAUAUAUUAGCGAUGACAAAACCCUAGCUGUCAAGACGCUGAAAAAGAAAAUAGAGAGGCAAGAAAAAGAGAGAAGAAAAAAGUGAGUUUUUUCUUGAUGAGAGUUCUCAAUCUCUUUGUGCCCUGAUCUUAAGAGAAGAUCGUCGUUGUAUUCCAACUUUUUCCGAAGUCUAGUGGAUUCGUAGAGUGCCUCUGCGCGGAGAAGUAGCCCAGGUUUGGGUGAACUUCGAUAACAAAUUUUCUGGCGUGUUCAUCUGAUUCUGCUAUUUUAUUACUAUAUUAUGUCUGGUGAAUUGUUUGCGAGCGUUAUUUUUCUGGAAUCGACGUGCGAUUUCGUAACAGACUCUUCUUCAGCCUUUCUAUAACUUCGUCAUUCCAUUGAACACCUUCCUCGCAAACUCAAUUCCCUCCUCCACAGCACAACCGAUGGCAAUUGAAUUUCUGAAGACAGCGAGAGAAUUGGGAGAAAAAACAAGAUCGAAAUAGAAGUCAAUAGAAAAUUUUUGAAUGAAUCGAAAUUCAUCCUAGAGUUCAGCACGAGAUGAUGGAUUUCGUCGUCACUUCAGUGUCACGAGGAACCGUCUCUAGAGAUCUCUUGAAGCAACGAUCGUCGGAGAUUUCAAUCGACAGCUUCACUCCUUCAUGGUUUCGUAGAGAGAGAAAGAGAUCCUUCUGUGAACUUUAGACACCUUGUUCUUUUCUCCUAUCUCUUUUCUUUUAUUUUUAUUUUUGUUAUUUCUUUUUUUUAUAUAUUUCUUUAAUUUUUAAUUUAUAAAUAACAAAAGUACAAUUUUAUUAUUUUCUCCCAUCUCUUUUCUUUUAUUUGUAUUUUUGUCUUUUAUUUUUUAUUUUACUAAUCUUUGAUUUGCCCGAUAAAACUAAUGCUACAGUAAAAAAGUUGAAGCCAUGCUCCAAUUUCGGAAGGGCAUAACUCUAUAAUUUGUCCAUAAGUGAAAUCCAUUCAAUUAGCACAUUCCGACUGUGCCAGUCCAACGAUGCAUGCUCCAUGGUCGAAGCAUUGGGCAUCACCAUAAGAACCAUGGUUGUAGUGGUCUAAUCCUCAUGCCCCGGUGUUGGAUUCAAAAUAUCUUUUGGUUCUGCCCAAUCUAGGCAAUUUGGAUUCCAAUUGAAGCUAGGAUUGCCCAUAUCUGUCCGAUUCGUAAUACAGAAAUAACAUCUCAAUUUCCUUCUCUCUGGGCCACUAUCUUUUUUCCCUUUCCCGCAGGUUGAGGUCUUGACAUUUCUGGUCACUCUUCUCUCACCCUCGUCAAGUCAUCUAGUCCCCACCAAGCCACCAUUACGCUAUCGUCGAGCCCCCACUAUGCUCGCUUGGUCAAUCUCUCUCUCUCACUCUCACUCCACUACCCUCGGCCAAAAAAAGAAAAAUGAAAAAACGCUUGCUCUCCUCUUUAUUGUGUCUUACUACAUGUUAUCAAAGUACAAAGCAAGCGACGCGACUCACACUUUUGCUCGUGUCAUGGUCUCUGUCAUGCUCCCCCAUCUCCAGCACUAGCUUGGUUCUUACUAGCCUGUUAUGAUGUUGUUGACACCUAAAUUUUAACUAUUUUUAUUUUUUUAUUAGGGUAACAAUGAUAUUUAACUCAUCUCUUAAAAAAGGUUGUUAAAAAAAAUAUUUUGUGGAGGAAUGAGAUUUUGAAGGAUUUUCGGAUAACGAAGUCAUAUCAAAAGUUGAGUGAAUUGUCUUUAAAAAAUCUUCAUAAAGAAUUUGGGAUUAUUUUCUUGUUGAGCACAUCUCUCCGUUUCUUCGAAUGAUCCUUAGCGAUUAGGUCAAUAUAUGCAAAUCUUCGUAGGUUGAACAAACCAGGGUUUUCUCUGUAUAAAUAGGGGGGCUUUUUCGUUUUCUCUUGGUCAAAAAAAGAAGAAAAGUCAAAGGAAAAGAGAAAUUCUUUGAGGCUUUCUUCUGCUGGCUUCGAAAGUGAAAAGGAGGGUGCAGAAAGUACAGAGAGAAGAGACAGGUGAGUGACGGAGAGGGAGAGAGAGCCAGAAAAGAAAAAAAGAAAAACAAAAGGAAAGGGAAAAGCAGAGCAGAAAACGGGGGACUGUUAAUCGUCUUCUUCAUGUAGCCGCUUCCCCCCCCCUCCCCCCGCCUUCCGCCUGCAACCCUUGCGCCGUCGCCGCGCCACCGCACCCUUGUGCUGUCAUCGCUGCGCCGCCUGCGUCCGGUAGCCAGCCUCGGAUGCUCCGCCACCGCUCCUCGCCCCGGAAGACGCCGCGCCCGUAACGCCGCCUCUGCUCUGGUUCUGCUCGCAAAACCGCUGACCACCGCCUCGAUUGCAGCCCAUCGCCGACGUCAGCAGCUCCUGCGACCUGCCCCGAUUACGACUCCAGACGCCGCGUCCCGCCGACGUUUCGUCCUGCUCGCUCGUUGCUGCCCGAGCUGCCAGCAGUCGAAGCCCGCGCCGUCUCCCUCGCCCGCGAGCUUAUGUCGCUGGUCUGCCCAGAAGCCGUGAAGCCGCUGACCCCCGCCGCGCUCACACCGCCGAGCACCACCGUCGCUACCCCUGAUCCGAGUCUACUGCUGUCCUCGGUGCGCCAUCAGCUACUGCCCGAGCGAUCUCCUGUUUUGUUGCAGGUUUACCUUUGCCGAACCUUGUCGGAGCUCCCACAUCCGUGCCCAUCACUCUCACCGGAGCCCUAAAUUAGCCAUACCGUCAAGCUGAUCUGCUUUCUGUUGCAGCCCAUUGCGACCCGCAACGCCCAAGCCUGCCGCGCCCACACUGCCGAGCACCGACGCCGAUCCACCCAACGCUGGCCCUGCCCGUCCAGACCCGAGCUUCCCUAGCUCCGCUCCUGUGUUGCUGCCGUCGCCGGUUCACCUUGGCCGGAGCCUCCUUUGCCGAGCCGAUUAGUCGAUUCCCCUUGGAGAUACACAAGCGAUGCCUGGAAAAGAAAAACAAAAAAAAAAAAAAAAGGAAAGAAAAGGAAAUUAGGUAGUUUUAUUUUCUUUUUCUAUUUACUUUAUUUAUUUAUUUCUUUUAAGUUUAGUUGUUAUUGUGAAAAUUUAAAGUGAUCUUCAUUUCAUGAAUUCAAUAGGCAUUAUCCGCAGGGUCUUCCCCAUAAUUAUUGUAAUUAUUAAUUUGAUCCGUAAGAUAUCGGAUCAUUUUUUUAAUUAUAUUAAUUUUUGGGGUUUGUCGAUAGUAUUUUAAGUGUUGAAUCAAUAUAAUUAUUAAUUUGAUCUGUAAGAAUUCGGAUCAGAUUUUUAAUUAUUUUGAACUCUUUGUCAUGAUAAUUAGGGUUAUGAUAAUCGUUAAUUUGACCUGUGAGACAACAGGUUAUUUUUUCGAUUAUUUUAAUCCUUUAUUUGAUUAAAUAUCUUGAUUGUUUAGAUUUAGUUGAUAAUUGUUUUUUUUUUUUGUGAAACCACUAAAAAAUCUAAAAAAUAUUUGAAUUAGGAUUCAGUUUGUUUUAGAAUAUUUCUCGUUAUCUUGCAUAUCUAGAAUAUGGAUUUUAUUCCGAAUUUAGAAAAAUAUAAAAUAAAAUAAAAAAACAAAAAAAGUGCAUCCAUUUAGGUUGUUAGUUUUAUCAUUAUUUGAAUUGCAUGUGAAAUUUUAAUUUUGAAAUUAAUAUAAAAACACAAAAAAAUCAUCAUGCAUAUAUCAUGUUGAAUUAGGGCAUUCUUUGCACGUCAUUGCAUAUUAGAUAAAUUGCAUGUUAGAUUAAGAUAAUAUCUUAGUUUAAAUUAGGAUUUAAUGUGACUUGAUCCUUAGUUUAAAUUAGAAUUUUAAUCUAGCUAGAUCAUUUUUGCAUUUUUAAAUAGAAAUAUCAAAUGCACGUCAUUUAGUUUUUAUUAAUUAGAAUUUCCUCGUCAUUAGACUAAGUCAUUUAAUAAAUGUCGCAUGACAUAUAACCCGCAUACUAAAUUGUAUGUUGCGUGUCAUUUUAGUUAAAAUAAUUUUGUAUGUCAUUGCAUUGCAUUACCUGUCAUUAAAAUUAGGUCAUUUGAUUAAUUUACAUUGCAUAUUUAAUUGAUGCAUUUCUUUAUUUUCAAAUUUCAUGAAAAAUAUAAAAGAAUUAGAAUGAAUUCAUUUCAUGCUUUUAGGAUAGAUUGCAUGCUUAUUUAGGACAUACAAUUUUGGUCAUGUUAUCAUAUUAUUUCAUGUUAGAAUAGUGAUAUGCAUCGCAUAAGUCGUGAUUUUCAUUAAAUAAAGUGAAAAAAAAAUUGAAAUUGCGUGUUAAUUAGAAAUCAUAUCUAGGGUUGCUGAUGUGAAUUCUGAUUUAACAAUGCAGAUGAUUUUGUUGCUUCUAAGUAUGAUUUUGUUGCUUCUAAGUAUGUUUUGCAAUAUUUAAUUGCUUUCUUGAGUGUUAAAUUGGUGGUAUGCGCACAUGUAUGAUCACCUCACAUGUUAGGAAGUUAAAUUAAAAUCAAUUCAAUUGCCAAACAUUUUUGAAAAAUGAAAUAAAAAGGUACCGAAAUGGCACUAGGAUAGUCUAGUGUAACCAAGUCCCAAAACUCAUAAAUCUCUAGUUCGUAGGAGUAAAAGUAAAUCUCAUGUUACUUUACUUGGGUUUCUAAUCGACCCACCAAAAAUAGAUUAGUGGCGACUCCUGAUUGAAAAUCAUUUGCAUGUUAAGAAUUCAAACCUAAGUCGCAAAUUGGUAUGGGCUUGGGAGAGCCCGAGCUAAGCUUAAAGACUUAAUAAUCCAUUAACUUAGUUUUAGGUGGUGAACCGAAAAAAUUAGGUCGCGACGGCUUGGCAACUCCGCUGGGGACUUGUGUUAAAACACUUAGUGGACUUAGGCCAAUUUUUCUUUUUAAAAAUAUUUUUUGUUUGGCAGCGAGGAUCUCAGGUAUGUCCCUAACAUUUCUAAGGUGUUAAAUGUUCUUGCAUAUUGGAGGUAUAAGGGGAGUAGUCUUUGCUAACCCUUGUCUUGCAGGGAGGUGUUGAGAUUAAUGAUUUAUUUUUCCUGAUUAGAAGUGUUGUUUGCAUUUAAACUGUUGUGCAUGCUUUAUUGCUUUAGCACCACACUAUUUGCACACAAAACCUGUGGUCGGACCUAGGCUGCGAUAGGACUUCUAGGAUGGUGUUGAGAAGGAUACUUCCUCUAAAGCGAGAUUGCUAUGUAGAGGUUGACAUUCUCUUCCCCGAAAUUUCUUUCAUGGUGUCGAAUGUGUUUGUCCAUAUCCGCGAGACUGCGUGGUUAUUAGGUAUUCCAUUCGACUGAGCCGGAGUUAGGGGGACCUGACACGUUAAUACGAGACUGCAAUGGUCAAAUCAUCCUUUUAGCUCCACCUUGUUAAGCCAUCUAGACAGAAAUCGAGCCUCACUUUUCAUACAUGUGUCUAUGCGGUUGUCAUCCAUUUCCAGUAAAAGUAAGUUGUUUAAAUUCUUUGCAAUUUAUUUACUUUAUUGUAAUUUUGUCGGUCCAUGGGGGAUUAGGUUUCGUCGUCAGUCUUGUUUUAUAUGCGAUGGGGAAAACUGACAUACAAUUCAUUUCUACUCCAAAAAAAAAAAGCUCAAGAAGUGGUUGGAUCAGUUGGAUCAAGAUGGCCAGAGAUAUGUGAAGGCCAGGAUCGUUCAACUUCUCCCACUGUUAGAGAUCAACGUCCACUCUGGUGUGAUUCAGGCACUUCCUCACUUCUGGUGUCCACAAACUUCCACCUUCAUAUUUGGUGAGUUUGAAUUAACUCCAACACUUGAAGAAUAUAGUGUCGCCAUUGGAAUGCCCUUGGAAAAGGAACUUGUUAGACCGCCUAUCGGUAUAGAUUCUAUUUCUGAAUUAUCACAGUUUUUAAAAAUUAAAGCCGAAAAAGUGAGGAAGGUUGUUAAAGCCAAUUGCUAUACAUGCCCAUUUUCAUUUUUGGAAUGCUGUUUUUCAAACCAACCAAUGACUUUAAAAGCUAAGAUUUCAUGUAGCAUUUUUUGGACUAUCGUUUUCUAUCGAAAAAUGCAUUNNNNNNNNNNNNNNNNNNNNNNNNNNNNNNNNNNNNNNNNNNNNNNNNNNNNNNNNNNNNNNNNNNNNNNNNNNNNNNNNNNNNNNNNNNNNNNNNNNNNNNNNNNNNNNNNNNNNNNNNNNNNNNNNNNNNNNNNNNNNNNNNNNNNNNNNNNNNNNNNNNNNNNNNNNNNNNNNNNNNNNNNNNNNNNNNNNNNNNNNNNNNNNNNNNNNNNNNNNNNNNNNNNNNNNNNNNNNNNNNNNNNNNNNNNNNNNNNNNNNNNNNNNNNNNNNNNNNNNNNNNNNNNNNNNNNNNNNNNNNNNNNNNNNNNNNNUAUGGCAUACUAAAUGGUUUCAAGUUGAGGAGGCUCGUUUCUCACACAAGCAUGAUGAGCCAAUUACGUUGUUGGGCUUUUCUAGUGCAACUUCUUACUAUCCUAUAGGGUGGCUCGUCAGUACAAAGCUCUUCAAGAAAUUCCUCUGCCACUCAAAACAGAGUUAUUCCAAGUUCGUUUUAUUCGAGCAAACUAUGACUACUUCAAGGAGAUCCGGAUGAUCAUUGUUGCAUGGAAUGAAUGCCACCUACAGAAGAUUUUGGUGCCCAAGAGACUAAAAGGCGAGAAGGAGAUUCACCAUCCGUCGACAUUCUACAUCCAACAACAUUGGAUUUCUGCCGCCCUACGUCCAGUGGUCCCUGAUGUGACUAAGAAGCCAACCCAAUGAGCACAAAUUGAGCAUCUUAAGCGGAAAGUGGAAAUGAUUGAAGCGGAAAAUAAGAAGUUUCGCAAGGCGUUGAAAUCCCGAAAGCAUAUAAAAUGAGACGUCUUGAAUUUUGAUUCUUAGUUCAAUGUUUAGGGACUUUGAUUUCUAGCUCAAUGUUUUCAAUUUUUAGAUUAAAUGUUUAGGGACUUUGGAUUUCAAUUCUUAGUUCAUUGUUAGGAAACUUGGUUCAAAUUUCAAAUAAAAUCAGGUGAUUAGACCAUUGUCAUGAGCCAUUUUUCCUAUCUUGUCAUUGGUUCUUACAUUACUUUUAUCCGAUUAGGUGAUAAUGGAUCCUCCACGUUCGCCCAUCAUUACACGAUCGAGAGCAAAAAUGGCCGACCAAGCCGAAAUGCGAGAUUGUAUGUCUGUCGUAGAAGACCAACUCAAACAGUUGCUCACCUCUAUGCAACUUAUGACAACUCAAAUGCAAUCUCUCCAAGUGAAUCAAACCCUUGCAUCCGCUCUCCCCGAGAUUGUAGUCCCAAAGCAAAUGAACAAGACUCAAAUUGAUGAUGACGACACGCCUGAACUGGAGGAUGACCCACUGUUUGUCACUACCAAAAAGGUUAAGCCCGAUAAUAUCCCUAAGGUGGAGCAGGAUGAACGCUUCACCAAACUUGAAGAGAAACUGAAAUAAUUGCAAGAGUCGCGAAGUUCACUUCCAUUUGACUUGUCAGUUUAUGAGAAAGUCAAGAUGCCGAAAAAUUUUAAGAUGUCGGAGUUCGAGAAAUACGACAGUAUUUCAUGCCCAAAGGCUCAUUUGCAGAGGUACCACGUACGCAUGGCCUAGUAUGUCAAGAAUGANNNNNNNNNNNNNNNNNNNNNNNNNNNNNNNNNNNNNNNNNNNNNNNNNNNNNNNNNNNNNNNNNNNNNNNNNNNNNNNNNNNNNNNNNNNNNNNNNNNNNNNNNNNNNNNNNNNNNNNNNNNNNNNNNNNNNNNNNNNNNNNNNNNNNNNNNNNNNNNNNNNNNNNNNNNNNNNNNNNNNNNNNNNNNNNNNNNNNNNNNNNNNNNNNNNNNNNNNNNNNNNNNNNNNNNNNNNNNNNNNNNNNNNNNNNNNNNNNNNNNNNNNNNNNNNNNNNNNNNNNNNNNNNNNNNNNNNNNNNNNNNNNNNNNNNNNNNNNNNNNNNNNNNNNNNNNNNNNNNNNNNNNNNNNNNNNNNNNNNNNNNNNNNNNNNNNNNNNNNNNNNNNNNNNNNNNNNNNNNNNNNNNNNNNNNNNNNNNNNNNNNNNNNNNNNNNNNNNNNNNNNNNNNNNNNNNNNNNNNNNNNNNNNNNNNNNNNNNNNNNNNNNNNNNNNNNNNNNNNNNNNNNNAAAUGACCAAGACAACACAACUACUGCGUCAUCAUUUGCCCAAGCAAUAUAGAAGCAUUUCUCUCUCCUGGGUCUCCAUCCCAAGUGCUGACAAUCUCCGAAAGAAAGCUUUGCUUACUAGUGAACCAAAACGUCCCAACCGCGAAAACAUUCACGGUUAUGACCCGACAAAGAAGUGUGACUACAUAACGGUGAAUUUGGGCAUUUAACUGACGAAUGUUUCACCCUCAAGCAUAAGAUCCAAAAUCUCUUGGACACAAAGGCCUUCUCAUUUCAAACUGCUCGGCCAAACGUCUAGAAGAAUCCGCUACCGGAGCAUGAGGGUACAGUGAAUGCUAUCCUAGAACCUAAAGUUAGACGGAUCAAGAACUCGAAGGUGCGUGUGGCAGAUGCCUACAAUGGACUGGUGAGAGCUGGAUAUUAUUCAGAUCAAGAAGAUGUUCCCCCAUCAUUGAUGAAAGAAAGAGUUGCUAGAAUGGUGGAUGAUGGUAUCAUUAUGUAUGCUGACCAUAACUGCAUAGUUUUCACUAUUUCUCAUAUCAUUAUCAAUUAGGAGGAAGAGCAGGCUGCUCUCGAUGAUAGUAAGGAAGAAGUAGAUCCGUCACUCGCAGAUAUGCCCCCGCUAGAAGAUGCAACUAAUGAGGAGAUUGUGAUCGAGAUGCCUCAACCAUAUGAGUAUGUCAACAAUAAGGCAGUGCCUUGGUCCUAUGAUUUAGAUGUUGACCUCGUUACAAGGUCUGGUUGAACUUAUACUCAAGUUAGUGCUCAACCUGCAAAGCCUAUCACUGACGAAGAGGCUAAGGAAUUUCUGACUGUGAUUAAAGCAAGUGAGUAUAAUAUCGUCGAUCAGUGACGAAAUAUGCCUGCUCAGAUCUCUUUGCUCGAGCUCUUCCAAACCUCCUCUGUGCAUCAAAAGUCAUUGAUGAAAGGUGCUAAGUGAAAUUCGUGUACCCGAAAACAGUUGAGGCAGAUAAGCUGGAGGAUNNNNNNNNNNNNNNNNNNNNNNNNNNNNNNNNNNNNNNNNNNNNNNNNNNNNNNNNNNNNNNNNNNNNNNNNNNNNNNNNNNNNNNNNNNNNNNNNNNNNNNNNNNNNNNNNNNNNNNNNNNNNNNNNNNNNNNNNNNNNNNNNNNNNNNNNNNNNNNNNNNNNNNNNNNNNNNNNNNNNNNNNNNNNNNNNNNNNNNNNNNNNNNNNNNNNNNNNNNNNNNNNNNNNNNNNNNNNNNNNNNNNNNNNNNNNNNNNNNNNNNNNNNNNNNNNNNNNNNNNNNNNNNNNNNNNNNNNNNNNNNNNNNNNNNNNNNNNNNNNNNNNNNNNNNNNNNNNNNNNNNNNNNNNNNNNNNNNNNNNNNNNNNNNNNNNNNNNNNNNNNNNNNNNNNNNNNNNNNNNNNNNNNNNNNNNNNNNNNNNNNNNNNNNNNNNNNNNNNNNNNNNNNNNNNNNNNNNNNNNNNNNNNNNNNNNNNNNNNNNNNNNNNNNNNNNNNNNNNNNNNNNNNNNNNNNNNNNNNNNNNNNNNNNNNNNNNNNNNNNNNNNNNNNNNNNNNNNNNNNNNNNNNNNNNNNNNNNNNNNNNNNNNNNNNNNNNNNNNNNNNNNNNNNNNNNNNNNNNNNNNNNNNNNNNNNNNNNNNNNNNNNNNNNNNNNNNNNNNNNNNNNNNNNNNNNNNNNNNNAAAGCCCUAUUAAAGCCCUAUGAAGCCUAGAGUCUCGAUUGCUGGGUUAGGGUACGAGGUGGAGGAAGUUCCGGAAGACAAAGACAGGGAAGGCGUAACCCGCCACCUGAGCAAGGGCGAGAGAGGCAAAAUUUACCACCUCCAAACAUUCAUGAGACGUUCCCUGGUCCUCCAAUUAUGAUGCAAGAUGAAGCUGAAGUCAUGGAUACUCUAGGACAACCAAGUGGGAAAUUCGACUAUAUGGUGAAGUAUUCGGCUCCUGCCAGCUUUUACUUUGACGCCCGCAAUAUAGUUCCAAGUGGAUGGGAUGGCAUGGAUGAUCCGACGCCUUCAAAGAUAGAAAACUCUGAUGACACCUUGGAAGGAAUUUCAAGUUUGUUCGAUGACCUCUCCAUUGGAGCCAUUGAUGGAGAACCUCUGGAAGAAACAGACCCUCGCCCACAAGAGUAACCCAUUUAUCACUUUUGCACAUUCCCAUGCGUGGGAAUUUUUAUUGCUUUCUAGGAAUUGUUUUUGAUUUCUUCUUUUUCACUUUCUUCUUAGGACUUGAAUUGCAUUUUCCAUUCAAUAAAUUGUAAUUUAUUGAUGAAUUUCAAUGAAAUUACAAGUUUUAUUUGAGGGCAUGAUGAGGUACACCAAACCAGCCUAGUGAUGAUAUCCAACCGAUAGAACAAAAUCAAAAUCCAAGGAGAACUCUGAGGCCUGGGCUUCAUCAUGUUUCUUCAUGUCAAAAACAUGAUUUUGCAAAAGAAUGUCAAAAAAAAUUCACAAAAAAAUAAAAUAUGAUUAACCCUGUCUGUCUUUUUUAUCCUUCUAUUUCCUGUUUCAGGGACGAUCAUAUAACAUGCAAAGGUGUGGAAAUGGUCCAAUCCAAUGCAACAAGUGAUGAUAAUGAUGAUCCUGAAGAUUCAAUCGAAGAUUCCAUUGAGGUGCAGCAAAGCUGGGAACAACAUGAAAAAGCCAAGACUCUCACAUCCGAGCAUACCGUCACUAUUAAUUUAAGUGACAUUGAAGAAGCCAAUGAGGUGAAAAUAGAGGCGAAUCUCCCCAAAGACGAGGCUAAGCGCCUAAUUCAGUUACUGAAGGAAUAUAAGGACAUCUUCGCAUGGACCUACGCCGACAUGCCUGGGUUAGACCCAUCAAUCGUGGAGCAUUAUUUGCCUACUAACUCGGACGUGCCUCCUAAGAAGCAAAGGCUGCGAAUAACUAAGCCUGAGCUCUCGAAGAAGAUAAAAGAAGAAGUGAUGAAGCUUUUAAAAGUCGGAUUUAUUGAAGUCUCGCAAUACCCUGAAUGGGUAGCAAACAUCAUGCCGGUGAUGGAGAACGAUGGUCGAGUUUGAGUUUGUGUCGAUUAUCGGGAUUUGAACAAGGCUAGCCCAAAAGAUGACUUCCCGCUACCUCACAUAGAUGUCCUUGUUAAUAGUAUUGCCAGAUUUGAACUAUUCUCAUUUAUGGAUGGUUUUUCUAGGUACAAUCAGAUAAUGAUGAAGGAGGAAGACACGGAGAAAACUGCAUUUAUCACCCCGUGGGGGACCUUUCAUUACAAGGUUAUGCCAUUCGGGCUCAAGAACGCAGGGGCAACUUACCAACGAGCCAUGGUAUCAUUAUUCCAUGAUAUGAUGCAUCAGGAGAUCGAGGUCUAUGUUGAUGAUAUGAUCGCAAAGACUCGACCUAGGAAAAGCCACAUCGAAACCUUGAAAAAGUUGUUCGAUCGACUCCGUGAGUUCAAGCUUCGUCUAAACCCCACUAAGUGCGUGUUUGGAGCAACAUCUGGUAAAUUACUUGGAUUCAUUGUAAACAGUAAAGGGAUUAAGAUCGACCCAGCUAAAGCUAAAGCCAUAUGUGAGUUGCAACCUCCAUCAACGGUGAAAGAAGUCCGAAGUCUUUUGGGCAGAUUGAAUUACAUUGCUCGAUUCAUUUCCCAACUUUCUGAAAUCGGCAAGCCAUUCUUCAAGCUCUUAAAGAAGAAUGCACGAGUCAACUGGGAUGAUGAGUGCCGAGAAGCAUUCGACAAGUUGAAACAGUAUUUGAUGAAUCCACCAGUUCUUGUCCCGCCAUCGCCAGGGCAUCCUUUGAUUCUCUACCUCACCAUUCAUAGUGAGUCAUUGGGUGCGAUGUUGGCACAGGGAAGUCCCGUCGACAAAAAAGAACGAGCCAUUUAUUACCUAAGUAAAAAAUUCACCAUGUCAGAGCUGAAAUUUUCUGAUGUGGAAAAGACUUGUGCUGCACUAGUGUGGGCGUUGCAUAGAUUGAGAUAGUACACACUGCAUUACCAGACAUUCCUUGUAACUGAGAACGAUCCUAUCAAGUACCUACUUGAUCGGCCAGCUUUGGUGGGUAGGUUGGUUAAAUGGCAAAUUUUGAUAUCAGAAUUUGAUGUGCAAUAUAUGCCACAGAAGUCGGUUAAGGGUCGAGUGAUCGCCGAUUUAUUGGCUGAGAAUCCGGAAGCCUCAAAUAGUGAUGAUCAUUCCCUAGAUGACCGUAUCUUGACUGUAAAUGAAGACUCAUGGACAAUGUUCUUUGAUGGAGCUGUGAACUUGUCUGAUUCUAGCAUUGGGGCAGUUUUGAUAUCCCCAGACAGACAUCAUCACCCAGUAGCUACGAAAUUGAUAUUCCCAUGCACUAACAAUACAGCCGAGUAUGAAUCUUGCAUCCUCGGGCUUCAAGCUGCAAUCGAGAUGGGUAUAGCCAAAUUAAAAGUGUUCGGGGAUUCCGCGUUAAUCAUACUGCAGACCGUAGGUGAAUAGAAGACUAAGGAUGCUAAAUUGCUCCCAUAUCACAAGUACCUAGAAGAUUUGAUCAAGGAAUUCGAUGAAGUUUCAUUUGAAUACUUACCGAGGUCUCACAAUCAAUUUGCAGAUGCACUCGCAACUUUAUCAUCCAUGUUGCAAGUCACUGACUGAUUAGAAGUCGAGCCAUUGAAGAUAGAGGUUUUGCCAAGGCCGUCUUAUUAUAUGGUAGUGACUGAAGAAUCUAACAAAAAACCAUGGUAUUACGAUAUCAUGAACUACAUCCAAAAAUAAGGAUUCCCCGAGGAAAGUACUCCAGUUGAUAGGAAGUACAUUAUGAAGAUGGCCUCAAAGUUCUUUGUCAGUGGUGAAAAUUUGUACAAGAGAACUUAUGAUUCAGUUUUGUUGCGGUGUGUGGGUGAAGCUGAAGCCACUCAAAUUAUGCAGGAGGUUCACGAAGGAGUGUGUGGCCCCUAUAUGAAUGGACACAUGAUGGCUAAGAAGAUCAUGAGAUUAGGCUAUUAUUGGCUCAUGCUAGAAGGUGACUAUAUUCAGCAUGUCUGGAGUUGCCAUCGUUGCCAAAUUCAUGGUGACAUGAUAAAUGUUCCUCCAACAGAGCUACACCAGUUUUCUGAGCCAUGGCCCUUCUUAAUGUGGGAGAUUGAUCUGAUCGGCCUGAUAAAUCCUAAGGCUUCAAAUGGAUAUCGUUUCAUUUUGGUGGCGAUAGAUUAUUUUUCCAAAUGGAUAGAAGCUAUGUCAUUUGCAAGUGUCACUGCUUGCAAUGUUGCGAAAUUCAUCAAACGUGACAUAAUUGCUCGUUGUGGUGUCCCUGAAACGAUUAUCACUGGCAAUGGAACAAAUUUGAACAACAAGCUUGUUGAUGAGUUGUUCAGCGAGUUCAAGAUCAAGCAUUUGAAUUCAUCCCCUUAUCGCCCUCAAAUGAAUGGGGCUGUUGAAGCGGCCAAUAAGAAUAUUAAGAAGAUCUUGGCUAAGACAACCGAGAAUUAUCGAGACUGGCAUGACAGAUUACCCUUCGCACUGAUAGCGUAUCGGACAUCGAUUCGUACUUCUACCAGGGCAACUCCUUUUGCUCUGGUAUACGGCAUGGAGGCAGUUUUGCCUGUGGAAGUGGAGAUUCCUUCCCUGAGAGUAUUAUCCCAAGUAGAAUUAUCUGAGGCAGAAUGGUCGCAACAAAGACUUGAACAGUUAAACUUGAUCGAUGAGAAAAGACUGAAGGCUCUCUGCCAUGGCCAAACAUAUCAACAGAGAGUAGCCAAAUCUUUCAAUCGAAAAGUGCGGCCGAGACAUUUCAAGGUAAAUGAUCUUGUUCUAAGGAAACUGUUGCCAAUUUUUCCAGAUCCUGGGGGGAAGUUUGCUCCAAACUACAGUGGCCCAUAUGUGGUAAAUAAGGUACUUCAUGGCGGUGCUUUAAUCUUGGCAUAAAUGGAUGGUCUGUGUUUUUCACUCCAGUUAAUUCAGAUGCUGUCAAGAAGUAUUACCCAUGAUAGAAUUUGCCAUGUUAGGUUUUGAAUUACAAACAUUUUAUGAUGAAUAAAUUGCCUCCUUGAAUUGCAAAUUCAAACUUGUUGCAAAUAUUGCAUGUUUUCCUUGAUGAAUAAUGUGAGAUAAAUUGAAUGUGUCAAAUGGGAUACUUUGGAAUGACGAAAGGCAAACCCUAUUCCAUACACUGACCCCUAGUGAGUUGUGUGAAAAAUUCCAUGCCUACGAGAAAAAGGAUGAUCUCGCAAAGGGUACGUCAACCAAGGUGAUGAGAGGCAGUUUUUUCUACUACCCGAAACACUACAGGUAAAUCCAUUGUUCAGCCCUUUGAGCCCACACACAUAAAGAGCUUUUUAAAUUAUUCCUGUCAAGAAUCGUCCCAUAUUGGGACAAGAUUUGAAAUAAAUGAUAGGAAUUUUCUUACUCACACUUGCAUCAAUAUUCGAGUAUUGCUUUUACAGUGUGACUUGUACGAUAAUUUAAAGUGCCUUAGGACGACGAAGAACAGUUCUUUCUCUAUCCUAUACACUUUAUCCAUUGCAUAGCCCCCUUGAGCCUAUGAAUUAAUUUCACAUUAAACCCAGUUGGUGAUCAUCCCCCACACUGGGGCAAGGCAAGAAAAAUUAAACCACUCAAGUAGCAUGAUUUACAAUGCUAAUAAAAAUGGAGACUUUGUCCAAAAAAAAAAAGAGUGCAAAAGUGGGGCAUGAAAAAGCAGUGUGCCUGGUAAAAGCAAUGACAAUGCCCAAAGAAAAAUCAAACACUUGAUGAAUGAGUCGUAAAAAAAAAGAAAAAACUCAAAUGUUGAGAUGUUGCAAUUAGUGGAGUUGUGAAGUGAAGAAAAUCUUCGACGAUGGAGAGGAAAAUUGCUGGAAAUGUCAAGAUGAUCACCAACUUUGACCCCAUAAACACUUUUUGAGCCAAAUGAUCCUUUCAUUUCCCAACCCAUGAACCCAACCUACGUUACGUCCCUUACAAAGUCUCUUCAGAUUAUAGCACUUGAAUUAACGUAAAAGUUCAUAUGUUUGGAAGCAUCACUUGAAGAAGUGUGAGUAAGAUAAUUUCUUCUUCAUUUCUCAUGUUUCUUGGCUUGUAAACCCCAAGAUGAUUGUGAAAUAUCAUUCAUUUUUUAAUAGCCUUGGCUCAAAGAGUCUCAUUUGCUAAGCCGUUGACCAAGCCAGCGUUGCAGUCCCUGUUAAAGACCUCUUAGAUUGGUAAAUUUCGUACCACUUGCGAGAUUGCUCAAACCCUUGUUUGGCAUGAUAACGGAAAGAUAGAGUGAUUGACAAAAAUCAUGUAUCAAAAGUCAGGAUAAAAUAGCUCAUUUUAAUGAGGAUGAGUGAAAAGUCCUUUCAGAUCGAGAGAUCCCCCAUUUGACACAUCCAUGACACUCAUGUGUUCAGAUUGGAACAUUUUUUUGAAAUAUUUCCCAAUGGAAAUUAGGUGAUGCAGGCUUGAUAUAAAUCAUAGUGCAUGAACCUCCCUUAAAUUAAUGCAUGUUUGUCAUCACAAAUGUAUAUUGCUUUUCCUAUGACCAUGUUUUGCAGAAAACAUUUCCCCUAGGAACAGAGAUGUUACCAGGUAAGUAUAUCUCUAUCUAUACCUUAAAUACUUGUUGUUGUACAGGUAUUUUCCCUUUUGAGUACACUGACACUCGAUGGAGUUGUCCCCAAAGAUUUUUCCCUAGAUUGCAAUGUUAGGCGACCGUAGAAUGGUACGAGUCCUCGACAACACCUAUUCCCUAUUUAGGCGACCGUAGAAUGGUACGGGUCCUAGAAAGUGAAUCCCCGUUUAGGCGACCGUAGAAUGAUACGGGUCCUAAAUAAAACCUAUUUCCCUAUUCAGGCGACCGUAGAAUGGUACGGGUCCUGGAAUGUAAAUCCCCGUUUAGGCGACCGUAGAAUGGUACGGGUCCUAGAAGGUAAAUCCCCGUUUAGGCGACCGUAGAAUGGUAUGGGUCCUAGACACAAUCAAACACUGUCAUACUGGGUGACCGUAGAAUGGUACGGGUCCUAGGAAAGCAGUCUCUUUGCAAAGUCAUGUUACUAUUCUAGGCGACCGUAGAAUGGUACGGGUCUUGGACAUGUAACACAAACUAUCUUGAAUCACUCUACCCUCCUUGAAGGUAAGAUAUUCUAGAUAAGUCUUUUUUUUACCAUUUUAUACUCUUUAAGGAACCCGAGUGAGAGUUAGGUACUUACAGAGUAAAUGGGGAUUUAUCAUGUACCUCAAGAUGCUUUACCACACUGACCGGUAACUAAUUACAGGUACGUCUUUUCCUUUCAGAUCAUGCAUUUGCAUUAACAUUUCCAUGAAUCAUUACAUUACAUGGGGUUCAUUUUCCGAAAAAAAAAAAUCAUUUAGUGCAUGUGCAUAGUCAAAAUUUAUGUCUCAAUUUGUCUUUGAAGGCAACCUCUUCGAGCUCACCUUCAAAGAUGGGCAGCUGUUGAUACCUAAAUUUUAACUUUUUUUUAUUUUUUUAUUAGGGUAACAAAGAUAUUUAACUUAUCUCUUAAAAAAGGUUGUUAAAAAAAUAUUUUGUGGAGGAAUGAGAUUUUGAAGGAUUUUCGGAUAACGAAGUCAUAUCAAAAGUUGAGUAAAUUGUCUUUAAAAAAUCUUCAUAAAGAAUUUGGGAUUAUUUUCUUGUUGAGCACAUCUCUCCGUUUCUUCGAAUGAUCCUUAGCGAUUAGGUCAAUAUAUGCAAAUCUUCGUAGGUUGAACAAACCGAGGUUUUCCUCUAUAUAAAUAGGGGGGCUUUUUCGUUUUCUCUUGGUCAAAAAAAGAAGAAAAGUCAAAGGAAAAGAGAAAUUUUUUGAGGCUUUCUUCUGCUGGCUUCAAAAGUGAAAAGGAGGGUGCAGAAAGUACAGAGAGAAGAGACAGGUGAGAGUGACGGAGAGGGAGAGCGACCCGGAAAAGAAAAAAAGAAAAACAAAAGGAAAGGGAAAAGCGGAGCAGAAAACGGGGGACUGUUAAUUGUCUUCUUCGUGCAGCCACUUCCCCCCCCCCCCGCCUUCCGCCUGCAACCCUUGCGCCGUCGCCGCAGCUCCACACCCUUGUGAUGUCAUCGCUGCGCCGCCUGCGUCCGGUAGCCAGCCUCGAAUGCUCCGCCACCGCUCCUCGCCCCGGAAGACGCCGCGCCCGUAACGCCGCCUCUGCUCUGGUUCUGCCCGCAAAGCCGCUGACCACCGCCUCGCUUGCAGCCCGUCACUGACGCCAGCAGCUCCUGCGACCUGCCCCGAUUGUGACUCAAGACGCCGCGUCCCGCCGACGUUUCCUCCUGCUCGCUCGUUGUUGCUCGGGUUGCCAGCAGUCGAAGCUCGCGCCGUCUCCCUCGCCCACGAGCUCAUGUCACUGGUCUGCCCAGGAGCCGUGAAGCCGCUGACCCCUGCUGCGCUCGCACCGCCAAGCACCACCGUCGCUACCCCUGAUCCGAGUCUACUGUUGUCCUCAGUGCGCCAUCAGCUACUGCCCGAGCGAUCUCCUGUUUUGUUGCAGGUUUACCUUCGCCGGACCUCGUCGAAGCUCCGACGACCGUGCCCAUCACUCUCACCGGAGCCCCAAAUUAGCCGUACCGUGGAGCCGAUCUACUUUUUGUUGCAGCCCAUUGCGACCCGCGACGCCUAAGCCUGCCGCGCCCACACCGCCGAGCACCGACGCCGAUCCACCCAACGCCGGCCCUGCCCGUCCUGACCCGAGCUUCCCUAGCUCCACUCCUGUGUUGCUGCCGUCGCCGGUUCACCUUGGCCGGAGCCUCCUUUGCGGAGCCGAUUCGUCGAUUCCCCUUGGAGAUACAUGAGCGGUGCCGGGACAAGAAAAACAAAAAAAAAAAAGAAAAAAGAAAGAAAAGGAAAUUAGGUAGUUUUAUUUUCUUUUUCUAUUUACUUUAUUUCAUUUAUUUCUUUUAAGUUUAGUUGUUAUUGUGAAAAUUUGAAGUGAUCUUCAUUUCAUGAAUUAUGUAGGCAUUAUCUGUAGAGUCUUCCCCAUAAUUAUUGUAAUUAUUAAUUUGAUCCAUAAGAUAUCGGAUCAUUUUUUUUAAUUAUAUUAAUUUUUGGGGUUUGUCGAUAGUAUUUUAAGUGUUGAAUCAAUAUAAUUAUUAAUUUGAUCCGUAAGAAUUCGGAUCAGAUUUUUAAUUAUUUUGAACUCUUUGUCGUGAUAAUUAGGGUUAUGAUAAUCGUUAAUUUGACCUGUGAGACAACAGGUUAUUUUUUCGAUUAUUUUAAUCCUUUAUUUGAUUGAAUAUCUUGAUUGUUUAGAUUUAGUUGAUAAUUGUUUGUUUUUUUUUAAACCACUAAAAAAUCUAAAAAAUAUUUGAAUUAAGAUUCAGUUUGUUUUAGAAUAUUUCUCGUUAUCUUGCAUAUCUAGAAUAUGGAUUUUAUUCCGAAUUUAGAAAAACUAUAAAAACAAAAAACAAAAAACAAAAAAAAAGUGCAUCCAUUUAGGUUGUUAGUUUUAUCAUUAUUUGAAUUGCAUGUGAAAUUUUAAUUUCGAAAUUAAUAUAAAAACACAAAAAAAUCAUCAUGCAUAUAUCAUGUUGAAUUAGGGCAUUAUUUGCACGUCAUUGCAUAUUAGAUAAAUUGCAUGUUAGAUUAAGAUAAUAUCUUAGUUUAAAUAGGAUUAAUGUGACUUGAUCCUUAGUUUAAAUUAGAAUUUUAAUCUAGCUAGAUGAUUUUUGCAUUUUUAAAUAGAAAUAUCAAAUGCACGUCAUUUAGUUUUUAUUAGGUUAAUUUAAUUAGAACUUCAUCGUCAUUAGACUAAGUCAUUUAAUAAAUGUCGCAUGACAUAUAACUUGCAUACUAAAUUGUAUGUUGCGUGUCAUUUUAGUUAAAAUAAUUUUGUAUGUCAUUGCAUUGCAUUACCUGUCAUUAAAAUUAGGUCAUUUGAUUAUUUUACAUUGCAUAUUUAAUUGUUGCAUUUCUUUAAUUUCAAAUUUCAUGAAAAAUAUAAAAGAAUUAGAAUGAAUUCAUUUCAUGCUUUAGGAUAGAUUGCAUGCUUAUUUAGGACAUACAAUUUUGGUCAUGUUAUCAUAUUAUUUCAUGUUAGAAUAGUGAUAUGCAUUGCAUAAGUCAUGAUUUUCAUUGAAAUUACGUGUUAAUUAGAAAUCAUAUCUAGAGUUGCUGAUGUGAAUUCUGAUUUAACAAUGCAGAUGCUUUCGUUGCUUCUAAGUAUGUUUUGCAAUAUUUAAUUGCUUUCUUGAGUGUUAAAUUGGUGGUAUGCGCACAUGUAUGAUCACCUCACAUGUUAGGAAGUUAAAUUAAAAUCAAUUCAAUUGCCAAACAUUUUUGAAAAAUGAAAUAAAAAGGUACCGAAAGGGCACUAGGAUAGUCUGGUGUAACCAAGUCUUCGAACUCAUAAAUCUCUGGUUCAUAGGAGUAAAGUAAAUCUCUUGUUACUUUACUUGGGUUUCUAAUCGACCCACCAAAAAUAGAUUAGUGGCAACUCCUGAUUGAAAAUCAUUUGCAUGUUAAGAAUUCAAACCUAAGUUGCGAAUUGGUAUGGGCUUGGGAGAGCCUGAGCUAAGUUUAAAGACUUAGUAAUCCAUUAACUUAGUUUUAGGUGGUGAACCCGAAAAAAUUAGGUCGCAACAGAUGUCUUAAGGUUUUUGGUUUUAGGACAUAGUAUUUGAAAUUUCGAUGGAAAGUAACAAGAAAAAAUUAAAAGAAAAACACUUCUUUUUUUAAAAAAAAAAAUUCGGGCUGUGCCCAAUCCUAUUGGGUCUGGGCCAAAUGGGGUGACUUCGGUCCUAGCUAGGUCAAAUCCCAAGCCACAUUUUUGGACGGGCCAAAAAAGGGGCAAAAGUCUGCCCCACUCACAUAUUAACUCAUUCAUAAAAGGUAUGAUAACUGCAUAUGAAUUUGGAUACACUACACUUGCAAAUCUAAAUAAUCGAUACAUAGCUUGGAAAAGGAUCUAAUAUAGUUAGCCAUGUCGGCUACAUUAAAUGUUUUGUAAGCUCGUCCAAGGAGAAUUGACAUAGUAAUAUGGAUGGUAUAUCUUUUGAUCGUGUGAUAUCAAUCGUAUAUGUUUGGCAGAGCAAAUAUAUAUGCAAUUCUUGAGCCCACACGACUUUAUCUUCCAUAAAUGAAAAGACAGAAUUAAAAUAAUUUAGAUGGAAUGCUUUUAUUUGAAAUUAAAAUAAGUGCACUAGAAACUUUAAAAUUUUUUUAAUAAAAGUGUGACCAAAUUUUAAAAUUUAUUGAAUAAUUACAAUUGAGUAAUUUAGUUAGUUUCCCCUGUUAUGACUGACCGAACGACCAAACAAGUGCUCUUUUAAAUAUUCCCAGGAAAUGUUGUGUCAAUGUAACCCCUAGUGAAAAAAAAAUAAAUGUAACCCCUAGUGGGCCCCAUAUCAGCAAAAUAGCCCCAAUAAAAUUCCGCUUUUACCCAAGUGCCGCAUUGUUCGUCGUGCCUCUCUUCAACAGCCGAUUGAUGGUGCGCAUCACACCGUUGGCACUUAUCGAAUUCUUCCAAUCUACCUGUUGGACAGAAUCAAUUAUGAAGAUUUCGAGCUAUUUAAAGAACAUGACGAUAGCCCACCAAUCCUGCUCGCUCAUACAAUCAGGAUCUAGGUUUCCAUAAGUAGAACCUUCCAAGUAUACUUCGCUAAUCAACGGAUCCAAGAUCCCUAAAUCAAUCUUGAUCUGAAUAAUGGAUUCCGACAUGUUGUAUCCAGAUAAGAGAUCUUCUUUAGUCGACAUAAUCAAAUCUUUAACGAAAUACUCUGUUUCAGAUAAGCCUUCUUCGACGGUCUAGAAACUGUCAAUGAGGAUAGACUUUGAGUCUUGAGUCUGGCAGUCCGAAGGUCUUCAGACUUUGAUGGAAGAGUCUAUAAGUUUUCAGGCUAGAUUGAUGGAAACAUUUUGUCAACUUCAAAACACUCAAGGAAGUUUUCUCUAACAAUCUCCCCAUUUUUGAUGGUGACAAAACUUUCCUGCAGAUUUGGAUAACUUUGACCUGCAAAACAUUACUCAAGCAAACAUGGAUAUCUCGCAAAAGAUAAAUGGCUUAGUAAAGAUAACAUUAAAAUCUGCAUCCACAAAAAGUAGGUUAGUUCUAUAAAUGAGCAAAGCCAUAAGAUAUCAAUGGUGCUUAAGACAAACAUUUAAACAAUCAAAUCCAAACCCAGUCCAAAUCAAAACAGCCAAACACAAAAGUCAAGUCAAUCAAACAUAAUCGUCACAAAAGUCAAGAGUUCAGAGCUCAGAGUUCAAAGUCAAAUAUGCACCACAUCUCUCCCCCUUUUUGUCAUCAUUAAAAAAGUAGAGAUGAAAAGAGAAUGGAAUUAAGAUUGCUUGGGAACACGAACAAGUUGGAAAUCUCCCAUUGACUGGACAAUCCCUUCCAUCUUUUUCAAAUCCUCCUUCAAUUGCGCCACAUCUUCACCCUUAGCAUUUGCUUGAACUUGAAGAGCAAGGGCAUUGAUUUGAUCAUACAAAGAAACUGAAGAGGCUUGUCCUGCAUUCUGCAAUUUCUAAAUUUCGUAUCCUAGAGUAUAAAUUUGGUCGCGCAUCUCCAAGAGAACAUCAAGCACUCUACGAAAGUCCGCUGAAUUAUCAGUCUGAAUACUGGCUUUUGCACGAUCAGACGGUGUAUUGGCAGAUGAUGGCAAAUCAGCAUGGUCACGCAGAUUGGGCGAUGAAAUAUCAUGUCCCUCCUCAGGAAAUUGAGAGGCAUAGAUGUCCUAUGGAUCUGCUGGAGAACGAUUUACUCAUUCACUGGUGGUAGGAAAUGAGGACGUACCCCUUUUCUCAAGAUCUCCCCCUAUUUCAAUGCCUUCAGGUGGAGAAAAAUGUUCCUCAUGCUCUGCUUCUGCUUGUUCUCCUCUGCCCUCUUCUUCUUCUUCCUCAAUUCUUUCCUCCUCUGAUUCUUUCUCCAAUUCUUCUCUCUCUCUCUAGUCCUCUGUUCUGUCUCAUCCUUGUCUUGUUCCUAUCUCUCCGUUAUCUCUAGAACAGAACGACUCAAGUUCUUCAAUGCCAUCGCAAAAAUGGUGAUAUCAUCCUCAUCCUCUUCAUCCUCAAUGAUGAGUGCUUUUCUUUUCUUGGAUGGAGCAAUCGUGGGCUCAUUACCUUUUCGCUUUGCAGCCAAAGAGACUGGAUGAGUCUUGACAGGGGUUUUCACCUUGAAUUGCUCCAAAGCCUUGUUGAGUUCCUUCAGACGCAUUUUAGAGACCAUUCUCAGUCCCACCACCAUUUGAUCGCAUGUUCGAACACAAAGAAUUCGGGAAGGCUGAAUGUUCAAAUGUCUGAAUAACUUGGUCACAAGUGCUGAGUAUGGAAGUUGACCCUUAUCCUUCAUCAUUAUUCUGUACAUGUGAGACAUAAUAGUGUGUGGAAGAGAGAACUUUUUGCCAGCAUUGAUGGCAUACAUCAACUUUGCCUCCGAGUUUGAAACGUCGGUUUUUGAAGUUGAUUUUGGUCUGAGGUAGUUAAUCACUAUCUUGUGAAGCAAAAUGUUGGACUCAUUCAUUUGAAUAAGAAAUCUUUCCUUCCGUUGUUCUAUCCUGAACAAGCUCUAUCGUUGCACGAGCAAUAGACACACUAAUAGGUUGAUAUCUCCCUCUUUCAACCCCAAUCAUAUCAGCCAAUGUAUUCAUGUCAACCACAUAGUCCUGAUCUCAAACACUGAAAGAGAAUUUAUUCGCAUCCAAGAAAUUGAGAUUCGAAUAGAAGUAAGUAGCAAGUUCAGCAUGAGCCUCUGUCGUUUCAGAACAAAACUGUUCGAGUUGAAAAAAAUUGAAUUUUUCUCGUAGAUUGACAUUCAGAGAGUCGAGAAAAUCAAAGUCCACAAUUCUAGGGUUUAUCACACCACGCUUUAGCAACUUAGAGUACAGUUGCUUGUGUUCCUCCCAUCGAAAUAAGUCUAUCUUUUUGCUUUAGAUUUUUGCCGCAACACUCAUUCUAGGUUUAAACUGACUGUACAUCCUAUUAUCAUCAUUCUCAUAAGGUUGACUCAGCCCUCCAACACGUGGAUCGCUUGGGAUAUUUGCCAAUGCUUCUUCCGCCAACCCCGCAGGGGCAAUUCCCAAUCGUUUCAUUGUGCGUAAAAAGAAAGUUUCAUUUCUAUACCCUUUGUCUUUCAGAAAUUCAUCAAUAUAGUUCAACGGAGUACCACUCCUCUUCAAAGCACAGUAAAGCUUGUAAGUAAAAGCGGGCUUAUGAGUUCUUAUAGGUUAUGCAUCUUCGAUGAUUUCUUUCUCUUCUCGAUGUGCAACAUCCUGAGGUCUAGAUGGAGGAGAUGGACUUUGCUGAGAAUGUUGUGGGCUUUGUUGUUGUCUAGGAGAUUCUUCUUCCUCGGUGAGAUCAAAGUGCGUAAGCCCCUCACGCAUUUGCUGUGGUCCCCUAUUCGCAAUCCUCAAAGACUUUCUUUGAGACGACAUCUUUCACAGUCUUUGAGAGAUUCCAAGCUUGUUUCUCAAGAAAGAUGAAAACUUUUCAAGGAUUAAACAAGAGAAGAAGACAGAAAUGGAAGAUCUAUGCUCUCUUAGGGUUUUUGGGUUUUUGUGUGUAAAACGAAGAAGAACCGACAGUAUAUAAGGCAGUUGAAGCGAAGCAUACGGAACGUCGUAAAAAGGAAAUAUAAAAAAUGCCUUUUAAAAAUAACUGCAUUUUCAAAAAUUAGAUAACUAUCGUUUAAAAAUAACUUCUUUUUCGAAAAGGAAGGAUUGCAAUAAUCACGAAAAUUGGGAAAUAACAUCAAUCAAUUUCGGAUAGAAGAUCAUACCUUUUCAAGAUUUGAUCCGAGAGAUAAAGUUUCUAAAAUAGAAGAACUAACAGUCGUAAAUCUUGAUUGUCUGAGUCUGAGUGUCUUUAGACUUUCAGUCCUGAGUCUGAACUUUCUCAGACUUUAAGAUAUUGAGUUUGGAACGAAUAACUUCAAAUUGAUUUUUCUCCAAAGGCUUUGUAAAUAUAUCCGCCAAUUGAUUCUUUGAAUCAAUAAACUGAAUUGAAACUUCUCUAUUUUGAACAUGAUCUCUAAUGAAAUGAUGUCGAAUCUCUAUAUGUUUUGCUCUUGAGUGAAGAAUCGGAUUCUUGGUGAGAUCGAUUGCACUGGUGUUGUCACAUUUAAUCUCAGUGUAUGAAUCUUCAAUUCCAAAGUCUCUUAGUUGUUGUUUUAUCCACAGAAUUUGUGAACAACAACUUCCAAGAGCUACAUACUCUGCUUCUGCCGUAGAAAGAGCUACUGUACUUUGCUUCCUUGAAAACCAAGAUAUUGUCCUGCUUCCAAGUAGUUGACAGGUGCUCAAGGUGCUCUUUCUAUCAACUUUGCAUCCGGCUAGGUCUACGUCUAAGCAUCCAAGAAGAGUGAAGUCUCCUUCUUUCGGUACUAGAGACCCAAAUUUGAAGUUGAGGCAAUGUAUUUGAUAACACGCUUUGCAGCACUUAAAUGAGACUCUUUAGGUUCUAAUUGAAAUUUGGCACAAAUACAAACACUAAACAAAAUGUUAGGUCUAGAAGUAGUUAGAUAAAGAAGUGAACCAAUGAUACUCCUGUAUAGCUUCUGGUCAACUUUCUUUCCUUUUUCAUCUUUGUCCAGUUUCAAAGAACUUGACAUUAGUAUAUUAGUCUUUUUGCAAUUUUCUAGUCCAAACUUUUUGACAAGUUCUUUAACAUAUUUUUCUUGAUGAAUAAAGAUUCCCUCCUUCAGUUGUUUCACUUGAAGCCCGAGAAAGAAGGUUAGUUCACCCAUCAUGCUCAUUUCAAACUCAUCCUACAUAGAUUUAGAGAAUUUUUUACACAGAUUUUCAUUAGAAGAUUCAAAAAUAAUAUCAUCAACAUAAAUUUGAACAAGUAAAAAGCUUUUGCUUUCUCUUUUAAUAAACAAUGUAGUAUCUACUUUACCUUUGACAAAGCCAUUUUGAAUUAAAAACUUACUUAGUCUGUCGUACCAAGCUCAAUGUGCUUGCUUUAAACCAUAUAGAGCUUUUUUCAGUCUGAAUACAGAGUCUGGUUUCCUUGGGUCUUCAAAACUGGGUGGUUGUUCCACAUAGACUUCCUCUUGGAUAAAUCCAUUUAGGAAAGUACUUUUGAUGUCCAUUUGGAAUAACCUGAAAUUCUUAUGACAAGCAAACAUAAGUAAUAAUCUAAUUGCUUCUAACCUUGCUACUGGUGCGUAAGUCUCAUCAUAGUCUAUCCCUUCUUCUUGCGUAUAUCCCUUGGCCACGAGUCUUGCUUUGUUUCUUACGACUUUUCCUUUCUCAUUCAUCUUGUUCAUGAAAACCCAUUUAACUCAAAUGAUGGAUUUACCUUUCGGUUUAGGAGUCAAUUCCCAGACAUCAUUGAUGCUGAAUUGCCUGAGUUCUUCUUGCAUAGCUUCAGUCCAUCUUUCAUCAGUUAAAACUUCUUCUAUGCUUUUGGGUUUUAUUUCAGAAAUAAGAGCCACAGCACUAGACUCUUCACGCCUUUUGGAUCUUGUGCGAAUUCCUUCAUUAAUAUCACCAAAAAUAAGAUAUUUGGGAUGACUAGACUUAUGCUUCUAAUUGCUGGUUGAUUUGUCAGAUUGUUGAUCUUUUUCCUCAUUUGAAUCUUCAUUGAUCAUUUGUUGCUUGUCUUCUGAAGUUUGAGCUACUUCUGGAGAUUUAGACUUUGUAGAGUCUGGAGCAAGUUUAGAUUCUUCAAGAUUAGUGUGAAUCGAUUGAUUUUGCAUAAAGUCUUGAAAUUUGACAUUCAUUGAUUCCUCCACAGAUUGAGUCUUUUUGUUGUAAACUCUGUAAGCUUUGCUUGUGAUAGAAUAUCCAAGGAAAAUACUUUCAUCUGAUUUUUCUUUAAACUUACUAACUCGAUCAUUUGCAUUUUUCAAUAUAAAACAUUUACAUCCAAAUACAUGAAAAUAUGAAAUAUUGGACUUUUUUCCUUUGAAUAACUCAUAGGGAGUUUUCUUCAGAAUAGGCUUUAAAAAGACUCUAUUAAUAAUAUAACACGCUGUAAAAACUACUUCAGCCCAAAAACUAGAAGAGAUGUUACUUUCAAUUAAAAGAGUUCUAGCCAUUUCCUGAGUGACCUAUGCUUUCUUUUCACGACUCCAUUUUGCUUUGGAGUAUAUGGUGAAGAGAACACAUGCUGAAGACCAAAUUCAUCACAUAAUUUUGUAAAGUCUUGAUUUUCAAAUUCACCUUCAUGGUCUGUCCAUAUACUUGAAAUAACAUACCCUUUCUCAUUUUAGACCUUUUUAGCAAACUUUAUAAAAUAAGAGAAUGUUUCAGACUUACUUGCCAGGAAAUAUACCCAAGUGAAUCGUGAAAAAUCAUCCACAAUUACUAAACAGUAUUUCUUAUCUCCAAUGCUCUGAGUUCUGGUAGGUCUGAAGAGAUCCAUAAGCAAGAGCUGUAGUACACGAUUAGUGGAUACUUGAUUUAUUGGUUUGAAUGAGUUUCUUACCUGUUUUCCCAACACGCAGGGUGUGCAUAGAUCAGACUUUUGAUAUGUCAGAUUGGGUAGUCCACGAACAAGCUUCUUUGCUGAGAUUUUGGCUAUUUACUUCAUGUUGAUGUGUCUAAGUUUUCUGUGCCAUAAGUUUGUUUUUUCUUGAAUUGAGAUUAGAUAUUGAGUUUCAUCUAGUUUGAUAUCCAAGAGGUAGAUAUUCACAUGUCUUCGACCUGUGAAAGACUGAGAGAAGUCUUUAUUGGUUCCUGAACAUAUUCCUUCUUGAAAGUUGAUUUUGAAAUCGGUGUCGCAUAGCUAACUGAUACUCAAUAAAUUGUAGUUGAGUCCUUCCACUAAGGAAACAUUACUGAUCGUGAGGCUUCCAAUCUUUACAGUUCCGUAUCCCACAAUUCUUCUUUUGCCGUUUCCUCCAAAAGAAACUUUUCCAUCAUUGACUUGUACAAGCUUUAUGAAGCAAUUUGAAUCUCCUGUCAUAUGUCUUGAGCAUCCACUAUCUAGGUACCAUUUAACAUUUUUCUUAAUAGUGACCUGCAUUUAGAAAGGAGACUUAAGCUUUCUUUGGUACCCAUAUUUUCUUGGGUCCAUUGGUGUUAGUGUAAUAUAUGGUCUUUGCCCAAACCUUCUUAAUAGGUUUCCAAACCAUAGGACAUUCUUUCUCAAAAUGAUCUGAGCUAUUACACUUAAAACAUUUAAGAGCACUGCGACCUACUAGUUUUACAAAAACUUUUUGGAAAUUAUUUUUGUAAGAAUCUCUUGUAGAUCUUUGCUUAAUUCUUUCCUUUACUUUAGGAAAAUCAAUUAGAAGAAUGGUUUCAACAAUCGUUCCUAAACCUGAUUUGUUGAAGUAAGGUCUUUGUGCUGAAAGAAUUUUUUAAAGUUUCUCUGAUCCUAUAGAAAAUCUUUUAGAAAUACUUGAGAUAUCAUUUUUCAAGAAUUCAUUUUCUUUUGAAAGAUUGUCUGCAUUUUCUUUCAAAGUAGUAACACUUUUAUCUAAACUUUUCACCUUUUCUUUACAAACAUUUUCCUAUUGUUUAAGUGCAUAAUUUUCUCUUUUAAGUUCGGAAAUCUUUUUGAGAGAAGUUUUGAGAUUAAGACACAAUUCAUCAAUGUAUCUAGAGACUUUAGUAGGGAUUUUCAAAUUACUUAUCUCGAUUUCACUAUCUGAAUCUAUGUCUGUCUCGGAGUCUAAAUCUGAGUCUGAUUGUGCCAUGAGAUAAAUAUUGGCAUAAUCAUCAUCACUUUCCUCACAUUUUGUAUUACUCCAAGUUUCUGCUUUAAGUGCCUUUCGAUAUUUCUCAGCUUUUCCUUUCUUUUUCCUCAGAAGAGGACAAUUGGGUCUAAUGUGUUCCUUUUUCUUACAUUCAAAGCAGACUACAUCUUUAUUGGAUUCAUCAUCCUCAACUGACUUAAUCUGUUGCUUUUGAAAACUUUGUUUCUUUGGAUUGAAUAUUUUCCCCUUUCUGUUUAGUUUUCCGAAUAUUCUUGUCAUGAAAGCAAGCUCUUCAUCAUCCAUAUCGUCUUCAGAACCCGUGACAUCAGAAUCAUCAUUAGAUUUUAAUGCAAUGGAUUUCUUACCUUUAGGAUUUUCAUCUUCGUUGAUUUGCUCCACUUCAUAAGAUUGAAGAGUCACAACCAAUUCGUCAAUAGAGAGUGACAUGAUUUUUUGUAUCUCUCUUAUUGCGGUCUUUAUGUGAUUCCAAUCCUUGGACAGUCCACGCAGUAGCUUAUUUACCUUUAUGGGUCCAGAAAUUGGUUGACCCUGAUAUUCAAGACCAUUCACAAUUUCUGUAAAAUGGCUAAACAUAUCGGUGAUAGAUUCUCCUGAUUUCAUUUUGAAUGCUUCAUAUUGAUCGAGUAGAAUGUUGAUUCUGGUUUCUUUCACUCGAUCAGUUCCUUCAUAGGUGAUGUGUAAUCUAUCUCAGACUUCUUUAGCUGUUUCACAAGAAGAUAUUCUAUUAUAUUCAGUAGGAGAUAAUGCACAAUAUAAAGAAUAAAUUGCUUUCGCAUCAAGAGCUUGUCUCUUGGUUAUCUCUUUUUGAGUCAUUUCAUUAGACUCAACGGCUUCUUUUCCUCUUUGUGAGACUGGUGCAGCUUUAGGAAUGAUUCCUUUGUCUACCACAUCCCAUUUCAGAGGAUCCUUUGAUCUUAGAAAUGCCUUCAUCUUGUUUUUCCAUAUGUUGUAUUUCUUUCCAUCAAAAUAAGGCGGUUUGGUAUUACUUUGCCCUUCAACCAGUCCUGGAGCAACAUACUAGCCAUGGAUCUUUAACUCUGAAGUAAAACACUUCAACUUAAGUGAGUACACAGGCUCUGAUACCAAUUGUGAAAGCUAGUAUGAGCACCUUGAGGGGGGUGAAUAUGUGUAAAAACAAAUUUCCGAGAUAAGUGUGCAACACUAAUCAAUAAUAGAUGAUGAAAAUGAAGUUAGGCUCUUGCAGACAAAAUGAAUUACGAUCAAAGUAAAAUAGCGUAGGGAAGAGAAUAUGAACACAUGGUUUAUAGUGGUUUGGCUUAAUCCAAGCCUACAUCCACUCUUCCGCACUGACAGCCCACCGGCUGGAUUUCACUAUGAAACAAAAGAGUUGUUACAGUAAAGCUCUUCCUUGAUUCCACAGUGUAGAGACUCUGCUACACUUCCUCAAGAUCUCUCAAAGAUAUAGACUCUCUUUUGCAUACAAUAUUUCGCUUAAUAAUUUAAUUGAUUAAGAACAAGGAGUUUCAGACUUUGGAAUUCUUUUAUCGCGCACACACUCGAACAACUGGAAUGUCUUCCUUAUAUACUCAUUCAUGUCAUCACACCCGUUGGCACUUAUCAAAGGAAUUCUUCCAAUCUAACAGUUGGACAGAAUCAAUUAGGAAGAUUUCGAGCUAUUUAAGGAAUAUGACGAUAGCUCACCAAUCCUGCUCGCCCAUACAAUUAGGAUCUAGGUUUCCAUAAGUAGAACCUUCCAAGUAUACUUCGCCAAUCAACGGAUCCAAGAUCCCUGAAUCAAUCUUGAUUUGAAUAAUGGAUUUCGACAUGCUGUAUCUAGCCAAGAGAUCUUCUUUAGUCAUCAGAAUCAAAUUCUUAACGAAAUACUUUGUUUCGAAUAAGCCUUCUUCGACGGUGUAGAAACUGUCAAUGAUGAUAGACUUUUAGUCUUGAGUCUGGCAGUCUGGAGGUCUUUAGACUUUGAUGGAAGAGUCUGCAAGUCUUCAGAGUAGACUGAUGGAAACGUUUUGUCAACUUCAAAACACUUAAGCAAGUUUUCUCCAACAAAAAGUAAUUGUUGAGACAUCUUAAGAAUUAGAAUCUAAGUCAUCUUGUAUGGAGAAAUUUGAUAACGUGAUUCGAUGUUGUAGAAGUAGAUUAUAAAUGUUAAUCACACAAGGAGACUAGUUGAUAUGGACAAGCAAAUUGCAAAGAAUGUUGUUGCCUCCAUUACUAAAGGGAAAGACCUGAAAGAUAAGGAGGUGCCUUGUUAUGAUUAUGAAGUUUCGUUGUAGAUCUAGUGACUAAUAAUUUUAAUAUCAAAUGGGAGAUAAUGUUGUAUUUUGUUAUACCAAUCAACUAUUUGAAAAGGGGCGAAAAAGCUUACUUUACUUUGUCAUAUUGAGCCAAUAGUCUGAUAAAGCAUUAAUUUAGCUGUGCUUGAAAGAAUUGAAAAGCUUAAAUUUAAAUUUUCGAUUCCAUCCAUGUUCGAGUCAUCGAAAUCGUUGCUUUUUCCCCAAAACUUACGGUCUGCAUGGCUUAAAUGCAUGCAUGUUAUAUAUUUAGACAUGGAAGGCAUCUUUUGGCCGUGUACCCUAUUGUAUAUUAGGUGCGUAUAUUUUGACAUUUGACUUCAGAUUGCACAUUGAGAUUGAUGACUUUCAUUGUAUGGUUUAUUGUUGAUUAAAACUCCUUAAGGUAGCAACCGCUGCCUUAAAUUCACACCGUGUGUGAUUUGAUUCUCUCAUUAGUGUAUGCUAAUGUUUUGGUCUUUCUUCACCAUAUGUUGGUUUUUCAACAAUGUAAAUGGGAAUACUGUUCUUGUUUCAUUCAUCAGGCUACAUAUUCAGGAAAACAAGCAAAUUGCGACUCUCGGUAUUCAGACAGGUCAUGGAUGGUGAGGCUUGGGAGCUGUGGAUGUGACCAGGGGGCAUUUCUUCUGUUGGUUGGCCCACAUUUGCAAGAGAAAAUCAUCCGCAUGCAGGAAAAUGUUUGUGUGUUUGAGCUCAUUGAUUGGGAGGAUGUUGUGUUUAGAGUCUAUGAUUCCAUUAGUGCUGGUAAAGACUUGAUUACAUUAAUCGAAAUGAACUCUCGAAGUGUCACUUUGGCUCAUCCAAAAAUAAAUCACUUUUUCAUCAUUUUAUCUCCUUUGUUUAGUCUCGGUGAAUCAAUGAAGUGUACUUCUUCCAUUCCCAUUGCGUUUGUGAGGUUCGCAAUAAUCCAGAUGCACACUCAUUAAUGCCGCAUCCCAAAUCUAAAUAAACCGAAAAGGAUGUGCUUCAAUAUCAGAAAGAAAAUUAAAACCUGAAACGCUCAUCAUUAGAAUUUAGAGGUGUGACUUGUUGGUUUCUAAGUUAUGCUUAUUUGUACAACAUCAUGUAUUUUUUCUUGUUACAUUUUCCUAAUAAGCUUUUGUAUAUUGAUGGGUUACAUUACUAUUUAGGAUAUGCUAAGUGUAGUUAAUUAGUUAUGUCACGUGAAGAACAUGUACUCAUUAGUAACAUUAUAACAGGUAUUGAUUUGCAUAUUGUUGUAACUCGAUACAUAAUAGAGCAGUACCUAUGAGAACUCUUCUUUUACUUCUGUGCAGGUCGGACCAAACAGUCCGAAUAUCAAUUGCGCCCCUCUGAGCAGGCUUUGCAUGGCCUUACAUUUCCGCGGCUUCCCACUGCUCUUGAAAAAACUAGGGAAUUUGAAUUAGAGUAUCCAUUUUUGAAAUUGGUGAUGGGCCAACUUUUAUGAAGGACAGAACCACGGUAAGGGCCCUAUGUCUUUCAUAAUUGGCAUAUCUCAACCAUGACGCCAUCUACAUCUUGUCCUAUAGUCCACUGUUUUCCCAAAAUGUUUUGGUCUUUCAUAGGAAUCAUGUGAGAUGUUAUUCUCUGAGGUGUCCAUGGCUAUAUGUGUAAAAUCAGGAAAGUUUUGACUUUAAAAUUUCUUUUCUUUUCUUUUCUUUUUUAAUUUAUGGAUUCAUAAGGUUACCAAUUCCAAAAUAAAAGAUUUUAUUUUUUCAAUAAUCAGGGGUAAAGAAAAUUACUAUUAUUCAUAGACUAAGAGGAUAUUGUGGAGACAAUCAAUGUUGGCAACUCUUGAAGCAUUACCAUGAGAGUUCAAAAAUUGUGUACACUAUUGUAGAGUCUAUGAGCAUUGUAUUGUCACAUUUUAACUUCAAAUUGCAAGUUGGGAUUGAAGACUUCUAUUAGCCAAUUAAGAUUGUAAUUGAAUUUCCUGAAACUAGUAAAUACUAUAUUUACAUUUUGUUUGCCUUUUCUAUUUAUUGUUUGUUUGUAUCAAUCUUUUCCUCAUAAUACGAUAUUGGCAAAGUGUUCCUUGUGAAUUCAUAAAGAGGUACAUCCAGGAGAACCAGCAAAUUACGACUCUUAGGUAUUUGAACAAAUAAUGGCUGGUGCAGUUCGUAACCCAUCAACACCAUUAUCCAGCAAACACAUCUGUGGUUGGCCCACUUUUAUGAGAGAAGCUUAUCUGGAUGAAGGGGAUGUCUGCAUGUUUGAGCACAUUGAUAUGGACGAUUUUAUGGUCUUAGUUUCCGUCUCCAAUUAUGCUAGUGAGGACCUCAUUUAGGUCGAUCGAGAUGAAGAUUAGAAGCGUCACUUAAGGCUGUAUAUUAAUGAAGCAAUUCAUGCCUCCUUUAUUUAGUUGCGACAAAUCAAUUGAAAGUGCACUACUUUUGGCUUUGCUUCUCUUUCUUGACCUACUUACAGUCUUAUCAGAGUUCUCUUAAUACUUUUGUGCAGGUCAGAACAGACAAGUCUGAAUGCCCAGUGAGCCCCCCUGAGCAGUUUUUUUCGUGAUUCCAAGUGCCUGAGGCCUCUCACUGCCCUUGAGAAAGCUAGAGAAUUUAAAUUAGAGUAUCCCCUUUUCCAGACAGUGAUGUGGCCAUCUUUUCCUAAGAAAGAAGUGGCGGUAAGUCCUAGAUUUCCAUUCAAAAUCGGCAUAUCUCAAUUAUGAAUGCCACCUAUUCUAUAUAUGCGCCCCACUCUGCAAAUUUUUCCCAUGUUAAUAUGCUUUUUAUAGAAACACAUGAUAUGUUAUCUUUCUUGAAGCGUUCGUGGUUAUAUGUUUAAAACGGGCAUCUUAACAACUGAGUAAAGGGACUAGGGAAAAGCAAUAAGUCAGGCAGCAAUCGGCAAAUAACCUAGUGACAGGUGUGUGUGGAGACAAGGUCAAAGGGUUGACAAAGGCAAUAACAACCAUAAGUUAGGAAUUUAAUGAUUUCUAUUUUAAGUAUAAAUUCCUCCCAAAGAUGACUACUUAGUACUUUCUCUGGCUGCCUAGGCUUGGGAAGAAGAGGCGACACGAAAUGUCCAGCUUAAGUCAUAACAACUGCAACAGGCCUAGGCUUGGGAUGAUUGAGCUCUCUGCAACAACAUGGCACCACUAGUCAGAUAUUGCUCCCUAGCAAUGACUGGUUUUGUGAGAGCUACUAUGAUCGGAAAUGGAGGGACGGUAGUGCAGCCCUUGACCUCAAAAAUUAGUUCCACCACCUCGGUGGUAUGAAAAGAAGAAAAGAAGUAUCACUUUUUUUGUUUUUUGUUUUUUUGUUUUUUUCCAGGAAAAAGAAGAUCACUCACUUAUUGUGUAUAUAUGCCCAUCUAGCACACUAGGUGCAGCUUUUCAUGUUUGUUUCAAUGCAUAUCGCAAUGCAAGAUUAGUGACUCGGAUAUUGACCAGAUUCAUGCAUGUCUCUAUUGAUUACACGUACUUGGUGUAGUGUCUAAGAGCACAGGAUUGUGGGGCUUUGAUUUCAGAUUGGAAAUUGUGAUUAAAGACCAUCUCACCAAGCCUUUUAGACUGCUAAUAUGGACUCUGUAAACUAACAAUUACUAGCAUAGACUUACUUCUUGUUUGCCUUUUCACUUUAGUGUACGCUUACAUUCCUAUGUCUUAUCAUAUAUCGGCUGGUCAAAUAUCUUCAUGGGCAGAGCGUUACUCAUGAAUUCAUGAAGACAUGCAGCCAAGAAAACCAGCAAAUUGCUACUCUUAUGUGUUUGGAUACAUUGUGGCUGGUGACCAUCAUGACCUAUCGACGCUAUGGUUUGGCGAACUUCUCUGUUGGUUGGUCCAAGUUUGUGAGGAAAACUUAGUCUUGAAUGAAGGGGAUGCUGCAUGUUUGAGCUCCUUAAUAGGGAUGAUGUUUAGGUUGAAAUGGGAUGAACAUUGGAAGUGUCACUUUAGGCCAUAUGCUAGUUAAAAGCGAUUUAUGCCUCUUUUCUGUUGUGAUGAACCAGAUGAAAGUGCACUUUUAUUUGUAACUGUGCUCUUUUUUGAGCUACUUACGAUCUUAUAAUUUCUAGGCCCGGCCACUCCCAUACAUCCGAUGUUAGUCCUACACACAUUUUCUACUUUGGGUAUCUCUUGAGCUCGUUACGCUUUUAUCAUUGCCUUUUUGGAAAGGAUCUCUUGUUCAGCACUCGGUCCACUUCCAAGUUAUCGAACCUAGUUUUGUAUUACAAAAGAAUGUCAAAAGUGACGUGUUUUAGUUCUAGAAGGGAUGUGGAAAUUUAUGCAUCAUUCCGUCACUCAUGGUCACCCAAUAGCUUUUAAAUAUGGGAGAGACACUAUACUCAUGUAAUUAUAUUUGAUAAAAAAAAAAACUUAUCUAGAUACAUUAUCCCUCAAGCGGUGAUGAAAUUUAAAACCCUGAGAGUGAAUUCCACCUACAUCUGGCCUAUAGUCCACUGUUUUCCCAAAUUGUUUUGCUUAUUCAUUGGAAUCACAUGAGAUGUUAUUUUCCUUCAAUGGCUAUAUGUGUAAAAUUUUGAUUUGGAAAUUUCAUUUUUUUUUAAAUUUGGAUUCAUAAGAUUACCAAUUCUAAAAUAAAAGAUUGCAUUAUUUAUUUUUUUAUACUAAUCAGGUGUAAAAAAGAUCACUAUUAUUCACAAACUAAGAGGAUGUGGUGGUGAAGAUCAGUGUUAGCAACUCCGGAAGUGUUACCAUGAGAGUUCAAAAAUAGUAUACACCAUUGUAGAGUCUAUGAGCACUGUACUAUGACAUUUUGAAUUUGAGUUGCGGGUUGUGGUUGCAAACUUUUAUUAGGCAGUUAAGACUGUUAAUUGAAACUCUUGAAACUAGUAAAUAUAAAUAAUUUACGUUUUGUUUGCAAGAUUCUUAUACGCUCUUGCCCAUUCAUUACUUGUCAACUUUUGUGGACUUGAUAUAGCAAGACCCUUUUUUUUUUCUCUUUCUUGAAUCAACAAUGGGGAGAAAAAAACAUAACGAACCCUUUUGCGAACUUGACACAGCACAACCCCUUUUUUCUCUUUCUUGAAUCAACAAUAGGGAGGAAAAAACGUAUUGAACCCUUUUCCGAAAAGAUGAACUUGCAGUCUCAUCCAAAUAUGAAGGAAUAGAUCAAUCAUUAGUGAAUUCGUAUUGCUCACAUCUAAUUCUACAGUAAAAAAGCUAAAGCUGUCCACUGACACUGAGCGUGCACAACUCUUUAAUUUGACCAUAAGCGAAAUCCAUGCAAGCAGCACAAUCCAAUUGUGCUAGCCCGAUGGCACAAGCUCCAUGACCGAAGCAUUUGGUGUCGCCAUAAUAAGCACUGAUGUAGUAGUUGAAUCCCUCGGUUGCGGUGCGGGACCUCAGAUCAGUCAAGACUUGAUCCAAAGCUCAUAAGUAAUCGUCGGUGUACUGCACGUCGUUGCAUAUCUUGUAGAUAACCAUCACGUCCAGGUCACUUCUCACAAGACUCGAACCCCAUAGAAGCCUCAUGAACAUAAGUGCAUGUGAUGUGGACAUGGUCAUCCUAGCCCUCUUUCCUCCCUUUGGUUCUCUUUUGUUUAAUACAAAGAAACAGACAAUUGAGUUAGGCUUUAAAAAAGGUUCGUCUCCACAGUGCAAUCCGUCAUUUAUGCUUUGUUUUUAGGCCAAGUCAAUCCCAAUUUUAGUCAUUUAUGAUGUCACAUGGAUGUAUUCUUGAUAACUUCCCCAGCCGUUUCUAUGAAUUGUUCGCCCAUUAGUAUACUGCAUGGUUGCCAUCCUUGCAAACCCUAAUCUUAUAAUUUUUUAUGAAAAUUUUCCCUCUCUUACCAUGCAUAAAAAAUUUAACAUUAGGAUCCUCUAAGUUUAUGAAAUAAAUUCACAUUAUGAUAAAUGACCAACUUCACUUUUUUUGUCCUUUUUAUUCUCCUACUCUGCACACAUGCAUCUGCCUCACAUACAAGUCUUGAAUAUAUUUAUAUCUGUAACAUUGUGAACUUUAGGUCAUGUAAUUAAUGGAGUUCAUGAUAGUUAUAAAACCCGAAUUACAUUAUACUUUUGCUGCUGCUAAUACUACCAUGUGAGUGUAUUAAAAAAAGGAAAAAGAAAAGGAAGCCUGAAAACCCGGAUCGAAUCACCCAAACUGGCCCAAUAAUUUUCGGCUCAAAUAGUCUCAAGCCUGCCGAUUUGGCCUCAACAUAUCCUUGAGUUUGGAACCCGAAUGAUUGCCAAAUCAGCCGUCAAUUGAGGGCUCAACUACUCUCGUUCUCCAGUCUCUCAUGCUGGCCGAGAUCCAGCCAUCGCUAAGCUGCCAUCACCGCCUGCCGUCGAGCCCCACUUAUGUGGCUAUCGAGCCCCACUACUCACCGUAUGCCCUCCGUCCAAUAUGUCUUACUCGCUCCCUCAGCCCCCUUACGCUUGCUCACUUCUUGGUCACUUCUUGGUCUCCUUUUUGCUCCCUCGCUCUCUACCGGUAGAAAAGAGGUUCUGACCAGCCUGUUUUGAUGUCUUAAGGUUUUUGAUUUUCGUACAUUCUAUUUGAAUUUUUUAUUAAAAUUUUUCAAAUGAUAGAUAGUCCCUGUUAAAAAGAUGCAAUUACGCUUUUUAUUAUUUUUGUUUCACAAUCUAUUAGUUACAUUUAGAUAGCGGAGAGUAGUGGAGAAUGGCUGUUGAUGACAAUUUUCACUUUUAAGUACUAAACGGCGAAAGUUGCCCCGAAUUUGUCUAAAAUCUAUUAUCAUCACAAUUUGAUUUUAAGGUAAUUUAGACCGAGAGAUCAACAGAGGAAUCUCUACCCUUAAAGAAUUCACAAAUUUGGUAAUGUCAUUUUACAAAUUCUAUUCUCUAAUAUCCUUAUGUUCAAAUGAAAAUUUAUGUAGGAUAGCCAACUAGUGCUAGUGCAAGAUAUGAUCCCUCAUCGAGCUAAUCGAGUCACGAAACAUGUUACCUAGACCGAGUGCAUACUCUAUUGCUCUCACAGAAAGCAUAUAUGAAGGCCUACUAAGAGUGAAACUAAGUCAAAUUAUUCAUGAGUUAGUUCGAGCUAGGGUUGAUGAUUAUAUGAGAACUAAUAUCUAGUUGAGUCCUAACUAUAGCUACUCCAUAAUCUUGUCAAAUUGAAGCUCUAGCUCGCUAAUACUUUUGUAAAUUUAAUUUAAAAAAUCUAAUUGUUAUAAAAUUAGCCAUAGACAUAUCAUCUGCACACACAUGUAUAUAGCCUAUGGACUUCUCAUUUGAAUCAAGCUCCUAUAUGAAAUUAAUUCUUGGCCGAGCUCUAAUCUAGUUUUAAACACUGGCUACGAAGUUGAGACAAUCUUUUGUUUGGCACUAUAGCAGAUUGAUUAGACUCGACUCCUAAGCCCCAACCAUGUUGACACCUAAUUCGAUUAAUGAGAGUCAAAGUGUCCAUUAAAGCGGUUAAGAAUUUUGAUGUGCAAAACUUGAGUGCAACGUUAUCGUUGAGAAAUCUCAUUACUCAAGAUAUAGUUGGAUCUUCAUCAUGCAAUUUUUAACCCCCCCUAUAAUUUUCAAUCCAUAUAUUAACUGAUAGCUCAAAUGAUGAAAGUAAGCGAACACUAAUAAAUGUAAGAAAUCUUCAAGAGUCGCCUUUCCUAAGUCCUAGCUAUAAAUCUAGUAGGGACGUAGCUUGGCUUAAAAAAUCCUUGCUGUAACUUUUCUCUGACAAAAUGACACUCCAGUUCUAGAGAAAAUUCUAAAUAAGGAAUCAAAGUGUUCUCAUUUUCUCAAAUAAAGGCAAGGAAUGGCCUUUAUUCAAUAAAGGCCUGCAAUGGCCAUGAUUAUUUCAAAUAAGGACUUAAAGUUACCAUGGUUGUUUGAGAUAAGGGCUCAACCUCGUCGGUUAUUGGUUGGCUAAAUAUUUGACCAGUUAGGGGCAUUUUCAUCCAAUUACAAUUUUAAUUUUAAAUUAUUUUUUAUUCUUUUCUUCUUCUUUUCUCCACUCUUUUUUUCCCCCUUUCUAAAGAGAGUUAGCAGUUGCAAACAAAUACUCAGCAACCCUCGCCAGCCAUGGGUAAGGGUCGGCAUGAACUUGGCCACCUUCGUUGGCCGUUGUUAAGGGCCCAUGAGGGCCUACAAGCCCUCGCUAGAUUAGGCGAGAAUCAACCUCGCCUAGGGCUGACAAGGGUUCGGUGACCCUUGCCAGACACAAGCGAGGGCCAACCUCACUAAUGACUACAAGGGCAACCCGCCCUAAGGUGAAGGUAGCUUGUCCAAACAAGAACGUCCCUUGCUAGCCGCUAAGGAGGUCACCCUCACCCAAAUCUAGUGAGGUGACUCUUUCGAGGCUGGCCUCACUCGCAGCAGCCUCCCUAGGGUAGGGGUCGCCUCGCGUUACAUUGAUGAGCACAACCUUCUCCCAGCCCUUUCCGACAUCGCUUGCGGGUGGUCAACCACCAAUAAAUAAGAAAGAAAAGCCAAAAAAAAUAAAGGAAAAAAUAAAUAAAUGAGUAAAAUGCCCUUGACCAACCAAAAAGUCAAGCCACUUUUUGAAGUAGACAUAGUUAGGGCCUUCUUUAAAAUCAAAUCUACUUCAAGUUCUCAUUUGAGAAAAUGAUAGCACUUCAGGCCUUUAUUUAAAACAAGAUCUACUUCAAAUCCUUAUUUGAGAAAAUGAAGACACUUCAAGUCAUUAUUUGAAAAUUUCCCCCAAUUCUAUAUAUAUGGUGUGUUUAUUGAAAAUUGGGUUUUUACUGCAAUUUUUGGCACAAUAUACCUUUAAUUUUGAAUAACUAUUUGACAAUAAAAAAAUUCCUUGUUGAUAAGAAAUUUUAAAUACCAAAUAUCCUCCUUUCCAUUUUUUCAUAAAUUAACUCGGGGCAUACAUAGAGAAAUCCUCAAUAAUUUCAAGUUUUAAGAUUAAAUAAAUCAUUGAGUCUCUGUCAUGUCAUUCAUCUUCCAACAAGUACUCCCUAUAGGAAGUUUCACUUUUGUUUCUUGCAACUUAAAUUCUUAAAAAAUAUAUAUUUUUUCAAUUUUUGAGGUCUAUUAAUGAAAAAUUUGCCUAAUUUCAUUUUCGGUCAUCAAUAUAACAUCAAUAAAUAUCAUGAUAAAUGAAUUUCCUCUCCUUGAAGUAAAUAGGGAAUAAUAUAUAAAAAAAGUCAACAAUUGUUAACAUCCGAGAAAUUAAAAGGGGAAGAAGAACAACAACAAGAAGAAGAUCCGUUAGGUUUUCCAGUUCUUGCGUUUCGAGCAUUCGGUCACUCUGGGAGCGCAUGGAAACAUUUCUGCUCUUUUUUUGUUCCUGGGAACAGAAAGAAAAAAAAGUGUUUCUGUUCCGGAGAACAGUUUUUGAACAAAAGAACGCGUUUAGUAAGUGUAAAAAAAAACUGUUCUUGAAAUAAAAAAAAGAACAGAAACACGUUUGGUAACUGCAGUCAAUUUUUGUUCUUAGAAUAGAAAAAGAACAUAAACAUGUUUGGUAAACGACAAAAAUGUUGAACUAACUUGUGUAAAACAGAUCAUACGUUGCAUUUUGAGCUACAAGAAAUACAUAGUAAUGCUACAUAUAGAAUGCAACCAUGAAAUUCAGCCAACAUAAGGCAGCAUUACCCUUAGUUAUUACCUUCUUACGAUGCCACACAACCACGCUGCGGCCCGACUUCGGCUGGUUCUCCCCCUUGGUGGUGAAAUCGUCGUUGAACGCCCUCGCCACGUGCUUCACCAGCCUGUCCAUACCACAUCACCAUGAGCAACAAAACAACAAUCGAAGGAAACCCCAAUCCAAUCGAUGAACUGAAAUUCCCCCCUUCCAAAACUGAAUCAAGCAACAACACAACAUCACUUGAAGAUCCUGCGGAAUCGAAGGAUCCACCUGGCUGCUGCUCGAGCGAGUUGGCUGCUGCUCGAGCAGCAGUUGGAGCUGUUGCGCGAGCAGCAGCUCCAGCAGCUCCAGUCGAGCUGCAGCUCUAGUGGAACUGCAGCUCCAGCAGCUCCAGUCGAGCUGCAGCUCCAACUCGAGCAGCAGCUCGCUGGAGCUGCUGCUCGAGCAGCUCUAGUCGAGCUGCAGCUCCAGCAGCAGCUCCAGCUCGAGCAGAGCAGCAGCAGCUCCAGCUCGAGCAGCUGCUCGAGCGAGCUGCUGGCAGAGCUGGCAGAGCUGCUCUGCCGCUCGAGCUGCUAGCAGAGCUGCUCUGCCAGCUCGAGCUUGCAGAGAGCUCGCUCGAGCUGCUGGCAGAGCUGCUCUGCCAGCUCGAGCUUGCAGAGAGCUCGCUCGAGCUGCUGCUCGAGCUGGCAGAGAGCUCGCUCGAAGCAGCUCGAGCGAGCAGGCGUCCCAGAUCUGCCGCAGAUCUGGGCGAGCACACUCGCUUGAGGCUCGAGCGAGCAGCCGUCCCAGAUCUGCCGCAGAUCUGGGCGAGCAACGCUCGCUUGAGGCUCGAGUGAGCCAUCCCAGAUCUGCCUCGCCGAAGCCCAUCGUCGACCGGAGAAGGAGGAGAACCAGAAAACCUACCUGGAUUCGGAGCUUCAGCCGGUGGAGUCGCCGGAGUGAGUCGCCGGAGAGACGAGGCCGAGUGGGAGUCGCCGGAGAGAAGGGAGACACGCCGGAAAGUUGCCGGAGACAGCCGGUGCGUCGGCGUCGUUCUUCGCCGGAGCGUUGGCCGAGUGAGGAGUCGCCGGAGAAGGAGGACGAACGAAGGAGAGCACGAACGAACGAAGUGUUCCCGUUUCGUUUUUUUGUUCUUUUCAUUUUUGUUCCUUUCGAGCGUCCAAGAAGUGUUUCUCAAGGCCAAACAACAAUUUGUUGUUUCUUUUUUUUGUUUCUAUUUUGUUCCGAGAACCAAAAAACAAAAAAAGAACAGAAACCCAACUAAACGCGUUUCUAUUCUUUUUUUUUGUUCCCGGAAACAAAAUCCGUACAAAAGUGUUCCAGAAACACUUCUUUGGAGCGUUUCCAUGCACGCCCUCUCUAUUUCUUCUUCUUCUUCUUCUUCUUCUUCUUCUUCUUCUUCUCUCUCUCUCUCUCUCUCUCUCUCUCUCUCUCCAACCCUCGAGCCGAGCUACACCGCCGUAUUGCGGCCUCCGACCGCCGCCGCCGCCAGGCCACCUUGGUGUUCGGCAGCAGUGCCGCCCCUCUCUCCGCCUCGUCCGAAACACCCUCCCCGAAACCCUUAGGUCCCUCGCUUCGGUUCUCCAGGAUUGCUCGAAGAUGGACGAGGACCAGGAGACGGAGAGGUUCGGGAUGGACAACGAUUACGACGACGGGCAGUGGAUCCACGGGGAGUUCUACUACCGUCGGCGGAGGGAGAAGCGCGCCCAGACCAAGGACGACGUGCUCUACGGCGUCUUCAUGUCGGGGGACUCCGAUUUGGACUACAACGACUCCUCCAAGAGGAAGUGGAGGAAGAAUAGGGACCUCCUAGGUAAGGCCGACCUGUCGAAGCCCGUGAAUUUCGUGUCCACCGGCACGGUCAUGCCGAACAGAGAGAUUGACGAGAACACGGAGAGAGAGAAUGAGGAUGAAGAAUCCGCUGUCGUGGAUGAGGAUAGGCCGGGCUUGGGGGUCUUGAGAAGAACCAACAAGGGAUUGUGACAUUCAUUGAAGCAAAGUUGCGUCCUAGGGAUAUGGGUGUGGGUUUCAACGACUUACGAGGAAACUCUUGCAAAGGCACCUGUUGCCUUGUUGGGGCCAGAGGAAUAGAAGCCAUCACCUGACGUGCCCGGUAAGGAGAAGCUUUGGUCUAAGCAAGCGAAGAAGGCAACGCUGAAAAAACAAAGUGAAGUAUAUUACGGCAGAAGAGCUGUUGGCGAAAGAAGCAGGAACAGGGCGUUGAAGUUGUGCAAAAGGUACUCAGACAUGCGCGGACCUCAGGUUAGGGUGUUAGCAAACUUGGAGAAUCUGAACACGGAAGAGAAGGCGAGUGAGAGUGAUGUUCAUAUGCCUGAGGUCCAGCACGAUAUAAGGUCGAUUGUGGACGUGGCUAAGUUGGAUAUUCAGAAGAUCGAUGUGGACCUGAGGAAGGAGAAGGAGACAGCUCUGAGCUUGCAAGAGGAAAAAGAGAAGCUGCAAGCUAAGGCAGAACUCCAGAAGAAACAAUUGAAUAAUCUAGCAACUGAGUUGUGCACAUGGAACAACGGAAGCACAAUCACAAUAGAGUCUGAUUCUGUUAGUUUGUACCCCACCUGAUGAUGCCAAAUUGCGCUGAGCUAUCAGCAUGCGAUUGGGGAGGGGUGACCCAUAGCGCCGGAGGUGUGCAAGAACAUAGCUACAUCCGAGGGAUCAUUGACGACUUUGGACAUCAAGUCGAGGCUCGGCUCUAUGUCGGUCAAAGAGAGAGUGAUUUUGGUAUCGGCAGAGUGAAGCAUGGCGGUUAGGUGGGGGAUGUUAAUCUUGGAAGCAGCGGAUUGAGCCCGUCGGUUUCCUUCUUGCGGUGUCAGUAGGAGCUUCGGUUCCGAGUCGGAAAGGUAGAACUUAAACUCCUUAGCUGCUUAGAUGGGGUUGGGCGGAGCUGCAGUGGCUCGGCAAUGGAUUACCGCCAGAAACAAGAUCACAAACUGCAAAACGAACACAUAUUUUCCAAUCAGCAAACUAUCAUACUAGUCCCUGCGGAUUGGAGAUACACACACAUGCAGAAUAUGCAGACAACUAGUUUGUCGACGUUUGAUUCCAUUAAAACCAUCCAUCUCCUUUAGAUAAGCUUUGACUCUUUUUUUUUUUUUUUACGAUGAAUCGAUGCUUGUACGUCCCAGAAAACAACCCUUGGACACGACAGAAAAUGCUCUUAAUGCUUUUCCCAAUUCAAUUUGUUCCUGUUCAAUUUGCACCACGCGCUCACAGAAAUUUCAUGCCUCAGAUGCAAUUUUUUUCAGUAGAAAUCGAUGCCAAUUCCUUUCUCUGUUCUCGAAGUACUGUAAAACUCCCAAGAAACCAUCUUCCUCUUUCUUUUCCAAGCUAUUUCCCAGUCGAUGUUUUGCAAGACAUCGAUCUCAUCAUUAGAAAUUCAUCGUCACCGCAAUCUUCCAGAUAUUGCAUUCUCGAAUUUAAACAGCAUCAUCCGUACUUGCGAACAGACCGAGAUGACACAGACGUACCUCGAUGUUGUUGAGGAAAGUGAGUGCGACGGUGUCGGUGCGAGGCAGUGAUGAGCGCGGUGGCAUGGUUGACAAGCUCCUGCAGCUGCAUGUGUGUCAGGUCGAGCUCCUCGCAGGCGGAGACGGCUCUCUUGUUGGGGAAAUCCGACAUUGCCUUCUUCAAUAGGUCCGUGAGCAUAAGUUCUCCCAUUGCUAACCACAGGGAACGAAUCAACGGCAAUUGGCUUCAGCUGAAACCAAUCCUCGAUCGAACUGAAGAGGGGCACCACAAUCGCUUAGCGAGACAAGAAUGAAGGAUCGACAAGAACAGGAAUUCGCACGUAUGCAUAUGAGAUGGAAAUGAGACCAGAGGGAGGGAGGGAAGGAAGUUGAUGCAAUCGAGGUGGCUCCGCGGCCAGUGCGAGCUCGGUUAAGGUGGCGACGGAGACUUAACGGAUCAAAGGCUGUAACUAGUCUCACUAAUGUCUUCGCAAGAAAAUGUUUCAAUAAACUAAGAUAGCCAUGUAAUCAAUACAUUUGUCCAUUCAGUGGACGACAAGUGGCACUAUGGGGGCCCGCUCUAUCAGCAAGUCUGCAAGUCCAUUCUGCACGACAAAACAAAUGUCGUCCAAGUUUGAGAUAAAAAAUGAAAACCGCAGCAUCAGAAAAGGUCAUAACCAAAGGAUUAAAAUCCAUUCCAAGUUUGGGACAAUGGCGAUUCUUGCACAGAUUGUAUAAAUGCAAAGAUCAAUGGCGAUUCUGACAGUCCAUUCUUUGCACGCACACACGCAGAUCUCCUGCUCCUUCACAACAGAAUACACAUUCAAAACUCGAUUAUGUUCAUACAGAACACCUUUAACUCAAACCAGAGGAAUCAGCAAGCCACGAGACAGCAAUUUUCAUGUCAUACGCCGAGCAUACGAGGCGAGAAUACUAACACUAUUUGACAAAUGAGCAUCCUAUUCUGACAAAGUCGGCCAUAAUAAGUAUUCAAAAAGUUGAGAACAAAUCGAAUUUAUGUAAUAUGAUUUUGCGGUUCGAGAAUUGAAUCGAAUUUACAUACUGAUCUAGUUCGAGCAUUUUAUCAAACAAGUAAUGUGCAUUUUAACCAAUGAGCUCAUACGCCAAUACACAGCAAGGAUUUACUUUCAGAUCAUCACGAAAAUAACAGCACAAGUCCGAGUUGUUAAAUAAAGCUUCAAUCUCAACUGAUUUACUCACAGACAUUAGCUAAAGCUAACCGGCUCUGUUUCGUUUAUGAGCAGCAGAAACAGAGUGCGUGGGAUUUACCUUGAUGAGAGUGAGUUUUUCACUUCGGUCCGUGAUCAGAUCGGAGAAAAGUUACUGGAGCUCUCCACGUUUGGGCGGCGUGACCAGAAAACAGAGCAGAAGGAGAGGAGGCCUUGCGGCAACGGAACCGGCAAUGGUGGAGCCGCUACAGCGGCGUUUCGAGCGUGUCGAAAGGACAAUGGAAAAGGAGAACCGAUGAAGGAUCCUCUAGAAUUCCGAAGAGAGAUGGUUUCUUCGUGAGCUUCAGUGUGUGCGUUCUAUCGUGUCAUCUCUGAGCCUGUGGUGGCCGUCGAUGGUGGUGCGACGGUGGCUGUGGUGAUUGUAGAUGGCGGACGGUGGUCUGGGCUGCGCCUUCUGGAUAAGGUCUGGGCUAGACGAAUUAAACCAGGCCCAACAAACCGGACCAGCUCCUUUCGAUUAUGAUUUUUUUUUUCUUUCAUUUCUUUCUUCGUUUGUUAUUUAUUUUUAAUAUUAUUUUUACUUUUUAUUUAUUUAUAUUUACCCAAAUGCAUGUUCGAAUUGUUGGCAAAAAUUCAUGAGUCGAUAGGAGCAAUAUUCCAUCAUUUGGCCUAUGAACAACUUCACACCAAACUCAAUUACAAUUCAUUGUUUGUGCAAUAUUGCGACAUUAUUCCCUUAAAGAUUAGUCCUUGUACUUAACUCUUCCAUCCAUGAGUUGAAUUUGAGCGCCGAUAGCAUGGCUGCACUUGUACUUGAGUUGAUUUCUUGUAGAAUCGAUGCACACAGUACAGUUUGCAUCUUGAAGCGCACUUCGCACGUUCCGUGCACGCAACACAUCGCGAUAGAAUCAUCAUACUCCUGUAGUAGUUGUACCCAUGACUCGCCAUCUUAGUUAAUCAUCAUAUGGGUGAUGCGUGUACUUUUAAGAUUGCCACUUUAUCUGUGUUCUUAGCACGUAUCUCAGUAUUGAUUUGUGCAAGUGCGUGGCACAUAUUCCGUCCAUGGUCUCCUCUGUUGAAUACUCUUGGCCAAGAGAUUACAAUGUCCUCUUUUGACUAACAUCCUCGUCUGUGCUUUGUCGUAUACGGUUUGUUAGGCAUUUAUACAGGUUCGAUACUUUUUGUGAUCAAGAACAGUACAUUCCAUCCUAUAACAUCAAUGAUCUUGUGGGAUUGUGACGAACAUCACAUCAGGUCCAUUUUCACAUUCUUGUUCUAUCGCCCUUCGCCCGCCACUUGUAUCCGGCAAACUCAAUAAGAUAGCUCCACCACCCGUCAUUUCUCCGGCCUGCCAGAAUUUCUUCCAAUUUCCGUGUCUUGUUGCGCGCGAAUCAGUUGAAGUCGGAAGACGGUUUCGUAAAAAUCUCCCUUCUCAAUCUUCAUCGUCGUCUUCUUCUUCAGCUAGGGCUUUGUUUUCAAAUUCGUCCCAUGUUCGAGGUUGUCUUAUGUUUUAUUUUAUUUUUGUUAUGUUUUUCCACUCGCGCCAGUGACUUCAGAUCAUGGUAGGCUGCCUUAGAGUGUCAAAAGGAAAAGUUCCGAAACUAGCUGAAAAGGACGAGGAUUGAGAGUGUAUAUAUGGGUCUUUCUUUAUCAAACUGGCUGUUUGAAAAUGCGGAUGAGCAGACCACUCCUUGUGGCUUCAUCAAGAAACAUCUUCAUGACAGCAAAGUAGUUGCCACUCUUCAGGCAUUUAGACAGAUCGCGGCCGGAGAAGUUAAGGAGCUAUGUGCACGUGGCAAUAAUAUCACGUCAAGUGUAGAUGUCUGCAUGUUUUGAGCUCGUCGAUGGAGAUGAUAUCGUGUUCAAAGUCUCAAUUUUCGGCCCUGUGGGUGCGUACCCGAAUUUAUUUGGGCAAAUCAACUGAAUCUUGAUAUGCAUGGCCAAGCAAUUUUCAAUCUACGCUACAACUUUUCAUAGUUAGUCAAUUUAAGAAACUUUCACGCCAAUGUCUUCUAAAUUCCUCAUCGUUUAAUUGGGAGAAAAGGUUAAUCAACCGAAGCUUGAUCCCUAUCUCUACCAGUUUUGGAUCUAAGUGCAACUUGGUCUCCUUGUCAUGCAAUCCCCAUCGCUAUUGACCUCCAAGAACCACAUCUGUCACUAGACAUUGGACGAUGCAGGAACGUUAUUGGAGGGGCUUAUGACAUCUCAAAGUCAGAAAAUCGGAUGGGAGAGAGAGAUUUCAAGAUAAAUAUCCUUGUCUGAAUGAUCAUCACAUUAUGCAGUUACUCAAAGUGUUAUUUUUUAGAGUGGAUCAGAUGGUUAAACCAUUAAACGGUAAUACGGACAUCCAACCAAUCAAGUUUUAAAAAAGACUGAAAUUGGAGAAAAGGAAGGUAGUUUUAAUAAAUAAAGAGGCAAAGGUUUCGGAAAAUAGCAAAAAGUGGAUAAAGUAGCUGAAGAAGGUCCUACAAACGCUCUCUGCCCGAUCGAAUGCCAUUGCUCACCCGCUAGCAAGUGGACCAACUCUUCAUAGCUACAAAGGCUACGCGCUUGCACCCUCUCUCUUGGAAAAGUGGGCUCUUGUGAGCACCACAUGCACCUGAGUCCCCAACUAGCCAGGUUGGAAGAGGAAAAUUAAACACAAACGUUUUGAAAAAGCCUUUUUCUUAAAAAUAAUUGAUUAUAUCUCAAAUAAUCAGUCAAAAAAAUGUUUUAUUACAAAUAACAAUUUAAUCAUUUUCAUUUAUUCAAUUUUGCAAGUGAUAAAAGCGAUUGUUUAUAGAGAAAUAUUUUUCAAAACAUAAAUUUUUCACAAAACAAAUGAAUCAGUUUUCAUUAUUUUUAUUUAUUUAUUGCCAUCAAGUUCGUCUCACCAUUGACUAAUAAGUCAUAAUCUUACUUGACUCUAUCCUCUGAAACUUGAAAAAAAUACAAUAUUAAUACCCCAAAACUCCGGCAACUUUUUAAAAGCCCACUAACGAUAAUGUUACGAAAGAAAUUGGUAUAGCCUUUUCAUUUCCAGUAUGUUUCAUCUACAAAAUUGCAACACCGAAAUCUAAUUCCCGAAGUAAAUUGAGAGAUUCAUGCGGUCGCAUUGAUGACAAGCAUGCAGUGUAUCCGAUCCUUUGUAGUUCUUGAACUGCAACAAUUUGGUAUAGUAGAAUGAGGAAUAUUGUCUCUCUAAUAAACAUGAAGAAAAGCAAACCCAAAUAAUAAUUCAUUCAAGCCCUAGAGCACCAGAGCACGUAAUUAACAAAUUGAAUUCAACACAACUGACUAAUUACCCUUGUUGCCAAACGGAAUAACAAUUUAGAGGAUAGUGGUUAAGCUAUACAACAAUAGGUCACCCAUCAAAUUUUAUGAGGGCAAAGAGUGUCAUUGAAUAGCAAAAGCAAUUGCUAAUUUACUAUUUCGUAACGAGACGAGCAUGUCCAUAAUCUGCCAAUGAUUGCUUACCCUUUCAGACAAAAUAAGGUAGGAAAAACGACGAGGGAGGCAUGAAGCUUUCUGAGGCUAAUACAUUAGCCUCAAAAAGCUUCACGCAAAUUAUCCACCCCUUGACGACAACGCAUACAAAUAAUGCAACACACUGCAUGUAAAAAUAAGCUGACUGCAAAUCUGAAAAAAGCAGUGGAUUAGGACGAACUUGGUAGGAGGGACAUAUCGGAUACGUUAGACAGUUCAUGAGAACCUCUCAUUUCGCACGCCAAGGAUGAUUCUCACGUCCGAUAGAUCCUGAGGGUGAUGAGCGAUCUAAUGAGGCAAGAUCCAGUAAAGCUUCCUCUCGGUGGGAUGGCGACGUCUUCACAGGGGUUGGGAGUGUUGGGCACUAAAUCUUGCUACAGCUCUUCUUGAAACUAUAGGGACUGAUAUAUCGCCACAGCCGACACGCAGCAUAGCAAAAUUAAAUGUCGUAAAAUCCAUGACAAGCCUGAGGCCAUAGAAAGCAGCGUUGACUUCAACUCCAGCGAAACCAGCCUCUGUGAUUGCAGAAUCAACAACCCUCUCAGGUCCAUACUUCUAAAAAGAAAAGAAGCUUUAGACACAUUGAAAGACUCUAGGAUAUGCAAACAUUUCCUCAUCAAACGCAGCAUUCAUGGCCUCUCUCACAAUCAUCUCUUUCCCAUAGUAUCAUAACUACGUAACGGCAUUUCUGCAGCACAACUCUUCCGUGGCCUUUCUCUUGACAACAUAGCAUCCGAGCCUCCGGCAUUGGCUUUUCGUAUUAGAAUCGAUAACAUCAUGCGCUCUUGAACUCUCUCUCUCUCUCUCUCUCUCUCUCUCUCUCUCUCUCUCUCUCUCUCUCGGACGGGUAUCCUUGGAAACAAAGUCCAGCUUCGUCAUUCCAUCGAACACCUUCCUUGCAAACUCGAUUCCCUCCUCCACAGCACAACCAACGGCAAUUGAAUUUCAGAAGACAGCGAGAGAAUUGGGAGAAAAAACAAGAUCGAAACAGAAAUCAACAGACAAAUCUGGAACGAAUCGAAAUUCAUUCUAGAGUUCAACGGGAGACGACGAAUUUCGUCAUCGCUUCAAUGUCACGAGGAACCGGCUGUCUCUGAAGAUCUCUCGAAGCAGCGAUCGUAAGAGAUUCCAGUUGACAGGCUCACUCCCUCAUGGUUUCGUAGAGAGAGAAAGAGAGAGAUUCUUCUCUGAAUUUUGGACAACUUGUUCUUUUCUCCUCUCUCUCCUUUCUUUUAUUUGCACUUUUGUUAUUUCUUUUUAUUUUGUUUUGUGUCUUUGAUUUGUAUUUUAUAAUAACAAAAGUACAAAUAAAAUUCAGCUUCUUCAAUGAAGGAACUGAAUUUUAAUAUUUUAUCCCCUCUUUUCUUUUAUUUGUAUUUUUGUUUUUUGUUUUUUAUUUUAUACAUCUUUAAUUUGCCGAUAAAACUAAUGAUACAGUCAAAAAGUUGAAGCUAUACUCCGAUACUGGAUGGGCAUCACUCUUUAAUUUGGCCAUAAGUGAAAUCCAUGCAAGUAGCACGUUCCAUCCAAGUACGCUAAUCCAACGAUGCAUGCUCCCUGGCCAAAGCAUUGGGCAUCACCAUAAGAACCACCGGCAUAGUGGUCUAAUCAUCGGGUCUCAAUGUCAGAUUUUCAAAAUAUCGUUCAGUUGCGCUCAAUUUAGGAAAUUUGGAUUUUAGUUAGAGCUGAGAUGGUCAUUAUUCGCUUCAUUUGUAAUUUAGAAAUAAUGUCUUAUUUUCCUUCUCACCAAGUCUCUUUCAUCUUUCAUUUUCCCCGAUCUCUCGUUCUCUCUUAUCUCAUGAUCAUCGAGUCGUCCAGUCCCCCACCAACCCGCCACCGCGCCACCUUCGAGCCCUGAGCCCUGCUACUCACCGUAUGCUCGAGAAAAUAUUGGGUACGUGAGACGCUCCAGCCUGUCAAACAAGAAGGCGUUCGGAGCGCGACACGUAUCCUCCCGUGGGACCCAUCAUCUUUAAAUAUUGGACGAGCAGGGCCACCAGAAACCUUUCCCUCCCGGUCAAAUUUGAAAAAUUCGGGGCGCUCUCUCUCUCUCUCUCCUCCCAAGAAAAUAUUAGCUGGGCCCCACGACAGAUCCUUCUCUCUUACAAUUAAUUUGAACGGAAGCGUUGGACUCUCUCUCUCUCCAUUUUUUCUUUCGACUCUCGCCCGGUUGCUCUGCCCUCCGCUUCUUCUCCGAUCGGACACGGAGCCGCCGGCCGACGAAUCACGCCACCGCCGCUGCUUCCGCAUCCGCCUCGUCGGCCGCCACUGCAUCUGAGCUAGAGCUAGUAUUUUCUCGUUCGUUCUGCCCCUUCGUCGCGCUGCUCCUCCGGCGAACGACGGAGCCCGCCGUCCGACGAACCACACCGCCGCACUUCCGCAUCCGCCUCUUCCGCCACCUCCGCAUCUGCAUUCUCCUCCGUCUUCAAUGGCGACCGGGCUCUUCCUCUCCCAGUCGCCGUCGAAGAAUCCGUACUCGAAAUCAACGUCCGGGCUGAUGCAGGGGAUGCGAGGGAGACGGAAGCGGGACCUCUUGGAUGCUCCGGGUCGAUGCAUCUUGACGUGGAAGACCAGGGUCUUGUCGAACGAGAGCUCGCGCUCCCCUUAGCGGAUAGGCAUCGAGCUGCGGUAGCCGCAACCGCCACCGAUGCCCUUGACAAAUCCAGCCACGGCGAGACGGAACUUGAUCACGAGGAGCCGCCUGAACGCCCCGCCUCUCCUCGGCCACAGCAGCGCAAGGCGGACCACGUCCCAAGCUCUGCGAGUGACGCCGGAGUCCCCGCUUGCCAUUUCCGAAUGCAGAACGUGUUACAGAGAUGGUGAGGACGGCGAAUCGCAAGCGAGCGGAAGCCCAACGCCGGAGUCCCCGCUUGCCAUUUCCGAAUGCAGAACGUGUUACAGAGACGGUGAGGACAGCGAAUCGCAAGCGAGCGGAAGCCCAACGCCGGAGUCCCCGCUUGCCUUUCCUGCUUUACCCAUCUCUCUCUGUUGGUCGGAGCGAGCUUGAGAUGCAUAACAAUGGAAGCUGCCGACAAGGCCACGGAGAAAGCAUUGGCCGAUUCCCUCUCGCGGGAAGUGAACCCUAUCUUUCUCUUUGUUUUUCUUUCUUUUUUCUUGUUGAACAAACGUGCGAAGCUCUCUGCAAAAGCAGUUGUCAUCACUGAAUUUCAAAUAGGCCUGCUAUGCAUGUAAAUGAAUUGCUUAAAUCCAUUGACCCAUUUGUGAUCAUUCAGUGAAUCAGGCUUUGGCUGGCGUUAGAGAUUAUAACUCCCUCAUUGCUUCCUUGUUUCUGCUCAAUUUUAAGAUCAAGGUUAUGUGGGUGAACGGUUCUUGCUCUGUUCCAGAGAAUACUUGCCUUGAUACCAGAAGUUGCUGCUUAUUAUGAUAUCAAAGAUUCUUGGAUUGUGUUUUGCUAUAAUGAUUUACAAUAUACUUCUAUUUGGCCAGAAAAUAUCGAUUUGAUUAUUGUAUCUUGGUAGACUGAAGCUGCUUUUCUUAGAUUGAUGUGCGAACUCCGAGCAAUAGGAAAAUACCGACUAGCACGGUUCAAACAAAUGAUGGUGUUGCCCACGGCAAUGUUCAUUGCUUGUGCAUAAUGGUGCCUUCAUUCUUUUAGGUCGAUAAUGCCGUGAGAAUAACUGAACAAGCCCCGCAAGCUCAUCACUGGAGACGACAAAAUGGCAAACAAUGCCAUAAUAGAUAAAACAAAAACAAAGCAUAUUGAAAGGGCAACCAUAUAUGCCAAAUUCUAAAAGGUUGGUAAGUUAGACUAACAAUGUUGGUAAAUUAUAAGAGAAGCCGGUAAGUUCAGAGCGAGCAAAUGAACAUCAAGCUAGAAAAGUUUUUAGAAAAGUCAAGUUGGUAAGUUAGACAAACAAUGUUGGCAAAUUAUAAACGGGUUCAACAAGUGACAAAAGUUUUUAAAAAAUAUACCAACACGGAAGAGCAUUCUAUACUUUGUGUACCAUAAAGCUAGAAAUCAGCAAAAAGUAAACGAACAGCAUCAACAAAAUUGCAAUAUUAUUAUUGAUGAUUGUUUCAGAAAACAACACAUUUCUUCGAACUUAGGGACUUAGCUACACGCUUUCUCUUCCAGAUCCAAAGGACUUAACAAUUCCUAGUUUUAUUUUUUCAUCGAGAUCCCCAUGAUCGAGUUCAGACCUCGGUUACAGACGAAUAAAGAAGAAUGCAGAGAGCCAAACAGUGCUCCAUGAAACAGAAGGAAGUCUAGGUCGACGAUUUCCCGUCUCUCGGGGGCUUGUCUGCAUACCUCCACGAGUAACAAGAGAACCCUUCUUGAAUGCUGCCACCGACGACCUCCUCGAUCGGCAUAGCAUCCGCUAUCUCUCUCACAUCAUCCUCUACAAGAUGGAGUUCACUUCCCGCGAGAGGGAAUCGGCCAAUGCUUUCUCCGUGGCCUUGUCGGCAGCUUCCAUUGCUAUGCAUCUCAAGCUCGCUCCGACCAACAGAGAGAGAUGGGUAAAGCAGGAAAGGCAAGCGGGGACUCCGGCGUUGGGCUUCCGCUUGCUUGCGAUUCGCCGUCCUCACCGUCUCUGUAACACGUUCUGCAUUCGGAAAUGGCAAGCGGGGACUCCGGCGUCACCCGCAGAGCUUGGGACGUGGUCCGCCUUGCGCUGCUGUGGCCGAGGAGAGGCGGGGCGUUCAAGCGGCUCCUCGCGGUCAAGUUCCGUCUCGCCGUGGCUGGAUUCGUCAAGAGCAUCGGUGGCGGUUGCGGCUACCGCAGCUCGAUGCCUAUCCGCUAAGGGGAGCGCGAGCUCUCGUUCGACAAGACCCUAGUCUUCCACGUCAAGAUGCAUCGACCCGGAGCAUCCAAGAGGUCCCGCUUCCGUCUCCCUCGCAUCCCCUGCAUCAGCCCGGACGUUGAUUUCGAGUACGGAUUCUUCGACGGCGACUGGGAGAGGAAGAGCCCGGUCGCCAUUGAAGACGGAGGAGAAUGCAGAUGCGGAGGUGGUGGAAGAGGCGGAUGCGGAAGUGCGGCGGCGUGGUUCGUCGGACGGCGGGCUCCGUCGUUCGCCGGAGGAGCAGCGCGACGAAGGGGCAGAACAAACGAGAAAAUACUAGCUCUAGCUCAGAUGCAGUGGCGGCCGACGAGGCGGAUGCGGAAGCAGCGGCGGUGGCGUGAUUCGUCGGCCGGCGGCUCCGUGUCCGAUCGGAGAAGAAGCGGAGGGCAGAGCAACCGGGCGAGAGUCGAAAGAAAAAAUGGAGAGAGAGAGUCCAACGCUUCCGUUCAAAUUAAUUGUAAGAGAGAAGGAUCUGUCGUGGGGCCCAGCUAAUAUUUUCUUGGGAGGAGAGAGAGAGAGAGAGUGCCCCGAAUUUUUCAAAUUUGACCGGGAGGGAAAGGUUUCUGGUGGCCCUGCUCGUCCAAUAUUUAAAGAUGAUGGGUCCCACGGGAGGAUACGUGUCGCGCUCCGAACGCCUUCUUGUUUGACAGGCUGGAGCGUCUCACGUACCCAAUAUUUUCUCGAGCAUACUCUCUCUCUCUCUCUCAGUCUUUCUUCUCGUGUCUCGCCCACAUGUCAGCGAGUUACAAAGCGAGUGAUGGGACGGACUCGCUUUUUUGCUCGUGUCAGGGUCUCCCUCCCGCUCCCCCUCUCUCCAGCAAGUGGCAAAACAGGUUUUUACUAGCCUGUUCUGAUGUCUAGGGGUGAGCGGUUCCCAGUUCCUUACAGGUUUCAGGUUCCAAGCGGAACCUGGAACCUACCCUCGAGUACAGGUUCUUCAUUUUUUGGAACAUGAAACUUACCCGUCAGAACCAAGAACCUGGAACCUACCCUGUCACAGGUUCCGGGAUCGGUUCCAAGUUCCAAUAGGUUUUUUUUUUUUUUUUUCAUUUUUAGUUUAAGAAAAAUGGAAAUGAAUGCAGCAAUAAUAAACAAACUUGUCAUUCAUCUAAGAUAGGACAAUAAAAGGAGGAAAAUAACAGAUGAUGAAAGUGCUUUGAUGGAAGCAAGUUCAUCAGAUUUGAUUGAACAACGCAUAAACAAAUUUCAUGAAUUUAGAUGCCCAUAACCUCAAGCUAUAGACUAACUGACCAAGCAACGGAAGCAGUAUUAGUAGAAUGGACAAGAGAGCUUCAACAGCCUGAUUUCUAUUCAAUGAAAAAAUGUCACUAUCCAACAAAGUACAUACAGAUGCGCCUCUUGCUGAGAAUCAUCAGUUCCCCAUAUAUAUUCCACAAACUGACUUCCCUACUUUUCAAAAAGGAAGAACAAAGCAACAAUAAUUCAGGAAGCCGAUUGGGCGUAUGAACCCUCAUCAAGCACCCUUUACGUUGAUAUUACAAUGGAGAUUGGGUAAACUUGAAUGUUAGCUCUACAAUUGGAAGAAACGGUGUACAGCAGAAUGAAUUCAAAAUAAAAAAGUUAAUUACCUCUGGCAUAUCAUUAGGACAGCCAAACUUAUGACAUCCGUCCACAUACCCUGCAAAGAGGCCGGUAUCAUUCGUCUCUCAGCUUUGAAGUCAGAAACUGGAUAUUCAAGAAACUAUCAACGCUCUUUUCCUGGAUUUGAUGAACCGGCAUGUAUGGAUAUGCCCUCUCCCGGCUUUAGCUCUACUUGACAUAUAGCACACAUGAACAGCCUAAACAUGUUGCAUAGGGGGUAUUUUGUAUCUAGUCUGCAUUUUACAAGCAUUUCUCAGUCAAAGAAACAUUGAUACGUCAUGCAAUCACAGUUAGGCAUACAAGAGUGGUCCACCAAAUUACUGUAAAAAAAGAUCCAUUGUUGUGACUGAAAGUGGAGGUUAAGAUGUAGACCUUUAUGAGAGCAUUGCGGAUCCGUCCUCAUAUAACUCCUCCACUACAUCUGGCUCAAUAUAUUCUUGAUCAAUCUGAGAAGAUGAUUCGGAUGACUUUUUACGAAACAUUGACUUGAAUACUCCUUUUCCUGGCUUCUUUGGUGGUGGCAAAGAAGCCAUUGGUUUAUCUUGCGGUAAUAUAUCAAUAACAAUGCAUGUUGUAUCAUCUCGAAGUCUUUUUUCAUGUAAAGCUUCCUGUAAUAAAAGAGGCCGUGAGUUUACAUCUAAUAUAAAGUACAUCAAGCUACGUCAUGUACCAGAUACAAUUUCACCACACAAUAUUUACCACAAACAAAUUAAAUGUUAUCCUAUUAAGUAGGGUUAGCCAUAUGAAUUCUUCCAAUGCCAUUGCACUUUGUGUCAAGACUUCCAUAAGAUCUAAGUGGUCCACAUCUUUUCUUAUAAUCUCCUUCCUACGUCUUCCCUCUUCCCAUUUAACUAGAGUCUUCAUCUCAUACCCACAUCUCCUCACUGGAGCAUCUGAAGGCUUCCCGUUUCAAACAUAUAAGCCUUGUCUAGGUUGUCUCUUCCUCUCCUCCUGAGCAUGAACAAGAGAAUGCAAACUACUCUUGUAGCAGGCGUGCCACAUAUUCCAUGUCUUUCAGUGAACAUCUCUUUCCACCAAUGUUGGUAGGUACUUAAGGUUAAAGCUGCAUUCACGAGGGAAGAAAUAUUCAAGAAUGUUUUGCUCUCCUUUAAACAGCUUAUGAGAAAUGAACCUAUUAGGGAUAGAACAUUGCAUAAAGGGGACUAUAUCAACCAAAAUCAAACAUUUAAAGCACAAUUCAUUACAGCAAAUAAGUAAUCAUCACUCCCAAACCAGGGUCCAUAAACCCCGAUGGAAUUACUCCUGUAUUGAGCUUACUAAAAGAGCACACCUCAACGGCAUAAGGACUAAAGACUUUCAGAAUUAUAAGAAAACAUCAUAUAUAUUGGCCAUCAGGUUAAAGAAACAAAAGAGACAGCAAAAUGGGGGCUUCUUCUCUGCACUUAUCCAGUAAAGUGCAACCAAGUAAGCACGUCACUGAAAGACAUUUUGUUUUCACAUGUUCUACUCAGAUUUCCAAAACAUCAAGCCCAACUAACUAAAAAACAACAACGAGUGUUAGACGAGCACCACGAAAAACAUAAGACUCUAAGCAAUGUUUCUAUUUCGAAGAUUAAAAGAAAAGACAAGGCAGAGCUGCGGCAUCGUGGGCUUUGGGGGCACGGCUUCGGGCGCGACUUCAAGUCACGGCGAAGGCAGAGCAGCGACGUCGCGGGCUGCAGGCGAGGUGCGGCAAAGGCAGCAGCGGGCCGAGCAGGAGCGACGUCGGGGCACGGCAGAGCAGCGGCGUCGCGGGCUACAGGCGAGGCGCAGCGAAGGCAGCAGCGGGCGGAGCAGGAGCGACGUCGGUGCGGGCUGCAGGCGAGGCGCGGCAGGGAUGCUAUUUGGUGGCGUCGAGCAGAGGGCGAAGAGAGAACAGACUCGUGGGUGAAGCAGCAGCCAGCAAGAGGAAGGAAGAAGAAGAAGAAGAAGAAGAAGAAGAAGAAGAAUGGGGGGUUUCGGCCGAGAGAGGAGGACAGAGGAGAGAGAGAAGAAAAGAAAAAAGUAGGGGUAGGGGGGCAGGAAGUGACGUGUGAGAAGGAAAAAGAAGAGAAAAGAAAGAGAGAGAAAAAAAAAAGAAAGGGGAAGGAGGGAAAAUCGAGGGGGAAAUCACGUGGGGGAAGGGGAGAAGGGGAGGUUUUGGGUUUUUUUUUUUUGAAUUUGACCGGUUCCGGUUCUUGUUCCAGGAACCGGAACCGGAACCGAGAACCGCCGGUUCCCAAGAAAAAGGAACUGGGAACCGGAACCGGCCACUUUAGAACCGGGAACCGAACCGGACCCUCCCGGUGCGGUUCCGGUUCCCGGUUCUACCCGGAACCACGCUCACCCCUACUGAUGUCUUCAAGGUUUUUGAAUUUAGGAUGUGUUAUUUGAAUUUCUCAUAGAGAGUUAAAGCAAAAACUAAAAUAAAAUAAACACAUUUUUUUUUUAAUUUCGGGCCGUGCCAAACCCUUGGAUCUGGGCCAUAUGGUAUGGCUUCAGUCCGGGCUAGGUCCUCAGUCACACGUUUUUGGAUUGACCCCCAAAAUAAAAGAAAGGUUUCGCUCCGGUCCUUUGGCCACAAGGCCUUUAUUGGCUUCCACAGCUAAUAGGCUAUGUAGCACGGACAUUCUCCGGAAGCCUUCGUGUCGUAUUCGACACUCCGACACAUAUCCGACACGCUCCGACACGUCCCGACACGCUCCGACACGCGAGUCCAGAAUUCCGACACGUGAUUCCGACACGCACGGGGUCAAUUUUAAAAAAUUUCUAAUACUUGAGAGAUCAAAAUAUAAAUAUACACUUUUGUAAUAAAAGAAGUAAUAAAAUUACUAUAAAUAUACACACAUGGGGUCAAUUUUUUUUUUCAGUUUUUUUUAGAAUUGUUUUAUUUUUUUUAAAGUCUUUUACUAUGAAAGAAGUAAUAAAAAAAUGCCAUAUAUGAUAAAUAAAUAAAUUUAAAAAAAUAUUAUUUCAGAAUUUUUCUUUAAACAAUGUUUUUUUCCUUUAAGUUUUGUGUAUUAUUGUAACAAAUUAAAAUAAUGAAUGAUAUUAUUUAAUAUUUUUCGUGUAAAUUAAUUCUAGGCUAUUAUUAUUAUUAUUAUUAUUAUUAUUAUUAUUAUUUAUGUAUUUAUAUAUAAAAAUAUAUUUAAUAUAUAACGUGUCGGAACGUGUCGAAAUUCUCUAUUUUUAAGAAAUGACGUGUCGGCGUGUCGUGUCGUGUCGUGUCGCGUGUCGCGUGUCCGUAUCGGUGCUAUAUAGCUAAUAGGUGGUCCAGCGAAUGACUGCGGAGCCGUUGGAGAUGAUAAGGGAUGCUAUUCUUCCAUAUCAGCUAACCUCACAAGUUUUCGGAGAACGGUUUGGUUUCGCCUCUUCUCUGUGUUUUUCCCCUUUCUGGGGUUCCUUUUUUCUCUCCCCUUUCUCUCAGCAUUGUGUAAUAUCAGCUCAUGCGAGCGAGCCAAUUGUGAGAAUUGCUUGUAAUUUUCUUGUUUUUUGUUUCUUUUCUUGGCAAAUGGAGCAACACCUAAAACUCCAAUCGCAUUUCAUUAAAUUGGGUAUCAUUAAUCCGGCCAAACCUACAACUUGAGGUGAGUUGUUUUCUUUCAUGACAAAGGCAGGAACACUAGCAUCUUACUAGUCGAAAGUUAAAAAGACUUUUAUCAAGAUACGAUAGUUGGAGCUAUAUAAUUCGUGAUAAAAUAUCGUGCUCUUCUAUUUCCUAUCGAUCGAGUGACAUGCAAAGACUAACAUAAUUUCUAAAAUAAAGGGUUUAUUGUUAUUAGCCCGUGAGAAGACCCAGGAAAAGGGCGAAACAAGAAUUGAAAACUUGUCAAAGAGGACAAAGGAAGAGCAAAUUCUUAUCUGGAUGUGGGGAAUCAUGACCAAAGGGGUUCUCAUCGUUGUCGUUAAUCGUUGGAGCCCCGCACUUGAUUAACGGCUCGAUCUCGGGUGCACGAAUCCGGAUCCAAGGCGAAAAGAGGGAAAGGGCCCCGUCCUGAGGAUGAUCGGGCGCGGGAGGAGGGAGGGAACACGGUAAAAGCGGUGGGGUGGCGGGGCAGGGGAGUGCACCGGCAGACUACUCCUGUUCAAUUUCGAUUGGGUUUGUGAGGUUAAUAAUAAUUCAGACGCACACUCAUUAAUGCCACAUUCCAAGCCUAAAUGAACUGAAAAGGACGUGCUUCUGGAUGUCCUUAUCCUUUCUCGUUAUGUUGUUCUUCAUUUUGAAUUUGAAAUUAAGGGUCAUGACCUAGUUAAAAUUAUGGGUUUUAUUUUUCCCACGGGGAACACCAAAGAGGUUCAUGAGAAAAUAUAAUGAGAAAUCUUCCAAUGGCCUGUGGAAUUGGAAAAAUGUGAUGAGAUGGUUUGGUUAUCAAACGGUUGGGAUGAAUUCGUAGAGCAUUACUCUAUCUGUGUGGGACAAUUUUUGGUCUUCAAAUCUGAAGUGGACUCCAUUUUCCAUGUAAUCAUAUUUGAUAAAAGCAAGUCCAAGAUAGAAUAUCCACCAAUAAAUGCCAAUGGGAGGAACCGACCCUCAGCAGUUGGGCAUUUGUCUGGUUGAAAGUGGAAGAUGCCGACGAUUUCCGUGAUGUUUCGGUCAAGCUUGAAGUCUAGGGGGAUGAAUUGCAUUCACCCAAGUGUCCUCGGCUUUGUAAGGCAAUGGAAUCUGAUCGGGUUUGUGAAGUUCAUGACGGUUCCUAUGCACACUCAUCAGCACAGAGUUUGCGAAGAGACGGAAGUUCGAACUCCUUAUCAUGAGAUUUUCAAGGUAUGAAUCUUAAUCUACGAGCUGGUUCUCCAUAUGAUUGUGUUCUCGUGUUUGAUUCCAAUUCCGUAUUCCGUAUAGGAACUCUCCAUGUGAUUUGGCUAAGAGAGGGAGCGUUAAAGCUAAUUCAACCUUGUAGGGCCCAUUUGGUUCACCUUUUGAGAAAUGCAUUUGCCAAAAUGCAAAUACCUUUAGGUGAAUAAGGUUUUCCGAAAUGCAAAUAUCGUUUGGUAAAAUUUGCAUUGAGAUACAGCUUUUGCCAAAAUAUCGUUUGGUAAAAUUUGCAUCUAUAAAUGACUUUUAUUAAAUUAAAAAAAACAUUUGUAUUUUUUUUUUGAAGUCCAGUCACCGGACCGCCGGAUCUGGCGGCUGAACCGCUGAAUCUAGUGACUGAAUGGCCGGAUCUGGCAGUGCGACCCUAGGCAACGCUCAGGCGCCUGAGGUCGCGCGACCCAGGCAACGGUCGCCUAAGGUGGCGCGACCUCGCCGGCGGUCGCCUAGGUCACGCGACCUCAGGUGACCGUCACCGAGAUUGAGCGGCCUUGGCGAUCGCCGCCUGAGGUCACGCGACCUCAGGCGGCUGCUUGGGUCGCAUGACCCAGGCGUCACCUGAGGCCCAGCUACAGUCGCCGGGGUCGGGCGACCCUUAGGUGGUACUCGCCAGAGCCUUGUCGACACACGCAACUCGAGUCGCCGACCUCCAGUCAGCUUCUUCCGAUGGUGUGCGGUGGUUUUGGAGAAGAUGAACAGUACCGGACUUGCAUUCCGGAGAUGCAACUUCCGAAAAGUACCUCCAGAGCUGCAUUGGGCUAAAGGCCCUUAAAGCCACUUAGAGAUGCAAUUGCAUCUCGCCAAAGUUAUUCAAAAAAACGAACCAAACACCUUUGCAUUUGGCCAAAGGACUUUCCAAAUGCCCAACCAAAUAGGGCCGUAGUGCUUAUCUAUCUCUAGCUUUCCCAUGUGUGCAUAUGUAUGUUUUAGGGGAUCUCAUAAAUGUCAAGCCAAUGGAAACAGGCCGAAUGAGUCAUAUCGGAUUUGAUUGUGCUGAAAUUGACAUUGGUGUGCAUAUAGGCCUCGAAAGCUAGACCAUUAGAAAGACCUAGAUCCAUCAAAUUGGGGUUGAUGUAUCAGGAGAUAUGAAUUUCACAUAAUAAGAAUAGCAUAUGCCUAAGCUUUCUUCAUGUUCUAAUUUGUGACUGUUGCAGAUAAACUGAAACAACUGGGCUUGCGCAGAGUUGUCAAAUCAUAUAGCAAAAUUAAACCCGACCACAUUGCGGUGAGGUGAAUAUAUCUAAAGAAAAGCAAUGUGGUAUGAUCCUCAUGACAAUGACAACACUUGAAUUUAAAUCACAGAGUCGCUAGACUAUAUUAGCUCUAGAUUGAUUGUGCAUCGGGUCAUUAAUUUCUGUUUUUAUCCUUGACAUGCUUUGAAAAGGAUCCUCGUACUGUCUUGGUGAGAAAUCGUUGGUUGUCUUCUUCUUUCUGAUGACAAAACUGCGGAACGUGCACUUGAGUAAAGAGUUCCCGAUCCAUUCCCAAAGAUGCACUUCAAGAAAAGCCUGUAGACUGUGGCUCUUAUAUAUCAGGACAAAUCGUGGCCGGUGAAGCGCAUUAGCCACGAACAUUAUGGAAAGUCAUCUAUUGGUUGGGCUACUUUCUCGAGAGAAACUUCUCUGAAGGAGUGAGGCUUGUGCAUGUUUGAGUUCUAUUAGAAGGGGCAACGUCGUGUUCAGAGUAUACAUCUUCAAGACCACUAGCCAGAGGUAGCUGAAAAAUCCUAUGCAAUAGGACACGGCAAAGGAAGCAUCACUUUAGCUCAGAAUUGCUUGGCUAAAAUCUGCUUCAAAUUUGACAAAUCAGAAAAAAGCAUGAGUUUUAUUCUAAUGAAUGGAAAGAUACCUUUAAUCGAUCCUAGUGUUACAGUCGCCAUGUGGGGAUGAGUCAUGAGUCAUGAGACGGAGGAAGCUAAUUGCUUCUAGUACAAGUCACACAACCUCAUUUCCUUACUCCUCCCAUAGUAGAUUUCCGUUGUCAUCCAACCACUCUUUAUACUUCAAAACACAAAAGGAAAUUUAUAUUCAUUUAAGCAAACAGAGAGAAUAAAAGGAUGUAAAAGCCAUCCUUCGAGUCUAUAUUAAUCAAAAUAUUUAGUGCUCUCUGGUGGUUUUUUUUUUUUUUUUUGAUCGGUCCUACUCUAACACUCACUCUCAAACUUUUGCCCUUACCUCCUUGCAGGGCGUGGGAGUCAAAACCCACUCCUGAAAUGAAAUCGUCCUCACCCCAAUCCCCCUUGAGAAGGUGGGGAUUUGAACUCCCAACCUCCCCCUUCCAAGUUGGAAUGGUGGCCAUUGGGGCGAACCCCCAAUGGUUCUCUCUGGUGGUUAAUACAUAGAUUUUGAUUAUAAUCGGACAUAUACUGAGCACAACUGAAGAAGAGUUCUAUAAGCCAGCAAUGACCUAAAAAAUAGUUCCACAAGAGGGCUCAACCUCCUCGACUUAUUAAAUGAAUCACAAGGCAAGGAAAAGAGAACUUGGGCAAUUAAUGGCAUUAAACGCAAUUAAUGCGAAUUAUGCAGAAAUUAUUAGAAUUAUAGUGAGCUGGGGCUUAGAUGGUGUUCCUUACUCUUGUCAAUUGACGAUGAUAAAGAAAAGUAAAUAACUUGUGUGAAAGUUACCGAAUCAUUUAAAAAUUUAGUGUCUUUAAAACUUACAAAAUUUAUUAAUCAGAUAAAAAAAAUUUACAAAAAAAUUUUACAAAUUAUCUAUGGUUACAAAUUACUUUCAAUCUGCAAAAUGUUACUUACAAAUUUGAAAAACUCUUUUAUGCAUGUGACACUCCAAAUUUCAUAUGGAUUAGAAGAGGGAUAAUUGACCAAUAGAUAAGUGUGAAUGCAAACCACCACCACUAGAUAUUCACCUCCCGAAAAACUUAUUUAGGGGCUUAGAUCAUAACAAAUCGGAUUGUUAAUAUUAGAAAAUUCCAUGCCUAACUUAUAGCUCGAACUUGCACAUUAAUUAAAGAUAUUUAACUUUUUCUAGCCGAGAGAAUGGACAAAUCUAGGCGAGCAAUUCUCUACUUGGUAUUUGGCUCAAAUAAAAGUUGUACUCUACAAUGCUAACCUAAGAAAAGUAUAUAAUUCUCUCAAAUUAAGAUAGGUAAUUUCGCACAAAAAUUGUUAAGCGUGAUUGUGGUUGGUGGAGGAGAAACACCUAUGUAGAUAAACCAAGAAAGCAAAUCUUCAUAAUACAAAAGUAAUUUAUACUAGCCAUUUAGCUUAAUUCUCCAAAAAAGCAUCAACUUUAACUGGAGUAUCAAUUUAGGCCUGACCCUUUUUUUUGUAAGGGAAAAGACCAUCAAAAAUCCCAAACUUUGCCUAAAGUGACAAAUUUACCCCAAACUUUUUUUUUUACGUGAAAAACCCCAAACUUUUCAAAUUGUGGCACAUUUACCCCAUCAAGGACAUUUUUGUCUUAUUUUUUAGGUUUUUCCUUUUUCUUUUUUUCUUCUUCUUCCCUUCGUUGGCCAUGGCGGAGGGAAGCUGGAGUCCGGCAAGGGCUGCCCUCGCCGGCGUUGGGCGAGGGUUGCCCUUGCCUAGGCUGGCUAGGGCCACCCUCGCCGGCGUCGGGUGAGGGCAGCCCUCAGCUGGGCUGGCCCAAUGCCAGUGAGGGCCUCCCUCGCCUGACGCUGGUGAGGGCACCCCUCACUCGAUGCAAGCGAGGGCCACCCUCGCCCGGCGCCGGUGAGGGCCGCCCUAACCAGCCCAGGAGGGGCGACCCUCACCCGACGUCGACAAGGGCAGCCCUCGUCGCACGCCAGCUUCCUUCCACCAACUCCGCUAUGGCCGACAAAGGGAAGAGAGAAGAAAAAAAAUUAAAAAUAAAAGACCAAAAUACCCUUUAGUUUAGGGUAAAUGUGUCAUGGUUGACAAAGUUCGGGGUUUUUCAUUUCACAAAAAAAAAAAUUUGGGUAAAUCUGUCACAGUUGGCAAAGUUCGGAAUUUUUCACGUCACAAAAAAAAAAGUUUGGGGUAAAUCUGGCACUUUAAACAAAGUUUAGGCUACAUUUAGUCGUUUGGAUAAGAUAAGAUAUGAAAUCCUGGGAUUUUUUUAUAUCCUGUCAAUUGUUUGGUGAAUCGCAGAAUUAAAAUCGGAUAUAUUCACAUUAUAUUAUAUACAUUUUUUAAAUAUAAAUGGCAUAUCAUUAUAAAUGAAACUAAAUAUUCAUAAACGAAGAUGGUGAAAAUCUCACGCAACACUAUUCCUUAAUUUAUUUUUAUUUUAUUUUUCCUCUUGUUUUAUAUUAUUUUCUUUAUUAUUUCUUUUUUCCCCUUUCAUCAUUCUUUAAUAAAAUUUUAUCAAGUAGUAAACUAUACUAACAUACAUAAAAUACAAAAAUACAUAAAAUAUAUAAUAAAUAUAAAUAUUUAAUUUAUAGAUUGAAUGUUUAUUAUAAGAUAGAAUUAAAGUUGAAUAUAUAAAUUAAAAUAAGAUUAAUUAAAAUAAAUUUCUAUUUUUUAUUUUUAAUUUCUUAAAUUAUAAUUCAAAUAUUAUUUAUAUUGAAAUAUAAUUUCAAUUUUGUUAAUUUAAUAAGUUUGAUAUUCGAGAAAAAUAACUUUCGUACUAUAGACAUUAGAAAUCCUAUCCACCUUUAUCCCAUCUCCCCCAUGGGAUAAUUUUCCUACAUAUAUUCCCCUUAUAUCUGACUUUAUCUUGUUUUGAGUGAGCACCAAGCGCAGGAUAUGAUAAAUCAUAUCUUAUCCUGAAUUUUAUCCUGUCUACCAAAUGCAGCCUUAAAGUUUUUCGUGAUUUUUCCCUUUUUGUAAUAAAAAAUCAUCAACUUCCAUGCCCAAAUCUAACCCCGCUUAACUUUCCGUCAACUAAUGGUGUUAAAUGUUUGAUGCGUCAAUUUCAAGUCAUUAUCUUUUCCCAAGUCAGAAUUUAUAUAUAUGAUGUCUUUCUUUUUCUUUUCUUUUUUUCUUUUGUCCUUUUUCUUUCUUCUUCUUCCUCUCACUGGACGACAGCCUGACCACCGUGAGUCAGCCGCACGAUCCAAUCAACGGCCCAGCCCUCCGUCCACCACCACCUCACCGCCGUCCUAGCCCUCUAUCCACCACCACCUCGCCACCUUCCACAACCCCAGCCGUCCAUCCUCGCUUCCGCCCUCGACCUCCGCUAAGAUUUUUGUUUUCCCCAACCUCUCGCCAUAUAUCUCCACCACUAGCGCCUCUACUCUUGGCCAAUGACCCCCUGGCUUCCGAUGUCCAGUAGCCCGGCCGCGGCUCGUCCUCGCCGUCGUCGAGCUCGAGUUCGGCCGGUGCUCUCGAGCCUCAAAUUUUGGGUCCAAGCUCAAGCGAGCCUUAGAUUCCAGAUAUGGGGAUCAGCUUGACCUCAGAUUUGUGUUGAUUAAGGUUGAGUAGGGUCGACGGUAGCCACAACUAGAUUUUUGGAGGUCAAUAUCCGUCCGUCCAUGGCUUUUCAAUCCGAGUCUGUGCAUGUUUCUUGACUCAAAAUGGGUGAAUCGGCAGAAAGUUCAGAUUUCUUUUGUUCAGAAUAAGAUCACGACCAGUUUUAUUUAAAAUAUAAGCAAAUAUAAAAUAAAAUAAAAUGCAAUGACAAAAGAGAAGCAUGGUGUAGUUUGUCACUUUUUUUUUUUUUGGGUAAGAGGUAAGAAUGUGUAGUUAGUCACUUUGGGCGCGUUUGGUAACGUUUCUGUUCAAAAAUUUAUUCCAAGGAACAUAAAUAGAAAAAACUAUUUUUGCUCCGGGAAACAAUUUUUGAAUAGAAGAAGGCGUUUGGUAAACUUGUUGCGGGAAUAAAAAAUGAACAGAAACACGUUCGGUAAAUUUGUGUUCUUUUUUUGUUUCUUUUAAUUUUUUAAUAUUUUUAUUUUAUUUUUUUUCUUUUUUCUUUUUUUCUUCUUUUGGCCGGUCGCCGACCUCAGCCAUGGCCGACGACCGAUCGACGAGGGCUGGCAGCCUCGCCCAGCCACGGCGAGGCUCACCGGCCCCCGGCGAGGGCCUCACCGGGCUCGCCUUGGCUGGGUGAGCUCGGGCUCGCCCAGAUCCGGCGAGCGCAAGCUCGCCCAGCCUUGCCCCGCUCCGACGAGGCUCGUCGUCACCUUGGCGGGGCGAGCUCGGGCUCGCCCAGAUCUAGCAAGCCCGAGCUCGCCCAGCCACCAGUGAGGCUCGGCCUCGCCGGGCCACCGCCAAGCCGGUAAGCCUCACCGGUGCGGGGCAAGGCUGGGCGAGCUCGGGCUCACCGGAUCUGGGCAAGCCCGAACCUCGCUAGGAGCUGGUGAUGCUCGGCCUCGCCGGGGGCUGGUGACGCUCUGGUGAGGUCACCGGCCCUCGACGGUGUCGCCGGCCUUGGCCGAGGCCUGCGAACGGGCAAAGAAAAAAGAAAAAGAAAAGAAGAAAAAGAGAGGAGAGAGAAAAAUUUGUUCUUAAAAAUUAUUCCAAAAACAAGAAAAGCGUUUUUCUUGUUUCUUUUUUUUGUUCCAAAUGUGUUCCUAGGAACAAAAAAGUAGAUUUGGAACAAAAACGCAAACAAAUACGUUUCUGUUCUUUUUUUGUUCCCUGGAACAAAAAAACAGAAAAUUUGUUCAUAAACAAAAAUAAAGAGCAUUAACAAACAAGGCCUUUGUCUUCAAGAAACUGAAAAUUAAAUUGGAAAUGGGCUAUGGAAUACAGAUUUAGCUCAUUCCACUGAAGAGUACAAAGAAAUGUGUGCAGACGGAGUAGAAGGCCGCCGAGAUAGGAGGUCUGGAUGCCGGGGUUCCAUCUGCGGUUGCCGCCGACAAAUGUGGUCGGUGGCAGCGGCGGAGGCCGGAGACACUACGGCGGCCACAAGGAGGAAGUGGAGGAUGACAGGGUGGGAUGAUGGUGGCCAUGGACGGAUAACCUUUAGGUAGCGAAAGGAAGAAGGAAGAUUAAAAAAAGAAUAAAAAAAGGAAAAGCUAUAUAUAAUUCUGAUUUGAGAAAAAAAAAUGAGUGGAAUUGACAAUUGAGACGUUUAAGGAUGCUCUUCGGACGGACAAAAAGUUAACAGAGGUCAGAUUUGGAUAUGAAGUCAAAGUUGGUGACUGUUUAUGAGAUACUAAAGAAAAAAAUAUUUGGGGCCAGAAUUGAGAUUUGAACUAAUUGGUGCUAUUUUGAGGAUUUAAUCCCUUGCUAUUUAGAAUAUUUGUUUUCGACUAUGUUUUAAAAAUGGUAGUGUCUAUAACAUGAUAACAACAUGAACAGUAAUAAGCAAGAGGAUGGAUUAGGGCAUGGCUAUUUCCGUAGCAGAAAAUGCUGCAGGCAGUCUUUCUAUUUGAAGAGAUGAUUCUGCCCCCACGGACGAGGACACUAACACCUACAAAACACGAACGGGGCGAGGGGGUUUCUAUUGGUGGGUUCCAUCAACAUUAAAUUUAUCUAUGUGAUGUAGAUGUUUCCGUAAUGGGUUCUCCAUUCUUUUCUUUUUCUUGAGUUUAAGCUUCCAUCAAUUAUCUGAAAAUGGAGGAGCUGGACUCAGAAAAACUUAUGAACUACUACCAAAUAAAAAAUUAUUGGAUGAUGAUUAAUAAUGUUUCAUUAUUUCAAUUUCAAAGAGUUUUGAUGGCUUAAAUCUUAUUUAUCAUAAAUUCUGUUUCUUUGCAAUCAAGAUUAUCUGUGAAGAACGAUGGAUUCAUGAGUUUGUGAUUAUGAAGGGUAUUUGCCUGCAAAAUUUCUUUCCUUGAAUCAAAAGGAGGGUUUAUCUGAUCCCUUCGUGCAUAGAGAAAGGUAGAUUCGUGCCCUCAAAUCUAGCGAGGCAUAUUUUUGCUUAUCAUUUUUGUAAAUCCAAUGAGAUUUUGUUAUAUAUGUGGGGUUGCAGGGGAGGUGAUUGAUUAUAUGCAUGAUCAAGUGACACAGAUCAUUGUUUACUUAUUUAUCCAUAAAAUCUCACACACACAAAUCGUUUAUCAACCAACAUGCAUGGCGGACUAGAUCAGGCUUUCUGUUGCAAAAUCAUUUCCUAAUUCUCUCCACUUGACUUUAGACCUAGCAGGAGGGCUUGAGAGAAUGUGAGUGAGUAUUCACGCUUAUAAUCAAGUUUACUUAACACGAAUCCAUUGGCUUGAUGGGAUUAUUUGUAUAAGUUUAGUUACUGUAUGGAGAUGCUCGAGUUAUAUAUUAGAGAAGUAUCUGCAUCGUCUACGUGAAAAAAUUUUGAGGCUCAUUCCGUCAUAGCACUAAAUAUCUAAGUCCAUAUGAAAACAGAAAUCUGCUAUAGAAAAAGAUAUCUGCCUCUUUCUACUAGGCUUAAACUCGUGUCCGGUUUCAUACAUCGGUCCAAAGCCCAAGCACCAAAUCGGUCCGUAGGGUCUAGCCCUCAACAUAAGCUAAGGUGAGCUCGUUCCUAAAACAUCCUAUCUUCUAGGCAUUAUUUGACGAUGUUAAGCCCAAAGGAGCAAUUAAUCCAAAAGGAAGACUUUCCCUGCUUGAGGAGCAAAGCUUCCCGCAUCUCGUAUGCUCUGAAUUUGAUUAUGCUUAUCAUUGUUUGUUGGGUGUAAAAUUUUCUUUUCAGAAAUUAUACUUUCCGACACAAAUUAUGCACCAACUUCACAUACAAAAUCAAUUGGAGAAUACAUAUCUACAAAAUUAUACAAUAACUGCUUUUUUCUAAGAUUGAUACACAACACUCUAAUAGCUAAAAAGGACUUCUCCUUGUUUCAAGAAUUAGAUUUGCAACGUUCUCUAGAAAAAAAAACACAUAAAUAAUGUGGCCACUUAGGCUUUACCUGAGCUAAUAUUAUGCACUACUAACUAAAUAGAUUACUCAAAUGAAAAUAUUCUUACAUGUAGUAAUUCCAAAAAAUCUUGACUAGACCUCAGAAUUUAAAUUAGGGGCAUGUAAAUCGCCAAAUAUGAUGAGUGUUAUAGGAUCAACGGCUGUGAUUCAUGUGAUGAGUCCGUGUAAGAAUUUGUCAUUCCAAGCGGGGAGGACAGACACUCCUGCGAUCUUACAUGGGGAUCCUAGAAAAGGAUCCUAGAAAAGGAAAAAGCGACGCGAGUGCAUUUUCAAAAAGAGAGAGAGGCUAAGGAUAACUAAGGAUGAAAGUAAAGCAGUGGGGACCAUAACUAUUUGGCAUUGCCUCAAAAAGGUCAAGAGAUCCAUCAAUUAUAUUGGGUUUGGUGGAUUAUGAGUUGAUUUAGUGCUUUGAAGCAGUGUGAAUUGGAUUCCAAAUAGAGAGCAAAAGAGGUGGAAAAAAAACAUGCUUUGGCUCAAUUGAACACCGACAACUCAUUACGUUACUCAUCACUUCCAGAACUAUGCCUAUGUAUACUAUUUUGCUUUUCCUUAAAGUGUUAGACACGACAUGACCGCUUCAAUGUCCACAUUAGAACUAGUCAUCUUCUUCACAAUUAGGAUAUCCAUUAAAAAUGACCAUGAACCUCCUUUAAAGAUUCACCCACAUAAAGUCCCAAUCCCUUUAUCAACUCAAAUUAAUUUUUUGAAAUUCCUUACCGUGGAGACUACGGGAGUCCGGAGCAAAAGUAAUGACAAUGGACGUCGGCAUCAACUUUUUCUAGUGGAAAAUAAAGCAUGUUUUUUUUUUUUUUUUUGGUAUAGUAUUGCCAAAUGCAUAAGGUAGGUUCAUCAAAUGUAUGGCACUUGGUCAAUUAGCUAUCCCAAGGUGGAUGUCUCCGUCGCUAAGAUUUGCAAAGCCUCAUUGAUAAUGACUCAAACGGGCAUAGCUAAGAUAGUGAACAGUAAAAAAUUAUUUAGUUACCUAUGAACUUUUUAGAUGGUUGUACAAUUCCUUAUUAAAAUUAGAGAGUAAAUGUGACUUCUAUCGGUAAGGUAAGGUUUUAAAGAUUUUGGCAUUUUCACUUAAAUAAGUAUGAAAGCAGAGUACGAAGAUCAUGUUUCAUCUUUCAAUUGAAAAUUAAAACUGUCCAAGCACUGGAAAUCUGACCUUCAACAAGUCAGAGUACCACGGCUGGAAACAAAACUUAAUCCAGAAAUCGCGCAUCAUGGGGACCUCCAAAAGAAGGAAAAAAAGCACGGUAGAAACAAUUGGUGAAAGCGAAUGGUGAACCGACCGAACAACCUCUACAUAUGCAUAUAUUUCCAAAGAAUAACCCCGCAUGAAACAAGGUUCAUUUUCCCAGCUAGAACUAGGGAUGGCAAACAAAUAGAGAAGAUUGUGGAGCAGAUAAGAAAGCUCACAAUGGUUUUUCUUUAUGUGAGGAUUGUAGAAUCGAUAUUUCAUGGGAUUUUAAAUAGACGUGUCUACACGUGCAUACCCCUAAAUUACCAAAAAAAAAAAUGCUUACUUUAGGAAAAUGCUAACUAUAUUUGGUAACUUUUUUUAUAUACACUUAUUCCUCAGAAACUAGUAGCUAUUAUGCAAAAGUUCCAUAUGACCUUAAUUUCAAAGAGAAUGUCCCACAUGACUUUAAUUAGUCAUAACCUUUUUCUUUUGUUAAUUAUUAGUCAUAAUUUUUUCAUAUAGUCAUAAUAAAUAUAAGGAUUUAGGAAUAACAUGACAUUAUAAUUUAACAAUUAUGCUUGGCAAACAAAGUUAAACAACUUCAAUUUUUACUUAUGAAGUAAGCUUUUUCUUUGUUCUCACUUAUAGGGAUGAUUAUGAGGGGCUCUCUUUCAACAAAUCUGUGAAAAAUUGAAGGACGAUACAUGAAAAGUCAAAACUUAUUUUCUACUAAUGCUUAACAUUAGCUGGGUAGAAGGCUCCAAGUUGGCUCGAGUCAUAUAUGUCAAUAAAUAGAAUCUCACCAAAAGUUGCCAUCCAAUAUAUAAAUCAAUAACACGGCCAAUUUAUGUUUUCGAUUUGCAUACCAUUUCAAAAGUAAAACCUCAAUUUUUUCCCAUUCAAUUAGCUUGAUUAUAAUGUUACUUCUCUAUUUUAAUAUGAUUUCAUGCCAACACGAAGAGAGGGCUUAGGAAUAGUACCUAAUCCUUUUUUGCGCUCAAAUCUCUUUGCCUUCUUUGUCCCUAAUCAUUCUUGCUUUGUUUCACUCUUCCGUUAUUCUCUCUGUCUCUUUGUUUUUUUUUUUCCUGGGUUUUCUCAACUAAAAAAGAAAAUCAAAGAAAAAUGUAAAAUCGAUGAUACUGUCGAGAAAAAUGGGAAUCGUCACAUUAAAUUCAUCUCAAGAAGUAAAAUUAUUGAUAUAAAGGUAUAAUUCGUGGUUGAAGAACAAGAGCAAAAAAACAUUAGAAAAAUCUCAUUUAUAUCAUCAAAUGAUAUUUUUUUUGAUAAUGUUCUACUUGGACUAUGAGUGCAUCAACCUCGAACAAUCCACGUCUCUGCUGGCUCCAUCAAUUUGUCUUCUUGACUCCUUUGAAGUCAUGAUGUUGUUUUUUCUUGGAUUGCUACAAAAUUUAACAGUUAAUACUUUUGACAUUUCACACAUAAUCAAUGAUGAUAUGGACAUCCAUCUUCAAUCUUCCAUUGCUGCUUUGUUGCACCGAAAGGUGAAAUUCCCAAGACUAAAAGAGAUAGAUUCCUCUGGUGGGCCUUCCUUUCCACCGAAACCCUUGAAAAAUAGUCAGGAGGAUCUUCUAAAGUCGUUGUGAUGAUUUGGUGUAUACAUGCAUAUUCACACACAUUGGGCGAGGCUAUUCACGCUCCCAAUUUAGCUUAAAAUCACAUCCUUUUAAGUAAACUCAAUUAUUAAUAGACCUGCCUUUUAUUUAAAAAUAAACAAAUCUGCCUUUUCCAAUUCCUCUCUCAUCUAUUGUCUAGUCUAUUUUCUUAUUUACUAUAGACAGUUGAUAAGAGUUUCCGAUAUCAAUCUUGUCAUGUACUCCUUUGAUUUCAAAGUUUUGUUCAUGUAAAAAUUUACCUAAAAAACGUCUUCAACCUAUGAAUCAUGAAAAAAAGAAGAAAAGAGAGGCUGAUUUAUUUAAAAGAUUGGAGCAUAAGCAUGUUCCGAAAUAUCAAAUUACACUCAUGCUUUCAUCGAGCUUUAGCUAUAAUUUUUCCAAUUUAUUAUGACCAAGUCUUCAGUUCUUUGAUCUGUCAUGUUCGAACUUUCAUUAUUUUGUAGAAGAGAAUAUUUCAACAAGUUAAUUUGGUAUAUUUUAUUUACGAGCUUAUAAGUCAAUGAAUAAUUAAUCCUCUUUAUUCAAAUGGUUAUAGACAAGGGUUUUGAGACAUUUAAAGUUAAUUUUCUUAUUGAUAAUUGGUUUUUCUGAAUUUAUCAUGCUAGUAAAUUUGGGAGAUCAUUGAGUGAGAGUUUCAUUUUGAGCAAUCUAAAUUUUUUUCACACUGCAUCUCUAGAGUUAUUUCAAAGUGGUGAAGUGGCCGUUUGAUAUGAAGAGAUUCAUGGAAAGGUCCCAAGCUUAAUUCAUUAGUAGCAUGUUUUCAAAUUGAAAAGCUUGCUCGUAUUUUUAGUUUGUUUUUGAGUUUUCAUUUUGUUUGCUUUAUUCCUUAUACCUAUAGCUAGGACUUGAGAUUAUAUUACGUACCCCAUGAAUAGUUCAAGAGCAUAAAUUUUGACAGGUUUAAGAUUGAUGUCUUUCAGAUUUUGCACCAUAUUAUAUAUAGUUAAGGUUGCUGAUUAUAAUUCUCGAAACUAACAAACUAUCAAGUGUUGUGAAACACACACACACACACACACACACACACACACACACACACACACACACACACACACACACACAUAUAUAUAUAUAUAUAUAUAUAUUGUGUUCUCUCAUUCUGUGUACUUAUAUUAUGGUCUUUCAUAUCCGUACAUUGCUUGCUCAAAUAUGCAUGUAGGCAAACAAUUCUCUUUACAUUCUUCAAGGAAUAUAUUGAGGGAAUAAUCAAAUCACAACUCUUAGACAUUUAGACAAAUUGUGCAUAGUGAAGCCGAGGAUCCAUCACAUCUUGUUGAAAAAUGAUGACUAAAUUACAUUUACCCUGUUCCUUGCCAAGACCGAAUUGCAAUCACAAGAAUUUGGUGGUGUUACUUGUAGUUUGAUAAGCCAUGUUUUUGCUCACAUUGUGUUGUUUUUAAUUGGUAGUUAAAUCACGUCUUUUACAAAUGACAAGUAAUUGAAAUUAUGAGUUCCUACGAAUGAUAAGCAUUAACAUGACGAAUGAUUUGAUGAUAGCAUUCGAGGCUCUUAGUUUAUACUUUUGUUUUCUAUGACAAUUUGAUUAAAAUUAUUAUUUUAAAGAAAGCAGCCAUGGAUUCUUACUGGAAUCCCAAUCCCCAUGAUUGAACCAUGCAGUCAAAAAUGGGGUCCAUAUGUCAUUAGAAGAAAGCUAUGCACGUUGCUCAUGCUUGCCUGUGGUCAUUCACUCGUGAAAGGGUUAAUAGUAAGAGAGUGGCUAAAACAGCCAAGAAUAUGCAAUAAUUUGACUAGACAUAAAAUAAUGGGAUGUCCUAUCUCCCCUUGAGUCUAUCUUAGUAUUAAUAUUACAAAAGCAUUGAUUAUUCAUCAAUGGCUUGUUAUAAGGAGCAUCAAACUCCCAAAACUUUUUUUACAAAUCUCAGUUAAUUUUUUUUUUGUUGAAAUUAUAACAUUCAAAUAAUUGAAAAAAAAGUUAUGACACUCAAGUUUAUGUUUUUUAGAAGCCAUGAUACUCAAAUAAUUGAAAAAAAAAUGUGAACACUUUACAAAAGUCAUGACACUUGCAGUGUUUUUUUGCUAUUCUUUUUAGGAUUUUCAUCCUAUCAUUUUCUCAAUCUUUCUUUCUCAAAAGAAAAACAUCAACGGAUGCUGCCAUCAAGAAAAAUGCGAAAAAUCACAGUAAACUCAUAUCAAGAAGUAAUUGUUGAUAAAAGGGUCUAAGUUAUGGUUAAAAGAGCAAGGACAAAAGACAUUAGAAAAAUUCCAACCGUAUCAUCAUAUGGCAAUUUUUUACAACGUUCUACUUGGACUAUGAGUGCAUCAACCACCGACAAUCUACUUCUCUAGUGGCUCCAUCAAUUAAUCUUUUGACUCCUUUCUAAAGGGGAAGUAAUGAUGGGUUUUUCUUGGAAUGCUACAAAAUUUAAUAGUAAAUACUUUUUGGCCUUUGAUGCAUAAUCAAUGAUAAUAUUGAUAUGCAUCUCCUAUCUCCGGCUGACAAUUGCUUCCUUGCACCGAAAGGUGAAAUUGUCAAGACUAAAACAGCAAGAUUCCUCUGGUUGACAAAUAGUUGUUGGGAUGAUUGGUGUGCACACACACAUUUGGUGGAGGUAAUUAUGCACCCAUUUUACACGUGAUACUUUGUUAGGGUCAAAUUUGUCUCUAUGUAAUAUUUCCUUAAGAGAACCCAAGGACAAAAUGCUAAAAUAGCCAACCUCUUAUAUUUCCCCUUAUUUCACUUUUUUAGCUUGCCAUCACCUUUCUUUUGUCUCCUUAAUGUUUCCGUUUUCACAUGUAGUAUCUCUCUGUUGGAAAGGGCUUUGAAUUUGAUUAUGCUUGUCAUUGUGUAUGUUGGGUGUAAAUUUUCUUUUUUGAGAAAUUAUACUUUGAUACAAAAUUAUUCACUAAUUCACGUACAAAAUCAACAUGAGAGUCAAUAUCUAUAUAAUUAUGCAAUAACAGUCUCUUCUCUAUGCCCUGCCUCUAAGGUUGACACAUAGCAUUCUAAAUAGCCAGAAAAGACUUCUCCUUAUUUUAAGAACUGGAUUCACAACAUUCUCCAUUAAAAAAAUGUGCCCACUUAGACUCCACCUAGGCUAAUAUUUUGCACUACUGGCUAGAUAGAUUAUUCAUAUAUCAUGAUGUACUUAUAGGCACUAAUUCCUUAUUAGCUACGUGAAAUCUACUCAAUCUAAUUACAAGGAGAAUGUCUCUCAUGACUUUAACUUGUUUCUAUUUAGUCAAAAUGUUUUCAAACGGUCAUAAUUCAUAUAUGGGAUUAGGGGUACAUUGACAUUUCCAACACAACAAUUUUUUUUAUGGGCAAGUCUGUCAUGUGAAACUAAUAAAGAGAAUUUCAGCCAGCUUAAUAUUCAAAACAGAUCGGAGACCAAUAUUAUGCCUAUCUAUCAUAUGAUACUAUUAUUUUAACGUUAUACUUACUUAGCAUCUCUAUCUUGCACUUAUUGAAUAUUACUAUAUUAUAAUUUUAUGUUAACCUUGUCAUUUUCUUAAGAAAUGGUUCAGAAUAGAAAAUACAAUACUCUUUACUAUAAAAAUUAUGCUUACAUAGCCCCAGAAUUGGCGCAAUUGGUUGGGUCAUUAGGGAUUUCCAACUUAGGAACUAGAGAUCGCCAGUUCGAAUCCCACAAACUAUAUGCAAACUGCUUUGGGUUAUAGUCACCUACAUAGACCAAAGAUCUAAGUUUAAUUGGUUCAUGGAAUUGGCACGAUAUUUCAUGAGCUUCUAGGUAAAUGGCUCUCCACACUCCUACCCCGAUAUUACACAAGUGCGCGCACGCGCGCACAUACACACACACUCACUUUAGGAGAAUGCUAACUUUACAUGGUAUUACACUUACUUUAGGAGAAUGCUAAUUUUAGAUGGGAUUUUUUUAUAUGCACUUAUUCCUCAUAAACUAGGUAGUCAUUAUGCAUUAGAUCUUUGUCAACUUAAUUGCAAAGAGAACAUUCCCAUGACUUUGAGGAAUAUUACCCAUCGAUCUUAAACAUAUUGUACGAAUACCAAUUUAGUUCUAAACUUUUCGAUUUUGCCAAUUUAGUUAUAAACAUUUGUGCAAAAUUCCAAUAUAGUCCUUUUGGCCAAUUUUCGACGUUGAAAUGGUCAUGUGUUAUUUAGAAUGGUCAGCGAUGACUGGAUUGCCACAUCAAUAAUUUCAGGCAAAAAUUCAUCAAAAGGGUUUUAUUGAAAUUUUCCCUAAAGGUGUAAAACUAAAUUGUCAAAAAAUUGAAAUGAUUAAAACUGAAUUAGCAUCUGUAUAAUAGAUCUUAGGACUAAUUAAAUAAUUUUUCCCAUGACUUUAAUUAGUCAUAAUAUUUUCUUUGUUAUAAAUUAGUCAUAACCUUUUUAAAUAGUCAAUACAAAUAUAAGGUUUAUGAGGUAAUUUGAUAUUCUAAUCUAACAAUUAUGGCUGAGUUUGAGAAAAGGAGCGAGGAAGUUAAGCAGCCACCUGGUGUUCCGGUUGAGCAAGCCAGCGAAGAAGACGCGUGAGUUUACUUUUUGCUUUUGUCUGAGUAUACGAGUAGUUAAAGAAAAUCAAUGUCGGAAUGCACUCAUUCGAGGAGCUAUGCGUAAUGACUCAGCAAGUUGCAUAUGAGGGAAACGCCUUCAUAGUUAGUGGAAUAUCCCCUUUCAACGAGAUUCACGUGGCACUCGGCAUAACAUUUUGUUGUUGUCCCAUAUGAUUGUCAUGAAAUAGGAAUACGCAAGAGUGAUUUUGAAAAAAUUCCAUGAGUUCCAUGGUCACUUUGGUCGACUUCUAGUUCUAUUUGCUUACACUUAUAUAUAAAAAAAAUUCUGCAUUUUGCUCUCCCUCGAGAAAAUUAAAAAUGGAAAAAAAAAAUAGGUUUCAUAAAUUAUGAAAAACCAUGUAAUAGCUCUACUUGUCAAUAAAUGUAUAUUUUUGAAAAUUCUAAAUUUCAAUAUUUGAUAACUACAAUAUUUGAAAAAUAAAUGUGAAAAGGAAAAGCUCUGGACAGAACCAAGCAUUUGGGAAGAAAUAAAAAAAAAAAGAAAAGAGGGUCUUUUUGGGGGGGGGGGGGGAGGGGAGACUUCAAUAUGAAUGAGAGCUCAUGGAGCAAAGUUAGUCCUUGCUGGCAAUGAUUUUGCAUGUUAAUUUUGUUAUGUAAAGAGUAACAGUGGUCACUAUGAUUUUGCCUAUUAAUAUUAUCAUCUAAAGAGUAGUAGUGUUCGAGAUAGUAAAUUAGUUUAAAAUGUUAAGAGGAUAGCAAAAAUUUAAUUUCCUUAGAAGUUCUAACCUAACAAUUACAGCUGCAGUUAAAUAUAACCUAGCAAUCAUAAUUGGCUUUAUAUUCUAACAAUUAGCCUAACUAUCAUGUUAAUUCGAAAUUUUUAACGUGAUUUCACAGACCAGCACAAUGAGCGGGGGUAAGAUUAUAUUACCUAACCAAUGUUUGUCCAUCAGACGUGGAGGAAAAACUAGAUGCCCAAAUUAUGUUUGUCUAAAGCGGUGAAGGAAAGGAUGUAUAUCUAAUCAAUGUAUGUCCAUUAGCAUCGGGGGAAGGGGUGGUGAUUUCGAAAUUGGUGUUGGUGACCUGCUCCAUGUAUUAAUAUAUUAUUUAUUAGACUACCAUCAUUGUCUUGAUUGACGCGACCGACAUCUUUUUUAAAUUUUUUUACUUUUGGCCAGUGGAGGCUCUAAGGACUUGGAGCCCUUUGCUCCCAACUUGUAGAGAGUGCAUGACAACCAAUAAUUUCUAUUUUAUAAAUAAUUUUUUUUAUUCCAAAUCUGUUUUUGGAAUAAAAAUUUGUUUGAUAAAUUUAUUUCGUUUUGAAUUUUUCUACUUCUCUAUUUCUGAAACAGAAAUGAGAAAUAAAAAAUUUUCUCAUCAUUCGUCAACUGGUCCUUCAUCCAAUGUUGCCGACCACUGUCCAUCGAUCGCCCGUCGCCCGCCGGCCCCAGUCGCCACCGGUCGCCAUCGCCCGCCGGCCCCAGUCGCCACCGGUCACCGGCCGCCAGCCGACCGCCAUCCACCGGUCCGCCAUUGUCGGAAAGGAAAAAUUUUUGUGUCGUUAUCAAACGAAUUUUUAUUUUUAGAGUAUAAAUUUUGUAUCGUUAUCAAACGGUUAUUUUUGUUUAGAAACUCUUAUAAAAAUAAGAAUAAAAAAAUCUAUUUCUGUUCUAAAAACUAUUUCUGAAAUAGAAAAAUUGUCAUGCGCGCUCUUAGCUUCCGAAGGAAUUGAGUGAGGUUUAGUUAAAGUCUUAACUGAGAUUAGAUUACCGAGCUCCAUAGUACAUACCCAUCCCAUCUUUCUUCUCGUGAUUUGGGCCUUUGUUAAAGGCGAAGAGACAUGUUAAGGUCCCAUCUAGUAGUACAUUUUAGUUUUUUGGUAAAACGUACAUCUCAAUCGUUGUUGAUCAAAUAUUCCAGCAAAAAGUUACCAUGUCUCUUUCUCCAUUGAUUGCUCUUUGACGCUCCCCUUCCUUCAUCUUUUAUCGCACUCAAGUUUCUUCGCCUUUCCGUCUUUCAUCAUUCUUGCUCUGUUUCACUUUUUCUUCUCCUUGCUACAGCCAUACUUCGUCCUCUUUUUCUUAAGUAUGUACGACCCUUUUUCAUCGUUCUCUCUCUCCCUCUCUAUGUCUCUCUGCUUUUCCUUUUGAGGGGUUUCUAUCCAAACGUUUUCUAGCUCUUUCUUUUUCGAAAUAAAAAUCAAAGAAAAUGUCAGAUCGAUACUGUUGUUGAGAAAAAUAGAAAAUUAUUAAACUCAUAUUAAUUAAUAAUUGUUGAUACAAGUGUUCUGAAUACGUAGCAAAAGUUACCAGCCAAUGUGGUGGCUGCGUUGGCUCAAGCUCCCUCCCUCUCACGAAAGGAAAGGAGUUCGAAUCCCAGCAUGAUCACUAAUGGUCUUAAGUAUGGUAUCGUGGUUGUGGUUUCUGUGCUAGUAUCACUUCGGAUUUACCUCGCUGACUGUUGAUUGUACGUGAGUUCUUGGGUCACCAAAAAAAAAAAAAAAAAACGUAGUAAAAGUUCAAUCCCUUUAACUGGAGAGGUCAUCAAGAGAAAGUUUAAGUUUGAGCCCAUUACAUAUUCAGUUGACCCAUCUCUAUUAAAAAUAAUGAGCUAAAAAGUUAUUAAUCAACUAUAAUAAUAUUAACUGCUUAAUACAAAAUUAAUUAUCUAUUGUGAAACUUUUCUAACCCAACUCACAUAUUCAUCUUAACAUUCACCUCUCGCGUGUUGGCUUAGUAUUAUGUCUGCUUCCCCUUGAUUCAAGUAUCGUUCUCCAUUAACAUGACUCAAUUAGAAUCUUCACUUAGGUGCGUGUGCUAACUAAAAUAACAACAACGCCCAUCUUCAUCCCUAGUCUCUUUCUCCAAAUUGAAUCAUGAAGGUUACCAUUAGAACCACAUUGCUACACAAAAAUGCCCACCUCCAUUCCAAGUUUCUUUUGCUAGAUCGAACUAUGAAGGUUGCCCAAAAACUGCGUUAAUCAUGAGAUUCCUUUCCUGAGAUAUUCUCCAAACAUUAGUAUACAUUGGAAUUGGCCAUUAGCUAUCAAUCAUUGGCUCUGGCAUCAUUUCUUAGGAGUGUCUUGCAGAAAUUUGAUACCUUUAACCAAAGAGAUCGCCAAAGAAAAGCACAUGUUUGAGCUAGCCAAUAUGUUUUAUUGAAGCCAAAUUCACUCAAAAACUAGGAUAUAUUAAUUGCUCUAUACCAUACUAAUUCUCCGGUAUAAGACUUUCUAACAUAACUUACAUAUAUAUCUCAAUAAGAAGGAUCUAAGUAAUGGUUAAAAGAGUGAGAACGGAGAGAUAUUAGAUGAACCUCAACCACAUCAUCAUAUGGCAAUUUUUGAUAAUGUUCCACACGGAGUCUGAAUGUGUCUGCCUUAAAUAAUUCACUUCUGUAGUGGUUCCAUCAAUUUGUCAUUUGACUCCUUUUUUGAGUGGAAGUCAUGAUGGGGUUUUUUGGGAUGUUACAAAAUUUAACAGUAAAUGCUUUUAGCCUCUAGCGCAUGAUCAAUGUCGAUACUGAUAUGCAACUCCAAUUUUCCAACGGGAAUAUUUUCAUCAAGUGACUAGUGUGGGAUGUUAACAAAGAAGAGUUCCGCUAUUGCGUAACCGCACUGUCCCUUCCAAUAGCGACGGCGCAAAUGGGACCACGAAUUCUAUUAUGCUUGUAAUGCGCAACCGGAUUACAACUUUAAAAUGGGAAAUCUUUACGAAAAUCCUUAAAAUAACUUUUAUCCCUUUCUGAAUGAAAUGUCAAUCAAAAUGCCCUCCCUCCAAAUUGAGCACCAAGUAAAGUCAUCACUCAUUUCUUUUCGUUUCUCUUGAAAUCAUAAAACAUUCAAUAUACAUACUAGUGUGCAACUAACUUAUAACCGCACACAAUCUCGUCAUAACUAUGAAUAUACAUACGUAUGUAUGUAUGCAAGCACACAUGAAAUUUUAAUUACCUCUUAUUUAGUUAGAUAUACAUCUUGAUCACAAAAAACUUUUUUUUUCUUUUUUUUAAACUUUAUUAACAAAGAAAAAGCUUCACCACGCAUUGUUGCAACUGUUUCUUCCUACUUCCUUAUUAAUUGAAGAAUUAUUGUGUACAGCGGACUUAAAUAACAAUGGCUCUAUACUUGGUUACCGCGAAAUACUAUACAGCCUAUUAACAUAUCGUAAAAUAAAUAAAAAAAUCACCUUUAACCUCUUUCAGUUAAUUAAUCUAGUAAAAAAAAAUGGGGGAUAUCCAAUCAUUGCAAAAUAACGUAAUAUAAGGUGUUGACUUGCAUAUUGAUUUUUUUUUCUUUUUUGAGAAACCCCUUUUCAGAUAAGUGAAGUUCAUAUUAAAGGUAAAGUGAUUGAUGAAAAUAAUGCCAAUACCAAAACGAGACCAAAAAUAUGAUAAGAGAAGAAGGACUUUUAACACCAAAAGAAAUGGAAGUUGGGUUGUAUCGAAUAAGUAUGUAGCUUUUUUCUUUUUUUCACUAAGCAGAGAGGAGAAUCAAAAUACCUAUCAUGGGCAGGGGUGUGGAGUUUAACUCUUAUGAGGAGGCUUAUGAAUUUUAUAACAAUUAUGAGAAAGAAGUAAGAUUUUGUAGUAGAGUUUCAAAAUUGUAGAAAAGGAAGAGAGUAGAGAGGAAAAGUGAGGCAUAGUUUUUUGGGGCUAGCUCCAAAAAAAUAAAGCACCAACUUUAGUUUGAGGGACAAAUCUAACUGAAUUUUUUUUUUUGUCUUGUAAAAAAGCACAUAUUUUAGGUUAAGGGACAAAUCCAGUCUAAAUUGUUUUUUUGUCUUGUAAAAAAAUGUCAAUUUUAGGUCAAGUGACAAUUCUAGCCCCAAGUUUUUUUUUUCUCAUAAAAAAUUACAAACUUUCACCAUUAUUCAACUUUCUAUUUGAAGUUAACCUUGUUUCAAGAAAAAAGGUUCUAGCCGUGAGCUUGGCGGAUCUUGUUCAUGGGGUCUCUCAAUGGGCGGUGGUUUAUAGCUUCAUUUUAAGACAAAAUGACAAAGUCUAGCCAGACUAAUUCAAUUUAGAGCUUUUUGACUUGCUAGUGAAGUGUAGGAGAUGAUGAACAAUUUACCGUUAUUCUCCAAGCUGUGGCUCAAACAAGAAGAUAAUGAAUAGUGUUUUAAAUCCAGCCAGCGAGUGCACGUGGAUUUAUCGCUAAAAACAAUCAAUGGAUCUAAAUUAAAGGGGGCUAAAUUUAGGAUUUAAGUGAAAAUUGGUGAUUUUUUUUAGACAAAAAAAGUUAGGAUUAUAAUUGUCACUCAUCCCAAAGUUAGUGUUUUUUUAUGUGAUAAAAAGAAGAAGCUUGAGCCAAAUUUGUCACUCGACUUAAAAUUAGUGCUUUUUUACAAGACAAAAAAUAGUUUGGGUUAGAUUUGUCCCUUAACCUAAAGUUUGUGCUUAUUUUUGGAAUUAGCCCCAGUUUUUUGCUGCAUUUGUCAAAGGCUAAAAAAAAAUAAAAAUGGGUCAGUUAAGUCGAUUCAUUUGAAAAGGUUAGAAUUCAAUAUUUUUUUUAAUUACUCAAGCACAAAGAAUGAGAAGCCCCAAAAAUGUACAAAAAUAUCUUUAUUAUUCUAAAAACAACGGUUCUGGUGUUUUUCUUUUCUAUUUUAGAAAUAUAAGUCAUAUUUAUAAUAAAAUUAAUAAUCUCUUUUUAGUGAUAAUUUUCGUACUUGUGAUUCUUAUAUUGUAGCAUUCAAUUUCCUUCAAGUCAUUUUUCCCUUGCUUUCGAAAGGAUGGAAAUUCAAGAAAUUAAUUGGUGUUUAGUUGAGGCCUUAAUCAAGGUUAGGUUAUAGACAAGAAAAUAGAACAUGCACUCUAUUUUUAGCUAAAUUUCCAUAUUGGUUAUGUCCAUAUUUUUAACCCACCAAUCAAAGAAUUAGUAAGGAUGGAAUAAACUCUGACUUAAUAUAAACUCGCAUACAUUAAGGAAGCCAUUGCUCUCAAUUAACAAAGAAAUCCAAUGAGAUGUAAAUACUGAAUCAUUCCAAAGCAUGAGAAGAAAAUGUAACCUUAUCACUGCUGCGUCAAAUAAAUUUGUCCUUGUCUCUUUCCACUUUUCCCUACCUAUAACAAUUGAAACGAGUAAUCUAAUAUCCGCCAACCUUUGUAUCACUUAUAUUAUGUUUGUGUAUAUGGGGCAGCGCACUAUCAUUAAGAUAAAGGAAAUGUGUGAUUGGCUCUAUUUAAAAUCAAUUAAAUGGGAUUCCUAUCCACGUCAAUAGUAUGCGAAUCAAUCACCAAAAGAAGACCGACCAAAAAAAAAAAUCACCAAAAGAAGCAAAUCCAGACCAUGUAACUAGAGACAAUUUUUUUUUUUUUAAGAACCUCUGCGGAAUGCAAAAUACACUUGUACUUUACAAGAAAAAAAAGUAUGCUUACUUAACAUCACCAUCUUGCAAUUAUUAGACACCAAUAAUAUUAUAAUUUUAUGUUAACACAGUCAUUUUCAAAAUGAUAUAGAAUGCAAAAUACACUCAUUCUUUAGAAUAAAAAAAAAACAUGCUCACUAAAUCCCAGGAGUGACAUAGCUGAUUGGGAUGCUAGGGGAUUUCCAACUCAGGAAUAGGAGGUUGCUUGUUAGGAUCCCACAAACUGCUUUAGGUUGGAGCCAACUACACAAGCCAAAGCCCUGAGCUUAACCAAUUCAUAAAGCCUACAGGAUAUUUCAUAGAAUUAUGGGUAGAGAGGUCUCCAUACCUAUGCCCCCAUAUCAUAAGUAAAAUUAUAUGCUUACAUUAAGAGUAUCCCAAAUUUAUAUGGUACUCUUUUUAUAUGCACUUAUUUCUCAUAAACUAGGUAGUUAUUAUGCAAAAGGUCCUGAUCAUAUUAAUUACAAAUAGAACUUCCCUCAUGACUUUAAUUAGUCAUAACAUUUUUUUUUUGUUAAAAAAGUAGUCGUAAUAGUUAUAAAUAUAUGGACUUAGGCCUAAUUUGAAAUUCUAAUCUACCAAUUAUGUUGGUAAAAAAGGAAACAACUUCAAUUUUUUUCUUUAAAACUGAGUUCUUUUUCCCUUAAACGGAUGAUUCAAGGGGCUUUAUGUCAACAAAUACGUGAAAAUUUUGAAUACUACAUAAAGACUCAAGAAUUAUUUUCAUCCAAUGGGCAAUAUCAAUUAGAUAUGAGGGUCUAAAUUAGCCCAAGUCUAUUUUGUCAAUAAGUAGAAAACUUACAAAAAAUUGCAAUUCAACUUAUAAGUGAAUAUCAAUAAUAUAAUAAUUUUACGUUAAAAUUGUCAUUUCUUAAAAAUGAUAGAUAAUACAAAAUAUACUUAAUCUUUACAAUAAAAAUUUAUGCCUGCUUAACCCUGGGAUUGGUUUAGCUAGUUGGGACGUUAUGGGAUUUUCAGCUCGAGAACUGAAGAUCCAUUAGAACCCCACAAAUUGCGAGCAAACUACUCUAAGUUACAGUCUCUUACACAGGUCAAAAGCCUAAGCUUAACCGAUUCAAGGACUAUAGGAUAUUUUCUAGGCUUCUAAAUAGAUAGGUUUCUACGUCUAUGCACUUAGAUUAUUAAAAAGAAAAUGCUUACUUUGGGAGGAUGCUAAUUUUAUAGAAAUUUUUCAUGUGCACUUAUUCCUCAUAAACUAGGUAGUUUUUAUGAGAAAAGGUCGUUAUCAACUUAAUUACAAAGAAUAUGUCCCUCAUCAUUUUAAAUAGUUAUAACCUUUUUUUUGUUAGAAAUUAGUCAUGGUUGGCAAAACAAUUAAACAACUUCAAUUUUUUUCCUAUGAACUGAGGUUUUUUUUAUUUAUUAUAAAUUUAAGACAUGAUUUGAGGGGCUUUCUGUCGGCAAAUAUAUGAAAAUUUGAAAGAUAACACAUGAAAAAUCAUAUGUCACUAAGUAGAACAUUAUCAAAAAUUGAUCUUCAAUAUAUAAAUCAAUAACGCAGCCGGUGAAUCCAUUUUUGUGUUUAGCCGUGGAGGAAAGGAUGGUCCCUAUUGAAUGUCCAUGAGCGGCUGAGGAAAGGAUGGAGACAUAGACAGUGGUGUGGUGGCCGGUCAAUUAAUUAAAAAAAUCAUCCAUUUCUCUUUAUAUAAAUGUUUUUUUUUUAAAUAGUUCAGCAAUUUCUUUAUAUUGCUCGAUUGUUUCAUUCAUAGUUCAUUGCCUGAGUGACAAGAGGACUAUGCAAGAGUCUUGGCAGUUGGGUAUUCCUUCCCAGUGAAAAUUAAUUCAUAAAAUGACAAAUAAAUUCUUAUUAAUUAUUGAUAAGACGAGUGAUGACUCUUGCAGCUUCUCAUAUCUCUUUAAAAAUAAUCUUAUAAAUGAAUCAAAUGUCUGAGGAUUAGUCGACAUCCAAUAUCAUCAAUCAUGUUAGAAACUAUCAUCGAUAAAUUGUAUUAUACAUUUGGCUGAACAAAAUCGUGUUCUAUAAUUAAAAUACUAUUUUUGUACAAUCUUUGUUGGAACAUUUAUGGUACAGCAAAUUAUAUAAAAACUGCCGAUUAGUAAGGAUUUACACAUUGAAUGAUAUAUUUCCCUCUACUUUUUUGUAUGGUUGCCAGUAUAGAAAGUAAAGUUUAUGUAAGUAUCUCAGUUGGCUAAAUUCUCAUCAUGAAAGCACAAGGUCAUCAUAAUGUUUCGUGUGUUACUUGACUUUCACUGUUAUAAUGACUAAAAUGCUUAGUAGCCUGCAACAACUAAUUUCAUAUAUGUAUAUAUGUAGGCUAACCUCUUGCUGUGGAAGGUUAUAAAAGUGAAAAAAAAUUAGGGUUAUAAAUUAUCAAAAGCCACAUAACUUUAUUAGUCAAUAAUUGUAUAUUUUUGAAUAUUUUAGGACCGAUUUGUGAUAAUUGCAAUAUUUGAAAAAUAAAUAUUAAAUGUAAAAUACUCCAAACAGACCCAAGCAUUUGAAAGAAAGGGGGGAAACUUCAAUAGGAACAAGAGAGACGCAAAAUAAUGUUAGCGGUGACUUGGGAUCGUUCCCCAUAUUAAUUUUAUCUCGUAAAGAGUAGCAAUACUCAAGAAAAUAAAUUGGUUUAAAAUGUUAAAAAAGAAGGCAAAAGUUUAAUUUACUUAGAAGUUUUGAUUUACAAUUCCAAUUCAAGUUACGUCUAAGGUAACAAUUACAAUUGACAUUAUAAUUUAACAAUUUGCUUAAUUACAAUGUUACUUAUGUAUUUUAAAUAUGAUUUCAUUGAUUCGCACAAGGAGUGACUUUAGGACUAGUACUUGAUCAAUGUUUGUCCAUUAAUGGUGGAGCUAAAGGAUGCGGAAACUUACCCAUUGGUGAUGAUGAUUGGUCAAAGUUAAGAAACAAGAAACCCAUUUCUAUUACCAUAUUCAACUUUUAAUUAAAAGUAUUGGGGGACACUGAAAGGAGAUAUCACCCAUGAUAGUAGUAAUAAUUUAUUUGCUUAUUUUGCUAGACUCACAAUGGGUUGAAAAUGAGUCUGGUGCAGACCCACGUAGGCUCACGUGGAAUUGGUGAUACUUUUUUCAUAUCAUUUCAACUGGCUUAAAAAUUUCAAGUGUCGCACCAAAAUUUUGAUAAUGGGUUUCAGAUACAUACUGCCACCUCUGGAUGAAACUACAUGUCACGUGGGUUUUGAUCCAUCCUCGUCCUUUUGUUCUCUUUAUUAAUUACAUUUGCUAUAGCGAAGAAUGACAAACUACAUAAAGUACCUAUUAUACAUGAGCGAUGAUUUAAAUCCAAUCAUUUUAAUAAUUGCGUUUUGAUCGAAGGUGUUAUAUACGAUUCGGAUUCUAAUCGUCACUCCAUGUUGAUUCACAAAAGUGCCCACAUACAAAUAUUGAUGAAAAUAUUAAUAUUAUGAACAAGAUUAAGGGAUAAUAUUAGGAAAAAUCUUAAACUGAUACACAUGCGACAAAUUUACUUCACAUUAAUUUUUUUUAUCACAAAAAACCCCCAAACUGAUACAAUUAUGAUAAAUUUAUUCUAAACUAAUUUUUUAACAAUGAAAAAUCUCAAACUAGUACACAUGUGAUAAAUUUACUCAAAACUAAUUUUUUUACCGUCAAAAACCAUAAAUUGAUACAUUUCUGACAAAUAUACCCCCGUUAAAUUAUAUAUAUAUAUUUUUGGUAAAGGGUAAGAACCCCGUUAAAUUAUAUUAAUACCAAAAAAAAAAAAUUACAAAACCGAUACACUAUGACAAAUAGAGAGUAAAAUCUCAAAUUGGUACACUCGUCAAUUACCACAUGUCAUCUAAAUCAGCAAUCUAAUUGAAAAUUUUAACGAAAACUAACAGAUAGUAAAUUUCUCAUAAAUUUAUUAGUUUAGAGUAUUUUAUAGUCAAAAAAUUAGUUUUUUGUAAAUUUAUUAUAAGUGUACCAAUUUAAGAUUUUUUGUAGUAAAAAAAAUUAGUUUGUGAUUAAUUUAUCAUGUAUACCGGAUUAAAGAUGAUAUUUGUCAAGUGCAUGGUUGGUGCGGCCUCUCCUUAUCAAGUGGGCGCCACCUAUUUUGCUAUUUGUUGCUCUUUCUUAAUUACAUUUUGUUAUAUCAAUCUGACAGGGUAUAAAGUAUUCAUAUAAUUUUAGUCAAAUCAUUUUGUUACUUUAGAAGUUGGUAAUCAUUCGUAUUUUAUUUUUUUAAUCCACUUCGAUGAGCGUGCAAUUCAAAUAAUGCAAAGAAAUCAAUUUACUCCACAAUUGUGACGUGACGGACAACUACCGUAAUUAAGUUAUAUAUUGAUGUUUAGUUAUGGCCUCAACUAAGAUUAGAUUUUUCUAAGAUCUAAAGUCUGUUGUCCACGUGACUAGUGGAUCAUGCAUAGUCUUGCGAGUUGGGUUUUCCUUCCCAGUAAAAAACUACUUCACAAAAUGAUAUAUGAACUCAUAUUUAUUAUUGAUAUAACAAGGAAUGACUCUUGCGGCUUCUCAUGUAUUUUUAAAUAUCAAUUUUAUAAAAUGAACCAUGUAUCCCUGGGUCAGUCUACAUCCAAUAUCAUCAAUCAUGUUAGAAUUAUCAUCCACAGAUUGUAUCGUUGUUUAACUCAUAAAUGGAUUCCAACCUGAGUAUUGAACUAUCUUCAACCAAAAGAUAUAUCUUUUAUUUUUAUGAAAGGGGUUCAGUGGCGAUUUUAAACAUGAGUUGCAAUUGGCAUGAUAAUGAAGAUGAACAACGAAUUUAAAGGUAAAAGGUGAUAGUAAAUGUUGGAAAUUAACAUGACAUUAAAACUUAUAAAAGUACAUCAAAAAAUAUUAGUAAUCAUGAUGAUCCUUGCAAUAAUUAUAUGUUGCCAUUUUAUACUCCGCCAAUCAUAAUCGCUUAUUAAGACUUAACCAUACUAGAUGCAGUUGUAACUACAUUCCCGAGAUUUUAGGACUCCUAUCUGCACAUCAUCCUAUCCACAAGCUGUUACAACUCUUUAAGUGUCACUAGGUUAACCGUUGCUUGGUGCCCUUAUCUUUAGUCGACAUUUUCACCAUCUCCUUUCUUCUUAGUUGAUAAUUGUCGACCAAUCAUCGUGGUACAUCGACAAUGGUAUCUCUCAAUCGUCUAUAAUUACUGUCCAUUGUCAUUGAUAUGCGCUUCUAUUGUCCUUAACUUACCAAAAACCAUAUCAAUUGUUACAAACUCUAUACCCACUUAUAUCAACAUUACGUCGUUCACAAAAAACUUUAUCAUUUUUUGGUGUAAACAAUUAUACAUAUGGCUAAAGAAAAUCUAAUUAAGCGACUAUCAUGUGAUUUAAAUACAAUCUUUAUUCUAACAAUUAUGGUACAACAUAUUACAUAAAAUGUACAACCAAUCAUAUGGGAUUUACACAUUGAAUGAUAUGUUCCUGGCUACUUAUUUGUGUGGUUGCCAAUUUAGAAAGUUAACUUUACAUGAGUAUAUCCAUUGGCUAAAUUCUCAAAGUGAAAGCACAAGGUGAUGGACUCAAUUUUGUAUUGCAUGCUACUCAACUUUCACUACUAUAAUGACUAAAAUGCUUAGUAUCCUACAACAACUAAGUUCAUUUACAUAUUUACAUAAGCCAAACUCUCGUCAUGGAAGGUUAUAGACCUGUCAUGCAUCGCAUGUUGUGAUGCAACUUGACUUAUGCACCAUAUUUAUAGUGUCAUUAAUAAUUAUGCAUUUAGUCAUAUUUACUUAUGAUAAAUACAUACCUGCGUAAUAUAACCCUCUAAAAAUUUAUAAUUUUCAUUCUAUAGAAAAUUUGUAACAAGGGAUAGUUUUUUCUCUUAUUGAUUUGCUAUCAGUUGUUUCUUUUAAUUUUUAAUAUUUAUUGCAAAGCAUGUACUGUAAUUUCGUUUUUAUGAUGAUAGAUAAUUUUUUGAAUUCUCUAAUAUCAUAUAUUUGUCAAACAUAGACAAUCAUGGAAUAAAAGAUGUUUCUACAUUAAGCAUCUUAUUUAUCACAUACAUGAUAAAUAUUUAUAUUGUCGAUUUGUUAUAUAUAUUGGCUAUCCCAUCACGUAAUUUUUCUAAAAGUUUGUCAAUGAUAUACCUGAAGAAGGGUGCCCAACGUCGAACGAGCGAUCAAAAAAGAUUCCGAAGCAUCUUCAUAGCACGACCCAGCAAUCAUGUUCUUUGGGGGUCCUCAGGGUAUAAAGCCGAUUUCCUUCCUUUUGGUCCGUCUGUAAAAGGCAACCAUACAUUUAUUUAAUUAUAAAAUUCGAAAGUUAUUGUACACUUAGUUAUAUCUUACUUUUGAAAUAUCUAAAGUCAUGUAGUGAAUCCUAUAUAUAUAAAGUGGGUAUCCAUGCAUUAUUGAACUCCUUUGAGAGCUUGUCAAAAUUUGUAAAUCAAAAUAUUAAUGGGGAUAUGUUAAAGUGGUCUUCAAAACCAAUUUGCUAAAGUGCAAAAUAGAUUGAUAUUCAAAUAAACAACAUAUGUUUAGGAAUUUGGGAUUUGUUAAAGUGACUAUCGAUAUCAAAUUAUUGAAUAAAGCUUACACGUGAUUGUGCUGGCUCAACCCUUAAGAGAGUUUUACCAUAUAUGUAUAUAUAUUGCUUUCCUAGGUAAAUCAAUUUAUUAAAAUGACUCAAUUUGUCUACCAUUUAAAUACAAUGAGGAAAAAAAAUUAAUUUAUCCAGGUCAAUCACAUGUUUUGAACAUUAUGAGUCUCACCUAUGACCGAAAUAAUUUAUAGUGAGAUUUGGUAAGUCCAAGCAAGAACUUGCAUGGUAAAAGAUUUACCAUCCUUUAGGAAAGAGAUAUUAUCAGGUAGAGAGUAUCAUUGUACUGCAUAUUAGUCGGAAAAAAAGUUGUUUUCCGGGGCAUUUUUCCUGACAUUAAAAGCUUACCGAAUUACCAUCGGACAGUCCUCCCAAAAAAAAAAAAACCAUUAGGACUUAUUCUGAGAAAGAAUAUAGAUGCCGUUUUCAUGUAUUUUCUGAAGUACUCUGGAAUUUCCGGGGGACCACUUGUGCUUCUCUGCCUUGGCCAUAUGGUCCACAUUAAAAAUUGAGUUGAUGGCAGACUGUAAAGUCACGUGGGUGUGGCCAGUCCUUGUCCAUUCAUUUUCUUUAUUCAUUACCUUUUAUUAUAUCAGUGCUGACACGCUGUUUAAGUCGACUCAUUUGUUUACUGCUACUUGAACAGCUGAUGAUCAUCUCUUUCUUUCUCGGUUCAUCGCUAUUCGACGCUCCCCUUCCUUCGUCCUUCUUUCGCGCUCGAAUCUCUUCGCCUCGUUCUUCUCUUGCUCUGUUUCACUCUUUCUUCUCCUCAGCACAAUCAUUCUUCCUAUUCCUCCUCUUCUUCAGUAUCUUCUCCUUCUUUUCAUCAUUCUCUCUCUGUGUCUCUCUUUCUUUCUUGGAAAAAAAAAAAUCAAAGAAAAAAUGUCGGUCGAUUCUGUCGUUGCUAUUGCGUAUGAUGUCUUCAAGAGCUAUGUAGUUGAUCCCGUCAAGCGUCGAUUCAGAUACGUGAUCUCCUCCAAGAGCUUCGCCGACGAUCUUCGGGAGGAAGUCCGGAGCCUGGAGAAGGAGGCUCAGAGGGUCCGUAUUUUGGCAGAAGUGGCCCGAAACAACCUUCGGAAUUUCUAUGAUUACUUUGCAGAGUGGCAGCAAAGUGCUGACAAGGCCUUGCAGGAGGCGGGAGACCUGUUGGGCGACAUGGGUGAGGCGAGGAAGACUUGCUGCUACGGGACUCUUCCCGACGCCAAAUGUCGCUAUCAGUUCAGCAGGAAGGCCGAGGGCAAGAUCGAGGUCAUUAAGCGACUCGCUCGAAAAUGCAGAGAAUUCAAGGAAUUGAACGACAUCUCCUUCAGCGAUCCUGCUCCGGGAAAUGUCACUGCUUUGAAUCCAUCCAGGAGAGAAGGCAAAGAUGUCGUCCAGUCGACCACCGCAACGGCCUCCGCUUCUCCUGUCUCAACGUCAAAUGAGCUUAGUAAGGAUUGCGUCUUCGAAUCCAGAACUGCGAUCAUAGGGGACAUAAUGGGCGCUCUUGCCGAUAACAGCAAUAGUGUGGUCGGGGUUUACGGGAUGGGUGGGGUCGGCAAGUCCACCCUUUUGGACGAUGUGGUAAGCAGAAUAAGAGAAGAGAAGCGGUUCGAUCUGGUCGCCAAGGCCGACGUGUCACAAAAUCCUGACAUCAAGAGAAUUCAAGGUGUGAUUGCCCAUGUGUUGGGCCUGGACAUGAAGGAUUAUGAGUAUGAGAGCUUGCGAGCGGAUCGUCUGCGCGAGAGGUUGGGAAAUGAGGAAAAGAAGGUCCUCAUAAUACUGGACAACCUAUGGAAAGGGCUUGACUUGAAAUCUGUUGGAAUUCCUUGCGGGCAUGACAACAAAGUCAUGGGAUGCAAGUUGUUAUUGACGUCGAGAGACCGAAAUGUUUUGCAAAGGGAAAUGGGCUGUGACAAGGACUUCUUUCUUGAUAGGCUGGAGGAGAAAGAGGCAAAAAUAUUGUUUGAGAGGAUGGUGGGAGAUAAAGUUCAUGAUGAUGAGUUCAGAUCCAUGGUGAAUGAAGCACUCCGCAAAUGUGCAGGUUUGCCUUUGUUAAUUGUCACAAUGGCGAAACAUUUGAAAUACGGUCGUUUGCCUGAAUGGAGGAAUGCUUUAAAUCAAAUUGAGCGGUGUUCAAACAAAGGGUUAAGUGCAGUGAUCAAUACGAUGUUGCAAUUAAGUUAUGAUCAUUUAGAAAGCGAGGAAAUGAAAAAUUUGUUACAACUCUGUGUUGCUUGUGGCGUCUCUAAUCCCUCCGUUGAAGACUUGGUGAGGUAUGGCUAUGGUUUAGGGAUAUUUCAAAAAGAUAUCAGCAUAAAAGAAGCUAGAGAUGAAGUGAGUACACUCAUCCACACUCUUCAAGCCUCCUCCCUUCUGUUGGACAAUGGAGAUGACAAUGCUUUCAAGAUACAUGACUUGGUUCGUGACUUUGUUGCUCAGUUCAUUUUAAAAGAUCGCCCUCUUCUCAUGUUGAAAGAUAAAGAUGUGUCGGCAACACAAUUGCAGAAUGAGAGGCUCAAAAGUUGUUCAGCGAUAUGCUUUCCCUAUAUUGAUAUGAAGGAGCUUCCCAAAGAAUUAGAUUGUCCCGAAUUGCGCAUCUUUUUGCUUUUUAACAACAAUAUAUCUCUUGAAGUUCCAGAUUCGUAUUUCAACUCUAUGAAGAAACUUGUGGUUCUAAAUCUAACUGGCGUACGUCUCACUCGUUCAUCGACGCCAUUUCAGUUCUUGGAGAACUUAUGUACUCUGUGUCUUCAAUUUUGUUCACUAGAGGAUGUGACCAUUCUGGGCAAGCUAAAAAGGUUACAAGUUCUUAGUUGUGCAAAUUCCAACUUUCAACAAUUGCCGGAAGAAAUUGGGCAACUAACAGAGUUGAGGAUGUUGGAUUUGAACCAUUGUCCACAUCUUCAGAUAAUUGAACCAGGUGUUCUUGGAAGAUUGAUCAAAUUGGAGGAGUUGUAUAUGGAGAAUAGCUUUAAUAAAUGGAAUUUCGUGGAGCAAACUCAACGAACUAAUGCCAGUCUGAUUGAGUUGAAUCACUUGAAGAAUCUUUGCACUCUACAUGUCUCCAUUCCCGAUCCGAGUGUGCUCCCAGAGGACCUAGAUGUCAAGAAAUUAACCAAGUACAAAAUCCGAAUAGGUAAUGUAACACACUGGAGCAAGGACCAAGGAUUGAGGAUUUUGUACCUCAAGUUGGAUCCAAUAAGUGAUGUUCUUCGAAAAGGAUGUAUACAAAGUCUUCUAAGCAAAACAGACGAUCUGUUUUUGGCCGAGUUGAACGGAAGCAAGCAAAAUAUUUGCGCAUUAUCUCAAGAAGGCUUUCCAAAAUUAAAGCAUCUACAGGUCAAGGAUAGUCUUUCCAUCCAUCACAUCCUCCAAUGGCGUUCCCUUAGUGCUUUUGAGAUGUUGGAGUCAUUACUUCUCAUAAAGCUUAUCAACUUGACGAAGAUAUGGCCCAACCAUAUCUCCUCCGCCAAGUCCUUCAGUAAAUUAAAAGUAAUUCGAGUCCAAAGUUGUGACAAGAUGGAAGUUUUGUUUCCUCUUUCAUUACUGAGAGGACUUACAAAUCUGGAAGAGAUUGAAGUUGUCUCUUGCAAGUUAUUGCGUGGGAUUGUAGAUGCUGAUGAUUGUGGCAAAGUGGAAUUGCAAAAUUUGCAUGUAAUAAAAUUGCACCACUUACCAAAUAUCAAGAAUUUUUUCACUGCCGGGACAGUUCCUUCAAAUAGCACAUCAGAGGACCAAGUUGGCACUCAAAUUGCAUUCUUCAAUGGGCAACAGGUAACUCUCUGUCAAAAGAGUAUAAUAUUUAUUCUUUUUCCUACCUUUGCUAAUUAGAUGCAACACAUAUUAUGUUGCUUAAUAAUUUUGUUAUUUUUAGUUCAUAUUUUUUCCUAAUAAUCUUAUCCAUUCAUGCCUUCUCUGCAAUUCUCUUUAUUGCAUAGAAAUCCAACUAAUUGUAUGAAAUCCAUGUACAUUUAAUUUGUGAUAGGCUUUGAGUUAUUUUCAAUUUAAAUGCUGCAAGUAUAUCUAUAUUAAUACGGUUUCAUAAAGCAAAAUUGAAGGGAAUUUCGUCACUAAAGUAAUACCACAAGUAAUUUUAAAUAUUUUGAAAUAGAUUCUAUUGAAUUUACUUAUCAUAAGAUAGCUGACUCUCCAAAAAAGCGAUACGAAAAAUGCGAAGGAGGACCGGGUUUUUUAAAUAAAAGCAACUAUAAUAAUCUAAUUGAUGCAUUAUAAGAGUAUGGAGUUUUGUGCAUGUCCAUGCAUGCAUAUUGUAUACAUAGAUAUCUUUGUACGUAUUUUUGAUAUCACAAAAGCAAAUCCACAAUUUGUGUUUAAUAUCCUAUUAAAUUGGUUAUUUAUAGUGAUUUGUUAAAGGUAAAGAGAAGUUAGCAAAAUAAGGAUGAUCAAUUGCCCAAUUAAGAAAAGCACAUGGCUAUUUUACAUGGGGAAGAAUUGCUGCGAAUAGUACCUUUUAGUUGACUAGAUAAGAUUGCCCUUUUAUAGUGGCGCAAUAUUGCUGAAGUUGAUCAUGAGGCCUUAGACACACAAUAGAUUAGCUUUCCCGUUCAUAAAGUCUUGGAAAUUUAAGUUGUAGGUCCCACGUGUUGGUGUGUGACUUAUCUUCUUCCCCUGCUUUGAGCUAUCAUGGAGAGAGCGCUCUCAAAGAUAAUGGAACUACAUUGGAGAAAUUUUACAAAGAGCCUUUAUGGCUUUGCUUUUUUCUUUUUACAUCGUAAUCUUGUAUAAUAGAUCCUUUUGGUAUCAUCUCUACACCAAAUUUAAAGAAGAUGAUAAAUUAUUCAAGUUCAACAAGGGGGAGCAAUUGUAGAAUUGAUAAAGUAGCUCAUCACAACAACAACAAUUAAUGGCAUUCAAUUGAAAUUGAGGGCGAAUAUUUGUAGUAUAUUAAAUUCUAGACUAGCAAGUGGAAACGUAGUUAAUAGUUUAACUAGCUUUAUUGACAACAUUUUAUAGGAGAUCUUUUUGCUAUAAUAUCUACAUGAAGUUCAUAGAAAAUGACAAAUCAUGCAAGUUCAAAAAGGGCAGUAAUUACAGAUGAAAAAUUCCUUUGUUAUUUUUUUUUUAUCAAUGGAAAUGAUGUUACUAUGCUGUAGAUAUAUUUUAUGGUCCUAUCUCGACUUCUACGGAUAGAAUUUACUAUGAUGAAAGAGAAACAAUAAACUAAGGAUAAAUAAUUGCCCAAUUAAAGAGAGCUAACGGCUAUAUUUUAUUUGGGGAAAACUACUGUAAAUAAAAAGUUUUAUUUGACUAGACAAUAUUACUCUUUCACAGUGGUGCGGGCCCAAGGCUCAUGCCAUACGUUAGUUUCCCUGUUUAUACUUAAUAGAGAGCGAUGGAGACCUAAUUGGUGGGUCCCACAAGGUUAUGAUGUCAGAGUGUGACUUCUUUCAACCCAUGCUUUGAGCUCCCACGGCGAGAGCUUGCUUUAAAAAAUAAUGGAGCUAUUACCCUUUGCCUUUUUUUUUUUUUUUUUUUUUUUUGCUGUAGUUUUUGGGGCUUUUAUCUUUCUAGGAUUCUAAUUCUCAUAAAAGAGUUACUCUUGCCUUAGUACUUCUUUUUAUUUUUAUUUUUUGUGUAAAACCGACAUAUGCAAAGAUCUAUGGGGUUAUAAUGAAAUUGCUUCUUAAACCUAUAAUAAAUCUCCUCCGAUAUUAUAAAGCACUGGCAGCCUCCACAAGUAGUAAUCUAGGGUUAGCUUGUCGGGGAUGAGAAUAGUCUAAUGAACGAAAUACAAAAAAGUUAAAAAGCUGUUGUAUGGGUUGGAGCCAGGCUGACGGCGAGAUAAAUGGGAGACUGUGAGCAACUUGGCAGAAGAUGGAUUCUCUAGAGUCAUAUAGCAAUGAACUUUUGGGGGAAAAAGAACAAAAAGAAAAUAAAGCUUUCCAUCAUCAUUAGGGACAGCUGGAUCCCUCACCUCUAAUGUUAUGGUUUCUGACAUGUUGACUGUGGAUUUAGACUCACCGCAAGGAAAUUAUGACAACAAGUAUGAUUAAUUAAGAUAGGCUACAUAUGCCUCUGAAUUUAAAGGGACACUCGAGAUGAUUUAUGAAGGAUAGGGAAAAAGAAGUCCAGUACUCAGUUAUUGUAAUAUCACAACUGCUGAAAUGUCCAAUUUCAGGUUAUUUUGUGGGGAAAUUAGUCCCAUUUUGCCUGAUAAAUUCGGAGAAAUUGAAGACAUCUAAGAAGGAAAAGAAAAAGAAAUGCCCGUCUUGUAGGAUUAUAAAUGAAUGGCAGAAAAAAAGAGUUCUCCUGACCUAAAUGAAUGAGGAAUGAUGUCAUGUUCGGCUAUCAACUCUCUAUGCCCAUAAGUCUUUUUCAUAUGCCACCGUUUGCCCAAUGUUUAUUUUUUGAGUUAGGCUCCUAACAAGAUGAUAUAUAGAUAUAGAAGGCUCAAUCUCGCCGGGACUCAUGGGACAUGAGUUGUAUACAUCUCCAUCUAAUCGAUAUAAUUUGACAAUUAGAUAAAUACUUCUUGUAUCAACAGAUUUGCAUUAGUAAUCAGAACGAGUGCUAAUUUUUUAUCAUUGCGAUUCCUGAUUUUGCUAGUAAAAUGCAAACAAAAUCUAAUCGUGACAGGAUCCUUGUUAUAUCGUAAAUAAAAGGUAAAGUUGAUUAGUUGUCUUUUGAGGUUGUAAAUUAGCUUUUGUUUAUCAUAGAUUUCCGUACAUGCAAAACUAUCCUAAAGGUUGUACAUUAUCUUUUUUGUAAAUUUCUUUCGCCAAUUGAAUUAAUAUACUAUAAAUAAUUGCCCUCAAUUUCAAUUGAAUGCCAUUAAUUGUAUUGUGAUGAGUUAAUGGCAUUCAAUUGAAAUUGAGGGCAAUUAUUUAUAGUAUAUUAAAUUCUAGACCAAUAGGCAGAAAUGUAGUUAAUUGUUUAACUAGCUUUAGCAAUAACAUUUAAUAGGAGAUCCUUUUGGUAUAAUCUUUACAAUAACCUUAAAGAAGAUAAAAAAUCAUUCAAGUUAAAAAAGGGGAGCAAUUACAUGUGAAAAAUGCUUUAUUAUUUGUUAUUAUCAAUGAAAGUGAUGUUAUGCCGUCAUAGAUAAAUUAUAUGGCCUUUAUCUGCACUUCUACGAGACUAAUCCCAUAUGCAACAUCAGUCAUUGAAUUUAAAACAAAAAACUUUCCACUUGUUAAAUUGAUCAUUGAUAGUAAGUUACUAACAUGAAAGAGAAUUAGUAAACUAAGGAUAAACAAUGCUCCUAAUUAGGGAAAGCUCACGGCUGUAUUUUAUAUGGGGGAAAACUGCUGCAAGUAGAGGGUUUUAUUUGGCUAGACAAGAUUGCUCUUUUACAGUGGCGCGAGCCCAAGGCUCAUGUUAUACGUUAGUUUCUCCGUUAAUAAAGAGCGGUAAUAAAGAGCGGUGGAGAUAUGAGUAGUGGGUCGCACGAGUUUGUGAUAUCAGAGUGUGACUUUUCUUCAACCCAUGUCCUGAGCUCCUGUGGAGAGAACUGGCUUUCAAAUAAUAAUGGAACUAGAUGGGGAAGCCUUUGUGGCUUUGCUUUUUCUUUUUCUUUUUUUCUUGUUUUUGGUAGUCUUUGGGGCUUUUAACUUUCUAGGAUUCUAAAUCUUUAUGAAAGAGUUACUCCUGCUUUAGUACUUCUUAAUAUUUUUAUUUUUUCUAUAAAACCUACAUAUGCUAAGAUCUAUGGGUUUAUAAAAUGCUUCUUAAACCUAUAAUAAAUCUCCUCCGACAUUAUAAAGCAGUGGCAGCCUAUAAAAGUAGUAGUCUAAGGUUGGUUUGUCAGAGAUGACAAUAGUCUAAUGAACGAAACACAAAAAAGUUCAAAAAAACUUGUUGUAUGGGUGGGAGCGAGGGCGAUGGCAAUAUAAAUUGGAGAUUGCGAGCAACUUGGCAGAUGAAGGAUUUUCUAGAGUUAUAUAGCAAUUGGACAUUUGGGGGAAAAAAAGAAGAAGAAAAAAAAAAUAAAGCUUUCCAUUGUCAUCAGGGACAGCCGGAUCCCUUCACCUCAAAUGUUAUGGUUUCAGACAUUUUGACUGUGGAUUUGGACUCACCUUAAGGAAAUUAUGGCAACAAGGAUAAUUAAUUAGGAUAGGUUACAUAUGCCUCUGAAUUUAAAGGGACAAUUGAGAUCAUUUAUGAAAAAUAAGGAAAAAGAAGUCCAGUACUCAGUUAUUGCAAUAUCACAACUGCUGACAUGUCCAAUUUCAGGUUAUUUUGCGGGGAAAUUAAUCGCGUUUUGCCUAAUAAAUUUGAAGAAAUUGAAGACAUCUAAGAAGGAAAAGACAAAGAAAUGCCCGUCUUGUAGGAUUAUAUCAAGAAGCAGACAAUUUUAGUGUGCGAUAAGUCCUCUAGACCUUAUGACCCAAAAAAAAAAAAGUCCUCCUGACCUAGAUGGAUGAGGAAUUAUGUCAUGUUCGGCUAUCAACUCUCUCUGGCCAUAAGUCUUUUUCAUAUACCAUCAUUUGCCCAAGGUUUAUUUUUAAGUUGGGCUCGUAACAAGAUGAUAUAUAGAUAUAGAAGGCCCAAUCUCGCCUUGACUAAUGCAACAUGAGCUGUAUAUAUCUCCAUCUAAUCGAUAUAAUUUGCCAAUUAGAUAGAUAUUUCAUGCAUUAAUUGAUUGUCAUUUUUAAACGGAACAAGUGCUAAUUCUUGAUGGUUGCAAUUCCUGAUAUUGCUAGUAAAAUGCAAACAAAAUCUAAUCGUAGUAGCAUCCCUUGUUAUAUUGUAAAUAAAAGAUAAAGUUCAUUUGUUCUCUUUUGGGGUCGUAAAAUUCUUUUUUGGAUUGGAAAUUAGCCUUCGUUUGUUAUAGAUUUCCGUACAUGCAAAAAUUAUACUAAAGGUUGUACAUAUCUUGCUUGUGAAUUUCCUUUGACAACCAUUUAUAAUACUUGUUAUACUGUGUAAAUUUCCGACUGUCCUUUAUAUGUGUAAAUGCUAAUGUUGAUGGGUUUGUUCGUUAGAUUUCAAUCCCAUCCUUGGAGUCCUUGACAAUGGGAGGACUUCCCAAUAUAAAAGAAAUAUGGAGUGAUCAAUCUCUAUUGGGGCUAAGCAAUCUUCGAUCUCUUAAGGUGGUGCAGUGCAAAUCUAUGUCAAAGGUUAUUAGCUUUGAGUCGCUGGUAAAACUACACGAAUUAAACAAUUUAAGCAUAUCAAAUUGCCAUUCGGUGCAAGAAAUUUUCGAUCUUGACAGACCAAGCACAAGUGGAGAUGUUGAGACUCUGUCUGAGUUGACCACCUUUGAUUUAAGGGGACUAGGGAGCUUGAGACGCAUAUGGAACAAGAAUCCUUGUGGAAUAGUGAGUUUCCAUAAUUUAAAGAAGUUGGAGGUGCAUGACUGUCCCAACCUUAGGUUUAUGUUUUUCCCAACCAUGGUUAAAUCUCUCGAACUCUUGAGAGAUCUAACAGUAAAACGUUGCAAGAAAAUGGAGGCAAUCAUUAUGGAGGAAGAAGGGUCGGGAUUGGAAACAUCAAAAACUCUGGCAUUCCCGAUGUUGACCAACUUAAACUUACAACGUUUGGAAAGUUUGAUGUGCUUCUCUUGUGGAAAGUGUAAGAUUGAUUUAUUUUGUUCUCCUCACUAAAGAUCUUCUUGUACAUAGAUUCAUCCUUGCAAUGCAAAUGGUGACAUUCUUUUCAUCCAAUGAAAAACCGACGACAGAUUCACGAGAAGCUCGAAGUCAGGACUGCAUCAAAUCAAGCUCCAAUGCACUCUUCGGUCGACAGGUACAUGAUUAACGUUAUGUCAAAAUAUCAAAUAUUACAGAAGUAUCAAAUAUGCAUGAGACAAAGCAUAGCGAAAAUAUUUUAAAAGAAAAUGAGUAGCAUGCAAGCAUUAAGUGUUCAGAGUUGCCAACAUGUAUGAGUUGCAAUGUCUUACCUUUAAUUUCUCUGGAAAUAGUUUUCAUAAAGAUGGUUGAACAUCUCUUAUGUUACCUGCACAAAGCAUGAAUGGUAGUACAAUUGCCAAGCAGGAUCCUUAAAAGCUUUCUAAUAUUCACAAGAAACUUAGAACACUCAUGAGCCUCACAUGUACAGCCUAGACAUUGCACGCACGUACAUUGAAAAAGAUUGAAAAAACAAUUGAGAGGAAAGUGAGCAGUGAGGUUCAAGAGGCUGGAGACGAAGGGCCUUUGAGACGCUCACUUUACUUCAUAUGCACUCACAAGAUCUCUCUCUGUCUUCUUUUUCUUAGUCGAAUGAAGCUUUAUUCUCUCUUCAUUGUACCAGCAAAAGGAACUUGAGCUCUCCGCCGCCAAACUGAGCAAGGCCUCUGGGGUCCAGGGCUUCAGAAAUCACCCCUUUUUAGUUUUUACAUGAAUUGCAAGACCAUUCUUGUUAAAGAAAUAAAUUACAUUCCGCAAAUCAGCCAUUUCAGCUUAGCUAUUUGACUUGUCGAGUGAAUAUUGGAAGAACAUUUGAGUGGAAAAUGAAAUAGAGUAAUUUAUGGGCGGAUCCGCUUUGACUAAACUAAAAGUAAUAUAGGACGUUUACCCAAAAUGUUGUUUAUGCCGCCGAAGAGGCUUCGAAAAUGGGCCCUCCCCCAAGAUUAACAUGUCGACUUUCUUAAAUAAUUUUAAUUUUCUAUAGACAGGAAAAUCUUCAAUUAUUUGACUCGAGUUUUUGUAUAAUCUGUCGUUGGUAUCUAACUAUUGGAUCCUCUAGCAUGGAUAAAAGAUCACUGAAUUUUAAAAGGAAAAUUAAAUCGAUUAAGUAUAAUGAGUUCUUUCAAGUGGGGAAUGGUGUAAGUAAGAUUUGUUCAUUUGACCCAAACAAUUCCUUUUUCAAUUCCUUUUUCAAUUCCUUUUUCUUAGCCUCACUUUAUAAUUGCUUUAGAGUAAUAUAAUAUUGAUUUGAGGCAUUCAGUAUUAGAUAAAAUCACACCUCCUACUGUAUUCCACCUUUCGAUGGAUGAUUGGUUGGCUCUUUAAAAUCAAUCUCUCCAUCAUUUUCUUUCUAAUUGCUAAUAUUCUUCCUCAAGCGAUCCUUAGCUGCAUUUUUCUUUUACCACAUCAAUUUAGUGACUUACAAGUUCUAACGUUAAUGACCCUUUUAACGUGAUUCUUGUUUCUUUAAAUAGAAUUUUCCUCCUCUCUAAGUGAUUUAACUAUUGCUACGUAUACUAGCUAAUUCAUUAUAUUAGGGAAGUAAUUAAAUUGAAGAGAGGAAGAGAUUUUAUCUAACUUUGGGAUCUGCGGGAGACGUGAUUGUAUGAUUAUUAUAUGAGCAUAUCCAAAUUACUAUUUUGUCCAUUGUCAAUAGAAUUUGGCUAGACCAGAAUUCUUAAUUUUUUUUUUUAAUUUUUCUCCGGUAAUUCCAAUGGCCUUCUCAUCCUAGAGUCAUCAAUAUUAGUACGGAGAUUUUUUUACUAACUUUUUUUUUAUCCUUUUUGUCCUUUUGUGCAACUUAAGAUAGAAUCAUCGAUUCUGUGAAUUCAUAAUUUAUAACUUGCUACUCAUCCAUAUUUACAUCUUGAAAAUUUAUGAAUUUGUAAUUUAAUUGAAUCACCAAUUUCAUGAGCAAAUACCUGCAGGUUGCUUUUCCUAGCUUGGAGACCUUACAUAUCAAUGACAUGGAUAACAUUGAGAUGAUAUGGGACAAUCAAGCUAUUGCAGAUUCUUUCCCCAAGCUAAAAUCACUUUUUGUGGAUAAAUGCAAUAAGUUUGUGACUGUUGUUCCUUCUUACAUUCUAGGACGACUCUUAUGCCUGGAAAGUUUAAUGGUAAAAGCAUGUGCUUCACUUGAAGUUGUUUUCCAACUUCAACCACCGAAUCCUCUAGAUGGACAUCAUGUUGCUCUUUUGUUAAAAAAGUUAAAGCUAUCAAAUUUACCAAUGCUAAAGUGUAUAUGGGAUAAGGAAAUACACCGUCAAGUUAAAUUUCAAUGUCUACGUUCUAUCAACGUUUCUGAAUGCAAGAGCCUCACCUCCCUAUUUCCAGCCUUAGUGGCUAGAGAUCUAAUCCAACUUGAGGAGUUGGAGAUCUAUGAGUGUGGCAUUGUGGAACUCAUUGAGAAGGAAGAAGGACCAGGUCCUAGGUUUGAUUUCCCCAAGCUAACCUCCCUUAAGCUUGAGCUUCUUAUAGAGUUGAAGUGCAUCUACACCAAAAGACAUGCUUUACAUUGGCCGGCAUUGAAGACCUUGGAGGUCCUUGGCUGUAACAAAGUGGAGAUACUUGUUUCACAACCUAACAAUGAGAUGCCACUUCAUAAGAACCCUCUCUUCUUCAUAGAAAAGGUACGAUGCUAGAUUAUUUGUUUUGCUUCAAUGGUGAAUAUUUGAACUAAUGAUUAAGCCAAGCAUCUCAUACAAGUAGCUUUUACAUACGAAAAUAUAAACUAUACAACUCUCCGUGAAUCCAUAGAAAUAUUACAACAUUGAAACAUCAUGUGUUCUUCAAGUAUUGAGUGAACAUUCUUGUCAAUGUCUGGCAUAACAAAUGCAUACUCGUUGAUCUCCUUAAAAAAAAAGAGAGGCUAAUUCCAAUUUUUUAGCUCUCUCUUAAGUGCCACAAAGAUCGGAAACACGUGGUAUGUGGUGUGAUCUUACCAUGGCACAAGUGUGUUGUCUAAUUUGAACCCUAUAAAAAGUGCUGAUCUUAUGCUAACAAUUAAAAAAGGGGACACUAUUGUUGACGUUCAAAACUGAAAUUAAUGCAAUUGUGACUGUAAUUGAUGCAAAAGUUAUUUUCACAGGGGAUAUAUCUUUAGAAAUGUGAAUUUAAGGAGUUAAUCAAGUUCAAAUAUGGAUACAAGUCAAAUAUAAAAUAUUAGCGAUAAUGUUUGUUUCCUGAAGGCACGUAUCUUUCCAUUGAAUCACAUGAGACUCAACAAUUUAAAAUGUAGUUAUUGUGCUCAAUAUGCAAGAUUUAUAUCAUAAUACAUGAAUACUCUUUUAGCUAAGCUGGCUUUAGGUUCUGAUUUGACUAUUUUCUCAGGGUGCAUUCCCUAGCCUCCAAGAGUUAAAAUUGGAUUUAUCCAAACGGAUGGAGAUAUGGCAUAGGCAUUUUCAUGAUGGAGAAUUCUUCAACAAGCUUAGAUUUCUUGAGCUCCGUCAUCUCUCCCAGGAGUCUUCAAUAUCCACAUCGUGUUUUGUUGAGAGUUUACCCAACUUGAAAGAGCUAGUUGUAUGUGAAUCUUAUCUAGAAGACCCAAGUAGCAUUAAAGAAGCCAUAGAAGGCAGAAGUCAUGAGCUAAAAGUGAUAUUACCAUUUUCAAGAUAUAUUCGACAUCUGAAAACUCUAGAUGUGUCACUUUGUGAUGGGUUAUCAAAUAUGUUCACAUGGACAAUAGCUGAAAAUUUGGUGGCACUCACCAAAUUGAAGAUAAGUAAUUGUAGAAUAUUGACAGAAGUCAUUAGUGAUGACGAAGGUGGGGAGGGGCAUGUAGUGGCUUUCAAUCAAUUGAAGUAUAUGGAGCUUGACAGGUUGGCUAGGUUGAGAUGUUUCAGCUCAGGUGGAUACACUUUGAUGUUCCCUCUCUUGGAAGAUAUCAUUGUGAAUAGAUGUCCCAAGAUGAAGUUCUUCUUCGAGGGACCAAUGGAGGCGCCAAAGCUGGAUAGAGUAGGAACAAUUUUGAAUGAAAGGUAUAGAGCAACAAAGUACCAAUAUUUUUGGAAGGGAAACCUCAACACGACCAUCCAAAAUAUGUUCCAAGAAAUGGUAUGCUUUAGUUACUAAAUUCUGUGCAAUUUGAUUUUUUUUUCAAUCACCAAUGAAGUACUUGUUUUUUUUCUUUUUUUUUGCUAACUAGAAUUUUACGUUUAAUGAUGCAUUUUCUAAUAGGCUACAUUUGCUGGGACUAAGUUUAUGAGGUUGUCUGAGUUCCCGGAGCUGAUUGGAAAAUGGCAGAGUGAACUCAAUCCCAUCACGUCAUCUUGGCAAUUAGAAUCAUUAGUGGUGGAUAAAUGUUCAUCAUUUAUUAACGCUAUUCCAUCCAGUUUGAUGCUUGUUUUAGAGAGAACGACAAGCUUGCAAGUGCGUGAUUGCGAGCCUUUGCAAGAAAUAUUCGAUCUUGAAGGGCUUGAGGCUGUGGAUUACACUCAGGUGUUGCCUCAAUUGGAGGAUCUGCACUUGGUCAAUCUACCAAAGUUAAGGCAACUGUGGAAUAGAGAUCUCCAAGGAACGACAUGCUUCAAUUGUCUACAGUAUCUUAGCCUUUAUAAAUGCAACAACUUGAGACAUGCUUUUGUUCCAUCAAUGGCUCGGUGCCUUCCCAAUCUAUGGGAGAUGGAAAUAAAGGAGUGUGAUCAAAUGGAAGGAGUGAUCGUAGACGAAGAUGGGCAGGGAAGCACGUUGGAGGAGAUUACAUUCCCAUAUCUUAUGUCGAUAUAUUUGGAAUACUUGCCUAAUUUGAGUAGUUUCCUCUCAUGGAAGAAUCAUAUGCUAGAAUGCCCUACUUUAUCAACGCUGAGCAUUGCCCAUUGCCCGAAGAUGAGAAGUCUAACUUGGCAAUCUUCGGUGGAGAUUAGCAAUGGCACCCCUUCGCUUUUCACUUCACAAGUCAGUCUCUCAAACAAAUGCAUUUAUGGCAUUUCAUUUGAAUAUAUUCAUUCGCGUAUAAUUGGACAAUGCAUGGUAUGCAAACAAAAGUGCUAGAUAUAAUUGUUUGUAAUAUCAAUCAUCAAUGCUUUGCUCAAAUUUGACUGGGACUCUGUUUCAUACCUAAACAAAGAUAACCAAAAUAUUUGCCUUCCCACAAUAAUCCAUGAUCACAUCCAUAAAGUAUUAAUGCAAAACAAUUCAGACAUUGAUAAUCAUGUGCAGUUUUAAAAUCAUUUAAUUAUACAUAUAUAUGUACAUAAUCUAUUAAUAUUUACUUAAAAGAUUAAAAUUUUUCUAAUCCUCAGCAAGUAUAACUAUUAAUUGUCCAUCUCCAUAUAUUUUUAGAAGUGUUAUUCUUGUGAGCUCAUAAAAUCAUAUUGUGUGCAGUACCUCAAAAUAUAUUACAUAGGAUUUUAAAAAUGUUAUGACAAUAGCCAUAUGAAAUCAUUUACUUUUUGUAAUUUCAACUAUAAAGAAUAUAACAGUAAACAUAGAAUAGCAUUUAAAAAUGGCAAAAAAAAAAAAAGAAGUAUUGCCCACUUCAUAUUUCUUGCAUGGAAGCAAACUGGCAUCAUUCUAUUAAACAUGAAGAAAAGAGGAAAAGAAAAUUUCAUAAUUAUAAAAGCUUAAUUCACAAAUUGCUUAGCUAUUACAACUCAUUGUACCAUAAUCAUCUUUCCAAUCAAUGAAAUUGGAGGAAUUAGAGAGAAUUUCUCCUUUAAUUGGAGUGCUUUAAACUUCGAUAAUGAUCAGUGCUGUCAACUUUUUAUAUCUUAAUAAUCACUAAUGCUUGAGCUGGGUCUUGAUAAUAAAAUAAAUAAAAAUAAAAAGGCCAAUAUGUCUGAAGUUUUUUUUUUUUUUUGUAAAUCAUAAUUGAAUCACUGUACUCCAACAACCUAUCAAAUUAUGUACCUAUAUUAUACAAUAAAUAUUAACUCUAGAUUAUCAUGUUGAGUGAUAAUUAGUGUGAUACUGCGUACAAUCUAUGUUUGGCUAGAGGAAAAUAUAGAUUGCUUUUUCCAAAAAAAGAAAUGGCAAUAAAAAGGAAAAAAAAAUAAAAGAGAGAAAAGGACAGCGGUUGCCGACAUUGCAAGUUUUAUUUCGUCACUAGAUGACAAAAUUUAGUCAAUGUCCUAGCUAAAAUAAAAAUUUAAAAAAUUAGAAUAAAUUAUCCAAUCAACAACACUACUGAAGAGAAAAUAUCAGGUGCAUUAAAUACACCAUGUAGGAUCCAUAUUAAAUCAUCUGCAAAUCGACAUGUGGUAAAGUCGGGCCCACCUAUCAGUUGAAUGAUCAAAAUAUUUGCUCCCCCUCCCUUCAAUAACGCCCUGUUAUUGGAAACCUCUCUUUCCUCUUUUCUGGUGUGGCUUUGCUCCCUCCUCUCUCUCUCUCUUUCCUUCCUCGGUGGCCUUGGCCUCCGUCUGUUGCAGUGCUGUUGCGAUGCGCUCACUAGACAAAGGAAGAAAUUAGACAAAGUCUAUUUGAUGAUUUCGCUUCUCCCCCUCUAAGAAAUGUUCGCUCUCAGUCAUUUCGUUUCACCUUUGAUCCUCCUCUUCGCGACGAGGGGAAAAAAGAAAGUGAACCAAAUCUACAGAGUCAAGUAAUAAUAACUCUUCUUCCUCCCCCUCCCCCUCAUCCUCUUACCUUCUGUUUUUUUGGGGCGAUUGAUUGGGCGGUCUGUCCAAUGGUUGAAUCGGAAGCUUCAGAAUCGCUUCUCUGAAGCUCGCCUCCUCUCUGUGUGCGUGCUUCCAUGGGUUCCGAGUGAUUGCGCGAACCGGAGCUUGUUGGUUAUGGUGGGUCGAAGUGGAUCUCCGAUACGGAAGCGAUUUCGGCAUCGAUUCGGUCGGGGCGUUGAUUCCCGGCGAAGAAAAAUUAAAAAAUCUUCUCUUCAGCCCUCUCUUCCUUCUCCUUCGUCCACAGCCGCCCGACCUCCGCCCCUCUUCCGCUGUCGCCAAUGGCGGAGUCACCGACGCCUUGAUUAGGCUGACCCCCGCUAUGUCCAAGCCGAGCAUGGUCGGCUUACCUCUGUUUUGUCCGUCUCAUAGUUCUACAGAUCUCGAAAUCUGGCUGUCCAUAGCGACGGAGUUGCAGAUCUGGAAGUCGACCACCGCCGCUCGCAGCCAUGGACGAGCCGCUGUCGCUAGAGACAUGGUUGCAGAUCUGGAAGUCUCGUCGCGAGCAACGACGGCUUAUGGACUGCCAUUAUCCCCUCCGUCGUCGCUCGCGAUUGGCUCGCGGUCGUUGCCCGUCCAAAUCUGGGCUGGAGUCGUGCCUUCAGAUCUAGUAUCGUCCAUGGACGCAAGCCUAGCUCGUCCAUGGCUCGCCAGGAGGCUCCUCCACAGAUCUGGCGACCGUAGCUUGUCCAUGGCCAUGAGUCUUGACGGCGAGUUUGAGAUCCCUUCGUCCAUGGACUGCGAGGUCAAACGGCGAAAGAGAAAACAGAGAAAUAGAUGUCAGGGAAGAGCGGCCAUGGACGAGAGGCGUCAUGAAUGGGUAGACCACAGAGACGAUGGAGAGGGUUGGACGAGAGGCAAUGGUCACCUUGGACGCGACGCCGGCAACUCCACCGGUGGUGAUGGCUGGGGGAUGCGGGAAGGUUGGGCUCAAUGUGGCUGGAGAUGGAGGAGAAAGCGUAGAUGGAGAAGGAAAGUGAGGUGGAUUGAGAUUUUUUAUGUUUAGUCAUCCGACCAAGAAGAAGCCAAAGUUUAGUCAAUGUCAUAGCGUCCAGUCAACACUUCCAUUUCGUCUCAUGAAGUUCUCCUCAUGUGAAGACUAAACGCAGUAAAUGACGACCUCCUCCAGCACUUUUUUUUUUUGGGUUGAAACUGAGGCACUUGAAAAUGCGCGAUAUCAUUUUUUUAUUACAGAUUCUAUACAAGUUUUGUUUUUUUUUUCCACGACAAACGAAAUCCUUUUUUUUUUUCCUUAUUCUAAUACUUUUGCGCAAUUCUUUCUAUGGUUUUAUACUAGUAGAAUAGAAUGUUUAAUUAUAACAAGUAUCUACACAUCUGGUUACUUUUUAAUUGUAAGAAUUAUCACUAAUUAUUUAUUGAUAAUGUCAUUUGCAUGGAUAAGUUGUUAUAUAAUACCUAGCCCCACAUUCUAAGAAUAUUUCAAAAAGUCAGUAUAACACUCAAUCAACGAUACUAAUAAAUUUGGGGAAGUAUGAAAAUAGUCACCUGAUCUUUUGGUAGUGACAAGUUGUGAUAGAAUUGUUUUCAUUUUAGUGUCAAAUAUGAGCUGUCAUAUAAUAAUUGAUUUCUCCCACAUUAUUAGAUAAUUUCAAAAACUCAUCAAAAUCCUCAAUUAAGAAUAUUGAUAGAUUUAAGGAAGUGUGGAAAGUCUUUUUCUUUUUUUUGUGACAAGUCGUAAUUGCAUUAAUUAUAUUUUAACCAAAUGAAAAAUAUCAAUACUUACUUUCCAAUGGACAAUUCAUCAAGGUCAUGAUGUAGCGAAAAAAAAAAAAAAAAAAAGCACUCUUGAGUUUCUCCAUACAAACAAAAUGUGAUCAGCGGGUGCACACCCACUUUUUGCCAAAGGGUGGACCACUCGUACACCACAAGAUUCUAUUUUUAUUAUUUCACCUCAAAUCUGAAUAAAUAUUAUUUCAAGGAUGUUAUUAAUGCUCCAAUGUAAAACUAGUAAAUUGUCCCAACGUGCUUUUGCUGAGAUCAUAACAUUAUGUUAUUUAUUCAAGUGUUAUGUUGCCCGUGCCUAUUAAGAAAUUAUUUUCUUUCAAUACAAAAAUUUUCCAUGCAUAAAAAAAAAAGAAAAGGUUGUGAACAAUUGAAGUUACUAUCUAUCCAUAUAUAUGCAGUUCGCCAUAUAAAUUUCAAGACUCUUCUCUUUGGUGAACUGUAUUAAUUAGAAGAUUCAUAAAUACCAUUCGCAAUUUAGUAUGAAUAAGUAGCAGUGCUCAUGGUAAAUAGAGGAAAUAAUGUUGAGCCAAGCAUCGGUUUCAUCCAUUCCUUCUUCAAUACAUACACUAUUUAAGUUCUCUGCACCCGCUAUUCAUAUCCUUAGUUGACUGGCUCAUCAUCACCAUGCCUGUGCUUUUUCUCUAAUUGUUAUGCAUGUUCACCUUGAAGCAAACAUAUCUAAAACAUAACUGAUCUUUGCCGACGAAACUAACGUAACGGAAAUUUUCAGUCUGUAUUAAUGAAUCUAAAUGUUGCUCUUUUCAAUAUUUCUAUCGAACUGCCUAGCAAGCUCCCUAAACUUUUUGCCAAUCUUCGUGCUUAUUCAUUACAAAAAAAAUACAACUUGUCACUCCUCCAUGGCAUCAACAUUGUUUUGUGAGAUUCAUAUUAUGUUCUUCUUCGUCUUUGUCCUCAUUUAAUUGCGUAGAGAAACAGUUGAGUGAGCUAUCAUUGAUGUUUAGUCAAUGGCUCCAUUCAUGCAUCAGCAUAUAGGAGGGCUCUCUUCUCUCUCUCUCUCUCUCUCUCUACGCGAGCUACUAUAAAAAAAAAUGAGGACUUAGGAGGGGAGGAUUAGGAUGAAGUUGAAAGGUAGAAAACUGGAAUUCGGGAGACCUACUUAGCAACCAUUUGAACGAGCCCAAGUUCCACGUGCAUCGGGCCCAUCCGCCUAAUUCCUGAACUUUUAAGUUAUCGCUAUGAUUGUGUUUUUUUUGGUAAGGGUUAUCGCUAUGAUUGUUGAGUAAUCAAGAAAAGUCAACAUUGGCUCAUCACUCUAAAAUCUACGUACCCUUAAUCAUCAAUUAAGCCACUCAAAAAGUCGAUGCUCAACAUACUAUUGAUUUAUAAAAGCAUUAUAAUUCCAUGCUUGUUGCAAUGCAAUACCCUUGGCCUUAGUCAUCAGUCAACUUGUAUAAAAGCAUCAAUCAACCCCUCCCUGUUUAUAUCACUAACAAGAUCUUGACUUCUCAUGAUUUGUGAGAACGAGGGAAGUUUGGCAAUUCGUUCUUUAAGGUCAUAAUUCAAUGCAAUAACAUUCAUUGUGUCAUUCUUUUCUCAAUAUGGCAGGUACAAUUUCCUCAACUUAGGUGGAUGCAUCUCUCCCACAUGGACGAUUUAAGCAAAAUAUGGACUGACGGUCCUCAAGAAACUCUGACUUUUGAUUGUUUAAGGGAAGUGAAGGUUCGGAAUUGUAAGAGCCUUGAAGCUUUGUUUCCGUAUUGGGUGGCUACAAGUUUAACCCACCUUAAAAAACUUCAAGUGGAGUCUUGUGAGAUCGAGGAAAUUGUUGCUAAUGGGGGUGACACUCCACACUCCAAUACUACUGAAGAUCUUUUCCCAGAACUAACCUCUUUGGUGUUACAUGACAUGCCACGACUCAAGAGUUUCUAUCCUAACUUGCCCACUUUGCAUUGGCCAUUAUUGGAGGAAUUACGAGUGAUUCACUGUAACAAACUGAACAUGUUAUCCUUUACGGCAUCCAUGAACAGUUGGGCUCAAAAAUAUGAUCAACAAGACCUUUCAAAUCAAGAAGCACACUCUUCAUUCGAGAGGGUAUGAUUAUAGCUACUCCCCAUUAGUUUCUACUUUGUUCUUUAAAGCAGUCACUAAUAUCAUAUCCAUUGCAUAUCAUGUCGCGUUAUAAUGUUAUAGAAAACAUGAUCUCCCUUACUUAUUAGUUUGUUGACAACAUUAAGAUAUUUCUAAUAUCUUAAGUAUACUUUCAUUUGUGGACAUGCAUAAGAUAUUCCAUUACCUAGAGUUACAAAAAUAUUUAUAGUAUUCUAUUGACAACGGAAUAUAUUCCUAAUCUAACUGAAUGGUGCUCCUUGGUGACAUCAAUAAGAAUUUGACAAGAGGUCCUCUCAAUUAUUGACAUGGGUCGCACAUUUGAACUUUUCUUCUCUAUUUCAUCUUCUACAAACUCUAAAAAAACACCAAUUCAAACUUUUAAAAAAAAAUAAUAAUAACAUCAGUAUCUUAGUGCACCAUUUCCUAAUGUAUUUUUUUAAUACACUGCACAGUCGUCGUGUUGUAACAUUAGUAAUAUUAGUACCUUAGUGCAUUGCAUAGUCGUCUUGUUGUCCUGUUAUAAUACUAUAGAAAACUAGAACUCCUUUCCUAUAAGUUUGCGAACAACAUAAGGUAUUUCUUAUAUCUUAAGCACACUUCUAAAUUUGUGGACCCCAUAUGUUUUAGUAACAUCAUGAGCGCAUCUCAUUACAUAAGAUUCCAAAGAAAAUAUAUUUUUGUUGACAAGAUAUUCCUAACUAAAGAUGAAUUUAAUGAUUGUAGGGGUCUUUGAUUUUAGAUUCACACUAUCCACUUGACCAGACCAACCUUCCAUGCAAAUUAUCUAAGUAGGUUUACUUUUUACAACACGUGAUUUAUUACCAAAACUUUGCUGAAUUUACUUCUAUUGUUGUAUUGGCUAUUUGACAGGACUUUCCCAACUUUGAGAGACUUUUAUUAGUCAAUAACAAUAUUCAGAUGAUACAAGAUGAAAAUUUUCCCGAUGACAUCUUUAGCAAACCAAUAGCACUAACACUGGCAUGCUUUCAUGAUGAAAAGGCCGUCUUUCCUUCUAUAUUCCUCUUAGAGAGAUUUCAGAAUCUACAAAGCCUUGAGGUAUUCUGUAGCUCCUUUGAAGAUAUAUUCCCGGACGAAGGGCUUGUUGAAGAGGGGAAACAUCCGGUGCUUGAAAAUUUAAGAAAAAUUAAGUUAAACGAGCUACACAACCUGAAGCGUGUGUGGAGAGAAGACUCUUUAGUGUCGAAAAUUCUUCAAAGCAUCGAAACAUUUGAGAUUUGGGAUUGUCCCUGUUUGACGACAAUAUUUACAACUGUGGCAUCCUUCCAGAAUCUGAUGAAGUUAGUGGUGAAGAAUUCCUCUGGAUUAGUACAUCUAGUAACAGUUUCAACGGUCACAAAUUUGAUGCAUCUCGAUAACAUGACUAUAAUAGGAUGUGAAAGAAUGAAAGAAGUAGUAGCCAAUGAUGGAAACGGAGAAGGAAAAGUGAUUUCUUUUGGAAAUCUACGCUUUUUGACACUCCAAGAUCUGCCAAGCCUAGAAUGUUUCUCCUCCAUCUCGAGUUGCACCUUCAGGUUCCCAUUCUUAAGGAAUAUUAAAGUGGAAGAGUGUCCGAAAAUAAAGACAUUUUCUAAGGGUACGCUAAGCACACCACUACUAUGUGCAGUGAGCCUGUUCAGAUACAAGUGGAAAGGGAAUUGGGGGGAGGGUGAUGAUCUGAAUACAACCAUACAAAAGUUAUCAGCAUGAACAAAUGCACAUAGAAUUGGUAAAGAUUCAACUGAUGUCAUUUUCUCAUCCAUUCGUUUUUCUUUUUCCUUAUUUUUUUCGGUAGCACGGUAAGUUUUUAAAUUUUUCUUUUUGUAUCUUUUCUAUUAUUGAUACCAUCGGAUCAAAGCAUCACAAACCCUUAUCUAUCGAUCGAUCGAUCUCGCCUCCUUCACUGAACAGCAGGAAACGAAGCAAGGCUCUCCUUCUUGAUUCCAGAGGCUCUCUCUGCUGCAUUCACGGAGGACGGAGCGAAAAGGAAGCGACGGGAAUUGCUAGGACUUGAGAGAAGAUGGCACUGCCGAGUCUGGACAGUCGGUCCUCCACUCACUUCAUCAAAGAAGAAGAUCAUACUCUCUCCGCAUCUGUAUCCGACGAAUCGUAAGUUCACGCUUCUGCACACAUCAUUUCUCCUGUCUGCCAGAAUUUCUUCCUGACUUUCGUGUCUUGUUGCUCGUAAUUUUCAUCUGGUUUUCGUAGAGACCUUUCCUUAAUCGUUGUCAUCUUCUUCAGCUAGGGCUCUGCUUUUUAAAUUCGUUUUGUGUAAAUUUCUCAGUCCACUACUUCAGAUCAUGGACCAACAGAGGUCCUCCACUGACAUCAUCGAAGAAGAAGAUCUCGCUCUUUCUCGCACUUGAACCCAGCAAACUCGUAAGUUCACGUUUCUUCCGAUUUUGGUGUCUUAUUGCGCGUGAAUUAGGUUGAAGUCGGAAGCUGGUUUCGUAGAGACCUUCCUCAAUCCUCGCCUUCUUCUUCAGCAAAGGGCUUUGUUCUUCAAAAUUCAUUCCACAUUAGAGUCUAAAAGCAUAAGUUCCUCAAACUAGCAAUUUUAUCUUAACAAUGGAGUAAUUGAAAUAGGGAAAAGAAUGAAAGGACUAUUAUUGGGACAUAAGCUAGUGGUUGGAGGUUCGAAAAGAUAACAAUCAUCUCCUUAUUCAGUGGAUACAUGGGUUGGAAAAGCAAUUCCUAAGGCGUCUUAGAAUUAGAAUCCAAGUCCUCUUAUAUGGAGAAAUUUGACAAUGUGAUUCAAUGUCGGAGAAGUAGAAUAUAUAUGUUAAUCGCACAAAGAGACUAUGUUCAUAUAGACAAGCAAAUUGCAAAGAAUGUUGCUGCCUCCUUAACUAAAGAGAAAGACCUAAUCGAUAAGGGGCUAGCUUGUUGUGAUUAAGAAAUUUCAUUGUAGAUCUAAUGACUGAUAAUUUUGUUUUCAAAUAGGAGAUGCUGUUGUAUUUUGUUAUGUUAAUCAGAUUUGGGGAAGAAAGAGAUUUUACUUUGUCAACUUGAACCAAUAGUUUGAUAAAACCUUAUUUGAGCUGCGCUUGAAAGAAUCAAACUGAUUAAGUUUAAAUUUUCAAUUCCAUUGAUGUUCCAGUCAUCAAUGUAUUUGCUUUUUCCUUUGUGAUUAUGAUUUGUGUGGCUGAAAUUGAUAUGUUUUAAAUAUAUAUAUAUAUAUAGGACCUGGAAGGCUUCUUCUGAACGUGUACCCUAUUGCAUUCUGGGAGCACGGAUUUGACCUUGACUUUGGAUGAAUGACUUUUGUCAUUUGGUUUACUGUCUAUUAAACUCCUGAAACUAGCAAGUAAUGCCUUAAACUCACUCUGUGUACGAUUUAAUUCUCUCAUUAGGGUAUUGCUUAUGUCUUGGUCUUUUCUUCACCAUAUGUUGGUUUUCCAACCGUGUACAUGCGCAUUUGGCUCCUGUUCAAUUCAACAUGCAACAUAUUCAGGAAAUUUAGCAAAUUGUGACUCUCAGGUAUUCGGACAGGUCAUGGAUGGUGAAGUUAAGGAGUUGUGGAUGAGAUUUUUUUUUUUUUUUUGGGUGCGGUGGGGAGGGGUGUAUGUUCUUUUCUGCUGGUCGGCCCACAUUUGCAAGAGAAGGUCAUCUGCAUGUAGAAACUCAUUGAUAGGGAUGAUUUUCUAUUCAGAGUCCACAUAUUCACUAGUGCUGGUUAGGACUUGAUUUACAUUGAUCUAGAUGAACUCUGGAAGUGUCACUUUCGCUGGUCCAAGAUGAAUUAAGUAUUCCAAAUAACAAACUCCUUUAUAUAGUCUUGAGGAAUCAAGGAAGUGUACUUGUAUGCCAAUUGGGUUUUAUGAGGUUGAUCACAAUCCAGAUGCACACUCAUUAAUGCUUCAUUCCAACUCUGAAUGAAUCGAAAAGUAUGUGCUUCAAGACGUACUUUUUGGUUUAUGCAUUCUUCAUUUUGAAUUUAAAACAAGUCUCAUAGGCUUAUUAAGAUUAUGGGUUUUAUUUUUCCUACAGGAAUAUUAAAAAGGUUCAAGAGGAUGCUUUUGAGAGAACAGUGCAAUUGUUUGGCCUGUAGAACUGGAAAAAUGUGAUGAGAUGGUUUGGUUAGCAUAGGGUUUGAAUGAAUAUGCAGAGCAUUACUCUGUCUGUAAGGUUCAAUUUUUGGUCUUCUAAUAUGAAGGGGACUCCAUUUCCCGUGUCACCAUAAUUGAUGAAAGGAUGUCCGAGAUAGAAUAUCCACCAAUCAAUGUUGAUAUGAGGAACCAAGCCUCAGCAAUUAUGGAAUUGUCUUGCUGAAAGUGGAAGAUGCCUUCAAUUGCCGUGAUGUUUCAGUCAGGCUUGAAGUCUGGGGGGGUGAAUUGCAUUUAGCCAAGUGUCCUCGGUUUUGUAUGGAAAUCGAAUCUGAUCAGGUUUGCAAAGUUCAUGGUGAUUCCUAUGCACAUUCAUCAGCAGAGUUUGGGAGGGACAGAAGUUUGAACUGCUCAUCUUAAGAUUUUCCAGGUGUGAAUCUUAAUAUUUGCUAAUUCUGCCCUUGAUUGUAUUGUUCUUGUGUUUGAUUCAAAUACCGUACAUGAAUUGUCCAUUUUGUUAGGCUAAGAGAAACUGUGUUAGAGCUAACUCAUUCUCUUAGUGUUUCUCUGUCUCUAGAUCUCCCGUGUAUGCAUAUAUAUGUGUUGAGACUAAAUGUGCCGGCAAUUGCUGUGAUGUUUCUGUUGAGCUUGGAGUCUUGUAAAUGAAUUGCAUUCAGUCAUGUGUCCUCAGCUUUGUAUGGCAAUGGAAGUUGAUUAGGUUUGCAAAGUUCAUUGCAGUUCCCAUGCACAUUCAUUAGCAAAAAAUUUGGGGAGGAACAAAGUUCAAACUGCUCAUCAUGAGAUUUUCCGAGUGUGAAUCUUAAUAUAUUAGCAAAUUCUCCCCUUGAAUGUGUUGUUCUUGUAUUUGAUUCGAAUAUCAUGCAGGAACUCUCCACGUUGUUAGGCUAAGAGAAACUGUGUUAGGGCUAAUUCAUUCUUGUAAUGUUUCUUUGUCUAUAGCUUUCCCGUGUGUACAUAUGUAUGUGUUGGGGGUUCACAUAAAUAAUGGAAACAAACCAAGCCAGUCAUAUCAGAUUUCAUUGUGAUGAGAAUGGAUUGGUGUGCGUAUAGGCCUCAAGAAGCUAGACCAUUAGAAAGACUCAGAUUUAUUGAUUUAGGGUUGCUAUGUCGGUAGAUAUGGGUUUUACAUAACAAGAAUAGAUUACGCCUAAAACGCUAAAGCUUUUUUCAUGUUUUGUUUGUGGCUGCUGUAGGUAAGCUGAGAGAGUUAGGCUUGUGAAGAGCUCUUGAAUUGGCCAGAAAAUUUGUACUCAAUUAUCCUUUCCUCCAAAUUGCGGUGAGGUGAAUAUAUCUGAAGAAAAGCAAUAUGGUAAGAUCCUCUUGACAAUGACAACUCUUGGAUUUAAAUCACAUAGAGUUGCUAGACUAUGUUAGAUCUAGAUAUUAAUCACGUGGCUAUAUAUAUAUAUAUAUUUGGUCCUUUACAUGCUUUGAAAAGGAUAUUCAUACUGUCUUCCUUAGAAAUCAUUGGUUGUUUUCUUCUUUCUGAUGACAAAAUUGCGAAAUGUCUCCUUGAGCAGAGAGUUCCUGGUUCAUUCCUAAAGUUGCAUGUUAAGAAAAGCCUGCAGACCACGGCUCUCAUAUUUCAAGACAAAGCAUGGCGUUGAAGCUCACCAGCCCUGAACAUUAUGGAAAGCUAUUUGCCCGCAGGGCUGCAUUCAUGAGAGAAACUUCUCUAAAGGCAGAAGAUGUGUGUGUGUUUGAGCUCUACUGAAAAGGACUAUAUCAUUUUCGGACUAUCCAACUGCAGAACACUGAUAAGACUUGGCUGAAUGAUAAUACUAUGCAAUACAAUAUGGCAGACGAAGUUUUGGCUUAGCUCACUUUUGGCGAGAAUGUGACUUUCAGAAUGGCUAGGCUGAAUUCUACUUCCAAUUCAGCAAAAUGGAUAAAAGCAUGAGUUUUGUUCCAAUGAAUGAAAUGGUCCUGAAUGUGCACAAUGCCUUUCCUUGAUCCUAGACUAAAUAAUCACCAUGAGGGCACGAGUUGUGAGCCGGAGGAAGCUGAUUACUACUUUUGAUUCUAUGACUUCCAUUUCAGGAGACAAUCUCUUAAAUUUGGGGCUUCUUCAAGGUUUCCAGUGGCUUAACCUGAUCUUAAUUGUCUCGUUGAUUUUUUCUUUCUAGCAAUUUUUGCAAGUUUGUAGAUUGAGUUCAUGAUAUAGAUAUCCUUGUUGAUUAAAGGGUGAUAUAGAUAUCCUUGCUGAUUAAAGGGUUGUACAGGUGUCUGUAUUUCAUUUUACGAAGUUUGCUUUUUUGUUUAGGCCAAUCAUCACUCUACGAGUUGCCCUUGCAACUCCUGAGUAUCUGGCUUAUGAAUGUGACAUGUAUGGUGAUUUUUUUUUUUUUUUUGAAAUGUCAAAAUCUCAAAAUUAUGUACAUGACAUAAAUUUUUCUUGUGAUACCAAGAACUCCAAAUUUAUAUCUGUGUGACACAUUUGUCCUCCAUCAAAAUUCUAUCAAGUUUUCCUGUCCAAAAUUACAUCGUUUUUAUUUCACUUAAGUUACGUGGGGUGCCGAGUCAACAUUGUUUGUCUUUCCAUCAACUAUUAGGUAGAUUUUAAUUAGAAAUACAGUCCAUCUGCUUGCCGUCUAUAGCCACCAUUGAGUCACCACCACGGUCCCUCCGCUCUAUCCCUGCUAGAUGUCCUUGGCGUGGAGCUCGUUUUGAGGUAGUAUAGCUCGGUUUGAGGUAGUAUUCCUGGUAGUAUAGCUCGGUUUGAGGUAGUAUUCCUAGUCCUCAUAGUAGUAGUAUUACUUCUAUCGAUACACAUGAUUGGAUGAGAUAAUCGCAUUGCUGUGCCUUCUAACAUCACGAUUAGCCAUUUUUCAUGCUAUUAUUUCACAUUGAGGCUUCGCUUGUUGAGCAUCCUUCUCGAAUCCGACUUGAGCUUGAAUCAUUCGUCUCUUAUUGUUUUCAUUGCUCAUAUUGAUUAACGUCGAUUAUGUUUGUUGUUCCUGUCCCUGUUACUAUUAGGAAGGCACUUUCAUCUUGCUCAUAUCUUGAAUUCAUGUCUUAAAAUCUGCUCAAUCAAAUCAUGUGUGUUAGCUAUCCGCGGUCUAUUCUCGCUUGAAUGAACAAUGUUUGAUGUGAUUUGUGAAAGGAUUUAUUUUAUUUCUCACAACUUCAAUUUCAUGGAAGCAUUUAAUUUUUCCUAGGCCUUUCAAUUUGAGAUUUGUAUUUGAAUUUCCUUUAACUGGAAAAUUUGACCUGCUGUCAUUCUCGGUUAUCGAGGUGUCAUUGACAUAAAUUAACAUCAUGAUCAAUGAAAUUCCUCUCCUUAAGGUCAACAAGAAUCAAUCCACAAUUGAUUGCUUGAAUCCUAAUUUAGAAAAUGUCUCGGAUGAACUUGCUUUAUACCUUUCAAUACUUCCAUCACUCUUUUAACUUUUGUAACAAGGGAUAUCCAGACUAUUCGCCUUAACUAGUCCUACGGUUUCUAUCAUAUGUUUGCUGACAUAUGACGUGAGUACUCACCGCUCGUGUGGCCCUUCUAUGCUUUGUUCACAGGAAGCGCCUCGUCGUUCUGAAAAUAAAUAUUGCUUGUACCUAAUUCCAUAAUCUUGGAGUUCCAUUCGGGCCCCAGUGCUGUGUCCGCUUUCGUUUUUAUUGGACACCACAUGUUGCUCAUGCAUGCAGUACAAUCCAGAUCGUUCAAUGCCUUGUCGCACGCUCUGCGGCUGUAACAAGACUCCUCACCAUCUUCGGAUUUAUCGCAGUAACUGUAUCCAGUUAUUCGCCGUUUUAGUACUCGGGUCAUUCACGACGUUACGUCGGGCAGUUUUGAAACCAUAACAUGCUUACCGUUGUGUAGCACAGCCAGCAAUGUAAAUUCUAUAGAGUUUGAGCUUCAUGGAUUUAUUCGCCAAUCUCACGUACGAUGACGUUUGCUUUAAGAUUUAUUUUUCGUUUUGAUUCUAUAUUAUUCGUUUAUUAUUUUAUUUUCACUCAAGGACUCCAAGAGAGAGAAAAAAAAAAUCUCCCCUUGAGGAAACCUUGGAAUAUGAGUUUCACAUUUCAUCAAAUAACUUCAAUAGUUUGUCUCGAUAUUUUCCGUGCUAAGCUAGCUUCACAUUCUAUAUGAAAUCAAUAAUCCCUCCUGCUGUAUGUAGUAAUAUCUUAGAGUUGCAUUGGACAUGACUAUUGAGGUGGUCGAUGAUAUGAAAAGUGCUAGAUAUAAGCAAUUGGUCUGCCCAAUUGGUGUGCAAAUGAGAUUUUUUCCCAUCAUGUAAUCAUUUUGUAUGAUCAAGUCACUAAACUUUGAUUUCAAUCGCCCGAUGCACUAAUGAUAUUUUCUUUUCCAUUUUACACUCAAUGCAUUAUGAAGACUUUUCGAACAAUUUUUUCUAGGUAAUAUUGACAUGGUGCUCUUACAUGUCUGAUUAAAGAUGCUAUAAUGACGACAUGACAACACGUGAAUCUCAACUAAGAAGAAAUGAAAAAAAAAAAGUUUAAUAAAAGAGAGGGUUACGUGGUCCUUGUGUUACAAGGGGAGGUUCCCAAGGUGUAACCUGAUCGGGAGGAAGCUAAAGUGAUAAUGAGUAUCUAAAUCUUGUUUUAUCCCCAUUGGAUUUUCUAAAAAUUUAUAUAACUGAGUCCAUAAUGGCUAUUUUCAUUUCAGUUUGCCCCCGCAAAUUGAUAAAGCUCAAUAAGCAAUUUUAGAAUCAUGAAAAUCUAGUUGUCAUAAACAAACCAAACUGACACAACGGUUAUUUCAUCACAUAUUUUUAAGCUCAAGAGCAUCAGUUUUUUUUUUCUAAGAUAAUCAUUAAUUACCAAAGUCUGCCCCCACAAAGAAAAUUAGUAGAUACAUCCAUGAAUUGGCCAUAAUUUGGUCGGUUUUUGAUUAAUUGCAAUUUCGGGGGCUCAUUCGACGAUUGAAAUCAAAAUUCAAUUAACCGAUUGCAAAAAUACGCCAAAUAAUUUGUUCAUCACAAUUGAUUUACCCUGAAUAAGUAGGCCUUAUAUUUUGAAAGUCAGUCUUAGUGUGUCUUAUAUAAUUCCUCAAGUAAUAAAAGUAACAUUUAUGUUCCUUCGGAUAUACAUCGAUAGGAUAUAAAUCCGUCUAUGUUCUACAAUGUUCUCAUCUGUUGCUCUCUUUAACAAAUUUGAACGUCUAGCAUCACCCGAUCAAACUUUUACAAAAUUCCCAUCAAUCCCUCUCCUGUCCCCCCUUCAACCGAGCGACAGUCGCAAUCACUGACUUCUCCCCAUCUUCAGUCGAAUGAAGACCUGCUGAAUGACCGCUAUGUGGUCUUUCAAGGCCAUUUUGGCUCCAUCCUUGAAGGUUGAGCCGAAAACUUCUGGGAAUAAAUAUCUAAAAUCAUUUGAUAUAGGACUGCACGGUCUACUUCUGCUCUGGAGUAGGAAGUAACUGAUAGUUUUUGAAUUUGUUUGUGAAAGAUGAGCCACUCAUGCAUCCAUCUUUAACUAUCGUAGUAUCUGCCACAGGCAAAGAGAAGAAAUCAAAUUUUUUUCUUUUUCUACGUGAAAUAAAGAGUUGAUUAGGUGCAAGUGUUCUGCCUGAGUUUGUCACGUGAAAUCUAGGCAAGGCAGACAACCUCAAUGUAAGCUGUAAUUUCUCCUUUUAUUUGGGACGCUCUUGGUAUAGGAGAACAUAGAAGAAAUGACAGUGUAAAAUAAUUCUUUUUUCUUUUGGGCGUUUCGAGAAAUUACUUGGACAAGCUCUAGCUGCUGAAAAAUCUGUUGUUUUAACCUAUGUGCAAUCCUAGAUUUUUUUUUAUAAGUACCAAGAUACAGGAUGCAAUGGCUUCUCAAAGAAGGUGUUGAAGUACUUUUUGGUGUUCUCAUUUUGACAUCUAUCAAGCUAAAGUAGAAUGAAAUGAACAAAGAUUCGCUAGCAUACCUGCAGUUUUCUUUUUCUUUCUUUCUAUAUCAUUUUAAACUCCUCCAUUUUUUAUUGUUUUCUGUGAUUAUGUUUGUCUCCCUAUUUCUGAUGAAUGUCUCUUUUAAUGUUCCAUGGACUGCCGUGGACGGACUCUUUCUGCUUUCUCUUCCUAUUUGGCUGGAUCAAAACGCUGUCUUCUACUGUGUUGAUCCAACCGCAAUGUCGUAUGCUUCAAUAUUUCUCAUUUCUGGACUUGCUGAACGGUCAUUCUUCAAUUUUUAGUGUGGCUUCACUUCUUGCAUUUGAUCAAAUUAGGUGCUUUGGUGGUGGGAAUCUACUAUUCAUACCUAUCAUUUUAGUAAAUGUUAAUUUUGUUGCAACAUGCGGACUAUAUAUGCUAGUACUUCAGUCUCUCUUUCUUUGGUUCUUGCAUGUGUGGAUGGCUUCUAGUAUUGGUGCCUUUAUUUUUGCAUAAACAGAAGGGAUACAUGCUUACUUCGAUUAGAUCCCACCUAAAGUAUCCUUCUCCCUCCGCACUCCCACCCCCUUAUUUGCUUGAGUUUUCUUCCAUUUAUAUCAGUUUCUCAAUUGAGAGUAUUGGAAACUAAGCAAGAACAGACCUGAGAGCACGAAGAAAUGAUAGCCCUUGGGGUGGUCACUCUUGCUGGUGAUAUUUCCCCAAUCCACUUCAUACCUACAUUGUUAGUACACUUAGUAGUUCCUCAUGAAGCAAUCAAAAAACUGCAUAUAAAAGAGACAUGCUUAAAAUAUAGAACAAAGCAAAAGGAAGAGAACUAUAAAAGGUAUAUCUAGGAAAUGUUGCAAUAUUCAGUAAGGUAAAACCAACAUAGCUAAGAAACUCACCUAGAUUGCACGCCUAGAACAUCUGACAAGCCAUGAACGAUUCGUAACUGAGCCUCCAUAAUAUGAAGCUUUCAGUAGGAAAGCAAUGUCUAGAAAUGAAAGACUUUGCUCCAAGGAUUGGAAGCACAUAGAAAACUGCUUUUUCAAACACGCCUCGAAUGGCCAGCAAAGCUGAAUGAUCAGCUUUGCUCAGUUCAGCUUUGCUUAGCAGAACAUGCUUCUACAAUUUGAUUCUGAUCAAAGUGAUCAAAACACAUUUAUAACUUCCACAAUGCAAUGUUAGAAGGGUAGAGAACUCGUGUGUGUACAGGAGUUAGAUCUCUAGUGCAUGCACUUAAAAGUUUAGCGGACCGGUGAACCUCCUUGUUUGUCAUAAAUCUGAUCUGACUACAUCAACAGUCGAACACACAUCAACAUAUUAGUGACCAGUAUUAUAUGACACAACCUCUUGGUUGAAGUGAUUCAUGGAGAACCAAAACAUACCCUCCAAGUUCUCGGUUUGUUCCUGUUUGUAAUGCCUAGCAUGGCAAUCAUGAAUAUGGUGACUACAUUCCCACCAAACGCCAAAACUGAGGACACCGUUAAGAAGAAGCCAAUCCAAGAAAAGUGAAACUGUCAUACUAUUCCAUUUGAACCAGAAGACAAGGUACUAAAUUUUGAAGGAUAUAUGAAGAACUUGGACAAUCUAUUUCCAUCCUACAGUUGAAAAGCUACAAACAGAGAUGUUCAAUCAAAAUCCACCAAACCAAUAGAUGCUCCAUUAACUAGAUGACAAACGAAUGAAACUACUUAAACAUUAAUCAUCAAAUUAUUAACUUCCACAAAAAUGGACCAAAACUGGGGCAUAGGGACGAGAGAGAAGUGUGUAGGAAAGGUUGUUUAAGUGGGUCCUUUGGUCAUUAUUUUCCUCUACAGUUUUAGUGAAACUUAGCACUUUUGGAGAUAUAUUAAGACCGGUCAGUGCGGAAGCUAGCUCAGUGAUUGCCAAGUCAAACUAGAAAGGGCUUAGCCAUAAAUUUGAAAGGCAAAAGCAUCACAUGAUUGGUCCUAAAGCUAGCUCCAAAAGUGAUUGCAUCGCUUAACAUUUCUAAAUAUACAGAGUUUACAUAUUGAGAAAUGAUGAUGAAAAUAUGUAGCUAGAAGCCCAGAUGAAGACAACGAGACACAAGCUGGUUAAAAGCUUAAAAGUGAAAAAUCCUAUGCGAUUUCAUUUCCACUAUGGAUACGAUACGUUCCUCGGUGGGUAGCAGAAUAAUUCAAGAGUUACAGAUUCCGCAUCGAAUUUGAUAAUAUAAUCUAGCCCUAUACGUAAGAUCAGGAACCACCAUGGUUCGCAUGUGAAGACACUGGAAUGAGUCCUAUUCACCUGAUCUGAUUUGAUACUUUGGUUCCGCAGCAACCCAGAUGUCAAAUCCCGCAGCAACAUCAUCACCAUUUAAAAGAAGAGAAGGAAAAAAAAAAUGAUAAAUACAUAGAAUCUAACAUCGAACGAAAGUGAAUUGACAAAUGUCAAAUUCCAAGACCUCAAUUUCGCAUUAGAAGCAGCUUAAGAAAAAUUACAGUACUUCAUCCUCUCUUUCCAUGGUUCUUGCAUGCAUGGGUGGCUGCUACUAUUGGUGCUUUUUCCUUUGCAUGAACAAAAGUGAUGCACACUCACUUAUUUUGAUUAUCUCCCACCCAAUGUAUGCUUCUCCCCCUGCUCUCCCACCCCGUUCUUUGCUUUCCUUCCUAUUUGUAUCAGUUUCUCAAUUAAGAGUGUUUGAAACUGAGCAAGAAUAGACCUGUGAGCACGAAGAAAAUGAUAGCCCUUGUGGUGGUCACUCUUACUGGUGAUAUUUGUAUAAUCCACGUCAUACCUACAUUGUUAGUACACUCAGUACUUCCUCAAGAGGCAAUCAAAAAACUACAUAUGAAAGAGACAUCCUUAAAAUAUACAAGGAACCACAAGGGCACUUCAAGACCAGUGUUGUUAUGCCUGUAAAGCAGAAGGAAGAGAACUAUAGAAGACAUAUCUAGGAAAUGCAGCAAUAUUGAAUGAGGUAAAACCAACAUAGCUAAGGAGCUCACUUAGACUGCAAACCGAGAAAAUCUGAAAAGCCAUGAAGGAUACAUAAUCAAGCCUCCAUAAUAUGUAGCGUUUAGCACGAAAGCUAUGUCUAGAAAUGAAAGACUUUGCUCUGAGGAUUGGAAGCACAUAGAAAACUGCUUUCCCAAACAUGCCUCGGAUGGACAGCAAAGCUGAAUGAUUAGCUUAGUUGAGCAGAACAUGCCUCGCCUCUGUGAUUUGGUUCCUAUCAAACUGGUCAAAACACAUUAAUAACUUCCACAAUGCCACAUUAGGAGGGUAAAGAACCCAUGCAUGCACAUAAGCUAUAUGCCUAAUGCAUACAGUUAAAACAUUUGGUGGACCGGUGAAUCUCCCAGUUUGUCAUGAUUCUGAUCUGACUACAUCAGCAAUCAAACCCCACAACGGCAUAUACAUAAACAACAUUAUAUAAUACAACCUCCUGGUUGAAGAGAUUCAUGGAGAACAAAAAUAUACCCCACAAGUUCUCAUUUUUUUCCUGUUUGUAAUGCCUAGCACGACAAUCGUGAAAAGGGUAACUACAUUCCCACCUAAUACCACAACUGUGGACACCGUUGAGGGGAAGCCAAUCCAAGAAAAUUGAAACUGCCAUACUAUUCCAUUUGAACCAGAAAAGACAAGGUAUCAAAUUUAAAGGAUAUACAUUACUAAAGCAGUCAAACAGUCUAUUUCCAUCCUACACUUGAAAAGCCACAAAAAGAGAUGUUCAAUCAAAAUCUGCUAAAACAACAGAUGCUCCAUUAACUAGUGAAGGAACGAAUGGAACUAUGUAAACAUUAAUCAUCAACUUACUUACUACCACAGAGAAUGGGCCAAAAAUGGGGCAUAAGGUCAAGAGACAAGUGAGCAGUGAAAGCUUGUUUAAGUGGAGUCCUUUGAUCAUUAUUUUUCUCUACAGUUGUUGUGGAACUUAGCACUUGAGGAUAUACAUAUAUUAAAACCAGUCAGUGUGGAAAACAACUCAACGAUUGCCAAGUCAAACUGGAAAGGGCUUAACCAGGAAUUUGAAAGGCUAAAGUAUCACAUGAUUCGUUCUAAAGCUAACUCCAAAAGUAAUUGCAUCACUUAACAUUUCUAAAUAUACAUAAUUUACAUAUCGAGAAAUGAUGAUGAAAAAGUGUAGCUAGAAGCCCAGAUCAAGACAAUGAGACACCAGCUGGUUAAAGCUAAAAAGUGAAAAUCCUAUGAGAUUUCAUUUCCACCAUGGAUACGUUCCUUAAAGGGUGGCAGAAUAAUUCAAGAGUUACAGAUUCCACAUCAAAUUGGAUAAAAUAAUCCAGCCCUAGACAUAAAAUCAGGAAUCACUAUGGUUUGCGUGUGAAGCCACUAGAAUGAGCUACAAAACAAUUCUCAUACAACUCAUCUGAUUUGAUACUUGGGUUUCACAGCAACCCUGAUGGCGAAUCCUGCAGCGACAACAUCACCAUUUAAAAGAAGAGAAGGAAAAAAAUGAUAAAUGCAUUGAAUCUAGCAUCGAUUGAAAGUGAAUCAACAAAUGUCAAAUUCCAAGACCUCAAUUUCACAUCAAAAGCAGCUUAAAAAUCCACAAAGAUACUUCCUUGGAUCUCCAUUAUCUGUAUUUCCAAAGCCUUUAAGUUAAUCUGACGUCACUAGAAACAUGUAUACAAGAGAAACAAAUGCCCCAAACAGCCUAUUAUCAAUGACAAUGUUGCCUAGGAGGGAGCUUAAGGAGUUCACCAAUUUCCUACACCGCAUUAUUACAGAAUAAAGCAACACAUAAUAUUGAUAUUAAUAACCAUGAAGCAAAGCAGACCCAAAUAAGAAUUCAUUCAACCCCUAGAAUACCAGAGCAUGUAAUAAACAAAUCGAAUUUGGCAUGACUGAAUCAUGGACUGAUUUAAAGAAUAGCGGUUCAACGAUAGGUCACCGAUCAAAGUUCAUGAGGGCAAAGAGUGUCAUUCAAUAGCAAAAGCAAUUACUACUUCGGAACAAGACAAGCAUGUCCAGAAUUUGCGAAUGAUUGCUUACCCUUUCGAACAAAAGAAGGCAGGAAAAGGACGAAGGAGACGUGAAGCUUUCUGAGGCUAAUACCAAACAUCACAAGCUGAGUUAAUCAGUGUAAUCACAAUGCGCCUACAUUAUUAUAUUGAGCAUAUGGGUCAUUUCGGUACCCUCAAAUUAUCAACUGAAAAGGAGACUUGAGUAAAUGCCAAUUAGAUUUGCAACCACGCAGCCUAUCCACUCUUUGACGACAAGGCCUUCAAAUAAUGCAACUAAAACACUGCAUUAAGAAAUUGGUGACUGCAAAUCUGGAAAAGGCAGAGGAUGAGGAAGAACUCCGGUUGGAGGGACAUACUGGAGAUGUUACGCCGUUCAUGAGCAACUCUCAUUUCGCAUGCCACAGACAAUUCCUGCCUUUUAUAGACCCUGAGGGUGACAAGUGAUCUAAGGAGGCCGGAUCCGGUAAAGCUUCCUUCAGGUGGGAUGGCGACGUCUUCACAGGGCAUGGGAGUGUAAGGCACCGACUCCUGCUACAGCUCCUCUUGAAACUGUAGGGACUGUUAUAUUACCAGUCAACAUGCAGUUCAUCUUUGCAGCAGAAUUUAUAACGUGUUCAAUCACCUGCAUAGCAAAAUUGAAUGUCAUAAACUCCACGACAGGCUUGAGACCAUAGAAAGCAGCACCGACUUCAACUCCAGUGAAACCAGCCUCUGUGAUAGCAGUAUGAACAACGCUCUCAGGUCCAUACUUCUGCCAAAGAAAAGAACCUUUAGACACAUUGAAAGACUCUAGGAUCUGCAGACAUUUCCUCAUCAAACGCAGCAUUCAUAGCCUCUCUCACAGUCAUCUAUUUGCUCACAGUCGCAUUACUACGUAACAACAUUUCUGCAGCCUCUCUCGACAAGACAGCAUCCAAGCCUCUGGCAGUGGCUUUUCGUAUUAGAAUUGACAACAUCAUGCCCUCUCAAACUCGAACUUGCUCUCACCGCCAGAUAAAGCUCGCUAAUUCUCUCUCUCUCUCUCUCGAACGGGUAUCCUUGGAAACGGAGUCCAAAUUAGUCAUUCCAUCAAACACCUUCCCUGCAAACUCGACGGAUUUUUCUCCGACCAAUUUUUCUUUUUUUUUCGCAUCUCUCUUUGGCUCUGGAUUCCCCUGAUUCAUCUCCAGCAAUUUAGAUCAUCCCCACAGUAAACCACACCAUUAGAUUCCACAUUCGAGUUGCGGCCACUCUGAUUCAAGUCCUCGCCUUCCUGUCCUUGCCCAUGUCUGGACUAGAUUUAUCUGUCGCGGGACCACCUCGGGCUUACGCUACCAUCGCCGCUGAACCAUCAACAGGACCAUUCCAUGUCUGAUUGAACUUCCGAGUCAAAUUCCAAUUCACUCCAGAAUACGUCCCGUCGACUCUUGCUUCGUUAUGCUCGCUCCCACUUCAUUGCCGCCUUUUCGGAAUUCCAUUAUUCCGCCCAUCUAUGCCGCGCGCAAAGGGGGACGCGGGGUGGUGUUCACUGUUUACAAGAGCCUUAUCCGAUUGCCAAGGCCGAGGUUGGAUGGAUGGAUCAUCAUCAUCAUCUGGAUACGAUCCGCCGAUUCGAAGGAUGAGAUUCUUUGGGUUUCGCUCUCGGCACCUCCACCGGUCCGGCGUUGCUCUUUCAACGGCAGCAGCCGAGGCCAAUCUGAGUCUGUCAUCAUCCGAGACGAUAUGCCGAGCGUGAAGAUUGGCAGCGGCAAGCACGAAGAGAAAAACGAUGGAGAAUAAAAAAACAAGGCGGGAAGCGAAGCGAGGGGGUGGAUGGAGAUGAUUUGGAUUUUGUGUGGGAAAACGGGGCAAACAGGUGAAGCCAGUGCCCAUUCCCAGUGGUUGUUCUUUGGAUUAAAAAGGAAUUGAAUUUGAAAAUAAAAGAGAAUAAAAAGGAAAAAUGAACCCACCGUCGUUUCCCGAAAAAGCCGGCAAAAAACUCCAAAUUAUAUUUAUUUUUAUCGCAUUUAUUUUUCUUUUUGUUACGCAAAAACUCAAAAUUAUGUAUAUGGCAUAUUUACUCUAGUUCUUAUGACGUCAAAAUCCUAAAUUUGUAUAAAUAUGAUAUAUUUACCUUCUAUCUAUAUAUAUGUUGACACCUAAUUUUUCAACUAGAUUAAUUAAUUUAAAAUAGUAUCAAAUGUUGGGAAUUAGUCACAAGAGAAAAUUUUAAAAAAUAUAUAUGUAUAUUAUUUAAUUAAGUUGUUUAAAAAAAAAAAAAACGAAAAUGGUCGGGUCGGGCCGGAUUCGACCAUGGCUCGACCAGCCCCUCUAUUUUAUUCUCCUCGCAUUGGGCCUGGCCCAAUCUCCUUUCUCUUUCAGUUGGCCCAGCCCCUUUUUCUUUUCUUCUGUUGGUCUUCGCUUGAAGACUUGCAGAAGACAGGGCAGCAGCACAGCAGCGAGAGCGGCAGCAGAGGAUCGGUGUGGCAGGUGCGCGGCAUGAUCCGCGGUCAGGAGCAGCCGACCGGCAGCUGGCUCGACCGUACCUUCCGAAAUGUGCUGUUAAGGUAGACUUUCAAAAGGCGUAUGAUACUGUAGAUUGGGAUUUUUUGGAACUCACUCUGCAAGCUUUCAGAUUCCCGGAAUGGAUCAUCCAUUUGAUAAUGGUGUGUGUGAGAACACCCAAGUUUUCAGUUUCUAUUAAUGGCGAACUUCAUGGCUUCUUUUCCGGAGGUCGAGGCCUUCGCCAAGGGGACCCUUUGUCGCCGUACCUCUUUACCCUUGUUAUGGAUGUGUUCUCAGGGAUUUUAAAUGCCCGUACUUCGGUGAAAGGCUUCAAAUACUUUUGGAGGUGCAAGAAGGUAAAGUUGACCCAUCUUUUCUUUGCCGACGAUGUAUUUCUCUUUUGUCAAGCUGAUUGGAUCUCCGCCACGAUCCUCAAGAGAAGUCUUGAUAUAUUCUCAUCUUGGAGUGGACUGAGUCCGAACAAAAACAAGAGCGAGGUGUUUCUCUCAGGAGGUCCUGUUUCCAUCAGAGAGAAUAUUCGACUUGCAUUUGGCUUUCAGGAAGGUCGACUCCCAGUCCGGUACUUAGGGGUGCCCAUCAUUACUUCAAGACUUGGGAAAGCUGAUUGUGCUUCAUUGAUUGAUCGUAUUACCGCAAGAAUUCAAUCGUGGGCUCACCGCUUUUUAUCCUUUGCUGGAAGGCUCCAACUUAUAAGGUCGGUGCUGCAUUCUAUCCAAGCCUUUUGGGCUAGUGUGUUUUCUCUGCCUAUCUCUGUUCUUGAUAGAAUUGAACAACUGCUAAGACAGUUUCUGUGGAAGGGCACCUCGCUUGGCCGAGGCGGUGCCAAAGUAUCUUGGGAUGACAUUUGCCUCCCAAAAAAUGAAGGUGGUUUGGGUAUUCGGAAAUUGAGAGACUGCAAUACUGCUUCCUUGCUUAAGUACAUCUGGUUUCUCUUCACCGAUAGAGAAUCUCUCUGGUGUCGUUGGAUCCAUUCAUAUUUUUUAAAGAAGGACAACUUUUGGAACUCCUCCACACCCACUACGUGUUCAUGGGCGUGGAAAAAAAUCCUUCAACUUCGAAGACACUUUAGGCUCUCUUUCUUUUGGAAGAUUGGCCACGGUUCCUCUGUUUCCUUAUGGCACGACAAUUGGCUGGAGUGUGGCCCGCUUAUCUUACUUAUCCCACCGGACCUUGUGGAGAGCUGUCGCCUUCCAAGCUAUUCUGUAGUGGCGGACCUUUAUUCUCCCAUGGGUGCUUCUUUGAGAGAAUCCCUUGCAAAUAUGGGAAUUACUAUACCCAUUCUUUCUACUAAUUCUGACCGCUUUACCUGGCAAGAAGAUCCAUCAGGUUCGUUUUCUGUUGCCUCUGCCUGGAAAUACAUCAGGGUUAAAAAGAAUCGAGUGUCUUGGGCUCCUCUUAUUUGGGACAAUGACCUUGCACCCAGAUUCCAAUUUCAUUUGUGGUUGCUCGCAAAAAAUAGGCUGCCAACUCAGACUCUCCUUCUCUCUUAUGGGAGGAUUGAGUUCUCUGUUUAUGCUUUUUGCUGCUUCGUUCCCGACUCCGUGGACCACUUGUUCUUUCAGUGUACAACGUCUGCGACUCUUGCGUUCUUUUGGGCUUCUAGAUGUAAUUUACCUUGGAAGAACAGAGUUUGGAAGGACAACCUCUCUUGGGCUCUCAAAUUCCUAUCCGGCAAAGAUUUCUUUCACAGUAUUGCCCGUUUCUCUUUUGGGGCUUUAUGCCAUUUCAUAUGGAAAAAAAGGAAUUCUAUCAUCUUUCAAGGUGAUUCUUUGGCAAUUCCGGCCAUGAAGAAUCACUUGAUCAAGGUUGUGAAGGAUAAGGCUCUUUUGUUCUCUAAUGUCCCGCCUACUCCAAGAAACAAGCGACUCCAGAGAAGUUGGGGGUUCGAUCCGUCCAUCUUCAACUCGGCGUCCUCUUCCUAGCUCUCCUCCAUCUCUUCAAUCUUUGGAGGGGUGCCUGAAGGUCAUUAGUCUGUUUUUUAAUUGUAGUUCAGCCGAGUAGUUGCUGCUUUGUUUCCUGCUCUCUGUAUCUUUUUGUUUCGGCACCCUCACACUCUCCCUGCCCCACAGCUAAAGUGUGAGUUACGGUGCCGAAUUCUUGUUCAGUUCUCCAAAGUUUAAUAUAUAUUCUUACCUUUUACCAAAAAAAAAAAAAAAAAAAAAGAAGAAGAAAAGGAGAGAUAGAGAGAGAGAGAGAACAAAAAGGAAAGCAACGGGAAGAUGAAGAGGAGGCGAGGCGGAGGAUCGGCAUGGCAGGGCUUUCGGCGCGAUCCGCGGGUCGAGGAAGCAGAACGAUCAACCAGCUGGCACGGCAGGGGGUCUUCGCUCAGGAUACCUGCAGGAAGUAUAAGAACACAGAGAAAGGGAGGAGGAAAAAAAGGAAAAAGGCAGAAAAACGAAAAAAGAAAACACCAAGGACGAAACAUAGAGAGAAACAGAGGAGAGAAACCAGAAGGAGGAGGAGAGCUCGAGGAAACAGCUGGCUGUUGCCGGAGGCCUGUCCGCCCGCCGUUGUCCACCGCAACUCUUCCCCGAACGAGCUCAGCAGAAGAACUCCACAGAGGACAGCACACCACACACCAGAGCACAGGGAGAGAGUGAGCGAGAGAGAACGAGCUCGAGAUAGUGGUUGGUCGUCGCCGGAGGUCCAUUCUUCAACCGCCGUCCAUUGCAACCUUCCCCUCAAACCAGGUAGGCUUGUUCCGACCGUGCGUCCCUUGUUUCCGGAAGACGACGUGCCGGAGCUUGCGUCGACUAGUUCGCGCAAGUUUCGGUCCAAGCCGGUCCUCCCUGAAAGCUGAUAGUUGUUCUAGAUGCAUCGUUAGGGAUUUAGAUUUGUGCCCGUGCCCGCAUCAAGUCGAAAAUCCCCUGUGUUAAUAGCGUACACCAAGUGCUUGUGAAAAUGUCCCGCAAAAGACCGGAAGCCAGCUCACGUUUUAAAUGGGGAUCGAUCCGUGUUUGCGUUAAUGGCCGUUGAAUCAUGUUUUCUCUUUGUAUGCUUAUUGCGUUUUGGCGUGGCUUUCGCAAAAUAAUUGUGUAUCGUCGAGAGAGCAAGAGUUUUCGUCGUUUUGAUGUUUGGAUUAAUGGUCGCCGGAGUUCGUGGCCAAUGGUGGUUUGUACCGGUUGGAAUGGGCGACCGGUAGAUGGUGGUGGUGCGGUGGUGGAACGCCGGUUGCGUCGGUCUGUGUCGCCGUUUGGACGAGCUUCAGCGAGGAACAAGAUCUCGAUGAAAGAAGGGUCUUUGAGCGUGCAGAGAACCCACGAAGAAGAAGGAGCCCAGAAAAAGAAAAGAAAAGAAUAAAAAAGAAAAAAGAGUAAAACAAACAAAAAAAUAGAAAACUAUAAAAAGGUUAAAAAAGAGAGUAAAAGGGGCUUCGGGAAAGAGGAGUCGCAGAAGCAGAGGGUGCAGGGAAAAGGGGUGCAGUGAGAAAAGACAAACAAAAAAAUUAAUCAAUUAGUUAAUUUUUAUUUUCAAAAAAAUGAAAACUUUAAAAAAAAAAUAAAAAUCCAAAAGUGUUGGAUCCGGGUUUGGGUUAGGUCCACGGGCCGGAUUGGGUUUACCCGGUCCGAACCCAUUUUAUUGAAAUAUAAUAAUAUUAAAUAUUAAAUAUAUAUUAAAAAUAAAAAAAAUUUAAAAAAAGAAAAUUAAAAAAAAGAAAGUUAAAAUUUUCCGAAAUUUCAAAAAACUCAGAAAACAUUAAAAAAAUUCGAAUUUUUUAAAAAGAAAAUUUUAAAAAAAAUUUAAAAAAUUAAAAAAUUAAAAAUUAAAAAAUUAAAAAAUUAAAUUAAAAAAAUUUCGAAAAAUCCAAAAAUGAUAGGGUUUGGUUAGGAAUUGCCAUGUAUUGCCGCUUUAGUGUAAUUAAGCCUUUAUUUUCUUGUAUGUUGUUUUUAUUGUAUGUUUAAUUUGCGUGUUUUGUGUUUAAUUUGCACGUGUUUAAUUUUAGGGCAAAUAGGAGCUUGGUAGGUAUAAUUAUUACUUUAUUGAUUGUGCACUUGCAUGCUCACCUCCUAUGUUAGUGGAUAGGUAUGAAAUCAAUCUAAACUGCCUGAUGAAAAUCAUUUUGUUAAAAUGAACAAGAAGGGCACUAAUUAGUCAAUUAGUGUAAUCAAGUCCCCGAUCCUAGACUUUCUGGUUGCGUAGGAAGUGAGGCACGCUCCCAUGUCUCACUUGGUUUCUAGCCGACCCCAAUAGGCUAGUGGCGACUCCUUUUGUACAAAUUUAUUAAGAAUAUCCCAACGUCACGCGGGGUAUGGGCUUGGGAGAGCUCGCGCCUAAUCAUGGGCCUUAGGCCCGUCCUUUAGGCAAUACCCUUAAACCUGUUCCCUCCCCCCGAGGGUAGGUCGCGACAAUAUAUAUAUAUAUAUUUUGGUGGAAGUUGUUCUUAUUUCAUUGACGUCAACACCGUUUACAUUUCGUCGUUCAUAUAGGCAAUCUUUUUUUAAACGAUACUCAUUGAUAGAGAAUAAAUAUUUCAAGUAAAUAUAGUUUUGAGUCUUUGGUGGCAUUAAAAAAAAGAAGAAGCUUAAGAUGGAUGUGUCGUAGUGGGCAUAUUUUAGUAUUUUUAGUGAUUUUCCUCCUCUCUUUUUUCUCAACUUCAUCAAUAAUCAAUCACAACUCAAAACCAAAAAUGCAUCGAUCUCUCUCUGCUUGUUGCCUAUCAGCCAUUGCCGAGCUUCCAUCACCCCGUCCCUCCUAGAUGUCCUUCUUGUCCCCUUUGUUGUUAGGAAGACAUUUUCGAUUGCUCGUAUAAUGAAUUUGCGGCUUCAAAUUUGCUUUCAUAAAUUGUAAGAAUAUGCUGUCCGUGACUUGUUCUAACUUGAAUGAACAAUGCUUUGAUAUCACUUGUGAAAGGAAAAUUCCACUUUUCUUUCUCGCAACUUCAAUUCCAAAGAAAUAUAUUUAAUUUCUACUGGUCUACCGGCUUGAGAUUUCUAUUUAAAAUUUCCUAUUAUUAGAAAAUUGACCCAAUGUCAUUUCCAGUUAAUGGCCUACAACGAUUAAUGACGUCGGAAAUGAUGGGAUUCUGAUUUUAAGCGAUCUUUGGCUGGGAAUGGGUUGUGGCCUUAUUAGCAAAUAGGGUGGGCCAGGGGGACGAUGGCCGACUAGGCUUGAUGCACUUACGACAAAAUUUCAUCUAGGGAGAGCUAAGUGAGUUGGUUAUUUUUUAGUUUAUUAUUUAUUUGUUUGUUUAUCCAUUCUUUUUCCACUGCUUUUUGUUGGUUUUUUUUUUUUUUUUUUAGUUUAUCAUUGCAUUUGUUAAGUGUAAAUUUUCUUUUUGAUAAAUUAUACUCGUUGAAUCAAAAUUAUGCACUCUUCAUUUUUUUGUCGGCAUAUUCUAUUUUUACUAACUCUCACUCUUAAACUUUUGAUUUACUUCCUUAUAAAACAUAGAAGUCAAAAUCCAUACAUAAAGAUGAAUUCAUCCCUAUCCUAAAUCCCAUGAGAAUGUUAGAAUUCGAACUUCCCACUCUCCCUUCCCACAUGGAAAGGGUAGCCACCGAGGCAAAUCUCAGUAAUUAAAUUAUAUAUUGCCUUCACACGAAUAUUAAUGUGAUGAUCUAUAUCUACAAAAUUACAUGAGAACAUUCGUUUCCUUAAGAGCAGCCUCCGAGGUUGAUAAUAGCACUCUAGAUAACUAGAAAGGGUUUUUCCUUCUUCCAUAAAUUGGACUCGCUACAUUCUCCGUAAAAAAAAUGUAGCCACCAAGGCUCCACCUAAGCUAACGUUAUGCAAUACCGACUUAAAAGUCCACUGCCCGGAUCACAAUUUGUUUACUAUUUGGAAGUGCUGGCGAACUUUGUAUGCUGGUCAUGUGGUCAUCAUAUCUCUCUAUUCAUUUUAAACAAAAUUGUGUGGAUGAAUUUCUGUAGAACUAGUAAGAUGGCUCUUCAUUGCACGGGUUUAAGACUAUUUUUAUGGGUUAAAGACUAUUUUUUAUAUUAUUUUAAAUGCUAUUUUUAAUCUAUUUUGCCUUUGUUCCAUUUCAAGUUAGUUAUUUUUCAUAAUUUUUAAAUUAAUUUUGUUGCAUUGUGAUUAUUUUGUAAAUUCCUUUUUAACUUACGUUAAUAUAUUUAAUGAACUACACGGACAUUCGUGUCAAAAUAUUUGACAGCCCGUACUUUAACUUUCCUACGAGGAAUUUUGGUAUUUAAGAGAGAGAGAGAGAGAGAGAGAGAAUGAGAUAUUGUAUAUAAGUUAAAAUAGAAUUUGGAUAAUAAUAUAACUUAAAGACUAAUGUAGAUAAUACUUUGAACUUGAUGUUGCCAUAAAAAUGUGCUCUGGAAUAUUAAACUACACUAUUAAUUAAGAAAAUGGAUGACCACUCAACAUCACAUUCUUACAAGGAUUUGACUGGCGCUUAUAAACUAAGGUGAGAUUACCGUGCUGGAUGGUUCAUACCUAUCUCCUUUUUCUUUCUCGCAAUUUGGGUCUUUGUAAAGGUUUUUAAUCGUUCACUCUCUAGAACCGAUUGUUGAUUUCACAUCCAACAGCAAAAAGUUGCUGUGCUUCUAUCACCAAAUUAUCAAUCUGUCAAAAACCGAAGACUUAAUGGAAAAAAGAAAUAGUAAAUGCUCAGGUGUAGUCACAUAUCUAUCUCCAUCACCUUCAAUUAAAAAAUAGCAAACAUUAUUGUUUGCCCCUUUAUUCCAAUAAAUCUGGAGUUAGACCCCUACUUUUUCCCUUAGAAGAGGCUUGGUAUUCAGGAAUAUAUAUAUAUAUAUAUAUAUAUAUAUAUAUCUUACCAUUAAUGUUCGCUGCAGAGGAAGUGUGUGUAAAGGACUUCAAGUCCGCAAAACUUUACCUCUAUAAAUAAUACAACCGGCAUUUGACGCCAAGCGCCAGGUCAUACUUUGUAUAAGUGUGUCCAUCUUCACUAGCCAUUGCCAAGCUUUAUCUCCAUAAAUAUAUGAUUCAAGAAAAAGUGCGUGUAUAUAUAUAUUGAAAAAAGGCUAGCUAUCGCGAUCAAAAUUUUGAGUGCAUCACCUAAAAUUAGACUAAUUGACUACUAAGUUUAAUUUAACUCGGGCUCUCUAGUUCAUAUCAAUUCGCGAUCUAGGUUCAAAUAUCUAACAUGCAAAAGGGAGUCACAACUAAUCAGUUUACUGUAAGUCGAUUAGACACCUAAGUAAAAUAAUGAGAGAAUUAUUUUACUUCUACGAACCAGAGAUUUUGGGUACGGGGAUUUGAUUAUACUAGACUUUUCUAAUGCCUUUUAGUAUCUUUUUUUUCUUUCUAUUUUAUUUUGGAAAAAUAUUUUGCAAGCAGCUUGAAUUAAUUUUAAUUCACUUCCCUAACAUGUGAGGUGAUUAUACGGGUGUACAAACCACCAAUUUAAUACUCAAGAAAACAAAUAAUAAAAAUGCAGAACUUAUCUCGUAGCAACGAAAGCAUUUACGAUGAUUUCUAAUUAAUAAGCAAGCGCUCAAUUUUUGUUUUCACUUAUUUAAUGAGAAUCUAAUCAAUAUGCAAUGCAAUGUUAUUAAUCUAACAUGAAAUGAUAUGACAUAGCAGUAUAGCCUAAACUAUAUGAUAUGAAUAAAGUAAUUUUUUUUGUUUUUAUUAAUGAAAUUCGAAAUUAAAGAAAUCCAAUAAUUAAAUGUGCAAUCUAAAUAAACCAAAUGACCUAAUUCUAAUGACGGGCAAUUUCUAAUUAAAUGAACCUAGCAACAAUCACUAAAUGACGUGCAUUUCAUGAGCCUAAUUCUAUAUGACAUGCGCAUAAUUUUUUUGCAUUUUUUUUAUAAAAAUUCGUAAUUAAAAUUAUUAAAAAAUAAAAAUCUAACUAAAAUUAGACAUUAUCUAUUUUAAGUUAGGAAUAAACUAAUCUGAAUUCUAUCUUAACUUGGAAAAUUAUCUCAUCAUGCAAUUUAAUUCAAAAAUAUUAUCUAACCUAGAUACCAUCUAAACAUGCAUUUAAAAAAAAAAUCUAACUUACCUAUCAUGCAAUCAAUUCUAAUCUACACAGAAUGCAAAUGCAAAUUUUUUUUGUAUUUUUGAGAUAAAUAAAGCGAUUAAAAAAUAAACACCAAUUCAUCCAUGGUCAUCAAAGAACUAUGCAAAUUUAGAAACGAUAAUUAAUCAAAUCUGAUUAUUUUGCUAAUAAAAUCAAUAAAUUGAUCUUAAGACUUAAAUAACAAUAUAUCACUUUUAUUCUCACAUGAUUAAUUAUUCCAUUUAAAAUCUUAUUGGUAGAGUAAAAAAUUUGCGUGCGGUUGCGAAUUAAGUGGUGCAUCGAGAAUUUCAAUCAAGAAAUAUUUCACAUAAAGAACGCAAUAAAAUAAGAUAAAAUAAAUUUACCUAAUAAAAUAAAUUUCUACCUAAAUUGGAAUUUUUUCCAAAAUCCGCACCGCUCAAGUGAACCACAGUGGAGGCUCGGCCGCUCGGCGCGGGCCGCGGCUAAGGAUGGUAGCUGUGAUGGUAGUUCACCGGGGGUGAUGGGUCGCCGUUCGAAGUGGGGGGUUGUCCGUCGGAGCUCUGGCGAGGAGGCUCGGGCAGUAGAUGAUGGCACAGCGAGGGGGAGCAGCAGGCGAAACAGGGGAGUCGCUCGGGGGCCGCGAGCAGCAAGCGAUAAAGGCCGGCGUCGCAGGGCUGCAGCGGCGUCGGGGACGUUUGCAGGGAGGUGCGACGUCCGGUUAGGAACCUGCUGGCGUCGCUUGGUUUCUGGGUCGAAGGGCGGCAGCUGCAGAGAAGUCGGGAGCAGGGGAGCCCAGCGUCUGGCGGAACGGCGUGCUGGUCUCGGAGCAACGGCGUCAGGCGUCGCGGCUGGGGCGCGGCGGGAGCUAGCGGCUGGGGCGCGGCGGGAGCUAGCGACUGGACGCGGGCGGCGCAGGGGUGCCGGAACAGCGGCAACCGGCGACUCAGGCGAGAGGUGAACGGGAGACGCACCGAGGAAGAAAAACAGUGCCCUUUCCCCCUUUCCUUUUUUCUUUGUUUUUUUCCUUCUUUUUUUUUCUGUCUCACCAGUCCCCUCACACGUCUCUCUCUCUGCCCUCUUUCUGCACAGCUUUGACUUUCCCCUUCCAGCCUUUUCCUUGCCUACGAAGGAGGAAAAAUAAACCCCAAGCAAAGAGCUUUUUAUUCCUUUCCCCUCUUUGUGCGUUGCCUUUUUUCGACCUAAGACUCCAUAAGAACCCCAAAAUCCUAUGCGUGGCCACGGCUUAGGAUUUUAAUUUUUCUAAAUCCAUAUCUACAAGAUUCAUUUUUUCGAAUGCAAUAUUUAUUUUUUAAAUACAAUAUUUACUUUUUUGAACGCAAUAUUUUUUUUUUAAUACAAUUCAGGAUUACAAGAGGAUUCUUCUCAAGUUUGAAAUCUCGCACAGAUAAAUUCGUAAAAUUUUCUCGAGGAUACGGGCCUUGGACAAUUUUCUCUUCGUGGGCUUAGCCCAACUCAUCAAAUUAAAGUUCUAAACCAUCAAUUUGAACCCAUCUGUCAUCGCCCAAUGUAAAUGGAAAAUAAUAAUAAAUGCACCUAAAACUAUAUGCCAUGCAACUUAAUUGAAUAAUUUAAAUUUUUGUAUGAAAUAAAUAAAUGACUAAACGGGUUGCUAAAAUUUUAGGUAUUGACACUAACUGUUAAGGAAAAUUAUAGUAUGCAAGUUCCGAAGAAGAGACCUUGUGCACGUUGUAUUGGAAUAUAAAUAUAAAAGUUGUGUAGAGCUUGAAAGAAUAAAUAGAUAUUGCUAACUUAAACCAUAGUAAUAAUAGAGACAGAUGUUACUGUAGCAUUCAAAAUAUUUACCAUGAAAUCGGUUUAUACAAUUAGAGAUACAAAACAAGUAGCAUUUGUUCAGAGUAAAGUGAAUUGGUUAAAAAAUGAAUGGCACAGAUUACUUGGAAUAUUUUUCAAUGGUAAGAAAUCUUACCUAAUUGUUGGGUCACUUGAAGAUAGAAGCCCCUCUUAUAAUAUUAAGCAAAAUUCUUGAGGAUGUAUUGACCUUCAAAUUUAUCCCUAAAUAAUAUUUCCUGAUGCCGAAAUAGCCAUUCUCUUAUAGUUAUCUUCCUACAUUAUACAUUUUUAGAUUGCCAUUACCUUUCUUUUGCCUUCUUUAUUUUUCCAUGAUCACCUACAAUAUCUCUUUGUGUGGAAAGGGCCAUAAAUGUAACUAUGCUUAGUAUUGUCUAUGUUGGGUGUAAAUUUUCUUUUUUGACUGAUUUUACUUUUGGAAAUAAAAUUAUGCGCUCACUUCACACACAAUAUUAGUAGAAAUAUGCGGAAGUGAUCUUGAAACUGAUAUGUUAACGUGCAGGACACAAUUGAUAUUCACAUAAACAACAUAUGCUUAAGAGUUAAGACUAAAGUAGAGUUAGGGAUUUGCUAAAGUGCAAAAUAGAACAAAAAAUAGACAAACAGCAUACACUUAAGAAUUAGAGAUUGUUAACGUGAUCACUGUUGAGUAAAGCUUGCAUGCAGACGUGCCAUAUAACUCAACUUCACAAGAGUUUUAUCUGAUAUAUAUAUAUAUAUAUGUGUGUGUGUGUGUGUUUUUAAAUUAAAUUAUCUAAAUGACUUAGCUGGUCUACCACUUAAAUAUUAAGAUGAUGCUCAAUAGCAAAUAACCUUCAAUUUUUUUUUCGCCAACCAUACAUUUUGAACAAUAUGGAUCUCAUGAGAGAUCAAAAUAAUCAAAUUGUGAGAUUCUCUUAAUCUAAGUGACUAACUUGCCUAGCAAAAUAUCUUAUCAUACUUUUAAAAAGAGAUUUUUAUUUUUUUUGUCAGGUGGAGAAUAUUACUGUAUUGCAUUUCAGUCGAAAAGAGUUGAUAAUCCAUCCAUUUUCUCUGUCACUAAAAACACAACCGACAUAAUCAUGGAGGAUGUUCCUGAAAGAUCCCUAUAGGGACUAACAUUUUUUUGGUAGUGUGCAUGCUCUAGAGAAGCAACUGUUGGGCUCGGAGAAUUUGCACAUCAACAACACCAAAUAAAUAUCUGUGAAACAACCAUAUUAAUCAUAGCUUCCAUCUUAUUGAAGUGUUCUCACAUAUGACAUUUAGUAGCACAAGAAGUCGAAUUUACCACCGGUUGUAUGGAUAUAUUUGAAACUAUCUGGACCUAGUUUGCUCAAAGUUAUGGUACCAUUCGUUGGUACCAAGCAGAAUUUCUAUUGCUGAAUGCUUUAUUGUAUAAUCAACCAGCUAUUGCAAUCAGUCUUUGUAGGUGCUAUAUACAUUUCAAUUUCAAAUUCAUGUGCGAGCACAUGCAUCAAUCGAUGAAAACGUUAACAUUAUGAGAAAGAAUAAAGAUGCCUUUUUCAUGUAUUUUGUUAAGUCCUCUAGAAGUUCCAAGGGUCCCCUUGUGCUUUCUGCGUUGGUAUAUAUGGUCCACAUUAAAAUUUGAGUUGAUGGCAGAGUGGUGCAAAGUCACAUGUCACAUUUUCUCUUUGUCGAGCCGCACCAUGCGAACGAUCUGUCGAUUGUCUCCACCUUUGGAAAUUAAAAUCCUAAAAAAAUCACGGUAAGUGACAAUGUGGUAAGAGUUAGAACUCCAUGUCACGUGGGUGUGGCCAGUCCUGUCCAUUCAUUAUCUUUUUAUUAUAUUGGUGCUGACACGCCGACCGUGUAGAGCUACAUUCCGAAAGCAAUCGUUUAACGAUCAAAACGGCUCAUCUAUUUCUUUCUCCAUUCCGAGGGCGAUCGUUUAACCAUCUAGUCGAAUCACCUGUUUACUUUGAACGGCGGAUGAUUAUUUAACCAUCAAGUCGAAUCAUCCAUUUACCUUUUUUUUUUGUCGAAAAGAUAAUUAUUAUUUAAGUAGUUGCAACAUUACAGAUAGGUGUAACAUUACAUCUAGAAGCUAUUCCAUCGGCAGAUACCAAAGCUUGCAAAAUAAAAGGAGGAAAGAUAUUCCAGUCGCGGGCCAGGUCAGAUCUGCCGUCGGCUUUAGCAACCCAAUCUGCUACUCCACUUGCCUCCCUUCUACAAUGCCGCAGCUGCAAAUUAGGGUAAAGGGAUAGCAAAGCUUCAAUUUCAGGGAACAUCGCACGUUCUUCCCACGGUGGCUUCUGUCUCGCAUGAACUGUGUCGAUCAAGAGCAAGCAAUCAGACUCAAUCACCAGAUUUUCCUUAUUGAGGCCUUGGUGCAGCAGGUGAUGAAGAGUAAAGGUAAGCGCCUGCACUUCCAUUUGAAAAGCCGAAGCUGCUGUGAAUCUUCUGGUGUAGACAUCUGUAAGAAUACCCUGAUGAUUUCGACUUAUACACGCCAUUGUGCCCUCUUGACUGCUAGGAUGAUAAGAUCCAUCUAUAUUGCAUUUCAGGAAUCCGCGAUCCGGGGGUUUCCACAAGGUUGCUGUUUUGGGAGCAGAGUCCCCUGUUCGCGAGUCCCCUGUUUGCUGUUGGCUCUUAGUAGAAAUGUGCUGAAUCCGUGUUUGUGCCAAGGCGUCUGCAACCCUCGGUUUGGAUCGGGGCGCUGUCGGCGAAAUAUGCUGUUGUUGCGCAGACACCGGAUCUGCCAUAAGACUUGUGCAAUUGUCUCCAGUCCAGGUAAAAGUCUGUGAUUUGUUGCUCUUUCUGUGAUCCACGCAUCCAGACGAUGCACAGUAUGAGGCGAUACAGAAAUGUUGAGCUGAGGAUGACUCCAUACUCCUUUAGUCCACGAACAGAAGAAGAAUAGGUGUUCUAUGGUUUCUGGAGAAGAAUAGCUCACCAAGAUUAGCUUCAGGAUAGAGAAGUCACAAAUCCGUUUACUUUGAACGGCGGAUAGUCAUCUCUUUCUUUCUCCAUUCGUUACUAUUCGAUGCUCCCCUUCCUUCGUCCUUUUCUUUGCACUCAAAUCACUUUGCCUUGUUCAUCUCUCGCUCUGUUUCGCUCUUUCUUCUCCUCCUCUUCAGUAUCUGCUGCUCUUUUUUUCAUUUCUCUCUCUCUCUCUCUCUCGGCAUAAGAAAACAACGAAAAAUGUCGGCCGAUUCUGUCGCUUCUAUUGUAUGGGAUGUCAUGAAGAGCUGUGUGGUUGUUCCCAUCAAGCGUGGAUUUACAUACGUGAUCUCCAGCAAGAGCUUCGCCGAUGGCCUUCGGGAGGAAGUCCGGAAUCUAGAUAAUGAGGCUCAGAGAGUCCGCAUUUUGGCAGAAGUGGCCAGGAGCAAUCUUCGGAAUUUCUAUGAUUGCUUCACGGAGUGGCAGCAAAGUGCUGACAAGGCCUUGGAGGAGGCGCGAGACCUGUUGGGUGACAUCGACAAGGCGAACAAAAUGUGCUGGCACGGGACUCUUCCUGACCCCAAAUUUCGCUAUCACUUUAGUAGAAAGGCCGAGCACAAGAUCGAUAUCAUCAAGCAACUUGCACAAAAAUGCAGCGGAUUCAAGGAAUUGAACGACAUCUGCUUCAGUGCUCCCGCUUUGGGGAAUGUCACUGCUCCGACUCCGGCGAGGAUAGAGGGCAAAGAUGUCGUCCAGUCGAACACCACAACAGCUUCCGCUUCUCCUGCCUUGUCAUCGAUUAAGUUUAGGGACAAUGACAUCUUCGAAUCCAGAGCUUUAAUCAUGCGGGACAUCAUGGACGCUCUUGCUGAUAACAAUAAUAGCGUGGUCGGGAUUUAUGGGAUGGGCGGGGUCGGCAAGUCCACACUUUUGAUGGAUGUUGAAAGAAGAAUAAGGGAAGAAAAGUUGUUUGAUUGGGUUGCUAAGGCCGACGUUUCAGAAAAUCCUGACAUCAAGAAAAUUCAAGGAGACAUUGCGGAUGCAUUGGGCCUUAGUGACAUAAAGAACAAAGAGUAUGUCAGUGGGCGAGCAGAACUUCUGCACAGGAGGUUGGAAGAUGAGGAGAGGCAGCAAAAGAAGGUCCUCAUAAUACUGGACAACCUAUGGGAGGACCUCAACUUGAAAUCAGUUGGCAUUCCUUGUGGACUUGACAACAAAGUCAGAGGAUGCAAGUUGUUGUUGACGUCCAGAGAUCGUCAUGUUUUGCGAAGGGAAAUGCGCUGCAAUAAGGCCUUCCUCCUUGAUGUGUUGAAGGAGGAAGAGGCAAAAAGAUUGUUUGAGACGAUGGUGGGAGGCAAAGUUCACGUAGAGUUCGAACCGCUGGCGGAUGAAGCACUCCGCAUAAGUGCAGGUUUGCCUUUCCUAAUUUGCGCAAUGGCGAAACUUUUUAUAGAUGCUAGUUUAUCUGAAUUGAGUGAUGCUUUAAAUCAAAUUGAGCUGUCUACAGACGAAGGAAUAAGUGCAGUGAUAAAUAAGGUGUUGCAAUUGAGUUAUGAUCAUUUGAAAAGCGAGGAGGCAAAAAGUCUGUUACAACUCUGUGCUGCUUAUGGCAUCUCUGAACCCUCCGUUGAAAACUUGGUGAGGUACAGCUUUGGCUGGGGGAUAUUUCAAAAAGAUAGCAGCAUGAAAAAUGCUAGAGAUAGGUUGUUCACACUCAUCCGCACUCUUCAAGCCUCCUCCCUUUUGCUAGACAAUGGAGGCGGAGAUGGUUUCAAGAUACAUGACUUGGUUCGUGACUUUGUUGCCCGGUUCAUUUUAAGAGAUCACCCUCUUCUCUUGUUGAAAGAUAAAGAUAUGUUGGCACGAUUGCAGAAGGAAAAGCUCAAAAGUUGUACGGCAAUAUGCUUUCCCUAUAUUAACAUGAAGGAGCUUCCUGAAGAAUUAGAUUGUCCUGAAUUGCACAUCUUUUUGCUUUUCAGCAAUAAUGAAUCUCUAGAAGUUCCAAAUUCAUAUUUCAAUUCCAUGAGGAAACUUGCGGUCUUAAAUCUUACUGGUAUACGUCUCACUAGUUCGCCGAUGCCAUUUCAGUUCUCCGAGAACUUACAUACUCUGUGUCUUCAGCGUUGUCUCCUAGAGGAUGUGGCCAUUCUUGGCAAGCUAAAAGGGUUACAAAUUCUCAGCUUUGUGGACUCUGAAAUUCAGCGACUGCCAAAAGAAAUUGGGCAACUGGUAGAGCUGAGGUUGUUGGACUUGAGACGUUGUUCACAACUUGAGAUAAUUGAACCGGGUGUACUUCAAAGCUUGAUCAAAUUGGAGGAGUUGUACAUGGAGAAUAGCUUUGAUCAAUGGAAUGCUAUGGAGCAAACUCCACCAACUAAUGCGAGUCUAAUUGAGUUGGAUCACAUGAAGAAUCUCUAUACUCUGUAUGUGUCCAUUCCCGACCUGAGUGUACUCCCAGGGGACCUAAAUGUCGAGAAACUAACCAAGUACAGAAUUCAAAUAGGUAAUGCGUGGCGUUGGCUAAGUGAGUGCAAAGGAUCAAGGACACUGGAGCUCAAGUUGGAUCGAUUAAGCGAGGUUCACCGAAAAGGAUGCAUACAAAAUGUCUUAGGGAAAAUUGACGAUCUGCUUUUAAAUGGAUUGGAUGGAAGUGAGCAAAGUGUUUGUGCAUUAUCAGAAAAAGGUUUUAUAGAAUUAAAGCAUCUACAGGUCGAGAAUAGUCCCUCUAUCCAUUACAUCCUCCAACGGCCUUCCCUUAUUGCUUUUGAGAUGUUGGAGUCAUUACUUCUCAAGAAGCUUAUCAACUUGAAGAAGAUAUGCUACAACCAUAUCUCCUCCUCCAAGUCCUUCAGUACCCUAAAAGUAAUUCGAGUUGAAAGUUGUAACAAGAUAGAAGUUCUAUUUCCACUUUCUUUAUUGAGAGGACUUCCACAACUAGAAGAGAUUGAAGUUGUAGGUUGCAAGUUAAUGCAAGGCAUUGUAGAAGCUGAUGAUUGUGGCAAAGUGGAGUUGCGUAAUUUGCAUACAUUGAAAUUGCGUGACUUGCCAAAUAUCAAGAAUUUUUUCAGCACUAGAAUAGCUCAUUUAAGUAGCACAUCAAACGACCAAGUUAACACUCAAGUUGCAUUCUUUAAUGGGCAACAGGUAACUUUCUAUAAAUAAAAAAAAAAUUACAUUUAUUAAUUUUUCUUUCCUUUGCUAAGUAGAUGCAAUACUAUGAUGCUAAUUCAUUUUGUCAUUUUCAGUUCAUUUUUUCUCUAAUUACCUUAUUUAUUCAGGCCUUCUCUACAAUAAGAUAAAGCAAUAUUCUAUUCCUCUUCAUUGUGUAGAAAUCCAACUAAUCGUGUGACAUCCAUGUAAAUUUAGUCUGUGAUAGGUACAAAGUUAUUUUCAACUUACAUGCUUGAAGUAUAUCUAUAUUAAUAGGAUUUCAUUGUGCAUUAAAGGGAAUUUUGGCAUUAAAGUAAUGUGACUAUUCUAGAAAAUUAAGUAAAUUGAAGAGAGGGAGAGAUUUUAUCUAAGUAUGGGAUUAUAUGAUCGUUAUGUGAGAAUAUCCAAAUUACUGUUUGCCCAUUGUUGACAAAAUCUACUUAGAAUUCGUACUUUUUGUUUUGUCUCCAGUAAUUCCAAUAGCCUUCUCAUUCUACGCUCAUCAACGUUAGUAUGGAGAUUUUUUAUUAACUUCUUUUUAUUUUGUUCUUUUUUACUAUUGUGCAAUGAAUUCAUAAUUUACAUCUUGGCACCCAUCUAUAUUCAUAUCUUGAAAGUUCAUGAAUAACUCAAUCACCAAUUUUGUGAGCGAAUAUUGCAGGUUGCAUUUCAUAGCUUGGAGACAUUAUAUAUCACCGGUUUGGAUAACAUCAAGAUGAUAUGGGACAAUCAAGUUUCUGCAGAUUCUUUUUCUAAACUAAAAUUACUUGUUGUGGAAAAAUGCAAUAAACUUGUGAAUGUGGUUCAUUCUUUCAUUCUAGAACGGCUUGUGAGCCUAGAAAGAUUGGAAGCAAGUUAUUGUGGUUCGGUUGAAGUUGUUUUUGAACUUCAGCCACUAAAUUGUUUAGAUCGACAUCCUAUUAAUCUUCCAUUAAAAGAGCUGAUAAUAUCAGGAUUACCAAAGCUAAAGUGUGUAUGGGAUAAGGAACUCCACCAUCACGUUAAAUUCCAAGGUUUACAUUCUAUUUGGGUUUUCAGAUGCGAGAGCCUCAUCUCUUUGAUUCCAGCCUCAGUAGCCAGAGAUCUAAUGCAACUUGAGGAGUUGAAGAUCGACGAAUGUGGCAUUGUGGAACUCAUCGAGAAGGAAGAAGGAUUAGUUCCCAAGUUUGUAUUCCCAAAUUUAACCUUCCUCGAGCUAAAGCAUCUGUCCGAGUUGAAGUGCCUUUACACCGGAACACAUACUUCCCACUGGCCAGCAUUGAAGACCUUGAAGGUGGAUGGUUGUAACAAAGUGGAGAUACUUGCAUCCCAAACUGAGAAUGAGAUGCCACGUCAUAAACAGCCUCUCUUCUUGAUGAAAAAGGUACGACCCGAGAUUAUUUGUUUUGCUUCAAUGGUGAAUAUUUGAAGUCGGCCACAGCCAAGCAUCUCAUACAAGUAGCUCUACAUAUGAAGAUGUAAACUGCUGAUUCACCUUGAAUCCAUAUGAAUAUUUCAACAUUGAAACAACAUAUGCUCUUCAAGUAUUGAUUGAACAUUCUUGUCUUUGCUUGAUGUAUUAAAUGCAUUUUCGUUGAUCCCCUUUAAAGAAAAAGGUUUGGGCUAAUUCCGAUGGUUUAGCUCUCUCCUAAGUGCCGCAAAUAUUGAAAACAUGAGGCAUGUGAUGUGAUCUUACCACGGUGCAAGUGUGUUGCCUAACUUGAAUCCUAUGAAGAUUAUUGAUGUUAUGCUAAAAACAGAAAGACUGGACAUAAUUGUUGACAUUAAUCACUUAAAUUUGUGCGAUUGUGUUUGUAAUUGGUGCAGUAGUUAUUUUCACAAGGGAUACAUCUUUAGACACGUGAAUGUAAGGAGUUAUAUAAGUUCAAUAUUGAUACAAGUCAAACAUAAAAUAUUAACGAUAAUGUUGAUUUGAUGUGGGAACAUUUCCUUAUGUUGAAUCACAUGAAACUCAGCAUUUUAAAAUGCAGUUAUUAUGAACAAAAUGCAUGACUAAAAUAAUAAUGCAUGAAUACUCUUUCAAUUAAGCUGGUUUCAAAUUCUGGUUUGAUUGUUUUCUCAGGGCGCAUUCCCUAAUCUCCAAGAGUUAAAAUUGGAUUUAUCAAAACGGAUGGAGAUAUGGCAUGGGCAUUAUCAUGAUGGAGAAUUAUUGUGCAAGCUUAGAGUUCUUGAGCUUCAUCAUCUGUCCAAGGAAUCUCACAAAUCCACAUGUCGUUUUGUUGAGAGUUUAACCAACUUGGAAGAGCUAGUUGUAUGUGAAUCUUAUCUAGAACAGCCAGACAGCAAGGAGGAAGCCAUAGAAGGCACAAGUCAUGAGCUAAAAGUAGUAUUACCCUUUCCAGGAUAUAUUCAACAUUUGCAGACUCUUGAUGUGUCGCAUUUUGAUGGUUUAUCAAAUAUGUUCACACCGACAAUAGCUGAAAAUUUGGUGGCACUCACAAAAUUGAAGAUAAGCAAUUGUAGAAUAUUGACAGAAGUCAUUAGUGAUGAGGAAGUUAAGGAGGGGCAUGUAGUAGCUUUCAAUCAAUUGAAGUAUAUGGAGCUUAAUGGGUUGAUAGAGUUGAGAUGUUUCAGCUCAGGUGGAUGCACUUUGAUGUUCCCUAUCUUGGAAGAUGUCAUUGUGACCGAAUGUCCCAACAUGAAGUUCUUCUCUAAGGGAACAAUGGAGGCACCAAAACUAAAGAGAGUACGUGUAUCUACAGAUGCAGCAGCAGCGUUAUUUUGGAAGGAAAACCUCAAUAUCACCAUCAGAAAUAUGUCUGAAGAAAUGGUAUUUGCUUUUUAUCACCAAUAGAGUAAUUGCUUAUUGCUAACUAGAAUUGUAUGUUUAAUGAUUCAUUUUUCUGAUAGGCCACAGUUGCUGGAGUAAAGGAAAUGUGGUUGUCUGAGUUCUCUGAGCUAAUUGGAAAAUGGCACAGCCAACUUAAUCCCAUCAAGUCAUCUUGGCAAUUAAAAACACUGGUGGUGGAUAAAUGUCCAUCAUUUAUUAACGCUAUUCCAUCAAAAUUGAUGGUUGUUUUAGAGAAAAUGACAAGCUUGCAGGUGCGUAAUUGCGAGUCUUUGGAAGAAAUAUUCGGUCUUGAAGGGCUUGAGACUGUGGAAAGUACUCAGGUGCUGCCCCGGCUACAACAUCUGAACUUGGUCAAUCUACCGAAGUUGAGGCAACUAUGGAACAAAGAUCUUCAAGGAAUGAUGCGCUUCAAUUCUCUUUAUGUUUUGACCCUUUAUAAAUGUAGUAACUUGAGACAUGCUUUCAAUCCAUCGAUGGCUCAGUGCCUUGCCAAUCUUGCACAGAUUGAAAUAAAGCAGUGUGGUAAGAUGGAAGGAGUCAUCAUACAGGAAGAUGAGCAAGGAAGUGCAGUGGAGAGAAUUACAUUCUCGAAUCUUUAUUGGAUUAAGCUAGAAUGCUUGCCCAAUUUGACCAGUUUCCUCUUGGGGAGGAAUCAUAUGCUGGAAUGUCCUAGAUUAAAGCAGCUGACCAUUGUCCAGUGCCCCAAGAUGAGAAGUUUGACUUGGCAAUCUAGGAUGGAGAUUGAUCACAACACCCCCUCACUAUUCACCCCACAGGUCAGUCUUGUUUUUCUUUAUCUAAUGCUUUUGAUUUUGAGAUCAAUCAUCUUUUCAGAUCAAAGUACCAAUGAAUGGGGUGUCAGUAAUUGGAAGUUGGAAAUAAAAUGGUGCUUCGCAUGCGUCACAUAAAACAAUUUCAGUUCCACUUUUUUCUUCUUCUUUUUCGGCCAAAGAAACCUUAAAAAACACGGCAUCAAUCAUGGAUAAGAAUUUAGUUUUCCCUUACUCACCCAAUUUUUGCCAGCGGUCGGAUCACUGCGCCCCCCCCCCCCCCCCCCCAGAAACUUAUGGAGCUGCCGACUGCCAAGAGACUACUUUUAUAAUAAAAAAGAAUUAGGAAAAAUUCUUUACUUUUUGAACCAACCCAUUGCCCCCCCUAAAAUGGAAAGGGAAAAAAAAAAGGGGGUUUCCCCGGGCCCCAAAAAAAAAAUUUUUUUCCCCUUUUUUUUUUUUUUUUUUUGGCCAAAAAAACCCUAAAAAACCCCCCCCCCACCCAGGGAAAAAAAUUUUUUUUUCCCUUCCCCCCCAAUUUUUUCCCGGGGGGGGGGAAGGGGGCCCCCCCCCCCCCCCCCCCCCCCCCCCCCCCCCAAAAAAAAGAAAAAGAAAAGAGAGAAUGAAUAUAGUUCCAAGCAAGUUAUUAAUAUCCCAUUGGAUCUUGAUUUGGAUCCGAAUCUUUUCAAUGUAAGACUAGUAAAUUGACUCCAUUUGCUUUUUCUUAGAUCAUUUAAGUCUUUAUGUUGCCUCUACUUGGUUGCUAAUUUAUUUUCUUUCAGUACAAAAAUUUUGUGCACACAAUAAAGAAAAAAACUUGUAAACAAUUGAAGCUAUUUUUUCUUCUUAUCUGCCAACAAUUUUUCAUGACACUUCUCAUUAGUGAACUUACUAAUUACAAGAUUCAUAAGUAAUGUUCCCAAUUAAGAUUAGCAUUGAAUUAGUAGUGGUGCUCAUAGUAAACAGAGGAAAUGACCUCUGUCUCGAGAAGACACAUGGAAUAUUGUCGUACUUGAGUUGCAAAUUAAUGUUAAGUGAGAUGCUCAACUCUCAUUUGUGCUCCCCUUCCGUAGCUUAUUAAGCUCAGCCAUUGAUCUAUAUAAAAAAGAGUAGUUCUGGAAUUUAUUGCUCAAUACAUCAAUGAUUGAGGAUGAUCAAGGUACCCUAUGGCAAAGAAACAGGAUGGGUCUCCAUCAUUUCCAUCUAUACAUGGACAUGGUUACGUGAUCAUCUUCCAAGUCCAUGCUAUAACAACCAAAUAAAUAUCAUAGUAUAAAUAAAUUUUACCUUUGUAACCAUAUGAUACUAAGAUAGUGUUACCGAUUCGCUUUUGCUAAUAAUUUUUGGAUAUUUCUAAAUCUACUAGAAAUGAAAAUGGGAAGUUAAUUUCUUUCAAUUGAUAAGAAAGAUAUGUAGAACCAUCUUAUACCUAUCGCUGGAACAUCGUAAUCUUGCACCCACCAGCACAACAUUGGAGCCGACAUUAGGAAGAGAGAAGAAGAAUAUAUAUAUUUUCCCUAUUGGAUUGAAUCACAUACGUCGAAGCUGCGUUGAACCGUGCUUUAGCUUCGUUCAUUCCUUGAAGUAAAGAAAUCUAAGAAAAUCUCACCUUAUCUAAUGUUGCAUUAUCAAAAGAUCAGCGCAACCUUCUAAUAAUGAUCGGUGCAAACAAAUCUAACGAAUUGCAGGAAAAUUGGAGAAUCCGAUAAUUCAUCAUUGCAACUUUCCACAAAUUAAAGGGAAAGGCGUUGCUAGUGUUUACUGUCAAUUAAGUCAAUUAAAAGCAGUGUUCAAUAAUUAUUGUAUCAUUCGACGGAAAUUAGGGGACGUCGUCAUCAGAGUAGAAUAUUAAGGAAUGUGUGGAAAUACACGUCAUCAUCUAAUUUUUUAAGAAUUAAAAUCAAAAUUUAAAUUAAUUUCGAUGGAUUCAGUAAAUACAAGCUAAUACCUUUACAGAAUUUAUUUAUAUUUGCAUCACUUCUUCAAAAGGCAAUUAACACAUAUCAAACUGAUCAUGUCAGUCUUUUCCCUCCGGUUUUUGACCCGUUUUGUUACAGGUACCGUACAAGUUUCAAUUAUUUUCUUUUCUGGCAGAGGAAAUGCUUGUGUGUAUUUUUUUCAUUCUAAUGCUUUUGCCCAAUUUUAUUAUUAUUAUCGUUAUUUGUGAGUAGAAUGUUUCAUUGUAUCGUGGAUUCACACGUGUUUACUCUUUAAUCAUAAGUCGUCAAGAAUUAGGAGCUGUGAUGUAAUAAUAUAUAUCCUCCACAUAAUUAUAAAUUUGCAAAAGGUCAUCAUAAUAGGCACCUUAGAGUACUAAUAGUUGUUGGGAAGUACGAAAAUAAUCAUAUAAUUUGCUCCUUGUGACAAAGUGUAAUAUUGUUAAUUUCUUGUUAAAUGCGAGCCGUCAUGCAAUCAUGGUUGUCCCCACAUUGUUAACUCAUCAAAAUCCUCAAUCUACAAUAUUAAUGGAUUUAGGAAUGUGUGGAAAUAAUUCUGUUUAUUGUUGUGAUAAGUCGUAAUUGCAUCAAUUUAUUGUAACAAAAUAAAAAAGUCAAUGCUCGCUUCUCAAUGGACAAGUCACAAGAAGUUAUAACACAGUUGAUUCUCUCCAAACAAACAUAAUUUGACUGCAGCAGAUAUCUUGGUGGACCGUUUGAUACUUGUCACAAACUUUUCUAGUUUCAUGGUCCAUGGACCUAGGGAAGUACGGAAAUAUGCAUAUGGAAACAAAGGUUGUACAUAACGUAAUUUCAUUAAUUUCAUCAUACCCAAUGAAAAUUCUGCAUGAGCUGUUACAUGAACAAUUCAUUGCAACUCAUACUAUGGUUUCGUUUUUUCGUACCAUGUUUUAUUUUGUCAUAACAUAUUUCAUGUGUUCAUGAACACUAAUUGUGUUAGUCUAUGGAUCCUUGUUUGUGUGAAAAAUUUGCCUUAAAAUUCAUGUCACACGAGAUAUAGGAAAUCCCAAAGUAUUCAUUUGGUAUUUGAGUUCGUGAUUGCGUUCUUUGUGCCGUAACUCGAUGUAAAAUGGUCUGCUAUCUUUUGUGUACACGAGUAUUAAAGUGUGGCAAGCACCGUAAGGUAAUUCAAUUUGUCACACCGCAUUACAUGAUUAUUGGAAUGCAAUAAACUCGGCCUUAAACAUCGGUCAGCUGAAAUAGAAGCAUCAAUCAAUCUCUCCCUAUUUAUCUCAGUAACAACCUCGAGGAUUUUGAGAGCUUGAAAAAUUUGUAAAAUUCUUUUUUAUGGCCAUAACUCAAUGUAACCACAUUCAUUUUUCAAUUUUGUCAAUAUGGCAGGUGCAAUUUCCUUGCCUUGAAUUGAUGAUUCUCUCCCACAUGGACAAUUUGAGCAAAAUAUGGACUGACGUUCCUCGAGAAACUCUCGUAUGUAAACAUUUACAAAAACUGGAGGCUCAAAACUGUAAGAGCCUUGAAAAUCUGUUUCCAUAUUGGGUGGCUACAAGUCUAAACCAACUUGACAAACUUCGAGUAGAGUCUUGUGUGAUUGAAGAAAUAGUCGCGAGUGGGGAUGACACUUCAUACUCCAAUAUUGCUCAAGUUCUUUUCCCAAAACUGACCUCUCUGGUGUUACAUGAUAUGUCACAACUCAAGAGCUUCUGUCCUAACUUGCCCACUUUGAACUGGUCACUCUUGGAGGAAUUGCGAGUGACUCAUUGUGAUAAAGUGAACAUAUUGUCUUUUGCAACAUCCAUGAGCAAGUGGACUCAGAGAAACAAUCAGCAGAACCUUUCAGACCAAGAGGCACAUUUUUCUUUUGAGAGGGUAUGAUUACCAUUGCUCUUCCUCAAUUUCUACUUUGUUCUUCAACGCACCCACUAAUCUUAUGUCCCCCUGCAUAAUCAUGUCACGUCAUAAUACUAUGAAAAACAUUAUCUUCCUUACCAAUCGGUUUGUUGACUGCAUAAGAUAGUUCUGAUAUCUCAAGUAUACUUUUCAUUUGUGGACACACAUAAGAUAUUUCAUUGCAUAGAAUUACAAAAAUAAUUACAGAUUUUUGUUGACAACACAAUUUGAUCAUAAUCUAAUCUAAUCUAAUGGUGCUUCUUGGGGAAGUCAAUGACAUUUGGCACGAGAUCCUCUUGACACACAUUGCACAUUUAAACUUUUCUUCUCUAUUUAUUUUCUACAAACUAUAAAAGAAUAAACUAGAACAUUUUUCUUUUUUUAAAAAAUAUCAUUCUUCAAUUCAUUAUAUUCUACUUUAUCCUUCAAUUCACUCCUCACAUUUCAUGUCCACUAAGCAUGUCACAUUAUAGCACUAAAAUCCCGAAACCCCCAUAUAUAAAUUUGCAGACGAAGGAAGAUGUCUCUUUAUCUUAAGUACACUUUUAAGUUUGUGGACACUAUACGUUUUAGAAACAUUAUGGGUGCAUCCCAUUACAUAAACUCCAAAGAUGACAAACUUUUGUCGACAAGAUAAGAUAUUUCUAAUAAAAGAUGAAUUUGGUGAGCUGGAGGGCUCUUGAAUUUAGAUUCACUCUACCAACAUAACCAUACCAACCUCCACUUGAGACUUUUAAAAGCUUGAGACUUGUUUGCAAGGAUCCUUACAUUUGAUUAAAUGCCCUUCCAUGUGAAUUAUAUGAACUAGCUUUACCUUUUACAACACAUGAAUUAUUGUCAAACCUUUGUUGAAUUUACUUCUCUCUUCAUGUUGGUAAUUUGACAGGACUUCCCCAAGUUAGAGAGACUUUCAUUAGACGAUAAAAAUAUUCAGAUUAUACAGGAUGGAAAAUUUACUGAUGACAUCUUUGGCAAGCCAAAAUUAUUAACAUUGGCAUGCUUUCAUGAUGAAAAGGCUAUCUUUCCUCCCAUAUUCUUCCUAAAGAGAUUUCAGAAUCUAAAAAGCCUUGAGGUCUUCUGUAGUUCCUUUGAAGAUAUAUUCCCUAAUGAAGGGUUUGUCCACGAGGGAAGAAAUUCUGUGCUUGAAAAUUUAAGAGAACUUAAGUUAAGCAAGCUACAUAGCCUAAAGCGUGUGUGGAGAGAAGACUAUUUAGUGAUGAAAAUUCUUCAGAGUAUUGAAACAUUUGAAGUUUGGGAUUGUCCUCAUUUAACAACAUUAUUUCUAGCAAAGACAUCCUUUCUCAAUUUAACGAAGUUAGUGGUGAAGAAUUCUUCUGGAUUGGUACAUCUAGUAAUAGCUUCAGAGAUCACAAAUUUGGUGCAUCUCAUUGAGAUGACUAUAAUAGGAUGUGAAAGAAUGAAAGAAGUAGUGGCAAAUGAUGGAAAUGAAGAAGGAAAAGUGAUUUCUCUUGGGAAGCUAAGAAUAUUGAGACUCCAACAUCUACCUAGCCUAUUAUGCUUCUCCUCCAUCACAAGUUGUAGUUUCAGGUUUCCUUCCUUGUUUAAGAUUGAAGUGGAAGAGUGCCCAAAAAUGAAGAUCUUUUCUAAAGGUACGCUAAGCACAUCAGAAUUAAAAUAUGUGAAAUUGUUCAGGUACACGUGGUCAUGGAAUUGGGAGGGUGAUCUCAAUAAAACCAUACAAAAGUUAUUAGCAUAAACAAGAUACAUGUGGCCAUGGAACCGGCAGCCACGUGUGUGCUAAUUCCUCCACUUUGGCCCUGUCGAGAAAUUUCUGUACUCUUUCGUUUCUUCCUUCAGUCAGGCAACAGUGAUACGUCUGAAACGUUUAUCCAAAAAGAAAGGAUUUUUCUUGCGAGAAGGUGCUUUUUGGAGACGAGCUGAACAGUGUGCACUUAUCCUGAGUUGGUUUUCUAUGGUCCCACCACCCAGGUCCUCUCAUUGCUCUUAAAUCGGCCAACAACUUUCAAACGGGGCAUCUCUUUUUGAAGGCAGUGAUGAGGCCGGCUUAUAUUGAUGAUGGCAUGGUAAGACCCCAGCUUUUCAACUCAAACUAGCAUGUCUGAAAAUUAAAUAUAUGAAGGCUGUUUACAAUGUCUAAAACCAAGGAGUAAUUAGUUAGACAUGCUGGAUCUAAAAACUGUGUGAAGCACAUGUCUAACCAAUGCUUCCCUUUGGGGCUUUCAAUGAUAGUCCAGUAACCUGGCACCUAGCUUGGAUGCAUUUCUUAUUUUAACGUGCUAGUACCCGCAUGCCUUGUCUCCCCAAUUGGAGAGAGGGUUUUUCUUCCCUCUUCUUGAGAAUACCUGAAUUUUAUGUCCUAGAAUUCAAACGAAGUAGUUUUAGGACAUACUCAGGUCCACAUAUCUUUGCUUAUACUCUAGUGUUUUUUCCAAGUUGACUUCAUUUGUGUAGGAAACCACAUGACAUGUUAUUUUCCUCGAAAUGUUGAUGGACAUAUGUUUUAAACCAGGAUUAUAUCUUAACAAUGUAGUAAUUGAAGCAGGGAAGAGAAUGAAGGGACAGUUAUUGGGACAUAAGUUGGAGGUCGAAGGUUCGAGAAGAAAAUAAUCAUUUCUUUUUUGGUGGAUAGAUGUCUCAAAUUGUUGGAAAGGCCAAUGCUGAGGCAAGUCUUAAGAUUAGAAUCCAGUUCUUUUUAUAUGGAGAACUUUGACAACGUAUUCAAUGGCGUAAAGGUAGAAUAUAUGUAGGUAAAUCACACAAGGAGACUAUAUUGAUAAGCACAAGCAAAUUGCAAAGAAUGUUGCUGCCUCCAUAACUAAAUGGAAAGACCUAAAAGAUAGGGGGUGGCAUAACUAAAUGGAAAGACCUAAAAGAUAGGGGGUGGCUAGUUACGAUUAUGAAAUUUCAUUGUAAAUCAAAUGAGGAGACUAUAUUGAUAAGCACAAGUAAAUUGCAAAGAAUGUUGCUGCCUCCAUAACUAAAUGGAAAGACCUAAAAGAUAGGGGGUGGCUAGUUAUGAUUAUGAAAUUUCAUCGUAAAUCAAAUGAGUAAUAUUUUAAUGUCAAAUAGGAGAUACUGUUGCAAUUCGUUACCUUAAUCAGAUAUUUGGAAAAGAGAGAGAGAGAGAGAGAGAGAGAGAGAGAGAGAGAGAGAGAGAGAGAGAGAGAUUGUCAAAUGAACCAACAGUUAGUUUGAACAGCUUAAGUUAAAGUUUUUGAUUGUAUCCAAGUUCUGGUCAUCGAUGUCUUUGCUUUUUCCCUUCGCAUGUGGUCCGUGUGCUGGAAAUUCUCGUGUGUGUGUUACCCUAUAGCACUCUUGGAGCAAAGAUAUUAACAUUUGACUUUGAAUUGCAGGUUAAGAUUGAUGACUUCCAUUGUAUGGUUUCCUGUCUAUUAAAACUCAUGAAACUAUUUCACCCAAAAAAAAACUCAUGAAACUAACAACUACCGCCUGAAACUCGUUGCGUAUAAUUUGAUUCUUUCAUGAAUGUAUGCUUAUGUUUGGUGUUUUUUCACCAUAAGUUGGUCUUUUGACUAUGUACAUUGGCAGACUGCUCCUGUUCAAUUCUUCAGGCGGCAUAUUCGGGAAAACAAGCAAUGCGUGACUGUCAGGUAUUCAGACAGUUCAUGGACGGUGAAGCUGAGGAGCUAUGGACACAAUCGAGGGCAGUCUUUUCUUGCUGGUUGGCACGCAUUUGCUAGAGAAACUCUUCUGCAUGUGGAGAAUGUUUGUGUGUUUACGCUUAUUGAUAGCGAUGAUGUUGUGUGCAGAGUCUACAAAUUCACUAGUGCUCGUAAGGACUUGUUUUACAUUGAUUGAGAUGAACUUUGGAAGUGAUGCUUUGGCUGGUCCAAAAUAAAUUCAGUAUUCCAACUAGUAUCUCCUUUCUAGUCUUGAUGAAUCAGUGAAGCGUACUUCUAUUCCUAUGGGUUUGUGAGGUUCAUAAUAAUCCAGAUGCACACACUCAUUAUUGCCACAUUCUGAAUCUAAAUGAACAGAUAAGGAUUUGCUUCAAGAUGUCCUUUUCGGUUAAUGCAUUCCUAUUUGGUUGUUGUUCAUUUUGAAUUUGAAAUCAAGUCUCUUAGGCUUAUUAAGAUUAUGGGUUUUAUUCUUCCAACAGGGAAUGCCAAGGAGGUUCAUGAGAAAAUAGGGUGAAAAUCUCUCAAAAAAGGAUGCUUGUCAAAGUGUGAAAUGGUGCAAUUAUUUGGCCUAUGGAAUUGGAAAAAUGUGAUGAGAUGGUCGAAUGAAUAUGCAGAGCAUUUACCCUAUCUGCGAGGGCCAAUUUUUGGUCUUUAAAUCUGAAGUGGACUCCAUUUUCCAUGUAAUCAUAUUUGAUAAAGGCGUCUCCGAUAUAGAAUGUCCGCCAAUGAGUGGUGAUGCGAGGAACUGACCCUCAGCAAUUGUGGAUUUGCCUUGCGAUGAUGGAAGAUGCCGGUGAUUGCCGUGAUGUUUCGGUCAAGCUAUAAGUCUUGGGAGAUGAAGUGCAUUGACCCAAGAGUCCUCGGCUUUGUAAGGCAACAAAAUCUGAUCAAGUUUGUGAAGUUCAUGGCGGUUCCUAUGCACAUUCAUCAUCGUGGAGUUUGGGGAGAGACCAAAGUUUAAACUGCUCAUCAUGAGAUUUUCGAGGUGUGAAUCUUAAUCACUAGUUAAUUCUCCUCCACACUCUGUUGUUCUUGUGUUUGAUUCAAAUUCUGUAUAGGAACUCUCCAUGACGCUAGUUAAGAGACUGUGUUAGAGCUAAUUCAUCCCCGUAGUUCUUCUCUGCAUCUAGCUCUCUCGUGUGUGCAUAUGUGUGUGCAUACGUAUGUGUUGGGUGGUCUCAUAUAUGUCAACCAAUGUGCUGAAAAUGACAUUGCUGUGCAUAUAGGCCUCAGAAGUUAGACCAUUAGAAAAGCUCGCAUCAAUUGAUUUAGCAUUGUUAUGUCGAUGGACAUGAGUUUCACAUGACCAAAAAUAGUGUAUGCCUAGAAAUGGAAAGCUUUUUAUGUUCUGUUUGCGACUGCUGCAGGUAAGCUGAAAGAGCUGAGCUCGUGCAGAGCUCUUGAACUGGCCAGCAAAUUUAAGCCCGAGUAUCCUUUCUUCCGAAGUUACAGCAAGGUAAAUAUAUCUGAAGAAAAGCAACGCGAUAAGAUCCUCAUGACAAGGAAAACUGUUGGAUUUAAAUCACAAAGAGUUGCUAAACUAUGUUAGCUCUAGGUUAAGCGUGCAUCGUGUCAAUAAUUUCUGUUUUUAUCCUUCAGAUGCUUUGAAAAGGAUCCUCCUACUGUCUGCCUCAGAGCUCAUUGGUUGUUGCAAAAUGUCUACUUGAGCAGAGAGUUACCGGCUCACUCCAAAAAUGCGCAUCAAGAAAAGUCCGCAGACCGUGGCUCUCAUAUUUUAAGACAAAUCAUGGCCGGCGAUGCUCAUCAGCCACGGUUAUCAUGGAAAGUUCUCUGCCGGUUGGACCGCAUUCACAAGAUAAACUUCUCUGAAGGCAGGUGGCAAUGUGUGCUCGAGCUUUAUUAGAAGGGAUGAUGUCAUUUUUGGAGGGUCCUUUAUCAGAACCACUGAGAAGACUUGGGUGAACAAUACUAUGCAAUGGACACAGCAGAGGAAGCAUUGCUUUUAGCUCAAUUUUGGUGAGAACAGAACUGCAGAAUUGCUAGGCUGAAAUCUGCUUCUGAUUUGGCAAAUUGGAUAAAAGCACAAGUUUUGUUCUAAUGGAUGGAAUGCUCCUGAAUGUACAUGAUACCUUCCUUGAUCCUAGUGUUGGCAGUCACCAUGUGGCCAUGGGUCAUGAGACGGAGGAAGCUGAUUGCUAAUGUCGAUUUGAUAACUUCCAUUUCUGGAAACAAUCUCUCGAAUAAGUUGCUUCUUUAAGGUUUCCGGUGGCUCAACCCAACCUUUGGAACUAUUUAAGUUGUAGUAGCAUCGAAUACGCUUCCCUUAAGUCAUGUACCAACUCUGAAUUUCAAGGCACAACCCAUGGUUUUACAAGCUCGAUGUGGACAUACGUUAGAUUCUAUUCAUCGUCGCUUUUCGAAUUCAUAAAGAUUCUAUGACGAGCCUUUUUUGGCAUGUGGGCGGCACAAAUUGAAGUUUUCUUAGUUUCUUCUCAUGUGAAGAGCAUUCGGAACUCAUUUUGUCAAAUGAACUGAAUCUGAUAUGCCUGGCCAAGCGAUAAUCCAAUCCAUGCUGCUUCUUUUCAUGGUUAGCCAAUUAAAGGAACUUUCACACCAAUGUCUACUGAAUUCCCUCAUUGUUUUAAACGGGGAAAAGGGUAUUUUCAUGCCUCUCUUGCAGCCAUCUCUUUUGCUGCAGUAGCAUAACUCUGUAAAGGCGUCACUGCCACACAACUCUUCCGCAACCCCUCUCAACAAAACAGCAAUCAAGCUGGAUAAACAUCGCCGAUUCUCCGUCUCUCUUGAACGGGGCGUUCUUCGAAACAGAGUCCGACUUCGUCAUUCCAUCAAACACCUUCCUUGCAAACUCGAUUCCCUCCUCCACGGGGCAACUGACGGCAAUGGAAUUACGCCGGGGGGGAGGGGGGUGAAGAGAGUGAGAGAGAGAGAACAAAGGCGAAAUAGAAAAUCAAACAGACAAAUUGGGAAUGAAAACGACCUGGGAAUGGUGAAUAUCGAAUGAUGGAUUCCGUCAUCGCCUGAACGUAGCAAGGAACAGCUGUCUGCAGAGAUUUCUCGAAGCAACGUUCAUCGGAGAGAGUUCGUGGGCAAAGGGAAUGUCUGGAUACUGUCUGCCAAUUCAGAGGAUGGGAUUUUUUUGGGUUUCACUCUAUCGGCCGUCCCGCCGGUGCAGCGUCCCUUCAUCGACCGAUGCAAUCUGAGGCCGAUCGAGUCGUCAUUGUCCGAGACUGAUAGGCCGAGAGCGUGAAGAUCGGUGGCGAGGCUGAAGAGAAAACGACGAGAGCUAAGCCGGUGGAGAUGAUCGCGUUGCCGCGUUCUGUUCCCGGUUUGAAUGAACAGUGCUUUAAUGUCAUUUGUGAAAGCAAAAUUCCACUUUUUUUCAAACAACUUCUAAUUCCGUAGAAAUAUUUUAAUUUUUCUUAAGUCUUUCAAUUUGAGAUUUCUAUUAAAAUACAUCCUUUAAUUGAAAAAAUUAACCUAUUUCAUUUCCGGUUAUCGAGAUAUCAUCGACCUAAAUUAACAUCGUGAUAAAAUGAAUUUCAUCUCGUUAAAGUAAAGCAGGAGUAAAUCCUAAUUUAAACAAUGUCUUGCGUAAAUGUGCUUAAUACCUUUCAAUAGUUUAUCUGCACUAUUUGCCUUAAUUAGUCCUACGGAUUUUUGUUGACAUUGGUCGCACGGUCCUUACCACCAUAAAAAGGAAGGAAAAAGCAGCUUCUGUCCAGGGGUCCUACCAUCCUUCGCGGGAAACACUUCAUCAAUAUGAAAAUGAGUAUUUCUGGUACCUAAUUCUACAACCUCGGAGUUGGAUCUGGCCCCAGUGCUGCGUAAAUAAUAAAGUUUAUUCUAGUUGAUUUCUUCGACUCACAUAUCACGACGUCGGCUUGAAGAUUUAGUUUUCGUUUUGAUUCUUGUUUUUGUUUUUGUUUUUUUUCCACUAAGGACUCCAAGAGUUAAAAAUCUCAACUCCAAUAAACCUCGAAACAUAAGUUUUCCGUGCUAAGCUAGUUUCACGUUCAAUAUGGAAUCCAUCUAGAAUGUAAUAAUCCCUAGCUUUUAAUGUGAGAAUAUCUUAGAGUUGCAUUGUACUUGAUGGUUGAUGUAGUUGAUGGUGCGGAAAGUGCUGGGUAUAAACAAUUGAUAUACCAAAUUGGUGUGCAAAUGAGAUUUUUCGGUAAUUGGGGUAAAUGUCAAACGUAGUCACUUUGUACAAUCAAGUCACUAAACUUUAAUUUUAAUCGCCCGAUACAUUAACAUCAUUUUUUUCCCAUAUGUAAUCAAUGAAUUAUGAAGAUUUUUCCGAAAAUUUUCUAUGCAAUAUUUACAUAGCAGUCUUACAUAUCUGAUUAAAAAUGUUAUAACAGCAUGACAUCAUAUUAGUCUCCAUUAAGAAAAAACCGAAAAAAAUAUAGAAGUUUAAAAAAAGAGAGGAUAGGGAUUCAUUCACUCCAACUCACGUCGAAACCCUCUGUCUCAUUUGGGUUACAUGGCCCUGUGUUACAAGGGAGGUUCUCAAGGCGUAACCCGAUCGGGAGCUAGCUAAAUUUAUCAUGAGUAUUUAAAUUCUCUUUUAUCCCCAUCAGAUUUUCUAAAGAUUUAUAUAAUUGAGUCCAUAAUGACUAUUUUCAUUUCAAUUUGCCCCCGCAAAUUAAUGAACCUCAAUAAGCAAUUGCAGAAUCAUGAAAAUCUAGUUGCCAUAAACAAACCAAACCGACGCAACUGUUAUUUUCAUCUCAUAUUAUUGAGUUCAAGAGCAUCGGUUUGUUUACUAAAAUAAUCAUUAUUUACCGAAGUUCGCCCCCACUAGGAAAAAUUUCUAGAUACAUCCAUGAAUUGGCCAUGGUUUGCUUGGGUUUUGAUUUGGUACAAAUUCUGAAGUUCAUUUGACGAUUGAAAUCAAAAUUCAAUGACCCGAUUGUAAAAAUGCGCUAUAUAAUCCAGUCGUCAAUAAUUGAUUCCUCAUCUGUUGUUCUCUUUAACAAAUUUGAACGCCUAGCCUCAUCCGAUCAAACUUCCACAAAAUUCCCAUCAAUCCCUCUCCUUUUCCCCUUCAACUUGGCUGCUACUCGUAGCUGCAAUCACCGCCUUCUCCCCGUCUUCAGUUGAAUGAAAGCCUAUUAAAUGAGCGUUAUGCAAUCUUUCGAGGCCAUUUUGGCUCAGUCUUUGAAGGUUGAGUUGAAAAAUUUCGAGAAUAAAUAUCUGAAAUCAUUUGAUGCAGGACUACGCAGUCUGCUUUUGCUUUAAAAUCAUAGAUAACUGUUAAUUUUUUAAUUUUUUUGUCAGAGAGAUGAGUUUCUCAUGUAUCCAUUUCUAACUAUUGUAGUUCCAUCUUUAACUAUUGUAGUUUCUGCUGCAGGCAAAGGGAGGAGAUCAGAUUUUUUUUGGUGAAAUCGAGAGUUGAUUCUUUUUUCUUGGUCGAAGAAAUCAAGAGUCGAUUAUUGUAGUGUGAAAUCUAGGCAAGCCAAACAACCACAGUGUAAGCUGUAAUCUCUCCUAUUAUUUGGGAUGCUCUUGGUACAGGAGAAUAGAAGAAAUGACAGCGUAAAAUGGUCCUUUUUUCUAUUGGUUGUUUUGAGAAAUUACUCGGAAAAGCUAUCUUUUAAUUGGUGGUUGAAAAGUCUGUAAUUUUAACUUGUGUGCAAUCCCAGAUUUUUCGCUAGUACUAAGAUAGAAGAUGCAGUUGCUUCUCAAAGGUGGUGUUGUAGCACUUCUUGGUGUUCUCAUUUUGACAUCUAUCAAGCUAAAGUAGAAUGCACGGACAUUCGUUAGCGUACCUACAAUUUUCGUUUCUUUCCAUAUCACUUUAAAUUUCUUCAUUAUGAUUGUUCUAUCAUUUUAGUUGUAUCCCCGUUUCUGAUUAAUGUCUCUUCUUAUGUUACAUGAACUGUGUGGACAUACUCUUUUUUUUGUUUUCUCUUCCUAUUUUGGCUGGAUCGAAAUGCUGUCUUCUACUGCGUCGAUACAACUGCAAUGUUGCAUGCUUCAAUAUUUUUGGAAUCGCUGAAGCUCUUGAAUUUUUUGUGGCACAUUACUUCUUGCAAUUUAUCAAAUUUUGGUUUUUCUUCCUUGUUUAUUCCUGUAUGAUUCCACCAUUCUCUAGAUGUUACGUCCUGCCUUCCAACAAGUUGGUCCUCAUGGUGGGUAUUUACUGUAUAUGCUAGUACUUCAUUCUCUCUUUCUUUGGUUCUUGCAUGUGUGGGUGGCUGCUACUAUUGGUGCCUUUUCCUUUGCAUAAACAAAAGUGAUACCCCCGUUCUUUGCUUGAGUUUUCUUCCUAUUUAUAUCAGUCUCUCAAUUAAGAGUUUUUGAAACUGAGCAUGAAGAAAAUGACACCCUUGGGGUAGUCACUCUUGCUGGUGAUAUUUUGUCCAGUCCACGUCAUACCUACAAUGUUUAUACACUUAGUACUUCCGAACGAAUCAAUCAAAAACCGCAUAUAACUUCCACAAUAUAGUCCUAGGAGCGUAAAGCAGAAGGAAGAGAACUAUAGAAGACAUCUUGGAAAUGCUGCAAUAUUCAAUGAGGUAACCAACAUAGCUAAGAGGUUUACUCAGACUGCAAAUCUAGGACAUCUAAAAAGCCAUCAAUGAUACAUAACCAAGCCUCCAUAAUAUGUAGCAUUCAGCAAGAAAGCCAUUUCCACAAAUGAGAGACUUUGCUCCAAGGAUUGGAAGCACGUAGAAAACUGCUUUUAUGAACAUGCCUCGGAUGGACAACAAAGCUGAAUGAUUAGCUUAGCUUAGCAAAACAGGCCUCGCCUAUGUGAUUUGAUUAUGACCAAUUGGUCAAAACACAUUAGUAACUUCCACAAUGCCAUGUUAGGAGAGUAAAAAACUCAUGCAUGCACAGGAGUUAGAUGCUCAACACAUAAACAUUUAGUGGACCAAGGAACCACCCUGUUUGUCAUGAUUCUAAUUUGACUACAUCAGCAAUCGAACACACAUCAACAUAUAUGUAAACAGCAUUAUAUGACACAACCUCUUGGUUGAAGUGAUUCAUGUAGAAUCACAACAUAUCCUCCAAGUUAUCAGUCUGUUCCUGUUUGUAAUGCCUAGCAUGGCAAUCAUGAACAUGGUGGCUACAUUCCCACCAAACGCCCCAACUGUGGACACCAUUAAGGAGAAGCGAAUCCAAGAAAAGUGAAACUGCCAUUCUAUUACAUUUGAGUCAGAAAAGACAAGGUAUCAAAUUUAAAGGAUAUAUAUUACUAAAGCGCUCGAAAAAUCUAUUUCCAUCCUACGCUUGAAAAGCCACAAAUAGAGAUGCUUUAUCAAAAUCCUUUAAAACAACAUAUGCUAGUUAAUAAACGUACGAAACUACGUAAACAUUAAUCAUCUUAUUAUUUACUUCCACAAAGAUUGGACCUAAAAUGGGGCAUAGGGACGAGAGAGAAGUGUGCAAUAAAAGCUUGUUUAAGUGUAGCCCUAUGAUCAUUAUUUUUCUCUAUAGUUCUAGUGAAACAUAGCACUUGUGGAGAUAUAAUAAAACCAGUCGGUGUGAAAGACAACAACUGAAUGAUCGUCAGGUUGAAGUAGAAAGGGCUUAACCAGAAACUUGAAAGGCAAAACGAUCACAUGAUUCGUUCUAAAGCUAGCUCCAAAAAAGCGAUUGCAUCACUGACAUUUGUAAAUAUACAGAAUUUACAUAUCGAGAACUGACGAUGAAUAUAUGUAGCUAGGAGCCCAGAUCAAGACAAUGAGACACAAGCUGGUUAAAGGCUAGAAAGUGAAAAUCCUACGAGAUUUCAUUUCCACUAUGGACACGAUUCGUUCCUUGGUGGGUAGCAGAAAAAUCCAAGAGUUACAGAUUCCGCGUCAAAUAGAAUUAAAUAAUCCAGCCCUAGACAUAAGAUCAGGAACCACUAUGGUUCGCGUGUGAAGCCACUAGAACAAGCUACAGAAUGAUUCUCAUCCAAUUGAUCUGAUCUGAUACUUCGGUUUCGCAGCAAUCCUGAUGUUGAAUCCUGCGGCAAACAUCAUCAACAUUGAAUCUAGCAUCGAUGAAAGUGAAUCAACAAGUGUCAAAUUCCAAGACCUCAACCUCGCAUCGGAAGCGGCUUAAGAAAACUUACGGGAAGAGGAGGAGGGGGAGGGGGGGGGGGAGAAUCCGUGUGGUGAAAAGAGGAGGAACGGUCUGCUGUUGGGACUGCGGUGGCGUUGCCGAGGUGGCUCCCGAUCCUCGGGUACAUCGGAGAUCGGACUUCCUGAGGGCGGCAACGGUGGUGUUGAGGGCGGCGACGAUGGCUUGGCGCGAGAGGAAGGAGAUGAAGCAAUGGAGGUGUUUCCAAGAAUUGCAACGGAAGGGACUAGAAAACCGUGAAAUUGAAAAGGGAAAUCUGAUCCCGAUUCGUUGGGGAAUUUUCUUUAUUUUUGGCCAAUCACAAAUUUCGGAAAAAAUUACCUCAAUUUAAAUCGCUGAAAAAUGUGGUGUAACUAUUUGGCUGGCGAGUGACAUCAAAUUUUUAUUUAAUACUGAUUAGGCAAUUUCAUUUUCUUAUUCGAAAUGAAAACGUGACUGGGGGAGGAGAAAAAAAAAAUGGAAGAGUUUCUAAGUUGUGCGACAAGAGUGGUCUGAAAUUGUGAAAUUGAAAAAGAAAACCUAAUCCCAAUUCAUUUUGGAAAUAAAUUCUUAUUUUUUAUUAAAUUACAAAUUUCGCUGGCUUAGAUCUUUAUUUGAGCCUAAUUUGGCCAUUUUAUAUCCUUAUCUAUAACAAAGUCCAUAAUUUUUUUUUCUCCAAGGAGGAACCUUGCUAUAUGAAAAUGGAGGCGCUGGACUCGGAACGAUUUGCAAAAAGACUCAUGGACUUUGACUUAGAAAAACUUUCGGACUAUUAUCACAGGAAAAUUUUUGGAUGAUGAUUAUUGAUCUUUCAUCAUUUCAAUUUUGAAGAGCUUCGAUACUUUAGGAUCUUAUUUCUCUUGAAUUAUUUCUUCUUUACAACCUUAAUUGUCUGCAAAGAGCAUUCAUGAUAUGCACGGCAAAGCAAUAAUCAAUCUAUGCAUCUCUUCAUAAGGAGUCAAUUGAACAAAUUUUUAUACCAAUUUCUAUUAAGGUUCUAUUUGUUUCACGAAAAGUAUCGCGCUUCUGAAAAAUGACAAUAUUUUCUAUUUUUUUUAUAACCGAGGACUCUACCAUGGCCCCCGUGCCCUUUUUUUUUUUUUUUCCUUUUUUCCUCCUUCUUCCUCAUUGGCUAGUCGCCUGGCGACUGGCCAAUGAGGAAGAAGAAGAAGAAAAAUAAAGAAAAAUAAUUUAAUUUUUUUUAAAUAAAAAGUUUAUAGAAAGGGGUGUAUGUAGAGAAAAAAAACAAACAGAAAAGUAAAAAUCGAAAAAUCGAACCAAACCGAACCGAGAUUUCGAUUCAGUUCAGAUCAUAUUUCGGUUCGGUACAAUAAAUUUCCUUAUCGAUUCGGUUCGAUUCGGCUUUUCAAAAAAGCCGAACCAAACCAUUUACACCCCUAACUGUAGCUCCUCUUGAAACUAUAGGGACUGACUUAUCACCACCCAACAUGUAGUUCAUCUUUGUAGGAGAAUUUAUAAAGUAGUCAAUUGGUUGCAAAGCAAAAUCGAAUGUCAUAAACUCCAUGAUAGGCCUGAGACCAUAUAAAGCCACACCGACUUCAACUCCACGACAGACCUAAGACGAUAGGGUCAAAGACUUAGUUACACUAAUUACUCAAUUAAUGCAUUUUCGGUAUCUAAUUUUGCUUUUACAAAAAGAUAUUUGUCAUGUAGUUUGAACUGGUUUUAGACCUAUCCAUUAAUAUGUGAAAUGAUCAUUCGUGUGCAUGAUCAUUAUAAUAACAAUUAGUAACCGAGGACAUCGAAUAAAUUGUAUGGCAAAGCGAGUAUUUAAUGCUAAUAGAUAAGAAAAAUACCAUUCCUAACUAGACUGAAAGUAAAUGACAAUCAAUAUAUUGAAAAGUGCAUAAUCAAAUGAUAAUUCGUCUUAAAAAAGAAAACAUUGAAACCCUAUCGCACAGCCGUAAGAGUUUAUUCAAAUAUUAAGCAUGACUUUUUAUCAAUAAUUUUCCACAAUUUUAAGAGAAAGACUUGCAAGAAGACUAUUUUAAAGCUUUCCAAGGAAUUCUAUAUUUCAGAAGCUUUUUUGAAAAUUUCGGAAUUUUUGAAUUUUUAAUUCUUCUAAUUCUUUAUAUCAUUUUUUUUAUAUUUUCGAUCUUUAAUAAAAAUAAUUUUUUAUUCCGAAAAUAGGGACUUGGCUGGGCACCAGGGCUCGGUCAAAAAACAGGGCUGCCUACUGACACCUCGUGGGUUUGGCGAACCAGGCUUUCAACAAGCUGCAUUUACAAAAUGAACUAAGCCCAUCUUUUGAAAUAAUUAUACUGAGCCCAAGCUCAACUAAAUACCAAAACUAGCCCACAUUUGCCAAGCUUCAACUUGAGUCCAAAGCCUACUAAUCCCAUCGCCUAAGAGGUCAGCCCAAAAUCUCUGAUUUCCCUUCCUCAUUCAUUCUGCCCUCCACGCCCCUCUCCAAUGUUCAGCCUGUCUUACGUUGUUCAGGUCCUCAUCGUCCGGCUCGGAGACGGCGAACGAGCGGGCGAGCUCGUGUCAAAUCGGGCUAAAUGGUAUGCUGCCUUGGUAUCUUCGAGCCGGGAUCCUCGGGCAGGGGAGGUUCGAACCGAAAAAGAGACUCACCAGCGACGCAGAGAUUUGGGGGGCGAAAGAUCGUGUGCUCGAGGGCGUCGGCCAGAGGUCGUCGGAGAGGGUUCGGGCGUGGCAGAGCUACUGGAGAACUCCUUCUCGCUCUCGAGUUUCACUCUCCUCCUCAGCUCUCGCUCGGAUCUCCCUCUGUUCUUCGAACCUUCCUCGUUCGAUUCUCGCGGCCGCGCGAGAGAGGAGCGCACUUGACCAGCCUCCCCUCCGGUCCUUCACCGCCGCGACGUCACCUCCUCCGCCGCCGGAAAGCUGCCACCGCCGAAGAUCUCGAGCACAGUCGCUUCUCUCUCGCUCUCUCUGGCUCCCACGAGCAGAUCUCCACCGUCUCCUUCUCGAGCAGCGCUUGCCCUCUCUGGUUUCCGGCCGAACCCCUCGAGAAGCAGCCCUCACCCUUUCUCUCCUUCUGUUUUCAGCCGAAGAAGAGGCCCUCUCGAUCUCGCUCCUUCUUUCUCUCCCGGUUUAACUGACCGGAUCUCUCUUUCUUCCCUCUUCUCUCCCCCCCGUUCUCUUCCUAGCUCUCCCCCUUUUGAGCUCGUCUCCCUCCAAGGACGGUGCCGGCUGCCGCCAGCCUGCUCAGACCGCGCGACAUUCGCUGUCCUCGCUCGCACGCUGUCCUUUUCCUCCUCAGCUCCCUGGCGACACCCCCGUUUUGUCCCCGACGCAUCGUCCAAAACAAGCGACGAGGGAGAGAGGAGGAAGAAGAAAUGGGGGCCGGGCUUGGGGAAGAGAGAAAGUGGGCCGGCCCGCUCGGGGGAAAAGAAAGGAGGGAAUAAAUAAAGGAGGGCCGGGCAGGCCCAGCCCUGGCCCGCCCAUAUUUGAUUUUUUUUUUACAAUAAUAAUAUUUUUUUGGAAUUUUUUUUCAAAAUGAUAAAAAAUUUAAAUUUCAUUAAGUUUUUCAAAUAUUUUUAAUAAUCACAAUAAUAAUACAAAUGUUUCCAAUGUCUGCGUGCGAUGCAUUUUAAGAACAAUUAUUUACCUUAUCUUUCGUUUUUUUGUGCCUAGAGAUUUUUUAUGCAAUUAAGUCCUAAAAAAAUAAGCAAAAUUUAAGUGUCAACAACCUUUACACAAAAUCCCAACAUAGUUCUUCUAGCCAAUUGACCUUAAUGUAACGUCCAAUUGACGACCUUUCGACACAGCAUGCUAACGUGCACAAUUGUCUUGUCAGUGAUAUAUGGCAGCAAUUAAUUAGAAGAAUUACAUUAGAAUUCCACAUAAAGAUUUAUGAAUAUAUUAGUAAGAUUGGAAAUUUUAUUACUAAAUUAACAUCCAUACAAUAGGUUUAAAAUUGAAUUGGUAAAUUUUUCCCACUCAAUUUGGGUUGGAUUCAUUUAAUGAGUCAAAACUUGAAACAUAUCCUAACAAUAUCUUGUUGCUUCAAGAUCUACUAUUGCGAAUUUUGAGUGUGGUCAAGCUCAAACAUUGUCAGAUCAAAUUGAACCAUUCUUGUAGACAAUUAAUCAAUUCAAACAAAUAUAAAGAUCAAUGGCAUCACGGCAUCUCUCAUUCCAUGUUCAUAUCACACUAUGAUGAGAUCUUAUUAAUUAUUAAUUUUCUUAGAGCUGAUGCAUCAUGAGACAAUAAAAACUCUGGUUAAUUUCUGAAUGCGUAUUGAUCAUACCUAAGCCUACAAUCGCAAAGCUGAAGUCGCGCCCCAAUGUUGUAUGGGCACACUCUCUUGAUUUCCGUGUGGGCAAAAUUCAUGCAGUCGGCAGGUGUCAGCGCACCGUUGCACUUGCCGUGGCCGAAGCACUCGGCAUGGAAGAAAGAAGCGUGGGUGUUGUAGUCGAACCCCUUUUCCACGGUGUUGAACCUCAGAUGGAUCAGGACGGUAUCCAUUGCCUCAGCAUAAUGUUCCCAUUCUGCGUACUCCUCUUGCAUGCCCUGUCCAUAAAAGUCACAUCCAGUUCACUACUAAUGAUACAAAGAAGACAACGUGAAAGUACGAUGAGCAGGACCCGAUAUUCUGCGAUGUGGACAUGAUGAUAGCGAUCGCUGUCUUCCCCUCUAAUUCUCUCGCGUUUAUUAGAGGGAAACACACAAACUGAGUUGGGUAUAAAAAGGGCUCACUUCUCAUAGGUCCUCAGUCAUUGAUUCAUUUGGUUUUAAGAGUCUUUCUUAGUCGUUAUGAUCAAUAUUAGACAUGAUAUGGGGGGCAACAAUUUGUGCCAAAUUUUUCAGAAAUCUUGGUGGAGUCUUCAUUGGAUCAAAAGGGUAUUGCUCCUCAAUCUAACUGGUUAAUUUGUCACAUAUAAUAUGAGUUUGUUGACGUCUUGGCAAACCAUACUCUCGUAUCCUUAUAUAUAUUAUAAAGUGGGAAUUUAUGUAUAAUAGCCAGCUUGUGCUUGCACAAUAUAUGAUCCCUUGUCAUGCCAGUCGAAUGAGAAAAUUCCUUUUCCCUACACCAAACAUAUACUCGAGUAUCAUUUCAAAUUGAAAUUGGACAAUUAAAAAAAAAUUAAUGUUAUAAAAUUAGGCAUAGACAACCCUAGCCAUAAGCGUGCAUCCACACACGUAGAUAUUUAUAUGAAAUUAAUACGUAAUCGAUCGCAAAUCGAGUUUUGAACAUUGAGUAUUGGGGUUGAGUGGAUCUUGACUUGGGCACUAUUGCGGCUCGUUUAGACAACUAGGGCCCAGCCAUGUUGACACUAAAUUUGUCUAAUUGGAGCUGAAGUCUCCAUUGAAGCGGUUGAGAAUUCUCACGUGCAAAACUUGAGUUUGAGGUUUUCAUUACUCACGAUUUCGUUGGGAUCUUCAUCAUGCAAGUAUUAAGUCCCCAUAUUAAGCAACUAGCAAGAUACAUGGGCCUAAGAUUAUAUUUGUUAUAUUACUCUAAAUAUUUGUGUUGACAUCAAUUUUUGCGAGAAAACAAUAUAUUGAAAAUGAUGGCAAUAUAUAUCUUCAUAUCAAUCAAAUCUUCGCUAGAGUUUAUGUGUAGUUUUAUUUAAUAAAGUGGACUCGAACCGCAUCAUGUAGUUUCGAGAUGUGGAAUUGCAAUAUACAUCAAACAUAAUAUACGUGCACGUUGUCAAUCAAUAAGUCGUUUAGGACCACAUUCAACCGCAUUCAUUGUAUUUCCAUACAGACCAUAAAGGUUAUACUGCUGUCCGUUGCAGAUUCUGUUCAGCAUGGUUGAGUCUAGGGUACCCCCACCGUGGUGCACAGAGAAAGGAGCCCCAUAAUUAUGCCUACGACCCCUUGAAACGUCAGCAUGAUGUUAAUAUACGUGAUUUGCCUAUGUCUCAAGUAAAUAUUUCUCUGUAAGUUUAAAAAUCAGCCAGUUUUGACUACAUAUAAGGGGGUCGACUCCAUAGGUUGGGCCGCUACUCUAAUGUCGAUGAAAGAGGUGAAAGCGUCCUUGAUUAUUCAAUUGUCUUCUCUCUUGAAUGUUCUUGGCCAAAAAGAGAUUCACAACUUCCUCGAUUCACUCGUCCUUGUCUAUGCUUUUGUAGUAUAUGGUUAGAUAAGCAUGAAAUAGGUUGGAUACUCUUUAUGAUCAAGAAUAAUAUGCUUCACCCUACAAUAUCAGUUGCUUCUAAAUUUGUCCUGAUUUUACUGUUAGUGAAAAUCGUCCUUGUCUAUGCUUUUGUAGUAUCCGGUUCGAUAGGCAUGAAAUAGGUUGGAUACUCUUUAUAAUCAAGAAUAAUAUGCUCCACCCUACAAUAUCAGUUGCUUUAAAUUUGUCUUGAUUUUACUGUUAGUGAAAUUAACGCAAAAAUUUGACAGGAUCUUGGAAUCAAAUCAAUGCGAAGCCAGAGCAGCAAAUGAGGAACAAUCAAGGACAUAAAAAAUUUAAAUGAUUUAAUCUAAGUAUUGAUAUUUACUCCAUAAGGAGAGUCGAUAGCAAAUAAUCUAUUAAUAAUCGAAAAAUUAAAUUUACAAUAUCCUAUACACUCGAGUGUUUUCCAUGCUUAGAUUAAGUCCAAACCCACAUUAUUUACAAAUAAAUAAUUUAAUUGGAUGUACAGCUCACAGCACGAAUCUCUCGAUGUUUUGUGGCCUAAGAAAGAGCUUCACUGCCGCUUGAAAAGAUCAGAGAAAACCCAUGCACCAUUUCUCUUCCCAGUGUGGGCCGGCCCAUCUCUAUUUCUUCCGGCCCGGCCCGCUCAUCCCUUUUCUUCUCCUUCCUUUGGACAAUGGCCUGAGAACAAAAGAAAGAAAAAACCAAGAGAGGGAGCGUAGAGAAGGACGGGGAAGAGGACAGAAAGGACGGGGCGCUAGCUCGCAUUUGCACAACCGUGAGGUCCCCCCUCCCGCACCGACGCCCCACCAGCAUAUGCACUGAUCUCCGGCGACACUCUCAGCGACAGCGAGCUUCAGGAUUUCUGACGCUGCGAGCCUCAGGUUUUUCGACGCUGGUCAGGACCGUGACACGCCUCAGAUCUCCACCAUCAAGGCGUCCCCACAGUAGAGUUCACCAAGCUCGACCGCUUAGCACCAUAGCCACCGCUCCAGCAAAAUGGACGAGUUGCCACCUUCCCCCGACGCCACCUGAACGCCAUAGCCGCUGCAGUAACAAGCUCCCGCCAAGCUUAUCCUGGCAACCUCGCUGUGACUCGCCCCUGCUCCAACUCGUUUUUCGUCAGCCACACAGCAUGGACGCCGGCUUUGCAAGCUUGUUAUGUAAUCCUUUUGAGCAAUGUGGCCCUAAAUCUAUAUGCUAGUUUCAGCUAUAUAUAAAGGGGUCGAUUCCAUAGGUUGGGCCACUACUCUUAUAUCAUUACAUCAGUGCAAAUGUUGAUGAAAUAGGUGACAACGUCCUCGAUUUUUCCAUCGUCUUCUCUCUUGAAUAUUAUUAGCCAAUAAAUUCACAACUUCCUCAAUCUACUCGUCCUUCUCUAUGCUUUUGUAGUAUAUGGUUUAAUAGGCAUGAAAUAGGUUGGAUACUCUUUAUGAUCAAGAAUCAUAUGGUCCAUCUUACAAUAUCAGUUGCUUCCAAAUCUGUCCAAAUUUUACUGUUAGUGAAAUUAACGUAGAAAUUAACAAGAUCUUGAAAUUAAAUCAAUACGAAAAUUGCCAAAACAAUAAAACAAGAAACAAUCAAGGACACAAGAAAUUUAUAUGAUUCGAUCCUAGCAUCGGUACUCAGGGAGAGCCAACAACAACUAAUCUAUUAAUAAUUGAAUAAUCUAAACAAUAUCCCAUACACUUGAGUGUUUCUCAUACUUAGAUUAAGUCCAAACCCACAUUAUUUACAAAUAAAUAAUUUAAUUGGAUGUACAGCUCGCAGCACGAAUCUCUCGAUGUUUUGUGGCCAAAAGAAAGAGCUUCACCGUCGCUUGAAAAAAUCAGAAAAAAACCCAUCCACUAUUUCUCUUCCCCCGUGCGGGCCGGCCCAUCUCUUCUUCUUCCGGCCCGGCCCGCUCAUCCCUUUUCUUCUCCUUCCUUUGGGCAUUGGCUCGAGGACGAAAGAAAGGAAAGAGCAAAGAGGGAGGGGACGUAGAGAAGGUCGGGGUAGAGGACAGAAAGGACGCGCCUCAGAUCUCCACCAUCAAGGCGUCCCCGCAGCAGAGUUCACCUAGCCCGACUGCUUAGCACCAUAACCGCCGCUCCAGCAAACCGGACGAGUUGCCGCCUUCCCCUGCCGCAGCAACAAGCUGCCGCCAAGCUUAUCCUAGCAACCUCACUGUGACUGCCCCUGCUCCAACUCGUUUUUCAUCGACCACCCAGUGUGGACGCUGGAUUUGCAAGCGAGCAUCCCGUCGUCUCCGGUGACCACCUCAACUAGGUUGACGUCGGUCCCUGUCCGAGAUCCUGACGCUGACGCCUCGCUGCUGCGCCAUUAGAGCCAGCCACGUGUAUUCCACCGCCACCGUGGUCGCGUUGCAUCGACGGUUACCCCAGCGUCACACGUUGUCAAGCGUCACCUCGAGCAAGCACCACCACCACCGUGGCCGAAAGUCAAGCAGUAACACGAUCCACACACUGAGACGUGCCACCGCGAGGUGACGCUGCUGCACCAGCACCUCGAGCUUGCCCUUUUUUCUUUGUGUUUUGCAGAUCUUCCAGCGAAUAUCCAGUGAUCCCGGUGGAUAUCUAACGUGCCGGAAGCCUCCACAUCACGCCGUGAUCCCCGACGUGUGAGAUCGUCCUUGCCUAGCCGCCACAACUGGAUCUUUCUUGUUGCAGGUUUUCUUCAGUCGAGUUGUUGUCCAACCCCGAGACUUCCGACGAGAAAGACACCAGAAAAAAAGAAGGGAAGGGCAACGAGCAUACUUGAGCCAAAUCAAUUCUUGUGUUUUGCAGGUUCACGGUGGUGUUGCUCCUACACGCUGCCAGUUGGACCUCCGGAAGACUUGUUGUUGCCUCUGGUUGGUGAUGGCUCCUGCUAUGCCGCGAAUUUUCAUGCUGUCCGUUGGUGUUCCUUGCUGUUCUGAGACAUGUCUUGCUCCGGCAAGCCCCGAUCCAGUCCGAUUCCGGUUAAAGUUACAAGCGUCCAAAUUAGGUGACGAUUUUGUCCAAUUUGAUUUGAAACUUUAAUCGCUAAUUUUGGAUUGAUUUCAUUAUCUUAUUACAAUAUUUGAGAAUUUAUGUGUCAUCCAGUUAAGGCAGGCAUUAUUGAUAAUAGUCAAUUUAAUUUUUAAUUUGAUCCGUUAAGAUUUCUGAUCAUUUUUUUAAUUACUUCGACUUAAUAUUAGAUAACUGUUGUGCCUAAAAAUCGUGAUAAUUUUAAUUUAACCCAUGAGACAAUGGGUUAUUUUUUCAGAUUAUCACAAUCUCUUAAUUUGAAUUUUUCAUGAAUUGCGCGUGUGGAUUAAGUGAGAUCCGAUCCUUAACUUGGAGGACUGCCGUGUUCUGAAAAUACCACAAAAAAUCAUCCUAGAAUGGAUUAGAUUCCUUUUCUUAGUACAAAUUACAUGUUUGAAUUAGGGAAUUUUUUUAAUUACGAAUUUUAAUCAAAAAGACCAAAAAUAUCAUGUGCUUGUUAUCUAGUUUUAAUUUCAUGUCUAUCUGCUAUGUCAUGUCUUGUGCAUGUCAUAUAGUUUUUAGUUGCAUCAUCAUUAUGCCACGUCAUCGUGCAUACCAUCAUGCCACAUCAUGUGCCCUAUCCAUGUCACCACAUAUGUCAUGUCAUCAUUCGCAUGCCAUUUAGUGAUUGUAUGUUAGGGUUGUUAAUUUAGAACGCAUGUUGUGCUAGGAAAAAAUGCAUAUUGAUUACUUCUUGUCCUUAGAAUUAGGACAUGUAGUCGAAUAUCAUCACUUCUUUACAUCAUUGCAUUUAGAGUAAGCUCACAUUGCAUAAAACAUAAUUUUCAGUAAACAAGAAAAAACCCAAAAAUAAUUGGUUGAAACAGUGUGUUAAUUAGAAACCAUAUAUAGAUUGAAUGUGUUUUUUUUUUCUAAUUAACCUUGUAGAUGCUUACGUUGCUUUAAGAUAAGUAUCAUUUCGUUAAUGAUUACGUACAUGCAUGAUCACGUCAUAUAUUAGUAGAUAAAUUUAAAAUCAAUCUAGACUGACAAAAAUCUUUUUGAAAUGAACAAUAUUAGAUAUUAAAAUGGCACUAAUUGAUUAAUUAGUGUAAUCAAAUCUCUGAUCCUAGAUUCUUUGAUUCAUAGAAAUUGAGAUAUAGUUCCAUACCUCACUUGAUUUCCAACCGAUUCCAGUAGGCUAGUGACAACUCCUCAUUAAAAAAAAAAUUAUAGCUUCAAUUUGGCUUAAUAUUGAAUACCUCAAUGUCACGUGAGGUGUGGCCAUGGGAGAGUCCACACCUAAUUGAGGGUCGUAGGCCCAACUUUUAAGAAAUAUGUCUAAAUCUAUUUUCCUUCCUAUUGAGGGGUAGGUCGCAGUAGUGUUUCCUUUUUUUUUUUUUUUUUUUAAUGAAGACGUCCACUCUGCGACAUUUAAACAAACCACAUCUUGAUCGGUCAAACUAGUCGAGAAGUGAACGUUUAUCUUCUCCAACACAAUUAAGAAAAAAAAAAUCCUUUGUGCCAAAGAGAUAAAACAAAAUCUGCAACUUCCUUAUUUCAAGACCACUUCUCACCGUCAAUUUGAAUUGACUCAGAUUUGCCUCGAACGCCUAGUUCUCGCUACAAUAUAUGGAGUAUAUAUCUUCUAUUCAUAUCGGAUUUCAUAAUACUCAAACUCGAGAUAUAAUUUAAUACUUACAAAGUGGAGGAGUUAUUGCAUGGAUCGAUGAGACACGGUGAGUAAAAAUAUAAAUAACAUGAGUGUUUGCAUAUAACCAUGACAAAUUCGAUAAAAGAUUAAGCAUUAUUGAGAUGCAACUAUAAGUUGUGUUAGAAAAUGCAUGGAGUAGUUAAGAUAUCAUGAUUCGUCCAUACCACAAAGGCUUGAUUUUUUAAGUGAAAGUUGGUCUAAUUGGAUAUAUUAAUAAGCUUAAAUUUAGGCUCCUUUUUUGCAAUCCGCCUAGAAGAAGCUGCGCAUUUCCAAUAAAUGAUAUCAUAUACUAGUAUUUUCCAAUAUGUUGACUGCUUGUGUUAAACAAAUGAGUUGACUGCGGAAGGUUUUACUCAUGGGACUCUCUGCUUUCUUUAUCUCACUUGCCAUCAGUUCGUCUAGUGCCUUUCGAUUGGGGUCCACUUUGGGUAGCCUCCUGCUUGAUCAAUUUCUCGGAGUUGGAAGCUGGCAGUACCUCGACUUAUAGAGUCAGUAGUUGGACAUAUUUUGGGGAGUUGCCAAGAGGUCUGAAUUUACACGAGAAAUCACAGGUAUGUAGUUCAAUAAUUUUAUUUUCUCGUUCCUCACCGAUUAUUAACUAGUAGCCCACUCCUAGUGUAUAUCUAUAUUCGGUGAAUAUCUCAAAAAAGGAAUUUCAUGACCAAUGCAACUUUCUAGCAGCCUUGAUGGUUCACUCUAGUGGAAGAGACUUGGGGUAAAAGUGAACGUUCCAUUGUAACAAUGCGAUCAUGAUGAUAGCUCAUAAUUCGGUGGAGAAAGAGAGCAAAAAUGAAGGUGAGUGUUGAAGAUUUAAGCUUAAGACAUGUUGAUGUAGAAGGGUACCUAGAUUAAAGGAGAGAAGACCUAUACUAACCUCACACAUGAGAUUUAGUUUAAAUUUUCCAAUUUGCAUAUUGACGAAAUCCCCCUUCAACUACUGAACAGAAGUUAAAUUGGGGUUUGAAAAAGAAGGAUCAUUUUCUGAAGAAAACUGAUAACGUGGUCAAAUUUAACUUCAAUAAUAAAAAGUUUCUAGAUGAGGUGUGACUAAUAGGGAUUUUUGCAAGUCAUAACGACUUGAUUGAUGAGGUGUGGUCAAAUUUAGUCAGGCUCCAACUUGAGCUACUCGAGUAUCUUGUCAAAUUGAAGUUCAAACUUGCCAAUACUUUGCUUAGCAAGCUUGUUAGCCUAAUCUUGACUAAUUUGUCCAUUGCCUUAUAUCAUAAUCCUAUAGUACAUUUUAACAAUAGACAUUAGAAUUUCAUGAAAUUUUUAAACAAAAGUCUGGAAUUCAUGUCUAUCGACUUCGAAUGUUGAUUACUUUCUAUUUAAUUGAGAAAACUUUGUACUUGUCAAGAUCUAGCACUGCUAAUUUUGAUUGGGGUCAAGCUCAAACAUUGUUAGAUCAAAUUGAUCCAUAAUGGUAGACUUAAUCAAUUUUAACAUAUGCAAAGAUCAAUGGCACUAACGAAGCCACUCAUGUUCCACAUUUAUAGUACUCUUGUGAUGAAACCUUAUUGAACUAUAGAUUUUCAUAAACGUGCCACCAUUAUGAUAUUGGACAUUUUUCCAAUACAAGCUUGGGUUAUUUCCUAAGCUUGAAUUGCUCGUACCUAAGUCCACAAUCGCAAAGCUGAAAUUGUACGCCAAUAUUAUAUGGGCACACUCUCUUGACUUGUAGGUGAAAUCCACGCAACUAAUAUAUUCUGUGUGCAUCAGUGCACCUUUGCAUGCACUGUGGCUGAAGCACGCGGCAUGGUGGAAAGAAGCAUGGGUGUGGUAGUCAAAACCCUUUUGCAUGUUGGCAAACCUCAGAUCGACCAGGACGCUAUCCCGUGCCAAGGAAUAACUGUCCCAUUCGUAGUAUUGCCCUCCAUCGCACACCUUGUAGGCAGGAGUCACGUCCGGGUCACUUCUAAUGAUGCAAAUACAUCACGAAAGUACUAAGAGAAGGACUGUGAUUGUCGAUGUUGUGGACACGACAACGGGGUUCACUGUCUUUCCCUUCAAUUCUCUUCUGUUUAGAAUACAAAAAUCCCGGAAUUGAGUCGGGUAUAAUAAGGGCUCAUUUCUCAUUGGGUCCGCCGGUCAUUGAUUGAUUAGGUUUUUCAUAGCAUCUUGGUGAAAUCUUCAUUGGAUCAGAAGGCUUUUGCUUCUCUGCUCAAUCGGUGACUUUGGCAUAUAUAUUAUAUAACACAAGUUCAUCGAAGUCCUUGCAAUCCAAAUUUUCUCAUGUCCUUGCGUAUUAAAAUGAAAAUUCGUGUAUAAUAGCCAACUUGUACUCGCAAGAUAUAUUUCGUUGUCACACUAGUCAUGUUGGUAAAAUUACUAUGUACCCAAUAUAUACCCUUUCCCUCUAUCAACGAGCAUAUGCGAAAACCUAGUUGGAGUGAAAUUAAGUCAAGCUCUCAUGAGUGGUCUGGUCUUGGGUUGAUGAUUACUUGAGAAGGGCUCGACUGAUUUCCAGUCAAGCUCUAGCAGGAAAAACUCGAGUAUCUUGUCAAAUUGAACUCAGGGUUGCUAAUACUCAGCUCAACAAGCUUGUGAGUCCAAUUCAAAAAAAUUAAUUGCUAUAAAGUUAGACAUGGACAUCCGUAAGUAACCACACACACACAUAUAUAUAUAUGCAUGAAACACAACAAUACCUCAACUUUUUAUUUGAAUCAAGCUCCAGCGGGAAAAUUAUAAUUGAUUGAGCUGAAAUCGAGUUCCAAACAGAGUACGGGAGUUUUAGUCUAUCUUGACUUGGGCGACCUGUUUAGACACUUAAUGCCCAGCCUUGUUGACACUAGAUUCGGGUAACUGGAGCCAACAUGUUCAUCGAAGCAAUUGCAGAUCUCAUAUGCAGAACUUGAGCGCAAGGUUCUUGUUGAGAAAUCUUAUUAUAAUGAUAUGGAUGCGAUCUUCAUUGUGCAACUUUUAAGUGCCUUGAAUCUUUUAAUCCUCUAUAUCAAGCAACUAGCUAGAUAUAAAAUUGGAAUACUUAUUGAAUUAUAAUAUAUGCACAUGCUUUGAAUCAAGAAGAAACACGAAAGCACUAAGAAUGUCCAUUCCUUUCUCUUAAUAGCUUUUCUGCAUUUGUUGGAAUAUCCAUGCUAUCCAAAUGUGGAAAAGGCGGGCAAGUUAUUUAUGCAUAAUCUUCUUGAGAGCAAAAUUAAUAGUUUCUUCUAUCCUCCAUUUGCUACUUUCAAAAAUUAGGAUCUUUGGAGUUUCAUUAUAGUCGAAAAGAAUGGUAGAUUCUAACUUUAUCUCGGUGCCAGCUUUUAAUAAUGGAAUUUUGAUGCUUUUCUAAUGAAAUAUCGACUUUUAUUACCAUCUUGUUUCGUUGAUUAACCCUCAACAUCACAUUCUCAAAGUGCACACAAGCAAAGUGUAACCAAACCCUCUCCUAGAUCUAGCGAAUGGCAAGGCUGGACCACAGCCGCCGCUCGCCCUUGUGUAGUGGUAGUGCACUGGGGACGAGAGUAAGACAUGUGGGGUUUGGCUGGUCCUAGGUCCUUGUGUUUAUUGGUGCACCGCUACCACGAGAAAGCAAUAGCAAGUAAUCCUCAUCGUUCAGACCAAAAAAAGAAAAGUAAUCAAUCCUCUUCGUAGCCCAUAAAUGCGUGCUUGUGCUCGACGCCGCAGUAAGGGUGGCGAUGGCACCACCAAAUUUAUUUUUUUCAAUAGCUAUUUUGGGCACCACAUUAGCAUUUGCUCGGUGCCUUAUCGAUCUCAACUGACGUAAUUUUUUUUUUUUUGAAAAUGCCACGUUAUAUUUUGUUCACUAAAAAUGGAGGAGAUAAUGGGAAGUAAUUGACAAUUUUUUUAAAACAAAUUUUAGGAAUUGCUAGCACCGCUUGUAAGUUUGAAUUAGUUUGUACUUACACAUUGCUUAAUUGCACAUUUUUUUUUUAUUUAUAAAUUUUACAUCUGUGAUAUAACUAUAUCUGUAGCACAUUUGUCUGUUUUAUUUUUAUGGUUUAACUGAUAAAUGAAAAUAUCAAUAGAUGAAAUACAAGACUAGUGUUGUACUUAUUUCAUUUGAUAACCAAAUUAGUUGUUAGCUCUCCCAAAUGAAAACCAGCCUAAAGUUCUCCCUUGAAGCAACUUCCACAUGUCACUUCAUCGCAACAUGUGCUAUUGUGCCAGAGUUGACAUAUUCGGGCAAAGUAGUCACUGGUCAGUCUAUCAAUUCGAAGCAUCCAUCAUGCAACCCUAUUGGUCGCCCCAAAUGAAAACCAGCCUAAAGUUCUCCCUUGAAGCAACUUCCACAUGUCACUUCAUCGAAACAUGUGCUGUUGUGCCAGAGCUGGCAUAUUCGGGCAAAGUAGUCACUGGUCAGUCUAUCAAUUCGAAGCAUCCAUCAUGCAACCCUAUUGGUCGCUCCAAGUUACGUGCACAAUCUCAGCCAUCGAAUAAAAAGAAAAUUGAUCUCAACCGUUGGACGAUAAGGCUUCUUGACCAUGUGAUAAAGACAAAUUUAUGUCAAUAGUUGGAUUCAUCAUGAGCCGGGCUAUAUCACCAUUGCCUUAAUCAGUGUGUAAAGUGUGGUUUGGAUUCUCUAGCUUUACAAUCUUGAAAUGAAGCAAUCAUCACUAAUUAAAUUUGUAAUAGAUAAUUAAUGUGGAAAGGAUCUCUCGUGCUUCUCCAAGUUCUGGCCGAUUUAACUUGUACUAUAGAACUAGAAAUGCAGAACAAUGACAUGGUUUUGCUAUGGAAAGGGUGGUGGAAAAUUUGUAAGCAUUACUCCAUUGGUCAUGUGCACCUCAUAGUUUUCAAAUAUGAAGGGAACUCCUCUUUUUACCUAUUAUUAUUCAGUGAGAGUGCUUCGAAGAUUUUAUAGUAACAUACAAUUGUACAAAAAUGCAAUCAAUAAUUUAAACUAAGCACGCAAUGCAGUUAAAUUGUGAAACAUUUGAAAGGCUAGUUAACAAGUGCAUGAAUUCAAUCAAACAUAGGCAUGGUUUUAGCAUUUAAUUAAACAAGAUUAGCUUAGAUUGACAUGUGGUUCCAAAGUUAUGGCACCCUAUCACUCAAUUUCAUUCCUCGGUAAGGGAAUCUUACUAUAUCAAAACAUAGUAAUAUAGACAAGCCGUUGUCACAACCUACCCUCUGUAUGGAGAGAAAUAUAGGUUUAAGGGUAUUACCUAAAAGACGAGCCUAUGGCCCUAGUUUUAAACACAGGCUCUCCUAAACUCACACGUCGCACGAUGUUGGAUAUUCAAAUUGAUGCUAUGAGAAUUUUCUAAUAAGGAGUCGCUACUAACUUAUUAGGAUUGGCUAAAAACCAAGUUGGGUAUGAGAGUGUACUUACUUUUUAUGCAACUAGAGAAUUUAUGGUCAAUAACUUGAUUACACUAAUUAAUCAAUUAUUGCAAUUUCAUCUAAUAUUGUUCAUUUUAGAAAGAUUUUUGUAAGGUAAUCUAGAUUGAUUUUAAACAUAUCCACUAACAUAUGAGAUAAUCAUGCGGUUGCCCAACCAUUUAAAUAACAGUAAGCAACCAAAGGAGCAUUACAUAAAUUAUAGAAAAAACAAGUGCUAGUGCUAAGGAAUAAGUACCGGUCCUAACAAAGCAAAGGGAAACCAUAAUCAUUUUGAAAGUACGCAAUCAAGGGCAUACGUUUCUAAGGACUAUCGAAAUCCUAGGGUAGAGCCCUAAGGACUUGGCCAACUUUGAGCGCGAUUUUUUAUCAAAAGGCUUCCACUUUCUAAAAGAAUAUUACUCGAAAACUAUUUUAAAGCUUUUCGAGGAGUUCUAAUUUUUUUGGAAUUUUCUAAAAUUUCUAUGAAUUUUCAAAUUAUUAUUGAAAUUUUUAUAUUUUUAUGCAUUUCCUGAAUUUUCUAAUUUUUUUAAAUACUUUUAAUUAUUAUUUUUAAUGAAUUUUAUUAUUAUAAAAAAUGAAUUCGGACCGGAUCAAGAGACCCGGCCCGACUAAGCCGACCUGAACCCUAUCGGUCCAGGUUGGAUUUUGUCAAGAGAAAAAAAAAAAGGGCCUCUCCAAGGCCCACCCCCAAAUUAACCCAAAAAAAGGCCCAUGAAAGCUUCUUUUGUUCAACCUACUCACAAUUCCCCCCCAAAAAACAAAAGGAUAAAUAAAUAAAGAAACCCAACCCAAAGCCCAUUAUAAACUUAAGCCUGAUAAACCCAAAUUUCAGAAAAAGCCCCAAAGCCCAAUAAACCUAGAUGAGCCCAACAGGCCAAAAAUUCACCCCACGGCCCACUUUAAUGCCAACCUAUUUUCUCCCGAGCGUCUGCCCCAUUUUUCCCUAACUUUGGACUCUUCACAGAGCCAUUCCCAAUCAUUAAGCUCUCUUCUUCCUCUUUUUUUUCUGUUUCAACGUCGAGGCUCGAAGGAAAACACUAAAAGAGAACUUCAUUCGUAGACAAGGAUCUCAAGACAUUAAACGAACGUUCACAGUUAUUUUCUACCGCCUUAAGCACGGCAACAACCAAGAAACACGUAUCCAAAGAAAGUUUGGAUUUGGCCACGGCAACAACGAAAUCUGAAUAAAAUCAUCCUCCAUGAUCCAUAAAGGAUUUCUUUCAUCAGAACAGGAGCAUACUCAUUCUGAAUGAUCUGAAAAUCACGGUUAAACCACAUUGACUUAGUUCAAGCGUUUCAUCAAACAUGUGGUGAGCACUGACUUGGGGGGAGAGGACAUCAACCCAUUUUCAGGACCCGCUCUGAUCCAGACCUAGGGAAAUCACCAAGAAAUGCUCAACAUCAAACAAAUCGACUCGGUUGGACGCAGAAAACUCAAGGAUCGGAGAAAACUCGCCCGGCUAUUCUAUCACUAAAACAGGGCAGUGCUAAAAGGGCUCGUGGGGAUGAGUUUCGGUCACAAAAACCCCUACUCGGCUCGAAGACGGCGGCGCGAGGGCCAAUUCGAGAAGAAUCGAACUUCGGUCGGCCGCCUCGCAAUGUCUCCGAGCCGAGAUCUUCGGGAACGACUGGGUUGAACAAAGGAAACUCACCAGAAAUGCAGAGGUUUGGUAAACGAGAAGUCGAGUGCUCGAGGGCGUCGGCAAUUGGCGUCGAGGAUGGGCCAGUGACGCUCGACCUAGGCAGCUUCUGGCUCUCUCGCUCUCCGUCUCGCUCUCACUCUCUGUCCCUCUCUCUCUCUUUCUCUGUCGCUCUGUGUCAGCCGAAGGACCAGCCCCCUCUCUCGGUUGCUCUCCCUUUGGCCGAACAAGCAAAAAACAAGCCCCUCCUUUUAUGCUCCGGCGCGCAUGGGAUGUGGCGUGCCAGCUGCCUCUGGCCAGCCUGCCCCCGGCCGAGCGUCUCGCGCGAUCGCUCGCCCUGUUCUCCCCGUCCUUCGUCGCGCGCGUCGUCCUUUCUGUCCUUUUGGUCGUUCCUCAGCUAGCGUCCAAGGGAGGGGAAAGGAGGAGGGGAGAGGCUGGGCCGGGAAAGAAAUGAAAAGGAAUGGGCUGAGCCGGCCCAGGUUGGGAGAGAGGCUGCGGUUUUUUAAAUUUAAAAAAUUAAUUUUUAUUUUUUUUUAAAUUUUGAACACUAGUAAUGCAAAUGCUCUUAAAGUAUGCAAUUUAAUGAAAACACGAUGCAUUUUAAUGAAAAUUAUUUACUUUACUUUUCACUCUUUUUUUAGAGACUAAUCCCUAAUUUUUUUAUGAGAUUAAAUUCUAAAAAAAAAGAAAAAUUUAGGUCUCAACAGUCUUAUAGUGACUUGAAAAAAAUUAAUCGAGAGAUGAAGAAGAGAAAAGUGUUGUAACAAUUAAUAUAGAGGAAUGGCAAGAAAAAAAAUACUUCUAGACCUCAAUCAAGUUAGGCCCACUAGCAAACCAGGCCACAUGCCGACAACGAACCGGGCAUGUCUUGAUCAAGGGCAAGGCCCAAUCCUAGUCACAAAUCAAGGUCUGUGUAGUUUUUGCUCUAUUUAAUGAUGAUCAUUAUUUAAAGAAAGUUCUCGCUCUCUACGUGUGAAAAACUUAUUUAUAAGAGAGAAGUGUUCGAUCUACUGAGAAUGCAAAUGACACUAAUUAGACUAUAAAUUAAUGAUUUAAAGGGAGUUCUCAAUUUUCUUCCUUUUUUCACCUCUGAAUUCUUCUCAAUACAUCAGAAUCUGUGUCUUUUCUUCUUCAAAAUGGAGGAGUCGCCAUGAAUAUCCCUUGGACACAAAGCUGAACGGUGCUUCUUACAAUUGGCAAAGAAAACGUCCCUAGUAUCAUGAAAAAUUGAUGGAAAAUCUGGACCAGUGGAGUCUCCACCUUCGACAAAUGCCCUGAUUCUUACUUUGCUUAAGGUUGUCCAUUGUGGCAAGGAAUCAUGUUCAAGCAUGGUAUGAUUCUAGAGAGAGAGAGAGAGAGAGAGGGAGGGAGAGAGGGGGGGGGGGGGGGCUUCAACAGGCCUUUCUGACGUAACCUUCAAAACCGAAAUGGGCCAAGGCUUUGCAUGCAUGCUAGGGCCUUAAUAAAAGAUCACAUUAAUCCAUACCACGAUGGCUUAACAACUAAAUUAGAUGUUGCUUUGAAAUUUAAAGUGAAUAAAGAUAGAAUUUUUCAAUUGAUUAUGGCAUUAGAUGAAGAAUAUAAAAAAAUAGCUAAUUUAUGACAUGAACGAAGUCUCUAAAUGGCAAUUGCCGGCAAAGCAGUGAAUCAAAAGGAAAGGGUAUGCAAAAAAACAGAAAAGUUACUACUAAGAUUUAGAUUUGAUAGUACUCGUUCCUCAUGCAACUCAAAGCAGGCAGAAAAAAGGAGAAGGUAAAGUGCCUUAACAUUCAAAGAUCUUAGCCUAUACUUUCGCUGUCCAUAAUAUCAACAUUAAAGUUAUUAUUUAAAAAAAAACAGUCAUGUAUUAUCAUUGGAAAUCCCAUCAUUAAAGAUGCAAUAAUUUGAAUUGACAUUAGAUAGUGAGGUGUCCCAUCUCCCUCUCAAGUCUACCUUUAAUAAAGAUGCUUUAUAAAAGAGCUAAAAAGAUGAAAACGUUGAUUAUCUUCAUCCCAUGUCUCUCUCGAGUUUGCCUUUAAUAAAGAUGCUUUAUAAAAGAGCUAAAAAGAUGAAACCGUUGAUUAUCUUCAUCCCAUCUCUCUUGAGUGCAACUUUGAUAAAGAUGCUUUAUUUAAAAAGCUGAAUAAACAAAAGGCAUUGAUUAAAGCAAGAAAAGGUAAAGCACCUUAAUAUUUAGAGAUGCUAGUUUAUACUUUCGUUUUCUAUGAUAUCCUUAUUAAAAUAUCUAUUUCUAGGAAAGUAGUCAUGCAUCAUCCUUAGAAUCCUAUAAUUAAAGAUGCAAUAAUUUUAAUAGACAUUAGGUAGGUAGUGGGAUGUCUCAUCUCUCUCGAGUCCACCUUUAUAAAGUUGCUUUAUAAAAAAGCUGAAAGACCAAGUGUUGAUUAUUUGUAAAUGACUUAGCAUAAGCAAAAGAUGUUUGCUACAAUAUGGAAAUAAAGCAAUAGAUUAAUGAUAAGCCAACUUGGUUGGGAAAUAUGGGUGUCCGUUGGCAAUUAUUUUUAGAAUAAGGAACAUCGUUCACUCAUUCGUGAAGGUUAGUAUGACAUUUUCUCUUUUUCUUAUUUUCACAAUUUUUUAAGUCGAAAUAGCUCAUCUUUUCUAUAUUUUCUAAUUUUUCUCAUUCAAUGUGCUUAUAUUAUGGUCUUUUGUAUUCAUACACUGCUUGUUCAAAUAUACAUGCGGCAUAAAAUUCUCUUUGCAUUCUUUAAGGGAUCUAUUAAGGAAAACAAUCGAAUUGCAACUCUAAAGCAUUCAGACAAAUCGUGCACGGUGAAGCCAAAGAUGCAUCACAUCUUCUGAAAAAGGUGAGGACUAAAUUGCAUUUACCUUGUUCUUUGCCAAGUCUAAAGAGCAAUCACGAGUUUGGUAGGGUCACUUGGAUUUCAUAAGCCAUGUAUUUUUUUCGCAUUGCCAUCUUUUAGCUAGUGUUUAAUUAAAUUGCAUCUUUUGCAAAUGGAACUACUUAAAGCUAUAAGUCUCUAUUAACGGUAAGCAUUGCAUGAGAAUGAUUUGAUGAUAGCAUUGAGUAAUCUUAGGGCGCGUUUGGUAACGAUUCUGUUCCCGGGAGUUGAUUCUGAUCAGAACUGAUUCUUUUUUAUUCUAUUCCCGGGAACUGAUUCUGAGUGAAAAAGCGCGUUUGGUAACUGUUCAAAAUUUUUUAUUCUAGAAUAGAAUUGCGUUUGGUACCGUAUUAAUUGAUUCUGUUCCAAAUUAAUUUCUUUUGAUUUUUAAAUAAUUUAUUUUUAUUUUUAAAUAAAUUUUAAAUAAUUUCUUUAUUUUUUACUUUUUUCUUUUCUUUUUUCCUUUUUUUCUUUUUUUCCCCUUUUUUUCUAUUCUUCUUCUUCUUCAUUUGGCCGGUCGCCGAACCGGCGAUCGGCCAGACGAGGGUCGGCGACGCUCACCGGAGCGCCGCCGGCCCUCAGCGAGGUCGGCCUUCGUCGGCUGAGCCUCGCUCGCAGCUGGGCGAGGCUCGCCCAGCCCCGCCGAGCCUCGGCCUAGCCAGAUCUGGCGAGGCCGAGCCUCGCCGGUGGCUAGGCUGGCCUCGCCCAGCCUCGGCGAGGCUCGGCCUCGCCAGAUCUAGCGAGGCCCAGCCUCGCCUGGCCACCGGCGAGGCUGGGCCUCGCUAGAUCUGGCGAGGCCGAGCCUCGUCGGUGGCUAGGCUUGCCUCCGGCGAGCUCGCCGGACCUCGCCCUGGCCUGGCGAGCCUCCGGCGACCUCGCUGGACCGGCGACUGGCGGCGGACCGGGGGCGACGGCGGGCGAUGGCGAAUGGCAACCGAGAUGUUGAAAGAGAAGAACAAGGUUUUACCGUGUUGAUUCUUUUUCUGAUUCUCGGACGUAGAAUCAAUUUUUUUUAGAUUCUCAAAUCUUGUCCAAAAUUGUUCCCAGGACAAAUUUGUUCCCGGAAAUAAAAAAUUUACCAAACGCGAUUCUCGUCCCAAACUGAUUUUGAGAACAAAAAAUCAGAAUCUGACACUAUUGGGCAAGUUGCCAAACAUGCCCUUAUUCUACACUUUCGUUUUCUAUGGCAUCAUGUUCUACGAAGGCAGCACCGCAUUAUUACCCCACUCCCAUGAUUGAACCGUGGAUGCAAAAGUGGGGUCUAUAUGUGUCCUUUUGUCUGAUAGAGUUCUGUCAUUGGAAAAAUAGCUUUGCACGUUACUCAGGUCUAAAGAGAAGCAAUAAUUUAACUAGACAUUAAAUGGUGGGAUGUCCCAUCUGUCUCUCAAGUCCAAGAUGCUUUUUGAAAAAAACUAAAUAGACAAAAGCGGAGCAUCAAACACGAGAUUUUGGCUACAACGUGGAAAUAAAUCAAUAGAUUAAUGAUAAGCCAAAGUGAUUAUAAUGAGAUCCUUGGCAGCAAAAUAUGCAGAGGUACCAUGAAAUUUUGAUUGUUGGGUCCAAGCGCGUCUCAUGCAGCAUGCAACUACUCAGACGUUAUCGACUUUUUUCUACAAAAAGUUGCUAUGUUUUGAUGCUGCCCUUCAUUCUUUUUUUCCCUGAAACCUUUUCACCUUCUUCAUCUAUCUUCGUUCUUGCUCCGUUUCACUCCUUCUCCUAUCGUCCCAACAGUGCGGUAAAUAAAUAAUGUGCACGCAUUUCAUAGUAGACAAUCUACACCCCAUGUAUAUAGUCCACACACGUGAUCAUCAUUGCUGAUGACCACUAGUCUGUAUUAUUGAGUCCACAUGCAUUGUUGGUGUGAGACUCAGUCUUUCUUUCUCAUAAGAAAAGUAAAAAAAAAAAAAUGUCGAUUGGUCAAUGUCUCCUUUUGAGAAUAAUAGAAAAAAAUACAUUAAAUUCAUAAGAAUAAGUAACUUUUAAAAGAGUGAGAGUAGAGAGACAUUAACAAAAUUUCAAACAUAUCAUCAUAUGGCAAUUUUAUGAUGAUUAUUUCACAUUCUAAUCUAAUAAUUAUAGUUGGCAUAAAAAUUAAACAACUUUAAUUCUAUUUGUGAACUAAGUUUUUGGUUUUUCACUUAAAGGGACACACCUAGAGGAGCUUUCUAUCAACAAAUUUGCGAAAGAUAGUACAUGACAAGUCAAGAUUUAUUUUCGUCAAGAAUUAUUUUCAACAAAUGGUUAAUAUUAAUUAGAUAUGAGGGUUUAUACCCAAAUCGAACGUAUUAAUAAAAAGAACAUUAUCAAAAAUUGCUAUUUAAUAUAUAAUCUCUACAUUGACAUAUCAUCGAGAUCACCAAUCUCUUUAACUUUUAAUGGGAUAUUACAAAGUCUAUUUCCUCCUAUCAUCCUACUGGCACGUUAGACAUACGAUGCGGGCGAAUUUCGCAGUAGAUGAUCUACAUCUCAUGAUUAUAGUUUACAUCAUCAUCAACUCCAUUUGCAUGUUUACAUAAAGGAUUUGAAAGAAUAAAAAUAUAUAUAUACAAUGUAGGGACAUGAUUGGCAAAAAAAGAGUUUAAAGACCUACUGAAAAUUUUUGCAAAAAAUCCAAUUGCUACGCUGCCUAAAUCCCUUUAUUAAUUAUCAAAUUACACUCCAAAACUUGUUCAAGCUAUCACUUAUUUUAUUUUAUUUUCGCAAAUUGCAAUGAAGGAAAACCAUUUCUUUUAUCGGUCUUUGGUAAAAUAUGCAUCGCAACUCACAAGAUAUUACUAAAUAUCAUUUGAGGUGUACACACUUUGGGGAUGAAGUGUCUAGAACAGCUUCAUUUCACAUGUUGCCCUAUUGAUUCGUGCAUGAAGUGCAUAGUCCGCAAACUACUUCUACUUUGUGGGCCAAUGCAAACACAUGUCCCUUUGAGCUUUGUUGAUGUGCCAUCAAGUUCCCAUCAGUCUUCACCAAAGAAGAUGCGUUUGUCUGAGAAUCCUCAAAAGGUGCGCGCCCAUCUGCCUGCAUUAAGUACAUUCAAAAGAUCAAUAAUACGAUUCUAGCAUAUUCAUCGGGACAAACUUUUGAAGAGUGGGAAAUGGAACAGCUCAUCAGGGAAUUUGAAAGAGAAAAGGACGAAAGUUUUAACAGUCAAUGAGUACUUCGAGUGAACACAAACACCACACUGUGUAUGUGUAAUGCAUCUUGCACGAUGCCUCAAAAGCCUGUAUUAUUGAGUCCACUAUGCAUUGUUGGUGUGAGAUUCGCUCUCUCUUUCUCGGAAGAAAAAUCAAAGAAAAUUGUCUAUCAAUGUUGCCGUUUGAGAAUAAUAGGAAAAAUUACAUUAAACUCAUGUCAAUAAGUAAUUUUUGGAAGAGCGAGAACAAAAAGACAUUAACAAAAUUCCAACCAUAUCAUCAUAUGGCAAUUUUAUGAUAAUUAUUUCACAUUCUAAUCUAAUAAUGAUGGUCCACACAAAAAAUUAAAAAUUAAACAAUUUCAAUUUUAUUUUGUGAACUAAGCUAUUUUCUUUUCCACUUAAAGAGAUGCCUAGAAGGGCUUUCUAUCAACAAAUCUGUGAAAAAUAAUACGUGAAAAGUCAAGACUUAUUUCCAACUAAUGGUUAAUAUUAGUUUGACAUAAGGAUUUUAAGUUAGUCCAAAUCUAAUAUGUCAAUAGGAAGAACAUUAUCAAAAACUGUUAUUCGAGAUAUAAUCUCUAAAGUGGCAAAUCAUUGAGAUCACUCAUCCCUUAAACUAUUAAUGAAAUGCAUCUUCUUUCCUUUUUAAUGAUCUCCCUUCUAGAGUUAAAAACUUAGUGUUAGUGGAGUCUUCUUUAAUUUAUCAUCUUGAUGUAAGUUCCAGUUUCAUCUUGUAAUAUUUGAACUAUAUUGAUGUGAUGGAAAGUUUGUUUUGGCCCAAAAAAAGAUUAAUUGAAGUGAAGGGAAAGCUUACUCAUCUGGGUCUCAUCGAGACGAUUGUCAGUUUUAGCUUAAUAAUUGGCAACUCUUUUGCUUAAUUGAUCAAUGCCUCAGGAGGGGGUGAAGUGAGAAAGCAAUGUUUCUCAACAGUAAAAGGAAAGAGGCCAAACAAGUGAGUGCACCUGGUCGAUUCAUGCAUUUACAAACACCUAGAUAUUUUUGUCCAGUAGUAGUGGACGAAAAGGACGCCGAGGUAGACAAUGGCGAUGGUGACUGAUCGAGUAAAGGAACAGUCAAAUGCAAAAAACCAUCUCAACUCCUGCGACUACUCUCUCUUUUUCUCCCUCUCCUUCGAAUAUUUAGAUGGUUGUCCAUGAGCAAAGGGAGAAAGGACGUGAAGACUUCCAUUAGUGAUGGUGACUCACAAAGGAACGGUAAAAUGCCAAAUAAAAAUAAAAACAAAAAUCUUUCAUAUAUAUAUCUAUCUUAUGAGUCAUCUAUUUCUAUCAUGAAUCAUUUAUUGGCCUAUUACUGCUCUUGUCUCGAUGGAGCUACCGACAUACAUCGGCCUUUUCUGUAGUUUUAUUUUUGGCCAGUGACAACGUGGGGGCAGUCUGCUUACCAUUCAGCUCCCCAAGUAGAGCUCCAUCCACACCCCAUGUCCUCUUUCUUCCUUGGGUUUUCGAAUCAUUCUUAAAUUGCCAGAUAGUAUAAAAACUCAGCCGUUUAUUAUAAGCUUUUCCAGCAAAAUGUUGCUAUUUUCGAUGCUCCCCGUCCUUCAAAAAAAUUAAAAUUGCAAGGAAAAUAAGGGUUAUAAAUGAUCAAAAGCCACAUAGCUUUACUUGUCAAUAAUUGUAUAUUUUUGUAAAACUGAUUUCUGAUAACUGCGAUUUUUGAAAAAUAAAUAUUAAAAGCAAAAUACUCUAAACAAACCCAAGCAUUUGAAAGAAAAUGGGGUAACUCCAAUCAUAAUGUGAGACCACAGAAAAUAUGUUAGUGAUGACUCGGAAAUAUUUCUCAUUUCUCAUAUUAAUUUUGUCCUGUAAAGAGUAGCAGUACUCAAGAAAGUAAACUAUUUUUGUUUUUUGGUCCAAAAGUAAACUGAUUUAAACUAUUAAUAAAGAUUGGCAAAAGUUUAAUUCAUUUAGAAGUUUUGACCUAAAAAUUCCAAUUGAAGUUAUGUCUAAUGUAAAUUGACAUUAUAAUCUAACAAUCUACUUAAUUAUAAUGUUACUUAUAUUCAUUGAUUUGCGUAAGGAGCGGGUUUAGGAUCAGUACCUAAUCAAUGUUUGUCUAUUAACGGUGGAGGUAAGGAUGCAGAAACUUACACAUUGGUGAUGAUAACGGGUCAAAUAAAGAAAAAAUAAAACCAUUUCUAUUACCAUAUUCAAAUUUUAAUUGAAAAGUAUCGGGGGAUGCUAAAAGGACAUCUCGCCCAUGAUAGUAGUAAUAAUUCAUUUGCUCAUUUAGCUGGACUCACGAUGGGUUGAAAAUGAGUAUGGUGCAAACCCACGUAGACUCACAUGGAAUUGGUUAUGCUUUUUUAAUAUCAUUUCAAUUAGCUUAAAAAUUUUAGAGAAAUGAUUGGGUGACAAUUUUUAAUCUACUAUUAGAAUAACAGUCUGUUUUGGAUUACAAAAAAUUAAAUAAUAAAUAAUUAUAAGUUGUCAUGGGGUCCACUUAUUUAAAAAUUUACAGCUGAUAAAAAUUUAUUAUUUUUACAGUAGUUCAAAAAUUAUUAUGCUAGUAAGUGUCUUAUAUACACCUAGUCACGCUGAAAUUGAGUUGAAAAAGAGUUUUUGCCAUCUCUGGAUGGAACUACAUGUCACGUUGGUUUUGAUCUAUCCUCAUACUUUUGUUCUCUUUAUUAAUUACAUUUACCAUAUCGAUGAAUGAAAAACUACAUAAGAUACCUAUUAUACAUGAGGGAUGAUUUAAGUCCAAUCAUUUUAAUAAUUGCGUUUUGAUUGAAGGUGUUAUAUACGCUUCACAUUCUAAUCAUCACUCCAUGUUGAUUCAUAAAAGUGCCACAUACAAAUAUUGAUGCAAAUAUUAAUAUUGUGAAAAUAAUUAAAGAUGCUACUUAUCACGUGUAUGGGUGGUCUUGGCCUGUCCUUAUCACGUGGACGCCGCCUAUCUUUCUUUUUGUUGCUCUUUCUUAAUUACAUUUUGUUAUACCAAAGUGGCAGUGUAUAAAAUUUUCAUAAAAUUCAAGUCAAAUCAAUUUGUUAUGUAAACAGUUGGUAAUCAUUUGUAUUUAAUUUUUUUAAGCCUCUUUGAUGAGCGUGCAAUUUAAAUAAGGCAAAGAAACCAAUUUACUCCUCAGUUUAAAUAAUAAUGAUCCUUUGCAAUAAUUACAUAUCUCCCUAGCCGCUCAUUAAGACUAUAGCUAUUCUAAGAGUAGUUGUAACUGCAUUCUCAAGAUUUUAGGCCUCCUAUCUGCAUAUCGAUCCUAUCCACAAGCAAUUACAAAUCUUAAAGUGCCACUGGAUUAACCAUUUCUCGGUGCACUUGUCUUCAAUCGACAUCUUCACUAUCUCCUUUCUUAUUUUCCCUUUGUCCAACAUUUAGACAAUCGUCAACCAAUCGAGUCGUACAUCCAUGGCUAUAUCUCUCGGUUAUAUGUAAUCAUCGCUCAUGGUCAUCGGUAAGUGCCUCUAUUAUCAUUAACUUACCAAAGGCAAUAUCAAUCGCUACAAACUCUAUACCCACUUAAAUUGACAUAAUAUCCUUUACAAAGACUUAGUCAUUUUUUCGAUGUAAACCAUUAAACAUUUGGCUAAACAAACUCACAUUUUAUAAUUAAGCAACUAUCAUGUGAUUUAAAUACAAUCUUCAUUCUAACAAUUAUGGUACAACUCAUUACAUAAAACGUGCAACCAAUCAUAUGGGAUUUACACAUUGAUUGAUAUAUUCUCAUCUACUUAUUUGUAUGGUUGCCAAUUUAGAAAAUUAAGUUUACUUGAGUAAAUCCAUUGGCUAAAUUCUCAAAUGAAAGCACAAGGUCAUGUACACAUCAUGUAUUGUGUGCUACUUGACUUUCACUGUUAUAAUGAAUAAAAUGCUCAAUAUCCUACAACACCUAAAGUCAUUUACGUAUCUAUGUAGGCUAAACUCUUGUCAUGGAAGGUUGUAAGCUUGUCAUGCAUUGCAUGCCAUGAUGCUACUUCACUGCCACACCAUAAGUAUUGUGUCAUCAACAAUUAUGCAUUUAGUUAUGUUUGUUUAUGAUGGGAAAAGUAUCAAAAAGUCCUAAAGUUAUUACAUUUGUAACAAUUUAGUCUUAAGCAUGGGACCAAUUUUGUCAUAAACUUUUUCACAUUGAUACUAGUUAAGUCCAUCCGCCCAAUUUAUGUUAGAAAUUUUUGACAUGGAUGCCGAUCGUCCUACGUGGCACAAUUAGUGCUAACGUGGACAUUUGUCGAUAAUAUUUAUUUUUUUAAAUUUUUUUAAAUUUAUUCCUUUUUUCUUUUUUUCCCCUUCUCUUUUCCUUAUUUUCUUAUUUUCUUAUUUUCAUUUCUUUUAUUUUUUUUUGUUCAUGCUUAUUUUCCUCUGCUAGCCUCUAUGAUGGUUGACGGAGGUAGCUAGCUAUCAGUGAGGGUCAACCUCACUUGGAUAGGGCCCCUCGCCAAUGCCAAAGGCCAAUGAGGCCAUUGCUCACUAGAUUUGGUGAGGGGACUCUAUGGCAAGGGUGUCCUCACCGGGAUAGUGAGGAGCCUCAUCUAGGUGAGCUGGCCUCUAGCGUUGGUGAGAGACCGUCGUCCAUGCGAGGCUAGCCCUUGCUAGAGGCCGACAAGGGCUGAUCUCACUUGAGAGCGGAGAGAGCAUCCCAACCCUUACCUUCACUGGCAGCCAGUGACCUCCUUCAACCAUCAUAGAGGCUAGCAGAGGAAAAUUAGCAAGAAAGGAAAAAAAAAAAAAAAAGGAAAGAAGGAAAGAAGGAAAAGAGAAGGAAAAAUGGAAAAUGGAAAAAAAAAGAAAAAAAAAAGAAAAAAUAUUAUAUUAAAAAAAAUUCACAUUAGCACUAAUCAUACCAUGUAAAAUGAUUGUUGUCCGUGUUUGCAGUUUCCAACAUAAAUUGGCUGAAUUGAUUUAAUUGGUAUAAAUAUGAAAAUGUUUAGGAUUAAAUUAGUUCAAUUGAAAGGUUUAAGACUGAACUGGUACCAAUGUAAUAGAUUUAUGACUUUUUUAUUUUAUUUUGUACUUUUCCCUGUUUAUGAUACAUGCGUAAUCAUCAAAUAUAACCCUCUACAAAUAUAUUAUUUUUUUUCUAUGGAUUUUUUGUGGGAAAAUUAUUUAAAAAGUCCUAAAUUUAUUCUAUUUUUGCCGAUUUUGCCAAUUGAGUACUAAAUCUUUUCACAUUUUGCCAAUUGAGUCAAUUCUACCAAAAUUGACUGGAAAUUACUAAUGUGGACGAUUAGCAAGGGACUGUCGAGCCCUGGCAUGACCAAAUCUAGGGAGGGCGUGGAGGCCCUCGUCAAUUGUGCGAGAGGGCUCACGCGCUCUUGCUUUGGUUGACAAGAGUGUUCUAACCCUUGCCUAGAGCUGGCAAGAAACGUGACACUCUCGCUUAGAGCUGGCAAGGGUCAGUUGCGCAAAAUUGAAUGGUUUAGAAAUGAAAAGGAAAAUGUGCAAUAAGUUUAAGACUUUUUGAAGAAUUUCCCGACUUUUUGUAAUAAUGGAUAAUUGUUUUCCUGUUAAUUUUCUAUCAGUUGUUUCUUUUACUCUUUAAUAUUUAUUUAUUUGCAAAGCAUGUGCCAUAAUUUUGUUUUUAUGAUGAAAGAUACUUCUUUUGACUCUCUAUCAUCAUUUAUUGUCAAAUAUAGAUUAUUAUGUCGUAAAAGAUAUUUUGACAACAAGCAUCUUAUUUGUCAGAGAUUUGAUUAUCAUAGAUUUGUUAAAUAUGGCCUAUCACGUCAUGUAUUUUCUCAAUCGGAUGUUAAUGAUUUACUUGUAAAAUAUGAAAAAAAAAAUUGUCAUAAUGAGUAACCACAAAAUUAUUUAAUCAUAACAUUUAUAAGUUAUUACAAAUUUAUUUUUUUUUCUUUUGAAAUAUCUGGGGUCAUUAAGUUUACACCAUCUCUCUCUCCCUCUCCCCUGUCUCCCCCAUAUUACCUUUUUUUAAUGACAUUUAUCUAUUGGGACUAAUUAUCUACCAUCUUAAACUUAUUGUGCAAUUACCAAUUCAGUCACAAAUCUUUAAUUUUCACCAAUUUAUCUAAAAGCUUUGCGCUAAGUUCCAAGGUAGUCCCUCAUUGAUCUCUUAUGAAAGUUGGUUAGAAGGACUGCAUUGAAAUGUUGAGAAUUAUUUAAAAUUAAAUUGACAAAAUUGGAAAGCUUGGGACUAGAUUUGCAUCUGAUUAAUAAGUUUGGGACCGAUUAGACAAUUUCCCCCCAUGCAUUGUUAAGCUAUUUUAAGAACUAUAUAUAUAGAUAUGUUAAAGUGAUCUUCAAAACUGAUUUGCUAAAGUGCAAAAUACAAUUGGUAUAUAAACAAACAAUAUAUAUGCUUAAGAAUAAGAAAUAUGCUAAAGUGCAAAAUAAAAUUCAUAAAGAAUACACGUUUAAGAAUUAGGGAUUUGUUAAAGUGACUAUCAGAAUGAAAUUGCUUUUAGAUUGUGUUUUCUUUUGGAUAAAACAGAGGGAAAAUUUCAAAUAAGGACCUACAGUGCCAUCAUUUUCUCAAAAGAGGACCUGAAAUGAAGUUUGUUUUAAAUAAGGACCCAAAGUGCCUUCAUUUUCUCAAAAGAGGACCUGGAGUGGAGUUUAUCUCAAAUAAGGACCAAAAGUAAUCAUUUAGUCUCAAAGAAGGACCUCAUUUGUCGGCUGGUGAAUAAAUGCAUCUCUAAUGCAUAUUCUGGUAGCCUAAUCAGGGAUAUUUUUGUCCAAUUUUUUUUUUUUUAAUUUUCGGUUCUCUUGUUCUUUAUUAUUAUUUUUUUUUGGGUCAAUGGUGGCACUGUUCAUCAUCUUCUUCGUCUCAUGUUCGUCUUCUUCUCAAGAACAUCGAACUUGGGAAGAGCCAGCGAGUGCUGGUCGUUGGUGAGGGUUGGCGAGGGUUGGACGCCCAUUGCCGGCAAUAGGCGAGGGCCACCAAGCCCUCGCCAGUUGGGGGCGAGGGCUUGCAGGCCGACCCUCACCAGAUCUAGCAAGGGUGGCCUCGGUUGCGGCUAGCGAGGGUUGUCAAACCCUCGCUAGCUACGGGUGAGGGCUUGCAGGCCCUCGCCGGCCCUUAUCAAUGGGCGAUGAGAUGGGCGAGCCCUCGCCCAAGGCCAGCAAGGGGUGACCUCGCUAAUGGCGGUGAGGGGUGACCUCCCCCACCUCCGCCCGCUGCUCCACCGACAACCUAGUCUUCUGCUAGGACUACGAUUGGGAUGCCCAUGUUGCUUUCUUCAUCCCUUCCUCCCACCAUUGCUCCCAGAUCGAUGACUUCUUCGGCUACCCCUUUUGCUCUCGAGGACCUUAUCGUAGGGCCUCGAUCUGGACGACCCCCAUCCCCCAUGGCUAGCAAGGGCUUGAUGGCCCUCUCCUGCUGUUAGUGAUGGGUGUCGAGCCCUCGCUUGCUGCCGCUGAUGGGCGUCGAGCCCUCGCUGACCCUUACCAACGGCUAGUGCUCGCUAGCCUUUCCCCAAGUCUGGUGUUCUUGAUUUGGGCAAGAAGAAGUGAACUGGGGACGAAGAAGACGAUGAACAGGGCAACCAAAAAUGAAAAAAAAAAUAAAAGGACGAAAAUACUGUAAGUAGGCCACCGGAAUAUAAAUCGAAGAUGAAUCUAUUCAUCAGCUAGCGAGUGAGGUCAUUCUUUAAAACUAAAUGACUACUUUGAGUCAUUCUUUGAGACAAAUUUUACUUUAGGUCAUUUUUUGAGAAAAUGAUAGCACUUUGAAUCCUUAUUUGAGACAAACUUCACUUUAGGUCAUCUUUUGAGAAAAUGAUGGCACUUUGGGUCAUUAUUUGAAAUUUUCCCUAAAACAGAUAAUUGGAUGAAAAAUAAGAAAGAAAAAAUAAAUAAAUCUCAUUUGCGUUUAUAUUAGGAUUGCUGUUAGGGAUUAUUUUAUUGGAUGUCUUCGUCUAUAAUAUCGUUAAUAUUUUAUUAGUAGGGAACUCUCUUUAACUAAAAUUAGACUUUGGCUUUUGAUUUUUAUUUCACAGAGAUUCAUGUCCCUAGGCUUAAUAACGAGAUAGUAUAUAUUCUUUACCCAUUUCAUAUCAGGUUACUUUACCGCAUUUUAUAGUGUUGUUAUUUCAUCAUGUUUGAGUGACCAUGAUCUUUUAAUUUUAGUCCACGGGAUCUUGUCAUAGGACGCCUUGUAAUAUUCUUUGUUCAACUCAUAUGGGCUUUACUUUCCUAUACUCUUACUUGUCUUUCAUUAUCUUUUCGAUUUGUUGUUUUGAAUUCCUUACAUGAUUUUUACAUUUCGAUUUCUUUAGCUUCUUUUGACGAUUAUCACCCACUUUAGGAACAAAUUAAAUUGAAUAACUACAAGUGAACACCUAGUGGAAAGAAUCUUAUGAUUCUAUAAUUUGACAAGAUCACAUGAACCCUAAAUUUAAAGUCUUUAAUUUGCACAAAAUAGAACAUUCUCUCACGUUCUACUUAGCUCUUAGCCAAUCCUAAUGCGUUAAUGGCCACUCUUGUUUAUGAUAGAAUCCCAUCUCUAGAUCAAUUGAAUUUGAAUUUCCCAACGUUAUGUGUGAUGAGAGUUUGGGAGAGCUUGCACAGAGUGAUAUCAAGUAAACCUUGAGUAGAAGUAAUGAUAGUUCUUGCUCAACAAUCCAUUAAACCCACUCCACCUCGAGAAGAACCCGCUCAGGAGGAUCGCGACAAACCUCAAGAGAGUUUAACCAUAUGUAUAGAUGUUUUCCUAGCUAAAUUAAUUUAUUUAAAUGACUCAACUUGUCUACCAUCUAAAUACAAUGAGAAACAAAAUUUAAUAUAUCUAGAUCAAGCACAAAUUUUAAACAUGGAGUGAAUCUUAUGUGAGAUCAAAAUAAUUAAAUUUUGAGAUUCGCUCAGUCAAAACAAGAAACUUGCGUAGUAUAAGAUUUUACAAUACUUUAGAAAAGAGAUUUUUUUUGGUAGAAGGUAUUAGUAUAAUGCUUUUUAGUUGGAAAGAAUUGUAAUCUGUCCAUCUUUUUUAUCACCAAAAACACAACCGGCAUAAUCAUGGAGUAUGUUCCUAAAAGGUCCCUACAAGGACUCACGUUUUUGGUAGUGUGCGCGCUCUUAAGGGGCAACUAUUGGGCACAGAGAAUUUGCACAUCAACAAUUUCCAGAGAAACAUAUGUAGAACCAUCCAUAUUGAUCAUAGCUUUCAUCUUAUUCAAGUGUAUUGAUAUACGACAUUUAGUGGCAUGAGAAGUCCCAAUUUACCAUGGAUGGUACAGAUAUAUUUUAAACUAUGAGGACCUUACUUUGACCAAAGUUAUUAUACCAUCAUUGGCACCGAGCGGAACUUCUAUUGCAGAAUGCUUUCUUGUCUAAUCAACCGGGUAUUGCAAACAGUCAUUGUAGGAUUUAUGUACAUUUCAGAAUCAAUAUCACGCAAGCGAGCACAUGCAAAUAUCGAUGAAAAUGUUUAAUAUUAUGGGAAAGAGUAAAGGUGCCUUUUCACGUGUUUUCCUAAGGUCCACUCGUGCUUCUGCCUUGGUGUAUGGUCCGCAUUAAAAAUUUAGUUGAUGGCAGACUCUGUAAAGUUACAUGUCGCGUCUCUUUGUCAAACAACUUUGUGCGAGCGAUCUGCUAAUUGUCACCGCUUUCAAAAAUUUAAAUCCUAAAGAAAUCACGGUAAGUGACAAUGCCAUGUGGGUGUGGCCAGUCCUUGUCCAUUCCCUAUCUUCAUUCAUCUUUAUCUUUUAUUAUACGUGAUACAUGACACGACACGAUACAAUGAUAUGAUAUGAAAAGUCCCGAAGGAGAGUGUGGGUGCUUCUCCGAUGUAAGGUACAUAUAUUCCAGGGCAAUGGUUAGAGUUGAAUCGUUCGUUUCCUUCAACAGUUGAGAAUCGUCUCUUUCUUCCUCCAUUCAUUGCUAUUCGACGCUCCCCUUCCUGUCUUUUUUUCGCUCAAAAUCUCUUGGCCUUCUUUGCCUUUCGCUCUGUUUCGCUCUUUCUUCACCUAAGCUCAACCAUUCUUCUUCCUUCUCCUCUUCUUCUUCUUCGGUAUCUGCUCCUCUUCAUAAUUCUCUUUCUCUCGAUCUCUCUUUUUUCUUGCUCUUUCUUUAUCCGGAAAAAAAAAAAAAAUCAAAGAAAGAUGUCGGCCGAUUCUAUCGUUUCUAUUGCAUGGGAUGUCUUAAAGAGCUAUGUAGUUGUUCCCAUCAAGCGUCGAUUCGAAUAUGUGAUCUCCUCCAAGAGUUUCGCCGAGCGACUUCGGAAGGAAGUCAAUAAUCUGAAGAAGGAAGCUGAUAGGGUCCAGAUUCUUGAAGAAGCGGCCACAAACAAUGUUCGGAACUUUCACAAUACCUUCACGGACUGGAAGGCAAGUUGUGAGAAGGACUCGAAGGAGGCGCAAGAACUGUUGGACGCCUUCGAUGAGGCUAGCAAGACCUGCUGCUACGGGACCCUUCCCGACCCCAAAUGUCGCUAUCAGUUCAGCAUGAAGGCCGAGGCCGAGAUCAAGGUCAUUAGUGAACUCGCUGAAAAAUGCAACGGAUUCAAGGAAUUGAAAGACAUCUGCUUCAUCAAUCCUUCUCCGGGGGAUGUCACUGCAAUGACCUCUGCGUCUUCUGUCUCGACAUCGAUUAAGCUUGCAGACUAUGACAUCUUCGAAUCUAGAGUUCAAAUCAUACGGGACAUCAAGGACGCUCUUGCCGAUGACAGCAACAGCGUGGUCGGGGUUUAUGGGAUGGGCGGGCUUGGCAAGUCCACGCUUUUGGAGGAAGUCAAAAGGAUGAUUAGCGAAGAGAAGUCAUUUGAUUGGGUCGCUAAGGCCAACGUGUCGGAAAAUCCAAACAUCCGGACAAUUCAAGGAGAGAUUGCGGAUGCCUUGGGCCUUACUGACAUAAAGACCAAAGAGACUCCCACCGGGCGAGCGGAACUUCUACAACAGAGGUUGAAAGAGGAGAGUAAGAACAAGAAGGUCCUCAUAAUACUGGAUAACUUGUGGAAGGGGCUAGACUUGAAAUCAGUCGGCAUUCCUUGUGGACAUGACAAUAAAGUCAUAGGAUGCAAGUUAUUGUUGACGUCAAGAGAUCGAGAUAUUUUAAAAAGUGAAAUGGGCUGCGACAAGGACUUCCUCCUUGGUGGGCUAGAGGAGGAAGAGGCAAAAAGGUUGUUUGAGAAGUUUGCGGGAGACAAAGUUAAUGAUAAUGAGUUCAAACCCUUGGUGAAUGAAGCGCUCCACAAAUGUGCAGGUUUGCCUUUCCUUAUUGUCAGUAUGGCAAAAUAUUUUAAAGGCGUAGGUUUGCCUGAAUGGAAGAUUGCUUUGAAACAAAUCAAGUUGUCUAAAAACAAACACCUUCGUGGGGUGAUAAAUGACAUGUUGCAAUUGAGUUAUGAUCGUUUAAAAGGCGAAGAGAAGUCUUUGCUAGCGCUAUGUGUUGUUUAUGGCACCUCUAAUCCCUCUUUUGAAAACUUGGUGAGGUAUGGCAUUGGUUGGGGGCUAUUUCGAGAAGAUGACAACAUAGAAGAUGCUAGAGAUAGGUUGAGAUUGGAGAUUCGUACUCUUCAAGCCUCCUCCCUUUUGUUAGAGAAUGGAGAUGCUUAUGGUUUCAAAAUACAUGACUUGGUUCGAGAAUUUGUUGCCUCUGUUGCUUUUAGAGAUCACCCUCUUCUCGUGUUGAAAGAUAAAGAUAAGUCAAUAAUGGAGUUGUCGAACGACAAGCUCAAAAGUUGUAGGGCAAUAUGCUUUCCAUAUGUUGACAUAAAUGAGCUUCCCCAAGAACUAGAUUGCCCUGAAUUACAGAUAUUUUUGUUGUUCAAAUACGACAAAUCUCUUAAAAUCUCAGAUUCAUUAUUUUACUCUAUGAAGAAGCUCAUGGUCUUAAAUCUUACUGGGAUACAUCUCACUUGCUUCCCUUCGUCAUUUCAAUUUUUGGAGAGCUUACACACUUUGUGUCUUGACUGUUGUUCGUUAGAUGAUGUAGCCAUUCUUGGCAAACUAAAAGGGUUACAAAUUCUUAGCUUUGCGAAUUCCGAUAUUCAUCGAUUGCCAAGAGAAAUUGGGCAACUGGCAGAGCUGAGGUUGUUAGACUUGAACAGGUGUUAUAAACUUAAGAUAAUUGAAUCGGGUGUACUUCGAAACUUAUUCAAAUUGGAGGAGUUGUUCAUGAAGAAUACCUUUGACCAAUGGAAUGUUGUGGAGCAAACUCUACCAACUAAUGCCAGUCUGAUUGAGUUGAAUCACAUGAAGAAGCUCCACACUCUACAUUUGUCCAUUCCUAGUCUAAGUAUGCUCCCAAAGGAUCUAAAUGUCGAGAAAUUAACCAAGUAUGAAAUUCGAAUAGGUUAUGGCAGGACCUGGUGGCAUGAGUGCAAAGGAAUGAGGACAUUAGAGCUCAAGUUGGAUCCAUUAAGUGAUGUUCUCGCAAAAGGAUUCAUACAAAGCAUCUCUGGCACAACUAACUAUCUGCGUUUAGACGAGUUCAAUGGAUGUGAGCAAAGUAUUUGUUCAUUAUCCCGAAAAGGUUUUCCGGAAUUAAAGCAUCUAGAGGUCACGAAUAGUUCCUCCAUCCAAUACAUUCUCCGAUCGCCAUCCCAUACAUAUUAUGAGACAUUGGAGUUGUUACUUCUCGAGAAUCUCAUCACCUUAGAGAAGAUAUGCACCAACAAUAUCUCCUCCAAGUCCUUCAAUACAUUAAAAGUAGUACGAGUCAAAAGUUGUGACAAGAUGGAAGUAUUAUUUCCUCUUUCAGUGUUGAAAGGACUUCCACGGCUAGAAGAGAUUGAAGUUGUCGAUUGCAAGUUAAUGCGCGGGAUUGUAGAAGUUGAUGUUUGUAGCAAAGUGAAGUUGCAUAACUUGCAUGUCUUGAAAUUGCUUAACUUGCCAAAUAUCAAGAACUUUUUAGAUACUAAGUCAGCUCCUUCGAGUAGUACAUCAAAUGACCAAGUUAGCACUCAAAUUGCUUUCUUCAAUGGGCAACAGGUAACUAUUUAUUAACUUUUCCCUCCUUUGCUAAUUAGAUGUAACACAAAUUAUGAUGCUUAUUCAAUUUGUUAUUUUCAAUUUAUUUUUUUCCUAAUUAGCUUAUCCGUCCAUGCUUCUCUGCAAUUAGAUAAACAAUCUUAUAUUUCUCUCAUAGUGUAGAAACCUAACUAAUUGUGUGAAAUCAAUGUAAAUUUAGUUUGCGAUAGGGUCUAAAUUAUUUUCAACUUACAUGCUGCAAGUAUAUCCAUAUCAAUAGGGUCUCAUAAAGCAAAAUUGAAGGGAAUUUUGGCACUAAAGUAAUUCCAUGAGCAAAGUAAUUUUUAAUCUUUUGAAAUGGAUUCCGUUGAAUUGAGUUAUCAAACUUUGCUAUUAUCCACAAAAUGUAUAAUAUAAGUGACUCUUAAAAACUAAUAUGAAGGAUGGGAAGGAAGAUUCGGUUUUUUAAUAAAAGCAACUUUACUAAUCUAAUUGAUGCACGUAUUUUUUGUAUCGUGUUUACACAAGCACUUAGUCAUUGCAUAUGCUCUAUAAUUAUAAGAGUAUAGAAUUUUGUGCUUGUUCAUACAUGCAUAUAGUAUGGAUAGAUGUAUUUGGAUGCACUUUGGCAUCACAAACACAAAUUCGUGCUUGAUAUCAAAUUGGUUAUUAAUAGGCUAUGUUUAGUCGUCUAGGUUUCUAAUUAUGAUAAGAUUGGAUUUUAUAAGAUAUGAAAAUUCAAGGAUUUUACUAUAUCCUAUUUACUGUCUGUUGAUUGUAGUAAUAAAAUUGGAUAUAUUUACAUUAUAUCAUAUACAUUAUUUGAUAUACAAUAGCAUAUUCAUAUAAAUGAACCAAAAAUUUUACAAAUAGAGAUAAUAAAAAUCUCUCGCAAUACUCUUUCAUACUUUAUUUUUAUUUACUUUUUUAUUUUAUUUUCCUCUCCUUUUUUUUAACUAAUUUCUUUUUUAUUUAUUUCUUCCCCUCCCAUCAUUCUCUAAUAAAAUUUAUUAAAUAGUAAACUAUACUAAUAUACCUAAAAUAUGUAAUACAUAUAAAUAUAUAUUUAUAUUUAUAUAUUGAAUUUAUAAUAUAAAAUAGAAUUAAAUUCGAGUAUAAAUAAAAUAAGAUUAAAUUAAAAUAACCAAAUUGAUAUUUUUGUUAUUUUGAAUUUCUUAUAUUAGAAUUCAAAUAUUAUUUAUAUUGAAAUAUAAUUUUAAUUUUAUUAAUUUAAAAAUUUUGUUAUUCGUUAAAAAUAACUUUUCUAUUAUGAAUAUUAGAAAUCUCAUCUUCCUUUAUCCCGCCUCUUCGGAGAUAAUUUCAUCCUAUUUAUAUCUCCCUUGUAUCUAGUUUUAUCUUUUCUAAAGUAAACACUAAAUACAUAAUAUAAUAAAUUUUAUCUCAAUUGCAAAAUGUAGCCAUAGUGUUAUUAAAGAGAAGCUAGUAAACUAAGGACAAACAAUUGCCGUGUCAAGGAAAGCGCACGGCUGCGACUAUUUCGUUGAGUAGACAAAUUUGUGUAUGGAUAGAUGUAUUUGGAUGCACCUUUGGCAUCACAAACACAAAUUUGUGUUGGAUAUAAAAUUGGUUGUUAAUAGUGAUUUAUUAACAUUAAAGAGAAGUAAGUAAACUAAGGACAAAUUAUUGCUUAGUUAAGGAAAGUGCGCGGCUAUUUUGUCCAGCAAAAAUUGCAGCGGCUAUUUCAUUGAGUAGACAAGCUCGCCCUUUUACGAUGGUGCGAUUAUCAUCAGAAGUUAAUGGUGGGCCAAGACUCUGGCAAUACGUUAGUUUCACGGUCAAUAAAGAGUCAUAGAAAUUUAAGUCGUGGGUCCCGCAUGCCAGUGAGUCUGAGUACGACUUAUCUUCUGCCCAUGCUUUGAGCUUCCGUGGUGAAUUCAGAGACAAUGGAACUAGACCGGGGAGGGGAAAGUUUGCAAAGAGCCUUUGCGGCUUUUUUUUCCCUGUCGUAGUCAAGCCGGGGGUGACAAAAGUCCAAUAAAUGAAGCACAAAAAAGUUAAAACUUGUUGUAUGGAUGGGCGUGAUGGGUGAGGGUGAAGUAGAUGGGACUUGCACGUAACUUUGCGGAUGAAGAAUUUUCUAGAGUUAUAGCAAUGAACAUAAGAAAAAGGCUUGUUGGGUCAUUUGUUUGCGUUUCUGUUUAAAAAUUAUUCUAGAGAACAGAAAUAGAAAAAAGUGUUUCUAUUUUAUUUCUGUUCCGGGGAACAAUUUUUGAACCAAAAAACGCGUUUGGUAAACUUGUUCCGGGAACAAAAAAUAAAUAGAAACACGUUUGGUAAAUUUGUAUAAUUUUUUAUUUCUUUUAUUUUUUCUAUUUUUUUCUUAUUUUUCCUUUUUUUUCUUUUUUCUUCUUUUGGCUGGUCGCCGGCCUCGGCCGUGGACUGAGACCGAACGGCGAGCAUCGGGCGGAUCGGCGGCCACAUCCCUAGCAUCACCCCAUUACGUCAAACGUGAACGGACAAAAACUCUGGGAUAAUAGGGCCAUUAGGUGAACCCACGUGCUACAUCACCUAUACUCGGACUAGGACAUACUCCAAACCAGGUAUACUAAUACAGGAAUGCUCGGUGCACUCCACCUACACGUUAGUAGGUAGGCCAUAGAAGGUACCACGCAUAACUUGAGAAAAAGGCGUAUUUUUAAUCUGAAAUGUUAAUUCACAAAAGGAAUGAGUACCACCCUCAGCAGUAAAGAUCNNNNNNNNNNNNNNNNNNNNNNNNNNNNNNNNNNNNNNNNNNNNNNNNNNNNNNNNNNNNNNNNNNNNNNNNNNNNNNNNNNNNNNNNNNNNNNNNNNNNGUCGGCCGGUCGUCGGCCAUGGCCGAGACCGGCGACCGGCCAAAAGAAAAAAGAAGAAGAAAAUAAGAGAAAAAAGAAAAAAGAAAAAAAUGUUUCUCAAAUGUGUUUCAGAAAUAAGAAACACAAAUUUUUGUGUUUCUUAUUUCUGUUUCUUUUUUGUUCCUGGGAACAAAAGAACAAAAAAACAGAAAAAGUGUUUAAAAACAAAAAAAAGAAACACAAACAAACGCUGCCUAAAACUCUUUUCAAAAAAAAAAAAAAACAGAAAAAGGGAUAAUGGGGCUUUUUCACAUAAAAUAUUAUGGUUUCGGACAUGUAGGCUGCAGAUUGAGACUCAUCCUUAAGGAAAUUAAGACAAUGGAGAUGAUUAAUUGGGAUAGGUUAUAUGAGCUUAUCUUGUAGGAAGUAAUUUAGCUUGGAAGUAAUUUCAAAAAGAGGAGCAAUGAAAAUGGUGUUAGGCCGCUGUCAAUAUAUUUUAUGGUCCUAUCCACACUUCUACGGAUGGUAAUUUACUAACAUGAAAGAGAAUCGGUAAACUAAAGGAUAAACAAUGCCCCCAAUUAAGGAAAGCUCAUGGCUAUAUUUUAUAUGUGGGGAAAACUACUGCAAGUAGAGGGUUUUAUUUGACUAGACAAGAUUGCUCUUUUAUAGUGGCGUGGCCCAAGGCUCAUGCCAUACUUUAAUUUCCCCGUUAAUAAAGAGCGGUGGAGAUAUAAGUGGUGGAUUCCACAAGGUUGUGAACUCAAAGUGUGAAUUUUCUUCAGCCCGUGCUCUGAGCUCCCAUGGAGAUUUGGCAACAAGCGUUUGUGGCUUUGCCUUUUUUUUUGGUCGUAGUCUUUGGAACUUUUAACUUUCUAGAUUCUAAAUCUUCAUGAAAGAGUUACUUUUGCCUUAGUACUUCUUUUUAUUUUUAUUUUUUUGUGUAAAACCUAGAUAUGCGAAGAUCCAUGGGUUUAUAAUGAAAUGCUUCUUAAAAAUGCAAUAAAUCUCCUCCGACAUUGUAAAGUGGUGGUAGCUUACAAAAGUAGAAGUCUAAGGUUGGCUUGUCGGGGAUGACAAUAGACUAAUGAAUGAAGCACAAAAAAGUUAAACUUGUUGUAUUGGUAGGAGCGAGGGGUGGUGGCGAGAUAGAUGGGAGAUUAAGAGCAACUUGGCCGAUGAAAGCUUUCCUAGAGUUGUAGCAAUGAACUUUGGGAAAGACUAGUUAUUCUUUACAACAAAAAGUAAAUAAAGCUUUUCAUUGUCAUGGGGACCGUGGAUCUCUUCACCUUUCAAACAUGUUGAUUGAGGAAAUUACAACAACAAGCUUGAAUAAUUAGGAUAGGCUACUAACGCGUCUGAAUUGAAAGGAAUAUCUGAGGUAAUUUACAAAGGAUAGAAAAAAGGAAGUCCAAAUAAUCUCAAGUUAUUUACUAUUUUUCAAGUAAAGUUGGGAUUUCAACCGGUGGCAAUGACUAGUGACCACUCAAUUAUUGCGAUAUCCCAACUGUUGAGGUGUCUAAUCUCACGUUAUUUUGCUGGGAAAAUGGUCCCUUUUUGCCUAAAAAAUUCGGAGAAAUUGGAGACAUUUGAGAAGGAAAUGACAAUAAAAUGCCUGUUUUUUUGGAUUUUAUCAAGGAAGCAGGCAAUAGCAGUGUGUGAAAAGUUCUCUUGACCUAAAUGGAUGAGGAAUCACGUUCAGCUAUCAACUCCGUCCAUAAGUCAUAUUCAUAUACCAUUGUUUGCCCAAGGUUUAAUUUUUGAGUUGGGCUCGUAACUAGAUGAUAUAUAAAAGGCCCGACCUCACUGAGAAUAAUAUAAUUGACAAUUAAAAAAAUAUUUCAUGCAUAAAUUAAUUUUCAUAAGUAACUAGAAUGAUUACGAAUUCUUGAUGAUCGCAAUUCCUGAUAUUGCUUGUAAAAUGCAAACAAAUUCCAAUCUUAAUAGCAUCCCUUUUUAUAUCAUAAAUAAAAGGUAAAGUUCAUUAGUUGUCUUUUGAGGUCAUAAAUUAGCUUUUGUUUAUCAUAGAUAUUCAUACGUGCAAAAAAUAUCCUAAAGGUUGUACAUUAUCUUGCUUAUAAAUUUCUUCGGCAACCAUUGAGAAUACCCACUAUAUCACGUAAAUUCCUCACUGUCCUUUGUAAUUGUAAAUGCUAUGUUGAUGGAUUUGUCCGUUACGUUUCAAUCCCAUCCUUGUAGUCCUUGACAAUGGAAGGACUUCCCAAUCCAAAAGAAAUAUAUUAUCAGACUAAUUGUAUGAAAUCCUUGCAAAUUUAGUUUGUGAUGGCUUUUGAGUUAUCUCAGUUUACGUGUUGCAAGUAUAUUUAUAUUGAUAGGGUUUCAUCAAAACAAAAUGAAGGGAAUUUUGGCAUUAAAGUAAUUCCAUAAGUAAAGUAAUUUAUAAUCUUUUGAAAUUUGUUCCAUUGAAUUUAGUUAUUAAAAUUUGUUAUUAUCCACCAAAUGUAUAAUAUAGGUGACUCUUUUGAAAAGCAAUACGAAGAAUGGGAAGGAGGAUUGAAUUUUCAAAUAAAAGCAACUAUGCUAAUCUUAUUGAUACAUGCCUUUUGUGUAUCAUGUUUAAAUAAGCACUUAAUAAUUGCAUAGACCCCAUAAUUGUAAGAAUACAGAGUUUUGUGCAUAGUUUAUAUAUAUAUAUAUAUAGUAAAAGUAGGCCUUGGCAAUUGUAUGAUUUUUAUAUGUCACAACAAACUCGUCAUUGCAAAUUCGGAAUUCUUGUUCUUGGAGUUCCAAAGUGAUGUUCACCAUUUCUUUUUUCGACACAGCAGAAUUUGAGAUCCCCUAUGGUAAAAGAAAUUACUUUUGUGUAGCUCCAUAUCCCACGUCGAGUAGAGAAUGUCUCGCUAAAUAAUAUAUGAGUAAGAUUCACCUUAAAGAUCAUCUUAUUUGGUGAUCACCCUUAGAUACUCCUUUGGGGAGAUUGGGUCACGUGUAUAAGGCCACAUCUGUAACAAUAUCAAAUAAUGGAACUUGAUGCCUUAAUGAUAAAAUUCAAUAUCUUAAAGUCCAAAAAUUUUUAUAGAGACUUACUUCAUAAGUUUCAACGGGUCUUGUAUUUCAAUUCAGCUACUUAGUAUGUGUUAGUUUAAUUUCUGAAACUUCAAGUGCUCCACAUUACAAUCUUCAAGAAAUUUGUGCCGAAAUUUGAGUUUUCUUGUUGUUGAGUCCAUCCAAUUUAUAUUGUAACUUUUAUGUAUCUUCAUGCCCAGUCUCACAGGAACAUAUGUGCUCAUUGUGGCUUCUCUCCACGGCGAUCUAUAAACUAAAUACCAAGUCAUUUCAACUAAAUGUCUUUGCAUUUGACCUUUAUAGUAUGUAUAGAUAUAAUUGAAUGCACUUUUGGCAUCACGAACACAAAUCCGCAUAUUUAUGUUUGAUAUCCUAUUAAAUUGGUUAUUGAUACUGACAUUAAACUAAGGACAAACAAUUGCCUGGUUAAGAAAAGUGCACGGCUAUUUUGUCCAGCAAAAGUUGAGGCGGCUAUUUCUUUGACCAGAAAAGAUUGCACUUUGAUGGUGGCGAUUAGCACCAAAGUUGAUGGCGGGGCACAAGAUUCCUGCAAUGCAUUAACUUCUCUGUCAGUCAGUAGAGGGUCUGGACAUAUUUGUUGUAGGUUCCAUAAGGCAAUGUGUGUGAGUCGUUACGUCUUUGCGUUUUCUUAAUCAUCGUAGUCUUUGGAGCUUUUGACUUUCGCCAUAGUUCUCCCUAGACACUGGCUAUGGAUAUUGGUUGAACUUUUUUUGGGCCAAAAUUUAAGGUUGAAAGUGUUGUUGGGUUUGCUUUUUUACAUAGAGAGAGAUAACUAAUACUCCACUCGCUAAUACAUUUCUGACGGAGAAAUUCUUCAGAUAGAAUAAAACUAGCUCAUUCAUCAAAUUAAGCUCAUCAUUGCAAGUUUUUUAGCGAAGGAAAGACUAUUAGAAACGAUGCUAGUAUGGAGACUUUUUCAGUCCAUUUUUUUGUUUUAUUCUUUUUUAUUCCUUUUGUGCAACUUAAUUAAUCCCCCUCUCUCCUUGGCACUCGUGUAUAUUUACAAAUUUGAGAUUUAAAUUAAUCACUAAUUUCAUAAGCAAAUUUCGCAGGUUGCCUUUCAGAGAUUGGAGACAUUAGAAAUCAGUGGCUUGGAUAGCCUCGAGUUUAUGUUUUUCCCAUCCAUGGCUAGAUCUCUCACACAACUGAAAGAACUGACUAUAUCGAAUUGUCAAAAGAUGGAGACGAUCAUUAUGGAGGAAGAAGGGUUGGGAAUGGAAAUAUCAGAAAUUUUGGCAUUCCCGAUGUUAACCGAUUUACACUUAGAACAAUUGAAAAGUUUGACGUGCUUCUCUCAUGGAAAGUGUAAGAUUGAUUUUUUGUUUUUAUCAUUGAAGAUUGUCUUGUAGAUAUAUUGAUCUCUACAAUACAAAUGGUAAUAUUCUUUUCAUUUUAUGAAAUACCAAUUACAGGUGUACGAGAAAGUCAAAGUCAAGAUCGUGUCACAUCACGUGCCAUUGUACUCUUCAAUCAAGAGGUACGUGAUUAACAUUACGUUAAAAUAUUAAAUACACUAGAGACAAGCAUGGCCAAGAUAAAAACUAAGUUACUUAUAAUGUAUAUUUUGAUUAAAAUAUUUUUAUAGAAAAUGAGUGUUGUACAAACAUAAAUGUUCAAAGUUGCUGACAUGUAUGAGUUGCAAUUUCUUACUUUCAAUUUCUCUACAAAUAGUUUCCAUAAAUAUGGUUGAACAUCUCUUAUCAUACCUACACAAAGCAUGAAUGGGUAAUACGACUGCCAAAUAGGAUCUCUAAAAGCUUUUUGAUGUUCCAAAAAAACUUAAAACUCUCAUCAACCUCACAUGUAUGGCAUAGACAUUGCACGCAUGUACAUUGAAAGAAAUUGAAAAAACAACCGAGAGGAAAGUGAGCAGCAAAGUUCAAGCGGCUGGAGAUGAAGGGCCUUCAAUACACUCACUUGACAUCAUUUGCACUUGCAAGAUCUCUUUUAUUUUCCUGAUCGAAGGAAGCUUUGCUCUCUCUCUUAAUUGCACUAGUGAAAGGAAUCUAAGCACUCUUCGUCCCCUAACUGAGCAAGAUAUCUAGGGUCUAGGGCUUCAGAAAUCACCCUGUUUAGUUUUCACAUGAACUGCAAGGCCACUCUUAUGAAACUCUUGCUAAAGAAAUAAAAUACAAUUCGCAGAUAAGAUAUUUUAGUUGAGUCAUAUGUCUUGUCGAGUGGAUAGCGAAAGAAUGUUUCAAAGGAAAAUGAAGUAGAGUGAUUCACAGGCAAGUCCACUUUGACUAAACUAGAAGCAAUAUAGGCUUUUUACCUAAAUCGUUGUUUAUGCACCCAAAGAAGCUGUGGAAAUGGGCCCUCCCACAAAAUACAUACAUCGACUUUCUUAAAUAAUUUUAAUUCCUAUAAUGGGAUAUUCAGGAAAACCUUUGAUUAUUUGACUUAUGUAUAAGUAUAAUCUAUCCUUGAUAUCUAACUAUUGGAUCCUCCAGCAUGGAUAAAAAUCAUUGAAUUUUAAAAGGAAAAUUCAAUCGAUUAAGUAUAUUUAGUUCUUUCAAGUGGGGAAUGAAGUAAGUGAGAUUUGUUCGUUUGGCCCAUUCAAUUCCAUUUUUAAUGGCUUUCUCUUAGCCUCACUCUUUAAUUGCUUUAGAGUGAUAUAAUAUUGAUUUGAGGCAUUUGGUAUUGGAAAAAAUUACACGCCCUACUGUAUUGCACCUUUUGAUGGAUGAUUGGUUGGCUUUUUAAUAUCAAUCUCUCCAUCAUUUUCUUUCUAAUUGCUUAUAUUCUUCCUCGAGCGAUCCGCUGCAAUUUUCUUUUACUACAUCAAUUCCGUAACUUGUAACGUUGAUCACCCUUUUGAUAUGGUUCUUGUUUCUUUAAAUCAAUUCUUCCUUGUCUAUAAGAGAUUUAAAGGUACGAUCCAAUAUUAUUUGUCUUUCUUUGAUGGUGAAUAUUUAAAGUGAUGGUUAAACCAAGCAUCUCAUACAAGUUGCUUUUACAAGCGAAGAUAUAAAUUGUACAACUCUCCUUGAAUGCAUAGACAUAUUGCAACAUUGAAACAUCAUAUGUUCUUUGAGUAUUGAUUGAACAUUCUUGUCAAUGUUUGAUGUAACAAAUGCAUACUCAUUGAUCCUCUUAAAAAAGAGGCUAAUUCCAUCAUUUAGCUCUCUUUUAAGUACCACAAAGAUUAAAAAAAAAAAAAAACACGUGGUAUGUGGUGUGAUCUUACCAUGGCACAAGUGUGUUGUCUAAUUUGAACCCUAUAAGAGUGCUGAUCUUAUGCUAACAAAGAAAAGACGGGACAUUAUCGUUGACAUUACAAUUGAAAUUAAUGCAAUUGUGACUGUAAUUGAUGCAAAAGUUAUUUUCACAAGGGAUAUAUCUUUAGAAAUGUGAAAUUAAGGAGUUAAUCAAGUUCAAAUAUGGAUACAAGUCAAAUAUAAAAGAUCAACGAUAAUGUUUGUUUCAUGAGGACACAUUUCUUUCCAUUGAAUCACUUGAGACUUGCCAUUUUAAAAUGUAGUUAUUGUGCUCGAUAUGCAGGAUUCAAGAUAUAUUCAACAUCUGCAAACUCUAGAUGUGUCACAUUGUGAUGGGUUAUCAAAAAUGUUCACAUCGACAAUUGCUGCAAAUUUGGUGGCACUCACAAAAUUGAGGAUAAGUAAUUGUAGAAUAUUGACAGAAGUUAUUAAUGAUGAGAAAGGUGGGGAUGAACGUGUGGUGGCUUUCAAUCAACUAAAGUAUAUGGAGCUUGAUGGGUUGAUAGAGUUGAGAAGUUUCAGCUCAGGUGGAUACACUUUGAUGUUCCCGCUCUUGGAAGAUAUCAUUGUAACUAGAUGUCCCAACAUGAAGUUUUUCUCUCAAGGACCAAUAGAUGCGUCAAAGUUGGAGAGAGUUCAAGUAUCGAAAGCAUCGUGGUUUUGGAUGGGAAGCCUCAACAUCACCAUUCAUAAUAUGUUUGAAGAAAUGGUAUGCACCAGUUACCAAAUUUUGUGCAAUUGGAUGGUUUUGACCACUAACCGAAUAAUCGCUCUUUGCUAGCUAGAAGUUUAUGUUUAAUGAUGCAAUUUUUUUUUUUGAUAGGGUACGUUUGCUGGAGCAAAGAACAUGUUGCUAUCUGAGUUCCCCAAGCUGAUUGGAAAAUGGCAUAACGAACUUAAUCCCAUCAAGUCGUAUUGGCAAUUAGAAUCAUUGGUGGUAGAUAAAUGUCCAUCAUUUGUUAACGCUAUUCCACCUAGAUUAAUGCUUGUUUUAAAAAAUUUACGCUUUUUGCAAGUGCGCGAUUGCGAGGUGCUUCAAGAAAUAUUUGAUUUGGAAUGGCUAGAAGCUAUGGAAAGCACUCGAGUGCUACCUCAGCUACAGGAAUUGAACUUGGUCAAUCUACCACAAUUGAGGCGAUUGUGGAACAAGGAUCUUCAAGAAUCGCUAUGCUUCAAUUCUCUAGUAAAUCUCAUCCUUUAUAAUUGCAACAACUUGAGACAUGCUUUCUCUCCAUCGAUGGCUUGGUGCCUUGCCAAUCUUGAACUAAUGGAAAUAAAGGAGUGUGGUCAGAUGGAAGGAGUGAUCAUAGAGGAAGAAGGAGAGGGAAGCACAAGGGAGAAGAUUACAUUCCCAAAGCUCGAGCAUAUGACUAUGCAGUACUUGCCCAAUUUGACUUGUUUCCUCAUGGGAAAAAAUCAUAUGAUGGAAUGCCCCACAUUACAAGGGCUGAACAUUGCCCAUUGCCCUAGGAUGAGAAGUUUGAUUAGGCAAUCUUGGAUGGAGAAUGACCAUGGCACCCCCUCACUUUUCACUCCCCAAGUAAGUCUUUCAAACAAAUGCAUUUUUGGCAUUUCAUUUUGAACAUAUUCUCAUAGUAUUGGACGAUGCACGGUAUGAUACAAAUGUUGUGCUUUGUGCUGGUUUAUAUACAUAAUCUUCUAAUAUUUAAUACAUAGAUUAAAAUAUUCUUAUCCUUAAGAAAUAUAAAUAUGAAUUGUACAUCUCUGUAUCCUUUUGGAAGUGUUAAGUUAGUGGUGAUUCAUGGAAUCGUAUCAUGCGUGGUACUUUAGAAUUAAUUAGCAAGCUUCUUAAGAAAGUUAUCACAAUUACCAUGAAAAAAAACAUUCAAUUUUUGCAAUUUCAACUAUAAAUAGCUAACAGUAAACAUAGAGUAGCAUCUAAUAAUGGCAACAAAAAAAAAAAAUGUUGUAUCGCCACUUCAUAUUUUCUUGCGCAGAAGCAAACUAGCAUCGUUCUAUUAAACAUGAAGAAAAAGGGAAAAGAAAACUUUAUAAUGUAAAAGUCCAAUUCACAAAUUGCUUAGCAAUUACAGCUCAUUGUACCAUAGUAAUCUUCCCAAUCAACGAAAUUGGAGGAAUUAGGGAGAGCAACUCUUUUAACUGGAGUGCUCUAAACUUCGAUCAUGAUCAAUGCAGUCAACCUUUUUAUUUCCUAAUAAUCACCAAUGCUUAAGUUGGGUUUGGAUAAUAAAAUAAAUAAAAAUAAAAAGGUCCAUAUGCAUGACGCAAUUCAUCUUAUUUGUUCGUAAAACAUACUUGAAUCGCUAUACUCCAAUAACCUAUUAAAUUACGUGCUUGUAUUAUACACAAUCUGUGUUUGGCAAGAGAAAAUGCUUUCAAAAAAAGAAAUGGCAAAAAAAAAAGGAAAAAUGAAAGAGAGAAAAGGACAAUUGGGUAAUAAAUAGUAGCAGUUCCGUGGGCGGUUGCCGACAUUGCAAGUCUAAUUUCAUAACUAGAUCACAAUAUUUAAUCAAUGUCCUAGCUAAAAUAAAAAUUUUAAAAAUCGGAAUAAAUUAUCCAACCAACAACACUACCCAGUCAACACUUCCAUUCCGUCUCAUGAAGUUCUCCUCAUGUGAAGACUAAAUGCAAUAAAUGAUGACCUCCCCGGCACUUUUUUUUUUUGGGUCGAAUCUUCAGGCACUUGAAAAUGCACAAUAUCGACCCAAAUUUGAUUUUUUUUUGACCUUUUGUAUUACAGAUUCCACACUAGUUUUGGUUUUUUUUUUCCUGAAGGAGGAAAUGCUUUUUUUUUUUAUUCUAAUACUUUUGCACAAUUCCUUCUAUUGUUUUAUGCAAGUAGAAUGUUUAAUUAUAACAAGUAUCUACACAUUUGUUUACUUUUUAAUUGUAAGAGUUAUCGCUAAUUAUUUAUUUAUAAUGUCAUUUGCAAUUGUUAUAUAAUACCUAGCCCUGCAUUCUAAGAAUAUUUCAAAAAGUCAUUAUAACACUCAAUCAACAAUACUUAUAAAUUUGGGGAAGUAUGAAAAUAGUCAUCUAAUCUUUUGGUAGUGACAAGUUGUGAUAGUGUUAAUUUUAUUUUAGUGUCAAGUACGAGUUGUCAUAUAAUAAUUGAUUUCUCCCACAUUAUUAAAUAAUUUCAAAAACUCAUCAAAAUCCUCAAUUAAUAAUAUUGAUAGAUUUAAGGAAGUAUGGAAGUCAUUUUUUUUUUUUGGGUGACAAGUUGUAAUUGCAUUAAUUAUAUUGUAACCAAAUGAAAAAUAUCAUUACUUACUUUUUAAUGGACAAUUCAUCGGAGGUCAUGAUGUAGCGCAAAAAAAAAAAAAAACACUCUUGAUUUUCUCCAUACAAACAAAAUGUGAUCAGCAGGUGCACACCCACUUUUUGCAAAGGGGUGGAUCACUCAGUACACCGCAAGAUUCUAUUUCUAUUUUUCCACCUCAAAUCUAUAUAAAUAUUAUUUCAAGGAUUUUAUAAGUGACCCAACUUGCUUAUGUUGAGAUCAUAAUAUUAUGUUAUUUAUUCAAGUCGUUAUAUUGCCCAUGCCUAUUAAGAAAUUAUUUUCUUUCAAUACAAAAAUUUUCCAUGCAUAAAAAAGAAAAAGGUCGUGAACAAUUGAAGUUACGAUAUAUAUAUAUGUAUGUAUGUAUAUAUAUCCGGUUCGCCAUAUAAAUUUCAAGACUCUUCUCUUUGGUGAACUGUAUUAAUUAGAAGAUUCAUAAAUACCAUUCGCAAUUUAGUAUGAAUAAGUAGUAGUGCUCAUGGUAAAUAGAGGAAAUAAUGUUGAGCCAAGCAUCGGUUUCAUCCAUUCCUUCUUCAAUACGUACACUACUUAAGUUCUUUGCACCCGCUAUUCAUAUCCUUAGUCGACUGGCUCAUCAUCACCAUGCCUGUGCUUUUUCUCUAAUUAUUAUGCAUGUUCACCUUGAAGCAAACAUAUCUAAAACAUAACUGAUCUUUGCCGACGAAACUAACGUAACGGAAAUUUUCAGUAUGUAUUAAUGAAUCUAAAUGUUGCUCUUUUCAAUAUUUCUAUUGAACUGCCUAGCAAGCUCCCUAAACUUUUUGCCAGUCUUCGUGCUUAUUCAUUACAAAAAUACAACUUGUCACUCCUCCAUGGCAUCAACAUUGUUUUGUGAGAUUCAUAUUAUGUUCUUCUUCGUCUUUGUCCUCAUUUAAUUGCGUAGAGAAACAGUUGAGUGAACUAUAAUUGAUGUUUAGUCAAUGGCUCCAUUCAUGCAUCAGCAUAUAGGAGGGCUCUCAUUUCUCUCUCUCUCUCUCUCUCUCUCUCUCUCUCUCUAUUUUGCAUUGUAGGUUUUCUUAUGCUUUAGAUGCUCUUGCAUCCAAUUGGAAAUAGCCCCCCCCCCGCCCCUCUCUCUCUCUCUCUCUCUCUCUCUCUCUCUCUCUCUCUCUCGACACGAGCUACUAUAAAAAAAAAAAUGAGGACUUAGGAGGGGAGGAUUAGGAUGAAGUUGAAAGGUACAAAACCGGAAUUUGGGAGACCUGCUUAGCAACCAUUUGAACGAGCCCAAGUUCCACGUGCAUAGGGCCCAUCCGCCUAAUUCCUGAACUUUUAAGUUAUCGCUAUGAUUUGUUGAGUAAUCAAGAAAAGUCAACAUUGUCUCGUCACUCUAAAAUCUACGUACCCUUAAUCAUCAAUUAAGCCAAUCAAAAAGUUGAUGCUAAACAUACUAUUGAUUUAUAAAAGCAUUUAUAAUUUCAUGCUUGUUGCAAUGCAAUACCCUUGGCCUUAGUCAUCAAUCAACUUGUAUAAAAGCAUCAAUCAACCCCUCCCUAUUUAUAUCACUAGCAAGAUCUUGACUUCUCAUGAUUUGUGAGAAUGAGGGAAGUUUGGCGAUUCCUUCUUUAAGGUCAUAAUUCAAUGCAAUCACAUUCAUUGUGUCAUUCUUUUCUCAAUAUGGCAGGUACAAUUUCCUCAACUUAGGUGGAUGGAACUCUCCCACAUGGACGAUUUAAGCAAAAUAUGGACUGACAAUCCUCUAGAAACUCCGACUUUUGAUUGUUUAAGGGAAGUGGGGGUUUGGAACUGUAAGAGCCUUGAAACUUUGUUUCCGUAUUGGGUGGCUACAAGUUUAACCAAACUUCAAAUAAUUCAAGUGGAGUCUUGUGAGAUCGACGAAAUAGUCGCUAGUGGGGAUGACACUCCAUGCUCCAAUACAACUCAAGAUCAUUUCCCAAAACUAACCUCUUUGGCGUUACAUGAUAUGCCACGACUCAAGAGCUUUUAUCCUAACUUACCCUCUUUGAAUUGGCCAUUAUUGAAGGAAUUACAAGUGACUCACUGUAACAAACUGAACAUGUUAUCCUUUGCGGCAUCCAUGAACAGUUGGGCUCAAAGAGAUGAUCAACAAGACCUUUUAGAUCAAGAAGCACACUCUUCAUUUGAGAGGGUAUGAUUAUAGUUGCUCUCCCUUAGUUUCUACUUUGUUCUUUAAAGCAGUCACUAAUAUCAUAUCCAUUGCAUAUCAUGUCGCGUUAUGAUGUUGUAGAAAACAUGAUCUCCCCUACCUAUUAGUUUGUCAACAACAUUAAGAUAUUUCUAAUAUUUUACGUACACUUCCAUUUGUGGACAUGCAUAAGAUAUUCCAUUACCUAGAGUUACAAAAAAAUUUACAGUAUUCUAUUGAUAACAUAAUAUAUUCCUAAUCUAACCUAAUGGUGCUCUUGGGCGACAUCAAUAAGGAUUUGACAAGAGGUCCUCUCCAUUAUUGACACAUGUUGCACACUUGAACUUUUCUUCUCUAUUUCAUCUUCUACAAACUCUAAAAAAAUUGAUUCAAACUAAUUUUUUUUAUAACAAAAAUAACAUUAGUACCUUAGUGCACUAUUUUCUACUGUAUUUUUUAAUACACUAGUCGUCGUGUUAUCCUGCUAUAAUAUUAUAGAAAACUAGAAUCCCUUUCCUAUAAGUUUGUAGACAACAUAAGAUAUUCCUUAUAUCUUAAGCAUACUUCUAAAUUUGUGGACCCCGUAUGUUUUAGUGACAUCUUGAGUGCAUCCCAUUACAUAAGAUUCCAAAGAAGAUAAAUUUUUGUCAACAAGAUAAGAUAUUCCUUACAAAAGAUGAAUUUAGUGAGUGCAGGGAUCUUGAAUUUAGAUUCACUCUAUCCACUUGACCAGACCAACCUCUACAUGAGACUUUUAAAAGCUUGAGUCUUGAACACAAGGUUCUUGAGAUAUAAUGAACUUUAAAAAGAGGACCACCUUCCAUGCGAAUCAUCUUAAUAGGUUUACCUUUUAUAGCACGUGAUUUAUUGUUGAAACUUUGUUGAAUUUACUUCUCUUGUUGUAUUGGCAAUUCGACAGGACUUUCCCAACUUGGAGAGACUUUUAUUAGACAAUAACAAUAUUCAGAUGAUACAAGAUGGAAAUUUUUCGUAUGACACGUUCAGUAAGCUAAAAGCACUAACACUAGCAUGCUUUCAUGAUAAAAAGGCUGCCUUUCCUUCCCUAUUCCUCCUAGAGAGAUUUCAGAAUUUACAAAGCCUUGAAGUCUUCUGUAACUCAUUUGAAGAUUUAUUCCCGAACGAAGGGCUUGUUGAAGAAAGGAAACAUCCGGUGCUUGAAAAUUUAACAGAACUUAAGUUGAACAAGCUACACAACUUAAAGUGUGUGUGGAGAAAAGACCCUUUAGUGUCGAAAAUUCUUCAGAGCAUCAAAACAUUUAAGGUUUGGGAUUGUCCCUGUUUGACAACAAUAUUUCUAACCGAGACAUCCUUCCAGAAUCUAACAGAUUUAGUGGUGAAGAAUUCCUCUGGAUUGGUACAUCUAGUAACAAUUUCGGCAGUCACAAAUUUGGUACAUCUCACUUUUAUGACUAUAAUAGGAUGUGAAAAAAUGAAAGAAGUAGUGGCCGACGAUGGAAACAGAGAAGGAAAAGUGAUUUCUUUUGAAAAGCUAAGAUUGUUGACACUUGAAUAUCUGCCAAACUUAGAAUGCUUCUCUUCCAUUCCAAGUUGCAUCUUUAGGUUCCCAUCCUUAUGGAAUAUUGAAGUGGAAGAAUGUCCGAAAAUGAAGAACUUUUCUAAGGGUACACUAAGCACACCAAAACUAGAUGAUGUGUCACUGUUCAGAUACAAGUGGGAAGGGAAUUGGGAGAAGGGUGAUGAUCUCAAUACAACCAUACAGAAGUUAGCAGCAUAAAUCAAUGCACAUAGAAUUGGUAAGAUCCAAUUGAUGUCAUUCUCUCAUCCAUUUUUUUUUUCUUUAGUCUUUCGGCAGCGCCGCAACUUUUUAAAAUUUUCUUUUUGUGACUUUUCUAUUAUUGAUUUCGUCAAAUCAACAUCACCGUCAACCCUAUCGAUGGAUCUCGGCUCAUCCUUAACUGAACAGUAGGAAGCAAAGCGGGUCUCUCCUUCUCCUUCUCCUUCUUGACGCCAAAGGCUCUUUCUCCAUCUUUCUUCUUCUUCUUCCUCCUCCGUGGAGCGAAAUUGGGGGAAGCCUCUGCUGCCUUCACAAAGGACGGAGCAAAAAUGAAGCAUCAGGAAUUGCCAGGACUGCGAGAAGCGAAGCUGCAUUUAGCGGAGCGGAGCCAAGUAGAUUCAACCAGACGCUGUCGUUGUCGCCGUCGUCACCGUCGGAGGUGGCACAACCGAGUCUGGACAGUUAGUCGUCCACUCACUUCAUCAAAGAAGAAGAAGAUCACACUCUCUCUCCGCAUCUGUAUCCGACAAAUGGUAAGUUCAUGUUUCUUCCGAUUUCGGUGUAUUAUUGUGCGUGAAUUAGGGCUCUCUUCUUCAAAUUCGUUCCACAUUCGAGUCUAAAAACAGGAGUUACUCAAACAAGCAAUAUAUUGCCCUUAAAUCUACAUCUUCUGUGCUUCCCUCCCGAGCAUUGGCGAGAUUUCUGCGUGUUUGACCUCUCAUAGAUGGAGAUGAUAUAUUGUGUUCAAGGUCCUCAUGUUGAAAUUUCUUUAGGGAGAGAUAUCUCUGUAACAUCAUAUACAAAUUUCUAUCAGGAAAAAGGGAGAAAUCAUGGAACUUGAAAAUAUUCCGAGAAUUCCAUGCCUUGUCAAAAAUCUGAAAUGUCACUUUUACGCCUUGAUCGCAAUAUAGUUUGGAUUGUCUGAGGAAUCACCUGUAAUCUUGAUUGGUUAUGUGAUGCUGGAAGGAUAAAAUUUAUCUCCAAUUUAUGCUAAAAUCUUUACAUAGCAAGUCAAAUUAAUGAAGUGUACUUAAACUGUCUCUAAAGUUGUCGUUUAAGUACAGGCUGGUCCAAACAUUUGAGCAAAUUGAGGCAUCCUGAGCUGGUUUUUUAAGGUCCCAUGCGCCCAAGGCCUCUCACUGCUCUUACAUCGGCCAACAAAUUUCAAAUGGAGCAUCCCAAUGGAGCAUUCCUUUUUCAAAGGUGGUGAGGAGGCCCUCUUAUGUUGACUUUGGCUUGGUAUGAUCCCACGCUCAUUGACCCAAACUCGCAUGUCUGAAAAUCAAACAUAUGGAUGCUGUUUAUAUCUUUGCUUAUACUCUAGUGUAUUUCCAAGUUGACUUAAUGCAGUAAACAACAUGACAUGUUAUAUUCCUUGAAGUGUUCAUGGGUAUAUGUUUAAAACCAAGUAUAUGUCUUAACAAUGGAGUAAUUGAAGCAGGGGAAACAAUGAAAGGACAGUUAGUGGGACUUAAACUGGUGGUCGAGGUUUGAAAAAAUAACAUCUGUCCCCUUUUUGUGAAUACAUGUGUUGGAAAGCAGUUGCUGAGGCAAGUCCAAAGAAUUAUAAUCCAAUUCCUCUUAUAUGGAGGAACUUGACAAUGUUAUUCAAUGCUGUAAAAGUAGAAUAUAUAUGUAAAUGCAUGAGGAGACUAGUUGAUACGGACAAGCAAAUUGCAAAGAAUGUCACUACCUCCAUAACUAGAGCGAAAGACCUGAAAGAUAAGGGGGUGGCUAUUUAUGGUUCUGAAAUUUCAUUGUAGAUCUAAUGAGUGAUAAUUUUGUUUUCAAAUAGGAGAUACUAUUUUAUUUUGUUACAUUAAUCGGAAAUUUGAGAAAAAAAGAUGAGUUUACUCUGUCAAAUUGAUUCAGUAUUUUGAUAAAAUUUGAGUUGCGCUUGAAAUAAUUGAACAGCUUAGAUUAAAAUUUUUCACUUCCAUCCGUGUUCCGGUCAUUGAUGUCUUUGCCUUUUCCCCUGCUCUUGUGGUUUGUGUGGCUUAAAUUCAUCAUUUCAAAUAUAUAUGGGACAUGGAAGGCUUUUUCUGGUCCUGUACCCUAUUGCACCUAGGAGCGUAUAUUUUGUCAUUUGACUUUGGGUUGCAGUCUGAGAUUGUCUACUAUCAUUAUAAGGUUUAUUGUCAAUUAAAACUCCUAAAAGUAGCAACUACUGCCUUAUAUUCACGCUGUGUGAUUAGAUUCUCUCAUUAGUGUAUGCUUAUGUUUUGGUCUUUCUUCACCAUAAGUUGGUUUUCAACCACAUAAAUGAGGAGACUACUCCUGUUCAAUUCAUCAGGCAACAUAAUCAGGAAAACAAGGUAAUUGCAACUCUCAGGUAUUCAGACAGGUCGUGGAUGGUGAAGCUCAGGAGCCAUGGACUUUUUUUUCGCUGCUUGACACCCAACUGCUAGAGAAGCUCGUUUGCAUUUAAGAGAUGUUUGUGUGUUCGAGCUCAUUGAUAGGGGGGAUGUGUGUUUAGAGUCUACAUUUCCACUAGUACUGGUAAGGACUUGGUUUACAUUGACCGAAAUGAAUUUUGGAAGUGUCACUUUAGAUAGUCCAAAAUAAAUUCAGUAUUCAUAGUUAUAUCUCUUUGUUUAGUCUUGGUGAAUCAAUGAAGUGUACGUCUUCCAUUCCCAUUGGGUUUGUGAGUUUCACAAUAAUCCAGAUGCACACUCAUUAAUGCUACAUCCCAAGUCUAAAUUAACCAAAAAGAAUGUGCUUCAAUGUCAAAGCGAAAAUUAUAACCUAAAUGCUUAGCAUGAGAAUUUAGAGGUGUGACUUGUUGGUUUCUAAGUUGCACUUUUCUGCACAGUGUUGCAUUCUUUUUCUUGGUCUGUCUCAAAAGUUAUGAAAUUUUCCUGAUAAGAUUUUGUAUAUUGAUGGGUUACAUUACAAUUUAGGAGAUGCCAAGUGUAGCUAAUGUGUUUUGUCUAACAUGAAAAACAUGUAAACGUUAGUAACAAGAUUGGAUGCAUUGAUUUGUAGAUCGUUGUAACUUGACAGAAGGUUUACAGCAGUACCUAUGAAAACUCUCCUUUUUCUUUUGUGCAAGUUGGACCAAACAAUCUAAAUGUCAAGUGAGCCCCCAUGAGCAGUUUUGCAUGGUUCCAUGUUUCUGCGGCCUCCCCUGCUCUUGAAAAAACUAGAAAAUUUGAAUCGGAGUAUCCAUCUCUGAAAUUGGUGAUGCGGCCACUAUUAUCAAGGAUAGAACUGCGGUGUGGCCCCUAUGUCCUUUCAUAAUUGGCAUAGCUCAACCAUGAUGCCUUCUACAUGUUUCCCUUUAGUCGACUCUUUUCCCAAGUCGUUUUAAAUUUUUCAUAGGAAUCACAUUAGAUGUUAUUUUCUUUGGAGUGUUCAUGGCUUUAUCUGUAAAACCGGGGCAGUUUUGAUUUUGAAAUUUUAUUUUUUAAAUUUAUGGAUUCAUAAGAUUACCGAUUCUAAAAUGAAAGAUUCUAUUCUUGUUUUUUUUUUUUUUUUUUUUCCAGUAAUCAGGUGUGAAGAAGAUUACUAUUAUAUAUAGACUAAGAGGAUGUGGUGGGGACGAUCAGUGUUAGCAACUCUUGAACUUUUGUCAUGAGAGUUAAAAAAUUAUGUACACUACUGUAGAGUCUACAAGCACUGUAUUGUGAAAUCUUAACUUCAAGUUGCAGGUUGGGAUUGAAGACUUCUAUUACCCAGUUAACACUAUUAAUUGAACUCCCUGAAACUAGUAAAUACUAGCAUAAAUUUACAUUUUGUUUGCGUUUUCCGUUUAUUAUUUCUUUGUAUUUAUUCUUUUCCUCAUUAUACUACAUUGGUAGUGUUCCUUGUGAAUUCAUAAAGAAACAUUCAGAAGAACUAGCAAAUUGCAACUCUUAGGUAUUUGAACAAAUUAUGGCUGGUGCAGCUCAAGACCUAUCAACUCCAUUAUGUAGCUGGUUGGGCCGCAUUUGUGAAAGAAGCUUGUCUGGAUGAAGGGGAUGUCCACAUGUUUGAGCUCAUUGAUAGGGACGAUUUUAUGGUCAAUCUCCAUCUCCAAUUAUGCUAGUAAGGACCUCAUUUAGGUUGAUUGAGAUGGACAUUGGAAGUGUCGCCUGCAAGUAAUUCAUGUCUUCUUUAUUCAGCUAUGACAAAUCAAUUGAAGUGCACUUACUUUUAGCUUUGCGUCUCUUUCUUGACCUGCUUACAGUCUUACCAGAAUUCUCCUCUCUUUUUUUUUCUUUGUGCAGGUCAGAACAGAUAGUCUAAAUGUCCAGUAAGCCCUCUUGAGCAGCCUUUUCAUGGUUUCAAUUGUCCGAGGCCUCUCACUGCCCUUUAGAAUGCUGGAGAAUUCAAGUUAGAGUAUCCCUUUUUCCAGAUGGUGACAUGGCCAUCUUUUCUUAAGAAAGAAAUAAUGGUGAGGCCCAGAUCUCCAUUCAUAACUGGCAUAUCUCAAUUAUGAAUGCCACCUAUUUUAUAUAUGUGCCCUAUUGUGCAAUUUUUUCCUGCAUUAAUUUGCUUUCUAUAGAAACACAGGAUAUAUUAUCUUCCUUGAAGUGGUCAUGGUUAUAUGUUUAAAACAGGCUCCUUAACAACUAAAGGGACUAGGGAAAAACAAUAAGUCAGACAGUAAUCAGGAAAUUACCUAGUGAUAGGUGGGUGUGGAGACAAGGUCAGAGGGUUGAGACAGGCAAUAACAACCAUAAAUUAGGAAUUUAAUGAUUUCUAAUUGAAGUAUAAAUUCUUCCCAAAGAUGACUACUUGGUACUUUCUCUGUCUUCUAGUUUAAGUAUAAAUUCCUUCCAAAAAUGACUACUUGGUACUUUCUUUGGCUGCCUAGGCUUGGGAAGAAGAGGCGACACGAAAUGUCCAGCUUAAGCAAUAGCUAUUGCAACAGGCCUAGGCUUGGCAUGACUAGGCUCACUGCAACAGCACGGCAACACUAAUUGGGAUAUUGCUCCCUGGCAACAAAUGGUUUCCAAGAGCUACUAUUGCAAGCAAGUUCAAACUUGCGAUCAGAAAUGAAGUGAAGGUAGUGUGGCCCUAGACCUCGAAAAUUAGUCCCACCACCUCUGUGGUAUGAAAAAAAGAAAGGCAGCUAAUUUUUUUUUUUUUUUUGCCAGGCGAAUGAAGAUCACUUUUUGUGUAUAUGUAUCCAUCUAGGAUGCUAGGUGUAGCUUUUCAUGUUUGUCCAAUGCAUAUCGCGAUGUGAGAUUGGUGACUUGGAAAUCCACCAGAUUUGUGCAUGUCUCUAUAUUGAUCACACAUACUUAGCGUAGAGUCUAAGAGCACAGGAUUGUGAUAUUUUGAUUUCAGAUUGCAAGUUGUGACUAAAGAUCAUCUCAUCAAGCCUUUUAGACUGCUAAUACGGAUCUCCGGAAAUUCCAAAUACUAUCAUAAAUGUACAUCUUGUUUGCCUUUUCACUUUAGUGUAUGCUUACAUUCCUCUGUCUUAUCAUACAUUGGCUGGUCAAAUGUCUUCAUGGGCAGAGCGUUCCUUAUAAAUUUAUAGAGACAUGCAGUCAAGAAAACCAGCAAAUUGCUAUUCUUAGGUAUUCAGACACAUUGUGGCUGGUGACCAUCAUGAGCUAUCAGCACUACGCUGUAGUGAACUUCUCUAUUGGUUGGUCCAAGUUUGUGAGAGAAACUUAGUCUUGAAUGAAGGGCAUGUCUGCAGGUUUGAGCUCCUUGAUAGGGAUGAUUUUUAGGUUGAAUUGGGACGUGAACACUGGAAGUGUCACUUUAGGCCAUAUUCUAGUUAGAAGCGAUCUAUGCCUCUUUUCUGUUGUGAUGAACCGGAUAAAAGUCCACUGUUAUUUCUGACUGCUUUUUUCUGAACUAGUUACAAUCUUAUAAUUUCUAGGCCUAGCCACUCCAUUUAUCGGAUAUUGUGAUGAAUAGCCUCGCACACACUUUCUACUUUGGGUAUUUCUCUUGCGCUUGUAAUGCUUUUAUCAUUGCCUUCUUGGAAAGGACCUUAGUUCAGCAUUAUCAUGGUUCUGGUUAUUCAACCUGGUUUCGUAGAACAAAUGAAAUUUAUGCAUUAUGCCAUCAGUCAUGGUAACUUGAAAUUUUCCAAAGAUGGGAGAGAUGGACUCUAUACUCAUGUAAUUAUAUUUGAUUAAAGUGCUUAUAUAGAUACAUUAUCCUUUCAAGCAAGAUGAAAUAUAAAACCAAGAGGGCGAAUUCCUCUCGAGAAAAUGGGAAGAAUCCAAAGACCUCACGGACCUUGAAGAUUCAGAGGGUUCCUGGCCAUGUUGGAAACCAUUGGCUAAACUGCAAUUACCUUCUUAUCUGCCUUCUACGGUGAUGAAUUCCUUUUCAAUUUGUGAGUUUCAAAGUGAUUGAAUUGAACACUCAUUGAUACGACUUUUUAAAAUAAUAUGCUUGGAACCAAAAAGGACUAAGCUUCCAAAGUCAGAGUGACAGAAGUUCCAAAUUGUUCCUCAAGAUAAUUUGGAGGUGCGUGCACAUGACAUAGUUUUCUUAGUCACUCUUCAAAAUUCUUAAAAAUUUGAUGAGAAGCUUUUGGUAUGUUGGUUGAUGGCAUUGAUUUGGGUGUUCGAAGUUGUAGUCAAUCAGUUUUAUCUAAUACGAAGAGCGUGCAAACUUCUGUUUUAUGUUCGCACUCGUUGAUUUCCAAACUAUGCUGGAUCUUUUCAUAGUAAAUCGAAAAAAUUCACAUAUGUGCCCAUGAGAGUUCUUUUUUUAACCGGAGGUCAGACCAAACAGCCUAAAUGCCCACUGAACCCUGUUGAGCCGGUUUUUCAGUGUUUUACUUGUCCAAGGCCUCUCCCUGCACUUGAAAAAGCUUAGAGAAUUUGAGUCAGAAUAUCCCUUUUUCAAAAUGGUGAUAUGGCAAUUUGUUGUCAUGAAAGGAAAAGAACUGUACAUUCCCCAUCUCCAUUCAACAUUGGCAUAUUUCAAAUAUGAAACAACAUGACAUGUUAUUUUCGUUGAAGUAUUUGUGGCCAUUUGACCAUCCUAAUGGCAGAGUAAUGGAACUUGAUAAAAUGGCAAUCAAAAUGGUAAUUGUGAUAUAACCUUUAUGUUUGUGUGUGUCGAUUCGGAUUAUUAACUAGUGCGUCUACCUUGAAACAAUCUACUUCUCUGGUUGCUCCAUCAAUUUGUCUUUUGCUCCCUUUUUUAAAGUGGAAAUCAAGAUGCGGACUUUUUAAAAUAAUAUCUCAAUAUAUAUUUUUUAUUUUUUUAUAAUUUUGUUAUUUUCUUUUCUUUUCUUUAUUUUUUUCCUACCCUUACGGUUGGCCAGGAUGUGGGCGCACAGCCCCUCGCCCAGACCAAGUGAGGGCUGGCGAGGGUGUGCAGGGAAAAAAAACAACAACAAAAAAAACAAAAGAAAAAAUAAAAAAUUCAAAAAAUAUAUUAAAAUAUUAAAAAAUGUCCACAUCACCUUUAGCAGUGUCAUGUCAAGGCGGUUGAUCAAUAUUGACAUAAUAGACUAAUUAGCACAAAUGCAAACAAAUAUAGGAUUGAAUUGGCAAAAAAAAAAGUUAGAAUCAAUUAGCACAAUUACAAUAAGUUUAUGAGUUUUUUUAAUAAUUCUCCCGAUAUUGUUUUCUUAUUAGUGAAUUUUGUCUCGCAAUUCAAGGUACAAAAUGGCAUUGUUCUUCAAAAAAGCUUAAAAACUUAUAUAUAUAUAUUGAAAUAAUUUGGAGAGAACGAAAUAUCUUUUUUAUCAAGGAAUAGAAAAGGAAAAGGAAAGAAAAGCAAACAAGAAAAUAAUAAGGACACAAAUUACUCUUUGCCGUGCCAAACCUAACCUAAAGGUAACAAACUGUCAACACGAUACAACUUUUAUUUAUAUCACAAGAUUCUAUAUGCUCUUCGUCCAUUUAUUACUUGUCAACUUUUACGGACUUGAUACAUCGUGACCCUUUUCCUCUUUAUUUCUUGAUUCAACAAUAGGGAGAGAAAAAAACACAUCGGACCCUUUUCUGCAAAGAUGGACUCACAGUCUCGUCCAAAUAUGAAGGAAUCGAUUAAUUGCCCAUUGAAUUCAUAUUGCUCGCAUGUAAUUCUAUAGUCAAAAAGCUGAAGCUAUGCUUUGGCAUUGAGCGUGCACAACUCUUUAAUUUGACCACAAGCGAAAUUCACGUAAGUAGUACAGUCCGACUACCCCAGCCUGAUAGCACACGCUCCACGGCCGAAGCAUUUGGUGUUGUUGUGAGAGGCAUUGGUGUAUUAAUUGAAUCCCCCAAUCACAGUGUCGGACCUCAGAUUGGUCAAGACUUGAUCCGAAGCUUGGUGCGUACUGCACGCCAUUGCAUAUCUUGUACAUAAGCAUCACAUCCAGGUCACUUCUUACGAGUCAGACCCCCACAGAAGCCCCAUGAACAUAAGUGUGAGUGUAUGUGAUGUGGACAAGGUCAUCCUAGAGCCCCGUUUCCUCCCUUUUGGUUCUCUUUGGUUUGCUACGAGGAAACACACAAUUGAGUUUGGCUAUAAAAAGGGUUUGUCUCCAUAGUGCUAUCCAUCAUUUAUUCUUUGUUAUUAGGCUAAGCUAGUACCAAUUUUAGUCAUUUAUGACGUCACAUGGAUUUUUUUAUAACUUCCAGAGCUUUUUCUAUGAAUUAUUUGUUCAUUAGUGUAAUAUGUUGUUGCCGUCCUUGCAAACCCUAAUCUCAUAAUUUUAAAUGAAAUUCCCCUCCCCCUCUCUUACUAUGCAUGAAAAAUUUUAAAUUGGGAUCCUCGAAGUCUACGAAAUAAAUUCACAUUACGAUAAAUGACUCACUUCUUCUUUUUCUGUCCUUUCUCCUCUUACUUUGCACAAACGUGUAAACCUCAUGUUCUAGUCUUGAAUAUAUUUCUAUAUGUAAGAUUGUAAAUUUUAGGUCAUGUAAUUAAUGGAGUUCAUGAUAGUUAUAUAACCCGAAUAACACAAUACUUCUACUACUACUAAUAGUACUACUAGGAGUGUAUUAAAAAAAAUAAAAAAUAAAAAAAGACCGAAAACCAGAUCGAACCAUCCAAAUUGGCCUGAUAAUUUUCGGCUCAAAUAAUCCUGGGCCGGCACACUUGGCCUCAAACUAUCCUUGAGUUUGGGACCUGAAUGAUUGACAAACCGGCCGAUUCAUAGAUCAGAAACUGUACAUAUAUAUGGCCCCUAUGUCAAUUCCCAUUCCUGCUGGUUGAGUGUUUUACUUCUCUCGUUCUCCCAUCUCUCACGCUGGUUGAGAUCCGGUCACCGUUGAGCUGCCAUUGCCACCACUGUCGAGCCCCAUUUAUGUGGCCAUCGAUCCCCACACUCACCUUAUGCCCUCCGUCCAAGACGUCUCGCUCACUCCGUCAGUCCCUCUUCUGCUUGCGCACGUCUUGGUCUUCCUUACGCUCCCUCACUCUCUACUAGUAGCAAACAAGUACUUACUAGCUUGUUUUGAUGUCUUGAGGUUUUUUUUUUUUUCAUACAUGCUAUCUUUAACAAGAUGCAAUUAUCUUAAGAUAAACUCUAAACUAGUACACAUAUGAUAAAUUUAUUUUCUAUUAAAUUUUAUUGUCAAAUUAUUAAGUUGGAUGGCACGUAAUAAUUGACAAAUGUAUCAAUUUGGGGUUUUCUCCUCCAUUUGUUACAAUCAUACUAGUUUGUGAUUUUUUAUAGUAUUAAUCCAUUUUAACAAAAACCAACAAAUAGUAAAAUUAUUAUAAAUGUAUCAUUUUAUGAUUUUUAAUAGUCAAAAUACUAAUUUGGGGUAAAAUGUGUGAUGCACUAGUUUGGGAUUUUGGUUAGUCAAAAAAUUAAUUUGAGAUAAAUUUAUGAUGUAUAUAUCAAUUUUAGAUUUUUUGUGACAUUAAUUCUUUAUUAUUUUUUUGUUUAACACUUUAUUAGUUACAUUUAGAUAGUAGAUGGUAGUGGAAAGUGGCCGUUAAUGACGAUUGGCACUUUUUAAGUGCUAAAUGAUGAAAAUCACCUCUGAAUUCGUCUAAAAUCUAAUCCGAGCUGUCAUAAUAAUUUGGUUUUUAAGGUAAUCUAGAUCGAGAAAUCAAAAGAGGAACCUCUCCCUUAAAGAAUCUACAAUGCUAUUUUAUAAACCAUAUUCUCUAAUAUCUUUAUGUUCAAAUGAAAAUUUACGUAGAGUAAUAAUCGAGUCAGGAGAAUCAUUACCUACACCCGGUGCAAACUCUUUUCCUCUCAUAGCAAGCAUGUAUGAAGGCCUAAUAAGAGUGAAACUAAGUCAAAUUAUUCAUGAGUUGUUCAAGCUUGGGUUGAUGAUCAUUUGAGAACUAAUAUUUAGUUGAGCUCUAACUCGAGCUACUUGAGUAUCUUGCAAAUUGAAAGCUCUAACAUCCUCAUCCGCACACAUGUAAUAUAUAGUAUAUCAUCUUUUUGUUUGAAUCAAGCUCUAGCAUUAAAUUAAUGUUUGGUUGAGCUCAAAUCUUGUUUGAAACAUCGAGUAUGAAGUUGAGUUGAUCUCGAGUUUGACAUUGUAGCGGCUCAGGUGGCUCAAUUAGAGACCCCUAGACCCCAGCCGUGUUAACAUCCAAUUCGAUUAAUAAGAGUCUAUGUGUCCAUUGAAGCGAUUAAGAAUUCCGACGUGCAAAAUUAUCAAGAAAUCUCAUUGCUCAAGAUUGGGCUGUGAUCUUCGUCACGCAAAUUUUAAAUCCCCUAUAAUUUUCAAUCCCUAUAUUAACCAAUAGCUUAGAUGAUAAAAGUAAGUGAACAUUAAUAAAUGUAGGAAAUCUUCAAAAGUCACUUUUCCUAGGUAUUAGCUGUAAUCUCUAGCUUGGCUUAAAAAAUCCUUGCUGCAACUUUUCUCCGACACAAUGGCACUCCAGUUCUCUCUCCUCAGUUCUAUGUAUUUGUUUGUUUACUAAAAAGAGGGCUUUUGCGGCAAUUUUUGUCUCAAUAUAAUUUAAUUUCGGAUAACCAUUUGACAAUUGAAAAAAUCCCUCGGCCGAUAAGAAAUUUUUAAUAUCAGAUGUCCCCCUUUUCGUUUUUCAUAUAUUAAGUUGAAGUGUACAUAGAGAGAUCCUUGAUGAUUUCAACUUUUUGGAUUAACUGGUAAAUCACUAAGUUGCGUCAUGCUAGUUUCUCUCAACAAGUACUUCUUAUCAUUUAAGAAAAAAAAGUUCCACUUUUAUUUCUCACAACUUCAAAUCUUAAAAAAUAAUUUUUUCAAUUUUCCUAGGUCUUUAAUUGAAAAAUUAACCCAAUUUCAUAUCAUCAACAUGAACAAAACAAUCACGAUAAAUGAAUGUCCUCUCCUUGAAGUAAAUAGGGAAUAAUAAAAAAAAUCAACAAUUGUUAACAUCUGAGAAAUUAAAAAGGGAAGAAGAUCCGUCAGGUUUUCCAGUUCUUGCGUUUCUAGCAUUCGGUCACUCUCUACUCCCUCUCUCUCUCUCUCUCUCUCUCUCUCUCCAACCUUCGAGCCGAGCUGCACCGCCUGAUAGCGCAGCCUUCGACCGCUGCUACCGCAUCUACGCCGCCGGCCCACCUCGGCGUUCGGCAGCAGCACCGCCCCUCUCUCCGCCUCCUCCGAACACCCCCCCACCAAAAAAAAAAAAAACCUAGGUCCCUCGCUUCGGUUCUUCAGGAUUGCUCGAAGAUGGACGAGGACCAGGAGAUGGAGAGGUUUGGGAUGGACAACGAUUACGACGAUGGUUAGUGGAUCGACGGGGAGUUCUACUACGGGAGGCGGAGAGAGAAGCGCGCCCAGACCAAGGGUGACGUGCUCUCCGGCGUCUUCGCGUUGGGAGACUCCGAUUCGAACUACGACGACUCCUCCAAGAGGAAGUGGAGGAAGAACAGGGACCUCCUAGGUAAGGCCGAUCCGUCGAAGCCCGAACUUCGUGUCCACUGGCACAGUCAUGCCGAACAGAGAGAUUGAGGAGAACUCGAAGAUAGAGAAUGAGGAUGAAGAAUCCGCUGUCGUGGAUGAGGAUAGGCCGGGCUUGGGGGUCUUGAGAAGAACCAACAAGGGAUUGUGACAUUCAUUGAAGCAAAGUUGCGUCCUAGAAAUAUGGGUGUGGGUUUCAACGACUUACGAGGAAACUCUUGCAAAGGCACCUGUUGCCUCGUUGGGGCCCAGAGGAAAAGAAGCCAUCACCCGACGUGCCCGGAAAGAAGAAGCUUUGGUCUAAGCAAGCGAAGAAGAAGACGCUGAAAAACAAAGCGAAGUAUAUUAAGGCAGAAGAGCUGUUGGCGAAGAAGCAGGAACAGGGCCUUGAAGUUGUGCAAAAGGUACUCGACAUGCGUGGACCUCAGGUUAGGGUGUUAGCAAACUUGGAGAAUCUGAAUGCGGAAGAGAAGGCGAGGGAGACAGCUCUGAGCUUGCGAGAGGAAAAAGAGAAGUUGCAAAACGAGGCAGAACACUAGAAGAAACAACUGAAUAACGUGAAGGAGAUAAUGAAUACGCUAGGCCGGAUUGAGGAGGAAGAGUUACUGGAAACAUUGACAUUGGACUCGCUAGCCAGGUUUUUCGGUGACAUGCAAAUAAGGUUUCCUGAUGAUUAUGAACUCUGUAACUUAUCCUGCAUUGCUUGCUCGUUUGCGCACUCCCUCUGUUUAUCAGAGUAUUUCAGGGAUGGAAUCCUUUUUGGAAUCCCUGCCUCGCACGGGUUGGAAGUUGUUUCGCGGUGGAAAUCUCUAUUACGAGGACAGGAAUGUCUUGAUAUAUGGGAUUCGGGAUCCCCUUAUGCCCAGCUGGUUUCAGAAGUUGUCCUGCCUGCUGUGAGAAUAUCAAGCAUCAACACUUUUCGCGUGCGGUUGGACCAAUGGCCCACUGCAAGAUUCCACCUCAAAAGUUAAUAAAUAUUAUCUCAAGCAAGUUAUUAAUGGUCCAAUGUAGAACUAGUUAAUUGACCCAACUCGCUUUUUUGGGAGAUCAUAACAUACGUUCGUUAUUUAUUCAAGCCGUUAUAUUGUCCGUGCCAGUGGAGAAUUUAUUUUCUUUUAAUAUGAAAAUUUUCCAUACGUAAAAAUGAAAAUAACUUGCAAACAAUUGAAGUCAUUAAUUUUUUCUCUGGUUCACCAUCUAAUUUCCAUGAAGCUUCUCAUUAGUGAACUUUAUUAAUUAGAAUACAUCUCUGUGGCAUCGUAUGAAAUCAUAUCUGUCCAAAAUGUGCGCGCCGAGAAGCUAACAGCCACCGAGAGGGCCACGGCAACUCCAGCAGCUAAAGAACCCGAUAAUCCAGCAACUAAGCUGUGCACAUGGAACAACGGAAGCACAAUCACGAUAGAGUCUGACUCUGUUAGUACGUACACCGACUUGAUGUUGUGAACUAAUUAUGCCAAAUUGUGCCAAGCUAGCAGCAUGCGAUUGGGGUGAUCCAUAGCGCUGGAGGUGUGCAAGAACAGAGCUACCUCCAAGGGAUCGUUGACGACCUUGGACAUCGAGUCAAGGCUGGGCUCUACAUCAGUCGAAGAGAGUGUGAUCUUGGAAUCAACAGAGUGAAGCUUGGCGGUCAGGCGGGAGACGUUAAGCUUGGAAGCAGUGGAUUGACCCGCCGGUUUCCUUCUUGCGGUGUCAAUAGGAGCUUUGGUUCCGAGUUGAAAAGGUAGAACUCGAACUCCUUAGCUGUGUAGAUGGGGUUGGAUGGAGCUACGGUGGCUCAGCAAUGGAUUACCACCGGAAACAGGAUCACAAACUGCAAAACGAACACAUAUUUUCCAAUCAGCAAAUUAUCACACUAGUCCUUGUGGAUUAGAGAUACACAUGCAUAUGGAGAAUAUGCAGACAACUAGUUUGUCAACGUUUGAUUUCAUAAAACCAUCCAUCUCCUUUUGAUAAGCUUUGACUUUGUUUUACGAUGAAUCGAUGUUUGUAAAUCCCCAAAAAAAAAAAAAAAAAAACAACCACCUUUGGACACGAAAAACGCGCUUUUCCCAAUUCAAUUUGUCCUGUUCAAUUGGCACUACAGGCUCACAGAAAUUUCAUGCCUCAGAUUCUUUUCUUUUCAUUUCGAGUUAUUUCCCAGUCGAUCUUUCAUAAGCAAUCGAUCUCUUCGUUAGAAAUUCAUCAUUACCGAGAUCUUCUAGAUAUUGAAUUCUUGAAUUUACACAGCUUCAACAGGGAAUUUUUCUGCAUUUGAAUUCACAUCAUCACACAAACGGAAAACCUGCGCCGUCCUCCUCGCGAGGAGACUCGAUGAUCGGGGGGACAUGCAUACCUCAACGGUGUUAGGGAAAGCAAGCACAACAAUGUUGCCGGCGUCAACGCUGGAGGCGGCGAGGAGCGCGGCAACAUGGUCGACGAGCUCCUGUAGCCGCACGUGCGUCAGGUUCAACUCCGCGCAGGUGGAGAUGGCUCUCCAGUCGUGGAAAUCCGACGCCGCCUUCUUCAACAGGCCCGCGAGAGGGAGUCCCUCCUUGGCGAGAUAGCCAGGCUGAAGCUUCGGAUUCAUGCCAGACGGCACGGAAUUCAGAUUCCGCGAGGCAAUCCGGGGAAGGUGGCGGACGUGGCUGCUCUGUUGCAGGUUUUGCAGGAGAGGAAUUUAAUCCCGGAGAGUGGUUGAGCGCGAGUCUGAUGCUACUGGAGGAGAGAGAGGAGAAGGAAACUGUAGUGGAGGAGGAGAGAGAUGAAGAUUGGGGUUUUCUGUGGCGAUUUUGAGAGAGGUGAGAAAGAAGGGAGAGAAAAAUAAAAACGGUUAUUUUUUUAUUAUUAUCCGAAUUGAAAAUAAUGCAUGAAAUUUCAGUUAAGUUGCAUUCUAACACCCCUAUUAUAAAUGGACAGCACUAGCGCCCCGUCAUUUGUUAAAUGAUUUUGAAAACAUUCGCGAAAAGAAUCUAGAAUUUAGCUUUCCAUAGAGGAACAAUGGGAUUGACACUAGACUACUCAAGAACACAAGCUAGUAUUGCUGGAAGCCCAGAUGGAAAAGGGCAGUAUGGAAAUAAGUCUCUCUAAGGGAACUGGGACGUCACUUUGUAUAGCAGCAGAACUUCUCAGGCAGAAAACAUUGGCAAAUUGGCAGCUUCACGAGCAUUUUGAAUGAUGCAGGACAUAUAGCAGAGGAUGUGAAAAUGAAGCCUUACAUAUCCAAGAAUUUAUCUAUUGUUCAUGAUGCUGCUUCUGCUAGUGCUAUCACAAUUCGGACCUUAAAAGAUCGGAUGAAGCAAAGAAAGGUAAGGGACCACUUUAUUGAGCUAAAUACUGUGCAUAAUACAUAAUACCUUGGUAAAAAGAAAAACAGGACAUCAAGUUAAGAUUUCGAGGGAGGAGGAAAGCAAGUCACUCCCUUGAUGUAAAGGUUUCUUCUCAAUACGUAGAACAAACACCCUCGAGUUUUCCUUUUCAGAAGCUCGUCAAUGAAAAACUUCAUUUGCACAACCUGAUCACAGACAAUAGAAAGGAUUAAGGAAAUUUAUAUAAUAAUAAAAAAAUGUCGAAAAAUGUUAUAGAAAACAAUGGUUUAAAGGAUACGCAUGUCUUUCAGAAAAAGAAAAAAGAAAAAAAUGAUACGCAUGUUAAGGUUGCUACUAUGAAACUGAUCGAGAGGGCAACCAACCAUAAUUCCAACUAUCGAAAAUUCAGAGACCUGCAUUUAUACAAGGAAAUAGGAACCCAAUCAAGCCCCAAGUAGAAACGUGUCCAAGACAAUUUGUCAUAACACUAUACUACUACUAUUAACAUUACAACUAGGGGUGUGCCAAAAAAUAAAAAAGAAAUAAAAACAUGAGCCCGAAAACCGAGGCUGAACUGCUGGGCUGACCCCAUUUUUUGUGCUAAAAUAGUCGCAAGCCGGGCCACCAUAUCUCAAAAUACCUUUCAAUUCGACUCGAUAUAAGCAAUUUGGGUUCAGUUAAAGCUUGAAUGGCCCAUACCCGCCCAGUUCAUAAAUUAGAAAUAAUGUCUCAUUUUCCUUCUCUCCGGGCCUUUGUCAUUCUUACCUUUUAAUGAAUACUUAGGUCUUGACUUGUCUCAUUCUUUCUUCUCUCACGCUUAUCGAGUCAUCCAGUCCCCACCAAGCCGCCAUUGCAGCAUCGUCGAGCCCCCACCGUAGGGCCGCCGAACCCCAACACUCACCAUAUGCCCACUCGGUCAAUUGCAGUCUCCCUCUCUCUCUCUCUCUCUCUCUCUCUCUCUCUCUCUCUCUCUCUCUCUCUCGCGGCUCUCCGCUCCCCCACUCUCCAGCAACAGCAAAACAAGUUCUUACUAGCCUGUUCUGAUGUCUUCAAAGUUUUUGGUUUUAGGACCUGGUACUUGAAUUUUUUUAUGGAAUGUAAAAACAAAAAUAAGAUAAACUAAACACAUCUUUUUCUAAUUUUAGGCUGCGAGCAAUCCUAUUGAGUCUGGGCCAAGUCCUCUAGCUAGAAUAUCCUAAGCCACAUUUUUGGACAGGCUGAAAAAUUGACAAAAUCCCGCUACGCCCACAUUAUAACUCAUUCAUGAAACGUGUGUUAACUCAAUAUAAAUUUGGACACAGUGCACUUGCGAAUCUAAAUAAUCGAUACAAUGCUAAAAAAAAGUGAUGACAUGGAUGUACUAAAUAACAUCAUUUGGGAGCACAUGGGACUUGCCAUAUAGUUAUUAAUACCAGUUACACUACAUGUUUCAUUUAAUUCAUGUAAUUUCAUAAUUUACUACUACAUUCUUCUUCUUCUUCUUCUUCUUUUUUUAUGUCUUUAACUCAUCGAUAAAGCAAACUAGACUACACAUCUCCUAGAUAAGAAUUGGCCUAAAGUUCUCUUGUGAAGCAACUUCCGCUUAUUGCUUCAUUCGGUUAAACUAGUCGUGGGUUGGUCUAUCAAUACAGAGCAUCCAUCAUGUAACCAUAGUGGUGGUGUUCUACUGUUCCUCAAACCCCUCGUUGCUCAUUUUGUCACUUCGCUUUAGUUUUCUUUUGUCAAGCAUCUUGGCCUUAAUUCAGAUUGUAAUGAAUAUAAAUAUUUACAUAGGAUUCUCAAUCGAUUAUCCUAAACCAAUCGCGAUAAAGUCUAUUAUGCAUGAUUCAGAUUUCCACGACAUCUUUUCAAUCAUUAUUUCCUAUUCUGAAAAGAAUAGCGUAAAUUUCUUCCGAGAAAAAGUGAAGAAAUCAUGGAACUUGAAAGUUGAGAGGAUUGCAUCCCUUGUCAAACUAGAAGAACAUGAAUCAAAUGAAAUUCAAAUUAAACUACUCUUAAAAUAUAACUAUCGUUGCAUUCUUCUACCAUUUUUAUUUAUUUAUUUAUUUAUUUAUUUAUUAUUAUUAUUAUUAUUAUUAUUAUUAUUAUUAUUAUUAUUAUUAUUAUUAUUAUUAUUAUUUGUUUAGUGAAAACAAAAUCGAAGAAUUAAUCUAGAAACAAAUGUCGUCAAAGGAUAAGAAAUGAUGACCACAGCAGCAUCAGAAAAGGUCAUCACCAAAGGAUUAAGAUCUAGUCCAAGUUUGGGGCAAGGGCGAUUCCUUCACAGAUUGUAUAAGUGCAUAGAUCAAUGGCCAUUUUGACGCUCCAUUCUUUGCAUGCAGAUCUCGUGCUCCUUCACAAUAGAAUACACAUUCAAAACUCGAUUAUGUUCAUAUAGAACACUUUAACUCAAAUCAGAGGGAUCAGCAAGCCACGGGACAUCAAUUUUCAUGUCAUACGUCGAGCAUACGAGACGAGAAUCCUAACACCAUUUGAGAAACGAGCGUCCUAUUUCAACAAAGUCGGCCAUAAUAAGGGUUCGAUAAGUUGAGAACAAAUCGAAUUUAUGUAAUAUGAUUUUGCGGUUCAAGGAUUGAAUCGAAUUUACAUAUUGAUUUAGUUCGAGCCUUUCAUCCAACGUGAUACACAUUUCAAUCAAGGGGCUCAUACGCAAAUACAAACCACCGAUUCACUUUCAGAUACUCACAACAACAACAUUAUUACGAGUCCGAGUAGUUAAUUGAGCUUCAAUCUCAACUGAUUUACUCACAAACAUUAUUAGCUAAAGCUCACCGGCUCUGUUUCGUUCGUAAGCGGCAGAAACAGAAUGUGCGGGAGUUUUUGACCUAGUGGUGUCCACGUCGAUAAUCGGGAACGGCGAAGGGGAAAAACCAAGGGCUUGUGCACUUUCGGGCGUCCUGACCAGAAAACAGGGCAGAACGACAGUUGGCCUUGCUGCAGCGAAACCGGCGAUGGCGGAGCGGCUACGGUGGCGGCUAACGGUGUCUAGAGGACGACGGAGAAGGAGAACUGACGAAGAAGCCAUGAGAAAAACAUGGCGGAUUUCUGUUGUCGAUCAGUGGAAUGGCGGAUUUCUGUUGUCGAUCAGUGGUGGAGAAUCUUCUGGAACUCGGCUGAUCGAAUGAGAGAGACUGUGGAUCGUGGGCUGCGGCGAGGGAAAUUGUGUGGGCCGAGGCUUACUCUGAUGGGCCUGGCGUGCGCAUUCGGGACGAGGAAUGCACGAACGGGAGGUCAGCAAGAGAGAAUUUCUCUAUCGGGUCAACCCAUUUCUAGAAGCGUCUCCAUCUUCACUCCCUCUCCGUCGCCUCAGUCCCCCCGGCAGCCACCGCGCUCGUCCUCCAUCGCUGGCCACGACAACACUCAAUGCACUCAGCAAAGAUCACACAGGGUGGGGAGGCUCAAAGAUUUCUAAACGGCCAGAGAAUUAUCUCUCUUGGCUCCUUGCUUCGUCUGGUGACCUCCAACUGACCUCCCGGAUCGCUCCACCACCAGGCCGUAGCUCUGUCAGCACCGUUCUCCGGUCAGUUUGCUUUGGCUGCUCUGAAUUUGUUCGUUUCUCCUUCGCUGGCUCCGAUCCUCAACGUCAUUGUCUCGCACAACCUCUUCCACUGAUCCGAUCGUCCUUCGUGCAUCGGAUAACAUAAACACUAUAAUCUUCCUUCUUCGUUCUUAGCUUCAUGAAGAGAGACCCAGCAUAUUUGUGUGAUUUUUGUUGUUCAAAUUCACUGCUGGCGUGUCAAUGCGCGCGCUAUAAGUGCUUUUUAUGAUCCAUCGCAUGAAGUGCUCACUGUGACAUGUUCAUAUUAAUAAUCUGAAUCAUAAAUCAACGUUCACUGCAAUGCGUGUUCGUCUGUUAGAUGGUCGAUUCUUGUUUAGUUCUCUGCCAAAAAUCUUGCAAACAUGAUUCCGUCUUCAUCUAUGUUACUUUGGCGGUUUCUGGAUUGAUGUUCCGUAAACUGUAUAAUCUCUUCUACUGGGAGGAGAAAGAAAUUCUCAGCAUUAUCUCCCACAUGCUUAAAAUUUGUUCUCAUGUUUUUUACAUUGGAUCACCUGACCAUUGAAAUUAAUAUGAUUUCUUUUCUAUUGAUUGUGUGUUUGAUGAAUCCAAGUAACAAUCCAAGGUAAGUUUCGAUUGUCUGCAAUAUGAAUUUGGUGGCUGGGGAGGUUCCGCUGUGAAACGUUGGCCUCAGUUGUUCUGAAUGAAAGAAUACGUUUGCUUGAAUUGUCAGCUUAAUAAGGAAGAGAGUGACGCAGGCUACAGUUUGUUGUGAAAAAGAAACAAGCAACAAUUGCCGAGUUUCUGUUAUGUAGGAAAUGGAAGCGAAUUAGAAUAACUAAUGUGCUUUUGAGCAAUGAUGCUGAUUGCUGGAUUAUCUUUGUGAACAUAUGGUAUCUUUAUUUCUCUUUCGAACAUUUGGUAUUUGCUUCGCUCUCUUACUAGUAACCAGUGCCGCAAACUUCUUGGUUGAUUAAUUCCUCUUUCUGCAAAUGACUCUGGCCCCAGUUAUUGUCCACUUUCAGUAUAUGAGUCCUCAUUGUAAUUUGAGUACCGGUUGAUGUGAUACAGUCUUGUCGGUUCAUUUCUCAAUAUGUUUCCCAAAUGUUGCCUGUUGUAAAAAAUUUCAAAUAUUAAAUUCCAUCAGCCUCAGUUUUUUCCCUUUCUUUGUUGAUCAGAAUUCUGUGUUUGUAUGAGCUAGAUCUUUGCCCUGGAUCAACUCAAACGAUAUUUUAUCAUAGAUAUUUAGGAUGGAGUAUUUCCUUAGUUGGCUACUUUGUGGCUUUUGCCGCUGAAAGUACAUUGACUCGCUAGAAGGAAUUAGUGUUCUGUAAGUGCAGCCAAUUUUUUUUGUUAAUUUUGCUGCUAGGUGUGAUGAUGUUCAUGGAAUGAAUGCUCAUCAGAUUUGGUAGAUUGAAACAAUGGUAAAUAGCCCAAGCAACAUCAGGAAAAGAUCAAAAAGCAUUUCUCAUUUGUUAGUCAUAAUCAUUCUUUCUCUCGGUAGUGAGAGAUGCUGCACAUAUCGUAGAGUAAAAAUUGAAUGAAGCGGUGUCGUAGUAUUGGACUUGUAUGUCAAUCUUGGCUUAUCAAUAGCCAAUGCCGAUAUUUGAAUGAAUUCAAGCACUUAUUUUAAGUAGGCUUUGGGAUUUUCACAAUUUAUGGAUCCAAUGAGUCUUAACAAUUGAUGUGUUGGGGAAUUUCUUGCCUAUAACGGGUCCACUAGGCGGGGCUGUGUCAAUGGUUGAUCGUCUAUGCCCCAUAUGCAACAUUAAUUUGAGACUCACAUGAACAGCUAUAGGAAUGGACCCAAUCUACACGUGCACAGACACUACAUGGAGGAAGCUAUUCUUUGGCUGACGGCAUAAAAUGUAUAAAUUCUCAAAAUCUCUGCCUUCUUUGCGCUUUUGCACUUUGGAUUUAGCUUGCGAUUAGUAAGGGCCCUGGACUUACUUUAAGUUGUGUUGAUUACGAAAAAGUUCUUGAGGAGAUAUGGCUAUACUCUCCCGAAUUCGAUGCUUCCAAAGGUCACAAGUAGUUCAACUUGGGCAACUAGAAAAGAGUAACGACGAGGCCGGAAUGUUAUGGAGCAUUAGCCCAUUGGUCAUUUUCAUCUCAACCUUUCUAAAUGUGGAGAUAACUCCACUUUUCAGGUGUUAAUACUUUAUAAAGGUGCUUCUAAGAUAGAUUAUUCCUCGAGUAAUGGCCAAAUAUCAAACCCUGAGGAUCAAUUUUUCUAACAAGAAAGGGAUGAUGUUGUUGAACUUGAAGAUUUAGAGGGUUUCCUGCAAUGUCGAUCGAUUUUACCCUGUUCUAGCGAAGUAUCUGAUUGCCUAUCACUCACUCAUCAUGAGAAUUUGAGUCUUAUUAGUCAUGUUUCUGCCUUUAUCAGUGCCUUUUCUUUGUUCUUUCCAAAUUCUUUAAUGCUUUUUGAUGAGCGUUUCGGAUGUUGAUUUAUACAGUAAUAUAGGGGAAGUGCAGAUUGCAAUUAAUUGGUGAGGUAACUAGCUCUAAUGUGAAGGGGAUGUAAAAUUAUUUGAUAAAUUUUAAUUUUUCUGAUUUUCCAUGGAAAUACUAACUACCAAUGUAUGCUAAAUCAUUUCAUACAAAGUCAAUGCUCAGUAAUUUCUGGAAGUGGAAUCACCAUAAUCUAAAACUUUACACAGACAAGUCUCAAUCGGCAAAGAAUUGGAACUCACCGAAGUCGCAAAUCUUGAAAAUCAAUGACGGCAGAGCUUUUUUUGAAGGUGAAACAAUUGGAGCUAUUUUGGGAAUUCUUCGCAACGAAACGGGAGCUCUACUGGAUGGCUCUACUACGAAUGUUCCAGCAUUGUCGGCGUUUUAGACGGAAGCCAUUCCCCUGCUCGAAGCUUUGAAACGUUUUCAGUCGAGAAGAGAGUGUUGGAGCUCGAGUCUGAAUGCGAAGAGCUGGUCAACGUUGUGCUGAUGAAGACAGCUCUAAUAGAGAAAGCCCAGCUCUCUUUGGCCCAAUUUUACUCUCUUUUUGGCCCAUUGUCACCGGUUCGCAAACAAAAUGGCUGAUUGGGUCGUGAAAAUCUAACAUACGAAUGCUCUCCCUCCCUCUUGAGUGGCCCAUCCCUCCAAUCUUUAUGGAAUUAUUUGCGUUUGGAUGCCCCUUUGGUGGGCUUUUGUUUUAAAGACCCCCGGGUUUUAAUUCAUGGCAUGUCUUCAAAUUUGAAAGCUUGACUCGUAUAUUAGUUUGUCUUAAGCUCGAAUUGGUCGACGGUCAAAACCCAAGUUCAAAAUUACAUGGAAAGUAGACGAUCAAGCAAGUCUUAAGAGCUAGAAUCCGGAGAAAUUGGACAAUUCCAAGUGAGGUUGUUCACACAAUUUGACUUGAAAAACUAGAAAACUGAAAUUGGACCAGCAAGUGAAUGGAAAUAUUAAUUAAACUGGAUUUUCAUCCCUAUCUUGUUGGGGAAAAGACAAAUAAUUAGUGCUCGAGUCUUUUCCAACUACUCUGCACCAUGCAUUGUUUCUUUAUAACUCAGUAUCCAUAUGAUUGAUUUUUGGUUGAAAUAGCCUCAUAAGUAUGAUCAUUACUCCAAUCUAAUGAAGUAAAAUAACCUUCACUCCAAUCAUGACGCCUCCUCCAACAUAAAAAGAAUAUCCCAUCCACGUCAAGAUGAAAGCAACAUAAUGACUAUAUAACUAAAUAAGUUAGCUGACUCUUUCCAUUUAUAAGAUUCAAUUAUUUGUAAGUUACCAUUCUUGUCUUGGUUGAGGUGGCCGACAAUAGUCCUUUUAUUUUUUAUUUUUUUAUUUUUUGGAUUGAGCAGUUUCGACUUGUAGCAAUGUGCUACCAAGUUUUCAACUUCCCAAGGAAUUGAUUUGUGUUUAGUUGAGGCCUUAACUAAUGUCAGGUUACCGAGCUCCAUCGUCCACACCCAAGGAAGUCACUUGUAUUUUAAUUGAUUAGUCUAUAACUUUUUUAAUUUUCUCGCUAUUUCUUUUCAUACGCAAUAGUUGUGCUCUUUUUCUAGUAUUAAGUAAACAAAUAACAAUUGAGAAACAUCCCAUAUUCUUUCUGGUCUGCUCAAGCCAUUGGUAAAUUGGCUAGUGCAGUGGGCAAGCCUUUAUAUGUAGACCAGAGAACUGAAUAGAUGAAUAUGUUGUCGUUUGCUCGAGUUUGUGUGGAGAUCACAGCUAAUCAGCCUAUUUGUGAAUUUAUUGAGUUGGUACAUAAUGGCAAAUCUUGUGAAAUAGGGGUGGAACUUGAAUGGAAGCCGGUUGCAUGUUCUAGUUGUGGCAUAUUUGGGCAUAAUUGCAGCCCUCUUGUACCUUGGAGCUCUACUGCUCGUGCUUCUGCAGGUCGACCGGUGGAUACAGUUGCUGCGCCACAGGGCCCAGCUGAUGACGGUCGCUCUACUCAAGUGGUAGCCUCUACUCCUGGAUCUCCCACUUUGUUUGAGGUCCCUAUUGUCCUCCAGAAGCAAACUUUGGAGGAAAACCCAGUGUCUCGGGUUGGUAAACCAGUUCCUGUUCAGUCUACACCGGCGGUGGACUCCUCACAUAAGCAAUCGGUUGAAGCCCCUAUUAAAAAUCCUCCCGUGCCUUCGAGCACUAAGGAUGCUGGUCGACCUGGUGAUGGUCGUGAAAUGGUUUUAGCUACAACCUCUACUCAAGCUACUGCAGAUCCGAACCCAGCUAAUUUGGGUUGGAAUAAGGUGAAAUGCAAGAAGAAAAAACAUCCUCCUGCCAAGGAUAUGGCUUCUUUUGGCUUAGUUUUGCCCAGUAAGGGGGGUGUCAAUCUUUGAAGCUCAAGGCGCCUCUUACUUCAGAACCCCUCAAUCCACCAAUGAAGCCUUCUAAAGGCAGUUUGAAAGCCCCUCCCAAGGCUAAUACGGGUCGUCCUUCCCUUGCUCCUAAGAAGGAAGGUCCUCCUGGCCCUCUGGCCCCUUUGGAAGGUUCAGAUGAAAUUUGCAGCUCUAACGGCAAUGCUGACUCAAGUGAUGAUGAUCUACUAUCGGGUGGCCCCCAUUCGCUGAAAAGCCCCCCACCUCAUACUGGGACGACAAGUUUAUAGGAACAUUUUCUGUUGCUCUGCCCUGAUCCUCCUGACCCGACCCCCUCUGCAACAACAAAAGCGACUUCUACCAGUCGCAAGCCCUCUAAGAAGAGGUAACCUUCUUUCCUCCCUUUGUAAAUAUGUUUUUGGGUUUUUGGAAUGUUAGAGGUAUAAUGAAUCCUAUAAGGCGGGCUAAGAUCAGGAAAUUUGUUUCUUCGAACAAGUUGUGCCUGGUCGGUCUGAUUGAGACGAAAGUCCCUGAGUCCCUAUUCGAGUCUGUCUCUUCUACCUUGAUAAGGGGUUGGAAAUGGGCUUCGAACUAUGAUUUUUCUCCUCGUGGAAGAAUUUGGGUUGGGUGGAACCCGGAUCUCGUUACUUUUGAUCCAUUCGCUUUCAGUGCCCAGGCUAUUCAUGGUUGUCUUAAACUCAACAAUUCUAAUUCUCACUGUUGUAUCUCUGUGGUUUACGGUGAUCACACUUUUGUGCGUCGAAGACCACUUUGGGAGGACCUCAUCUACCAUAAUGAUGUCUUACAGGACACUGCUUGGCUUGUUGCUGGUGACUUCAAUGCCAUUAAAGAUCCCUCGGAUCGUUUUGGAAGCUCGGAUACUUGGAUUCCUUAUUUUGAUGAAUUCGGCCAGUGUUUAGCCCAAACAGAGCUGGUUGAUCUUAGAUAUGUGGGUCUCCGCUUUACCUGGUCCACCUCGGCUGGUGCGAAUAGGAAGAUGAGAAAGAUUGAUUGGGUCUUGGUUAACACCAAGUGGAACCUUGAUUACUCCUUCUCGGAAGCAUCUUUCCUUAACCUGGGGAUCUCCGAUCACUCUCCUAUGAUCGUAAGAGUUCUUAAUCCGGUCUCUAAAAAGAAGCCAUUCAAAUUUUUUGAUUUCUGGUCAAAGCACCCAAAUUUCCUCUCUAUUGUGCGGCAGGCAUGGGACAGCCCGGUAAAAGGUGUUCCCAUGUUCAAACUUGUCUCUAAACUGAAGAUUUUGAAAAGCCGCCUUAAGUUACUUAACCAGGAGUCUUUUUCAAACAUCUCGGUGAGGACAACAGAAGCAAGAGAGGCUCUUCGCAGCACCCAAGUUGCUCUUCAAGCUGACCCUGAAAACGUCCAGCUUACAGACCAAGAGAAAUGUCAGCGGCGUAUCUUUGUCGACCUGAGGAACCAAGAGGAAUCCUUCUAUAGAAAAAAGUCAAGAGUAAGAUGGCUUAAGGAAGGGGAUAGGAACACUAAAUUCUUCCACAACUUUGUCAAAAGAAGACAACUCGGCAAUCGAAUUCUUUCUGUCAAAGAUCCAUUCGGGUCUAUAGUCACGGACCCCUUAUUGGUUCCGCAAGUGUUUGUAUCCUUCUUCACAGACCUUCUUUCACCUCAUGGGGUGCUGUCUAAGCCUUCACUUCAAGAGGUAUAUAUGUCUAUUCGGAGGCCUCUUUCGGAUGCUCAGGUGUGCUCUCUUUCUGCCCCAGUUUUUGAUGUUGAGAUAAAGAACACUCUUUUCUCCCUUCCCAAAGGCAAAGCACCGGGUCCGGAUGGUUAUACAACUGAGUUCUUUAAGAACAAUUGGGAUAUUGUGAGGUCUUUGGUUUUGGAAGCAAUCAAAGACUUCUUCUCUUCUGGUCGUCUUCUCAAAGAGGUAAAUAACACUAUCUUGGCUCUGGUGCCAAAAAUCCCAACGCUUGUGCUGUUACUGACUUCAGGCCCAUUGCGUGUUGCAACGCGAUUUAUAAGGUUAUUACGAAGAUCCUUGCUAAUCGCCUAGCUGCUGUUUUGAAUGACCUCAUAAGCCCGUCGCAGAAUGCAUUUGUGAAGGGUAGAAGAAUCAGAGAUAACAUUCUCUUGGCUCAAGAGCUGUUUGCAGGUUUCCAUUUAGAACCUUAUCUUCCAAAAUGUGCCAUUAAGGUUGAUUUCCAAAAGGCGUACGACACGGUUGACUAGGACUUCUUGGAGCUCACUCUCUUGGCUUUUCGCUUUCCAGAUUGGAUUAUUCGUCUGAUCAUGGUCUGUGUUCGCACUUCUAAGUACUCCAUCUCUAUUAAUGGUGAAUUGCAUUGGGUUUUUCCAAGGCGGCCGUGGCAUCCGCCAAGGAGAUCCUAUGUCUCCUUACUUGUUUACUUUAGUUAUGGAGGUAUUUUCGGGAAUUUUGAACUCGCGAACAACUGCCAAAGAUUAUAAGUAUUUCUGGAGGUGUAAAGUUGUGAAGCUAUCUCACCUCUUUUUUGCAGAUGAUGUGUUCCUUUUUUGUCAGGCAGACUGGCCUUCUGUGGUAAUGCUUAAAAGGGGUCUGGAUACUUUCUCCUCCUAGAGUGGGCUUCUUCAGAACAAGAACAAGAGUGAGAUCUUUCUCUCGGGCGGGCCUUCAUCCCUACGGAACACAAUUCUGUUGACAUUUGGCUUUCAAGAAGGGAAACUCCCGGUCCACUAUCUGGGUGUGCCUAUAAUUUCUUCUAGACUGCGGAAAGCAGACUGCAUCGUCUUGAUAGAUCGCAUAACCGCCAGGGUCCAAUCUUGGGCUCAACGUUUUCUAUCCUUUGCAGGUAGGCUUCAGCUCAUAAGGUCAGUUCUACACUCCAUACAAGCCUUUUGGGCUAGUGUCUUCUCCUUGCCUUCCUUGGUUCUAAUGACCAUUGAGCGUAUCUUGAGACAAUUCCUAUGAAAGGGCACUACCCUGGGCCGGGGGGGUGCUAAGGUAUCUUGGGAUGACGUUUGUCUUCCCAAAGAAGAAGGUGGUUUAGCCAUUCGAAAACUGAAGGAUUGCAACGAAGCUUCAAUGCUUAAGUAUAUUUGGAUACUCUUUACCGAUAAAGAAUCCUUGUGGUGCCGUUGGGUGCAUUCAAAUUUCUUAAAGAAAGUGAAUUUCUGGAUUUCUUCCUACCCCUCUCUUUGUUCUUGGGCGUGGAAGAAAAUACUACAACUCAGAAGGUUUUUUCGGCUCUCCUUCUUUUGGAAAAUCGGUAAUGGGCUUUCGGUUUCUCUUUGGCAUGACCAUUGGCUUCCUUGUGGCCCCUUGGACACUUUUAUUCCGGCCUCUAUGAUGGACAGUAUAAAUCUCCCUAACAAUGCGGAUGUGGCAGACCUGUUUUCUCCUGCAGGAUACACGCUAAAAUCUCUUCUCCAUAGUUGGGGCAUUGUCCUCCCGAAUUUAUCCUUGGCUCCUGAUCAAUUCUCUUGGCAGUGUGAUCCAACUGGUUCGUUCUCGGUUUCUUCUGCUUGGAGCACCAUUAGAGCGAAAAGAGACUGUGUUCCGUGGGCUUCUCUAGUCUGGGAUAGUGCCAUAGCUCCUCGGUACCAGUUCCGUCUUUGGCUUAUUACUAAAAAUCGCCUCCCCACUCAAAUGCUCCUCCUCUCUUAUGGUAGAAUUGAUUAUACGGUGUAUGCUUUUUGCAAUGCCCAACCAGAUUCAAUUGACCACCUUUUCUUUGAAUGUCACAACUCCGCUACGCUUGCAUACUUCUGGGCUUCUAGGUGUAACCUUCCUUGGAGGAGUAGAACUUGGAUGGAUACCAUCUCUUGGGCGCUUAAGUUCUUAGCCAGAAAGGACUUUUAUCACAGUAUUGCACGGUUCUCUUUCGCAGCUAUGUGCUAUAUGAUCUGGAAAAAGAGGAAUUGCAUCAUUUUCCAUGGAGAAUCCUUUGCGAUCUCGGAUUUAAAGAAUCACCUUAUUAAGGCGGUCAAGGACCGAGCUCUUACCUUCAGAAAUGUUCCUAUGUCUCCAAAGAACAAGAGACUCUAGAAAGGUUGGGGUUUUGACCCUUCGGUUUUUGCUCAGUCGCCUGGUUCGUCCUAAGCGUCUAGUCUGUGCCUUGUUUUGCUUUCUAGCCUUCUCUUAGGCUCUCUGUUCUUCGACCCUUUCCCUUUUGUAUUUCUGAGGGUUGCUGGGUUUGUUGGUUGGCGCUUGGCCUUUGGUUUGGGCUGUUUAGCUUUGGUUCUCUUGCUUUUUGCCUGUUUGGCUUGUUACUUGGCUCCCUUUCACUCUUUCUGCUGUUGCAAUUAGAGUAGAAGUUUUUGGUGCCAAUUUUGUAUCUUGUUCCAAAGCUCUAAUAUAAUUUCUUACCUUUUACCAAAAAAAUAAAAUAAAAAAAUAACAAUUGAAAAUGUAAAUGUAAAUAAAAUUGCCAAAAAAAGACCAAUAAAUGCAACGUCUAGGCCGUACCAUAGGUCUCUAGGUAGUCACGCCUCAACUUUUGUGCCCCUUGAUCAUUAAAAGAAGUGGACUAAAAAAGAGAUGAUUUCUUCAUCGUAGCUUACUAACAUGAAAAUUGAACACGCACUUCAUUUUUAGUUAAAUUUGCUUAUUAGUAAAAAAUAAACUCUCAUGUGUCAUGUAAGAGGGUGUCUCAAUUAGUGAAGAUUAUCAAAUCAUUCCGAAGCAUGAGAGAACAAUGUAACAUUAUCACUUGCCGCAUUAGAUAAUUUUGUUCUCAUCUCUUUUCCCUUCACCUAACCUACAAAAAACGAAAGGAGUAAUCGAAUAUCCCCUGCAUCUGUAUCACUUAUAUUCUCUUUGUGUGUACUUGCACCACAGUAAAAUUAAGAUAUAGCAAAUAUGUGAUUGGCUCUAUUUAAAAAUAUCGCGAUGGGAGUUCACAUCCACAUCAAUCAUAUGCAAAUUAAUCAUCAAAACAAGAAAAACUAAUCAUUUAACCGGAGAUUAUCCUUUAUUAAGAAAUUUUGCAAAACACAACAUACAUUUAUUCUUUAAAAUUAAAAAAAAAAUCAUGUUUACGUGGCAUCUCUAUCUUGCAAUUAUUGACCAAUAGUAAUAUGAUAAUGUUAUGUUAACAUUGAUAUUUUCAAAAUGACAAAUAAUGCAAAUGACAUUAUUCUUUAGAAUAAAAAGUUAUGCUUAAUUAAUCCCAUGAUUGAUAAUGCUGGUUGGGGAGUUGGUUUCUAGUUUUGGAACCAAAGAUCCUCCAUUAGAAUCCCACAAAUGCACGCAAACUGUCUCAAUUAACGAAGAUUAUUGAAUCAUUCCAAAUCAUAAGAGACAAUGACACCUCUUCCUCUGAUCCGAUCGUCCUUCAUGCAUCGGAUAAAAUAAACACUAUAAUCUUCCUUCUUUGUUCUUAGCUUCAUGAAGAGAGACCCGGUCAUAUUUGUGUGAUUUUUGUUGUUCAAAUUCACUGUUGGCGUGUCAAUGUGCGCGCUGUAAGUGCUUUGUAUGAUCCAUCGCAUGAAGUGCUCACUGUGACAUGUUCGUAUUAAUAAUCUGAAUCACAAAUCAACGUUCACUGCAAUGCAUGUUUGUCUGUUAGAUGGCCAAUACUUGUUUAGUUCUCCCUGCCAAAAAUCUUGCAAAUAUGAUUCCGUUUACAUCUAUGUUACUUUGGCGGUUUCUGGAUUAAUGUUCCGUAAACUGUACAAUCUCUUCUAUUGGGAGGAGAAAGAAAUUCUCAGCAUUAUCUCCCGCAUGCUUAAAAUUUAUUCUCAUGGUUUUUACAUUGGAUCACCUGACCAUUGAGAUUAAUUUGAUUUCUUUUCUAUUGAUUGCGUGUUUGAUGAAUCUAAGUAACAAUCCAAGGUAAGUUUCGAUUGUCUGGAAUGUGAAUUUGGUGGCUGGGCAGAUUCCUCUGUGAAAUGUUGGCCUCAGUUGUUCUUAAUAAAGGAAUAUGAUUGCUUGAAUUGUUAGCUUAAUAAGGAAGAGAGUGAUGCAAUCUACAGUUUGUAGUGUAAAAGACACAAGCAACAAUUGCUGAAUUUCUAUUCUGCAGGAAAUGGAAGCGAAUUAGCAUAACAAAUGUGCUUUUGAGCAAUGAUGCUGAUUCUUGGAUUAUCUUUGUGAACAUGUGGUAUCUUUAUUUCUCUUUUGAAUGUUUGGUAUUUGCUCUGCUCUCUUUCUGGUAAACAGUAGUGCGGACUUCUUGGUUGAUUAAUCCUUCUUUCUGCAAUAGACUUUGGCCCCUGUUAUGGUCCGCUUUCAGUAUACGAGUCACAUUGUAAUUUGUGUACCUGGUGAUGUGAUACGGUCUUGUUGAUUCAUUUCUCAAUAUGUUUCCCAAACAUUGCUUGUUGUAAAAAAUUUCAAAUAUUAAAUUCCAUCAGCCUAAGUUUUUUCCCUUUUUUUGUUGAUCAGAAUUCUGUGUUUGUACGAGCUUGAUCUUUGCCCUGGAUUAACUCGAAUGAUAUUUCAUCAUAGAUAUUUAGGACGGAGUAUUUCCUUAGUUGGCUACUUUGUGGCAUUUGUUGCUGAAAGUACAUUGACUUACUAGAAGGAAUUAAUGUUCUGUAAGUGCAGCCAAUUUUUUGUUAAUUUCGCUGCUGGGUACGAUGAUGUUCACAGAAUGAAUGCUCAUCAGAUUCGGUUGACUCGAACAAUGGUAAAUAAACAGCCCAAGCAACAUCAGGAAAAGAUAAAAAGGCAUUUCUCAUUUGUUGAGCCAUCAUCAUUCUUUCUCUCGAUAGCGAGAGAUGCUGCAAAUAUCGUAGAGUAAGAAUUGAAUGAAGCGGUGUCGUAAUUUUGGACUUGCAUGUCAAUCUUGGCUUAUCUCAUCAAUAGCCAAUGUCAUGCCAAUAUUUGAAUGAAUUCAAGCACUUAUUUUAAGUAGGCUUUGGGAUUUUCACCAUUUACGUAUCCAAUGAGGCUUAACAACUGAUGUGUUGGGGAAUUUCUUACCUAUACUGGGUCCAUUGGGCGGAGUCUAUGUUAGUGGUUGAUCGUCUAAGCCCCAUAUACAACAUUAAUGUGAGACUUACGUGAACAACUAUAGGAAUGGACCCAAUCUACAUGUGCACAGACACCACCUUGAGGAAGCUAUUCUUUGGCUGACAGCAUAAAAUGUAUAAAUUCUCAAAUCUCUGGCUUCUUUGCGCUUUUGCACUUUGGAUUUAGCUUGCGAUUAAUAAGAGCCUUGGACUUACUUUACGUUGUUUGUUAAUGGGGGAUUAUGAAAAAGUUUUUGAGGAGAUAUGGAUAUACUCUCCCGAAUUCGAUGCUUCCAAAGUUCACAAGCAGUUCAACCUAGGCAACUAGAAAAGAGUAACGACGAGGUCGGAAUGUUAUGGAGCAUUAGCCCAUGGGUCAUUUUCAUCUCGACCUUUCUAAAUGUGGAGACAACUCUACUUUUCAAGUGUUAAUGCUCGAUAAAGAUGCUUCUGAGAUAGAUUAUUCCUCGAGCAAUAAUAUCAAACCCUGAGAAUCGAUUUUUUUAACAAGAAAGGGAUGACGUUGUUGAACUUGAAGAUUUAGAGGGUUUUCUGCAAUGUCGAUCGCUUUUACCCUAUUCUAGCGAAGUAUCUGAUUGCCUAUCACUCACUCAUCAUGAGAAUUUGAUGGUAAUGAAUGGUAGUCUUAUUAGUGAUGUUUCUGCCUUUAUCAGUGCCUUUUCUUCGUUCUUUCCAAAUUCUUCAAUGCUUUUUGACAAGCGGAUGUUGAUUUAUACAGUAAUAUCUGGAAAGUGCAGAUUGUAAUUAAUUGGUGAGGUAACUAGCUCUAAUGUGAAGGGGAUGUAAAAUUAUUUGAUCAAUUUUAUUUUUCUGAUUUUCCAUGGAAAUACUAACUACCAAUGUAUGCUGAAUCAUUUCAUACCAAGUCAAUGCUCAGUAAUUUCUGGAAAUGGAAUCACCAUAAUCUGAAACUUUACAGAGACAAGUCUCAAUCGGCAAAGAAUUGGAACCCACCAAAGUUGCGACCUUGAAAGUCAAUGACCGCAGAGCUUUUCUUGAAGGUGAAAAAGUUGAAGCUAUUUUGAGAAUUCUUCGCAACGGAACGGGAGCUCUACUGGAUGGCUCUACUACGAAAGUUCCAGCAUUGCCGGCGUUUUAGACGGGAGCCAUUCCCCUGCUCGAAGCAUUGAAACGUUUUCAGUCAAGGAGAGAGAGUGUGUUGGAGCUCAAGUCUGACUGCGAAGAGCUGGUCAACGUAGUGCUUAUAAAGACAGCUCUAAUAGAGAAAGCCCAGCUAUCUUUGGCCCAAUUUUACUUUCGCUUCUUGGCCUAUUGUCACCGGUCUGCAAACAAAAUGGCUGAUUGGGUCGUGAAAAUCUAACGUACGAAUGCUCUCCCUCCCUCUUGAGUGGCCCAUCCCUCCAAUCUUUGUGGAAUUAUUUACGUUUGGAUGCCCCUUUGUUGGGCAACCCCAUGGGUUAUAAUUCAUGGCAUGUCUUCAAAUUUGAAAGCUUGCCUCGUAUAUUAGUUUGUCUUAAGCUCGAAUUGGUCGACGGUCAAAACCCAAGUUCAAAAUCACGUGGAAAGUAGAUCAUCAAGCAAGUCUUAAGAGCUAGAAUCUGGAGAAAUUGGACAAUUCCAAUUGAGGUUGUUCACGCAAUUUGACUUGAAAAACUAGAAAACUGAAAUUAGAAUGGAAAGAUUAAUUAAACUGGAUUUUCAUCCCUAUCCUGUUGGGGAAAAGACAAAUAAUUAGUGCUCGAGUCUUUUCCAGCUACUCCACACCAUGCCACCAAGUUGUCGAAGCAGUGUUUCUUUAUAACUCAGUCUCUAUAUGAUUGAUUUUUGGUUGAAAUAACCUUGUAAGCAUGAUCAUUUCUCCAAUCUAAUAAAGUAAAAUAACCUUCACUCUGAUCAUGAUGCCUCCUCCAACAGAAAAAGAAUGUCCCAUCGACGUCAAGAUGAAAGCAACAUAAUGACUAUAUAAAUAAAUAAGUUAACCAACUCUUUUCAUUAAUAAUAUUCAAUUGUUUGUAAGUUACCAUUCUUGUCUUGGUUGAGGUGGCCGACAAUGGUCUUUUUAAAAAAAAAAAAUUAAUUUAUAGAUUGGCCAGUUCGACUUGUAGCAAAGUGCUACCAAGUUUUCAACUUCCUAAGGAAACGAUUUGUGUUUAGGUGAGGCCUUAACUAACGUUAGGUUACCGAGCUCCAUCGUCCACGCCCAAGGAAGUCGCUGGUAUUUUUAUUUGAUUAGUCUAUAGCAUUUUUAAUUUUCUCACUAUUUCUUUUCGUACGCAAUAGUUGUGCUCUUUUUCUAGUAUUAAGUAAACAAAUAACAACUGAGAAUGUAAAUAAAAUUGCUAAAAAAAAAACCGAUAUAUGCAACUUCUAGGCCGUACCAUAGGUCUCUAGGUAGUCGCGCCUCAACUUUUGUGCCCCUUGAUCAUUAAAAGAAGUGGAAAGAGAUGAUUUCUUCAUCGUAGCUUACUAGCACGAAAAUUGAACAUGCACUUCAUUUUUAGUUAAAUUUGCUUAUUAGUCAAAAAUAAACUCUCAUGUGUUAUGUAAGCCACCAGAGGGUGCCUCAAUUAGCGAAGAUUAUUGAAUCAUUCCAAAGCAUGAGAGAAUAAUGUGACCUUGUCACUUGCCACAUUAGAUAAUUUUGUUCGUCUCUUUUUCAUUUACUUAUAUUCCCCCACAUCUAUAUCACUUAUAUUCUCUGUGUGUAUUUGCACCAUAAUAGCAUUAAGAUAUAGCAAAUAUGUGAUUGGCUAUUUAAAAAUAUCGCAAUGGUGGGUUCACAUCCAUAUCAAUCAUAUGCAAAUCAAUCACCAAAACAAGCAAAACUAAACAACUAGAGAUUAUCCUUUCUUAAGAAAUUUUGCAAAACACGACAUAUAAUUAUUCUUUAAAAUUAAAAAAAAAAUCAUGUUUACUUGGCAUCUCUAUCUUGCAAUUAUUGAACAAUAGUAAUAUGAUAAUGUUAUGCUAACAUUGAUAUUUUCAAAAUGACACAGAAUGCAAAUGACAUUAUUCUUUAGAAUAAAAAGUUAUGCUUAAUUAAUCCCAUGAUUGAUAAUGUUGAUUGGGGAGUUGGUUUCUAGCUUAGGAACCAGAGAUCCCCCAUUAGAAUCCCACAAAUGCAUGCAAACUGUCUCAAUUAACGAAGAUUAUUGAAUCAUUUCAAAUCAUAAGAGACAAUGUGACCUUAUCACUUGCCGCGUUUCUUGUCUCUUCGUCCUUCCCCUAACCUAUAAAAAAACAAAAUGAGUAAUGGAAUAUCCCCUAUUUCUAUAUCACUUAUAUUCUCUUUGUGUGUAUCUGCACCGCCCUAUCAUUAAGAUAUAGCAUAUAUGCGAUUGGCUCUAUUAAAAAUAUCACAAUGGAGGUUUCCAUCCACGUCAAUCAUAUGCAAAUCAAUCACCAAAAGAAGCAAAACCUACCAUUUUACUGAGAUUAUCUUUUCUUAAAAAAUUCUGCAAAAUGCGACACGCACUUAAUCUUUAUGAUAUAAAAAAAAAAUCAUGCUUACGUGGCAUCACUAUCUUGCAAUUAUUGAACAAUGGUAAAAUGUUAAUAUAGUCAUUUUCAAAAUGAUGCAGAAUGCAAAUGACUAUUACUUUCAAAAUAAAAAAUUAUGCUUAAUUAAUCCUAUAAUUGAUAAUGGUGGUUGGGGAAUAGGAUAUUUCCAGCUAAAAAACUAGAAAUCCCCUAUUAGAAUCCCACAAAUGCAUGCAAAUUGCUCUGGAUUAGAACCGCCUACAUAGACCAAAGGCUUAAGCUGAACCAAUUCACGAGACUUGUAAGAUAUUUCAUGAGCUUCUAGGUAGACAGGUGUACAUGCCUAUGCUCCUAGAUAAUACAAAAAAAAUGCUUACUUUAGGAGAAUCCGAAUUUUUUACGCUAAUUAUUUUAGUAUAUACUUAUUCCUCUAAACUAGGUAGUUUUUAUGCAAAAGGUCCUUAUCAACUAAAUUACAAAGAGUAUAUCCCCCGUGACUUUAAUUAGUAAUAACACUUUUAUUUGUCAGAAAUUAGUCAUAGCCUUUUCAAAUACUCCUCCUAAUAAAUUUACAUAUUUAGGACUAAUUUGACAUUCUAAUCUAAAAUUAUGGUUGGUAAAAAAUUACAUAACCUCAAUAUUUCUUUCUGAACUAAGUUUGUUUUUGUUUUUGUUUUUUUUUUUAAUGGCCCCUCUCAUGUGCAAGCUAGAUCAAGAGUAGCACGUGAAAUUUGACAACUAAGAGUGGACUCACACACGAAAGGGGUAAGUAGAACUUGGUUAUGAUAUCAUGUUAGAAAAUCCAAUCCAAAGAUAUGUAAAGAGCAUAUAAACUUCAUUAUCAUGCGAUGCGGGAUAUUUCAUUACAUGCCAACCAACGAUAGAGACAGAGCCCCUCUAAUGUGUUUGUAGCUCCUAAUGAGCUUCACCAAUCAUGAUAUGUUGAAAUGCCUCUAAGUUGCUCUUUGCUUUUCCUCAAUAUGUUCCUUGAUGAAUCCACCUAGAAUAGUCUGCACGCGUACAUGUGUGAACGAUCCAGAUGUGAAUUUGCUUAAGUGGAAUGAGAAAUCCAAGGAUAAAUUUGAAGGUAAAGAGCAAGAAGGUAAUGAUAUGAGGUCGAAGAAAUUUAAUGAUAAAUUUAUUCUUUUGAAAAUGGUCGAGGACGAAAGAAAUUGUUGGCUGACAUCGUCUCCUAAUAUAUGUUAUUAGGAGACACUAUGUAGAUGGAAGAAAGCCUGCAGCAAGUGGACAUCAACAGCUAUGACAUUUUAGUGCUAGCGUAGAGCUGCUCGUGGAGAUUAUUCAAGUGACUAUUUUUACUCCAUUUUUUAUUUCCUGGCUGACGUUACUCCAAUUAGGAUACCCCAUGGACACAUUGAAAAAUAAAUAAAAUUCCAUGUCAUAUGAUUUCCCACACAAACCAAAUCAACUUGAAAAGCACAAUAUUGAGUCCUAACAAUUAAUGCCUUGGGACUCAACCACGGGUAGCGCAGUUGGUGUGCAUUCUCUCCCUCAUCAUUGAGGUCAAGAGUUCAAACCCUAUUGUUGCUAAAAUGUCUUAAGCAGGGGGUCCUGGGCUAGCCUCCCCUAAGGUUUAUAUCUAACUAGUGGCUUGCAGCGAGGCACGACGGAAGGUCGUGUGAUUCCCGAAGGGUGAUCUCCGGCUGUUCCUCGAUCAUCAAAAAAAAAAAUUAAUGCGUUGGGGAACUCCCUGCCUGUAUCAGAUCCAUUGGGUAGAGGAAGGAUCCAGGUGGACCAUCUCUUAUUUCCAGGUGCCACGGCAUCUUCAUCACUUCGUUGCCCGGCAAGAUUGGCCGCGUCUGCCCCCGGUCAACAGCCUCCAGACACUGUAGCCCCAGGUCAAGCAGGUGGUCCAGCAGUAGCAUCCGGUCAAGGCCCCUUCCCAUAAAAAAACAAAAAUAAACAAACUUCUAACGUAAAGCUUGUGGUUAUAUAUGUUUCUGAUUCGUGAUAUCACAUCACUAUAUCAUGGUUGGAUUACCUGUGAGUUUCUUUUCAUUCAAUAGGUAAAGGUGUCGUGUCAAGGAAAUUGGAAAAAAAUUGAAGAGGCUCUUCUUUUUGGUGAGAAAAUGCGAGAUGGUUCUCUACUGCCUUUGUUUCCUUUUAUUUUGAUAUUUGUUGGAUAGGUCCAAGGACAACCUAGGAGUUCUAAUUUCAAUGGAAAGUUGUUCUUCUUAGCACAUUUUGCCGAGUCAUUGUCUUCUGAAGUUUGUCAUCUUUUUGGCACUUUGGGUGAGAUUGAAUCAUUCACUUAGAAAGUUUAGGUAACGGCAUCUCAUUUAGAAUGAGUGGUGCAUUAUCAGUAAACAGAUACAAGGGACUAAGUUAGUUCAAGUAUAAUAUGUCAAGAAGAUUAACAUUAUCAAAAUUUGGUAUUUACUCCACAAAUCAAUAAUACGGCCAGCGAAUCAAUGUUUGUCCAUUGGCAGUCAAGGAAAGGAUGGAGAAGUAAUAAAUAUUUGUCCACUAGCCGUGGAGGAAAGGAUGGUUUGCCAAAUCAAAGUUUGUCUAAUCACUAAUUGUCUAUGAGCAGUACAUGAAAGAAUGAAUACUUAAUCAAUGUUCGUCCAUUAGUGGUGGAGGAAAUGAUGGUUUACCUAAUCAAUGUUUGUCUAAUCACCGUUUGUCUCUGAGCGGUGCAGAGAAACAAUGGAUAUCUAAUCAAUGUUUGUUCAUUAGAAGUGGAGUAAAGGAUGGAGACAUAGACACUGGUGAUGGUUACUGGUUAAGGAAUCAUCAAUCUCUAUAUGCGUAUUAGAUGGUGACUAGGACAUUAGGACUAGUACCUAACCAAUGUUUGCAUCACUCGAUUGUUUAUGUGUGCACAUUAUUGUCUUGAUUGAGGCAACCGAGAGUGGUAUUCCCCUUUUUUUUUGGCUGGUAAUGACUUGGCACAUUUUGCUGCCGAGUUUUCAGCUACCUAAGGAACUGACUCGUGUUUAGAUUAAAAAUGGGUUUGUAACGCAUAUUGAGACAAUUAUUACACGAGCGGUGAUUACAACAAGCUAAAAUUAAGUUUCAAAUCAUAAUCUCAUUUUGACGAUGACAGACUAUAUGAAGUACUUAUUACACGGGAGAUGAUUCAAGUCAAAUCAUUUUGGUACUUUGACAGUUGGUAAUCAUAUGAUUUUUACUUUCUCUUUAAGCCACUAGAUGUUAAAAAAAUGCAAAGAAACCAAGCAAAGAGCUUGCAUACCAUGUAGAUAUUAAGUGAUUGUUAAUAAGCUGCGGGUCGUAGGGUCUUAAGAUAAUUUCUCGAAUUGCUGGAAAAGCAAAUGCUGAAGCGAGUCUUAAAAAUUAUAAUCCAAGCCCUCUUAUAUAGAGAAAUUUGACAAAGUCAUUCCAGAAGAAUAUAUGUGUAUAUCACACAGACUAUGUUAAUAUGGACUAGCAAAUUAUAAAGAAAUUUGCUGCUUCCAUAACUAAGUAAAAAAGCCCAAAAGAUAAGGGGGGGCUAGCUAUGAUUCUGAAAUUUUAUCGGAGAUCUAAUGACUAAUAAUUUUAAUAUUAAAUAGGAGAUACUGUUGUAUUUUGUUAUAUUAAUCAGAUAUUUGAACAAAGAAGAUUGCUUUACUUUGUCAAAUUGAACCGGUAGUUUGAUAAAACAUUAUUUGAGCUGUAGAAUUAAACGUCUCUAUCCUAUUCUUUUUCUUUUUCUCCAUAUCUUUACAUUCCGAGCUUGAGCUAAUAAUCAAAAUGAGUUGAAUAUAGAUUUGGUGCAAAUCUACAAAGACCAGCAUGAUAUAUUAAGUGACUCAAUAGAACUAGGCACAUUUCGACCAAAAAAAUAAAAUAAAAUAGAACUAGGGCACCUUAAAAUUGAGUUGAUGACAUGGUGCGUAAUGUACAUGCCACGUGUGACAAUAAUAAUUUAAAAAAAAAAACAUACAUGUCAUGUGGGGGUGGCCUAUCCUUAUUUGUAUGUUCUCUUCUAAUAAUUACACUUUGUUCUUUAGAUGGUGACAAAUUGCAUAAAGUGCUAUCCUCAUUUGUAUGUUCUCUUCUAAUAAUUACACUGUGUUCCUAGAACCACAGGCACUCAUUUUUCCGCUUCCCUUCAAUGUCUUACUCAGCAUCUUUGCCUUGAUCAUUGUGCAAUAUGUGUGUCCUUUUUUAAGACUAAACUUAUCUGAAUAUGGUCAUAAGAUUCCAAAUCGAUAGAGCUCUGUUAUUGGAAAAAAGCUAUGGAUGUUGCUCAUAUCCACAAGAAGCAAUAAUUUGACUAGACAUCGGAUAAAUGGGGUGUCCCUACUCCCUCUCGAGUCCACAUUCAUAUAGUUAAGGCUGUGAAUAUACAUAUUAUUGUGUCCUCUCAUUUUAUGUGCUUAUAUAAUGAUCUUUCAUAUUCGUGCAUUGCUUAUUCAAAUAUGCAUGUAGGCAGACAAUUCUCUUUGUAUUCUUCAGGGGACAUAUUGAGGGAAAUAAUGGAAUUGUAACUGUAAUCAUUUAGAUAUCGUGCAAGUCUGAACUGCAAUAAGAAGUGUUUGGUAAUAUCACUUGUAGUUUUAUAGGCCAUACCUUUUCUCAAUUUGCAAUCUUUUGACUGGUGUUUAGCUAAAUCACAUCAUUUACAAAUGGCAGGUACUUGAAAAUAUGAGUUCCUAUUAAUAAUAAGCAUUACAUAGUGAAUGAUUUAAUUAUUAAGGUUUUUAUUUUCAAGAAGGCAGCCAUGCAUUCUUACCACAAUCUCAUUAUUGUACCAUGCCCACAAAAGUAAGAUCCAUAUGUACUCUUUUGUCUUAUAUAGCUUUGUGUUUGCAAAUUAGUUUUAAACUUUCCUCGAACCUCUUGUUUAUUUGGAAAAUAGUUUUAAACUUUCCUUGAACCUCUCGUUGCUCCUUUUGUCACUUUGCAUCAGUGACGCACGGUCAAGCAUAUUGGCCUCAAUCACCAAGUGAUGUGUUUGUUCUUUUUCAGACUUUAAUGAUAUGAAUAUCUGUAAAGGAUUUGUAAUCGAUUGUCCCGCACAAAUAGUGAUGAAGUGUACUAUGCAUGAUUUGGGUUUCCACAACAUCCUUUCAAUAAUUAUUUACUAUUUUGAGCAGAAGAGUAGUUGCAUAGAUAAAUAGAUUUGACCGACAAAAAUCGAUGUAACAAAGUAAUGUUGGACGCAAAUUGCGCAACCCCAAAAUCUCCAUAACAAGAACAAGAACAUGCAUAAUUGAGUAGAAAGAUUAAUGCACCUGUUUUGGGAUCCAUUGUUCUUGAAGCGGAAGCGGAAACACAAUGUUCCACUCGCAAGUCCUUCUCCUCUAUUGCCCUCCGUAUCACUAGCUCAAUGAGGCAGCCCCCUCACAUAUACCGUUAGGUAAACGCCCCUUAGGUGAUGAUACAAGUGAGAAUUAGGGUUAGAGGAGAGACUUGAGCACUAUUUAUAGAGUUUCCAGCCAGUCCCUCUCAUUACGAGCUAGGCUCAACUCGGCCCACAUUAGCCAGCCCAUAUUAGACUAAUUAAGAAACCUUCUAUCUCACCUUAGACCAACCAUGUUUUACGGUAACCGUAAAAACAGUAAAUUACAAUAUCAAUUAAUUUAGUCCACAUUAGGAUAACUCUUACAUUCUCCCACUUGGUCUAUAUUAAUUGAAAUCGUACUGUAUAUACGCACAUUUGGUCCAGAGAUAAUUCUUAAUAGUCAAUCAUAUCCCAUAAAGUCUUAAACACCGAAUCAUGGCGGUAACUGCAUGUAUACACACAGAGCAUUCCAUGGUCACGAGUGCUCUCAACUUUAUUGAUAUGGAUUCAAUAUGGUAGUGUGGCAAAUGAAUAACAUCUCUCAUAGAGAGAUCCCAUUUGUCAGUCAUCAUUCUCUUACCUUAGGUGUCACAAAAACUUGUGCCACUAGAGAAUGCUUUAUGGUUCCAAUGAACCCACAUAUGUCUUGUCCUUAUGGUUAACCUUUUCUUUAUGUAUCACAAGAUAUAUGCACAAGGCUAAUAACCAGAUGCCCGGAUGCCCCUAGCCUUCACUCAAGGUUUAUACAAUUCCUUGAGACUUUAUCAAUAUGUAUUCAACAUAAUAACAAUACAUUCAAAAAUAUUUUAUUGAAUGCAAAAGUUGAUACAUAUCAAACCGUUACAAAGUGUAACGAACACAGAUGAAACCUUUAUCAGAGUAAAGCCAAAAUAGCUCCCACUAAACAACAGUAUCCGAAAAUACUCCUAGGCCCAUGCUAAUGACAUGUCACUCAAAUACAAAUGGGCGUAUGCCUUUAGUUAGUGGAUCUGCAACCACAUCAUCUGUGAAAAUAUGUUAUAUUAUAAGUCACCUUUCUAUACCGUUUCUUUAUGGUAAAAAAUAUUUGACCACCAUAUAUUUAGACCUCUUGAGACCUCUGUAGUAAAUAAAUAAUACUACAAAUUUGUUAUCUCAAUACAACCCUAUGGGUCUAUCCAUCAAGUUAAAACGAUCAACUCCAUCAUGAGGUUCUGGAGCCUAAUAGCCCAAGUAACAACCUAAAAGAAUGUUACAAACACUGCAUACAUAGUAGAAGAUAACAUAGAACUUUAUUUACUGCACUUCCUACUAACAUAAAUCUGUAUCUUGUUAUUGAUAUUAUAUCAUCCUAAUAGCCAGCAAAGUUAACAUAUGAAUACCUUACUCACUGCAAGAAUUAAACUUGUAUGUAAAUUAACAUAUACUCUCUUGUCCUUUUAAGUACCUUAAAACCUUUUGGCAGCAACUCAGAUCGUGUCCUGGAUUCAACUUAUAUUUGCCUAAAAGUCCCAUCACAAAGGUGAUAUUUAAUCUAGUGCAAAAUCAAAGCAUACAUUAUACUUUUAAGUGCACUAACACAAGGUACACCAUUUAAUUAGAUUUUAUCAAUAUCUAAAUAAGGACAAUGUGAUAGAUUUAGUCUAUCACCCUUAACAACAGGAGCAAUUCCCGGCUUGCAAUGAUGUAUAUUGAAUAUUUCCAAUAUACAAUCAGCAAAUGUCCUCCGAGAAAAUAUAAUAUAAUAUGUCAAAAACAAUCCUUACAGACCUCAGUACAAAAGAUAUAAGAUGUUUCAAGGCCACAACUUGUAAGCAAAAUAUCAUGUAUAUAGAGUAUAAGAAAAAAUAAAUUUCCUCCCAUUGACCUUACAGUAUAUUGAAUUACUUUGUUCCCAAUUGAACAAGAUAACAAUACUAUAAAACUUUAAUAAUAUUGUUUGGAAACUUGCUUAAUGCCAUGAAUUAGAACUUUUGAGUCUAUACACAAGUUUACUUGAAUCUGUUGCAAAAUCAUCUAGUUGCAUUAUAUAGAUUUUGUAUCUAUUUGGCGUAACUCCAUAUCAAAAUAAAUUAUUAAUGCCACGUUCACUCUAAAAGAAUCUUUUAAAAAAAAAUUAUUUCUUCACUAUUAACUAUCCACCCCUCUUUCAGAGUGAAAACUUUAGCUACAAGUUUAGUUUUAAACUUCACAGUUUUCCUUUGAAAUCAUUUUAAUUUUGUACGCCAAUAUGCAACUAAUGAACUUGUGAUCUUUAGACAAGUAAGUUUUUUUUUUUUUUUUGGUAAGGGUAAUUAAAUUAGACAAGUAAGUUAGUUUCCAAAUACUAUGAUGUUUCAUUGAUUGUAUAUCGACUUUUAUGGCAUCUAAUCACAUACUUAAUUGAGAACAAUAAACGACAUUUAUAUAAGUUGCUAAAACAACCAUGUAGUGGAUAUUGUAAUCAUGCUCUCACAAAUAGACUAUAUAGUAUGAUGAUAUAACUGAUCGUCUUUCCCUAACAAAUCUCCUUAAUAAAGCUGCAACCACUUCAUUCUGCACUUGUGAGGUUUAAGAAAAUUUCAUCAUAAACUAUAUCAAGCAUAGUACCUUAAACCUCAACAAGUUUAGUUUAUGGUAUAGGAGAUUCAAUAAUUGUUUGUACCACAAUUAUCUGUAUAGGCAAAGAUAAAGACACAGUGAUUUUCCAUCGUACUAUUAUUCUUAAUAGUCUAAGAGCAACUAUUAUCUACAUUACGUUGAACUGUAGAAAUUUUACAGUAUGUGAUUCCAUAAUACCUAUACCUUCUUUAGGGUCAUAAAAUAUACCUCUUUAACAAUCUAGAUAAGAUACAAAAUAAUUCCGAGUGGAUCUAAAUUCCAACGCACUUUAUAUUGGAUUAGAUAACCUCAAUUUUGCAUGACACUUCUAAAUUUCAUAUGAUUCAAGUAAUUUAUGUCCAAUCUAUAACUCGAAAGAAGUUUAUGAAAUAACUUUGAUAAGAAACACAUUUUGUAUCUGAAAAAGUUGCUUUCAUAAUAUUAGCCCACAAAAAAUCAGAUAAAUUAGUCUUACUAAUCAUACUCAUCACCAUGUUCAAUAUGGUGCAUUUAUGCCUUUCGGCCAAAUCUUUUUGUCAGAAUUUUCAAGUAUAGUAAUUAAAUUACCACCCCAGAAUCUACCAAGUAUUUGACAAAUGACCCUUUAAGCUAUUUCGCAUUGUCAUACUUGCCAAAAUACUCACGGCCACUGUUAAACCUGACAACUUUUUAAGACUAAUUGUAAUUGUUUUAUUCUUUAUCUUGGUCAUUUUCCUUAAAUAGAAAACUUUCGGAAACAACAUUUUAAUCAUAUACGAGAUGUAUAUGUCAUUAGGACUUAAACACAAUCUUUGCAGAUGUGUCCUAAUUUCAAUAUCAGACAAGACAUAAUUUCAAGCAACUAAGGCUUCCAUCAUCUUAUAGCAGUGCAGUCCGCAGGCAAACCUCUUUUCAAGUGUUCCAGAAUGGAACGCUUCAUGGACAGUAAGCAAAUUCAAUUGCUCUUUUCUUAAGCAACAAAUAAUAUGUCCACAACUUAAAAUUUGAAGCAGUAAAAACCUCAAUAAUAAUGAAGUUAUUAAUUACAUAAAAGGUGACUGAAAACCAAGCAAUGUAUAUAAUUAGCAUCAUAUGAGUACUGUGUAACUUGACGUACAAGUACACAUCCAGAGAGUUACACGCAUAAUCAUAUCAUCACCUUUGGGCAGAAUACAUGACAUGCAGUUGUACACUCCCCACAUGAUAGCGGUUAUGAGAAUAUAUUUCAAUUCUUCGUGAAUUCAUUACCUUUGGGCAUAUGAAUCACUAGAAUCAAUCAUUCCUCCACCACACUAUCAUGUAUCCCUCCAUGAACUAAUACACAAUCACCUAUUUUGGGAGUAUGACUACGCAUUAGAUCAGGAGACAUCCCAAUCAUUAUACGAGACCGAAAUUUCUCAAACCCAAUCAAGCGUGCCACUUUGGCGGUCACUACUCAACUGAAUCAUUGAAAUUCUCUCAUACCAUGGAUAUAAACUUUACUUCUCACAUACACCAUAUACAUGUGAUUUUAACUUUAGUGAUAGGGGCAGCAUAUCACCAAAAUCACAUAUCAUGCUAAUUACAUUGCUUUAUUCAUUAAUAAAAUUAAUCAUAUAUAUAUAUAUAUAGCGAACCUGAAAGACAGAUUCCAAUGAGAUCAUUGAUCAUAGUAAUACAAGAAACUUCUCAUAACAGAGAAUAAAACAUCUCUUAUGCACCCCAAUUAUAUAUUACCAGAACAACAUAAAAAGAAUGCUGAUAUAAAAUAUCUCUCACAAAUUAACAUCAAUAGUAAUAUAGGGUACACCAAAUCGACAAGCUUGACAGUUGAUCCAUUAUCACUCAUGAGUUCAUAAGGCAAAAAUGACUCCAAGGCCAACAACUGAUUUAUUAAUCAAUUUUAGGUAACAAAUAUCAUUACUUCAACCAGUGGCCUAUAAAUUGAGUCAAACCACAGAACUAAAUAUCUAAACUAUAACAGUAGAUACUAUUACUCUGCAUAAAUAUUGCCAUACUCCUUUACCAUAAAAAAUAUUUAACUCGAUAAACAUUAACCAGUGACCAUAUGAGUUUAUGUACAAUAUGCAAUAACUUUACUAACAUGCAUUACCUACACUAGGUAUAUGUGUUAAUUAGUACAAUCAGUUUGGUCACAGAUUCUUAAAACGUCCAUCAUUCAAAGGUUACCAACAUGUAAAAGAGUAUGCAUGAGCAAUAAAAAAUUUAAUGACUUUUACUGUUUCUCAUUAUCUCAAGAUAUAUUCAAUUACCAUCUCAUAAUGAUUAUAUCUCAUUAAACCAGCUUCAGUUCACAAUAAAGUUUGAUUUUUAUUGGUAAAUCACACCUUUAUAAUGAUUAUGUGAUAAUAUACCUAUAACCCAACCCUUGUAUUUCCAAAAUCACAGAAAAAUACAAGGAAAAAUACGCAAAAAUUCAUUUAAAAUACACGUAUUUAGGGUUGCAUAUGCAAUUUCACAUCAAUAAAACUAUCAAAAAUAUAAAAUAAAUAUACCACGAGAUAGGAAAUCACCAUACGAGUCCAACGUCGCCAACCACGCGCCAAAAGAAGACCCCACGCGCCCGCAUGCGCCACCUGAGUGAGCAGCGCGUGGGGCUCACGCGCGCGUCUUGAAGCCGGUUAGAAACCGGUCCGACCAGUGGCGGUCUGACCGAUUCCCGGUCUGACCGUCCGGUCUAGCCGCCCAAUCCAAACGGUUGACCGGUCCAGUCAACGGUUGACCGGGCCGGGUCGGUCUAUGGCACCCCUCGACAGCCCCCGAUCUGUUAAGGUCGCCACAGUUCGCUUGCCUUUCACUUUCCCUAUUAACAUGUCACUCUGAUACCAUUUCAAUUGCAGCGGGUCUAUACAACCAUGGGGGUUUACAUUUUUUUUUUUGAUAGGUCCCUUGCGCAAUUCAUAUACGGAAGCACAUCCAACAAACUCCCUUCCCUAUAUUCAGAAAACGAUGCACACCUACAAAACAUCUUAUAUAAGUUAAAGCCGAACACGUUUAUUUACAUAAAGCAUAUGGACAUCUUUAGUCUGUACAUCGAAAUGCCAAUGUUUCUAUACUCGGCUAUACUUCAAAAGAUGACUGACAUCUCUUAUAACAGUCGAAUAUUUAAAGUCCAUCGAUUAGUGUCGGCAUCCAAAAAUUCCUCCAUUUGCUAUCCUCCUCCUCGCAAUCAUAUCCAACCACUUGAUUCAUCUACUGGUAGCAGUGGCAGCAGAGACAUCUUAUCUAGUCUGAAAUGUUAUUCCCCAAAAGGGGUGAGUACAACCACUCAGCAGGUAAAUGAUCAAUAAACCACUCAAUACAUCAUGCCAUGCAAUCAUCACAAUCAUAACAUCACAUGUCAUACAAGCAUCCAUGCACAACAUACCCUGGCAUCAUGCACAUGUCAUCAUACCUCAUGUACCAUCAUCAUCAUAUAGACGUCAUCAUCAUAUCAUACACUUACCAUCAACAUGUCACAUAUGGCAUCAUCCUUACCAUGCAUCCAUGCGUAUAACAUCAUCAUCAUAUCACCAUAUCACAUGUACCAUCAUCAUNNNNNNNNNNNNNNNNNNNNNNNNNNNNNNNNNNNNNNNNNNNNNNNNNNNNNNNNNNNNNNNNNNNNNNNNNNNNNNNNNNNNNNNNNNNNNNNNNNNNNNNNNNNNNNNNNNNNNNNNNNNNNNNNNNNNNNNNNNNNNNNNNNNNNNNNNNNNNNNNNNNNNNNNNNNNNNNNNNNNNNNNNNNNNNNNNNNNNNNNNNNNNNNNNNNNNNNNNNNNNNNNNNNNNNNNNNNNNNNNNNNNNNNNNNNNNNNNNNNNNNNNNNNNNNNNNNNNNNNNNNNNNNNNNNNNNNNNNNNNNNNNNNNNNNNNNNNNNNNNNNNNNNNNNNNNGGCAUCUCGUAUCCCAACUAGCAUCACGAGGCAUCCCCCUGGGCACAAACCUCCAGGGCUUCCGGCAUUUACACUCCUUGGCCGGGCAUCUCGCAUCCCAACUAGCAUUGCGAGGCAUCCCCCCGGGCACAAACCUCUGGGGCUUCCGGAAUUACGUACCGACAUAUCACCAGGAUCCCCCCCCUCCUCUGGAAUUAUGUACCGUAUACCACCGGGCAUCUCCAAACUCCCGAGGAAAUCUCCGGGGCUCGCCAUGAAAAUGGUUUCCCCUACCCUCCGGAAUUACGUACCGACAUACCACCAGGCCUCCCCUGGAAUUACGUACCGUAUACCACCGGGCAUCCCGACACUCCCGGGGAACCGUUGGCUCACACCUCCGACGGCCUUCUCACUUAUCUCAAUUCACAUUUUCAAUUAUAGUUCAAUUAUAACAUGGCAUGUGAUGUGAUGGCAAUCAAGAUCAUAUUCAUCAUUGAAUUCAUACAUGCAUCUCAAAUCAUUAUCAUGCAUGCAGCUAGACACCAUCAUCCAUCACAAUACAAUUCAUGGAGUCCAUGCAAUAUAAAAUGGUCCAUAUCUCAUGCCUUUUCAAAGUUUACAAAAUUCCAGCAUGUACCAUUUUUAGAAAAUAUUUAAAUUAAAUAUCCAUAUGCUUCUCAAAAAUCAUGAAAUUAAGGCUAGUGAUAGACAAGACAAUAGGGUAAUAAUUUCAUGAAAAACACAAGGCCAAUCAAAUUCCACACAAAAUUAUAAUUCACACAAAUACAGCAUGUAAUUUCGGAUAGAAACAGAAUGCACAGUUUCCGAAAUAAUUUUAUUAAAAUAUCCAAAAAACCUCAGAAAAUUAUAAAAUUUUACCAGGUUAUAGCCAAGACACUAAAGUGGAUUUUUCAUGGAGACUUCUAAGACAAAUUAUCUUUAGAUUAUUUUCUACAGUCACACGAAGCUUCUGGAUCUAACACCGAAACGUCCAGUGCAUGCUUCUCCGAAAUACUGAGUUUUCACCUACCUAUUAUUCUUAUUUUCCUCUGAAAUUUGGAUAUGUUUUACUUCAAGAGGUCCCCUACAACUUUCAUUAAGGGAUCUAAGUCAAAAUUCCAGAGUAUAGUCAUCAUUCGGGUCCAUGAAGUCUCGGGUAACCUAUACCGCGUCUCCAGAUCUACGGUUUUCAAGAGUAAGUUGAUUCACUAGGCUACACUUGUUUAUUUUGCUUCAAAUUUGAUUUUGUUAAACUUAAAGAUGUUCUCUACAAGUUUCAUGAAGAAGUCAAAAAGAUAUUCUUAGUAAAAAUCAAUAUGCAACCACAAAUCCACCGAAAGGUCAGUGAAAUCGUUCCAGAUCUGGUGUCUCCGUAGGAUGAGUGUUUGACCCCUAAAAUCUCCAUCAUUUUGUACUAAAUUUUAGUAUGUUAUAUUUUAAGAUGUUGGAUACAACUUUUAUGAAGAGAUAAAAGUCAAAAUCGAACUCAAAACAUGCAUGCAAGCUCUCACAAGAUUCUGGGUCAGGCGGUUCAUGCGAAAACAUUCCAGAUCUAGCAUCUCCGUAGGAUGAGAGUUUGACCCCUUAAAUCUCCAUAAUUUUGCACCAAAUUUUAGUAUGUUGUAUUUUAAGAUGUUGGCUACAACUUUCAUGAAGGAAUCAAGGUCAAAAUCAAACUAGAAACAUGCAUGCAAGCUCUCACAAGAUUGUGGUUCAGGCGGUUCAUACGAAAACAGCAUGCAUCUCCAAGAACAAACCUCAUGUACUUCGAUUUCUAACCACUAAACAUCCAAAAAUUCAACCACACAUGCAAGGGGUGGAAAUCAGUCCCAACUUGCCUCUAAAACCAAGCGGACAUCGACACACAAACGGCACACCGGCGACGAACGGACGGCGUGCGGGCGGCGACGGGUGGACAGCUCCUUCUCUCGGCUCCCCCUUCUCUCUCGCCACUCCCUCUCUCUCUCACUCUCUCAAAACCAGCCACUCUCUCUCUCUCUCUCUCUCUCUCUCUCUUUUUGGUUGCUAUAUAAAUUGCAUGCACCCUCAAUUUGCAUGGGGGACACUUGUCCCUAAGAAGGAGACAAGUGUCUCCUUUGCCGAAGACACUUGGAGGAAGCCAUGCGGCUCCUCCUUCCCCCUCCAUGCGCCGACAAUGGGCCGGGCUUAUGGCCCACUUUAGGCCCAUCUCACUUGGGCCUAAGGUCCAAACUUAAAUGGCCCAAGUUUAUUUUAUUUUAUUUUUAUAAUAUAUCUUAAUCAUCAUUUAAAUAAAUAUCUAAUUGCAUAAAUAAUAAAGGCCAUUAAACUUAUAGUCACAAAUCCAUAAAUUCCAAUUUAAUGAUGCACAUGGCCAAUGAUAGAAUUUUCUUUCCUAUCACAUAAUUAUCCUUUAAAAGCUUGGCCAUAUAUCUUAUUGCAAAUUAUGGAUUAAAUAGCCAUAACUUGAUGGUACUUCUAUCACCUAUUCAUAGACUUUAAUGUAACUAGAGGUCAUUAUGAAUUUUGGGAUGCCACACGGUCAACGGGUCGGGUCGGUCGCCUUCUAGGUCGGGUCAAUGACGUCAUUCAAGCCGGGCGCUGACGUCAUCGGGUCAAUUGCUAACGUCACCGUGACGUCAGCACUCACGUGCGGUGCACGCAUCGGGUUGGAUCCGGGUCGCUAACUUCACCGUGACGUCAGCGGCCGCGUGCGUCGCACGCCCCGCGCGUGGGGGCGAGUGCGGCGUCCUCCAGCGACGCGCCGCCCACAGUUCUGCUCGUAUCGUCGAGCCCAGUCUGAAUUUGCAAUUUAAUUUUAGUUUUAUUGAGCAAAAAAACUCGAAAAUCGCAAAUUAUGGCAAGAUACAUACUAAUUAGGGCAAAUCCAUACAAAUUAGGGUAGAUCCGUACAAAUUAUGGUAAAUAUGUACAAAUUAGGGCAAAACCAAUUGCAUUCAAGUUUUAGGGUUAUGGUUGCUCUGAUACCACGUGUUGGACGCAAAUUGCACAACCCCAAAAUCUCCAUAACUAGAACAAGAAUAUGCAUAAUUGAGUAGAAAGAUUAACGCACCUGUUUUGGGAUCUAUUGUUCUUGAAGCGGAAGCGGAAACACAAUGUUCCACGCGCAAGUCCUUCUCCUCUAUUGCCCUCCAUAUCACUGAUUCAAUGAGGCGGCCCACUCACAUGUAGCGUUAGGUAAACGCCCCUUAGAUGAGGAUACAUGUGAGAAUUAGGGUUAGAGGAGAGACUUGAGCACUAUUUAUAGAGUUUCCAGCCAAUCCCUCUCAUUACGGGCUAGGCUCAACUCGGCCCACACUAGCCAGCCCAUAUUAGACUAAUUAAGAAACAUUUUAUCUCACCUUAGACCAACCAUAUUUUAUGGUAACCGUAAAAACAAUAAAUUAUAAUAUCAAUUAAUUUAGUCCACAUUAGGAAAACUCUUACAAGUAAUGGGCUUGAAGUUACAUGAACGAUCUCAACCAUCGAAUAAAAUAAAAUUAAUGUCAAAUGUUUGAUUUGGCAUGACCAUUUUGUCCUGCCAAACCCUACUAUCCCAUACCUCAGGCCAAAAAUUACAAGUUGUGCCAUAUCUUUAGCUUUACGCUUGUGAAAUGAAACAAUUAUCACUAAAAUCCAAUCUCGUAUUUAGCUCAUCCAAUGAGAAUCGAUGAGUCUAGAACACUUGGAAUGCCAAAACUUGUCACAAUUGGACACUUAAAUGUCAAAAGUUAGGGAAGUGAUACUUAGGGGGUGUAUGACAAACCAGAAUUUAUGUUCUAGAAACAAUUUUUCUAUUCCAGACUUGAAUCUGGAAUAGAAAUCCGUUUGAUAAACUUAUUCCAUUUUUCUUUUUCUGAAAUAGAUUUCUAUUCCAGAAAUAGGUUUGGAAUAGAAAUCAGAAGUAUAAAUUUUUUACUUCUCUAUUUCUAGAACAUAAAUGAGAAAUAAAAAAAUUUCUCAUCAUUCGUCAACCGGUCAUUCAUCUGUUGCUGCCAACCACCGUCCGUCGAUCAUCGGCCCCCACCGCCGCUGAUCGUCGGCCGCCUGCCAGCCCUCGCCGCCGCUGCCGGUCGCCCGCCACCGGCCGCCGCUAAUCGCCGACCACCGGCCGCCGCCAUCCAUCACCACUAUCCGCCGGUCUGCUGCCAUCCGAAAAGAAGAAAUUUUGUGUCGUUAUCAAACGAAUUUCUAUUUUUAUAGUAGAAAUUUUGUGCUGUUAUCAAAUGGUUAUUUUUGCUUAGAAACUCUUUUAGAAAUAGAAAUAGAAAAAUCUAUUUCUGUUCCAGAAAGUUUCUGGAACAGAAUGGUUGUUAUGCGCGCCCUUAAAUACCAAAAUCGGAGUAAAAUUGAUCAGUUUAGUACCAACGGCAAGAAAUAAAGUUUGGAUAAACUAUGACUUAAAGACUAAUUCAAAUAAUACUUUGAACUUAAUGUUGCCAUAACAAUAUGCUUUGAAAUAUUAAUCUACACUAUUUUAAAAAAACAAAUGAACGACCACUUCAACAUCACAUUUUUACAAAGAAAAUUCCGUGAAAAACCCCGCGCAUAUAUUCCAAAGAAAAAUAAGAAGGCAUUCAGUGAAUCUCUUACCUUCUAAAUUCUGAUUCAAAAUACCAACCAAAAAAAAAAAAAAUUGAUGUAAAAUAGUGGUUAAGUAUUCCAUCAAUCUGUCAUCUUUUUUUAAGAAAUUGUGCAGAAUGCAUAAUACACUUAUUCUUCACAAUAAAUUAAAAAAAAAAAACAAAUUAGACUUACUUAGCAUCUCUAUCUUGCAAUUAUUAAAUAUAAAUAAUACGAUAAUUUCGUUAGAAAAAGCCAUUUUCUCAAGAAAAGAUACAUAAUGCAAACUUAACUUAUCCUUUACAAAAUAAAAAAUAAAUAAUUAUGCUUCCUUAACCCCAGAAUUGGGCUUUAGGAGUUUUCCAACUCAAGAUAUGGAGGUCGCAUGUUCGAAUCACACAAAUUGCGUGCAAAUUAGGGUAGAACCACCUACACAGGUCUACAGUCUAAGCUUAAUCGUUUGAUAAGGCUUGCAGGAUAAUAUAUACAAAAUCCUCAUAAACUUGGUAAUCAUUAUACAAAAGAUCCUUAUUAACUUAAUUACGAAGAGAAUGCCCCCAUCAUACUUUAAUAAGUCAUGACAAAUUUUCUGUUAGAAAAUAGUCAUUACCUUUCCAAAUAGUCAUAGUAAAUAAACAGUUCUAGAAGUGAUUUGACAUUUUCCCCUUAUAAACUGAGUUUUUCAUUUCACUUAAAGGAUAAUUUCAGGGGAUUUCUAUCAACAAACAUGUGAAAAAGUGAAAGAGGAUACAUGAAAGGUAAGGCUUAUUUUCAACUAACGGCCAAAAUUAAGUAGAUAUAAGAUGCCAAGUUAGCCCAAGUCCUAAUGUCAAUAAGCAGAACCUAUUCAAAAAUUGCUGCUCAAUAUGUAAAUUAAUUCUGCGUUUUAGACUGUUUCGAUCUUUAUACCAUUUCAAAAUUAAACUUCAAAUUUUUUUCUUGUUCAAUUAGUUAAAUUAUGACAUUAUUUCAAUAGUUUUUUAUAUGAUUUCGUAGACUUGCACAAGGAGUGGGUUUAGGAUUAGUAUCCCAUCAAUGUUUGUCCAUUAGCGGCGGAGGAAAGGAUGUGGAGACUUAGAGGUUGGUGAUGGUGACUUGUCGAGUAAAGAAAUACUAAACCAUUUCUAUAUAAUCUAGCGAAUCAUGUUUAUAUUAUCAUAUUCAAUUUGUAAACUAAAAGGUAUUGGGAGACACUGAAAUGAUAUCCCCCAUGAUAGUAGUAAUCGAUUAUCUACUCAUUUCACUAGAUUUACAUUGAAUUGAACAUGAGUCUGGUGCUAGCCCUCAUUGACCGACAUAGACUUGGCUUUGAUUAUUUAAUCUCAUUUCGGCGAUUUUUUAAAAUUUUAAGUGUUACAUAUAUAACAUGUCACAUUAAAUUUAAGUUUAAAAAAUGGGUUUCUUACGCGUAUCGAGACAAAUAUUCCAACGGCGAUGAUUCCAACAAUUUAAAAUUAAGUCAAAAAAUUGUAAUCUCAUUUUAAUGUAACAGGCGAUGUCAAGUACUUAUUACAGGUCGAUUAUUUUAGUCAAUUUAUUUUAGUAGUUCAGGACGCAUAUUAUAACUAUUUUGUUUAUCUACUUUUUUUUUUCUUGUGAACGAUUUACAAUAAAAAUUUAUUCAACGCAAUUUUUUUUUCUAUUUUUGGAAUAAAUUUUUAGUCUACAAAUAUGUUUGAAAGAAAAAUGAAAAGUAAAAAAUUUAUACUUGUCUAGUUCUAAAAUAAAAAUGAUAAAUAAAAACUCUUCUCAUCACUUGUCCUUACUAUCAAAUAAGUUUUUGUUCCGAAAACAAAAAAUUUGUGUCAUUAUUAAUUGUGUGUUUUUGCUUAAAAACUCAUCCAAGGCAUAGAAUUAGAAAAAUCUAUUUUUGACCAUAAAUUAAUUUCUAAAAUGGAAUGGUUAUCAUUUAUGCCCUUGACAGUUGUUAAUAAUGUAUUUUUUCCUUUCUAUUUAAGUCACCUGUCGUUAAAAAAUGAGGUUAAUAUCACAAAAAAUCCUAAACUAAUAUAUCCGUAACAAAUUUAUCCAACUAAUUUUUUUACCACAAAAAACUUCAAAGCAGUACGCCUGUGACAAAUAUACCACAUAUUGGUACAUUGAUGAUAAAUUUAUUAAUAAUUAGUUUCUAUUAAAUUACAUUGAUAGUACAAAAAAUCACAAACCAGUACACACGUAAUAGAUGGAGGGUAAUUCUCCAAACAACUAUCACGUGUCAUUUAACUCGGCAAUUUGACUGUAAAAUUUAACAGAAAGUAUAUUUGUUACAUGAAUUUUAAAAAUGAAUUUUUGUUGACCACAAUAUUUGAAAAAUGAAUGUGAAAAGUAAAAGACUCUAGAUAAACCCAAUAAUUUCCCAUAUUAAUUUUUUUUUCAUGUAAAGAGUAGUAGUAUUGAAGAAAGUAAACUUGUUUAUAACGUUGAUGAAAAAUAGCAAAAGUUUAAAUUCCUAAUCUAAAAAAAUAUAAUUUAGGUUACGUCUAAACUAACAAUCACAUUAGACAUUACAAUAUAACAAUAAGCUUGAUUAUAAUGUUACUUCUAUAAUUUUAAUAUGAUUUCAUGGGCGAACACAAGGAUUGGGUUUAGGAGUGGUACUUAAUUAGUCAUUAUUUGUGGAGGAUAGGACGGAUUCCCAAUUUAUGUUUGUCUAAUCACUGUUUGCCUAUUAAUGAAUAAUUAUUCAAAAAAUCCUAAACCUAUUGUAUGACAGCCAAUUUAGUUAUAAACUUUUCAAUUUUACUAAUUUAGCCCUAAACUUUUUAACGAUUUGCCAAUAUAGUCCUUCCAACUAAUUUUGGUUGGAAAGCACUUGGCGCUUGUAUCAAUUGUGAUAACUCGCAUUCACUUUAGCGAUUUCCAUUGAAAGUUGGCUGAAAUGACUAAUUGACAAAUCAUCAAAAGAUUUAGAAUUAAAUUGGCAAAAUUGGAAAUGUUAGGGCUGAAUUGGCCAUUGUACAAUAAAUUUGAAAGUUUUUGGACAAAUUUCUAUCUAUAAACACUGGAGAAAAGGAUGGAUAUCUAAUCCAUGUUCAUAAGAAUGGAGACUUGCACAUUGGUAAUGGUGAUGGUCAAGGAACAGUAAAAUGCAAAAAAAUCAUCCAUCUCAAUAUACAUACAUAUUGAGAAAUUAGCAGUAGUACCAAACUGAUGCUUAUAUUGCUCGAUUGUUUAUAAGUCCACAUUGUUGUCUUGAUUGAGCGACUAAAGGCAGUCCUUUUUUUAAAAAAAAUUUCUUGACCAAUGACGACUUGGAGCGGUGUCCUACAAGUUUUCAGCUUCCCAAGGAAUUCAUUGCAAAGGAAGAGUGGGAAAAAUUGUUCAAGUCACUGCUGGUCUAAUUAGGGGUAUGCAAAAGAACUUGGACCCGCCCGGACGAUAUGAAAUCGGACUGAAAUUGCCCAAAACCGGUGGUUCUUAAGGGAACCGGUCCAAUUCCCGGUUCCAUGGGUGGAUUCGCCCACCCAAACCAAAUCAAUUAUAUUAUAAUAAUAUAUUAAUUUUUAAAAUUAAAAAAAUUGUUAUGAUUAAUCUCUAAUUUUGGGAUAUGCCCGAAUUUGAGUGCGCAAGAUAUGCAAUGUCUCCCUCUCCGUCCAUGCCUACCACAUGUUUGAAGAAAUGCCUAAACCAAAUUUGUUAGGAUUAAUCUUUGAUUCCGAAUUGUUAAAAGGAGUACGUGAAUAUAUACAGUGCAUUAUAGGCUUUUGUUGAUUAUUGAGUAUAUUUUCAAUCAGAUUUCAUCUCCACCGAGUCCGAAUCUCUUUAAUCUUUGGUUACCUUUGCUUUGUGCUUUGACCAUAUCUUUGUGAAUGUCCUUUGUAUUUGUGUUGUGGCUAGGAUCAUAAGUCUUGAAUGGAUGAUGGUGAGGAUGAAGGCCGGCAAAUUUCCAUCUGGUGAUCAGAGGCAACCGAAGAUGGAGGUCCGACAAUGGAUAUUUUGUUUUUUUUUUUUUGGUAAAGACAAUGGAUAUUUUGUUUGAGCGUACGAUGUUACAUAAGUUGUGGUGUUCUGGGUUUAAUGUCCUAUUUCUGGAUAAUGGGAUGAAAAAAUUCUAGGAAGAAAUAAAAUAAGAUAAAAAAAGGGAGGAAAAAGCUUCUUGACCGGUUCCAUGGAUUCACUUAGGUGGUCCAGUUCCUGGGUGGAUCCAUGCAACUAAUGGGCGGUUCUCGGUUUCAAUUUUUUGAAACUAAUCCUUAGCGGGUGGUUCCUAAUUUUAGGGUAGGAACCACUCACCCAUACCAUGUACACCCCUAAAUCUAAUUGGCCUCUCCCACCAAGGGCCAAGUUCUACUGCAUAUCAACGAGUCCAUCUUCGCUUACCAUUACCAUGCUUUAUCCUUGUGAAAAAAUCAUUCAAGAAAAGCAGCAUUUCCCUCAUAUAAGGGAGGAAGAGAGAGAGAGAGAGAGAGAGAGAGAGAGAGAGAGAGAGAGCAGGCUGUCAAUGAAAGGGAAAUCAACUUUUAUCUUGCAAAAGGGGCAGCUGUCAUAGAAAUUCACUUCAUGCAAGUUUCGGCGAAGAAAGCUCGUGUACACUAUACAGCAAUAUGAAGAAAAAAGUUGUGAAGAGCUCGAAAAAGUAAACAGACAUUGCUAACUAAACUGUAGCGUGUAAUGGAGACAGAACUUAGGACAUGUGGGUUCUAAUCUAAAGUCGGAUUUCUGACAUCGAAGGCCAUUGCUAUUGUAAGCGCCCCAGCAGGCAUUUCACCAAAUUAUUUUGGAUUUCAACAUUAUUUUUAUUUUAUUUUAAUUGCAGAUAAAUGAAAUUUAACUACAAACUACCUUCACUGGUUUGUUUGACAGUACAAACUGGCCAAAAUGUGUUCUUAUUCUAAGUAAAUAUAUAUUUUAUAAUCUCUUUUUUUUUUUGGCUUUUCUUUUGGUUAAUCAUUAUAUUUUUCUGUUGAUUGAUUUUUGUUGAUAUUACACUGAUGAAAAGGAAGCAUAACUUAAAAAGGACACUUUUUUUGCUAUUAAUGAGUGUUUUUACAACAUAUGGAAUAUUUCCCCAUAUAUGAAAGUCUUUCAGCCUAUACUAGAUACAUUUACCAAGUACAAUUAGUUUUUAUUAAGAGUAACGUGCAAUCUUAUCAAUAUGUUAAGAAAUUAUCGGUAUGGAUUCCCUGUAAUAUUUUUCAACGACAAAAGAUCUAACUUUAACAUUAAGUCAAUUGACGGUAGAUGGCCCUCUUAAAAUGCAAAAAUAAAAAAAUCCCUCUGUAAUAUUUCCUUAAGAGACCAAAAAGAACAAAAUGCUAAAAUACCUGUUCUGUUAUUGUUAACUUCCCACAUUCACAUUUUUAGCUUGCGGUUACUUUUACCUUUUUUUUUCGUCUUUCCAUUUUCACCUACGGUAUCUCUCUGGGCAAAGUGCUCUGAAUUUGAUCACGUUCGGUGUGAAUUUUCUUUUUGGGAAAUUAUACUCUUUGAUAUAAAGUUAUGGGAAAAUUUCAAAAAAGGAUCGGAAGUAUCCUUAUUUUCUCAAAUAAGAGCUCGAAAUAGACUUUAUUUCAAAUAAGAACAAAAAAUGGCUUUGGUUGUUUUAAAUAAGAGCUUGAAGUGGCUUUGGUUGUUUCAAAUAAGAACUUGACCUCAUUGGUCGCCGGCCAACUAAAUUUUCCGAUCAGUCAAGGUAUUUUCAUCAUUUGACAUUUUCCUAUUUUUUCUUCCUUUUUUUUCUUUCAUUUUGUUUUUUAGCUUUUCUUCUUCCUCUUCACCGGUGACCAACCAGCCAUCGGCAAUGCCCACAGAGGGUGAGGCGAGGGUUGCCCUUGUCGGCAUGGGCCACCUAUGCCAACCACAGGCGAGGGAUGGCCUCGCCUAGUUGUGGCAACCCUUGCUCAAGGGCCAUUCGCGAGGUUGGCCCUCGCUCAUGGCAGGCGAGGGCUUUAGGCCCUCACUGACCCUUAGCAGUGGUCGACGAGGUCGCCCAGGCCUUGCCGGCCGCGAGUGAGGCCACCCUCGCCAGAUCUAGCGAGGGUUGGCCUCGCCUUGGGCCGACACAGGCCAACCUCGCGGAUGGCCCCUCGCUGAUAAGGGCGACUCUCGCCCAACUUUCUGUAGGACUAGCCACCAGCAAAAAGGAAGAAGAAGAACCAGAAGAAAAAAAGGAAAGAAAAAAGAAAAUAGGAAGAAAAAAAUAGGAAAAUUGACAAAUGACGAAAAUACCCUUAACUGCUGGUAAGUCAGGUACUUAUUUGAAACGGAUGUAACCACUUCAGGCCUUUAUUUAAAACAAACAUAAAUACUUUAGAUCUUCAUUUGAAACAAUAUCUACUUUAGGCCUUUAUUUGAGAAAGUAAUGGCAUUUUGGGUCCUUAUUUAAAAUAAGGUCCAUUUCAGGCCCUUAUUUGAGAAAAAUAGGACACUUUGGGUCCUUUUUUGAAAUUAUGCAUUAACUUCACAAAUAAAAUCAAUGUGAAAAUCUACCUCUAUAUAAUUUUGUAUUACACCCUCUACCCACCUUCUAAUAUUAAUUUUUGGUAAAUUUACAACCCUUCUAACCCAAAGGGGCUGCAAUUUUAAGAAUUUCAAUUUUCCAUGCCCCUCUCCCAAAAAACAUUGUGGCCCAUCUAAGCUCCACCAUCAAAAUAAUAUUACGUACUACUAACUAGAUAAAUUAUUGACAUAAUUGCACAAUUAGUUUUAAACUUAUUAUAUGGAAACUAAUUGAGUCUUAAAUUAUUUGUAAUUGAACAAAUGUAGUCCUAAACCUUUGAGUGGAAAAUGCAAUCCAAUUAUUCCUACCAAAGUCACACUUGAUAUAUACAACAUGGCAGUCCCCGUCAUCACUGGCAAUCUGACAUGUAAUACUGAGGUGUGAUGUGGACUAUUUCAACAAAAUGAUGCCGUUUUUAUUGAAUAUGGAGUGAAUAUGAUUCUGUUGCAAACCUACAAAGAAUCAUGUACAGCUGAGCUUUGAUGUUUUAAAUUUAUCUUAAUUGGGUUUUUAAAUUUUAAUUGACUCUUAUAUAACCUGACACACUAAAAUUGGGAGAAUUACCAAAAAAAGUCCUAAACUUUUUGUAGUUGUGUCAAUUUAAUCAUAAACUUUUUUUUUUGGUCAAUUGAGUUCUAAACCUUUUACAAUUAUAACACUUUAGUCCUUCCGGUCAAAAUUGGCCAAUACCGACCACAAAUUUUUUAAUAAUAUUUUAUUUUUCGAAUUAUUUUAUUAAUUUUUAAUCUUUUUAUUUUUACCUUUUUUCUCUCUUUUUUCCCCCUCCCCCCUCCUUCCUCUUUCCUCCUUCUUCCUUGGGCUCCGGCGACUGGCCAGCCCUCAUCGAUUGUCAGAUUGAGGUGGCUGGGGGAGCUCCCCCUCACUAGAUCCAGCGAGGGGGGCCUCUCCAUCACUGGGUCUAGCUAGGCGACCCCUCACUAGAUCCAGCGGGGGCUCGCCCUGCCAGUGGUUGGGCGAGCUUGCCCAAUUGCCUCAAUCUGGCGACCGGUGAGGGCUGGCCAAUCGUUGGAGCCCAAGGAAGAAGGAGGGAGGGGAAAAAAAGAGAAAAAAGGUCAAAGAUAUUAAAAAUUAAUAAAAUAUAAUUAAAAAAAUAAAAUAUCAUUAAAAAUUUGUGGCCGAUGCCCACGUCAAUGUCGGCUAGCCAAUUUUGGAAAAAAUGAUUGAAUUAGCACAAUUAUAGAAGGUUUAAGACUCAAUUGGCCAAAAAAAUAAAUUUAGAACUAAAUUGGCACAACUAUAAAAGGCUUAUGAUUUUAUUUAGUAAUUUCCCCCACUAAAAUUAAGUUGAAAAAUGGAUUUAUAACCCAUAUUGCUACUUCUUUAAGAACUACAUUGUGAGUGUGGCCUAUCUUUGUUCGUUUGUUCUCUUUAUUAAUUACAUUUUGUUAUAUCGAUGCUCUAUUGAUGCUAACACCGUGUAAAUCACUCAUUCCACGGGCGAUGAUAUAAUGCGAGUCAUUUUUGUUAUUUUGACAGCUGGUAAUUGUACGUUUUUUAUUUUUUAGUUUGAAGCUACACGAUGCGCGUGCAAUUUAAAUUUUAGGGGAAAAAAAAAAACAAGCUGGUAUCCAAUAUUGUGACUACUUGGGGUUUGGCUUUCGUUACUUUUAUAAUUUUCUCGCACCUAAUCAAUGUUUGUGCAUUAGCGGUGACCGGUCGACCGAAGGAAUAACAAAAUGAAGAAAAUCACCCAUUUCUGUUGGUCAUCGUCUACAACUCCCCCAUUCCAUUCUUGUCUGGAUUGGAUGCUACCCAACUUAUAAAGGAACUGACUGGUGUUUAGUCAAGGCUACCAAGCUCUUCCACGCUUAUAUUGAUUGCUCUUCGACAUUUCCGUCCAUCGUCCUUCUCUGCACUCAAAUCUCUUUGCCUUCUUCGUCUCUCAUCGUUCUUGCUCUGUCUCGCCCUUUCUUCUCCUCAGCACAACCUUUCUUCCUUCUCCUCUUCUUCUCCUCCUUCAAUAUCUGCUUCUCUUUUUCAUCGUUCUCUUUAUCUGUCUCUCUGUUUUCUCGCUCUUUAUUUCUCGGACAAAAAAUCAAAGAAAAAUGUCGACCGAUUCUGCCGUUUCAAUUGCAUGGGACGUUUUGAAGUGCUUAGUUGCUCCCCUCAGGCGUGGAUUCAGAUACGUCACGUCCUCCGAGAGCUACGCCAACAAUCUUCUGAUGGAAGUCGGGAAUCUGAAGUACGAGGCUCAGAGGGUCCGCAGUGCCGCCGAAGUGGCUAGAGAUAAUCUUCAGAAUAUCCACGAAUGGGUCCCAAAGUUUCUGGCAAGUGCCGAGGAGGCCUUGAAGGAGGCCGAAGACCUAUUGGAAAAUUUUGAAAAGGCGAGCAAGACUUGCUGCCACGGGACUCUUCCCGACCCCAAUUGUCGCUAUCAGUUCAGCAGGAAGGCCAAGCACAAGAUCGAUGACAUUAAGAAUCUCAUUCUAGAAAACAGUAAUAGGGAGAUCUCCUUCAGCGGUCCUGCUCCUGGUGAUGUCGCUGCUCUAAUUCCAGCUGGAAGAGAAGGCAAAGAUGUCGUCCAGUCGACCACCACAGCGGCCUCAGCUUCUUCUGUCGACUUCGAAUCCAGAGCUUUGAUGAUACUGAACAUCAUGGACGCUCUUAUGGAUAACCGCUAUAGCGUGGUCGGGGUUCACGGGAUGGGCGGGGUCGGCAAGUCCACCCUUUUGGUGGAUGCUGAGAAGAGAAUAAGGGAAAAAAAUUCGUUCGGUUGGGUUGCUAAGGCUGACGUGUCGCAAAAUCCAGAUGUCAAGAAGAUUCAAGAAGAGAUUGCGCACUGGUUGGGCCUUAACGACAUAAAGAAGGAAGAGAAUGUCAGUUUGCGAGCGAAGCUUCUGCGCGAGAGGUUGGAAGAUUUGGAGAGGAAGAAAAACAAGGUCCUCAUAAUAUUGGACAAUCUGUGGGAGCGGCUCGACUUGAAAGACAUUGGCAUUCCUUGUGAACUGGACAACAAAGUUAUAGGAUGUAAGCUGUUGUUAACGGCGAGAGAUGAACGUGUUUUGCGAAGGGAAAUGCGCUGUGACAAUGCCUUCCUCCUCGGUGUACUGGAAGACGAAGAGGCAAAAAGAUUGUUUGAGACGAUGGUAGGAGGUAAAGUUCAAGUUGAAUUAGAAUCCUUGGUGGAGGAAGCACUCCACAUAUGUGCAGGUUUGCCUUUCCUAAUUCUCGCAAUAUCAAAACUUUUUAUAGACACUAAUUACUCUGAUUGUAAGGAUGCUUUGAAACAAAUCUGGAACGAAGAAACCGGUGAGGUGAUAAAUAAGACGUUGCGAGUGAGUUAUGAUCGUAUAAAAUGCGAGGAGGCGAAGACAUUGUUACAACUCUGUGCUGUUUAUGGUGUCUCUAAGCCCUCUCUUGAAAACUUGGUGAGGUACAGUGUGGGUUUGGGGCUAUUUAGAAAAAAUAGCAGCAUGGAAGACACUAGAAAUAGAUUGAGCUCACUUAUCCAUACUCUUCAAGCCUCCUCCUUGUUGUUACACAACGGAGAAAAUGAUAGUUUCAAGAUACAUGACUUGGUUCGUGGGUUUGUUACCUCGGUUACUUCAGGAGAUCACUUUCUUCUUGUUUUGAAAGAUAAAGAUAAGUCAGUAAUAGAGUUGUCAAAGAAUAAGCUCAAAAGUUGUAAGGCCAUAUGCUUUUCCUACAUUGAUUUGAAGGAGCUUCCCCAAGAAUUAGAUUGCCCCAAAUUGCAAAUCUUUAUGUUGUUCACAAACAAUAAAUCUCUUGAGGUCCCAGAUUCAUAUUUCAACUCUAUGAGAAAUCUCAAGGUCUUAGAUCUUAGUGGGGUACGUCUCAGUCGUUCACCUUCGUUGUUUCAAUUCUUGACGAACUUACACACUCUGUGUCUUGAUCAUUCUUCGUUAGAGGAUGUGACCAUUCUUGGUGAGCUAAAAAGGUUACAAAUUCUCAGCCUUAUGAACUCCAAAAUUCGGCGAUUGUCAAAAGAAAUGGGGCAAUUGGUAGAGCUAAGGUUAUUGGACUUGAAUUAUUGUUCAAAUCUUCAGAUAAUUGAACCAGGUGUGCUUGGAAGCUUAAUCAAAUUGGAGGAGUUGUACAUGAAUAAACUUAAACAAUGGAAUGCUGUGACCCAAACUCUACCAACUAAUGCUAGUCUUAUCGAGUUGAAUAACAUGAAGAAACUCUGGACUUUGCAUGUGUCCAUUCUCGAUCCAAGUGUGAUCCCAGAGGAUCUAAAUGUCAAGAAAUUAACCAAGUAUGAAAUUCAUAUAGGUGAAGGAUGGCAUUGGUCUGGUCGCAAAGGAUUGAGCACAUUGAUGCUCCAGUGGGAUCCAAUAAGCGAUAUUUUUCAAAAAGGAUGCAUACAAAGAAUUUUAGGCAAAACUGACAAUAUGAUAUUGGAUAGUUUGAACGGAAUUGAGCAAAGUAUUUGCACAUUAUCCCAAAAAGGUUUUCCAAAAUUAAAGCAUCUAUGUGUCGAGAAUAGUCCCUCAAUUCAUUACAUCCUCCAAUCGUCAUCCCAUAUAGAUUUUAUGACGUUGGAGUCAUUACUUCUCAAGAAUCUCAUCAACUUGGAGAAGAUAUGGACCUCCAAUAUCUCCUCCAAGUCCUUCAGCGCAUUAAAAGUAGUACGAGUCAAGUAUUGUCACAACAUGGAAGUACUAUUUCCUCUUUCAUCAGUGAGGGAACUUCCACAGCUAAAAGUGAUGGAAGUUGGCAAUUGCAAGAUAAUACGGGGAAUCGUAGAAGCUGAUGAGAGUGGCAAAUUUGGGUUGCAUGAUUUGCAUGUAUUGAAAUUGCAUUCCUUGCCACAUAUCAUGAACUUUUUCACUACCAAGCUGGCUCCUUUGAGUAGUAGAUCAGACAGCCCAGUUGGCACUCAAAUUGCGUUCUUCAAUGGACAACAGGUAACUUUCUAUCAAAAGAAUGUUAAUUAUUUAUUAGUUUUUUUUUCUUCCUUCGCUUAUUAGAUGUAACGCGGAUUAUGGUGCUUAUUCAAUUUGUUAUUUUUAGUUUGUUUUCUUCCUAAUUGCUUUAUCUGUGCAUGCCUUCUCUGUAAUUAGAUAAAGUAAUCUUCUGUUACUCUUCAGUACAUAGAAAUCCAAAUAAUUGUAUGAAAUCCAUGUAAAUUAGUUUGUGAUAAAUUCUGAGUUAUUUUCAACUUACAUGCUGCAAGUACAUCUAUAUUCAUAGGCUUUCAUAAGCAAAAUCAAAGGGAAUUUUGGCACUAAAGUAAUUCCAUUGGUAAGGUAAUAUUUUAUUUUUUUGAAAUGGAUUCCAUUGAAUUCAGUUAUCAAACUUUGUUAUAAUCCAUAAAAUGUAUGAUAUAGGCAACUCUCUUAAAAACCAACAUGAAGAAUGGAAAGGAGGACAUGGAUUUUAAAUAAAAGUAACUAUGCUAAUAUAAUUGAUGCACGUCUUUUGUAUAUUGUAAGAGUAGGAAUGUUCAUGCACGCAUGUAAUAUGUAUAAAUAUUUUUGUACUUAUUUUUGGCAUCACAAACACAAAUCCAGAAUGGGUGUUUAAUAUCCUGUUAAAUGGGUUAUUGAUAGUGAUUUACUAACAUUAAAGAGAAGUUAGUAAACUAAGGACAAACAAUGGCCUGGUUAAAAAAAGCGCACAACUAUUUUGUCCAAAAAAAGUUGAGGCGGCUAUUUCAUUGACUUGAAAAGAUUGCAUUUUCAUAAUGGUGAUUAGCACUAAAGUUGAUGGUGGGCCCAAGACUCUUGCAGUACGUUAAUUUCCCCAUCAGUAGAGGUCCUGGGCAUAUUUGUCGUGGGUCCCACAAGGCAGUGUGUGUGAGCCUUUACGUCUUCGUUUUUUCUUAAUCGCCGUAGAUUUUGGGGUUUUAAACUUGUGCCAUUGUUAGUGGCCACCCUCCAACAUGGAAGGGGGAGGUGAGGGGUUCAAAUCUCCACAUUCUCAGGGGGGAUGGGGUGGGGACGCGUAAGUUUCAAGAGUGGGUUUCGACUCCCACGCCCUGCACGAGGCAGGACAAAAGUCUGAGAGUGAGUGUAGAGUAGGAAUAGAAUAGGACUGACAAAAAAAAAAAAACUUGCACAAUUGUUCUCAUUGGACACUAGCCAUGGAUAUCAAUUGAACUUUUUUUGGGUCGAAAUUUGAGGCUGAAAGCGUUGUCAAGUUUGCUUUAUUAUGCAGAGAGAGAUAAGUAAUGCUCCACUCUCUAAUCCAUUUCUAAAGGAGAAAUUCUUCGGAUGGAAUAAAACUAGCUCACUCAUCAAAUUAAGCUCAGCAUUGCAAGUUUUUUUUAGCAAAGGAAAGACUGGAAAUUAGAAACGACGUUAGUAUGGAGAUUUUUUUUACUUCGUUUUUAUUUUCUUUGAUUCUUGUUUUCUUUUUCUUUUUUCCUUUUGUGAAACUUAAUAAUCCCCCUCUCCCCUUGGCACUCAUCUAUAUUUACAUCUUGAAAGUUCAUGAAUUCGAAUCUAAAUUAAUCACCAAUUCCAUGAGCAAAUUCCGCAGGAUGCCUUUCAGAGAUUGGAGACAUUAGAAAUCAUUGGCUUGGAUAACCUCAGGUUUAUAUUUUUCCCAUCCAUGGUUAAAUCUCUCACACAACUGAAAAAACUGACUGUAUCGAAUUGUGGGAAGACGGAGGCAAUCAUUAUGGAGGAAGAAGGGUUGGGAAUGGAAACAUCAGACAUUGUGACAUUCCCCAUGUUAACCCAUUUACACUUAGAACGUUUGAAAAGUUUGACAUGCUUCUCUUGUGGAAAGUGUAAGAUUGAUUUUUUAUUUUUAUCAUUGAAGAUUGUCUUGUCGAUAUAUUCAUCUCUGCAAUACAAAUGGUGAUAUUCUUUUCAUCCAAUGAAAUACCAAUGACAGGUGCACGAGAAAGUCGAAGUCAAGAUCACAUCAGAUCACGCACCACUGCACUCUUCAAUCAAGAGGUACAUGAUUAACAUUACGUCAAAAUAAUAAAUAUACCGGAGACAAAAAUAGCCAAGACAAAAACUAAGUUACAUAUAAUGUAUAUUUUGAUUAAAAUAUGUUAACAGAAAAUGAGUACCGUACAAGCAUAAGUGUUCGAAGUUGCUGAUAUGUAUGAGUUGCAAUUUCUUCCUUUUAAUUUCUCUACAAAUAGUUUCCAUAAAGAUGGUUGACCAUCUCUUCUCAUACUUGCACAAUGCAUAAAGGGUAAUACAACUGCCAAAUAGGAUUGCUAAAACUUUCUGAUGUUCCCAAAAAAACUCAAAACUCUAAUCAGCCUCAAUGUACCGCAUAGACAUUGCAUGCAUGUACAUUGAAAGAAAUUUAAAAAAUAAUUGAUUGGAAAGUGAGCAGUAGGGUUCAAGAGGCUGGAGAUGGAGGGCCUUUAAGAUUCUUACUUGACAUCAUUUGCAUUGCAAGAUCUCAUUUAUUUUCUUGAUCGAAGGAAGCUUCACUCUCUCCUAAUUGCACCGGCAAAAGGAGUCUAGGCACUCUCCAUUGCCAAAUUGAGCAAGAUCUCUAUGGUCCAGGGCUUCGGAAAUCACCCCUCUUAGUCUUUACAUGAAUUGAAAGACCAUUCUUAUGAAACUCUUAUUAAAGAAAUAAAAUACGUUUCAUAGAUCAGCCAUUUCAUCUGAGUCAACUGUCUUGUCGAGCGAAUAGCAGAAGAACAUUCGAGUGGAAAAUGAAAUAGAGUAAUUUACAGGCGGGUCCACGUUGACUAACCUAAGAGCAAUAUAAGCCGUUCACCUAAAAUGUUGAUUACGCAGCCUAAUAGGCUAUGAAAAUGGGCCCUCGCACAAGAUUAAUUCGUCGACUUUCUUAGAUAAUUUUAAUAUUCUAUAACGAGGUAUUUAGGAAAAUCUUCAACUAUUUGACUCAAGUAUAUGCAUAAUCUGUCGGUGGUAUCUAAUAUUGGAUCCUCUAGUGCUGAUAAAGGAUCAAUGAAUUUUAAAAGGAAAAUUCAAUCGAUCAAGGGUACUUAGUUCUUUCAAGUGGGAAAUGAUGUAAGUAAGAUUUAUUCGUUUGACCCAAGCAAUUCCUUUUCUAAUUGCUUUUUCUUAGCCUCACUGCUUUAGAGUGAUAUGAUAUUAAUUUGAGGCAUUCGGUAUUAGAUAAAAUCAUAACUCCUACUGUAUUGCACCUUUUGAUGGAUGAUUGGUUGGCUUUUUUUUUAUCUCAAUCUCUACAUUAUUUUCUUUCUAAUUGCUAGUAUUCUUCCUCAAGCUAUCCUUAGCUGCAUUUUUCUUUUGCUAUAUCACUUCCGUAUAUAUAUACUUGCUAAUUCAUUAUUUUAGGAAAGUAACUAAAUUAAAGAGGGAGAGAUUUUAUUAAAAUUUGUGAAAUAUGGGAGACUAAUGUGAUCAUAUGAUUUUCAUAUGAGCAUAUCCAAAUUACUAUUUUGUCCAUUAUCAAUAAAAUCUCAUCAGAAUAGAAUUCCUACUUUCCGAUUUGUUUCCAAGUAAUUCCAACAGCCUUUUCGUCCUACAAUCAUCCACAUUAGUAUGGAAAUUUGCUUACUAACUCUCUUGAUUUUGUUCUCUUUUUCCUUUUGUGCAAAUUAAGAUAGAAUCACCAACUCCAUGCUUUCGUAAUUUACAUCUUGGCACUCAUAUAAAUUUUAUUUACAUCUUGAAAGUUCAUGAUUUCAUAUAUUAACCGAAUCACCAGUUUCAUGAGUGAAUACUCGCAGGUUGCUUUUCCUAACUUGGAGACCUUAUAUAUCGAUGGCAUGGAUAAUAUCGAGAUUAUAUGGGACAACCAAGCUAUCGUAGAUUCUUUCCCCAAGUUAAAUGUGUCCCGUAUAGCUGGAAAUUUUGUGGCACUCAUAAAAUUGAGGAUAAGUAAUUGUAAAAUGUUGACAAAAGUCAUUAGUGAUGAGGGAAGUGAGGAGGGGCAUGUAAUGGUUUUCAAUCAUUUGGAGCAUAUGAAGCUUGAUGGGUUAAGAAGGUUGAGAUGUUUCAGCUCAGGUGAAUACACUUUGAUGUUCUCUCUCUUGAAAGAUGUCAUUGUGAGUGGAUGUCCCAACAUGAAGUUUUUCUCUAAGGGACUAAUACAUGCGUCAAAUCUAGAGAGAGUAAAAGUAUCGGAAAAAGCAUGGUUUUGGGAAGAAAACCUUAACAUCACCAUCCAACAUAUGUUUAAAGAAAUGGUAUGCAUCAGUUACCAUAUUCCAUGCAAUUGGAUGGUUUUGAUCACCAACAGAGUAAUUGCUUUUUGCUAACUAGAAGUUUACUUUUAAUGAUGCAUUUUUUACAGGGUAAGAGUGUUGGAGCAAAGUUUAUGCAGCUAUCCGAGUUCCCUGAGCUAAUUGGAAAAUGGCAUAGCGAACUUAAUCCCAUCAAGUCAUCUUGGCAAUUAGAAUUGCUGAUGGUAGAUAAGUGUCCAUCAUUUUCUAAUGUUAUUCCAUCUAGAUUGAUGCUUGUUUUAGAAAAUAUGUGCACAUUGCAAGUGCACGAUUGCAAGUCACUAGAAGAAAUAUUCGAUCUAGAAGGGCUAGAGGCUAUGGAAAGCACACAGGUGCUGCCUUCCUUUAGGACAUUGAGCUUGGUCAAUCUACCAAAGUUGAGGCAACUAUGGAACAAAGAUCUUCAAGAAUCCUUGCCCUACAAUUUUCUAUCUUAUAUAACUCUUUAUAAAUGCAAUGGCUUGAGACACACUUUUGUUCCAUCAAUGGCUCGGUGCCUUGCCAAUCUUGAACAAAUGGAAAUAAUGGAGUGUGGUCAGAUGGAAGGAGUGAUCGCAGAGGAAGAAGGGCAAGGAAGCGCAAUGAAGAAAAUUACAUUCCCGAAUCUUUAUUUGGUGAAGUUGGAAUGCUUGCCCAAUUUGACUUGUUUCCUCUCGGGGAACAAUCAUACGUUGGAAUGCCCCGUCUUAGAUGAGUUGACCAUUGCCCACUGCCCCAAGAUGAGAAGUUUGAUGGGGCAAUCCUUGAUGGAGAUUGAGUGCGAUGCCCCUUAUCUUUUUACUCCACAAGUUAGUCCUUUCAAAAAUGCAUAUUUGACAGUUAAUUUGGAACAUAUUCUAGUAAUAUUGGACAAUGCAUGGUAUGUGUCAUGUGUGGACAAAGUGCUAGAUAUAAAUGUUCGUAAUAUUAGUCAUUAACGCUACGCUUAAAUUUAAAUGGAACUCAUGUUUCAUAACUAAAUAAAUACAAACAUAGUAUCUAGCCACCUACAGCAGUCCAUGAUCACAUUCAUAAAUUAUUAAUGCAAAACAAUUCAGACAUCGACAAAUAUGUGUGGAUUCAAAAUCAUCCAAUUGUAUGUAAAUUUCCCAUAAGUACUAGCAAUAUGGUGCUUUGUGCAAAUUUAUGUACAGAAUCUUCUAAUAUUUAACACGAAGAUUACAAAGAUUCUAAUCCUCAGUAAACAUAACUAUUAAUGUUACAUCUCCAUAUCCUUUUAGGAGUGUAAUUUUUGUGUUAGCUCAUGUAAUCAUAUCAUACACAGUACUUUAGAAUUAAUUAGCGAGCUUCUUAAAAAAGUUAUCAAAAUAACCAUAUAAAAACACUUUUUACAAUUUGAAUUAUAAAGUACUAAACAGUAGUCAUAGAAUAGGAUCUAAAAAUUGCAAAAAAGAGGUCCGCAUAGCCACUUCAUAUUUCUCUUGCGUAGAAACAAGCUCGCAUCAUUCUAUUGAACAUGAAAAAAAAAGGGGGGGGGAAAAUAAAACUUCAAAAUUGUCAAAACACAGUUCACAAUUUAAUUAACUAUCACAGCUCAUUAGACCAUAAUCAUCUUCCCAAUCGAUGGAAUUGGAGGAAUUAGAGAGAGUGGCUCCUUUUAAUUGGAGUGCUCUAAACUUCGAUAAUCAUAAGUGCAAUCAACUUUUAAUUUCUUAAUUAUUCGCCAAUGCUUGAGUUGGUUCUUAAGAUUAAAAUAAUUAAAAGUAAACAGGUUGAUAUGUAUGAACCGAUUCGUCUUCUUCAUUAAUAAAAAUUACUUGAAUUGCUAUACUUGAACAGCCUAUCAAAUUACAAACCUGUUUUUUGCAAUAAAUAAUAAUUGUGGAUUAUUGUAUAUAGUGACCAUUAGUGUUAUAAUGUCUACGAUCUAUGUUUGGAAAGAGAAAAAGACAUAUUGCUUUUUCCAGAAAAGAGAAGGAAAAAAAUAAAAGAAGUAAAAGGACAGCUGGAUUAUUAAUAGUAAACAUUCGGUGUUUAUUUUCACUCGGAUCACGUGUCUACUAAUUCCAUGUCGAUGUGGAAUUUAAGGAAAAAAAAAUCUUCUCUUCUUCCUCCUCCUUCGUCCACAGCCGCCCGAUCUCCGCCGCUCCUCCGCAGUGAACAACGGCGGAGUCACCGACGCCUUGAUUAGGCUGACCUCCGCUAUGUCCAACCCGUCUCAUCGUUCUACAGAUCUCGAAUCUGGCCGUCCAUAGCGAUGGAGCUGCAGAUCUGGAAGUCGACCACGGUCGCUUGCAGCCAUGGACGAGCCGCUGUCGCUGGAGCCAUGGUCGCAGAUCUGGAAGUCCCGUCGCGAGCAACGACGGCUUAUGGACUGCCAUCGUCCCCUCCGUCGUCGCCCGUGGUCGGCUCAUGGUCGGCCUCGCCCAUGGCCAAGCCACCCCUCCAUCGUCACAGCUGUUCGUGGUCGUUGCCCGUCCAGAUCUGGACUGGAGUCGUGCCUCCAGAUCCGGUAUCGUCCAUGGACACAAGCCUAGCCCGUCCAUGGCUCGCGAGGACGCUCCUCCACAGAUUUGGCGACCGCAGCUUGUCCAUGGCCAUGAGCCUUGACGGCGAGUUUGAGAUCCCGACAGCUAUGGACAACGAGGUCAAACAACGAAAGAAAAAUCAGAGGAAUAGAUGUCAGGGAAGAGUGGCCAUGGACGAGACGGUCGGAGCUUGAAUGCGGCCAUGGACGAGCGGCGUCGUGAACGAGCAAACCACAAAGACGACGGAGAGGGUUGGGGGGCCACCAAUGGUCGCCUUGGAUGCGGCGCCGGCAACUCCACCCGGUGGCGACGGCGGAGGGAGGUGGGAAGGUUGGGUUCAAUGUGGCUGGAGGUGGAGGAGCAAGCGUAGAUGGAGAAGGAAAGUGAGGUGGAUCGAGAUUUUUUAUAUUUAGCCGGGUCAAUAUAUAGUCAAUGUCGUAGCUACAUAAAAAAUUUAAAAAGAUAGGAAUCAAUUAUCCAGUCAACACUUCCAUUCCGUCUGAUAAAGUUCUCCUCGUCGUGCGAAGACUAAACGCAAUAAAUGACGACCUCCUCCGGCACUUCUUUUUUUCGGGUCGAAUCCUGUGGCACUUGAAAAUGCGCGAUAUCAACCCAGAUUUUAUUUUUUGGCCCUUUUUUUAAUUACAGAUUCCGUACAAAUUUCGGUUAUUACUUUUUUUUUAUCUCAUGGAGAAAAUGCUUGUGUUUUUUCUCAUUUUAAUGGGAAAAAACCACCAAAAACCCUAAACUUUGUUUAAAAUGACAAAUUUACCCAAAUCUUUUUGUGACACAAAAAAUUCUAAACUUUACUAAUUGUGACACAUUUAUCCUAAUUUUUUUUUAUAACACAAAAACCCUAAACUUGUAUUUGCCGUGACACAUUUACCUUAAAUUAUAGGGCACUUUCGUCUUUUAAUUUUUUAAUUUUUUUUCUUUUUCUCCUUUCUUCCCUCCGUCGGCCAUGGCGAAGGGAAGCUAAACUCAGGGGAGGGCCACCCUCGCCGGCAUCAAGUGAGGGUGGCCCUUGCCAGAUCCGGUGAGGAAGACCAGCAUUGGGCGGCUCAACGCCUAAGUCUGGCUUCCCUCUACCAUGGCUAACAGACAAAAGAGAGAAUAAGAAAAAAAGGAAAAACAGAAAGAGGAGAAAUAAUAAGAUGAAAACGCCCUUAGCCAUGGAGUUUGGGUAAAUGUAUUACAGUUAGUAAAAUUUGGAGUUUUUUUGUGUCAAAAAAGAAUUUCGAUACAAUCACUCGCGAUGGCCGCGAUGGUUAAAGCUUUCUCCCCCAUCAAGGGGGGAGGGGUUCGAAACCCCGCAUCCCCAUUGCACGACUCACCUGUGGCUGGGUCUAUGGUGGCGGUCCAGUUCGCCCCGAGUUUACCCUGCCGGCUGCCAGCUGUUCAAAGAUUCUCGGGUCACCACAAAAAAAAAAAAAAAAUUCGAGAUAAAUUUGUCACUUUAAACAAAGUUUGGGAUUUUAGGUGACUUUUUCCCUAUUCUAAUACUUUUGAGCAAUUCUUUUUUAUUUUGCCUACAAGUGGAAUGUUUAAUCAUGACGAGUAUCUAUACAUUUGUUUACUUUUUUAUCGUAAGAGUUAUCGCUAAUUAUUUAUUUACUUCUAAUGGUGUUUGCAUGUAUAAGUUGCACGUAAUAAUAGGUAUCCCCAUAUUUUGAGGUUACUUCAAAAAGUCAUUAUAACACUCAAUCAAGAAUACUAAUAAAUUUGGGGAAGUAUGAAAAUAGUUAUCUAAUUUUUUUGGUAGUGACAAGUUGUGAUAGUGUUAAUUUCAUUUUAGUAUCAAAUAUGAGCUGACAUGUGAUAAUUGAUUUCUUCCACAUUAUUUGAUAAUUUCAAAAACUCAUCAAAAUCCUUAAUAAAAAUAAUGAUAGAUUUAAGAAAGUGUGGAAAGUCAUUCUGUUUUUUCUUUUCUUGGGACAAGUUGUAAUUGCAUUAAUUAUAUUGUAACCAAAUGAAAAGUACCAAUACUUGCUCCUCAAUGGACAACUUGUCAGAGGUCAUGACAGUUAAAAAAAAAACCACUCUUGAUUUUCUCCAAACAAACAAAAUGCGAUCAGCUGGUGCACACCCACAUUAUGCCAACGGCUGGAUCAUUGGUCCACCGCAAGAUUCUAUUUUUAUUUUCCACCUCAAAAAUUGAAUAAAUAUUAUUUUAUGGAUGUUAUUAAUGGUCCAUUAUAAAACUAGUAAAUUAACCCAACUUGCUUUUGCUGAGAUCAUAACAUACGUUAUUUAUUCAAGUUGUUACGUUGCCCAUUCCUAUUAAGAAAUUAUUUUCUUUCAAUACAAAAAUUUUCCACACAUAAAAAAGAAAAAGCUUGUGAACAAUUGAAGUUAUUAUAUUUUUUUAUCUGGUUCACCUUAUAAUUUUCAUGACUCUUCUCUUUAGUGAACUUUAUUAAUUAGAAGAUUCAUAAGUACUGUUCAAAAUUUAGUAUGAAUAAGUAGUAAUGCUCAUAGUAAAUAGAGGAAAUAAUAUUGAGCCAAGCAUUAGUUUCAUCCAUUCCUUCAUCAAUACAUACACUUCUUAAGUUCUUCGCAGCCACUAUUCAUAUCCUUAGUUGACUGGCUUGCCAUCACCUUGUCCUUGCUUUUUCUCUAAUUGUUAUGCAUGUUCACCUUGAAUUGAAUAAGUCUAAGAAAUUCUUACUUAACCUAAUGCUGCAUUAUCAAAAGAUCAGUGCAAGCAACUUUGAUAAUGAUCGGUGCAAACAAAUCUGGAAGUGGAUAAUCCAAGAAUUCAUCAUUGCAUAUUUCCAAAAAUUAAAGAAACAAGGCGUUUUCUUCAUUGAAAUAAAAGGGGGGCGGGGGGGUUUGGUUCGUUAAUUCACCAGUUCUUUCAGAUCCUACGUGAUUAAAACACAACUUAUCUUUGCCGAUGAAACUAACGCAACAGAAAUUUUCAGUUCAUAUCAGUGAAUCUGAAUGUUACUCUUUUCAAUAGUUCUAUUGGACCGCCUAGCAAGCUCCCUGAUCUUUUUGCCAGUCUUCGUGCUUAUUCAUUACAAGAAUGCGACUUGUCACUCCUCCAUGGUAUCAACAUUGUUUCAGGCAUAUUGUGUUCUUCUUCAUCUUUGUCCCGAUUUAAUUGCGUAUAGAAACAGUUGAGGAAGCUGUCAUUGAUGGUUAGUCAACGGCUCCAUAUAUGCAUCAGUGUAAGCAAGAGGGCUAUCUUUCUUUCUCUCUCUCUCUCUCUCUCUCUCUCUCUCUCUGAUUGUGACGCAAGAGCUACUAUCAGAAAAAUGAGGAUUUGGGAGGGGGGAUUAGGAUGAAGUUGAAAGGCUCAUCACCGGAAUUCGAGAGACCUACUUAGCAACCAUUUGAACUAGCCCAAGUUUCACGUGCACAGGGCCCAUCUGCCUAAUUCUUGGACUUUUAAGUUAUCGCUAUGAUUUGUGGAGUAAUCAAGAAAAGUUAACAUUGUCUCGUCACUACAAAAUCUACGUACCAUUAAUCGUCAAUUAAGCCACUUAAAAGUCGAUGCUCAACGUAAUAUUGAUUUAUAAAUGCAUUUAUAAUUCCAUGCUUAUUGCAUUGCAAUAUCCUUGGCCUUAGUCAUCGGUCAACUAAUAUAAAAAAGUAUCAAUCAACCCCUCCUUGUUAGGUCACUAACAAUAUUUUGAAUUCUCAUGAUUUGUGAGAGCAAGGAAAGUUUGGAAAUUCCUUUUUUGAGGUCAUAACUCAAUGCAAUAACAUUCAUCGUGUCAUUUUUUUCAAUAUGGCAGUUACAAUUCCCUCAACUGAAGUGGAUGAUUCUCUCCCACAUGGACAAUUUAAGCAAAAUAUGGCCUGACAACCCUCAAGAAACUCUGACUUUUGACUAUUUAUGGGAAGUGGAGGUUCAUAACUGUAAGAGUCUUGCAAAUUUGUUUCCGCAUUGGGUGGCAACAAGUUUAAUCCAACUUAGGAAACUUCGAGUGGAGUCUUGUAGGAUUGAGGAAAUAGUUGUUGGUGGAGAUGACACUCCACACUCCAACACUGCUCAAGUUCUUUUCCCGAAACUAACCUCUCUAGUGUUACAUGAUAUGCCACAACUCCAGAGCUUCUAUGUUAACUUGCCCACUUUAAAUUGGCCAUUCUUAAAUGAAUUACGAGUGACUCAUUGUGACACACGAAACAUGUUAUCCUUUGCCGCAUCCGUGAACAGUUGGGCUCAAAGAGAUGAUCAACAGGACCUUUCAGACCAAGAAGAACACUCUUCUUUUGAGAGGGUAUGAUUAUAGUUGCUCUCCCUUAGUUUUUACUUUGUUCUUUAAAGCACUCAUUAAUCUCAUAUCCAUUGCAUAAUCACAUCAUGUUAUAAUGCUAUAGAAAACAUGAUCUCCUUUGCCUAUUAGUUAGUCGACAGCAUUGAGAUAUUUCUAAUAUCGUACGUAUACUUUCAUUUGUGGACAUGCAUGAGAUAUUCCAUUCCCUAAAAUUACAAAAAUAGUUAUAGAUUUUCUAUUGACAACACAAUAUAUUCCUAAUCUAAUCUAAUGGCGCUCCUUGGGGAAAUCAAUGAGAAUUUUGACAUGACAUCCUCUCCAUUGUUAACACAAUUCAACACAAUAUAUUCCUAAUCUAAUCUAAUGGCACUCCUUGGGGAAAUCAAUGAGAACUUUGACAUGAUAUCCUCUCCAUUGUUGACACAAUUCUUACAUUUGAACUUUUCUUCUCUUUUUAUUUUUCUACAAACUCUAAAAAAAAUAAACUAAAACAAUUUUUUCUUUUUGAAAAAAUAACAUUAGAACCUUAACUCACUAUAUUAUACUUUAUCCUUUAAUUCACCCAUUAUAUUUGACUACAUAAUCGCAUCACAUUAUAAUACACAUUAUAAUACUAUAGGAUCCAGAAACCUCUUACCUAUUAAUUUGUGGACACCAUAAGAUGUUUCUUAUAUUUUCAGCACACUUUAAAGUUUAUGGACACCAUAUGUUUUAGUAACAAUAUGAGUGCAUCUCAUUACAUAAAAUUUCAGAGAUGAUAAACUUUUGUUGACAAGAUAAGAUAUUUCUAAUAAAGGAUGAAUUUGGUGAGCAAGAGGGCUCUUACUCUUCAAUUCACUCCACUAACUUAACUAUUCCAGCCUCUAUUUGAGUCUUUAAAAGUUUGAAGACUUGUAUGCAAAGGUCUCUCUAGACAUGAUGAACUUUAAGAACACAGCCACCUAUCAUGCAAAUCAUCUAAAUAGAUUUACUUUUUACAGCACAUGAUUUAUUGCCAUUUUUUUUUUUAAUUUACUUCUCUUGUUGUAUUGGCAAUUUGACAGGACUUUCCCAAAUUACAAAGACUUUUAUUAGUGGAUAACAACAUUCAAAUGAUACAAGAUGGAAAUUUUCCAGAUGAAAUCUUUGGCAAGCCAAAAGCACUAAUAUUGGCAUGCUUUCAUGAUGAAAAGGCAGUCUUUCCUCCCAAAUUGCUCCUAGAGAGAUUUCAGAAUCUACAAAGUCUUGAGGUCUUCUGUAGUUCCUUUGAAGAUAUAUUCCCCAAGAAGUGCUUGUUGACGAGGGAAAACAUCCAGUUCUUGAAAAUUUAAGAGAACUUAAGUUAAACAAGCUACACAACCUAAAGAAUGUAUGUAGAGAAGACUCUUUAUUAUUGAAAAUUCUUCAGAGCAUCGAAAUAUUGGAGGUAUGGGAUUGUCCUUGUUUGACAACGAUAUUUCCAACCGCGACAUCCUUCCAUAAUCUAACGGAGUUAGUGGUGAAGAAUUCCUCUGGAUUGAUACAUCUAGUAAUAGCUUCAACGGUCACAAAUUUGAUGCAUCUCACUAACAUGACUAUAAUAGGAUGUGAAAGAAUGAAAGAAGUAGUGGCCAACGAUGGAAAUGGAGAAGGAAAAGUGAUUUCGUUUGAGAAGCUAACAUGGUUGACACUCCAACAUCUGCCAAACUUAGAAUGCUUCUCCUCCAUCUCGAGUUGUAUCUUUAGGUUCCCAUCAUUGUCUAGUAUUAUAGUAGAAGAGUGCCCGAAAAUGAAGACCUUUGCUAAAGGCACACUAAGCACACCAGAACUGUAUGAUGUGUCACUGUUCAAAUACAAGUUAAGAGGGAAUUGGGGGGAGGGUGAUGAUCUCAAUACAACCAUAUGGAAGUUAUCAGCAUAAACAAAUGCACGUUGAAUUGGUGAGAUCUAAUUGAUGUCAUCCUCUGAUCCAUUCUUCUUUUCUUUUUUCUUUUUGUAAUUUUCUAAUAUUGAUUACGUCCCAUCAUCAUUGCAUCAUCAACCCUAUCUGUGGAUGGAUCUCACCUCCUACUUCACUGAACAGCAGGAAGCAAAGCAGGGCUCCUUCUCCUUCUUGACACCGGAGGCAUCAAAUGAAGUGUCGGGAAUGCCAGGACUGAGAGAAGCGAAGCUGCUGCACUUAGUGGAGCGGAGCAAGUAGGGGAGAGAGAGAGAGAGAGAGAGAUUCAACCAGAUGGAGUGUUAUCUCGUCACCAUCCCUGGAGAGAAGAUCGUACUCUCUUUCUCUCUCUCUCCAACCUUGAACCCGACAAACUCGUAAGUUCUUCCGAUUUUGGUGUCAUAUUGUGCGUGAAUUAGUUUGAAGCUGGAAGUUGGUUUCGUGAAAACCUUCCUCAAUCCUUGCCUCCUGCUUCUUUGGCUAGGGCUCUCUUCUUCAGACUAGCAAUUUUAUUGCCCCUAAAUCCACAUCUUCCGUGCUUUCCUCACAAGCAUUGGCGAGAGAAACGCGUCUGCGUAGGAUUUUUCUGCGUGUUUGAGCUCUCAUCGAUGGAGAUGAUAUAGGGAGAGAUAUCUCUCGAGCAUCAUGAAACUUGAAAAUAUGAAGAGAGAAUUCCAUGCCUUGUCAAAAAUAUGAGGGGGUCACUUUUACGCCUUGUUCUCAAUGUACUCCAGACUGCUCAUCCUCAUGAGAAUUUCUUGUGGUUUGACGUGUCUUUGUUUCUGCUUGCGUAACUCUCUUUCGCAUUGUUCUUUUCAAAUUCUAGAAUAAAUUUUAACAAGCCCUUUUUCUUUGUCUUGAUUGGUUACGAGAUGCUGCAAUGAUAAAAUUUAUUUCUAAUUUAUUGUAAAAUCUUUCCAUAGCUAGUCAAACUAAUGAAGUGUACUUAAACGGCCUCUUCACAGAACCGUCCCUCUCGCUGCUUCGCUCGCCAUCCUCUUGUGGUCAAAUCCAGGUACAGUUACGAGCGUUCUUCUUCUAUGGGUUCAUUUUGCACUUGAUUGGAGUUGCCGUCGCCGUCUCGUGUUUCCUUUAUCUAGAGCAAUAGCAUGGAUUUAGCUUCAGUUUUCAUUUGGUUCCUUUUGAAGAGUAGUUUCUGCUGAGUAUAUUCGAAUUUGAUUCGUACCCUUUCUGUUUCUACAUACUGCAUGUCUGGUCAAUGGGAGGGAAUUCCUGGUGUUCGUCUUUUUUGGUGGGAGAAUGGUUACUGCAAAAAGAGAAGGGUGACUUCGAGCUUCUACUGUUGAAAAGGAUAAGGUUGUGUUCUUAGAUGUGCAUCCAUUACAAAAGGCUUUUGCGGCCUGCGGUACUUGGUAUGAUAAAGUUUUGGAUAGUGGAUGCAUCUAGAGUUAGGUGAUCCCAUUGGUCGAUUGUUCACCCCUUUUGAAGUUGAUGCAACUAGGAUGGUCGUGUAAGAUGUGUGCUUCAUUUCAUUGGCUGGAAGAGAAGAUGUCGAUGCAAGUAGAAUCAUGUGUAGAAGAUGUGGAUAUGCAUGGUGCACUUGAAGAAAAACGACCUCGACUGGUGCUUUGGUUUGGGAUGUAUGCACUUAAGUAGUAAAGCUUCUUGUCUUAUUCUUGCACAGCUUCUGAUAUGAUUGGAGAAUCUGGUAUGCUCUUACACUUCUUGAAUUGCAUCAGGUUUUGUGUGGUAAAAUCGUGAGGCAUGUGCAAUCAACAUUUGUAGAGGUUUAGGGAUAUAUGGAUGAUGAAGCCGAAUUUAUAUUUAUAUUUUCUUGCUGUUGCAGCUAAAGCCGGAUUUCUCUCUGGAUUCCCUGGAAUAGAGUCUGCCCCUGGCCCUCAAUUGCCUCAGAUUGAGGCAUCCUGAGCUGGUUUAUUAUGGUCCCAUGUGCCCAAGGCCUCUCACUACCCUUACAUCGGCCAACACAUUUCAAAUGAAGCAUCCCUUUUUCAAAGGUAGUGAUGAGGCCCUCUUAUAUUAAGAGUGACUUGAUAUGAUCCCACGCUUAUUGAGUUGAACUCGCACGUCUGAAAAUCAAACAUAUAGAUGCUGUUUAUAUAUAUUUGCUUAUACUCUAGUGUAUUUCCAAGUUGAGUUAAUGUAGUAAACCACAUGACAUGUUAUUUUCCUUGAAGUGUUCAUGGGUAUAUGUUUAAAACCAGGUAUAUAUCUUAACAAUGGAGUAAUUGAAGCAGGGAAAAGAAUGAAAGGACAGUUAUUGGGACAUAAGCUGGUGGUCGAGGUUCAAAAAUAUAACAGUUGUCUCCUUUUUGUGGAUAGAUGUUUUAGAAAACAAUUGCUGAGGCAAGUCUUAAGAAUUAAAAUCCAAGUCCUCUUAUAUGGAGAAAUUUAACAAUGUUAUUGAAUGCUGUAAAUUUAGGUUAUAUAUGUAAAUCAUCACACAAGGAGACUAGUUGAUAAGGACAAGCAAUUUGCAAUAAUGUCAUUACCUCCCUGACUAAAGGGAAAGACUUGAAAGAUAAGAGGGUGGCUAGUUAUCAUUUUGAAAUUUCAUUGUAGACCUGAUGACGAAUAAUCUUAAUGCCAAAUAGGAGAUACCGUUUUAUUUUGUUAUACAUACCAAAUAUUUGAGGGGAAAACAAGCUUACUUUACUUUGUCAUAUAAAACCGAUAGUUUGAUAAAACAUUCAAUUUUGCUGUGCUUGAAAGAAUUGAACAGCUUAAGUCUAAAUUUUCAAUUCCAUCCAUGUUCAAGUCAUAGAUGUCUUUGCUUUUUCCCCUGCGGUUGGGGUCUGCAUGGCCAAAAUGCAUGGGUUAAAUAUUUAUAUAGGACAUGAAAGGCUUCUUUCGGUUAUGUACCCUAUCGCACUCUAGGAGCGUAUAUUUUGACAUUUGACUUUGGAUUGCAGAUUGAGAUUGAUGACUUUCAUUAUAUGUGUAUUGUUGAUUAAAACUCCUAGAACCAGCAACUGCUGUCUUAAAUUCACACUAUGUAAUUUGAUUCUCUCAUAAAUGUAUGCUUAUGUUUGGUCUUUCUUCACAUGGAGACUGCUCUUACUCAAUCCAUCAGGCAACAUAUUCACGAAAACGAGUAAGUUGCGACUCUCAGGUAUUCAAAUAGGCUAUGGACAGUGAAGCUCAGGAGCCGUGGACGUGACCAAGGGGCAUUUUUUUUUCUACUGGUUGGCCCACAUUUGCAAGAGAAAUUCGUCUGCAUGUCGAAAUGUUUGUGUGUUUGAGCUCAUUGAUAGGGAGGAUAUUGUGUUCAGAGUCUACAUUUCCACUAGUGCUGGUAAGGACUUGAUUUACUUGAUAAAGAUUAGCUCUAAAAGUUUUGCUUUGGCUGGUCCAAAAUAAAUGUUGUACUUCUAAUAAUAUCUCCUUUAUUUUGUCUUGAUGAAUCAAUGAAGUGUACUUAUAUUCCGAUUGGGUUUGUGAGGUUCAUAAUAAUCUAAAUGCACACUCGUUAAUGCCGCAUACCAAAUCUAAAUGAACCAAAAAUGAUGUGCUUUAGGAUGUCCUGUUUGAUUUAUGCGUUCUUGUUGUUCAAUUUAAAUUUGAAAUGAAGUGUCCUAGGCUUAUGAAGAUUUAUGGGUUUUAUUUUUCUUACAGGGAUUACCAAAGAGGAUCAUAAGAAAAUAUGGUGAGAAUCUCCCUAAAAGAUGCUUCUGAGUAUCAAAUGUUGCAAUUUGUUAGGCUGUGGAACAGGAAAAAUGUGAUGAGAUGGUUUCAUUAUCAAAGAGUUAGAAUGAAUUUGCAGAGCAUUACUCUACUUGUGAGGGCCAAAUUUUGGUCUUCAAAUUUGAAUGGACUCCAUUUUCCAUGUAGUCAUAUUUGAUUAUUGCAUGUCCGGGAUAGAAUAUCCGCCAAUAAAUGCUGAUUUGAGGAACCAAGCCUCGGCAAUUGUGGAUUUGUCUUGCUGGAAGUGAAUUGCAUUCACCCAAGUGUCCUCCGCUUUGUAAGGCAAGAAAUCUCAUCAGGUUUGUGGAGUUCAUGGCCCGUGUACAAUCAUCAGCAUAGAGUUUAGGGAGAGACGGAAGUUCAAACUGCUUUUCAUGAGAUUUUGAGGUGUAAAUCUUAAUCUACUAGCUAAUUCUCCCAUUGAUUGUGUCGUUCUCUUGUUUGAUUUGAAUUUCGUACAGGAACUCUCCAUGUCGUUAGGCUAAGAGAGACUGUGUUAGUGCUAAUUCAUCCUCGUAGUGUUUAUCUUUAGCUCUCCCAUGUGUGCAUAUGUACGUGUUGGGGGAUUUCGUAAAUGUCAAGCCAAUGGAAACAAGCGAAACCAGUAGUAUCAAUUUUGGUUGUGCUAAAAAUGAUAUUUGGUGUGCAUAUACCAUAUAGGCCCUGGAAGGUAGACCAUGAUCUAUUGAUUUACUAUGUCAGUAGAUAUGAGUUUCACAUAACAAGAAUAGUAUAUGCCUAGAGAGCAAAAGCUUUCUUCAUGUUCUAUUGACGGCUGCUGCAGGUAAGCUGAAAGAGCCAGGCUUGUGCAGAGCUCUUGAACUGGGCAGCACCUUUAAACCUGGGUAUCCUUUCUUCCAAAUUGUGGUGAGGUGAAUAUAUCUGAAGAAAAGCAAUGUGGUAAGAUCCUCAUGGCAAUGACAACUCUUGAAUUUAAAUCACAUACAGUCACUAGACUAUGCUAGCUCUAGGUUUAUCGUGCAUCAUGUCAGGGUUUCUGUUUUUAUCCUUCACAGGUACAGUCGUCCUCAGAAAUCAUUGGUUGUUUUCUUCUUUCUGAUGACAAAAUUGCGAAACGUCUAUUUAAGGAGACAGUUCCUGGUUCAUUGGCACAGAUGCACGUCAAGAAAAGUCCGCAGACCAUGGCUCUCAUAUUUCUGGACAAAUCUUGGCCGGUGAAGCUCAUCAGCCAUGAACAUUAAGGAAGUUACCUGCCGGUUGGGCCACAUUCACGAGAGAAACUUCUCUAGAGGCGGGAGACAUACCUGUUUGAGCUCAUUAGAAGGGAAGAUAUCAUGUUCUGAGUAUCCAUCUUCAGAACCACUGAGAAGACUUGGGAUCAGGAUACUAUGCAAAAGGACACAGCAGAGGAAGAAUCCUUUAGGCCAUUUUUGGUGGAACAUAACUUCAGAUUUCCUAGGCUGAAAUCUGCUUCCAAUUCGGCAAAUCAAAUGAAAGCGUGAGUUUUGUUCUAAUGAAUGGAAUGUUCCUGAAUGUGUAUGAUACCUUCCCUUGAUCCUAGUGUUAGCUAUCACCAUGUGGGCAUGAGUCAUGAGAUGGAGGAAGUUGAUUGCUAAUGUCAAAUUAAGUGCUUCUUCAAGGUU
RNAcentral lists this long non-coding RNA (487525 nucleotides) under Eucalyptus grandis. Its description in RNAcentral is "long non-coding RNA (EGRA_LNC004092)". The stretch from base 376859 to 376924 matches the Rfam family "MIR1846 microRNA precursor family", at positions 12 to 75 of the family's 110-position model. Lineage: Eukaryota; Viridiplantae; Streptophyta; Magnoliopsida; Myrtales; Myrtaceae. The record is from RNAcentral.